Molecule: long non-coding RNA, 435902 nt
Filed under: Zea mays
Lineage: Eukaryota; Viridiplantae; Streptophyta; Magnoliopsida; Poales; Poaceae
Description: long non-coding RNA (ZMAY_LNC002518)
Source: RNAcentral
UAGAAUCAUAAUAUUGUUCUUUAUAAACUUAAUCAAACUUAAGAAUGUUUGACCGAUGAGCAAGAUCCCAACACAGUAUGUACAAGCCAGAUGAGCAGGGUUAUGUACACAGAACUAGGUUUUCCCUAAGCAUAUUAUAUGGUUCACCACGAUGGUUAACAGAGCCGUCUUCCAGAGAGGGCGGCAGCACGCUAAUAAACUGAAUACGGGCGCCCACUGAGAUGUCGUCUUCAGUUAAAGCGAGUAUGGGUGCCCGCUAUUCAGAACUCUGCGAAUGACGUCCGUGUUCCAUCCAAAUACAGAAUCCGAGCUGUCAACACGUCCAAGGAAAAGGGGUCACCUGUUGAUCGAGAUAUAUGUAGAGAAUCUUAACAAAACAAAAAAAUUGUUUAGGCUAACUAAGGAUGGGCCUUAUCACAGGCCGACCAAUAUCAAAUAUAUCACUCACCUUGGGAUCAUGAUCUCGUGAUUGAAAAUCCUGUCAGGGAUAGCAGGAAUGUGGUCCUUUUUCUCGUUGGCGAACUUUAUGAUCUGGAACAGCACUUCGUUAAUCGACGCCUCCAAUGCAGCACGCCUUGUGCUGGUCUCCUCCACGGCAUUUGCUAGGAGCAUAUUGCACAAAAUGUUACUGCUACAUUCUAUAUGCUUAUGGUAGCCUCAUGACGUCUGUGAAACUUUAGUUAACAAAAUUACCUUGGAUGUUUGUCAGCCCUUUGGAGCUGUUUGACUUGCUGUAUCUUUUGGGGAACAUGACUUGCAAAUUGAUGAACCAUUGCUCCCAAUAGAUGCGCUCUGUUUUGUUGACAAACCAACCAGGGUGUCUGUGUUUCUCGUCGAAAAAGGAGAGGCAGAUCUGAGAUAUUCAGGGAAGGUAAGCCACUUAUCUUAAUCAGAAGAUAACAUAGUUCAGCAGCAACAGAAGUAAAACGCAGCAUAUGUCUAAUUGUUGUACUUCAGACCUGGCUUCUGCGGUUUGGGUGUUUCUCCACCCAUGCACUGAACUGGUCUAUCUUUUCGUCAACUUCCUUUUCUAGUUCCGGUAGACCACAUUGUACCUAAACACAUCAAAACAUCGAAGUGAGCAGCAGCAAAGACAAUGCAAAUGAAAGGAAGUUAUUAGACUGCAACAAGCAAGGUAAUCAUAUUUGGACAAUGCAUAAUGCAUCUGUCAUCGUGGUUAAGUUGGGAAGUCGUAGAGAGAAAGAAACUUGCUGCAAUUCUUGUUGAAAUAUACAGUGAAGCCUAGACUUAAAAGUAGGCUUUGGAUUUCUAACAUACAUAACAUGAGUUGCUGCCCACAGUACAUAUUUAUCUGCUCAUCACUUGUUUGUUGAUUCUAAAUUUCACAGCUUCCCACAGUACAUAAUAAUCUGCUCAUCACUUGUUUGUUGAUUCUAAAUUUCACAGCUACACAUUAAAAUCAGUUUACCGAAAAGUAAAUCUCAAUUAUACCUGAAAAUGGAUUUGGAUCAUCCAAAAUCCAAAUGGAUUCAACCCGCUUUUGAUUUAAUUGAAUGGAUGUUGUUUAGACCAGGACAUUCAUUGCCAUGAGAUCCAAACAGGAUUGGAUUGGAUUGGAUAGAAGGCUGGAUAUCCAAAUAUCCAUUGGACCUCUCCCCUCCUCCCGGUGCCUCUCCCAUGUGGGCAGCGGCACCUUCACCGUGUGCAUCUCCAGCUUCGAGUGGAUGCUCACGGUGGCCUUCCUCCAGCUGUUCCUGCUACUGCAGUGAUGCCUGCCGCCCUGCCGCCUAAAAAGUGUGUACUGAUAUGCUUCUCCAGCUUGCCGAACCAUGCCUCGAAUGGAGUGUAGCUUGUGUACCAGCAUAGCUUGGCCGUCUCUGCCAUGUCCGGCAUUGAUGCGCUCUGUCUUAAAUCGUCAUUGUCUCAUGGCCCCGGGUGUUGGAUCAUAUGGUACUGGAAGACCACCUGGUUAGGCCGUGCGAGCGGAGGCGUGUAGCAGCUCGUCCAUGACAGCGUGCCACUGCAUCUCUGCUUGUCCCUGGAGAUGUCAAACUCAGUCGGUGAUGCCAGCAAGCUAAAACAGGCUGCUGAGACGGUGGGUACCCUCGAGGACGAAUGUAUUUGGAUGAUUGGAUUGGAUUUGGAUUGAUGAGACACUGGACUAGACUGGAUUUUUCUGUGCAUGACAAUGGUUUGGACUGAAUGUGUGCCUCACUAGUUGGAUUCCUUUUGGACCGGCCUCCACGAGGGCGUCUUCGCAGGUCGUUGUUGUGGCCACUCCCAGGUCUCGGCACUCGCCGGUCUACGCCAUGGGAUCCAGGUAGUUGUACACAUGUCACUCCAGGUCUCCAUCUGUCAUGGGCAUAAUAGGGAGCGAGAGGCAACAGCCAAGCUGGAAUAAGGCUAGAGAAUAAGAUUGAGAUGAGCUGGGAUAAGGUUAGAGAAUAAGAUUGAAAUGAGAGAAUUGUGGAGAGUUGGUUAGCAUCAGAUAAGUCCAAGAAAGUAGGAGUUAGUUGAGAGUUUGUAGGAGAAGUUGGUUAGCCAUAGGGCUAUUUAUAAGCCGCAUGGCAGCAGGGAAUAAAUCAAGCAAGAUCAUUAUCAAACCAAUCUCUCUCUUGCAAUGACCCUCUCAAGCGCCUAGGGCUGCUACCCUAGAACCAAGCCUGCGGCAGAGGGGUAUAACCUCGCCGGAGAAGACAGCUAUCCCCAUGGACCGAAGGUCCAUGACACCUGGUAUCAGCUCCAGGUUAUCCUCACCACCACCAGCCGCCCAUCCCUCACCACCACCAGCCGCCGCGCCAUUUGCCACCGCAACGCCCUCCCACCCGCCCUCUCCAACUCCAGAUGCAUUCACUCGGCUCGAAGAGAAGUGGGAUCAAUUCGUUGUGAUGUUCCACCGCUACAAGGAGAAGACAGAGAAGGAACUCCAAGCAGCGGUGCGGCUUCAGGCGGCAGCGCGAGGGUUCCUGGCACGCCGCCAGGUACAGUCCCUUCGUGGGGAGAAGCACCUUGCUGUGGCCUCCAGGGCCACCCCAUGGCCGUCAUCACAUGAGCAGGCUGUGGUGCGCCUGCAAGCCGCAGUGUGCGGCUUCCUUGUUAGGCGGGCGGUGCAGAAGCUGCACUUGGCACUUGCUGAUCAGCUCAUCGCUGCACCAACUCGCAGCCUGCGCGUCCAACCACUUUUUGAACCCCCUGCAGAAGUCGAGAUCUGGGUAUGCAGCCCCCCUGCACGGCCAAAGAGGGUCGUCUCCCUCAUUCGGGCAACUGCCUUGGUGCUGGACAGACCCAAGGGCUGGUUCCUCCUUCACCUUUCAUCCAGCGUGAAGUCCGCAGUUCAGCUCUUUCCUUGGGAUCCAGGAGGACAGGAGGACAUAGCUGCAGUUCAAAUUUAUAUUUUAGUUCCACAAUUAUUUUGUAUUUUCGUCUUAAAUAAUAAAGGUAAGCCGAGAUGUAAAAGGCUUAACCUUAAGUCGUGUCAGGUAAGUCUAUGGCAGCUUGAGGACGAGCUGGUCCUCAAGGGAGGGGGAGAUGUCAUGGGCAUAAUAGGGAGCGAGAGGCAACAACCAGGCUGGGAUAAGGAUAGAGAAUAAGAUUGAGAUGAGCUGGGAUAAGGUUAGAGAAUAAGAUUGAAAUGAGAGAAUUGUGGAGAGUUAGUUAGCAUCAGAUAAGUCCAAGAAAGUAGGAGAAGUUGGUUAGCCAUAGGGCUAUUUAUAAGCCGCAUGGCAGCAGGGAAUAAAUCAAGCAAGAUCAUUAUCAAACCAAUCUCUCUCUUGCAAUGACCCUCUCAAGCGCCUAGGGCUGCUACCCUAGAACCAAGCCUGCGGCAGAGGGGUAUAACCUCGCCGGAGAAGACAGCUAUCCCCAUGGACCGAAGGUCCAUGACACCAUCGCCAUGGGAACAUCGUCAUUUGCAGCCAUGACCACCACCACAGCUCAAGGACGAGUUGUCUUGAAGAAGUGUAGUGUUAUGGUAUGUGGAGCCGUUAGAAUAAGGAAAGAAUAAGUUAGAUUGAUUUGGCUAGUUGGGACAAGGAAAGAUUUGGUCAGUUAGGAUAAGGGAAGAUUUGGUUAGUUAGGAUAAGGAAAGAGAUAAGUUAGAUUAAUUUGGUUAGGAUAUUUCCUUAGGGGUUAGAUAAGCCUCUCUAUAUAAAAGGAGAGGAGAUGUAUAAAUCUAAUCAAGCAAGAAUUAAGGACAAAUCUUCUCUCUUGCUCGGCCAUGGGCAAGGCCCCGACCGCCCCCCUUGCACUCCCUCAACCAUAGCCACCACCAUAACAGAUGUGGAUGCUAAUCCACUUCCAGGUCUAAUCUCAGUACUAUUAACAGUAAUACUGAACCAUGGCUCAUGGCUACAGUUAGGUGAAGCAUUACAAUGGCAGAACCAGUUAGAUUGGCAAUAAUAAUGAGGAAAGAGGCAUUCUCGACAGUCAUAAUACGUGAAAUGCCAGUAAACACUCUAGUCACAGGUUUGGGUUCCAGACAUGUCCAUAAAUAAUCCAAGGUCACGUCUUCUUGUAACUUACUAAAUUUAGAACACUCAAUUAUUGGCUCUUUGGAAAAUUUAUGCCACUGAUGAAUAUAUUGGCUUUAGAAUCAUAUACUGCAAAUAAGUAGUGGUGAAAAUUGCACUUGGGAGUCUGUGAAAAGCAAAAGUGUCACUAAUUUUCAAAUGGAAGUAGUAAUUUAUAAAUAUAAUAAUUACUUAAAGCACAACACCAUAUGCCUUGGCCAUUGAAACAAACCCAGAUCUUAAUGGAGGGAAAUACUCACAUAAGUAAUAUCGAGGAAAUCACAGUCAACAUCUUUGGGGCGAACCAGGCUGAGGGUUCUAUGGAAAAAUAUGGUGUGCAAAAUACCUGCAGCAUAGUUCAUAUUUACCAUAUCCAUUAGCGGGUGCUAUGUAGUAGAGAACACACGUGAACUCCAGUUUCUUAUUACUAAUAGAAGAACCUGAAGUUAAGAAAGAUAAGGAUCCCCAGAGAAAUCUUAUGAAGUCAUGUAAGUGAUGAGUGCACUUACUAAUACUCAGGGCAAGUAUAAAAUUCAACUAUCUGUAGAGUGGAAGGAGCUCAAGCACAUAGAAGAAGGUUAAGAACUCACAACAGCAAGGACUCUGGAACGAGAUAAGCACAACAAAGCAAUGAACAAUAUACAACAACUGUGUGAUAUAAUAUGAUCUGCUGCAGACUAGCUUCACUAUUAGCCCAAUUUUUAGUUAAGCUUCCACUGCCGUACAUCCAUACAGCAUUUACAUUUCCCCAUGAGCGAAACCAAGGUGAAUCCCACUAGCUAACCACAAUUAUGAUUUCAAAACUGCAACUUGAAAUUACUCUAUUCCAAAAUUUACUGAAACCAUAACAACGAAUAAGCAUGUGAACGAAUACAGUACAGUAUAGCUCCCGUGUCAUGUCAAAUUGUCAAUAGAGAGCAAUUUAUUGAGCCGAACAGAAGCCCCCUUUCAACGAACAUAGAGAGAUGAGAAGAGAUGUGAAAAAACUAAAAUUUAGAGCACUCACAGCGCAGCACAUCCCUGAUCUCCGUCAGUUCCAGCUCCUGCAGCCCAAACAACAAGAAUUCAUAAAAGAUAAAUGAAAAAGAAUUCGUCAGCAUAUGCGACCAGAAAGCAAGCAGAAGAACCCUAGUGAAACCGAGGCAUGGGUUAGGAUCAGUAGCGAACCAGCUCUUUCAGCUGACAGGUCUCGCAGUUCAUCUCCGCUUGCCGCUGCGGUUCGGGGCAGAAGAAUCAAUCAGAACCUGAUGGGUCGGCACUUCCAGUAGUUGGAGUAGGGGGGAGGUCGAGGGUUGUGACUUGGGAGAGUCGAGACAGGAAGUCGAGGAAGCGGGUUUGGGAAAAUUAGAUCUGUACCAUUAAAAGAUCCGAUCUUAGAAAAUUAGCAUCGAAGAGACGAACAUGUGGUUUUAGAAAGAUAUUAUGGAAAGUCGCUUAGAUUUCUACCAUAUGUUAAAUAUAACUGACUGAUCACGAAACAAUGCUAUAAAAUUUCAAAAAUAAGGUUCGUACUUCUCAAGCAGAUGCCGAUACAAAGAGAAGGGGUGGAUAUGGCGUGCACCAGGGAUCAGAGGCUCAAAAAGCUGCAGGCAAGACGGGGGCGAGACGGCGGUGCCAGGGAGGAGAUGGCGAGGAAGAGAAGAAUCCAAGCCGACUCGAUAAGACCAGACCAACCAAUCACCCAUAAUUUCUAUUAUAUAUAUAUAUAUAUAUAUAUAUAUAUAUAUAGUUUAUGUAUUAGAAGCCCUGGGCUUCCAAUAAAACAAGGAAGCCUUGAUCUAAAAGUCUAUUUCGGUUCAGUCCAACCACAACCGGCCAGCCCGACCACAGCUCCACUCCCCAUGUGCGCACAGUUACCCAUCCAUUCAGCUGAACCGUCCCCUAAAAUCUGGGAUAUAUAAUUUUUUGGCCCCAAAACAAACCCUAAUUCUCUCGCAGUCGCAGCGUAGGAGCGUUCACGUUGGCGGCGGCUGUUCGCUUCCUGUUCCCGGCGCCUCCACGAAUCCGCCCCUGCCUUGCCCGCCGGCUCGCUGUCCGGCGCCCCGCAUCCACACCUGAUGGCUGACACAGAUCUGGCCCUGCCUGCAGCGCUCGCACCGUCGCGUGUCCCGUUCUCCUCGCCGUUCGAAACUGGCCCCUGCCUCACCGUGUUGUGGGCACCGGCGGCUCCACGCGGGAUGCGGCCACGCCUGACACCUCCACCUCCACGGCUGAGUGACGGAUGAGCGGCUGGGAGGUCUCCUGCGGAGCGGCUCCACCAGCCGCCUCAACGUGCAGGCGCAAGAGUUCGUGCCGCGCGCUGCCGCGGUGCCCCUCCCCCUCCGCAACAGAAGGUAGUGUGUUUGUUCGCGCCGCCUCCCCACGUGGCGUUCUUCGUCGCAGCACCCUGGCCCCCACUGCGCCGGUUCGAGUACUAUGCGGCGGUUGCCACCGGUAGGGUUGGCAAGUUCGGUCCUCCCACCGCUGCUGCAGAGCAGGAGGCCGAGGCUGAGCAUUUUUAUGCCUCCUUGUCAGGGGAACCUUUUGCAGGUAUCAGAUCUUGGGUAUUUUUCCCUCUUGAAAGAUUCAGAUUCUUACAACCUUUUGCAGGUAUCAGAUCUUGGGUAUUUUUCUGUUGAUUCAGUUGUGUAUUCUUGGAGCUGAAAGACUCGGAAGAAGUAAUAUAUCGGCAAUAGCUAGUUCCAUUAAUCAAAUAUCAUCUGGAAGCUAUCCAUCGACUACAGGUGCUCUCUCUUGUACUUAAUUUUUCUUAUGCUGAAUCUUAGAGUUUACUUGCUAUUAACGUAAUGCAGAUACUUAACUUUUUGUUUCUGUUUUUUGUCCUAGUAAUGUUAAACCAGGUCGGAGCAUCCAUCUUCUAAAUGAAGGUGGAAAUAUAGUCAGUAUCAUCCGCAGUGGUAAAGCUGCAGAUAUAGCUUCUCAUUCAGAGGUAUCUGCUUUGUCAAAUAAAAUUUGAGUACUUGGCUAUAUUUGUAGCACACUACCUUUGGAUAAUUGUAUGAUACUCCAUUAACGAAGCUAGAUUUUUACAUAGGCAAACAGGGUUAUACACCAUGUAGUUCUUUAUGUACACAUGGCAGACCAAUUUGUCUCUGAAACGAGCCAUUAGUCCACAAAUGUUAUAUUUAAAAAUUAUAGAUUAAGUUACUAGUUACAUAGGCUUUCAACCACUACUCUUCAACUAUAUUGGUUUAGUUUACUAUUGCUGUAUUCAUUGUGUAAUGCUUACACUAUACUUAGUGUCUAAUGUUCAGACCUCCAAUGGCAAGAGCAAAUGCACCUUGUGUCUCAGCAUCCGGCAAAAUCCUACUGCCACAACCUGUGGACAUGUUUUCUGCUGGUAAAAGUUGUUUUUUACAAUGAUCAUGUAUUGAGUCUUGACAGAUAUAAAUUUUACACUUGAGCCAUCAACAGUAGUGAUGAACCUGCCAUCCUGGCUUACUUCUGCACUAGUGACAGAAGCCUGCUAAUUUUAGGUCACGUACAUCAAAAGUUUUACAUACGCUCCAGUAAAAAAGCCAUUUAGCAAUUUGGUAAACAACCGUAAAAUGGGUAUACAUGUACUAAAUAACAUAUUGAUCUUGAAUUCAACAAUAGAAACACAAUGCAUGAAUAAUCAGCAAAUAAAUACUUAAUUACUAAUCUUUGUUUACUUUUGGUUUUAGCUUCAUCAUCUUAUGAGAAUUGUUCUGGCAGGAUGUGGAUCUUAACUGGUACCCAAUAAAAUUAGAAAGCAAGAACAAUGAGAUUUACAAUGGUAGCAAAGUGUGUUAUCUUUAUACAUAAACUUCUUAGGAGAUGGAAUCAUGGUGUAAAGCAUUUUGUAUUGCAGCUACUGCUGACAAGGAAACAAAUAAGCCGGCAUGCUAAGCUGAGCGAUAAGUUCCUCAAUUCUUUUUGUCAGUACCUUAAGGAGUCUGUAGUCCUGUUUUUCUUUCAGGGUUCGCUGCAGAUUUAAGGUACACAUUACUUGAUCUAAACCGUGCGGUGCCUUCUUUUGAGUUGUUACGCAACAAAUGGUCCAGUUUUACGAUGCGUUUUAUGUUAAAAAAUGACUACGCGACAUGCAAGGAAACUAACGAUAAACGUAUGUGAUUUUCACGCCGUAAUUGUGCCAUAUUCGUCAUUACGAAACAGAUUGACGAUUUACGCAAAAUUUAUACUCAUUUACACUGUUUUGGUUCACGAUUUACUCUUAAAUCCGCUCGAGCCAGAACCCGCACACAAUUUUUACGCCGUAAUUUGUCCCCAUUUGCCGUUACGAAAUCAAUCGAUGAUUUACACUGAAAUUCGUACUCAUUUACGCUGUUUUGGUUCACGUUUUAUGCCGAAAUCCGCCCGAGACAGCGUCUGUGGCGAUUUUCACGCCGUAAUUCGGGACCCAUUUAUCGUUACGAAACAAAUCGAUGAUUUACGCUAAAAUUUGUACUCAUUUACGCUGUUUUGGUUCACGUUUUACGCUAAAAUCCACCCGAGCCAGAACCCGCGCACGAUCGGGUGCACACGAUUUUUACGCCGUAAUUUUGGGCUCUGUUUGCUGUUACAAAACAGAUAUAGGAUUUACGCUAAAUUUCGUACUCAUUUACGCUGUUUUAGCUCACGUUUUACGCUGGAAUCCGCCCGAGCCAGAAUUCGCGCACGAUCGGCUGCAUGCGAUUUUUACGCCGUAAUUUUAGGCCUCGUUUGCUGUUACAAAACAGAUAUAAGAUUUACGCUAAAUUUCGUACUCAUUUACGCUGUUUUAGCUCACGUUUUACGCUGCAAUCCGCCCGAGCCAGAACCAGAACCAGAUCGAGCGCGCGUAGAUAUACCUGACUGGGGCUUCCCAUACUAAUGGAAGCCCAGGGCUCCCAUUACCAUCAGCAUAUAUAUAUAUAUAUAUAUAUAUAUAUAUAUAUAUAUAUAUAUAUAUAUAUAUAUAUAUAUAUAUAUAUAUAUACGGCGGCACUAAAAUGCACCCAUGUGUAUUUUAGUUUGUGGAUGCACAGACCCCAAGACUCCUUGUCCGACCAGAGCACCUAACACCCCGAGCACGCCUCCCCAUAAGAGCACGCCCUCGGCCCUCCUGUACGCGCGCCUCGCUGCCCCCCGCCGCCACCGCGCCUCCCUGUCCCCGCGCGUUGCAACUAAUGAUUGCAAUUGCGUGGUUUGUUGAUUUUCUGUUGCGACGUUUGUUGCUUGUUGAUUGCAACUAGGGGUAUCCUCUAAUUGCAAACUUGAGUCUCUGUUUUUACUCCUUGAUUACCAUUGCAUGGUGUGUUGUUACUCCAGUUGCAACGUUUGUUGCUUGUUGAUUGCAACUAGGGGUAUCCGCUAAUUGCAAACUUGAGUCUCUGUUGUUGCUACAGUUGCAACGUUUGUUGCUUGUUGAUUGCAACUAGGGGUAUCCUCCAAUUGCAAACUUGAGUCUCUGUUUUUACUCCUUGAUUACCAUUGCACCACCGGCGUUUGUUCAAUAUUGGUUGCAACUAAUGAUUGCAACUGCAUGGUUUGUUGAUUUUCUGUUGCGACGUUUGUUGCUUGUUGAUUGCAACUAGGGGUAUCCUCUAAUUGCAAACUUGAGUCUCUGUUUUUACUCCUUGAUUACCAUUGCAUGGUGUGUUAUUACUCCAGUUGCAACGUUUGUUGCUUGUUGAUUGCAACUAUGGGUAUCCGCUAAUUGCAAACUUGAGUCUCUGUUGGUGCUCCAGUUGCAACGUUUGUUGCUUGUUGAUUGCAACUAGGGGUAUCCUCUAAUUGCAAACUUGAAUCUGAAGUGAAAAGGUUCUGUCGGGAGCGUGCGGGAGGGACGAAGACAAAGCGUCGGUUCGGCCUGGGUGGGGCGGUUGGCUCGGACCAGGUGCUCCUGGCGCGUAGGUUCGGCCUGGGUAUGUUCUCUAUAUUGAAUGCACCCAGGUGUAAUAUAUAAAUACAGUAUAUAUAUAGGGUUUAGGGUCAAAUGGAAGUCAUGAACUUGAAUGCAUGACACCAGAGUACUAGACAUGAUGUUGUUCUAUGACUCAAAAACAAUUAAAUGCGGGACACUAGAAGAUUGUUGUGCUAAUCAAGCAUAUCAUCAGCUAGUUCAAACCUACCUCCAUCUCUAGUUGGAUCUUUAGUGGAUGCAGCAGAAAGUUCUUCUCCUCCUUGUUCUUGCAUUUCUUCAUUAGAAUCAGCUUCACCAGAUUGUGGAGGAAGAGGAACAGCAUGCUUCCUAAUUCUAGAGUAUGUUUGGUCAAUAGCUCUAGGGAGAUUUGCACCAGCCCCCAAAGAGAAUUUUAUCAACAGCAAUUAGUCGAUUGAACUCCUAAUCGGACGACUAAUCACCGUUUAAUCGUAAUUAGUCGGACGAUCAGAGUUCUAGUCGCCCUAGUCGCAUCAUACACCCUAAUCGAGCUUGCAAUGGCGAUAAGGCCGACUAAUCGCGAUUAGUCAUACAACUUUAAAACAUGGGGUACCACGUAACACAAUCGCUUAGAGAUCCUUAUUGACACUCAAACAAAAGAUAGAGGCAGUGUAUGCUACCAUUGGCAUGACCACACUACAUUAUACAUCAAGGAAAUCUACAUGAUAAUCUAAAUAAAACAAUAAAACUGAAAAAAGGAAAUGGAAGCAUCAAAUCUGUCUAAUGAACAUUUGUACACCAGUAUAGAAAAAAAAUACAUCUCACAUUCCAUAUAGGAAUGACAUGAGCAGUGUUUUUAAGUCGUUCGACUAAUCGCGAUUAGUCAGCCGUAUCGGUUUUUUAGCAUCAGUAUACAUUUCGACACGACUUGGUCGACUUAAUAACGAGUCAUCUGACUAAUCGUCUAAUUCAAACGAUUAGUCGCGGUUUUAUGUCAUGGACGACUUAAAUAAAAAAGGUUUGGGUUUCAUCUCUCAGCCCGUCAACCAGCCCAUUAGGUCUUAGGGUUCCAAAAACAGACUGGUCCACUUCCAAUCCACUAUUCUCCAACCUUCUCUCCUGCCCCUCCACUCCCAGCCGCCAGAAACAGGAGUCGUUCGUCUCAUCGUCAAUUGUCAAUCUCACUUGUGCUCGGUGGUGCUCCACGAGAUCACCUCUCCCUUCGCCUCCUGCAUCAACUGUCGGCAGCCACCAGCCACAUCGUCCUCCAGCUCCGGUAAUCCCUGUGAGGCUUUGACCCUGUCUAUUAUUUCCCUUCUAAAUCUGCUCUGCUCCGCUCCGGUACUGUGCUUGAAUGCUUGCCGUGUGGCUGAGAUUAUGUUACAUCGAUUGCUAUGUUAGUGUACUUGGACAAGUCACUUUCUUCAUUAUAAUCAGUUUUUUUGUGCAAUCAGUAUUUUUUCAUACAAAAACAUGGCAAGUCGUCUUAUAUCGGUUUUUUAGGGUCUAGACGAUUUAGCCAAUUAGUCGGACGACUUACUAUCGAUUAGUCGUCCGAGUUGCCCGAUAAGUCAGCUGAAUCGACUUAUCGGUGCUCUAGCGACUCAAACCAUCUCAAUGACUUAACAUUGGACAUGAGUAAAAAGUGGAAUAAGUCUACUCCCAAAGGGGAUAGCAGUGAACUUGGCAUGUGACAUGGGAUUCCAUUGAACCCCCAAUAUGUCUAAAACAAAUCUUCACCUGUCGUGGUUCCAAGGCCUAUGGGAUCAAUUUAGACAAAUUUCACACGCACUUACAAAUUGGCAACUAACAAAGUUCAGCAUGUCCAAGCACGUUUUGGUUGGUUCAUUCAUUUCUCACAAUGAUUUGAGGAAAAUUUAAGGCAAAUAAAACAUUAGCCGGGAAGCCUUAUUCUUCUUAAUUUGUUAAAAUUUAAGGCACAAAAACCUCUUAUUCCUUCUCUUAUCUCAGCUUGAUUGAUCACUGUCUCCUCAGCACAAAAUUAAAAUCCAAAUUUCACAUGUAAAAUACAGUGGAUCAAUACGAGUUUCUAAUACUUGGGCUAUGGAAUGCUUCCUCUCAGCAGAUGACACAAUAAAGGACGUGGGUGUACAAACCCAGUAUUUUUUGCCAAAAAAAUCGAAGUUAGUAGGCACUAUAUAUAUAAGCUUGAAAUUAGAUCAUGCAAGUAGCUAAAUAGGUUAGGGUUCGGGAACUCGGUUUCGCACAACAGAAAGGGAAGGGGAGGGGUGCCCAUACUUUCUCGUCGCCGGCGAAGGGUUCGUUGAAGGCCUCGUGAUGGGACUGAGGAACGGCUUGGCACCUGGCGUAGGUCGGCGGCGGUCGCCCGGUUGUCGCCGCGGGGGCGCGCGCGCACGGCGGGGUGAACGGGAGAAGAUAAGGCAAGCGUGUAGGCACAGCCAGACUGCUUUAGUUUAGGCUCUCGGUUCUACUCGUUAAGCUAAUAAGAUAAACUUAGCUUAAUUCAUUUACGAGCUUAAUGGGGUGUUUGGUUACACCCCGCUAAAGUUUAGUCCUGUCCCAUCGAAUGUUUGAACCUCCGUUCCGGGUAUUAAAUGUAGUCGGAUUAUAAAACUAAUUUGUCAGCCGAAGAUUAAAAGACGAGACAAAUUUAGUCUAAUUGGUUGGAUCUAUAUUUCAUACUCCUAUUUAAAAGUCAAACGCUUGAUGUGACCCGGACUAAACUUUAGCAGGAGCAACCAAACACCCCCUGCUUAAGCUGACUCAUUUAGUUCACGAGUCAAAUUAAAAAAUAACAUAUAUAAUAAUCAGUUUUAAAUUAAUUUCAAACUAAUUUAAUAAUAAAAAAUAAUAAUUAUACUGAUACUUUCAUAGAUCACAUCAAUAUAACGUUAAAUUAAUAUAACUCAUUACUCAUCAAUUCAUACAUAUUCAUCAAUAGGUCAGUGUCCGUGCGUUGCAACGGGGACCUAUAAUAUCUCGAUAAUUUAUAUAUACAAAUGUGUUAUGCAGUUAUGAGAUAAAGGAUGACAUUCGCGAGCUGUCCGGGAUGACAUCGAAGAGAAAUUCGGGUCUGUGAUGUACGGACACUCACCUAGUAGUGUAUUAUAUAAGAUAGGUUAGUGCCCGUGCAUUGCACCUAGUUGUGAAUGAACUGGAACUGAGUGAAAAAAUAAAAAGAAAAAUGAUAUCCAAUUAAAUUGUCUAUACUGCAUGUUUUAGUCAUCGCCUAAUUAAGCAUCCACUUGAAGCCAAUAGCAGUAGUGCACUCAUUCUUGGAAUCACCUCCUCUCCUCAGCAGCUGAUACACACACAAAGAAUUUGGCUAGGGCUGAAUCACCCAUCUACCAGUUAGCACGGUCGCUCGUACUACGAGAGCAAUGCCGAGGGGUAUGUCAAUGAAGUAGUAGCAUUCGACGUUGAUGUAGGCACUUGCCACCUGCGGCCAACGCCCACUCCAUCAGCCGUUGUCAAGUGAGCAAAAAGCUCAGUACCAGUAGUAGUGGGAAGAACACAACAAAUGCAUUACUGAAGGCGGAUAAGUCUGUUCUCCAGUGAACUAACUUAUGUAAAAACUGUAGUGACACUUGGAUUAGACCUAUGACCUAUGGUUUAAUAGUAUCAUUUUAGUUAAAUACAUAGCGCUAUUUCCCCAAGUUUAUGAAAAGGAGAUUAGUAGAUUACUGGUUUACUGAUCUUCCCAUUUCUCUUAACCUCUUAAUACCUUAGCAUUAGCCGCACAUCAGUUAGUGAAAAUGUACAUGAAUUAAAGAAAAGAAUUCCAACCUCAAAUAUCCCAACAGCAAGGCAAACACAAUGAUCGUCUUCGCCAAAAGCAGGACACUCGUUCGACCAUCAUCCGUGACAUAGUUAUCCGCAAUAACUCUAAACGCACUCUCUUGAAGUUCAAUGAAAAAAAAUCAAAUAGAGCAGUAUAUCUGUAACCAAAAAAGGUAGCAGCCCUAAGCAAUUAUAAGAACCAAAAGGCUACAGAUACAUGCUUCAGUAAUUCUUUGCUUUAGAUGAUAAAUCUGAGCCCCCAGCACCCCGCAGGGCUACCAACAACAUAUUAUAAGUAUAAUUGCAGCUACAAAAAAUUUAAAAAUAAACUGAAUAGCAGUAGUCACAUAACUAAAUAAGCAAUCAGGUUUGCACCCCUGAAGUUAACAACUCAACACAAACACAAUAACCAAAUAACUAAUGAAGCACUACCAGGCAAGCGUUACACAAAGGAGCUCCAACCUAACAGCUCAACUAAAACCUACGGUACAACAAGGACUCACUCAGGAGCGCACAGAAGUCCAGUUUAAACUAAAGAUGCACAUCCCCUAGUCUUCACUCCUUGGAUGACUUGUUGAUCAGGGACUUGUGAAUGUGCGGUAUGACACCUCCGCCUGCGAUGGUGCUCUUGGUGAGAGUGUCCAGCUCCUCGUCUCCAUGAAUAGCUAGCUGCAAAUGGCGAGGGGUGAUACGCUUCACCUUCAGAUCCUUGCUAGCAUUCCCAGCCAGCUCCAGAACCUCGGUAGUCAAGUACUCUAGGAUGGCAGCUGAGUAGACGGCUGCGGUGGCACCAACACGACCAUUUGCCUGAGUCCUUUGCUUCAGCUGACGGUGGAUACGUCCAACAGGGAACUGAAAGCACAUCAGUGAAUAUUUGGCCCUCUCCACUUUGAUGGACUCCAGCAUGCUCCCCAGAUCCUCGGAUGCGAGGCUGUCCUCCAGGGCAUGCUGUCCAGCUGGCUCUUCCCUGCCAUCCCACUCCUGCAGCAGCCCUCCUACCUCCGUCAGCGAGAUCUCGUCUUCCAGUACGACUCUGGCAAAUAUUUGGUUCGAUACUAAACGUAUUAGGUGAAACCAUUUGAGGACAACCAAAUUUAUAAGCAGGAAAGCAAGUAGAGAAUAAAACAUCCCAAAUACGUACGUGGAACAAGAGCAUGCACCAUUGUUGAUGACAAAAUCCUUACCGACACCAUUGGUUACCUGCAGGGCCAUAUGAGCAAAAAUGAGAGUGCACAUACUGAAUAUACUGAAACAAAAAAGAAAGAAUAGGACAAUAAAAUACCAAGAUAAGCGAUAUGUGCACCCACGUUGUACAUAGGAAGCAUGAAAAUGGAACCACAAGUGGCUACAAUAUGUAGGAAGGAUCAGGAACAGAAGAAAUAGCACACGCCUAAAAAAAUUUUGAUCUUCCAAACAGACAUAGCUUCACGAAGAACAAAAACAAUUGGAGCUAAAAGCUGAAGUGACACAUGAUAAUUUGAGCAUUAAAGCAUUCAAUAGACUCACAACCACGAUGAAAAUGGGUUCAACAUAUGGCCGUUUUUUCUCAGUCCACUGAACCAAAUUCUGCUCGUGGCGAAAGGAAUCAUGAUUUUCUGACCACUCUUCCAAAUCUUUUGCUGUGCACAUGAAGUACCUACAAAAUAAUUGCAGCCUUCUAAGGUACUUGAAGGAUAAAAAAAUCUUAAAUAAAAAGAUAAAUAAGAUACAAAUGAACAAAACAUCAUGUGUGUGGAACCGCAGAUGUAAUAUGAAAACCAGGAAAAUUACAAAAUAUUCAAUGUCGCUCGUUCUACUGGUAAGACACAAAUGGAUUUAUUAAGCAUGGCAUGGUUCAUUAGACACCAAGCUGGACACAAGAAAACCGAGAAGGGACUAUCACAGAACUUUUGCACGGGUUUGAUCAGUCUCAACCAAGUUUACUAUCUAUGUUUAUUGGUUAAAUUGAACUAAAAUUGCCACACAUGUUAUGUACAGAUUCACGGAUCAAUCACAUUGAAAUUGACAUUUCAUUGUCGUCUCUAGUAUAAUGACACCGACACAUACUUGUGGAUCACCUAUGUCACUGUCCGGUCGAGGCGCUGAUGGCUUCUGUGGAGCAGAUGAUUUGGUCGAAUUUACUGCUCACAACCAUAGUAUUUCAGCCCACCGUUACCAGGUGGAGGCAGCACCUGCCACAAUUCGAAAUUCCUCUCCGUUUGCUGCCCAAGAAACAUGUAAAAACAACGGAUAUACAUUACAAUGAGACAGCAACCAGACAAAUCUGAAAAAAAACAAAUAUUCAUUACUUACAGAUGGGUCAGUUGAGAUCUAAACCUUUGUACCAUCGACCUGUUCCCAUCUUCUAUUCUGUCUUUGCCAUAUGUAAGCAGUGAUUAGUUGUUAUAACUGAAAGAUACCCGUGAAGAAUAUAUAGUUGUUACAACACAAAAGAAGAUGGUCCUGCACACAGUUUGCAACCUAUCAAAAAAUACAAACUGACAGUCUAAUAAAUACCUAACACUUGAGUUCAUUAUGAUAACUAUAGUUGUUUGACAUAGAAAUGCUUUCUAGCGCAAUAUGAAAUUGAAUGAACAAAAAAUUGAUGUAUACUUUAAUUUGUUAAAUACCUUUAUUGAGGGAAUUUCUAUUGGAUCUUCUGUAACUGGUACUUCUAUCCUAAACACAAGAUAAUCUGACAAACUAAUAGAGUUUCUUAAGGGAAUGUACCUUUCAACAAGACCUUCGGCUCUAACCACUUUCAUGUUUCAUUUCAUUAAGGUGGUCCUUCUGUUGCAUGAUAGAACUGCAACAGAACUUGAUACGGUUUUAUGCAAGGCAUCCAUCUGAUGGGUCAGUUGAGAUCUAAACCUUUGUACCAUCGACCUGUUCCCAUCUUCUAUUCUGUCUUUGCCAUCUGUAAGCAGUGAGGAAUAGUACCCACUGAAGUUAGACCAUAUCUAGUAACAGUCACAGAAAAAGAGUGAUCCAGUUAAGAUCAUUGAUAUUAAAAAAUAGUUAAGAUCCCUAACCUAUUUUGGAGGAUAAAGAAACAUCUGCUAGUGCAUUUUCUAAGACUUUAAAACCACAUGACUCAUACUGGAAGGAUACUUGAGCCUUUCACCCAACUCUGCACUCAGCUGUUAUUCACCAUCAUAAAGAUCUUUUAGUUUAACAAAUUGAUGAUAACAGGUUUCACAAAAAAACAUCUUAGCUGUUAAUAAUAACAUCAUUUUUUCAAUUACUCAAGACAAGUAACCUUAUACCUAGCCUCCAGAUCAACUCCCAGUUGUUCAAGCCAUAGCUUAAGUGACAGAUAAUUUGAACAUGAUGAGAUAAUGAUACACAAAAUAAAACAUAUUUGCUAAGACUGUAAAAGCACAUGACUUAGACUGGAAGGAUACCUGAGUGGCUGAGUCUUUCCAAGCUCUUCACCCAACUCUACACUCAGAGGUUGUUCACCAUCAUAAAGCUCUUUUAAUUUAAUCAAUCGUUGAUCACAGGUUUGGCAAAAAAUAUUUUAGCCAUUAAUGGCAGCAUCAUUUUUUUCAAAUGCUUAAGACGACUAACCUUAUCCCUUGCCAGUAGUGAGGUAUGAGCAUUGAGCGAACUAGCACCGACCUAAGAAUCUGAAAAGUCAUGAAUAGCACAUUAAGUAGAAUUGAGAGGAUGAGUCCCAACUUUAUAGAUCAUUAUGGAAGCAAAAUAUACUAAGACACGCAAAUUCUAUUGAACCAAAAUCUACUGAAGUAAUCCUGCACAACGCAAAGGUGAAUGGACCAUAGGGUGUGUCACAUAGAAAAAGGGCUGAAGCGAGCAAGAAACUAAGAUGAAGGGUGGGGCAAGAAAUUGGGACGACAACAGUCUAGGGAUGAAAUGAAGCUGCCCUUUGUAAUCACGUAGAAGGGAUUGGGCCACCACACCGGAAUGAGAAAUCUAGCAGAAGCGAUAAAAUGAAGCAUUAUGAGAAAGGACUUAAAGUGGGAUUCAAGAGGAGCGAAGGAUGUAGAGAGAAGAACCUUACCUUUCGCCUUGCACGAGAUGAGACUGAGCAGCGUAAAGAGCAGAUGCUUCUUUUGUAGGCGUAGCUUGCUUGCGCCUACAAAAGAAAAGGAAUUGUCAGAAAAACGGAGGAAAUAUAAAAUCUAUGACGACACCCAGUGUACAUCAGUGACAAAGAUAGAGCAAACUGGACAGAGAUAUGCUUACCUUGUGGGAGCAUAAACUUGUGUUACAAGGGGUGAAUAUAUAGGGAAUAAUCACUAUUUUACAAUUUUGAGCCCCUUAUAUAUGUGCAUAGUAGUGGCCUCGUUUCAUAAUAAAAAAUGGGUGCACCUAUAUUGUUGAAACAUUACCCUAAUUCCCCCACGUUAUACUGUUACCACUAUUGUCAACUUACCAAAGAGCAACAUUGUCAACUGAAACAUCAUACUAUCAUAAGUUUGUCUAGAUCAGGAACUUAAUAAGAUGCAGAGCAAACAUAAUAAGCAACCGACAACUUUAUGCACAAAAUGUGUUAUUUUGUUUGUCAAUGUUUAGUGAUGAAAACUGCAAACUACUACAUCCGUUCAUAAAUAUGACACUGUUGACUUUUUUUUGAAACCUUUGACCACUCUUAUUCAAAAUAUUUAUUCAAAAAUGUAAAAUUUUAAGUCAACCACAGACUACCUUAAGUGAUAAAACAAAAUACAACAAAAUAAAUUAUAACUCAUUAUUUUUUGAAUAAGACGAGUGGACAAAUAUUUCAAAAAAGUCAAUGGUGUCAUAUAUUUAUGAACGGGAGUAUCAUACAAAGAUACCAAUGCGAUAAUUCUGUUGUCACAAGCUUGAUUUCAGAAGGAAAAUAGUACCAGCCACAUCCCAUUCAAGAUCGAAUACAGAAUUUAUAAGCAUUUAAACUCAAAUAAUACUGAUAGUCAAUUAUGCCAAGACCUUCUACGGACAAUGGAAAAUCAAAAUAGUAUUAUAAAUAAAGAAUUCUUCAAUAAUACCAUUAUGAAUAUGAACUAACCAGUUGUCUUCGGACCAUUUACAUCCUUCAGUAUCCAUAAGCUGAAUGCAUGUCUUGACGCUGGAGAAAGGUUCUCAAAACUGUACACAAAAAGUCAUAACACUAUUAAUUUGAAACAAUACAUCUCAAGUAGGAAGAAUUAGCAAUAUAAAGGAGAAUCACCUCUGAUGUAUAAGAUCUCCAUGUAUAACCACCAAAGCACCAGAUUUUACUUCCAGCGGUACAAAUUCUUUCUGAUCAUAGACUGGGGAGGGCCGAUCAAAAUGUGUACCAUUUUCAUCUCUGACCAUACGUCUCACCAAACUCUCUAAUACAAAACACAAAAGUUAAAAAUUAAACUUAGACAGUCCUGCCUUUCAAGACGUUCUUAGGCAUAAAGUAAUUGUGUUAAAAAUACUUUUAUGUGAUCCUGGAAUUGCCCACAGGCAACCAUUGUUGAUUGUUGCAUCUUCAAGUGCAAGCCACAACCCUGUGCAUGUACGAGGUUCCGUGUAAAGGAAUGUAUUAUCCUGGUGCGGCACGACCUCACCACCAAUACCUGGUUGCUAUCAAAAAGAAGAAGAAGAAACUAAGAAUUUAAGAAAUAACAUAUAAUGCUAGCAAAAAUAGAGUCCAAACAAUCUACCUUAAAUAUGUACAUAGAUUGAAUGACUGCAGGCCUCUUGUAGCCUAAAGAAGAGAACAAGCUUGCAACACUCUCUGAGAAAGAAAACUUUUUGAACACCGGAUCAAGUUCAUGUAAUGCUGCAUAUCAGGAAAGAUGGCGAAGGUAAGAUACAUCAAGCCCUGUUGUUCAGGACUUCAGGAUAUGCUGGACAGUGGACACCAUUGUUUCUUAAACAGCUUACAUAAUACAUUCACAACAUGGAAGAUAAUAUACACUAUAAAGCAGAAGCAAGCAAACAGGAGCGGUCUAUCUAAAAAAUGAUGGGGGUUAUAACAUAACACCACUAUAGAAAACAAAUUGAAUCAUAAAUAUUUAAGAUAAAACGUGAGAAGAUUCGCGCUCGUACCGUGAUGUCAGGAUAAAAUUUUGGUUAUGGCAUUUAAAAGCCUUCAGGAGCAGGAGUCAGUGCAGUGAGGUAAUCGUACCGUGAUGUCAGUUGUCACACUAUCCGAUGCUCCUUCAAAUAAUCUCCACAGAGGUAUGCGAAUGCUAUUAGCAACGCAUCAAUCAGCGCCAUCUCCACUCCUGCUCUGGCCUUAAAUGGAAAAGGAUACAAUCAAAUACAAUCAUAGGACUAAUCAUUAAUAAGUCUAAACAGAAAUAAAGCAAUUGAAUGGCCAUCAAUAAAAAUGAGAAUCAAUGAGAAACUAUGUCAGUUCCUUAUGUCUGCAUCUCAUCAAUUUCCAAGGGAAAAAACUGGAACGCCUCCAUAUGUGCUAGUAUAUGUUAAAGGAGCCCUGUAAGCAGCAAGGAAAACAUGUAGGCAGGUUAUGAACUUAAGAAUAAUAACAAAUUGACACUGCUAAUUCUGUACAGAAUCAUGAGUUUUUGACUUACAAUAGUGAGAAGUGGCUGGCACAUCGAAAAAAUGGUUGAUGCUGAUUAGUAUUUUGAUCCCCUACACCAACCACCUAACAGAAGUGAGAUGGUAAUAUAUUAACACCAUGACACAAAACUUACAGCUAUUACUUCCUAUGAUACCCAUUUCCCAUUCACAACAAAUUGACAAAUCAGAUAGUUCAGAACAAACACAGAUCAGAACUAUGACCAUUCUUAUUUUGUUUUGACCUGGGUUGACCGUUCCGUUAGCAAUUGAGACGAUUUGAACAAAGAAAACGACAACCUCAUCACUGCCCCCUUUCUGAAUUAGAGAUGUUAAUAGCAAUCGUUCCUGCAAUUAGCAAUAGCUAAGGCGUCCUUACUGAAUUAGCGUGUUGGGGAUAUCAACCCGCACAAACUCCUCAGGGUCUGAAUUAACGAGAUCCGAUAUCAAACCACCGGAAUAACCUCAUCAUGGCCCGAAUUAACGUGUUCCAAAGUUAAACCACCACAAUAACCCAGACAGAGAACAAACUAAAACGUCAAAGCCCUAAUGCAAGCAUCACACUGCAAGUCAAUCGUCCGAGAAAAAAACACACCCUUAAUUGGUAAACCCUGAGGAUUCAAGCCUUCAAGCCCAAGCGUACUCCUACCUCGCAAGCUUUCGCCUCCAGCGGGACCUAGAAAUUGAAGAGUCCAAACCAACCCAUCAAAAGGUAAUGAAUCUUACCGGAACGGAGUCGGGUGGCCUCUGCCCCACGUUGCCAUCCUGCUCCGCCAUGGAAUAGAGAGGGAUGUGGGCGCCAGUUACGGUUUCGAGAAUGAAGUAGGGUCGGGGCUCACCGCGGAUGUCGAGCAGCUGCACAACAUGCCGAACGAUGGCGUCAUGUGGCGGGUUGCACCUGUAGUGGUCAUCGUAGAAGGCGCAGGCCACCAGCCUCACCAGUCUGUCAAAAAACCAACCCACCCGAUCCCGCACGGAGGUCAAAAAAACGGCGGCGACCAAGCUUUCGAGAAUGAAGUAGGGUCGGGGCUCACCGCAGCCGCCGUCGUGCUAGGAGGAGAGCAUGGAAGCCCUGACGGCGAGUGUGGCGGUCUCCUUGCACCGCAGGCCCGCGAUAGCGUCACUGCGAACGAGAUUCGUGCGAGCGGGACGAUGGAGGAAGGAGGGCGAGGCCGUUGAUUGGGCGACGACUGUCACGGCGGGGCAUCGCGUGCGGGACUGGGGAGGAGGGGGCGGUGGGGGCGGUGGGGCGAGAGCAUGGAAGCAGACGUGGGAUGGAUACAGAGGCUGGGGCGGGGGGCGGGCGGACUGUGGGCAUGGCCGGGGAGGCGAGGCGAGGUGUGGGUGGCCGAUUGACUCACGGAUCUGCCAGAGCGCCCACGGCGGGGCAUCGUGGCGCACGCCUGGCCCGCGGCGGUGACGGAGGGCAGCACGGGCGCCUCGCCCUAGCCAACGGCGACGUUGGAGAGCGCGGCUAGGCGCGAGGACGCGAUGGUGAAGGGCGCAACGAGCGGGAUGCGGAGCGAGCGCGCGCCGGCCGCCGACAUGUCCACGGAGAAGGUCUCCUUGAGCGCGUCGAAGCCAAACGAGCCCAUGGGGGAGGGCGGGGACGUGGACGGCGAGACGGCGCAGAGGCGGGUGGUGGCGAUGGCGGGCUGUUGGCGGUGGAUGUGGAUCGACCUCGUGGGCGCCGCCGCCGAUGGGUGAGCGGGGCGGUGCAUGCACGGCGAUGGGUGGAGGCGGGGUGGUUGCCAAAGGCAGGGACGGCUGGGACGGGGGAGGGGGCGGGGGCGGGGAGGAGCACGGUCGGAUCGCCCUGGAUGAAGCGAACGGUCCAGAUUCACCGACGGCAGAACGAGAAAAGGCAGGCUACCCUUAGAGCCUUAAUAAGUAGUAUAGAUACCAAACAGAGAUUAGUAUCUCCCAAGUUUUGCUUGCGGUCCAGAAUUGGCUGGCAGUGACCACCUCGAGGAUGGUGUCAGUUUCGAACUCCUUCCUCCAUUUCAGCAUCUCCGACCACAUCAGCAUUGCCUUAUCGGCUUUGAACUUCCUGGCCUUGAGGAACCUGAACCAAACCACGCGUUUCAAGCACUGGCAUAGUGGCAUUCAAUGAACCGCGUCCAAAUGCAGCGCAGGCAAGGAAACAGAGGGGUGGGCUUUAAUGUGACCUGAGCAUCAUGUGGUAGUCACCGUGCUUGUCGGGGAGGAGGCUGUGCGCGGCGAGGCGGUCCCGGAAGGAGGCGACGGUGCGCUCCCCCUGCCACCAGUACAAGAUUCAUAUUCCUCCAAUGAAUGUGGAUUCAGAGGAAGGCAUAAUUCCUUGUCAACAAAAAGGGGUUCUAUCGUCCAGCAACCCUCAAACUUCCUCAUAAAGCCAUCUCGCUCUUGCCUAAACUUUACCUGCAGAAGGUAUUGCAUGGAUCAAAAUAUCAGGCAAAGUAUUGCAUUUGCUAACCAAAGGAUAAUGUCAGUGUUUCAGUUUUUUACAGUGUGUUUUUUUUCUGUUCUGAUCAACAAAAACAUGAACAGAAAAGGUGCCAGACCACCAGAAGAACUUCUAGAUUGCUGUCUUCUCCACUUCAAUAUCAAUAUUAAUAUAUAAGGAAAAAAAGAUGGACUUCCAUAUAAACUGGCAUCAUAAACAUAUAAAAAAGAAGAUUGCAUUUCUAAGUGAUUUUGACCUUUGAUCAACUUGUCCGGGCUAUUGGACAAUACAAAGAAUUCAUUACUCCAAGAAUGAACACUUCUAGAUAUGUUAACUUUGUCAGCAAUGCCUUUAUCAACCUCAAUGAAUACUCUGCUGGAUUUAGAAACAAGGCAUUUCCCUGAUAACUUUCUGUUGAAAAGAUGUCUCAUGGACCAGUUGGGCUGAAGUUGACCAUGAUUGGAAUGUAGCUGUUCACCAUGUACAUUAUUUGGUUGCAGCACAACAGUCAGAGUUUGAUCAAGAAUAAUACCAAGUGACUGGGAGGAUCUCAGUUUCAGUUUUUGUGAAUGGUAAUAUCCUUUGUAAAUUGAAGGCCUGUACAGCAAAGAAGUUAUCCUAGCUUUGUCACGACAUGGAAGAAGUUUCAACCAAGGUGUCAGAUUCUCAGUGCAUACUGCUUCACGAGGCAAUGCACCAUAUCGCAAAUUGCCUUCGUUCAGUUUGAAGCCCCAGCGAGGAGCAGAAACUGCAGUGGAAGACUCCAAAAAGUUGAUGGAUGCACAAAAUAGGCCAGAGAGUGUUAUGUGUCAGGUUCUUCCAUGUUGCAUCGAUCUCAGACAAAGGAAGAUCAAAAACUGCCCACAGCUCAACACCAGGAGGCUUUGCAUUAUUAGUUGACAUAGGAUCAAAUCCACCCCACUGUUCAUAGUUCCAUCUUCCCUGGGUGAAAGAUAGCUCCAACUCGCUAAUAUGAUAUUUCUUAACCUGAUAUUGACAAAGCAGAAUAAUGUUAAUAGGGGUUCUCACUUCUCAGUCAUUCAUAAAAUAUGGCAGCAUAUAAGAAAUGGAGGGCCCCUUUCUUCAGUGCCCAGGCUGUUGUGACUUAAAGGUAUAAACAAGGGACAGUUUAUUAUAUGUAAACCUAAUAGGCAACAAAAGAAUACAGAGUAAAUUUCUCAAAGCCACCAACAUUUGGGGUUAAUGCCUAAUAGGCACAAACCCACAAACUACUGUGCCCAUUUCAGAGAACCCCCAAUGCUCAGGGUCAUUGACUUGUUGUCUUACAAACCCAACAACCACUGUGACCAUUUCUAAUUAAAAUGGGCUUGAGCCUUUGUUCAGAUUGCAAAACCUAAAUUUCACAGCGGUUCCACAGCACCUAGAUUCAACUUUGGGUAAAAACAAAUCAGCACUUGAGACAACUUGAUAGACAUCAUUCGGUGGGAAAAUGAAACAAAUGCAAAGCAAAGAUCUCCCAUCUUAACACACCUAUGUACAUGUGCCAAAAAUAAAAUCUUUGCAACAGUGCAGUUGCUUGUCUCAUUGUCCCAGUGGAGUACCCACAGACAGAUCAAACGUGUUAUUGAUCUACAAACACAACUAUCUAGUUACAUGCUAGUCCAGGCUAAUGUACCAGUAUGAACGGCGAAUUAAAGCAGUAUACAGUUGGAGCUUAAACCCUAAAUCAGCCACAUAGAGAUCCACGCACCAGCUGGGAGAUGGCCUUGGGGAAGAGGUGGUGGUGCCGACCAACGGAGGCAGCGGGGGGAGCAGAGGAGCGGAAGUGGAAGUGUGCCAGUGCCUUGCGGUCCGGGAGCGACCGCAGGAGCAGCUCCUCAGUGAACUUUUCAUCCUCAGGCGCCGCCGCAGACGCAACGGCGGUGGUAAAGAGGAAGAGGAAGACGAGGGGCAGGAAGAGGAUCGGUCCUGUGGGUGGACGCGGCGGCGCCAUUAGCGCCAGAGAGCGCAGGAGGCCGCCGGGGUGCUGGAGAUUAGGGUUUUCAUUUGUCGUCGGAGAUGGGCCUCGUACAAAUUGGCAGAUGGGCCUCAUAUGGCGCAUGUGUCUUUGUCUUCAUGGUUUGCAAGUUAAAAUUAGUACCACAUUGCCCACCAGUUGGUGUUUGAAUCUGCUUAUAUGCCUACCUGUGCGCGUAGUAGUACUGUUGUGGUCACCGGAUGCGUUGUGGGAUGUAUUUUUUUGGCUGAACCAGGAGCAUGCACGGGUUAUGUGGGCCCUACCUGUCAGAGACCGAACCGGCAGAACACAAAAAGGCAGGCUACUAUUGCAGCCUUAAUAAGUAGUAGAGAUUUAACCCAUAAUUAUAUUUGCAUAGAUCAAUUUAACACAGACACAUUUCAUUAAUCAUUAGUUUAACUUAUAGACCAUAAACACCACACAAACAUAUAACAUAUUCAUAAGUAAACGAUAUGUAUAUAGCUUCGUUUUUUGAAAUGUGAUAGUGUUUUAUCUUGCGAGCUGGCUUGUUGAUGUCAGCUCAUCUCUUGAAAAAAUUCAAACGAACCGAGUUGAGCUGGUACAAACUGAGCGAGCCGAUGAGUCACGAGCAUUUCAUUGAGCCCUACUUUGGUUAGAUUUUGCAGAAGACAAAUAUAAUAAUAAUUACUCAAAUGGCCAUAUUUGUGAAAUACUUCUGUCAAUAUAUUUUCUUCCGCUCAACUACUGUAUCAAUUACCAUCCUUCGAAUUAAUUUCUAAGUCAAAUUUUGAUUUACAACUGAAUUUAUAAAUAUAUAAUGAUAUUACAUAAGUAUAUUACAAAAAAAGAUAUGGCCUAGUGCAUUUAAAUGAUACUCCCUCCGUCCCAAAUUGAAAUUCGUUUUGCCUUUCAAUAGAUUCAUAAAAUAAUUAAUGUAUAUCUCUACUACUACUUAUGUUAGUAGUGUAGGCGUCCACAACCACCCGUUCUAUCGCGCGCAGAUGCCCGCAUCGCGCAGCCGCUCCGCAACCGCCCGCAUCCGCGCCAGCACCGUAGCCGCUCCUUCCAUCCUCCGCCAUCCUUCCAUCCACCGCGCGGAUCCCAGCGCUCCCUCCCGCGCACCCGCAGCCGCGCCGCAUCACGCAGCCGCCCCGCACCACGGAUACCAGCGCUGCCUCCACCACACAAGCCUCCUCGCCAUGCCCCAUCCGCAGCGCCCACACCACCGUCCGCCGCCAGAUCCGGAUCCCGCCCCCAUCAUCGGCGCCUCCUCCCCCGCCCGCCCGAGACCCUUUCGCUCGCCAUGGACGUCGUAGCCUCCCCUUGAAGCCUCUGUCCUCGCCAGUCCAAUCUCCAACGUACGAAUAUCCGCUCGCCAUGGACGUCGUGGCCUCAUCCCGAGGCUCAUGCCCAAAACCCUACGGGCGCCGCCUACUCCGACGACUCUGACGAGGCCGCUGCCCUGCGCCAGGAGAGAGGUCAAGAAGCCCUUGGUGAAGAAGCCGAAGGUGACGGUCGCGAGGCCGUCAUCUUGAUCGACGCCAAGAACCUCGCAUCGCACCUUCUUGAGAUCUCGGUAAGGCCGCAUCAAACCUCUCGUCCCCGUCGAAUUCCUGUUAAAAAAAUAAGAUGUUGUAACACCCCAGGAUCCACAAACAUCCUGAAAUGCUACUAAACUACACAACUAACAUUCAUAUAUAAAAUUUUGACAGCAUCUCCUUUGAAAAUUUGCAUAAACGUGGAAGCAACAGAGUAUAAGCAGAUAUCAUGAUAAGAAAACAUACUAGACAUUAAUAAUCGGCUAGCAAUGGGAAGAUAACCAUAACGACAUGAAUUGAAUUAACUAGUGUGCAUGACUAGUUAAAGACAAACAUCCUUUGACAAGAAGUUUCUAAUUAAAUCAUGGCUGUGCCUGGGCAGCGUUAUUAUGAGAGUGAAGGUGGACGUGCUGCUACUCCCCUCAUUCCCAACAUGAAUCAAGUACCUGCAUUGAGUAAUGCAAGAGUGAGAUGAAACAUCUCAGCAGGUGAAUUGUUUCGACGAGAUAUUUAAACCAAAAAAAAUUGAAUUAAUCAACAUUUUAAAGGGAUCACAAUUGAGAUCAGAAAUACUUGUAGAUAUAGAACUCAAUAGUCCCAAAAUAACCAAUGCCAUCUCAUUUCCUCGAACAACCACAAUAGGUUGUAUAACACUUUCCUGCAUCAACAAUACCUGCAAAUAUCACUUCAAUGUAUGCAUAGUAAUGCAAUGUGUAAGUCAUCUGCCUUCAUACCUCUUAGAGUAUAAAACCACACCAUCUGCAAAUACCACUUCAAUGAAUGCAUAUGAAUGCAAUGCAUAUGUCCUCUGCCUUCAUACCUCUAAGGGUAUGAAGCCGCAUCGUACCCCUCCUCGGGCAACGUACGAUGCUAAGUUGUACCGGUACGGUCGGACCAUAGGUCACGACAAAACUUCAGAUGCAAGUGAAUCAUGCAAUGUAUAUGGCAUGCUACAUUUAUCAAUAUAUUUCACUUCCUUCACAUACAAUACAACCUCAAAUAAUACUUCAUUUACCUUCAGAUACAAUACAACCUCAGAUAAUACUUCAUUUACCUUCAGGGGUGUGAAUUAAUCUCACGAGUCAUACUCGAAUCAUAAUCAUCAUCAAUAUAUGAUUGAGCAUCAGUAUAAUGCAAGCAAGUAAAGCAUCACCAUAGAGUUCAAUUAUGAAAGAAUCCAAUACUUUUGAAUAUUAGAGUGUAGGCAAUAGAAAUAACAGGUCAGAACGGAAGCAACCACUGCUACAUUCACUUGCCUUCAUCGAAGAAGAAGAAAUGUACUAGGCAUGAUCUGGAGUGUAGCCACCUGCUAGCGGGCAUAAAACUUAGUACAAAUAUUUCACAAACAUUUGCCAUCAAUCAACAAAACACCCCUGCACUUGAAACCAAGACCUAGUGGAAAGACUCCCACCCUGAACCACAUGCCAUACAGCAGCAACGCUGUUUGUUAAUUUUGUAUCUUUAAAAUUAAAACAGCGGUGAUAUCAAACAAAUACUCUAGGAGUAUCUACACAAAAUACUCUACAACUUCAGUAUUCAAUAGAUAAUUAAAUUCUUCCAUCUACAAGUUCUAAAACAUCUGACAAGAUAACUGACUGAAUCUGUUUUAGACAGCAGUAUGGUUAACUUUAAAAUUCGAUAUCUCCCAAACUACUGAACCAAAAAUUAUGAAAUUCUGCUGGAAGUAAGAACUUUUAUCCCUCUACAAAAGUCUCCAUAGUUUGAAGAGCCAAUUCGACCAUUUACUAGAUGAAACCCACCAGUGAACAGACCCACUCAUUUUUGUCAGGUUAACAGGAACAGCCACAGUAAAACAAACAUAACUGGAGUUUCACAAAUCAUAUGAAUGCACUCUUUAACAAUCUGGAAAGCUUAUGAAAUUAUCUACAACUUCUUUUACCAACUCACAGUUUAAUUCUGUUGAUAAAAUUGCCUAACUCUUAAGAUAACAGAUUCUGCACAGAAUUAUGAGACUGAAAAACUGCUAUAAUCAAACUGCCAUAACUUUCUGUUCUGAUGUCCGAUUGAGGUGUUCUUCGCGGCCACGGAAAGAUCUACAAAUUAUCUACGACUCAUAUAUAAACUUUUUAUUUUUUUGAGGCCACUAAGAUCACGGAAAACUGGCAUGAACAGAAACUGUCGAAUCUGCCAUUCUGCAGAAAUUAAAUUCGAGAUCAAAACCUAACCCCACAUCUAAUCCAACCUCUAAUUCUUCAAUCCACAUGAUCCACAACCUCCAAAAACACAUAAUUAUAUGGAGGAACAAGGAUCCCAUCCUUACCUAGAGUUUCCCCAAGAAAAUCUGCAAUAGAUGGGGGGGGGGGGUAGAACAUCUCCUUGAUCCUCUCUUCCUCUUCAAUCCAUCUUGCUCCUCCUCUUCUCGAUCCUUGCUGCGUGGGGGAGGGGAAGAUCUAUGGAGGAGGAAGAAAUGGUGGGAGGCUGCCAUGGGAGGAGAGGGGACGGCCAACCAAGGGAAAAAUGGGGGAGGGUGGCGGCCAAGAGAGGGGGGUGGAGGGAAAAGGGGUGGCCCCCUAGGGUUUUGUGGGAGAAAAGAACCGACGCCCCAGAUGACUUCUGCCUUGCAUCCAACGGCCCACAACCCUUUCCCACAUCCACGCACCGAAGAUCAACUUUUGGUCAACAUUUUUUUGGGAUAUUACACUCUACCCCCCUUAAAAAGAAUUCGUCCUCGAAUUCGGCCACUCCAAGCAAAACACCCAUGGUACCCCAUAUAGCACCACCAUUCAAAACAUGGGUCCAUUAUUGGUCUUAAUUAACACAAGAACUUCUACCUUGGACUAAUUGUCUAAGGAAACUACACAACCUGACAUCAAGCAUGAAACAACAUGCAAUGAAGCUCAAAGCAAGUCAUAGAUGCAAUCAACACUACAAUUUCACACCAUCAAAUUGGGACGCAACUAUACAUCAACAUCAAUGUCUUAAGACAACACUCUUUUAUGAAGGGGUAAUAUGCACUAAGCACAACCCUUACCAACUUCAAUAAUUAAUUUUAAUUAAAUGGUGAAACAUCCACACCCGACGAAUGUAUAAGAAGAUCAAACACCUCACCUCAAAGCACCACGAAACAAGUAGUUCUAUUGAAACAAAACUCCUAAUCUUCCUAAACCUUAUUCUUGCCAUCAUGAAAAGAUAAUCAUGUAAUCUAACAUUCUUUGCACCCCGCAAAAGGGAGAAAAUCUACAGAACUAAUGGAGCAAUAAAGCCAAUAAGAAGCGAAUAACAUUCUGCGCGGCAUAGGUCAUCGAAGAAAUGCCAAAAGCUCCACAAAGAGCACUGACAGCACAAUAACACAAUACUUGGUUAACCAAUGUCACUAUACUUCAUCCAACAACUCAACUAAGAAAAAUAUCCAAACCAGUGAGGUUAACCUACACAUAAUAUAAGUUUUCAUCUACUGUAGUUCAUAAACUUACAUUUCAUUCUAUCAUACGAUGCACUCAAAGUACCAGACAUACAAAGUCAAUAAUAACCCCUAAUCCUUCACACAUUUGACAAACAUAUUAAGCUGAUGUAAAAACCACAUCAUCUAGGAGUAGGUGACUAGCCACACCCAACCAACUCUAGGCUAGGCAAUGACUUCCUUCAAACCAAUAGAUAGGUGGUCUAAAAAAUGGCUCCACAAGCAUGCAUCGAAAAGGGAACCAUCAGAUCCUCAAUGUAUCAAUACAUAAUCAAUGGAUCAAGAGAAUCAAAGAUUUAUUCUACAAUUAGUAUGACUAACAGGCAACCACUUUAAACCACAUCUAGGCUUUGUGGCAACUAAAACACACAAUAGGAGAGAGACAUGUAAGCCAUUCUGGCUAUGAAAAGACUUCCCCCAAAAAUCCAUAUAAAGUACCAAUAUUCAUUUCUUUCAGAACUGGUUUCUCAACAUAAACAAUCAUUCUUUGCAAUGAUAGUUGGAGCUAUCCACCAACCGCUCAACAACUUAAAUUCAAAUUGAUGAUUACCUUGUACCCCAAAACAUGCAAUUCACACUCCUCUUAGAAACAUCCACAAUCAAGCAUAUAUAACAAUAUUAUUGUAAUAAAACUCAACCAUGAAAAACAUGGUGAAAACAACAUAGGCAUACUUGUAUAUCACAAUCAUAAUAACAACUUCAUUCUCACAAAUGACCAGCGAUAUCUAUCGCAUUAAUAAAACAAUAUCAAAAUUUCAGAAAUAAAUUAUAUCAAGCAUUAAGCCAUAAACAACUUACCACAUAACCGUAAAGGAAUAGGGAGGGGUGAGGUUAUUGUCAUCUGCACUUCAAAGACACUAACAUAUAUCAAAGAUAUUUAAACCCAUACCCUUCCUAUAUGUGCGAGUGUGUCAAAUUUAUCUUCAAAUUGCCAAGAAUCUAAAGCCUAUGCUCUGAUACCAACUGUAACACCCCAGGAUCCACAAACAUCCUGAAAUGCUACUAAACUACACAACUAACAUUCAUAUAUAAAAUUUUGACAGCAUCUCCUUUGAAAAUUUGCAUAAACGUGGAAGCAACAGAGUAUAAGCAGAUAUCAUGAUAAGAAAACAUACUAGACAUUAAUAAUCGGCUAGCAAUGGGAAGAUAACCAUAACGACAUGAAUUGAAUUAACUAGUGUGCAUGACUAGUUAAAGACAAACAUCCUUUGACAAGAAGUUUCUAAUUAAAUCAUGGCUGUGCCUGGGCAGCGUUAUUAUGAGAGUGAAGGUGGACGUGCUGCUACUCCCCUCAUUCCCAACAUGAAUCAAGUACCUGCAUUGAGUAAUGCAAGAGUGAGAUGAAACAUCUCAGCAGGUGAAUUGUUUCGACGAGAUAUUUAAACCAAAAAAAUUGAAUUAAUCAACAUUUUAAAGGGAUCACAAUUGAGAUCAGAAAUACUUGUAGAUAUAGAACUCAAUAGUCCCAAAAUAAACAAUGCCAUCUCAUUUCCUCGAACAACCACAAUAGGUUGUAUAACACUUUCCUGCAUCAACAAUACCUGCAAAUAUCACUUCAAUGUAUGCAUAGUAAUGCAAUGUGUAAGUCAUCUGCCUUCAUACCUCUUAGAGUAUAAAACCACACCAUCUGCAAAUACCACUUCAAUGAAUGCAUAUGAAUGCAAUGCAUAUGUCCUCUGCCUUCAUACCUCUAAGGGUAUGAAGCCGCAUCGUACCCCUCCUCGGGCAACGUACGAUGCUAAGUUAUACCGGUACGGUCGGACCAUAGGUCACGACAAAACUUCAGAUGCAAGUGAAUCAUGCAAUGUAUAUGGCAUGCUACAUUUAUCAAUAUAUUUCACUUCCUUCACAUACAAUACAACCUCAAAUAAUACUUCAUUUACCUUCAGAUACAAUACAACCUCAGAUAAUACUUCAUUUACCUUCAGGGGUGUGAAUUAAUCUCACGAGUCAUACUCGAAUCAUAAUCAUCAUCAAUAUAUGAUUGAGCAUCAGUAUAAUGCAAGCAAGUAAAGCAUCACCAUAGAGUUCAAUUAUGAAAGAAUCCAAUACUUUUGAAUAUUAGAGUGUAGGCAAUAGAAAUAACAGGUCAGAACGGAAGCAACCACUGCUACAUUCACUUGCCUUCAUCGAAGAAGAAGAAAUGUACUAGGCAUGAUCUGGAGUGUAGCCACCUGCUAGCGGGCAUAAAACUUAGUACAAAUAUUUCACAAACAUUUGCCAUCAAUCAACAAAACACCCCUGCACUUGAAACCAAGACCUAGUGGAAAGACUCCCACCCUGAACCACAUGCCAUACAGCAGCAACGCUGUUUGUUAAUUUUGUAUCUUUAAAAUUAAAACAGCGGUGAUAUCAAACAAAUACUCUAGGAGUAUCUACACAAAAUACUCUACAACUUCAGUAUUCAAUAGAUAAUUAAAUUCUUCCAUCUACAAGUUCUAAAACAUCUGACAAGAUAACUGACUGAAUCUGUUUUAGACAGCAGUAUGGUUAACUUUAAAAUUCGAUAUCUCCCAAACUACUGAACCAAAAAUUAUGAAAUUCUGCUGGAAGUAAGAACUUUUAUCCCUCUACAAAAGUCUCCAUAGUUUGAAGAGCCAAUUCGACCAUUUACUAGAUGAAACCCACCAGUGAACAGACCCACUCAUUUUUGUCAGGUUAACAGGAACAGCCACAGUAAAACAAACAUAACUGGAGUUUCACAAAUCAUAUGAAUGCACUCUUUAACAAUCUGGAAAGCUUAUGAAAUUAUCUACAACUUCUUUUACCAACUCACAGUUUAAUUCUGUUGAUAAAAUUGCCUAACUCUUAAGAUAACAGAUUCUGCACAGAAUUAUGAGACUGAAAAACUGCUAUAAUCAAACUGCCAUAACUUUCUGUUCUGAUGUCCGAUUGAGGUGUUCUUCGCGGCCACGGAAAGAUCUACAAAUUAUCUACGACUCAUAUAUAAACUUUUUAUUUUUUUGAGGCCACUAAGACCACGGAAAACUGGCAUGAACAGAAACUGUCGAAUCUGCCAUUCUGCAGAAAUUAAAUUCGAGAUCAAAACCUAACCCCACAUCUAAUCCAACCUCUAAUUCUUCAAUCCACAUGAUCCACAACCUCCAAAAACACAUAAUUAUAUGGAGGAACAAGGAUCCCAUCCUUACCUAGAGUUUCCCCAAGAAAAUCUGCAAUAGAUGGGGGGGGGGGUAGAACAUCUCCUUGAUCCUCUCUUCCUCUUCAAUCCAUCUUGCUCCUCCUCUUCUCGAUCCUUGCUGCGUGGGGGAGGGGAAGAUCUAUGGAGGAGGAAGAAAUGGUGGGAGGCUGCCAUGGGAGGAGAGGGGACGGCCAACCAAGGGAAAAAUGGGGGAGGGUGGCGGCCAAGAGAGGGGGGUGGAGGGAAAAGGGGUGGCCCCCUAGGGUUUUGUGGGAGAAAAGAACCGACGCCCCAGAUGACUUCUGCCUUGCAUCCAACGGCCCACAACCCUUUCCCACAUCCACGCACCGAAGAUCAACUUUUGGUCAACAUUUUUUUGGGAUAUUACAGAUGUUGUGAUGACCUCCCUCCUGGCACCUCCCUCCUGGCAUCGACGGUGUGUCAGUCGUCGCGGCAGGCAGAGCUCUUGGGCUCCUGCUCUUUUCUCCGCACCCAGUGCCGUCACGGGUGAUUCUAGGGUUUCGUCGCCGGCGGCAACAACCUGCCUGUAGCGAUUCGACGUAAGCAUCCCUAUUCCUCUCCUCCGGAGGCCUGUCUCCUCGCCAUAUCGUCGAUUUAGCCUGAGUGCGGGUCCACGCCCCUGCAGACCCACGACGACGGCCUGCAGUUCCAGUCCACCUCCGACGAGAUGGACCUAUCUGCAACUUGUGGACAGCCUGCAGAAACAGCUCGUAUUGGAGGUUUGCCUUUUCUGUCCUUAUGCCUUCUUCUAAUCCUCCUCAUUUAUGUUCAGUGAUGAUGAAUUCAUUCAUGCCUUUGAUAAUGUCGAUUUGUAGUUGGAAAUUAGAGUUCAUUUUAGACUUUGGAAAGUUGAGUUCAUGAAAGAACACAUCCGCAAUCACCCCUAACCAAUCAGCUCCCUGGCAGCAACACAUAAUCAGAACUGCAUAUUAGAAUUGAUGAUUGAAUUGUCAUAUCAGUGUCUUGUUGCAGCUACUAACAAAUUGCUUUCGAGUUGUGGGCAUAUGGAUAUGUUCUCCUUUGACUACAUGUUAGAUAUCUGAAACUGUCAUUGAAGAUCGAUUCUGUUUGGAGCAUGGCACUGAAGGAUGGUAUAGUGCACUGGAUCUUGGCCCUUUUUGUUUAAUUUAGAGAAAAGUUAUGGUUGGGAGAGAGCCUUUUGUUUUUAGGCAACUCGAAUGUAAACUAUUUUUUGUUGAAUGUGCAUGGUCAUGGUGGCUGGUUCAUUGACCAUUAUGAAGUGCUUGUAGAUGAGAGUUUCUGGCUGCAAUAUAUUUAUGCUGAAGAGUGAUGUGAUCUGCAUGCAUGUUUUUGAACAAUCAGAAUAGGUCAUUUUCAGAAAUGGUUUAUUACUAAGCUCAUCAAUGCCAUUUAUUUAUCUUACCAUGUACCUCAUAAAUUGGUAACCUGGUUUUAUACACAAGAGUUGAUUGUAUUAAGCUUGCUAUUUGACUGUAUUAAGCUUGCUAUUUGAUUCCUCAAAAAAGCUUGUUAUUUGAUUAAACCCGUGCCUUUUCUGAUGUAAUGGUGGAACUCAGUGUUGAAGACUUUUUUAAACCAUUCUAGAAUUUACUAAUUUCUAUUUACAGAUUGUUGUAUUUCAUGUAUAUAAAUCUCUAGCAGAUCCUAUGACUGAUAUUGAUACAUUUUUCCAUCUACGUUAUUUAUCACCUAUGUUCUGUGGUUUAUCCUUUGGCAUGCAUGUCAAUGUUAAGUUGUUACUCUACUCCUAUUGAUAAUCUGAAGUAAGGUUCAACAAACUGUCCAUGUUAGAAAAUGUCAGGAUUACUAAUUAGUCUAUUCAGACAUUUAGAGAAGCCCCUGUACCAUCAUUUGAUAGUAGCAGAAGUCACUAUAAGACCAUAAAAUGGGACCAUAGUUUGAAUUCUGAAUUAUUUGUACCUCACAACAUUCAAUGUCAACAGAAACCAUUUCAAUAGUUAGAUGCAUAUUUGAACGUCAUAAACCUUACCUUAAAGGCAUCACCAACUAUAUAUCUUACUUAGUCCUUUAUCAUUUUCAAAUGCCAAUCAGUGAACACCAAAUUUUAGGUUUGUUAAAUGCUUGUUACAAGUCAGGAAUGAGAUAUUAUCUUCAGAUGAUAAAUAAAAAAACUAGGAACUGGGAAUUGUGCCACUAUGUUGUGUACUUAGUUCCUAUCUAAUUCUAAUUCCUUGGUUUAUUCUUCAAUAACAAAUUUCUGGGAGGAGGACAAUGCACUCUUUCUACAGUGAUGUUGUGCGCCUUCAGGUUUGUUUCCCUCUGUGACAUGCUACCAUGCUGCCACUACCACCAUUUCCUCUGUUCCCAGUGUUCAUAUUUUUUUCUGAAUCCUUUGUUUCAGGGUCUAAGGGAAAGGUUUUCACACUGCAACUCAAACAUGGACGCGGGCUAGGUUAGUACUUAAUCUUCAAUAAUCUCUACUACUUCUUAAGAGAAUACUGUAGGCGUCCACAACCCCACGGUUCUGCCAGUCUCCCCGCCAUCAACGCCGAUCCGCCCCACCCUCCUUCAUCGCAGGCUGCCGCCGACCACGCGCACCCUCGCGUCCCCAUUCAUCCCGCUGCCGUCACGCACGGACUGCCUCCAGGCCGCGCCCUACCUCCCUCCCCAAACCCCGUUCAUCUCGCCUCCGUUCAUCCCGUGAACCCAUCCCCGCGUCCGCUCCAUCCAUGGCAGAACCGCAAGCCAUGCCUAGCCGCGUCCGCUCUCCGUCCGCGCGCAGAUCCGCGCGCAGAACCGCCCAACUUCGCCCCGUGUCUGCGCCAUCCAUGGCAGCCACCCCGGAUCUGCGUGCCCCAGCCUCCAUGGAAGCCGUCAGCGCGCAGAACUUUCCAACUGCGCCCCGCGUCCGCGCCGUCCAUGGAAGUCGCCCCUGAUCUACGCGCCCCACCUUGCGACUGCGCGCAGAUCCCUCCAUGGAAGCCACCGCUAACCUCGACCUAACUGCGCCUACACUCCGUACAUGGAAGUCGUCGCUAACCUCGACCCAACUGCCAAAUACGGUGUCUCCCACCCGGAUCUACGCGCCCCAAAUUAUGGUACAGCGCAGACGGAGGCUAACCUUCCAUGGGUAGCGCGUAGAUCAUCCGGGGCAGCCCUAUAAGUUAUCAAGUGUGUACGCCCCAACAACCCAUAGAUGCGGCUCGGCGCUCUCCAUCGUCUGGUAUACCAGGUACACACAGAUCUCAUCUGUGUGUUGUUUUCUGUAAUAGCAUGUUGGUUGUGUCAUCUGUAGUAUUGUUAGUCUUCAUCAGUACUAAAAGAAACAGACUCAUUAGUCUCACAUCAAUGUUUCUGUACAGACUCGUUAGUUUUCAGGCGGGUCACACAAUCAAAAUUAUAAUAGUAGAGAAAUGCUCUUUUUUCUUUGCUUUUCACCACACACAACUAAAAUCUUCAAAUAUUGUGUAGCAUGGAGGCUGUAUGGUGUAUGAUCUAGGCAAUAUGAUAAGCUAUUGAGUGGAAUAUCUCAUUCUAUAUUGGUAGAUAUUUAUUUACUUAUUCACACUAGUUUCUGCUUCUACAGAUUCACAAUUAAACAUAUAAUUAAACUAUGAGUAUGGUUCAAAAGCAGACUUACUUUCUAACAUUAUAAGAGGAAACCAAUGAAAUGUGUACCUGAUAGAAGUGCCAGUAAAAACCAUACUCAUAGUUUGCAACUGUACAGAUAAAUGAAACAGUGAGCCUCCUUGACCGCCUUACUUCUGCUAAACCAGUUCUCCAGUCUUGGUGUUUCCAAAGGAUCCCAUGAUCCUCCUCAUGCAAACAAACAUAGUUCUCAAUUGUCUCCACACCACCAGUGAAGUUUGUGAAAUGUGCAUCAAAAUAUUUUAUGUAGCCCAAGCACCCUCUUGUAGAAAUCCUUGCAUUGUAAAGAAAUAUAGCAUUUCAAUGACCAUUUCACCCUUUUUGUAUCCACCAUUUCUACAUUUCACAAGUUCCAGUGAAUAGGUGAUAGUUGUGAUUUUAAGGUGGUUGAAAAUGAAGGUAGGAGAAGGGGCACGUGAAUCUGAAUGAUGCAUACUUAAGUGGCACUUUUGCCUCUACCAAAUUUUCUCCCUGUUUAUUUGAUGCUUGCCUUUGUUUCAUUGUUUUAUAUUUGAGUUGUGAUUCUUUUAGUGCAAAAAUUGCUUUUUUUAAUCACCUAUAUCUGGUGGUGGUAUCUGCCGGAUAGGCUUCAGGAGAGGCUAAGAAAGUCUAAAUGUUUAAUCCUUGAAGAGGCUGCAAAGAACAAAGGUUUUGACCUUGGUAACGGUGAGUUAUUUUAUUAAUGUUUUUAUGCCAACAACUUUAGCUUUUGUACACUAGCACUAUUUUCUUAAGGCAAUACAAUUGAAUUCGGGAGUGGUUUAUCUGCAUUAGAAUGACGAUGAUAAAAACCAGGAGAUAAAACCAGGAGAUAAAUAUCUUCCAAGAUGGGAGUUUUUCUUCUCUCAAAACCAGGAGAUAAAAACCUUAAUUUUAACUCCCCUGUCCAAAUCUGAGAGGAUACAAGAAUCUAGGGGCCAAGGCAACACCUGCAGCAGCCUGCAACUGCAAUCCUUCACUGUAGGAGGCUUCAGGUUUUGGGUAUGGAAUUCGAAAUGCUCUUCCCUCUGUUUUGUUGGUAUUAUUCUAUUUUCUUUAUUCUAAGUUAUUGUGUUGUUAAUAUAUCAAAGUUUAUAAUAGAACUUACCAACUAAUCGUAUGAAAAUAUGAUGAUAAAUCCCUGUGGUUGAUCAUUGACGCUUCAGUAAGUUAUCCAAUUUCAAAGGAGAUGUCUCAAGGUUUGGAGCCCAAUAUGCGAGGUAGGUUUCAUGGUUUUAUAGGAAUUCUUCUUGCAUUUGAUUCAUGCUUAUUAAUAGGUCUAUUUUUUGCACUUUUGCAGACAAAGUUAUCUAUUCAUCUCCAAAUUUUGAUCCCAAAGUUUUCCUUUCGUGGGUCCACAAAGACACGAGCGCUGCUGACUUAGAGGCUAGUGCUCUCACCUUGAAAACUGAUCUCAAAGGGAGAACACAGCAGAAAAAACUGUUAGUCAAGGAGAACUUUGAUUGUUUUGUCUCGUGCAAAACUACAAUAGAUGGUAUUUGUGUAGUUGUUAUAUACAUCCAUAUUGCAAAUAAAUGUUCAUGAUCCUGAGUUUAUGGACAAUGUUUUGCAUCCCCUUGUAACACAGUUUUUUUGCAGACAUUGAGUCGAAAUUGAGACAAAUAGAGGAAGAUCCUGAAGGUGCAGGUACUGCUCACUUGUAUUCAGUGACACUAAAAAUUAGUGGUGUGGCAAAUCGUGCAUUUGAGCCUCGAUUAUAGAAUUUUGUUAAUGUCUCAUAUAUGCUCAACUCUUGGAAGAUUUCCAUUUAAUAAUACUAUAAUCGACGCCGAGGAUGGUGGUCCGUAAAUACCAUGUCACCCCAAUCCCCAUCGCCCCCAAGACACAGAUUUGGGGCCACCCCAAUCCCCAUCCUCGACUGCGCUCUCUAAGGAAUACUGAUGCUUUGGUGUCAACUUUGGCUCUCCAAUACUUUACAAGGUAUAUACGAUUUAUUAUUGGUUAUGGGUUAUGGGGGCUUUGAGUCUUCGAUCUAACGAUAUAUUAUGGGAGCUCCGAGUCCUCAAUCUGGUAGUUGUGGGAUAUGCUUGUAGCCAGUCGUUCUGAUGAUUCCAAUAGGCUCUUUCUUAGGGUUGGAUCUCCUCAUGGUUUUCUUUUAAUUAAAUAAGUUUGUGGUGCAGACACUAAUUUCUAUGAAUAUAACCUAUCCAUCAUUGUUUCACUUCAAGUCUGGCACUGCCAUGUCUCUGUAUGCUUGAUAGUCUGUCUAAACCUUGGAGUAGCAGAUUUCCAUGGGUUGUUGUAUCGAUGGUGCUUAAGUACGGGUAAGCUAGAUAGGGAUGCAAGUAGCAGAUUAUGCUAGAUUCUUGCAUAGGGAAAAUUAUGUAGUAUUGUGGGGGUAACAAGUAGGUUCCUUUUUUGAAGGUACACGUGAGCAUGCCUAUACUAUGCCAGAUGCUUGAUCAGUUCAAAAACAUUUGUGUGGGGGAGCUGUCUUUAUUCUUGUUUAUUUAUCAGUUCAAACAGAUUGUCAUGAACAUGCUUGAUUGCCUUCGUUUAACAGAGAAACCAAUAGUAUAUAAAAUCAUGGGCAGAGGUCCUCGAACCAUGGUGUACUAUAGUGGCCCUUUGUACUCUGUAUCUAAUCAUCUAACCUUAGAUGCAGGCAUUAGUUUAUGUGCUGAUACCGUCAUACGCCGUUGUUUCAUGGCAAUGUCCAUCAGACAGACAAAGAGUGACGACGACACUAGCUCACAUAUGAACUGCAAAGGGUUUUCUUACUUCUUGCAUGUUGGUGUAAAGAGUAGGUAAACCUGCUUGCGCGAUGGUACAAGCAGCAGCAACAGAGGUAUAGGGAAAUUUUUUGGACUGUAACAAGUUGCGAACCCUUGACUUCAAUUGUGAUGUUUAGACCUUCCCUUCAUCAUGGAUUUCCUGAAACUCUUUUCUUCAACUUUGGAACCCCUUUGUUUAUAUAAUCUACAGACUCUAGAACUGUUGUGGUAUAAUGGGCAGACAAUGGAAAUGUUGUUCACCUUCAAUUCUCAGAGGACCUACCACUAUUGUAUUGUCAAUUGUUUUGUUGUUUGUAGACCACAAGGCUUGACGCAGUAAACACCACUAUUUGACCGAGGUGAAUCUAGGUGACCACAAUCUAUGCUCUUCUAUUAUGUUCUUUAUUUUAACUGAACGAUGUAAAAAAUCAUUGAAUGAUUGUUAUAUGUUUAAAGAAUUACAAAUGUUGAUUAUGUUAGUGAGUGUGCUAUCUAUUGAAUGAUGAUGUGAAGCAAUGGACCUGGAGACAUGUUCUUUUAAGCCUUGAGCGUGUAUGUGUUCGUGUACUUUGUGUUAAUGAAAUUCUUUUCAAUAUACCAUGUUAUUUUUCUUGUAAAUAAUCUAUUAACCAUUUUUCAUACAACUGCUAAAUGAAAUAGCUUUUGCCAUAGCUUUUUUAAAAAUCUUCGAAGAGGCCGCCACUAAAUGGCUCCACGAAUAAAUGGGUGUGAAGUCUUGGAUGCUUGGUUUGCUCACAGGGAUUGUAUUCUCCUACUAGCCAUAGGAUCAGGUGCAUUUUCUGUAAUACUCCUCUUUAUCUUUUGUAAUUUAUUAUUUAUUCCAUGUGGAUGGUAGUUUCGUCCUCCUUUUUUCACAUGGAUAACUUUACUGGCAGGAAAGUCCCUCUAUUUUCAGAUCCCCCAAGGGUUUUCUUUGAUUCUUAAUCAGUUGUCUGUCGUUUGUAGGCUGUGGAAUACGGAGUUCACAAGAUCUAGGAGAUGAACAACCUCGGGAUAACCCUCUCACGGUCUCAUGCCAGCAGCCGCACCCACGCCCCGUUUCGUCUCGCACGCUCUCGCCAACUUGUGGUUGCCCAUCCACUGCCAAGCACCCAGCCCCAACAGUCGCACUGUCAUCAGUGUUUUUUCUUUUACAUCAAGCUUUUGUUCUGAAAUUAUAUUGUCUAUGAUUUGUAACUUGCUUGAUCAGCAAGCUUUUGUCUGGUCCUUGAUUGGGUAGGCGGCUGUGCAGUGCAUGGUGGACUUGAGAAGUUCGUCAACUGUAUUGGAUAGUUGGGCUAGGGAAAGUUAUUUUUGCUCCUGAUAGUAACUGGAUUUAAUUUAACAUGAACUUGUUUGUACGCGUUGGCAUAAUGUAGGUUUCAUGCGUGAGUGGAACACAGCUUGUAACCAUAUAGUCUAGCAAAUUUUUGGUUCAACCUAUUUAAUGUUCCGAUAGCAUGUAAUCAUAUAACAACCAUACCAGAACUACUAUCAAAUAAAUGUGAAAACAGAGAACAUUCUGAGCAAAAAGACAUGAUCAACAAAAUUAUUACCCUGUCAACAAAAAUUCGAAGAUAUCUUAACCUUACCGAAGAAAAAAUUAGAUAGGUAUAUAUUUGUGAGGAUUUUUAUUCCUACUUAGAAUAUUUAGAUUUCUAAACUACAAUGGUAUAUAGAUAAUGUUUUUGGAAUAUGUCUCCGUUUCUUCUUGUUUAGUCUCAUGUUAAUAUUACGGUUAUUCUUGGAUCAACAUCAUUCGAGUAUUUGACUAUUGCUUGUCAUGUGCACUUGUUAUUUUUGCAUCACUAUUUUGAACCAAUUUUUAAGCUACCGUAGCAACGCACGGACACACACCUAGUGUUUGUAUAUGUGUCUAGAUUUAUCAUCACCAAGUUGAAUAUCAUCAACAUCAACAUAGCCUUUUAGCCUGAAGUAAGUUGGUGUAGGUUAGAGUUGAAACCCAAUAAGAUGUCACCAAAAGAAGAAAGAGAGAGAAAGGGGAGGGAAAAACUUUUGAGAGCACUAAAAGAAAAAGGUCUAAUGAUGGUUCAGGCAUGUGGAUAGCUUCUUUCCAAGAACUUUUAUCCAAACACAACUCCAUUGGGAUAUUCCAUUCCUUUAAGUCUCUUUUAAUUACCUCCUCCCAUGUCAAGUUUGGUCGACCUCUACCUCUCUUCACAUUAUUGUCUCGUCUUAUGAUGCCUCUAUGCACCGAUGCCUCAGGGGUCUCCGGUGGACAUGCCCAAACCAUCUCAACCGGUGUUAAAUAAGUUUUUCUUCAAUUGGCGCUACUCCUAGCUGAUCGCGUAUGUCAUCGUUUCUCACUCGGUCUAAUCUUGUGUACCCACAUAUCCAACACAACAUACGCAUCUCUGUGACACUUAGUUGUUGGAUAUGUCGCCUCUUAGUAGGCCAACACUUAGCCCAUAUAACAUAGCAGGCCUAAUCAUUGUCCUGUAGAACUUUCCUUUCAACUUCUGUGGCACUCUCUUGUCGCAUAGGACCUUCGAUGUUUGACGCUAUUUCAUCCACCCCGCUUUGAUUCUAUGGCUAACAUCUUCAUCAAUAUCACCAUCUCUUUGUAGCAUCGAUCCCAAAUAACGGAAGGUGUCCUUCUUUGGUACUACCUGGCCUCCCAAACUUACAUCUCCAUCCUCACUAAUUGUAGUACCAAAGUCACAUCUCAUAUACUCGGUUUUGGUCCUGCUAAUUCUAAAUCCUUUUGACUCUAGGGUCUGACGCCAUAACUCUAGCUUUUCUAUUUACUCCUUUCCGGCUUUCAUCUACUAGAACUACAUCGUCAGCGAAAAGCAUCACCAAGGGAUAUCUCCUUGUAUAUCCCUCAUGACCUCAUCUAUCAGACUAUCACUAAGGCAAAUAGAUAAUGGCUCAAAGCUAAACCUUGAUGUAGUCCUAUGUUAAUCAGGAAAACAUUUGUAUCACCAUAAGUUGUUCGGACGCUAGUCAUAAUCUUGUCAUACAUGUCCUUGAUGAGCGCAACAUACUUUGUUGGAACUUUAUUCUUAUCCAAUGUCCACCACAUGAGAUUCCUAGGUAUUUUAUCAUAGGCCUUUUCCAAGUCGAUAAAAACCAUGUGCAAGUCCUUCUUCUGCUCCUUAUGUCGCUCUGUGACCUACCUUAUUAAGAAAAUUGCUUCCAUGGUUGACCUUCCAGGCAUGAAUCCAAAUUGGUUCAUGGUGAUAUGCGUCAUUACUCUCAAGCGAUGCUCAAUAACUCUCUCCCAUAGCUUCAUAGUGUGGUUCAUGAGCUUAAUCCCUCGAUAGUUGGUACCAAGGUUUUCAAGUCGGUAAGUCGAGUCGAGUCGACAAGGUACCGACUUGGUGACUAGUCAAUAAGUCAGUCGACUAGUCGUUGACUUGCCAAUAUAGUAGCUGUUUUGCCUGUAUAAUGGCUUCAUAUAGACAAUAUAUCAAUUAUAUAUGAAGAAAGAUGAUGUUUUACUCUUUUGAAGUCUGAAAUUGAACGAAACUAAAAUAAACAGCAAGUCUUACCUCAUUUGAAGCCUCAAACUGAACCAAAUCAGCCACAUAAGUGAUAAGUCAUAAACUCAUAAGUCAUAACAACCAUAUAGUUCAAAUUGGAAAAUAAAUAGCAAGAAAAUAUAGUUCAAACUUGAAAUGAAAUAAACUCCAUUAGAUAGCUAAGCUACUGCUGCAGCUAGAUAGAUACUAGAUACCCUAAGUAUCUCCCAAAUCAAGAUCAUCCAUUGCAUUUUCUUCACCACCAGCACCAGCUUGAGUUAGAUUGUUAUGUGGAGAUUCACCAAAGUCAUCCACUUCUUCAUCAUCAUUAGGCAUGUACUCUUCAUCAUCUUGUUCAUUGCCCUCGUUGCCUUGCUCUUACUCUUCCAUAACUCUCUCCUUCUGUGUAGCAGCAGCUUCACAACGCCUUGAAUAAACAGACUCAUAUCGGGCUCUUCUUGGGAAGUUGCGACCUUGAAGUGAACUAGAAGCACCGAUUGCAUCAUCCACAUGAGCCCAUGCAAGAUCAUCCCCUUCUCUAACUGUUUCAUUUUGAUUGUCCACCCACUCAUUGUCCCAUUGGAAAUCCUCUAAAAUUAAAGGGUUACCAAUAUUUCCCUCCUCACGCAAUCUUUGGAACCUAGCUGCCAUCUUUCUAUUGUAUUGGAUAUAAACCAAAUUGUUUAACCUUUGGUGCUCCAAUCUGUUCCUUUUUUUGUAUGAAUCUAUGUGUUAAAUAAUGAAUCAGUGGUGCUGUCCUAGAAUCAAUUAAAACAAGAUAGAAACUGAAAUAACAAUUUUUUACUUACAAAUUCAAAAGUGAUCCAAUUGCGCUCACAUCCGGAAGCGGAACAACAAAGGCAUCAAGAAGCUUGCCAUGCCUAUAUAUGAAGGUCGUCACUUGGCGAGCAUGGGAAAUGCAUUUCUUGAACUCUCUAAUUUUCCCAAUGUCCUCAAGCAUGAGAUCCAAACAGUGAGCAACACAUGGAGUCCAAAACAAGUGAGGGAUCUUUCUUUCUAAAAGUCUUCCAGCAGCCUUAAAUUAGCCCAUUAUAUGUAACAAUCUGCACUACCUUGUCUCUACCAAUGGCAUCAAUUCUUUUCUCUAGUAGUGCAGCUAACAUCUGAGCAUCUGCUAUCUCACUUGAGGCAUUGACAGACUCCAAGAAAAAUGUGCCAGCUGGACUAUUGACAAGAAAAUUGAUCAAGUGCCGACCCCUCCUAUCUGUCCAACCAUCAGACAUAAGUGUGCAACCAAAUUUAGUCCAAGCCAACUCAUGAGUCUUUUUUAUCUCAUCUACACUAUUCUUUGCCUUCUCAAGCAAUGGCACCGAUAUGAAUGUUUCACAUACCCAGGACCAUAUUGCCCAACCGCUUCAAGCAUGAUCUCAAAGGCCCUUGAGUUGAUGACAUUAAGUGGUAAGCCACACUCAUAAAUAAAAUCAGCACCAUACAUAUAUGUUCUUUCCUUCUCCUCCUUCCUCUUUCGUUGCAAUGUAGUUUGAGUGUUGCCCUUGCAAUGCCUCUCACGAACCACAUCUCCAGGUGCUUUGCGAAGCGUGGACCCAAUUGACUUAGAAGACUUCGAUGCGUGUUGAUUAUUUGGGCUUGCUUCAGCUGAGAGCCUUCUCUUUUGGGUUGUUCCGGAACUAGGCUAAACAACCGAAUGAGAUGCUUUACUUUCCCCUUCUCCAAAUACUUCAUCUUCAUCAUCUUUAUCACCCUCUUUAUCAUCAUCCAACUCAAUAGGCUUCUGUCUAGCAUUCUUCUUCAAAUAAUCACUCAUCUCAUUGCUGAUUGUUGAUAUUGUCUUCGGGCACUUAGCAACAUCACCAUGACCACCAACAAGGUGCUGCUUCAACCUUCUAACACCUGCAUGAACAAUUUUUCCACAAAGGAUGCACUUCACCACAUCUUUUUUGUCCAAAUCCUUCCAAUAACAAUAGUUCCAUGCUGGAUCCUUCGAUUUUGCCUUUCUCUUAGGAUCUCUAGCUAGAUCAUAUGGUUGCUGGCUUUCUGACCCCCUUGUGGUCGAUCUGCAGAUGCAUCUUCCAUAUCCCUAGAGCUUGCUGUGACUUGUGAGGGAGCACAGGUUGCUGAGACUUGUCAGGGCGUGCAGAGGGGCGGCACAGGACUCACCAGAGCUUGCGGCUCCUCUGCAAGCUCAGGAUUCACCACCAGAGGCCUCGACGGCUGGAGGUGGGCGACGGCCAGAGGUGGGCGCUUGGGCGGCGGCCAGAGGAGGGGCUGGCGCAGGAUUCACCACCUUGUAGAGGAGGGGAGGUGGCCAGAGGAGGGCGGCGGGUAGAGGUGGGCGACCAGCGGUGGCCAGCGGUGGGGCUGGCGGCGGGUAGGGCGACGUGUAGAUGGUAGAGGGCUAGAGGCGGCUGUUGGAGGUAGGGUUUAUGGUGUGUAAUGGGCCUUUGUGGUGUUUGGGCUGAACUGGGGACAAGUCGGCCGACUAGUUCGACCAAGUCGACGACUAGUCGACUAAUAUAUUCCAGUCGCUGGCAUGUCACCCGACUUGCGAGAAAAGUCGUGCCAAGCCCCCAAGUCGGCCACCCAUGACUGACUGGACGGCUAGUCGACGAUUUGAAAUCAAGGGUUGGUACAACUUUGAAUAUCUCUCUUGUUCUUGAAGAUUGGUACUAAUGUACUCUGUGGGAACUUGCUUUCCUGGGCAAGUUGAUCCAACGGGGGAGUGAAAGCAAUGUAAACAAGGUUUUAGCUUGAGAUGACAAUAGCUCUGUUAAUCUAGCCUCUCAAGGGCACUGUGCGGGGGUAUUUAUAGGUGUCUGAGUGCCCAGCGCCAAGGAUUAAGGAAGCAUGUGCCCUCAGGUGCCUAGGUCCUCCUCGGAAUAUUCCCAUUAAAGCAGGGUUACAGACUGUAAUAACAGAAAAACCUUUACAAUUUAGGCCCGUAAUGCGCAGCGACAGCGCGGGGCCCGUUAUGAUGGGCCGGAUUGCACGUGGGCCCUCGUGUUGGGCGACGCCGCGGGAUGGGGCGACCUCGCCAUAGGUCUUCGUCCUUCGGCGUGUCGGACGAAGGGUGGAGUCUGUCAGUCGUCGUCUCUGUUGGUGCAGCGAGACUGGCGAAGGCAUCGAGCGAAGGGUAGCGUCUUCGCCUUCGCCCCAACAUUUGCCCUCCGAGGGACCUGUUUGACCAAGUCAUCUGAUGCUGAAGGUGUCGCUAGAUGGUGGAGACAAUGCCCUCGCUCGAAGUGGUUCCGCGGGGUUUUUUGACAUGACCGUUGAUUGACGCCGCACCGUUGGAUUGCGGGUUUCCCAAAGCGCCGCGCCCUGUGUAUAAAAGGGGGUGGGGGCGGCGGCGCGUUUGGAACUUUAUCUUUUCGCGCGCCGCGAAAACCCUAACUUCCUUUUCAAACCGCUCGCUUGCUCGUCUGCCCUCCUUGCUCCUGCUCGUCGGAGAUCUGGCCCGUGUGAAGCAGACCGCCCGCCGCCACCGACGGUACGUAGCCAUGUCGUCCUCUUCCUCUUCUGCUGCCGAUACACCGCCGACCAGUGUAUCGUCCGAGGAGACGCUGAGCAACGUGGCGGCGGAGGAGUUGCGUCCCGGCGACACAGUGGAAUUCGGCGCGUCGCGGAUGUCCUCGGUCCGCGUGCAAGACAUGCAACAACUUGGGUAUUUUGGCGGCGGAGUGGCACGUGUCCCGGGGGCAGAGGAGGUCCCCAAGCCAGAAGGCGAGUUAGUCGUCUUCGAGGCUUUUUUCGCCACUGGCCUUCGUCUGCCCGCGCAUCGAUUUGUGGGAGAGGUUCUGCGUAGAUUCGAAGUCCAGGUCCACCAGCUGACACCAAAUGUCGUGGUGACCCUGGCAAAGUAUGUCUGGGCAACGACUUCGUACGGCGGGCAGCCCUCUGUCGAAGUCUUCGCGAAGCAUUAUUGUCUACAUUGGUAGAAAAGGAAAAUCGGAAAUAAGAUUGCUCAAUUUGGAUCUUGCACAUUUACGCUGAAGACCGGCAAGACUUCGAUGGAAGUCGUGGAGUUGGUUCCCUGCGCCCGCAAUAAAUGGGGCAACUGGUGGGAAUUUUGGUUCUACGUUACCGAAGGCAUAGUCGAAGACCAUCCAGGGCUCCCCGUGGCUGUCAUGUGUUCGCAUUAUUACACAGCGUACCCACAGUUUAAGGUAGCGGAGGAGGAUGAAAACGAAGGGGGCCUUCGGUGCGUGGCCCGCAUGAGUAGCGGGCGCGACCUUGUUGAGGAGUUUGUCGGGUAUGAGGUAUGGCCCUUGGCGCGUGGCUAGGCGCUGGGCGAAGUAUGCCCUCGCCAGAUGCCCUCCUAUGGCGGGAUGCUAGUGCGGAGUCCUGCCUUCACACUGGAUUUGCAUGGCCGAGAUCCCGCCGCAUUCGUGCGUGAAGCGAAAGACGGUGCAGCGAGGAUUGUGGGGCGCUACGUGCCGAAGACAGAGGGUCUGCGGAGCUGGGAUAUCCGUGGGACCAAUGAAAGGCUGAAUCGGGUCUUCGAGUUGAACCGUUUGCCUUACGGUGGUUACCCCGGGGAAGACGCCACCGACCGCCGCGGGAAGAAACCGAUGGGCGGUACCGAGGAAGGGCCAUCGCAGGAGGCCGCCCCGGCCACUAAGAAGAGAAAAUUAGGUACUAUAGUGGGGGGAAAGGGGGUGUCUGAUAAUUUUGUUGUGGAGUUGAUGGGGACAUGCGCGGCCUCCGGGGGAAGGAUGUCUUCACCCGAGCUCCGGGAGUCUUCGGCGCAAAUGCUGGAGGUUACCGGGGGUCGGUGGCUAAAGAAUCUUUCGAUCCCCUGGGCAGAGGGCGAAGACAUGUCUACGUCGCGUAUAGCUCGUGGAUUGAAGAUUUUCCCUUAUGGAUGGAAUAUUGCUGCUGUUGUGUCGGCAGUGAUGAACAAGGAUCACUAGGAUGCUGCGCAGAAGCGCCGGGCGGUCGUCAGGCUCCCCGAUCCUAGGCGUGAAGCGAAGAGAGCGCGAAGGCUGCCGCCGCCGGCGGUAGCUAGCCGACGCUGGCCAUGAAACCGGCUGCACCCGGCUCCAGCAAGGUGUCGGAGAGUGCGAAGGCCGUUGCUGCCGGCGGAACCAAGUCGACCCAGGGCGAGGCCGCGAAGGUCCGGGAGUUGCCUUCGCCGGGGAAGCGCGUUGCCGACUUCGGCACAAAUAUUAGCGUGGAUGACUAUUUUGUCGGUAAGUUUUUUCUUCUUUUUUUUGACCAGUGGUACGUUGCAAGGUCAAGCGAGGGGCAAAUGGUUGUUGUCCCGCCUGCGGUGGCAACCACGGCGUCAACCGCGGUGGUCGGGGCGAAGGGUAGCGCUUUCUGCGCAAGCGGCGAGAUUUCGUCGGCCGCUGCCGUUAAGGGCGAGGCGGGCACCAUGUCCCGCCGGCUGAGGGAGGAGUCGCUGCAGCUGUCGCAGCAGCUAAGUCAAGUAAGUUGAGCUGGACUUCGAGGUUUGCCGUUUUCAUGGGGAUUGUGGUCUCAUGUAUUUCUGUUAGGCGGCCGACUUUGCCGGCCGCGUGGCGUCGGGUGCCCUCACUGCAGAUGUGUCUGCCGAAGUCGAGAGACUUCGGGCGCAGCACGCGGACGCCGUCCGGGAGAAGUCGGUCGUGGAGAGCAAGAGACGCAGGUUGGCGGAGAAGGUGGCCGCCCUGGAGGUCGAGAGGGCGGACCUCCAACGCCAGCUGGUGGAAGAAAGGAGGGAGGCCAACCAGGCUAUUGCCGAGGCGCAGGCCGCGCAGGCGGCGGCCAAACUAGCGCGGGCAGAGGGAAGCCUUGCCAGCCAACGCGCGGAGGAAUGGGAGGAGCGGUUCAACGCUCUGCGCGACCGCAUGGAGAAGGCCGAGGCCUCUACGCGCUCGGAAGUGGAACGGACGCGCGCACAGCUCGUGGAGUCGUACCACGAGCUAGGUGCGCGGACAACUGACUUCGAGGUGCCCGACCGAGAGGCGGGCCUUCGCUUCCUCGAGUGGCUGCAAGAGGAACUGCAGGUGCUCCCGACCCUCGUGGAGGGUUUCAUGUCCUUUGCCUCCCUCGUCACCUGCAAAGGGGCCAUGAACGCGAUGUCUCGCGAGGGCCGCAGACACUUCGAGGUCUUCGACCAAGCUGACGAGAGCUUUGAACGCGAGAUUUUUAAGGCCGAAGACCCAGUUGUGAAGCAGUCGGCGGGGGCAUUGUUUGAUAGGAUGUGGGGGGCGUAUGGUCGGGAGGCUGUCCGGGAGCGGUCCGACCGAGCGAGGGAGCAGGUGAUGUUUAUUGUUUUGCUGUGGUUUGUUGUGCGUUGGUGUGUGUGGUGUUUGCUGAAAGAAUGUGCUGCUGCUGCAGAUGGAGCGCGGCGAGGACCCUGUGUUGGCCGCUGUGCCGACAGCCGAAGGCACCCAGGAGGUGGUGGCGGAGCCAGCGGUCGAAGACCCUACGACCGCGGCCGCGCCUUCACAGGUGGCUAAGUAGUUGAAUAGGUGGAGGGGAAGUUGUAAAUUUUGUCUACGUGUUACUGAACCUCGGUUGCUGCGCAGGUUCAGGAUUUUGGGCCUGCGCACGCAACCGCCACUGAAAGUGCUAAUUUUGUGGCGGCUUCGACCGCGGUUGCGGAAAUGAUUCGGAUGAUUCUGUGUCUAAGUUUUUUGAGUCUGAUGGUUCUGGGAGUUCGCUGGUGUGGACGGAGGAGUCUUCAGAUGAGGAUUUGGAUUAUUUCGCGGCAUUGGAUGUGGCUGCGGCGGAGACUUCUCCGCGUGUGAUGGAUGCUGUUCCCGGUCCGAGUGCUGGGCGUAGGCGGCGAAGGGCGGUGGCGAAGCGUAGGGUGAGUGAGGUUGAGGGUGGUCAUCUUCGUGUGGACAGGGCUGGCAAGCAGGAAUUGUUGGCCUCGCCGGCUGGGGUGAGCGUAGGUGAGGGGGAGUUGCGAAAUCUUUUUGAGGGUGAAGAACUAAGGAUAAUGUUGUUUAACUAUAGGGAGAUGGGUAUCAUCCCGAAGGUUGAACCAAUGUAAUGUUUGGUGCCCUCGCUGCACGUAUGUAACUAUAAUUUGUAUGAUGAGUCUGUGUGCCAUCGCUGAUCCAGCCGUGCCCGUGGGGGACUUGUGCAUUUGAUCUAGCGCGUUUAUUAUGCCGGUCCGGCUGCGCCUGUAAUCGGUCUUUGCGCGGAUAGUUUUUCGACGAAGUUUUUCGCACGGAUGUGCCUGCGAUUUUGCGCGCUUGUUGUGCUAGUCCGGCUGCACCCUUGGGCGACUUUUGCACGGAUAGUCUUUUGAAGAAGACUUCGAUUUUGCGCACUUGUCGUGCUAGUCCGGCUGCACCCUUGGGCGACUUUUACACGGAUAAUCUUUUGAGGAAGACUUCGAUUUUGCGCACUUGGUGUGCUAGUCCGAUUGCACCCUUAGGUGACUUUUGCACGGAUAGUCUUUUGAAGAAGACUUCGAUUUUGCGCACUUGGUGUGCUAGUCCGGCUGCACCCUUAGGCGACUUUUGCACGGAUAGUCUUUUGAAGAAGACUUCGAUUUUGCGCACUUGUUGUGCUAGUCCGGCUGCACCCUUAGGCGACUUUGGCACGGAUAAUCUUUUGAAGAAGACUUCGAUUUUGCGCACUUGUUGUGCUAGUCCGGCUGCACCCUUGGGCGACUUUUGCACGGAUAGUCUUUUGAAGAAGACUUCGAUUUUGCGCACUUGUUGUGCUAGUCCGGCUGCACCCUUAGGCGACUUUUGCGCGGAGUGUCGCACGCGAAGGUAGCCAGUGCUGCCCCUCGCGGCGACUUUGUAUUGGUCGAAUGCCGAAGACCGUCGAUGCGGUCUUUUUUCGACGUAGAUUUUUGCGGGGGAUUUUUCGCGUGUAUAUUACAUGGCUCCGCCUCGUUAAAAACCUCACCCCCCGGGAGGAAAAGAGUGCGGACCGGAAUAAAAUUGUUUUGCGAAUUACAAGGGCGAGCUGGCCCUGAGGAGUCAAACAAAAAAUUUGCGGAGAUUAUCAAUGUUCCAAGAAUGCUCUAAGUCUUCGUCGGAUGGCGUUGUGAGCCUGUACGCGCUGGGGGACGCCUUCAUCUUGACGAUGAAAGGGCCCUCCCACUUGGGCUCUAGCUUGCCCCGGGACUCUGUUCGUGCUGUCCAGACGAGUACGAGAUCUCCUUCGCUGAAUUCCCUCAGGAUGACUAUGUGGUCGCGCCAUGCUUUUGUUUGAGCUUGGUAUUUGUUUAGAGCCUAUAGGGUGAAGACGCGGUCUCCGUCGAUGAGGUCCUUCGAAGUAGGCUCGUCCACGUCGGGGGCGGCUGACGGAACUGUCCGUGGUGACCCAUGUUUUAUUUCUUGCGGGCUCAUGGCCUCCGAUCCAUAUAGGAGGUGGAAAGGGGUGAACCCGGUCGCCCUGCACUCGGUUGUGUUCAGUGCCCAAACCGCUUCAGGUAACAGGUCGGCCCACUUGCCUUUUUUGUCGUCGAGGAGCAUUUUCUUGAUAGCUGUGAAGAUUUUGCCAUUGGAGCGUUCCACAACUCAGUUGGAUUGCGGGUGAUACACUGAGGCGAAGGCAAGCGUGGUGCCAAUGGAGAAGCAGAAAUCCUUGAAGUCUUGGCUAUCAAAUUGCUUGCCAUUGUCAACUGUGAGUUCGGACGGGACUCCGAAGCGGCAAACAAUGUUUUGCCAGAAGAAUUUCUGGGCAGUCUGUGAUGUUAUCGUGGAUACAGCCCUCGCCUCGAUUCAUUUGGUAAAAUACUCAACAGCGACGAAGGUGAACUUGAGGUUCCCCUGGGCCGUGGGUAGGGGCCCUAUAAUGUCCAGGCCCCAGCGCUGAAGAGGCCACGUGUGGGCGAUUAGCUUCAUGAAUUGCGAAGGGCUUCCCGAGCGUGGAGAAAAUUUCUGGCAGGCUUCGCAGGACCUUGUGACCCGAUUUGCAGCGCAAAUCAUGGCGGGCCAGUAGAAACCUUGAUGGAUUACCUUUGCGGCUAGGGCCCUAGGCCCUGCGUGAGAGCCGCAAGUCCCGCUGUGGACUUCGCGCAGAAUUUGGACGCCUUCGGUCUCGGUGACACAUUUAAGCAUAGGUUGACUGACCCCCUUCUUGUAAAGCUGGCCUUCAAUUAGUGCGAAGUCCCGGCUUCGAUGUUUGAGGCGCUUGGCCUCAUUGAUGUCGGUUGGAUGAUAGUACCCCUGCAGGAACAGGGUUAUUGGUGCCCGCCAGUCUUCGGUCAUGAUGAGGUUGACUAUGCGGUGGCCCUCGCUGUCAUUGGUUAUUUGGAGCCCCUCUGGGUUGCGGACGGCUGGCGUGCCGAUGACAUGGUAGAAUACAUCGGAGGGCAGGGCCUCGCCUCUGGCGGCUGCUUUGGCCAAUGCGUCGGCCUCCUCAUUCUUGGCUCGGUCCACAUGCUGCAAGGUGAAACCUUUGAAUUGCCUCUCGAGACUACGGAUAGCCGCGAGGUACUGCAUAAGUGCGGGGUCCUUCGCUGCGUAGUCUUUCUCGACUUGGCCGGCGACUACCUUGGAGUCUGUUCUGAUGAUGCAGGUGGUGACGCCAAGUGCCCUUAGCUUGCGAAGGCCGAGGAUGACAACUUCAUAUUCUGCUAUGUUGUUAGUGCAUCUGUCAGACUCCAAAGCAAAGCUGAGGCGUGCUGCGUAUCUGUGCUUGACCCCUGUGGGUGAAGUAAUGACUGCAGCGGCACCUGCCCCCGCAUGGCACCAUGCAUCGUCGCAAUGGAUUGUCCACACCUUCUCUGCGGACGGGUCCGGCUAUGUUAUUGGCCCAGUCCAGUCGACGACGAAGUCUGCCAGGACUUGUGACUUGAUGGCUGUCCUGGGUUCGAAUGUGAUGUGGUAGCCGGAGAGUUCGACCGCCCAUUUGGCAAUCCGGACUGAUGCCUCCGGAUUUCUAAACAAUUCGCCGAGUCCCCUAUCUGAGGUGACCCAGACCUUGAAUGCUUCAAAAUAAUGGCGCAAUUUGCGCAAAGCCAUGACAACUGCAUAGGCGAUUUUUUCCAGUUCCGUCAUAUUGCAUUUUGAUGUCGUAAGUACUUCGGAAACGUAAUAAACUGGGCAUUGCCUGACCGUGCCCUCUCUGCUCUGCUCUUGAACCAGUGCUACGCUGACCGCAUGCGGCGAAGCUGCUAUGUAGAGCAACAGGGGUAGCGAGGGGUCUGGGCUUGUAAGAAUCGCCAACUCUGAUAGGUACUGCUUCAAUGAAGCGAAGGCCACCACCUGCUCUGGUCCCCAUGCGAAGUCUUUUGCGCCGCGGAGUGUUUUGAGGAAAGGGAGGCUUCGCUCUGCGGAUUUAGAGAUGAAUCUGUUGAGGGCGGCCAAACUGCCUAUCAGUCGUUGGACGUCUCUGGCUGACUGUGGGGGCGUCAUGUUGAUGAUGGCCUGGAUUUUGGUUGGAUUGGCUUCAAUCCCGCGGUGCGACACCAGGUAGCCCAAUAUUUUCCCCUGGCGAACGCCGAAGACGCACUUUUCGGGGUUUAGGCGAAGUCGUGCGUCCCGCAUGUUCGCAAACGUUUUGGCUAGGUCAGCCAGAUGGUCUUCCUUGCUUCUGCUGGCGACGACAAUGUCGUCCACAUAUGUAAAUAUAUUUCUGUCGACUUGGCCCUCGAGCACCGUUUUGGUGAGCCGAGAGAAAGUGGACCCGGCGUUCUUAAGUCCCUCCGGCAUUCUGAUGAAGCAAUACAUGCCGAAGGGUGUUAGGAAACUGGUGCUCGCCUUGUCCUCCUCCUUCAUGUAUAUUUGAUGGUAGCCGGAGAAGCAAUCAAGGAGUGACAUGACCUCGCACCCGGCCGCGCUAUCGACGAUUUUGUCGAUCUGAGGCAGCGAGAAGUUGUCCUUGGGGCAGGCCUUGUUAAGACUGGUGAAAUCGAUGCACAUCCGCCAUUUGCCGCUCUUCUUCUGCACCAUCACUACGUUGGCGAGCCAUGUAGGGUAGGCAAUUGGCUCGAUAAAUUUGGCCUCAAGCAGGCGAUGUACCUCAGCCUUGGCGGUUUCUGUCUUCUCAUCAGACAUCUUGCACAGCCGCUGUUUCUUCGGCCUUACCGAAGGGUCAAUUCCCAAGCUGUGCUCGAUGAUGGAGCGACUGACUCCGACCAGGUCGAGGGCGGACCAGGCGAAUACGUCUUUAUUCUUGGACAGACAGCAGAGGAGUCUUUCCUCGUCAUGCAGAGUGAGGUCUUCGCUGAUGGUGACCAUCUGCUUGGGCGUUGCUUUGUCGAGGGGAACAGUCUUGGUCCCGUCGUUGCUCUGCAGCUGUGCUUUGUCAUGUUCUUUAGCGUUUGGGCUAGCAGACUCGGGGGCCUCGCGCUGGGCCGUGAGGCAGUGUAUGUUUCUUUGCCCAGGAACAAAGUCUCUUUCUAUGUUGCGCGCAGCCUGCUGGUUGCCGUAGACUGUGAUGGCGCCUUGCGGACCUGGAAUCUUCAUGCACAAGUAAAGUCCGUGAAUGGCCGCCUCAAACUUGUUGAUGGAGCCCCGACCCAUUAUGGCGUUGUACGGGUACACCAUGUUGACGAUGUCGAACGUGACUUGCUCACUUCAGGCAUUGGGUGCUACAUCGAAGGAGAGGGGUAACUCUAUUUUGCCGACAGGAAAGGUGCCCUUGCCGCCAAAGCCAUACAGUGGGUUGUUCGAAGGCUUGAGCAGGCUGUGGCUUAUGCCCAUGCGAUCGAAGGCAUGGAGGAAAAUGAUAUCCGCCUGGCUGCCAUUGUCGACUAAGACUUUGUGCAGAUCCCAUCCUGCUACACUGCAGUUGAUAACCAUGGCGUCGAUGUGCGGUGCACUGCGCAGAUCGACGUCUCGGGCGUCGAAGGUCAAAGGCACAUGGGACCACUUUGUCUGCACGACUGGACCGGUGAUGGCGACGUGGUUGAUGCUGCGGUAAUGGUCCCUCUUCUGCCGCUUUGUGUCGAAGUCGGCGCUGGACCCCCCAGUGAUCAUAUGAAUGACUCCGCAAUACGGCUGAUCGGCGAAGUCUUCUUGCUUUGGGGCUUGUGGGUGGUUGUGGUGGUGGACGUUUUGUUGUUGCUGGUGUGGAGGUGGGGGUGGGGGAGGUACGAUUUGUACCUCCUAGUGGUGUUGGUAUGCGUGGUGUGGUGGAUGCGGAGCGGGGCCGUGGUUGUAUGGCUGAGAGGGUUGCUGGUAUGUGUGUGCGACAACUCUAGGGUUGUCGGCUGGUUGCGCUCGUGCCAUCCUGUCUCUGGUGGCCUUCGUUUCUGGGCAGUCUCUUGUAGGGUGGACGCAGCCUACGCCGUGGAACAGACAGUAAAAUAUGCGCGGCUGCUACGCGCGUCCCCGGCCCGACCAUGAGUUCUGUUUCCGCGGCCCUGGGGGGAUACUCCUGGCGGCGAGGGGCCUCGCCAGCGGGGUUCUGGUUGGCGAUGUUGUGCACCUGCUGCUGAUUGCGGCCGUCCCGACCGGAGUCUGCCUGCGAGGGCCUCGUCCACGUGCGGCUGGACUGUGGAGUGUCUUUGGGUUUCCUCUGAGACUCGACUUUGCGCUGGUGGAGCUCUUCGGAUCUGGCAUAUUUUUCAAAUAGCUGAUACAGCUCCUGGAGGUUCUUGGGCGGAUCCCUGAUGCAGUGGCUGUAAAGGACGCUGGCCCGAAGGCCACUAAUGGCGUAGUGGAUGACGAUCUGGUCAUCAACCGAAGGCAGUUGUGACUUGAGGGUCAGAAACUUGCGGUAGUACUCCCACAGAGUCUCUUUUUCCAGCUGCUUGCAGAGUGAAAGUUCAGCCAAGGCGUCGGUGUCUGGGCGGUACCCUUGGAAGUUGAGCAAGAAUUUGUCCCGGAGACUUCUCCAGGAGUCGAUGGACAAUGGGGGCAACCUGGUGUACCAGGUGAGGGCUGGGCCUUCGAGGGCGAUGAUGAAUGAUUUGGCCAUCAUGGCGUCGUCCCCUCCGGAUGAUGCAACAAUGACCUGAUAACUCAUGAUAUAUUGUGCUGGGUCAGUGCUGCCGUUGUACUUGGGAUAGGUCCCUGCCCUGAAGUUGGCGGGCCAUGGUGAUACUUGCAGGUGUGGCGCCAGGGGACUUCGCUCGUCAAGGUAGUUGACACCUUGGAAGGCCGCAGCGUGUGGGAUGGCGUGGCCGCGCUGAGGGAUGUACAGGUCUUCGACUUGUGCGCGCUGUUGGAGGGGUGGGCCGUGUUGCAGGCCGAGUUGGCCUUCGCGCUGCAUGAGCGCGAUCUCUUGUUCGAGCUCCUGAGCCUUCUGCUCUUCGUCGUGUAUCAUCUGUCGCACCUUGGCUUGUGCAGACACACGUUGGCGCUUGGCCUCGAGGAUCUCUUUUUGCUUCUGGAGGUUGCGGUUCUUGAUGUGCAAGGCGCGCAGCUGUAGCUGCUCUUCUGCUGAAACGCCGAUGACUUUGCCGUCCUCGGUGGUGUCCGCGCCCUCCGGUGGAGCGAAGCCUGGGGGAAGUUGCGGUUGUCCUCCAGAGCUGCAGGUGCGGAGACUGUCUUCGGGAGUGGGUUGUUCGUUGCGCUGCCUCUUGCUGAGUGCGUCGUCUUCGCAGGCCUCUUGGUGGGUGGUGUCGACAAGGGCCUUGCCCUUUUUCUUGGCCAGCAGUGCUGCCUUCGCAGCCUCGUCAGCCUUCGAGCUAGCUCUCUUGGGUGCCAUCGCGGGUGGUUUUUUUGUAGCACGAACGGUGGGCGCCAAAUGUUGGAACUUGCUUUCCUGGGCAAGUUGAUCCAACAGGGGAGUGAAAGCAAUGUAAACAAGGUUUUAGCUUGAGAUGGCAAUAGCUCUGUUAAUCUAGCCUCUCAAGGGCACUGUGCGGGGGUAUUUAUAGGUGUCUGAGUGCCCAGCGCCAAGGAUUAAGGACGCAUGUGCCCUCAGGUGCCUAGGUCCUCCCCGGAAUAUUCCCAUUAAAGCAGGGUUACAGACUGUAAUAACAGAAAAACCUUUACAAUUUAGGCCCGUAAUGCACAGCGACAGCGCGGGGCCCGUUAUGAUGGGCCGGAUUGCACGUGGGCCCUCGUGUUGGGCGACGCCGCGGGAUGGGGCGACCUCGCCAUAGGUCUUCGUCCUUCGGCGUGUCGGACGAAGGGUGGAGUCUGCCAGUCGUCGUCUUCGUUGGUGCAGCGAGACUGGCGAAGGCAUCGAGCGAAGGGUAGCGUCUUCGCCUCCGCCCCAACAUACUCCUCCUACACUCAUCGAGCAUCCUGUUUGAUCAAAAAAUAUGGUUUAACAACUUUGAAUAUCAUCAUCAAUUCGAAUAUAGAUAUAAAAAACAAGUGCUACAACGACUACUAAAUUAGGACAUAGGGAAUACUAAUUUUAUGUCAUAAGUUUAUUGUGUUUUUAUACAAAUUUAGUUAAAGUUUUUUUACUUAAAACAACUCUAGGAAUUAAGUAUCUCUAUGUAAUUUUUAUCGAUCGUAUUUAUAGUCUACUCUAUAUGCAUGAUUAUAAAUAUUCAUGAUAUAUCAAAAUCUAUUUAGAGGGGAGCUGAACCUCUCCGUAUGGUAACUGUUGUAUCUUAACUUUGCUAAUUCUACUAUGCUGAGCAACAAGUCAUUAUGAGUUUUUCUAUGAUUUAACUGCACAAAGAGAAGGUGGUGAAGAAAUAAAGGUAACAAUGUUAACGAGAGUCAUACAUAGAUGUAUAUUGCAUAUUUAGAUUAAAGACACGACACUCCAAACGAAUCCUUGGUCAACUCUUCAAACUAGUCGAGGGCUCAAAGACUAUACCCAUCAGGUGUGGUCGUGUGCACCCCCUUUCAGAAAGGGAUGGUUCAGCAACCCAUAGAUGGACCUCUUAAAGGAUGUUUGGUAUUAGAAGGGUGAGCUUGAAAAAUGAAAAGUCACCAUCGCUUUGAGAUCAUGGGCUUGAGCAAGACGUGGGGAUUCCUGACCUAAGUGGAGCCCUGGCCAAACCCGAAGCUAUCAUAUGCUCAUAGUCUAACAAACAUAGAAGCAUCACAUAACUGUCCCGACAAACCAAGGAUAGAGGCAAUGGUGGGGCGGGCGGGACUCAAGCCCCCUACCGCUCCUGAGCCCAUGGAGUCCCAUUGGAGCCUCCCAGAAAAUUUGAAAUAUACAUAAUAUAAUGUAGAAGAUGCUCCUAUAUUGUAGCGGUUUAGUUUUGUCCCUCCUAAAAUUUUUCCCUGGUUCCAUCCCUAUUAACAACUUGCAAAUAUCACACAACUUGUAGGUAUCACACAACACCUAUAGGUGUGUGGCAAAACAAAGUCUACCACUUGGAGGUCGAGUGUCACACCCGGUCCUAGGGGGCAGAGCCAGAUGCAUCGCAUAUGUGUGCCAGGAUCUAUUUUCACACAUAUGUUGACAUCACAAGUGUAAUAUAUCAAAAGAACAAUGCAUAAAAGAGUAAAUAACGAUUAUAUUAACAUAUUACACUUCGAACAGACAUAAUGUCUUAACCUUUAUUCAGCAAAGUACAGCGAAACAUGGACAUCCAUCCACAGAAAGAUGACCGGGGGUAUCACUAGACUAGCAUCCAUGGAGCUCAGCAUCAUAACUUCAUCUGCAAACUUCUGAUCAAAAUUAAGCAAGGGUGAGCUCACUUAUGGUCGGGGCUCAGCAAGUGGGGGAAAAAUUAAUGCAAGUUUAAUAAGGCGAGGCUAAGGUUGAGCAGUAAGCAUUUUAGUUGGUCAACAUUUUAUUAACAGCACCUGUCUUACUAAUAAGUGUGAAUCCAAGUAUUCCCAUUAAACAAAGGUAUAAGAGUAUAUCAAAAAUAUUUAAGUGAAACCACUUAAGCAAACCAUUGGCAGAUCAUCGGAUCUCGAUUUAUUUCCAUCUUCAAGUUCAAUUAUCAUGUGAGGAGUCCAGGCUGCUCAUAACCGUGAGCACGACUGAUAUAUCAGUUUUACACUCUACAGAAGUGGCACAUCUUUACCCAUGAGUCACGAUUCCCUUCUAGCCCGAGUUAGCUAGACUCAUAUUCACUUCCGAGGUGAAUGGCUACGAGGCUUUUCCCUAGAGUCCUCAUUAUGCAAAUGCUGGAAAUGGUCAAACUGCAUAGAGUACACCUAACGUAACCAACUUAUAGACCAGUCUGUAGGGUAAAGCUUUGGGAACUAUGCCCGUAUCCAAUCUGCCUGAGCCGGAACUAUAAGCGCUUGCCAGAUGCCCCCGUUCCGAUUGAUCACGACCAACACCCAACAUAAGACUUCCCUAGUUAUUUAGCCAAGGGCGUCCCAUACCACCCUCAUGGUAGCACUGUUUUCCCGGGUGGUCACUCCAUGUUCCAAUUAAAUCAUAUGAUCUUGCUUAAUCGUCGGAUUAGCAACAAUAAUGUAAACUUACCAUUUGGAACAUUAAUAUCAUAAACGGGAGUGCCUGCAUAAAUUUAAAGUUGUAGCAAUAGCAUAGCUACUUGAUUAGAUCAUAAUCCCAGGUUAAACAAGGAGUAAGAUUGGAAAGGUUAGGGGUAUCUAAAUAUGUAACCCAUCAAAUUAUGCAUAUAUAUAUCCAAGAAUAAACUUUAUUAAAUGUAUUGUUUGGGAUCAAACAGAGUAUGCGGAGGGAGAAGUCCACGUGCCUUGCUUAUUGAAAACUUGAGUUUCUUCCACGGAUCUGAAUAGAUCUUGAUUCUUAACUACUAGAUCAACUACUGAAUAUCACACAAACAAACAAGAAGAAACAAACACCACUCAAUAACAUACAACAUUCACCAUACGUAAAGCUAAAAGAAAGCCUAACAAAAAGAGCGUUCGCAUUUUUCAAAAACAUUACACGCAAGGGUUAUAAUAAAAAUGUAUUCUUUUCAAAAAAUGUGUGAUCUAUACUUUAUAAAACAAUACAUGAGCUUAAAAUAUGUUAAUUAAUUAAAAUAUGUAAAUAUUAGGUUCACCAAUUUAAUCUUUUAUAAAACGUCAUAUGUGAUAUGUCUAAAAUUAAGGGUUUUAUAAGACAAUAAAACACGUUAUAACGAUAUUAAACUUUUUUAGAAAAGCUAUAUAUAUAUAUAUGUUAUAUAUCUAAGGUUAAUGGGCUAUGAAAAAUGUUAUUUAUUUUGAAAGCAUUAUGGAACAUCUUAUAAAUCAUUGUUAAACAUUCACUUAUGAUAAACUAAGAUAUAAGUCUAAAUAGGUUUUAUAUGAAAAGAUCAUUAUUAUUAAACACCUAUUUUAUGAAAAGCUAGGUUAUAGGUCCUUAAGUGGAUUUUCAUGCAAAAGAUAAUGAACAAAAAACUAUCCAUUAGAAAACACAUAGCCUAUAUUAUUAUAUUCGAAGUCAAUAUAUAAAGUAACAAAAGAACUUAAACUCUUAUUACUUUAUUUUAUCCUUUAGGAAAAGCUAAGUGAUUUGUAUAGAAUGUGGACUAAAUUCUAUGAAAUCAUUAAUCAUGCCGUAAAUCUAGUUAAGAACAAAUUGACUAUAAGUUUGAAUAAUAAAUUAUGAUAAAGGAUAAUUUAUCUAUUAAUUAUCUUUCAUUCUAUUGUAGGAACAAAUGAUCUAAUUCAUUAGAAAGGAAAUUAUGUAUAAACUAUCAUUUUAGUUUAUAAAAGCAAUGACCCUUGUUAUCUUUUAAUUAAGAAAAUAUAAAUAAUCUAUUAAUUGGACAUAUAUUUAUCUUCUAUUUUUAUUAAGAAACAUAUGGUCUACAAAUUUUUUUAAGUUUCUAUUUAAUACGGCUAUACUUAAACAUCUAUAACGAACCUUGUUAAAUAUGAUAUCUAUUAAAAAGGUCAUUUUAAAAUUAGAAACAAAUUAUCUACUUCAUUAGUAAGAAAUCUAUGUUUACCAACAUAACUAUCAAUUUCUUUAUUAGAAAAGUAUGAGUGUCUAGUUAAGUCAUUUUAACAUUAUUAUAAAUUCUACUCUUUCGGUUUUCUCCAUUCUUUUCUAAAUAGAAUUUAUACGUAUCGUUACAAUGUUUAUUUCUAAAUCACCUUUCAUUAAUAUUCUAAGGAUUAAUGUAGAUCACUAAAUGGGUCUUUUAAUAAUAUAUUCAUGGUUAUUAUGACAUAGAUAAAUAUCUUACUAAUUCUAAGUAAUUAAGUGUUAUACUUAUGAAUACAUUUAUCAUGAAUAGUAAAAUCUAUAUCUUCAUUUGACCAGAAAAUACGUGGCUUAGUAUUUCUUCUAUUUCUUCAUGCAAAUAAGUUCACACUUAAAAUACUACUAACAAUUAUCGUUACACACACACUAAAGCAAAAUUAAAUCUGUACACGUGUUCUAGUAUGAAAAUCACCGAGGUAGUGAAUAGUAACCGUAUUCAUUUUAAAAUUAUAAAAUCAUACACAUAUUCAAAGCAUUGUCGCGGGGUUCGAUUUUGGUUACACGUAUACAUCGAAAUCUAAAAUUAUACACGUAUACACUUAUCCCAAAAUUAAUUGAAUUCAUAAACCAGGGGCUAAAUCGCAGAAUUGCCUUCUUGUACCUUGGACCUUUUGUGCAUGCGCAUGAAUGGAGGUUGAUGGGUUCGGUGAUCUCGGCGGGCAAGGAACGGGCGCGAUCUUUGGUGAGCGUUCGGGCGGAGCUCCGGCGGUCGGCGGCGGCGAUUCGACGGUGGGCAAUGGAGCCAGAGAGAGAGAGAGAGAGAGCGUGAGAGACUUGGACGAGCAAGGAGUGUAAGAGAGAGGGGCGAGCUCAGGUAGGGAUGAAGAGAGGGAGAUCCAUCUCCAAUUUAUAGAGGGAUAGGAGAGGGAGAGAGAGGGGCGCCGGGGAGAGAGAGUAAUGGCCGGCAUAAACUCCAUUGAUGGCAUUCAUGGAGCUUCAAUGAGGGAGAGGAAAUGGGGGAGAGAGAGAUAUGGCGCCGUCGGUUCGGCUCCGCAGGGCGGGUUCCUGGCGCGGGACACGACGCUCGGCCGUGGGCAGCGCGCGGUCGGGCGAGGCGUCGGGCUAGGGUGACGGCGGCCUGGGCGCGCUCCUGGCGCGGGGUGCCCUGGCGCGGUCAGGGAAGGGAACGCGAGCCUGGGAGGAAAGGGGAGGGGAGAGAAAGCACGGUGGGGCCGAGGCGUCUGUGAGAGAGAGGAGGGGGGAAGGAAAAGGAGGUGGCGGCGGUGGCAGUAGGGGAGGGAGGCGUGGCUGGUCCUUGUUGGGCCCCUAGUGGGCCUUAGUGUUAGUGUUAGGGUUUUUCGUUUUUUCUUUUCUAAUUUCGAAAUAUAUUUUUAAAUAAUCCUAAAAUUCAUAAUAAUUAUUCCCAAAUUAUUUAUAAAUAAAAUAUUUAUUUUUGGACUAAUAAUUAUUAUAUUAUUUAUGUGAAUUUUCAUUUAAGAAGAAAUGUUAUUAAAUAUCCAAAAAUCAAUCAUGAGCAUUCAAAAAUUAUUCCAAAUAAAAUAAAUAACAAACACUUUAAAGAAAAUUUAUUAUCAUAAUUACCAUUAAUAAACUAACUGCAUUAUUUUUAUUUGAUGAUUUUUAUUGUGUUACAAACCUACCCCUCCUAAAAGAAUCUCGUCCUCGAGAUUAAGGAAGGCUAGCACGAAAGCAAAGGAGAUACAUGGUUUAUCUGUAGGUUCUUAGUUCACAUUGAACUCUUCUAAUAUUAAGGAACUUCAUUUCUUCUUUGCUCUGCAAUGUAUACUAAUCAAGCGACCUUCAUCAUCGUACUUAUAAAAUGGUUGGUCUUCUGAAUUAUUGCUUAGGUCAUGCUUGGCAGCUUUCUUCUUUAGUCGGUUUAGACGCUUCUUGGGGCAUUCGUGAAUAAUAUGUCCUUCAUUUUUGCAGUAGUAGCAAGCACCUCUUUCUUUGAGUUCUUUGCGAUUCAACUUUGCUUGACCUACAUGGGUGAGGGUUGACUGGGUUUUUGUAUCUCAUAUAACUGAGCCUGACUUGAUUCUUCUAUUUGGGUAUCCAUGUGUUUCGUGGCUUUUGCUUGUGGUUGAGGUGGACUACUCAUGUAUCCAAACAUUUUUCUAUUCCUUUUGUUGUUCUUCAUUCCAUUCAUCAAAUAUCUCUGUGACACAUUUUUCUUGUCCAUAGUUGUUAAGGUAGGAAUAUUGUCAUUGUCAUCAUUUACUUUAUUUCCAUUGGGGUUCAUCACUAGUCAGAGGGUAAAAGAGUUAGUGAGACAGACUACAUAAGAGGCUUGUAUGACAUUAAGAUAAAGAGCUAACACAACAUUUUGAUUCCCAAGAUAAGAUUAGUUAAGGAUGAUUUCCAAUUGCGCCUAGCUUCAUCAUACUACAAGAGUGUACAAGUGUUAUAAUCCUUAACAAGGAUCUUUUGAACUUUAUAGAUUUCAUAGCAUGAUAUCCAAAUCAUCUUUCUAAUCCAACAAUAUUUCUUUGAGCACAAAUUGAGAGAAAUACUUGAGCGGGACUUUAGGGCAACUAGAAUAGAGCAUCACAUUGUUUGCAUAUAGCAGAUGACACCACACUUUAUUCUCUUUAUAAAGGGGCAAAACACAAUAGGUGCAAAAUAUUCUCCAAAUUUAUUCAUAUAUCACUUAGCACAAUUACAGAUCCUUUAAGAGAGCAACACCUUGACAUUUUGUUUUCUUCGUGAGACAUACUCCUUCUUCUAGCUAAAUGAUAUAUUAUUCUUCCUUGUCAGAUGCACCAAUCAGAGCUGGAGGUCGAUUGUCUUCAACUACUAUUCUUUCUCCAGAUGGGGUUUCCAAACACAUGGUUCUCUCGGUAUGUUGGAUUACUGCCUUAGUUCUUUGUAACCAAUUCUUUCCAAGAAUCACAUCCUUUCCCAUUGAUUCUAUCACUAUAAGAUCAGCUAGAAAAUCUAUACCAUUGAUUUUAACACUUACUUUUGGACAUAUGUAAUUCACUAACAUUUUCCUUUCGGGUGCACUGAUUGUCAUCCUUGAUCUCAAGGGACACUUAAAGAUACCAUACUUUGUUGCAAACUGGACACUGAUAAAAGAAUGUGUUGUACGAGGAUCAUACAACACGGUGGCGAUAGUUGUGUGAAUGACCAGUGUUCCAAAAUUACUGCAUUUUCAUAUGGAAUGGUUCCUGUCACUGCAUAUCUUAUCCUUCCUAUGGACUUUUUCUGUUGUUUAUUCUUUGCAUGAGUUUGAGGGUGUUGUCUUUUCUUUUGGACCUUAUUGAUCUCUACAUCCUUCUUAGGACAACUAUUAAAAAGAUGGCCGGUAUCACCACAACCAAAGCAAGCACGACUUGAUGAGUUACAUGGUGGAGUUGUCUUUACGGUGUUGGUAGAAGUUUCUGUGCAUUUUUGUUCAUAUUCGGUGUCUAAAGACUGAGAUAGCUUCAUCUCGAAGGUGAUAUGUAGUGAACUCUUCUCAGGACUGUUACGGAAGUAAUGACCUUCACGUCCACAUUGAUAGCAAGCUCUUCUUGAAGUUAAUUCUUGACUUUUUCCAUGUUUCCCUUUUUGUUUCUUGGACCUGAUGCGAACCCGAGGCUAAAACUGUGUACAUGUAAUGGUCCAUCCAUCAAUGUAACACUCCUGUUUUUCUUCUUGGGGCUGGGCAUCCUUGUGAUGUUUCCUUUUUGGAAUACUUUGCAAUUCAUCAACUGACAGUGCAUUAGGUAUGAGAGAAUCUGCUAUUAGUUGUUCUUGAGGAGACAUCUGUCUUUUUAUGCCAGAAAAUAAAAUAUGGUUCUUCAGUUUUGCAGUUUCACUUUCAUUUGCAUUGAUUUAGCGACAAGGAAUUCCAUAGUACUCACAACAACAACAUGUUCCAAGGUCACUUGUCUGUUGGUUUGGUUGUGCAUCCUUUUGUGUCUUGAAUGUCUGUUCAUGAGAUGUUUUAUUUAUAGUGUUGUUUUGACUUGCCAACACACCGCAUUCUUUGCAUUUAGUGACAUCACUUGUAGUUGACAUUCCAAGGUCUGACAUCUGUAUGGGUAUGGAAGAAUGGAAGGGACGAAAGGCUUGAGCAAAGACAAAUUAUAGAGAGCAGGGAAACCCAUCUAUCUAAGGUUUUACCUAGCUAACUGAUGCCAUUGUGGACAAAAGUCACACAAUACACCAACAAUCAUUUCAAAGAAGCAAAUCAAAAUGAACACAAAGGACAAUGAACUCAAGCAUACUGGCACAACACAAUCCAAUUCUACUCAUUCAACCUAAACAAAAGGUGAGACAAGGUUUGGAAUAAGAAAGAUAUUAUAAAGUCAAGGAGUCAGGUAAGAAAUAGCGAGGAGUUAGACAAGACAUAUUUGUUGGUGGCCAAGAGUAAAAUAAGAUAACCAUGAACUAUUAAAGUGAGGAUAAAUGAUACAACCAAGGAUAUGAAGUGAGUUAGGGAGAAUGCAUUAUCAAGGAGUAAGUAGAGAGGCAAAGAUUUAAUAUAUUAAGAUAGAUAUUGCGCAAGGGUGGCAAUGCAAUGGCAAGAAAACAAAAGUAUAAGAAGUCAAGGAUUAUAUAGCAAUAUUAGGGAUUAGAAAACCACUAUAAUAUAAUGUCACCCUUACCGAUCUAGUCGAAAAUCUUAAUACUAAAGAACAAUCCUAUCAACCUAACCAAGAAGUCUAGUAAUAGAUCCAAAGCAUCCUUAGCAAAACUUCUUGCAGAGUGGGGAUAAGACAGAGAAUACGGCAUCAUCGAUAACCUUGAAAGGGUUUCUUCUGGCAAACUUCGUUUCAAGUUCCACAAUCCUAGCUUGAUCAUCUUGCAAUGCUUCUCAUUAGAACCUUCUGAUAAACGAAGAAUCAGACAAGAAGGGUGGAAGAUAAAAGAGACGAGUUUUGAUAUAAAGUAAGUUUUUAUGGAGACAAUUAAAUCAAGUUUUGAAUGACUGACUGGGCUUUCCAUUUCUAACUAAUCUAUCGACCUUCGGUCACAUUAGCUUUGAUACCACUUCUGUCACACCCGGUUCCAGGGGCAGAGCCGGAUGCAUCGCAUAUGUGUGCCAGGAUCUAUUUCCACACAUAUGUUGACGUCACAAGGGUAAUAUAUCAAAAGAACAAUGCAUAAAAGCGUAAAUAACGAUUAUAUUAACAUAUUACACUUCGAACAGACAUAAUGUCUUAACCUUUAUUCAUCAAAGUACAAUGAAACAUGGACAUCCAUCCAUAGGAAGAUGACCGGGGGUAUCACUAGACUAGCAUCCAUGGAGCUCAGCAUCAUAACUUCAUCUGCAAACUUCUGAUCAAAAUUAAGCAAGGGUGAGCUCACUUAUGGUCGGGGCUCAGCAAGUGGGGGAAAAAUUAAUGCAAGUUUAACAAGGUGAGGCUAAGGUUGAGCAGUAAGCAUUUUAGUUGGUCAACAUUUUAUUAACAACACCUGUCUUACUAAUAAGUGUGAAUCCCAAGUAUUCCCAUUAAACAAAGGUAUAAGAGUAUAUCAAAAACACUUAAGUGAAACCACUUAAGCAAACCAUUGGCAGAUCAUCGGAUCUCGAUUUAUUUCCAUCUUCAAGUUCAACUAGGUGAGUGCCGGUGCGUUGCAACAGGAACAUAUAAUAACAUAAUAACUUAUAUACAAAAUGUGUCUUAUACUAUUAUAAGAAAAUGUUUCAUAAUCCAUUUGUAAUCCUAGCCAUACAUAAAUUUUGUUAUUUUAAUUUAGCUGUUUCACUACUACAUUGCAACCAUCAGUAUCAUGCAGACUUUGAUAUAUGCCACGAUUUGCAUGGUCUCAUCAUUGAAGAGCACGUGCCACACCUGCCGGUAGAAGUUCCCUCGUACAUUGUCAGUCAUCAGGUACGCACCACCAUACACGCUUGCUUACAAAAAAGGCAAGUGUAUGUGUUUGCGAAGAGAAUUAGAGGCAGGCCAGCACAAAAGCUACCCCGGCGAUGACGAGUGGUCAUUGCUGUCGGUCCUCCUCUACGUCACCUUUGGCACCAAGAUGACGCCAUAAUCCUUGAUAUAGUAGUCGUCGAACACACACGACAUGGCGAGUACCGAUGACUCUUGGCUGGGCUGCCAAACGAAGUGCACCCGGGCUCAUCAGCGAGGUAGUACACCUAGCCGUUGCACCACCGGAUGUGCUACUCCUCUACAUACAUCUUGUUCGAGGACACUCACACAACGUCAGCAACGAUCGUCGUCUCAGCGCACAAGAAUUCAUGACCGGUCAGUAGUGACUUACGUGGCAGGUUGAGCUUCAGGUGGAUGAUGAGCUGGACAGCGUGACGACGCCGUUGUCGGAUGCGGUGCCCAGAACAACCCGAGAGUCGUCGGCGUUGGCUACAACCAUGAGGUCCCUCUAUUUGAAGAUGGACAACGCAGUGCAGCCACUCUGGACCGCGUCCAAGCGGCGGCUGCGACGGAGCUUGCCGAACACAGUGACGCAUGCGACCACGUAGUACUGCUUCCAGAGGUCGAACUGGCAGUCGCCAAACUUCUUCUCGUCGUCGAUGAGCGAUGCCAACAUGAGCGCCUCCUGCCAGUGGUGUUUGUUCGGGGUUUCCAAGUAAGAAACAUGGAUUCAUUGUUGGCGUUGGUUUAUAAAAAUGACUCACAAGUCGGAUCCAUGAAAAAAUAUUACCGAGAAUAAAUGUCACACAUAUAAAAAAGGAAUUUAAGUUGAAAACAUUAUUCAAACAAAAGAAAUUGCAUGCAAGGCACUUCUUUAAAUACUACUCCCUCCAUCCAAAAAUAUAAUUCAGGAAUCUCGUUGAUAAUUAUCUACUACUAGACAUUGUACAAGGGUAGCAGGUGGGCUUUUGGGAGAUGUAGUAGAUAUUUUUACCGUAACAAAUAUUGACAUAAACACACAUGUGGUGUAGUGGUAGCUACAAGCACAUUUGCUUGAGGGGUCGCAGGUUCGAAUCCCAUUGGGGCAAUAUUUGUGUUUUUUUAAUUUAAUUUUAGCUAGGUGUGGGAUGCACGUGGGAAUGGGAAUGAGAUUUGCGGGGAGGGGGGAAUGAGAAAGACAGUGCGGGGAGGGGGGAAUGGGAAUGGCAGAACACGGAAGGAAUGAGAAUGGCAGAACACGGAAUGGGAAUGGGCUUUGCGGGGAGGGGAGAAUGAGAAAGACAGUGUGGGGAGGGGGAAUGAGAAUGGCAGAACACGGAAUGGCAGCCUACCCCUUACCGUCUUAAUAAGUAAGUAGUAGAGAUUAUCAUGUGAGGAGUCCAGGCUGCUCAUAACCGUGAGCACGGCUGAUAUAUCAGUUUUACACUCUACAGAGGUGGCACAUCUUUAACCAUGAGUCACGAUUCCCUUCUAGACCGGGUUAGCUAGACCCGUAUUCACUUCCGAGGUGAAUGGCUAGGGUCUCACUACAAGGCUUUUCCCUAGAGUCCUCAUUAUGCAAAUGCUGGAAAUGGUCAAACUGCAUAGAGUACACCUAACGUAACCAACUUAUAGAUGAGUCUGCAGGGUAAAGCUUUGGGAACUAUGCUCGUGUCCAAUCUGCCUGAUCCGGUACUAUAAGCGCGUGCCAGAUGCCCUCGUUCCGGUCGACCACGACCAGCACCCAACAUAAGACUUCCCUAGUUAUUUAGCCAAGGGCGUCCCAUACCAACCUCAUGGUAGCACUUUUUUUCUCGGGUGGUCACUCCAUGUUCCAAUUAAAUCAUAUGAUCUUGCUUGAUCGUCGGAUUAGCAACAAUAAUGUAAACUUACCAUUUAGAACAUUAAUAUCAUAAACAGGAGUGACUGCAUAAAUUUAAAGUUGUAGCAAUAGCAUAGCUACUUGAUUAGAUCAUAAUCCCAGGUUAAACAAGGAGUAAGGUUGGAAAGGUUAGGGGUAUCAAAAUAGGUAACCCAUCAAAUUAUGCAUAUAUAUAUAUCCAAGAAUAAACUUUAUUAAAUGUAUUGUUUGGGAUCAAACAGAGUAUGCAGAGGGAGAAGUCCACUGUAACACCCGGAUUUUAGGGGUCCAAAACCCGGGCGCUAACAUAAACACCAGGUAUGCUGGGACCAAGUCUCACACAUAUGAUGUAAAGUGGCACAGGAUCGAAUGUCACAUCUUUAUAUAUAACAGGAGUUCUAUACAAAAUAAAUAAUUACAUUAUAAGGAGACAACGGUCCAGCAACCCAAAGUUGACUGGGAGACGACGACCUAGACCACUCACGAACUCAUCGCAACAUCCUCCAUGAGCAUCAUCCUGCAGUACCUGGUCUUGACCUGUGGUGUAUGUGAGACAGCAAGAGUGAGCUCACAUACGUUCAUCGCUCAACAAGUUGUGGGGAAUAAUGUGCAUGAACUCGCCAAAGGUGGGAGCUCACGUGAAGUGUAAGGCUUACCAAAGAAGAUGGUUAGAGCUGAGCAUUGCUUUUAAAGUUGGUCAAAAUUUUAUUAGCAGUUACUAAGUAUAAGUAAAUACCAACCCAAUUAAAUAGUAGAACAAAAGUAACAACAUCACCUGUACAACAUCACCUGCGAUGCAAUGCAUAUGACAAAUUGAGUUUAAUUCCAUAAUUUAAUCAUGUGAGGGUCCGAGCCGCUCAUGACCGUGAGCACGGCUAGUAUACCAGUUUUACACUCUGCAGAGGUGGCGCAUCUUUACCCACAAGUCAUGUUACCCAUCUGCCAAGGGAUCGCGACUUCCCAUACACCUCUACCGAGGAGGCGAGGCAGGGUAACACUACGAGGCCUUUACAAAGUUCCACUAGCUUCAGAAAACCCGCUACAGUUUAUAGGAAGCUCCAAUGCAGGAAUCCCUUGCAGGACCGCCAUCACAGCAAAAUCCUCCCGAGGGCCUCCCCAGGAAUCCCUUGCAGGACCGCCAUCACAGCAAAAUCCUCCCGAGGGCUUCCCUAGGAAUCCCUUGCAGGACCGCCAUGACAGCAAAAUCCUCCCGAGGGCCUCCCUACAUUGACCACUCCCCUACUGCCCUUGCCCCUUUCGGGUAAGGUAGUCUUCCACUAGCUUUCCUAAUUAAUCAGCCAAGGGCGUCCCAUUAAACCCUUGUGGUAGCACUGUUUUCCCGGGUGGUCGCUCCAUGUUCCAAUUAACAUAAUGAUCUCAUCAUGAACAAUAAAUAACAACUGAUAACCAAAGUAUAAUCAUGAAUAAUGUAAUCUUCAUACCCAAAACCACAUAUAGCACUAGCAAGUACUACCCAGAAAGUUUAGUGGUAAGCAAGGUAUAAAGAUAGACAAACUAGGGUAACCUAUUGGGUCCCAUCAAAAUUAACCUAUGCAGAUCAUUAUGAUUAAUUAGAACAUGAGUGGGUAAAAAGAAGUGAUCAAGGGCACAACUUGCCUGGGCCUUGAGAAUCCAGGUACCAGGAUGAUUCUUCAGAUCCUCGUGACCUCACUGCUAGUCGUAGCAAUACAAACAUACACGGUAUAGGCAAGAUUAACAUUACACCAAACAUAUAUGCAAAAUACAUAUUAAUAAUCUACAUAUUAAAAUAAGAUCACAGGAAAAAGAAUUAUUAAUUUUGGAGUUGUAGAAUUCAAGUUAUGAAUUUCCUAAGAUUUAAGGUAAUUAUAAUAUGAUUAAAUGAUAAAUAAAUUUUCUGACAGAGUUCAUGUCAAAACAGUGAUUCUAAAUGGUAGAGAAUAUUAUUACAAAAUUUUAGGAAUUGGAAUGACUCAAUUUGGAGCUAAAAUGAAUUAGUUAUGAAUUUCUGGAUUUAUUUUAACACUAAAAAUCAUUUUCUAAAUCAUUUUCUAUGAUUUUCCUAUUCACUGGACUGGGCCUCAAUUAUAAGAAAAGUCAGGGGGCUCGGGGUAAGUCGUCCCAGACUCAGGAAACAGUAAAACGGGGAUGGCGGGUUGAUUUUAAUAAAACAGAGGGUCUCUUUAGCAAAAAGCACGGCCGAAGAGGUAUCUUGCAAUCUCAGCCGCACGAUCGACUAUCGACCGCUAGGAUUAGAUGUAUCUCGGGCCGAAUCGGUACGCGAUCAGAGCCGUUGGAUUAAAGAUUAACGGCACGGAUUUAAUGAAUCAAAGAUCUACUCUACACCGCUGGAUCUCGCAUCGACGGACGCAGUUGGAUUGGACGAAGGGGUAAGCUUGAUCUAAUCGGGACCGUCCAUCCAUGGAUCAACGGCCACGGAGUUCUCUUCCUCCCCCCGACUCCGUGAACACCGAGCCGCGGCCCACGGUGGAGAUCCCCUCCCCCGCCGACGCCCCGAUCGUCGAUCAGUGAGUUAACCCCCGAUUGGAUACACGCAAAACAAUGCGGAGGCGAAGGUGAAUUAAUGAGCCAAGUUUUACCGGCUGAGGUGCUAUGGUGAGGUCGGCCCGCGGCACGGAGCGGCGACACGGCGGUGCAGAGUCUUCCGGUGAGCAAUUCGCGGUGCCCCAGCUCUCUUAACGUCGAAUUGAGGGUUGCAGAAGCUUCCACAUGCGCUCACGACCCUUCUUGUCUUCUCCUUGGAACCCGGCUGUCGCUAGGAAAGCAGGGCACCGACGGCGACUAAUUUCUCUCAUCCGGCCAUGGGGGUGUACGGCGACGGGGCUCUCCAGAGCACGGCUAGAUGGGGUAGAUGCUCGAGAGGAUAGCGACGCCCAAUCUUAUACCCGCGAGGGCACCGCAAGAGUCCGCGAAAGGGGGAACGAGGACCGAGUUCGGAGCUGCUCCGAUGAACUCGCGUAGGCUGCGGUCGAAUUCGUUGCGUGAAGCGGACUUGGGAUAGGGAAGAGUCUGACGCGUGGGUCCCAUGAGCCAUUGACGGAACGCGCGCGCAGCGCGGAAAGAAGGCAGGCGCAUGUGAGCGGCUGAUAGUGGGCCCGGGUUGUCAGCGAGGGUGGCGGGCGCGCGGAUGGGAAGGUGAGUUGGGCCGAGCGACGCGGUAAGGCAGUGGGAGCUGGGCCGCACGAGAGUAUUCCGGCCCAGGAUAGGUAAAAUCCCUUUUCUUUUUCUUUUAACCUUUCUAAUUUCCUUUCUUGAUUCAAAUUCAAAUGGGAUUCAAAUUUAAUUCAAACUUUUGUGACCAAAGAUUCUCAGAUGAUAUUGAGCUAUAAGCAGUACUAUUUUGAAUAUAUAUUUUUUUGUAACUUUUCUCUUUUUUUGGUUUUAGUUUUAGAAUUUCUUUUAAGAUUUAAUUUCCCAUUUUACUUAGUGCUCUAAUUGUGAAUUCAAUGAUAGACUUGCCUUAAAUUUUGAUGCACAAACAAGAAAAAGUCCAGCAUGAUGCACAUUUUAUUAAGGAUUUUUCCACUUUAUCUAUGCCUACUAAUAAUUAUCAUGAAUGAAAAGGUACCACACAUGAAGAUUUAUUUCUUUCUCUUAUUUUCCAAAAUUGGGUAUUACAAAUCCUACCCCCCUUAAAAAUAAUCUCGUCCUCGAGAUUUGUAAGAAAAGGGUUACAGAGAAAUUGGUUUGAAAUCUAUAUUAAGUGGUUUUAGUACCAAAAGAUUUUUUUUUUGUCUAAACCCAAAUUGGCAGGUGAUUAGGAAAGCAUGGGUGUAUAUAUGUAUGUCUACUUUAUUAUGUAGGAUAGAAGAUGUCUUUAAAGCAUAGAUAGGUUUGGGUAAGAAAGUGUAGGGUAAGGAAAGACUUCAUCCAAGAUUGUGGAUCUUGACUCCGUUGGCGAUUCAGCUUGAUCUUUGAAGUCUUGAGUUGAUGCUUAUCCUUCUUUGACGUGGUUGGUCUCCCUUGGCCUUUCUUCUUGGAGUUGCCAUCCGAGUUAAGGACAUAUGGUUAAGAUAUAUGUGAGUAGCAUGGAUUAUGUGGUGUAGGUAGGUUAGAAUCUAUUGCUAGGUUUAAAAUCGAGGGGUUAUGCAACUAUCGGAUGGUUAAGGUAGUUGCAUAUGGCCAAGUUGGUCUGUCGUUCUUAAUUUAGUGUAGGGUGAACUAAGUUAAGACAUGUUCUAUUGGAGUAGAGUCUAAUCUAUUUCAUCAGUAUUAUCUAACAUGUUUGAUAAGUCACUUUAGAUUAGAUCAGAUCUAGGUUACAUUGGUGUGACUAGCUUGAACUAGAUAAAAUCUAAUUAAUUUGGAUUAGAUCAUGAUUGUUACUCUGAGGUGAGAUAAGCAAAGUGGUUAGAAUAAGAUAAGAUAAGAUAAGAUAAGAUAGAUUCUUUUAAGAUAAGAAUUGAUCUAUGAAGGUAGGAUAGAAUCCUUUCCAGAUGGGAUGGAUAUUGUUAGGCUAGAUAUUUUAAUGAGGGAUAAUCUAGUUUAUCUAGUUAUUUUUAUAAGCAUUUUUUUUAUGUAUAUGCAGAUGUAAUUGUGGAUCUUACUCCACAACUAAUCACACUCAAUCAAAGAUCCAAAUCAGACAAGUAUCAUAAGAACAAACAUUCAAGUGCAUAGAUAAAAAUAGUUUUGUUUUUGUUCCUAAGAUUAGGUUUCCUAUUCCUAAAAGUCAAUUUAGGCACAAGAUUUCAAAGGGUGAAAUCCACAUUUGUCUUUUGAAAGAAAAGGUAAAAGUAAUCAGAGUAAAGCGGAAAUAGAUGAGAAAAGAUUAAGAAAAGUUUAGAAAAGAAUCAGGGUAGCAAAGGUAAGUAAGUAUUGGUUGUCCAGUUCUAUCUAGGUUUCGUCCUACAGUCAACAUUCCUCUGAUACCACUUCUGUAACACCCGGAUUUUAGGGGUCCAAAACCCGGGCGCUAACAUAAACACCAGGUAUGCUGGGACCAAGUCUCACACAUAUGAUGUAAAGUGGCACAGGAUCGAAUGUCACAUCUUUAUAUAUAACAGGAGUUCUAUACAAAAUAAAUAAUUACAUUAUAAGGAGACAACGGUCCAGCAACCCAAAGUUGACUGGGAGACGACGACCUAGACCACUCACGAACUCAUCGCAACAUCCUCCAUGAGCAUCAUCCUGCAGUACCUGGUCUUGACCUGUGGUGUAUGUGAGACAGCAAGAGUGAGCUCACAUACGUUCAUCGCUCAACAAGUUGUGGGGAAUAAUGUGCAUGAACUCGCCAAAGGUGGGAGCUCACGUGAAGUGUAAGGCUUACCAAAGAAGAUGGUUAGAGCUGAGCAUUGCUUUUAAAGUUGGUCAAAAUUUUAUUAGCAGUUACUAAGUAUAAGUAAAUACCAACCCAAUUAAAUAGUAGAACAAAAGUAACAACAUCACCUGUACAACAUCACCUGCGAUGCAAUGCAUAUGACAAAUUGAGUUUAAUUCCAUAAUUUAAUCAUGUGAGGGUCCGAGCCGCUCAUGACCGUGAGCACGGCUAGUAUACCAGUUUUACACUCUGCAGAGGUGGCGCAUCUUUACCCACAAGUCAUGUUACCCAUCUGCCAAGGGAUCGCGACUUCCCAUACACCUCUACCGAGGAGGCGAGGCAGGGUAACACUACGAGGCCUUUACAAAGUUCCACUAGCUUCAGAAAACCCGCUACAGUUUAUAGGAAGCUCCAAUGCAGGAAUCCCUUGCAGGACCGCCAUCACAGCAAAAUCCUCCCGAGGGCCUCCCCAGGAAUCCCUUGCAGGACCGCCAUCACAGCAAAAUCCUCCCGAGGGCUUCCCUAGGAAUCCCUUGCAGGACCGCCAUGACAGCAAAAUCCUCCCGAGGGCCUCCCUACAUUGACCACUCCCCUACUGCCCUUGCCCCUUUCGGGUAAGGUAGUCUUCCACUAGCUUUCCUAAUUAAUCAGCCAAGGGCGUCCCAUUAAACCCUUGUGGUAGCACUGUUUUCCCGGGUGGUCGCUCCAUGUUCCAAUUAACAUAAUGAUCUCAUCAUGAACAAUAAAUAACAACUGAUAACCAAAGUAUAAUCAUGAAUAAUGUAAUCUUCAUACCCAAAACCACAUAUAGCACUAGCAAGUACUACCCAGAAAGUUUAGUGGUAAGCAAGGUAUAAAGAUAGACAAACUAGGGUAACCUAUUGGGUCCCAUCAAAAUUAACCUAUGCAGAUCAUUAUGAUUAAUUAGAACAUGAGUGGGUAAAAAGAAGUGAUCAAGGGCACAACUUGCCUGGGCCUUGAGAAUCCAGGUACCAGGAUGAUUCUUCAGAUCCUCGUGACCUCACUGCUAGUCGUAGCAAUACAAACAUACACGGUAUAGGCAAGAUUAACAUUACACCAAACAUAUAUGCAAAAUACAUAUUAAUAAUCUACAUAUUAAAAUAAGAUCACAGGAAAAAGAAUUAUUAAUUUUGGAGUUGUAGAAUUCAAGUUAUGAAUUUCCUAAGAUUUAAGGUAAUUAUAAUAUGAUUAAAUGAUAAAUAAAUUUUCUGACAGAGUUCAUGUCAAAACAGUGAUUCUAAAUGGUAGAGAAUAUUAUUACAAAAUUUUAGGAAUUGGAAUGACUCAAUUUGGAGCUAAAAUGAAUUAGUUAUGAAUUUCUGGAUUUAUUUUAACACUAAAAAUCAUUUUCUAAAUCAUUUUCUAUGAUUUUCCUAUUCACUGGACUGGGCCUCAAUUAUAAGAAAAGUCAGGGGGCUCGGGGUAAGUCGUCCCAGACUCAGGAAACAGUAAAACGGGGAUGGCGGGUUGAUUUUAAUAAAACAGAGGGUCUCUUUAGCAAAAAGCACGGCCGAAGAGGUAUCUUGCAAUCUCAGCCGCACGAUCGACUAUCGACCGCUAGGAUUAGAUGUAUCUCGGGCCGAAUCGGUACGCGAUCAGAGCCGUUGGAUUAAAGAUUAACGGCACGGAUUUAAUGAAUCAAAGAUCUACUCUGCACCGCUGGAUCUCGCAUCGACGGACGCAGUUGGAUUGGACGAAGGGGUAAGCUUGAUCUAAUCGGGACCGUCCAUCCAUGGAUCAACGGCCACGGAGUUCUCUUCCUCCCCCCGACUCCGUGAACACCGAGCCGCGGCCCACGGUGGAGAUCCCCUCCCCCGCCGACGCCCCGAUCGUCGAUCAGUGAGUUAACCCCCGAUUGGAUACACGCAAAACAAUGCGGAGGCGAAGGUGAAUUAAUGAGCCAAGUUUUACCGGCUGAGGUGCUAUGGUGAGGUCGGCCCGCGGCACGGAGCGGCGACACGGCGGUGCAGAGUCUUCCGGUGAGCAAUUCGCGGUGCCCCAGCUCUCUUAACGUCGAAUUGAGGGUUGCAGAAGCUUCCACAUGCGCUCACGACCCUUCUUGUCUUCUCCUUGGAACCCGGCUGUCGCUAGGAAAGCAGGGCACCGACGGCGACUAAUUUCUCUCAUCCGGCCAUGGGGGUGUACGGCGACGGGGCUCUCCAGAGCACGGCUAGAUGGGGUAGAUGCUCGAGAGGAUAGCGACGCCCAAUCUUAUACCCGCGAGGGCACCGCAAGAGUCCGCGAAAGGGGGAACGAGGACCGAGUUCGGAGCUGCUCCGAUGAACUCGCGUAGGCUGCGGUCGAAUUCGUUGCGUGAAGCGGACUUGGGAUAGGGAAGAGUCUGACGCGUGGGUCCCAUGAGCCAUUGACGGAACGCGCGCGCAGCGCGGAAAGAAGGCAGGCGCAUGUGAGCGGCUGAUAGUGGGCCCGGGUUGUCAGCGAGGGUGGCGGGCGCGCGGAUGGGAAGGUGAGUUGGGCCGAGCGACGCGGUAAGGCAGUGGGAGCUGGGCCGCACGAGAGUAUUCCGGCCCAGGAUAGGUAAAAUCCCUUUUCUUUUUCUUUUAACCUUUCUAAUUUCCUUUCUUGAUUCAAAUUCAAAUGGGAUUCAAAUUUAAUUCAAACUUUUGUGACCAAAGAUUCUCAGAUGAUAUUGAGCUAUAAGCAGUACUAUUUUGAAUAUAUUUUUUUUUGUAACUUUUCUCUUUUUUUGGUUUUAGUUUUAGAAUUUCUUUUAAGAUUUAAUUUCCCAUUUUACUUAGUGCUCUAAUUGUGAAUUCAAUGAUAGACUUGCCUUAAAUUUUGAUGCACAAACAAGAAAAAGUCCAGCAUGAUGCACAUUUUAUUAAGGAUUUUUCCACUUUAUCUAUGCCUACUAAUAAUUAUCAUGAAUGAAAAGGUACCACACAUGAAGAUUUAUUUCUUUCUCUUAUUUUCCAAAAUUGGGUAUUACAUCCACUUGCCUUGCUUAUUGAAAACUUGAGUUUCUUCCAUAGAUCUGAAUAGAUCUUGAUUCUUAACUACUAGAUCAACCCUGAAUAUCACACAAACAAACAAGAAGAAACAAACACCACUCAAUAACAUACAACAUUCACCAUACGUAGAGCUAAAAGAAAGCCUAACAAAAAGAGUGUUCGCUUUUCAAAAACAUUACACGCAAGGGUUAUAAUAAAAAGGUAUUCUUUUCAAAAAAUGUGUGAUCUAUACUUUAUAAAACAAGACAUGAUCUUAAAAUAUCUUAAUUAAUUAAAAUAUGCAAAUAUUAGGUUCACCAAUUUAAUCUUUUAUAAAACGUCAUAUGUGAUAUGUCUAAAAUUAAGGGUUUAUAAGACGAUAAAACACGUUAUAACGAUAUUAAACCUUUUUAGAAAAGAUAUAUGUUAUAUAUCUUAAGGUUAAUGGGCUACGAAACACGUUAUUAAUUUUGGAAGCAUUAUGAAACAUCUUAUAAAUCAUUGUUAAACAUUCACUUAUGAUAAACUAAGAUAUAAGUCUAAAUAGGUUUUAUAUGAAAAGAUCAUUAUUAUUAAACACCUAUUUUAUGAAAAGCUAGGUUAUAUGCCCUUAAGUGGAUUUCAUGCAAAAUAUAAUGAACAAAUAACUAUAUUUUAAUUUCAUUAGAGAACAUAUAGCCUAUAUUAUUAUAUUCGAUGUCAAUAUAUAAAGUAACAAAAGAACUUAAACUCUUAUUACUUUAUUUUAUCCUUUAGGAAAAGCUAAGUGAUUCGUAUAUAAUGUGGAGUAAAUUCUAUGAAAUCAUUAAUCAUGCCAUAAAUCUAGUGAAGAACAAAUUUACUAUAAGUUUGAUUAAUAAUUAUGAUAAAGGAUAAUUAAUCUAUUAAUUAUCUUUAAUUCUAUUGUAGGAACAAAUGAUCUAAUUCAUUAGAAAGGAAAUUACGUAUAAACUAUCAUUUUAGUUUAUAAAAGCAAUAACCCUUGUUAUUUUUUAAUUAAGAAAAUAUAAAUAAUCUAUUAAUUGGACAUAUAUUUAUCUUCUAUUUUUAUUAAGAAACAUAUGGUCUACAUAUUCUUUUAAGUUUCUAUUUUUUAAUACGGCUAAACUUAAACAUCUACAACGAACCUUGUUAAAUAUGAUAUCUAUUAAAAAGGUCAUUUUAAAAUUAGAAACAAAUUAUCUACUUCAUUAGUAAGAAACCUAUGUUUACCAACAUAACUAUCAAUUUCUUUAUUAGAAAAGUAUGAGUGCCUAGUUAAGUCAUUUUAACAUUAUUAUAAAUUCUACUCUUUCGGUUUUCUCCUUUCUUUUCUAAAUAGAAUUUAUACGUAUCGUUACAAUGUUUAUUUCUAAAUCACCUUUCAUUAAUAUUCUAAGGAUUAAUGUAGAUCACUAAAUGGGACUUUUAAUAAUAUAUUCAUGGUUAUUAUGACAUAGAUAAAUAUCUUACUAAUUCUAAGUAAUUAAGUGCUAUACUUAUGAAUACAUUUAUCAUGAAUAGUAAAAUCUAUAUCUUCAUUUGACUAGAAAAUACGUGGCUUAGUAUUUCUUCUAUUUCUUCAUGCAAAUAAGUUUAUACAAAAAAUACUACUAACAAUUAUCGUUCCACACACACUAAAGCGAAAUUAAAUCUGUACACCUGUUCUAGUAUGAAAAUCAACGAGGUAGUGAAUAGUGACCGUAUUCAUUUUUAAAAUUAUAAAAUCAUACACAUAUUCAAAGCAUUGUCGCGGGGUUCGAUUUUGGUUACAUGUAUACAUCGAAAUCUAAAAUCAUACACAUAUACACAUAUCUCGAAAUUAAUUGAAUUCGCAAACCAGGGGCUAAAUCGCAAAAUUGCCUUCUACCUUGGAGCUUUUGUUCAUGCGCAUGAAUGGAGGUCGAUGGGUUCGGUGAUCUCGACGGGCAAGGAACGGGCGCGAUCUUCGGUGAGCGUUCAGGCGGAGCUCCGGCGGUCGUCGUCGGCGGGCAAUGGAGCGAGAGAGAGAGAGAGCGUGAGAAACUUGGGCGAGCAAGGAGUGUGAGAGAGAGGGGUGAGCUCAGGUAGGGAGGAAGAGAGGGAGAUUCGUCUCCAAUUUAUAGAGGGAGAGAAGAGGGAAAGAGGGGCACCGGGGAGAGAGUAACGGCCGGCAUCGACUCCAUUGAUGGCAUUCAUGGAGCUUCAAUGAGUGAGAGGAAAUGGGGAAGAGAGAGAUAUGGCGCCGUCGGUUCGGCUCCGUAGGGCGGGUUUUUGGCGCGGGGUUCGGGCGUCGGGCUGGGUGCGCGGCUCGGCCAUCCUGGCGCGGGACACGGCGCUCGGCCGCGGGCAGCGCGCGGUCGGGUGGGGCAUCGAGCUGGGGCGACGGCAGCCUGGGCGCGCUCCUGGCGCGGGGCGCCCUGGCGCGGCCAUGGAAGGGAAUGCGAGCCUGGGAGGAAAGGGGAGGGGAGAGAAAGCAGGGUGGGGCCAGAGCGUCUGUGAGAGAGAGGAGGGGGAAAGGAAAAGGAGGUGGCGGCGGCCAGCAGGGGAGGGAGGCGCGACUGGUUCUUGUUGGGCCCCUAGUGGGCUUUAGUGUUAGGGUUAAGGUUUUUCGUUUUUUCUUUUCUAAUUUCGAAAUAUAUUUUUAAAUAACCCUAAAAUUCAUAAUAAUUAUACCAAAAUUAUUUAUAAAUAAAAUAUUUAUUUUUGGACUAAUAAUUAUUAUAUUAUUUAUGUGAAUUUUCAUUUAAGAAGAAAUGUUAUUAAAUAUCCAAAAAUCAAUCAUGAGCAUUCAAAAAUUAUUCCAAAUGAAAUAAAUAACAAACACUUUAAAGAAAAUUUAUUGUCAUAAUUACCAUUAAUAAACUAACUGCAUUAUUUUUAUUUGAUGAUUUUUAUAGUGUUACAUCGAGUCCCGAGAGUAAAGGGAUUGUAACAUGUAUAUGCAUGACUUUGUCAUAAGAAAACAUCCUAUCUAAGGAUAUUCAACAAUCAAGAAAAAUGUAGGAAAAGAUACCCUUACAUGACAUUAAAUAGAGUUAUGUACAUCAGACUUAAAAAGUUCAUUACAUGGUCAAACUAUUACAUCUAUAUCCUCCACUAUCUCUGAUGUCGCUGCCUUGCUAUCAUCAAAUAGUUCAUAGAACUUCUCAUUAGAGCAGUCAGUAGCAACUCCUUCAUUGACCCGGGAUAUAUCCAUGGUAGGAUAGUGGGACCUAGUCAAGGCUAGGCUUAGGGUGCUAGCCCACUCCAUACCUACCCGAGCAAAUCAAGAUAUUCUUUUAGCAAACCCACUAGCUUUUGGGGAAUGGACCAACUCAAUGCUUGGGAAUCAGACUUGUAAAGACAAGUUAAGCAUGUCUAACUGACAUGCCUUCACCAGUUGUAGGCUAUGUUUCAUCUCUAUAAAAAAGAAGAGCGAGUUACACCCUAGUAUGAAAAGAUCCCAACAAAGAAGUAUGGGCACACUUCCCAACUCCUAUGCCAUCUCCUUGCCUUUAAGAGCAUAAUUCAACUUUCAUGGAGGACGGAGUUGGUGGCCUUCUCCCUUUCAAGUUCUUUGUUGAACUCGACCAAGCUCUUCUUCAAUUCACCAUUACUACUCAUGGCUUUGUUCUUCUCGGUAAAUGCUAAGUCCAUAGCUGUAACACCCUAGGUGUUACUGUACGCUUAACGACGAAUAUGAACGACUGCCCAAAAUAUUUCGCGAAGCUCGGACUUUAGUGACCUUCAAAAAAUGCCGAGUCCAGUGCUGUUUAGAUUGGUUAUGAGCGUGAAUGCGACUUCGGAAAAAUAGCUCGAGUUUGAUAUCGUAUUCAUUUCCAUAAUCUAAAUAGUUAAAAAGGUUUUAUGAACUUUUGGAUUACCUAAUCUCGUUUGCUCGUGAAUUUGGAUAUGUUCAGAUCACGCGCGUAAGUGAAUAUGAAAAUCAGAAAACUUCUGAUUUUACGUAAAAUUUGGAGCCCCGCGCUGUCCGAACAGAACGAUGCACCAGCUGAUUAAGUGAAUCGUUCCUCUCAGCAAGUUAUCUUUGGCGUCAAAUCAACUAAUCGAUAGCCGGUGAGGAUCGUAAAAAUUAGACGGAACUAAAUAUAGUCUAAAAUACCGAAGUCAAUAUCAUUUUGAUUCGGUCCAUUUGUUUCUCGCCUCGAUCUAAAUCUUGAAAAGUGAAUUAACGGUACGGAUUCAUCCAACUUCAGAGUAUUCGCUAAAUCAAAUCGUGUCCAAAUAUUGUUAUCGAUCUCAUUUGAUUCGACCCAUUACCCAUCGCUAAAAAUCCCAUUUUCAAAUAUCUGCAAUUCUCUUUAUAAAAAAAGAAGAAAUAAAAAAAGGAAAAUAUCCGUCGUCCUUAUCUCCUGCCGCCCCACCUUCUCUGAUUUUUCAGCCGCCGAUCUCUCUCUCCUGAUAUUUUCUCGCAGUGCAUUAUCCCCUUCCACGCGCAGGCUUCUUCCCCAAACCAUCGUCGUUCUCAGCGCCGUGUGCCCAACUCCAACUCGGCCCCUCCCAUGGCGCCCGGCUGCUCUCCUCUGUCUUGCGCUCAGCUUCCGGGCGGAUCUCCUGGCCGUGUGCCCCAGCGCCGGUCGCUCCUCCCUGCUUGCCCUCUAGCCCGCCCUAGCUGCCGCGCCCUGCUCUCUGUUUGCUGCUCGCCGGAGCUCCAGCCAUGGCGCGCCCCUCUCCCUGAUCCCUUCUCUACGCGCUCCACCAAGCCGGCGUCCUAUGCUCGCCAUGGCCGCUGAGCCCGACCCAGCCGUGUGCUCGCCCGGCCGUAAGCUCGCUCUGCUCGCCCGGGCACUCAUCUCCAUCCAUGGAUAUCGCCAUCUCAGCGCCCUUGCUCUGCUUGAGGAAAUGCCAAGCCUUAAACAGCCAUCGUCUUGCUGCGACGCGUGCGUGCGCCACUCGCCCCACGCCGUUGUCUUUGUGUUUAGGCAGCCCCGUCGCGACAUCGUCAAACCUUGCCCCUUGUCGUCAUGUUCUCCCUGCUGCAGCACCAUCGAUUUGUACUUGUGUGGAAUCACAGUAGUGCAUAUGGAUGUCAAAGGAAGUGAAAGCUCCAUGUGAUGUUAGCCAAGUACUUGACGUAAAGCCUGAACCAGGGUCUCAUUGUUCUUGUGAAGUUCAAGCCGAAUAUAUAGUUUUGGAGGGAGAUUUGGUGCUGAAGCCGAAGCCAGCAGCCUCUUAUUUUUCGUCGUCGAUCCAAGCCGCUUCCUCGACGUGUCCGUUGAUCCCAACGAUCUAUCUUCCAAUUGCGUGCCACUUGCGUUGAGCUCCAAAGCCUCCUAUCGUGCUCGACCCUGGAGGCCUCCAACUUGUCGACAUCCCUUGCAUCGUCAAAAAAUCCCAAGAGUUUGGAUAAAGCAACAGAUCCCACGUGGUGCUUGCCGGGUGCUCGGCAAAAGGUCUGAGCAAGAAUCAUUGCUGUCUACGCGAAGUUAUGGUCAAUAUGGUAAUCAUACUCUAAUUUGCUAUUUUAGCCAAUUAAUUUUGAUAGAUUGAUUAGAGGGAUAUAUAUAUCAUGGUGAUUAUUCUAUUUGUAGCUUAAACGCGUCGUGGGUAUAUUUUAAUGCAUGAUAAAGGCCGUAAUUCUGUGAUGUUUGCUUACCGCCAUAAUUAUGAAGUAGUCGCGAGGUGAGGUGAAAUAUAGGUUUGAGGUAUGAAUGAUAUGAAGAAUGUGUUGGAAGACUUGUAUACGUAGCAUGAUUAGAUUAUAAUGCGAAAGCUAGGUUAAGUAUUUUAUCUGGCUAGCUAGUAAGUUCUGACGAUGUUGUCGUGCAGAUUUAGUUUGUUUAAAUAAAUUAAUGCUUUGCUAGUAGACAUUUUAAUUAGCUGGCGGGUUAUGCAAAGACGUCCGGUCGGGUAGUUUAGAAAGUUGAUGUGCUUCUAUCCUUAUCCCCAAAAUUAGAUGUCUUAGACUAAUGAUUCUAAGUUUGUUAGUCCUCAAGUAUUGAACGUUAGCUAAGGAAAGUAGAGUGUGGGUAUAGCUUAUCGUCUUUCGUGAUGUUGUAACUAGAUCUAGUGAAACUAGAAGAACACGAUUGUUGUGUGUUUAGUUUUUUGUUUUGUGAUGUAUGAGCUACCUUCGAAUAGGCUAGAAAAGCGUAAUUAUUAUAGUUAGUCUUAUAGCGAUAGCUAGCGUUUACUUGUGAUUGGUCUAAUGUUUUUCUAGUCAAUAUUUAAUCCUCUACCGUGUAACAUUAUUCAGUAAUGUACAAGUUGUUUUUAUGUUCAUACAUGUGCAUUAUGCAUAUCAUUUAGGUACAUUUAUUGAUUACGUGAUACGGAGGACCAAAGCUGAGUCGACCACAAGAUGUCGCUACGCGUAAGCUUCUCCACAAGAUGAUGCUGAUGGACGAACCUGAAGAUGGAUAAUCUAAACAAGUGUCAAAACAAAGGCUGAUCGUCAAGUGGACGUCGUCUAACAAACACUAACCUAGUGUUAUUCCAGGCAAGCCCCGGUGCAUUUGCCACCUCCUUGCUGUUUUAAAAUCUUUUAUCACCUUGUUUGAUGCAUUAGGUGAUACGAUUUGUGUGCUAAACAAUUGAUGCAUUUCCUUCCUUGGAAAAUUGAAUACCCUUCCUUGGUACCCUUUUAUGAAAAGGAUUUUUAUGAUGCUUAGCCUUGUUUUAGAAAAACAAAAUGUUUUGUUUUAAAAACAAAAGGUGAUGCUUCAAAGUGGAUGGGAAUUUUUACAAAGAAAAACUUGUGAUGGUAGAUCCAUCAGGGCCUUGAUGUGUUCAACAUCUGAAAGGAUGUACCUCUGUCAGGUACCAAACUUUGGGGUUUAAAUAAUAAAGCUGAGAUCUUGCACGAGAAGAGAGUCUCGGUGUAGUGUGUCCGUCUGAGUCGAUUAAGGACCGUACCGAUGUAGGCCUGAUGAUCAAGGACCUUUUAACUGGCCACAUGCCUCGUCAUGGGUAAGCUUUGCCUCGGGCAGACCAAUACCAGAAAGGCCAACACGCAAUGGGAGUGGAGAGAUGGCGAGAGUAGCAUGUACCCUCCGUGGCAAGAGGCUUGUCGGGGACCAUAAUUAGGGGUACCCUCAAGUCUCCUAAUUCUCAGCUGGUAACCCCCAUCAGCAUAAAGCUGCAAAGGCCUGAUGGGUGCGAUUAAGUCAGGGAUCGGUCCAUUCGAGGGACUCGAUCACGCUUCGCCCGAGCCUAGCCUCGGACAAGGGCAGCCGACCCCGGAGGAUCUCCGUCUCACCCGAGGCCCCCCUCCAGCGACGAACAUACUUCCUGCUCGCCCGAGGCCCUGUCUUCGCCAAGAAGCAACCCUGACCAAAUCGCCGCGCCGACCGACCAAGUCGCAGGAGCAUUUAAUGCAAAGGUGGCCUGACACCUUUAUCCUGACGCGCGCCCUCCAGUCGACAGAGCCGAAGUGACCGCUGUCACUUCGCCGCUCCGCUGACCGGCCUGACAGAAAGACAGCGCCGCCUGCGCCGCUCCGACUGCAGUGCCACUUGACAAAGUGAGGCUGACAGGCAAUCAGGCCUGGCCGCAGGCACCACAGGAAGCUCCGCUCCGCCCGACCCAGGGCUCGGACUCGGGCUAAGCCCCGGAAGACGACGAACUCCGCUCCACCCGACCCAGGGCUCGGACUCGGGCCAAGCCCCAGAACACGACGAACUCCGCUCCGCCCGACCCAGGGCUCGGACUCGGGCUAAGCCCCGGAAGACGGCGAACUCCGCUCCGCCCGACCCAGGGCUCGGACUCGGGCUAAACCCCGGAAGACGGCGAACUCCGCUCCGCCCGACCCAGGGCUCGGACUUGGGCUCAGCCCCGGAAGACGACGAACUCCGCUUCGCCCGACCCCAGGGCUCGGACUCCGCCCUGGCCUCAGCCGACGGUCUCCGCCUCGCCCGACCCAGGGGCUCGGACUCGACCUCGGCCACGAAAGACAGACUCAACCUCGACUUCGGAGGAGCCUCCACAUCGCCCAACCUAGGGCGCAGACCGGCCACAUCGACGGGAGGCGCCAUCAUUACCCUACCCCAAGCUGACUCAGGCUGCGGGAAACGAGACCGACGUCCCAUCUGGCUCGCUCCGCCAGAUAGGCAAUGAUGGCUCCUCGCACGCUCCCUGAUGAUGGCGGCUCUCAGCCCCCUUACGGAAGCACGAGGACAUCAGCAAGGACUCGACAGCUUCGACAGCUGUCCUUCCGCCAGGCUCCAGCGCUCCUCCGACGGCCACGACACCACACGAACCGGGUGCUAAAACCUCUCCGGCUGCCACGACGGCAUGUACUUAGGGCGCUAGCUCUCCUCCGCUAGACACGUAGCACUUCGCUACACCCCCAUUGUACACCUGGAUCCUCUCCUUACGCCUAUAAAAGGAAGGACCAGGGCCCUCUUACAGAGGGUGGGCCGCGCGGGGACGAGGACGAGACAGGCGCUCGCAUAAGGCCGCUCGCUCCCUCACCCGCGUGGACGCUUGUAACCCCCUACUGCAAGCGCACCCGACCUGGGCGCGGGACGAACACGAAGGCCGCGGGAUUUCCACCUCUCUCACGCCCGUCUCCGGCCACCUUUCUCCCCCCUUCGCGCUCGGCCUCGCGCCGACCCAUCUGGGCUGGGGCACGCAGCGACAUUUCACUCGUCGGCCCAGGGACCCCCCGGUCUCGAAACACCGAUAGUUGGUGCGCCAGGUAGGGGCCUGCUGCGUGUUUACGAACAGCUUCCCGUCAAGCUCCAGAUGGGCAGUCUCCAGCAACCUCUUCGGCCCGGGACGGUGCUCCGUUUCGGGAGUCUUGAGUUCAUGUCCCUCGACGGCAGCUACGACAUGAUACUCCCUCCACCGCCGUGCGACAGCGACAAUGGCGGCCGACAGCCCGCCCGCCGGCGGCGGAAUCGACGACGUCUUCCCCACGUGGUGGAAGAACAACAUUCGAGCUCACCCCGUCCUCUCCCCCGCCGACGGAGGAGGAGGCGGGGCAACCAAGGCCAAGCUGGAGGCAGCGCCUCGUCGGCUGUCGAGCGAGUCGACAGCGCCAGCACCCCAACGAGGGGCGCAUCGGGCAUCGACCUCGCGUUUGAGACGAAGACGAGCACCGUCUCCCCGCGACACGCCAAUCCCGAGAAAACGGACGACGCCAGCACGCUCACGAAAGGCUUGCUGGACGUCACCCUCGUACCUGAGACGACGGUGCAGUCAGUCCCCGACGUGACUUCAUCACCGCCCGUCGACCAAGAGGUACCGACCGAUUCCCAUCUCACGCCUUUCGGAUCCAGCCUUGACCCGCCAAGCGGCUUCGCUUCGGUGGACGCUCUCGUGGAGGCGAGUCCAAACCCUCUGGGGUUUCGUGUGCGGUCACCCUGGGACCGCCUGACGGACGUCUCGACCUACGGGCCCUCGGGGUCCGAGGAAGAUGACGAGCCCGACUUCUGUUGGGAUUUCUCUGGACUUGGCGACCCCAGUGCCAUGCGAGACUUCAUGACCGCAUGCGACUACUGCCUUUCCGACUGUUCCGGUGGUAGCCGCAGCCUCGGCGACGAGGACUGCGACCCAAGCCGCGAAUGUUUCCACGUCGAUCUAGGGGGUCCCUCCGAAGGCAACCAUCUCGGCAUGCCGGAGGACGGUGAUCUCCCUAGGCCGGUGCCUUGCGUUGACAUCCCACGGGAGCUAGCUGUGGUCCCCGUUCAGGCGGGGGGCCAUGACCCACAGCUCGAGCAAAUCCGCGGGGUGCAGGCCAGGCUCGACGAGGGAGCAGGAGCGCUUGAGCCAAUCCGCCGGGACGUCGGGCAGGCAUGGGCGGGCCAACCUCCGGCCGGAGAGAUGCGUCAUCUACCCCAGGGCUUCCAGCACCGCAUCGCCGACGAUGUCAGGGUCAGGCCGCCACCCGCAUCCAGUGGGGUCGGCUAGAACCUGGCUGCAGCAGCAAUGCUUCUCCGUGCGAUGCCAGAGCCAUCAACCACCAAGGGGCGGCGAAUCCAGGGAGAGCUCAAGAAUCUCCUGGAAGGCGCUGCGGUCCGACGGGCCGAGAGCUCCGCCUCCCGAAGGCAGGGGUACCGCUCGGAACAUCAUGCCGCGACUUCCCGAUUCAUGCGGGAAGCCUCGGUCUACACCGGGCGCACGCGCAACACAGCGCCUGCGGCCCCGAGACGCCUCGGCAACGAGCACCAUCACCGCGACCGUCGGGCCCACCUCGACGAGAGGGUGCGCCGAGGCUACCACCCCAGGCGUGGAGGACGCUACGACAGCGGGGAGGAUCAGAGUCCCUCGCCCGAACCACCCGGUCCGCAGGCCUUCAGCCGGGCCAUACGACGGGCGCCGUUCCCGACCCGGUUCCGACCCCCGACUACUAUCACAAAGUACUCGGGGGAGACGAGACCGGAGCUGUGGCUCGCGGACUACCGGCUGGCCUGCCAACUGGGUGGAACGGACGAUGACAAUCUCAUCAUCCGCAACCCCCCCUGUUCCUCUCCGACACCGCUGGCGCCUGGUUGGAGCACCUGCCUCCGGGGCAGAUCUCCAACUGGGACGACCUGGUCCAAGUCUUCGCCGGCAAUUUCCAGGGCACGUACGUGCGCCCUGGGAAUUCCUGGGACCUCUGAAGCUGCCGACAGCAGCCGAGAGAGUCUCUCCGGUACUACAUCCGGCGAUUCUCGAAGCAGUGCACCGAGCUGCCCAACAUCACCGACUCGGAUGUCAUCGGCGCGUUCCUCGCCGGCACCACCUGCCGCGACCUGGUGAGCAAGCUAGGUCGCAAGACCCCCACCAGGGCGAGCGAGCUGAUGGACAUCGCCACCAAGUUUGCCUCUGGCUAGGAGGCGGCCGAGGCUAUCUUUCGGAAGGACAAGCAGCCCCAGGGCCGCCCACCGGAAGAUGCCCCCGAGGCGUCAACUCAGCGCGGCGCCAAGAAGAAGGGCAAGAAGAAGUCGCAAGCGAAACGCGACGCCGCCGACGCGGACCUUGUCGCCGCCGCCGAGUACAAGAACCCUCGGAAACCCCCCGGAGGUGCCAACCUCUUCGACAAGAUGCUCAAGGAGCCGUGCCCCUAUCACCAGGGGCCCGUCAAGCACACCCUUGAGGAGUGCGUCAUGCUUCGGCGCCACUUCCACAGGGCCGGGCCACCCACGGAGGGUGGCAGGGCUCGCGACGACGACAAGAAGGAAGAUCACCAGGCAGGAGAGUUCCCCGAGGUCCGCGACUGCUUCAUGAUCUACGGUGGGCAAGCGGAGAACGCCUCGGCUCGGCACCGCAAGCAAGAGCGCCGGGAGGUCUGUUCGGUGAAGGUGGCGGCACCAGUCUACCUAGACUGGUCCGACAAGCCCAUCACCUUCGACCAAGCCGACCACCCCGACCACGUGCCGAGCCCGGGGAAAUACCCGCUCGUCGUCGACCCCAUCAUCGGCGACGUCAGGCUCACCAAGGUCCUCGUGGACGGAGGCAGCAACCUCAACAUCAUCUACGCUGAGACCCUCGGGCUCCUACGUGUCGAUCUGUCCUCGGUCCGGGCAGGCGCUGCGCCUUUCCACGGGAUCAUCCCCGGGAAGCGCGUCCAACCCCUCGGACAACUCGACCUUCCCGUCUGCUUCGGAACACCCUCCAACUUCCGAAGGGAGACCCUGACGUUCGAGGUGGUCGGGUUCCGAGGAACCUACCAUGCGGUACUGGGAAGGCCAUGCUACGCGAAGUUCAUGGCCGUCCCCAACUACACCUACCUCAAGCUCAAGAUGCCGGGCCCCAACGGGGUCAUCACCAUCGGCCCCACGUACAAACACGCGUUCGAAUGCGACGUGGAGUGCGUGGAGUACGCCGAGGCCCUCGCCGAGUCCGAGGCCCUCAUCGCCGACCUGGAGAGCCUCUCUAAGGAGGUGCCAGACGUGAAGCGUCAUGCCGGCAACUUUGAGCCAGCGGAGACGGUUAAGUCCGUCCCCCUCGACCCCAGCAGCGACGCCUCCAAGCAAGUCCGGAUCGGCUCCGAGCUCGAUCCCAAAUAGGAAGCAGUGCUCGUCGACUUUCUCCGCCCGAAUGCCGACGUCUUCGCGUGGAGUCCCUCGGACAUGCCCGGCAUACCGAGGGAUGUCGCCGAGCACUCGCUGGACAUCCGAGCCGGAGCCCGACCCGUCAAGCAGCCUCUGCGCCGAUUCGACGAAGAGAAGCGCAGAGCCAUAGGCGAGGAGAUCCACAAGCUAAUGGCGGCAGGGUUCAUCAAAGAGGUAUUCCAUCCUGAAUGGCUUGCCAACUCUGUGCUUGUGAGAAAGAAAGGAGGGAAAUGGCGGAUGUGUGUAGACUACACUAGUCUAAACAAAGCAUGUCCGAAGGUUCCCUACCCUCUGCCUCGCAUCGAUCAAAUCGUGGAUUCCACUGCUGGGUGCAAAACCCUGUCUUUCCUCGAUGCCUACUCGGGGUAUCACCAAAUCAGGAUGAAAGAGUCCGACCAGCUCGCGACUUCUUUCAUCACACCCUUCGGCAUGUACUGCUAUGUCACCAUGCCGUUCGGCUUGAGGAAUGCGGGUGCGACGUACCAACGGUGCAUGAACCAUGUGUUCGGCGAACACAUUGGCCGGACGGUCGAGGCCUACGUCGAUGACAUCGUAGUCAAGACGAGGAGAGCCUCCGACCUCCUUUCCGACCUUGAAGUGACAUUUCGAUGUCUCAAGGCGAAAGGCGUGAAGCUCAAUCCCGAAAAGUGUGUCUUCGGGGUACCCCGAGGCAUGCUCUUGGGGUUCAUCGUCUCCGAGCGGGGCAUCGAAGCCAACCCGGAGAAGAUCGCAGCCAUCACCAGCAUGGGACCCAUCAAGGACUUGAAGGGCGUACAGAGGGUCAUGGGAUGUCUCGCGACUCUGAGCCGCUUCAUCUCACGCCUCGGCGAAAGAGGUCUGCCUCUGUACCGCCUCUUAAGGAAGACCGAGUGCUUCACUUGGACCCCUGAGGCCGAGGAAGCCCUCGGGAACCUGAAGGCGCUCCUCACGAAUGCGCCUAUCUUGGUGCCCCCAGCUGCUGGAGAAGCCCUCUUGAUCUACGUCGCCGCGACCACUCAGGUGGUUAGUGCCGCGAUUGUGGUCGAGAGGCAAGAAGAGGGGCAUGCAUUGCCCGUUCAGAGGCCAGUCUACUUCAUCAGCUAGGUACUGUCCGAAACCAAGAUCCGCUACCCACAAGUUUAGAAGCUGCUGUACGCGGUGAUCCUGACGCGGCGGAAGCUGCGAUACUACUUCGAGUCUCAUCCGGUAACUGUGGUGUCAUCCUUCCCCCUGGGGGAGAUCAUCCAGUGCCGAGAGGCCUCGGGUAGGAUUGCAAAGUGGGCAGUGGAAAUCAUGGGCGAAACAAUCUCGUUCGCCCCUCGGAAGGCCAUCAAGUCCCAGGUCUUGGCGGACUUCGUGGCUGAAUGGGUCGACACCCAGCUCCCAACAGCUCCGAUCCAACCGGAGCUCUGGACCAUGACGGGUCGCUGAUGAAGAUAGGAGCCGGCGCAGGCCUACUCUUCAUCUCACCCCUCGGGAAGCACCUACGCUACGUGCUACGCCUCCAUUUCUCGGUGUCCAACAAUGUGGCUGAGUACGAGGCUCUGGUCAACGGGUUGUGGAUCGCCAUCGAGCUAGGGGUCCGACGCCUCGACGCUCGUGGUGACUCGCAGCUCGUCAUCGACCAAGUCAUGAAGAACUCCCACUGCCGCGACCCGAAGAUGGAGGCCUACUGCGAUGAGGUUCGGCGCCUGGAAGACAAGUUCUACAGGCUCGAGCUCAACCACAUCGCCCGGCGCUACAAAGAGACUGCGAUGAGCUGGCUAAAAUAGCCUCGGGGCGAACAACGGUUCCCCCGGACGUCUUCUCCCGAGACCUGCAUCAACCCUCCAUCAAGAUCGACGACACGGCCGAGCCCGAGGCACCCUCGGCCCAGCCCGAGGUACCCUCGGCUCAGUCCGAGGCAUCCUCGGCACGGCCCGAGGCACCCUCAGCUCGGCCCGAGGCACCCUCGGCACCCGAGGGUGAGGCACUGCGCGUCGAGGAGGAGCGAAGCAGGGUCACGCCUAAUCAAAACUGGCAGACCCCGUACCUGAAAUAUCUCCACCGAGGAGAGCUACCCCUCGACCGAGCCGAGGCUCGGCGGUUGGCGCGACGCGCCAAGUCGUUCAUCUUGCUGGGAGAUGGGAAGGAGCUCUACCACCGCAGCCCCUCGGGCAUCCUCCAGCGAUGCAUUUCCAUCGCUGAAGGUCAGGAACUCCUACAAGAGAUACACUCGGGGGCUUGCGGCCAUCACGCAGCACCUCGAGCCCUUGUUGGAAACGCCUUCCGACAAGGUUUCUACUGGCCGACGGCGGUGGCCGACGCCACUAGAAUUGUCCGCACCUGCGAAGGGUGUCAGUUCUACGCAAAGCAGACCCACCUGCCCGCUCAGGCUCUGCAGACCAUACCCAUCACUUGGCCUUUUGUCGUGUGGGGUCUGGACCUCAUCGGCCCCUUGCAGAAGGCACCCGGGGGCUACACGCACCUGUUGGUCGCCAUCGACAAAUUCUCCAAGUGGAUCGAGGUCCGACCCCUAAACAACAUCAGGUCCGAGCAGGCGGUGGCGUUCUUCACCAACAUCAUCCACCGUUUCGGGGUCCCGAACUCCAUCAUCACCGACAAUGGCACCCAGUUCACCGGCAGAAAGUUCCUGGACUUCUGCGAGGAUCACCAUAUCCGGGUGGACUGGGCCGCCGUGGCUCACCCCAUGACGAAUGGGCAAGUAGAGCGUGCCAACGGCAUGAUUCUACAAGGACUCAAGCCUCGGAUCUACAACGACCUCAACAGGUUCGGCAAGCGAUGGAUGAAGGAACUCCCCUCGGUGGUCUGGAGCCUAAGGACAACGCUGAGCCGAGCCACGGGCUUCACGUCGUUCUUUCUAGUCUAUGGGGCCGAGGCCAUCUUGCCCACAGACUUAGAAUACGGUUCCCCGAGGACGAGGGCCUAUGCUGACCAAAGCAACCAAGCUAAUCGAGAAGACUCGCUGGACCAGCUGGAAGAGGCUCGGGACAAGGCCUUACUACACUCGGCACGGUACCAGCAGUCCCUGCGACGCUACCACGCCCGAGGGGUCCGGUCCCGAGACCUCCAGGUGGGCGACUUGGUGCUUCGGCUGCGACAAGACGCCCGAGGGCGGCACAAGCUCACGCUCCCUGGGAAGGGCCGUUCGUCAUCGCCAAAGUUCUGAAGCCCGGAACGUACAAGCUAGCCAACAGUCAAGGCGAGGUCUACAGCAAUGCUUGGAACAUCCAACAGCUACGUCGCUUCUACCCUUAAGAGGUUUUCAAGUUGUUCAUAUACCUCGCUCCCAUGCAAAGUUUAGUCAUCAAGGAAGGGUCAGCCUUGCCUCGGCAAAGCCCGACCCUCCCUCGGGGGCUAAAAGGGGGGAACCCCCUCUGCGCUGAAUUUUUUCCUUGAAAAAAGAUCCUUUCUGCCAGAAUGUCUUUCGUGCUUUUCGACUACUUCGAAAGUGGAUCCUGAAAACGACGGAGUACAGGUAAGCAGCCAAGGCUGACCGAGUCGAGGGACUCCUACGCCUCCAGGAUACGGAUACCUCACUCAUCACCUUCUGCGAUAAGUAACUCACGCUCGGAUAAGUGAUUCCGCGGACCGAACAAGUCUUCACGCUCGAAAGCUCCUCUGCCGAAGCGGUUCUUCGGGCCUUCUCGACUGCGUCGGUGACAGAACCCUAUGGACGGGCAAGAGCGCGCGUAAGCGGCAAGGCCGACCGAGCCGAGGGAUUCCUACGCCUCCGGGAUACGGACACCUCACUCAUCACCUUCCGUGAAAAGCAACUCUCGCUCGCACAGACAAUUCUGUUACCAACGAAAAAGUCCAGAUGCUCGAAACAAGAGGAAAAGAAGCGCAACUUUACAACACGGCGAGGGUGUGUUUGGGCCUCGGCGGCCGCAGAAAACACACGCUACAAGAUAAUCCGAUCCUGCAGGCUCGGAUCUGGACAAUUGAAGGGAGCCGCAGCACCCUCGGCGUCAACAACACCUUCGGCGAGGUCCGACCUAGCCUCGAACGGCGACGCGGUCCGAGGAUCUCUACUCUGAAGGACGACUUCAUCAUCACGCCCGAGCCAUCGCCGCCAGGGUCUCCUCCAAGAAUCCGGCUCGAGCAGGCAGCUCGGCUGGUCACCCCGAGGCCUCGGCCAGCUGCCAUCCGAGGACAUCAGCCCGGCCCGAGGCCUCGGCAGAUCAAUUCCGGCGUCGGUCCCGCUAACGGACGACCCGGCCAGGCUCUGGCCGACCAAGUCUUCUUUUCGAGCCAACUCCGCCUCUGUCCAUGCUGACACCGCUACCCCUGGCCUCGGCUCAUCGAAGAGCGACCGAGGGGUUCCUUUAACUAAGCAAGAGAAGCCUCGGGCAGCAAGGCCGACCGAGCUGAGGGACUCCUACGCCUCCAGGAUACGGAUACCUCACUCAUCACCUUUGCACGGGGCAACUCGCGCUUGGUGAAGCGGUUCAGACAACCAACAGGCGAGUCUUAGUGCUCGAAAAUGAGGAAAAAAUACAUACAUGUUCAGGCCCCGACAGCCACAAUGAACAAAAACACUGGCAUUCAAAAUGCCAUUACAAACGGAACUCCGGUUCCACCUCCGCAGGUACGAACAACCCCACUCGAUGGGGGGGGGGCCUGCGGAGCAACAGAAGACCGACGAACGGCACGCCGUCACCCGCUCCAGCAGCGGCGACGACGACGACUUCUGCUCCGGGGGGCCGAACAGCGGCAGCAAUGACCUCAGGGCGGAUGCUACUGCCAGGAGGCCCCCGCCCAUGCCCAAACUCGUGAGGCAAGGACGGGCAGAAGGCCGUAGAGUUGGAGGUCGGUCCGUAGGCGGCCCCGGCUAUCUCGUCGGCGGAAGAACCUCUUCCAGCUGCCGUGGCGGAAGCCGGCGCCGAGAGCGGCUCCGAAGCCACUCGGGUCCGAGAGCCAGGCACGCGGCAGCUGCCAACGCCACGGACAACAACCGCCCUUCCCCCCGAUCACUGAGGGAAGGAGCGGGCCACCGCCCACGCGGGGGCCGACCCCAACUCGGCACACUCCCCUCCCCAGCACUGGUGAUGAAAAUCCUUGAGGCUGAGGGAGGGGCAGAGGCCGCAGCCCGGUUUGCUUUCCCCCGCCAUCAAACUGGAGGUCACCGUCUUGGGUGACCACCGGUGGGGGGGGGUGCAGCCGGGCUGCAUGAUGAAAAUCCUUGAAGCCGAACGAUGGCUGAAAGGUACCAACUCGUACGAAGUUGCGUUCCUCCAACGGCAAGGCGGAGUGACCGCAGACAUCCCCCAUCCGGGGGCUCGGAAGGUGGAAAGACACGAUGCAUAAGGGAGCACGAAGACAUGGUCGCCUUUCAAGGGGUCGCCCUCCUUUUAAAGGCGACUCUCCCUACUCGCGCCCCCAACCGUCGUGGGCUGAGUCUUCUCCAACACGCUCCAAGGUCCUCCCCCUAUGGCGCGGGGGCUCGGUCCCACACGUCAUGCAAGCCGGCCUAGAGCAGAAGAAGCCAAACCGCCGCGCGCGGUGCAUGCAACCGCCCAGCGGUUACAAGCGGCCCUCCACUUUUGCCCAGACCAGCGGGCGAGAGGGCGGGCAGCCAUGCAGGCGGCAUGCAACCGCGCCAAGUGGGCGCACCUCUCCGACUUCCAGCGCGCCCAGCAUGGAGGCCUAGGCCCACGCGUCAUGCAACCGGCGCGCCGGAUGCUACGUGCGAGCAACUGCACCGCCACUCGCGCCACUGCCACGCCUCCUCGACUGCGGAACCAGUACCGCGACUCGAGGCAACCCUACGCACGACCCAGCAGCGCCAGCCUGGCGCGACGGUCAAUGCGGCCAAAAAUGGGCCGGCAGUAAUGGCGGUGGCAGGCGGGCAGGAGCAGCGGUCACGUCGUCAGCCAAGCUUACGUCCCAUUCGGGGGCAGCGAGAGAACCCUCUCUCACGGCGUGAAGACGACGCGCCCGUGUUCCGUUCCUCGAACGGCUCGCGCACGCGCAACGGCCGCCCCGCGAACCACACGCCCCGUCGCAUUAACUCCACAGCGGGAAAGGCGGCGCCUCUGGCAGGGGAAGCGAGCGACGUUUCGCCUUCGCCAUAAUGACCGCGUCAAGAAAAAAGGUACGCCGCGUCGUUCAAUUUCGUAUCCUUUUCCUUUUCCUCUUUCUCUCUCUUACAACAGGGACCGGGAAAGGGGGAUACCCCGAAAAGGAUCCUUCUCUGUGAAGGAACCAGGCUCUGAGCCUCCCUACUGAUCAGAGGUUCGAAGGCUGGCCCCUCGAAGGGUUCAACAACCGCCUUAGAGCGCGUGGGCUCCACACCCACUACUGGUCAGAGGUUCGAAGGCCGGCCCCUCGGAAGGGUUCAACGACCGCCUCAGGCUACUCGGGCUCCGCGCCCACUACUGAUCAGGGGUUCGAAGGCUGGCCCUCGAAGGGUUCACAACCGCCUCAGACACAGAGCGAGGGAUGACCAUGGGUACGUUCGAUACAUAACCAAGGCUCGGGCUGCGCUCCCGAGGUACCCUAGGACAUUUCUGAGACCAGCGGGAACGAUCUUGUAACGGAAUCCCAUCAGAGGGAGGCAUCGAGCCCUCGGACCCCGUCGACAGGGGACCGGGUCCGGCAGAUCACCCGCAAGUACUUUUGGGCGCGCCUCUGGGCCUCUAGCCGACCCCUAGCGAAUGGGGCACGGACGUCCGCUCGGAUUACCCGCCAGCAGCUCACCGGAGACACCAUGUUCGGCGCCCACCGAGGGCAACAUGGCGCUUUCCCCCCUCCUCCUUGCGGAAAGGCGACGCAGGGGCGUAUGUAAAAAAGUCGAGUCUGUCCCUGACCGUCCUCUCGCCCUGUGUAGAGGCUCGGGGGCUGCUCUCGCAAACCUGGCUCUGGCCAAAUCGUUGACAGUGUCAACAUACCAGACCGAGAACUUGGGACCCGACCGUGCACCCGGGCUACGGCCAGUUCGCAUGAGGGAACGACCAGACCAGCCAAAGCAUUGCGCGAGGCAUUAAGACCUCGGAGGAGUCAAACCACUCCUCCGAGGCCUCGGGGGCUACACCCGGCAGGUGCGCUCGCGCGCACCCACCGGAACAAAACGCAACCGAGAAAGGCUGGUCCCCUUGCAAAAAAGUGCGACGAAAGCCUCCAAGCGAGUGCUAACACUCCCUUCGAGGCUCGGGGGCUACUGUCGGGGACCAUAAUUAGGGGUACCCUCAAGUCUCCUAAUUCUCAGCUGGUAACCCCCAUCAGCAUAAAGCUGCAAAGGCCUGAUGGGUGCGAUUAAGUCAGGGAUCGGUCCAUUCGAGGGACUCGAUCACGCUUCGCCCGAGCCUAGCCUCGGACAAGGGCAGCCGACCCCGGAGGAUCUCCGUCUCGCCCGAGGCCCCCCUCCAGCGACGAACAUACUUCCGGCCCGCCCGAGGCCCUGUCUUUGCCAAGAAGCAACCCUGACCAAAUCGCCGCGCCGACCGACCAAAUCGUAGGAGCAUUUAAUGCAAAGGUGGCCUGACACCUUUAUCCUGACGCGCGCCCUCCAGUCGACAGAGCCGAAGUGACCGCCGUCACUUCGCCGCUCCGCUGACCGGCCUGACAGAAAGACAGCGCCGCCUGCGCCGCUCCGACUGCAGUGCCACUUGACAGAGUGAGGCUGACAGGCAGUCAGGCCUGGCCGCAGGCACCACAGGAAGCUCCGCUCCGCCCGACCCAGGGCUCGGACUCGGGCUAAGCCCCGGAAGACGACGAACUCCGCUCCGCCCGACCCAGGGCUCGGACUCGGGCCAAGCCCCGGAAGACGACGAACUCCGCUCCGCCCGACCCAUGGCUCGGACUCGGGCUAAGCCCCGAAAGACGACGAACUCCGCUCCGCCCGACCCAGGGCUCGGACUCGGGCUAAACCUCGGAAGACGGCGAACUCCGCUCCGCCCGACCCAGGGCUCAAACUUGGGCUCAGCCCUGGAAGACGACGAACUCCGCUUCGCCCGACCCCAGGGCUCGGACUCCGCCCUGGCCUCAGCCGACGGUCUCUGCCUCGCCCGACCCAGGGGCUCGGACUCGACCUCGGCCACGAAAGACAGACUCGACCUCGACUUCGGAGGAGCCUCCACAUCGCCCAACCUAGGGCGCGGACCGGCCACAUCGACGAGAGGCGCCAUCAUUACCCUACCCCAAGCUGACUCAGGCUGCGGGAAACGAGACCGGUGUCCCAUCUGGCUCGCUCCGCCAGAUAGGCAAUGAUGGCUCCCCGCACGCUCCCUGACGACGGUGGCUCUCAGCCCCCUUACGGAAGCACGAGGACGUCAACAAGGACUCGACAGCUUCGACAGCUGUCCUUCCGCCAGGCUCCAGCGCUCCUCCGACGGCCACGACACCACACGAACCGGGUGCUAAAACCUCUCCGGCUGCCACGACGGCAUGUACUUAGGGCGCUAGCUCUCCUCCGCUAGACACGUAGCACUUCGCUACACCCCCCAUUGUACACCUGGAUCCUCUCCUUACGCCUAUAAAAGGAAGGACCAGGGCCCUCUUACAAAGGGUGGGCCGCGCGGGGACGAGGACGAGACAGGCGCUUGCGUAAGGCCGCUCGCUCCCUCACCCGCGUGGACGCUUGUAACCCCCUACUGCAAGCGCACCCGACUUGGGCGCGGGACGAACACGAAGGCUGCGGGAUUUCCACCUCUCUCACGCCCGUCUCUGGCCACCUUUCUCCCCCCUUCGCGCUCGGCCUCGCGCCGACCCAUCUGGGCUGGGGCACGCAGUGACAUUUCACUCGUCGGCCCAGGGACACCCCGGUCUCGAAACGCCGACAAGGCUGGACGGUGGUGUAUCUGUGCUCUCGGUUAGCGUGAACCCGGUCUGGUCUUGAGAAACCCGGUGGCGAGUUGACAUAUGCAAGGGUUAAGUGCUACAUAUGUCGUGUGGUUGGAGAUUCUCAGCUGGGUAUUAAUCGAUUCAGAUCGUCGUUACUUCUCGGAUAUGAAGACUUGGUCACUGACUUACACGUAGCAAUCCAGUGAAUUGAAGGGUGGAUAAAAAGACGGCUAGUAUAGGUAACUUUACUUAACCUGACAAGUAAAAAUGAAUUUUUAACUAGGAUAGAAAGAACUCUAGAUGUAGGUAACUUUACUUAACCUCACAAGUAAAAAUGAAUUUUUAAGGAUCCAUUCAUAGUAAGCUUUUCUGCAAACAGGUUCUUUGAUUCUUGAUAAGCUUUACCUUGAUUCCCAAAAGCCAACAUAUCCUUGAGAGUCUUUUUCCUUAGAUGGGUAAGACUUGCGAAAGUACACUUUGUACUCAGGGUUUUCGAACCCAUAUUGUUGCAGGUACUAGAAUUGUGCUGCUAUGGAUGGUGUUAAGCGCCGGUGGGCACGGCCUUCUUAUAAGUCUAAGUACUUUUUCUAUACUUCUUAUUGAGGAUUGUCAUUGAGCUAGCAUAUAUUUCAAAACUAUAAAUAAUUUAUAACGGUUCAAAGUUAUUUCUUUGAAUCAAUUUUGUAAUCACUCCGAUCAUGUACAUUGUAAACUUGAUGUAACUUGUAGAAUUUGGUAAUAAGAUUUUCGCUGCAAAAAUGUUGGUGUGUGAUUUGUGUUUACUUAAUCUUGCGCUCCUGGUUGUAAGUGGUUUAUCCGGGGUCAUCGGACACUCAGACAGAUCCUGUUAAGUUAUCUGGUGCACAUGCAUAGCCGUCUGAGGUCUUUGAGACAAGCACAGGUGCAUGUGGGCCUAAUAACUUGGGAGGUUCUGCCACAGUUGGUAUUGGAGCAAGAUUAAGUAUAAUACAGUCACAUACGUAUUUGAAAAACAAAGUUUUGGUUUUAGAAAACCUAGCGACAUCCUAUGUUAAGCCUUAAAUUAAGGACUAUCAGGUGGCUUAGAUUAAACCCUAACCCACAAUCGGGGGGAUAUUGCAUCCAUGUGUAUUGUUAUUUUUGGGGCCAUUCAGUUUUGAAUGGAUCGACGCUCAGGUAAGGUGAGAUGUGAGAGCAUGACCGAACAAUCGUCGGUCUAGGGGAGUGCUUAAUUGUGACGCUUGACUAUAUACAUGUUCUACAUAUGUAUAUAUGAAAGCUGCGAUGUGGAGUAUUUACUUUUCUAGGAAUUCAGUACCCCAUGGAUGUGUAUGGGUAUACAGACAUGGGAAUACUGAGAAGUGUAAUGUACUUGUAACGACGCACCUACGCUCAGGUAAUAAGGUAAGUUACCAUAAUAAGCUGCCAUAUGGUUAAAGUGUGGCAGCGGCGCCUAUGCGUGGCUCGACGCUUAAUGAUGAGCUGGCUUCCAUAUAGAAAUAUAUGGAGUAUAAACUAUGAUAAACUGUCAUGUGUGGAUCUUGCAUCAUGGGAAAUUGGGUUGUGAUGGAUUUUUCUGCAGGUACACUAACCUCGAAAACGUAUGUGUAGUUGACGACUAGCAAAAUACCGUGAGAGUCGUAAGUAUGCCGCCGAUAUAGAACACUGUUUCCACAUUAUUUUGGCAAAAUUUGUGAGGACGCAUAGGAUGAGCAUGCAUCUUGAUUGUUGCAUCAUGUUUGUCACCUGUGCACGAAAAUGCUUCUCUCAUCUUUAUUCCAGUAACCAGUGAUUGUAGAUAAUGUGGUGUAAUGUUGUAUUAUGAACGUAAGUGAAAUAGUUAUUCUCCGUUCCUUAGGUAUUAAUUGUGUUUGAUCUUGUACUUGAUGUGCCGAUAGAAGGCUGGUGACUUGUUUGCUUAGACCCAAAACUAGGCCAUGUUCUUAUUUAGUGAACCAUGACCCAAAGUUGUUUUUUCCGUUAUCCCUCCAAGACCAAAUUCAUGCAAAUAAAUGCUUAGAUAAUUUCUUUGUUGGACAUAAAGUGUACUCAGGCUUAAAACAGGAAUCUUGAGUUAUAUCUCCUUCCAAAACCAUUCCCUUGUUCGGUUGGUGCAAGUUGAUAUCUCUAUUCUAUUUUGCCUCUCCUGGAGGAUUGCAUUGUCGCUUUAUCAACCCAACCUAGGAAAGUUAUGCCUGAUCAUUUUCCUUAGUUUGAUGCCUUUGGUUUCCUCAUAUCUAUCAAAGGCAUACCAACUUAAUCUUAUGAUUGUCUUCCCUCCGUAUCUAAUCAGAUACUAAUCUUUGACCUUGGAAUUUCUGCGAUGGGCAUAAAAAUAUGCUUGGGGCUGUCCCAUCGUACUCCCUCGUCAACCAAUUUUUGGUUUUGACCAUAUCGUGUUCACUCCAUCGGGCCAUGAUCUAUUUGGCUCUCUACUUGUAAUCAUUCCUACAGGUGGAGUCUAUUUUGUAUAUUGUCGCCCUUGCUCAAUUCGUUUGUGUCGCGUGAGAUUUCUUAUUGGUUAUGUCUGGUAAUGGUGUUAUGACUAAAACCGAUGGUGCCGCGCCGAAAUCGAGGGCCUCCUGUGGGUAUACACACAAGGUUGUGCUACUUGGCACGCCUUGGUAUCACAAUUAGUAGUCAUAGUCCAUUAUGAGACUAUAUCAAUAUGUUAUCUCUACACAAAUUGUUCUUACCCCGUAAGAUUCAUUAUUGGUGCCAUUUCGCUAAUGGUGUCAUGGUUAACGACUUAUGGUGCUGCAGUGAAACUGAGAGCCCCUUGUGAAUGUACACGCAAGGUUCUACUGCUUAGCGCAUGCUGGUAUCAAGGUCUCUAGUCAUGAUCCGUUAUGGAAUUACACUGAUGUGUUAUCUUCCGUGGACCUUCUCUUGAAAUGAUUUCUAUGUUGUUUGGCAAGUGAUCAAGCAACAUCUAUCAUCUCUGUUGGAUAAAAAUGGCAUACCACUUUCAUGUGUGGUCUCUUUUCCCUUGACUUUGGUAGUGACUGCACAUAUACAAGUUCCCUUUUGCAUCCUUUCUUGUAAAGGUGAAGCCUUGGAGCUUUUUAGUGUUGGAAGAUAGCUAAUUAGUUCUCAAAAUGAAAAUUUGGCUUCCCCUACUGCUGAAAUGCAGGAGUUUGUUCAUUCGCUCUCUUAUUUAAUCCAUGUAUUCCCUAACCAAGUCAGUUCAUCUCGCAUGAAGAAAUGGAUGAACAACCUGACCAAAUGGAUUUCUACCCAAGUGCAUGAUCUCCUGUUAACAAGAAUGAACCCUCAACCAUUGGAUUGCUGAUGGAUAAUAAGAAGGCUUAUUCAAUGUCAAAAGUAGUUCAACAAGUUGGUUUUACUAACUUGUAACUACCUAAUGAACAAAGGUUGAGUUUAGAGAUCGUUUUAUCGAGUUGUCUAAACUCACUUUGGUUCAACCCAUCCUAAGGAAGUACUUGCAAAAAUCAAGUUAAGUCGACUGAUAACCACCUAGUCAUCGUUCUAGUCAUGCCUCGAUCGCCUCACGUGUGCUUUUCCAGCAUGGGUGAUCAGGUCGAAUCAUGCUUAGUGCUUGAAAAAGUGGAUUGGUCGCGAAGUCAACAUCAAUGCAUCUCUUCAUUGAUAUUUUAUCGAAUCUCUAUCAUCUUUAGUGGACUUGAAUUCUCUAGUUAGCUACAUGUUAACCACGACAGUAUUUGACAUCCACACUCGUCUUAUGUGCUAUGAACUUACCGUGACCAGUUGUUGGUAAACCUCUUUCUGUGUGUUUUACCCAAGAGGUUGCAACUAGUUCUAUUUGGAUAAAGUCGCGUAUCUACCGCUCGCUCAACAGACUCAGAUAGUACCGUGUCAUCAGAAAAAGCAAAUUGUACACAUGGAAUCUUAUGUGUUCUUCUGGCAGAUAUCGUCUCUGAUGGUUGACUUCUCUGCUUAGCUGAAAAGUAAGACAUGCUAUGUCCACUAGAGAAACAACCUCCUGAGACACUCGCCUUUGCUUGGAACUGCCUUAAGCUAUCGCUGAUAUGGACAUGAGUUACAUGCUUCUCUACUCUUAGAAGUCUUUCGCUCCGAAUCUCGGGACGAGAUUCUUUUAAGGGGGAAGGGCUGUAACACCCUAGGUGUUACUGUAUGCUUAACGACGAAUAUGGACGACUGCCCAAAAAAUUUCGCGAAGCUCGGACUUUAGUGUCCUUCAAAAAUGCCGAGUCCGGUGCUGUUUAGAUUGGUUAUGAGCGUGAAUGCGACUUCGAAAAAAUAGCUCGAGUUUGAUGUCGUAUUCAUUUCCAUAAUCUAAACAGUUAAAAAGGUUUCAUGAACUUUUGGAUUACCUAAUCUCGUUUGCUGGAGAAUUUGGAUAUGUUCGGAUCACGCGCAUAAGUGAAUAUGAAAAUCAGAAAACUUCUGAUUUUACGUAAAAUUUGGAGCCCCGCGCUGUCCGAACAGAAUGAUGCACCAGCUAAUUAAGUGAAUCGUUCCUCUCAGCAAGUUAUCUUUGGCGUCAAAUCAACUAUUCGAUAGCUGGUGAGGAUCAUAAAAAUUAGACGGGACUAAAUACAGUCUAAAAUAUCGAAGUCAAUAUCAUUUUGAUUCGGUCCAUUUGUUUUCGCCUUGAUCUAAAUCUUCAAAAUGAAUUAGUACGGAUUCAUCCGACUUUAGAGUAUUCGCCAAAUCAAAUCGUAUCCAAAUAUUGUUAUCGAUCUCGUUUGGUUCGACCCAUUACCCAUCGCAAAAAAUCCCAAUUCCAAAUAUCUGCAAUUCUCUUUAUAAAAAAAGAAGAAAUAAAAAAGGAAAAUAUUCGUCGUCCUUAUCUCUCGCCGCCCCACCUUCUCUGAUUUUUCAGCCGCCGAUCUCUCUCUCCUGAUAUUUUCUCACGGUGCAUUAUCCCCAUCCACGCGCAGGCUUCUUCCCCAAACCACCGUCGUUCUCAGCGUCGUGUGCCCAGCUCCAACUCGGCCCCUCCCAUGGCGCCCUGCUGCUCUCCUCUCUCUUGCGCUCAGCUUCCGGACGGAUCUCCUGGCCGUGUGCUCCAGUGCCGGUCGCUCCUCCCUGCUCGCCCUCCAGCUCGCCCUGGACGCCGUGCCUUUCUCUCUAAUUGCUACUCGUCUGUGCUCCAGCCAUAGCGCGCCCCUCUCCCAGGUCCCUUCUCUGCGCGCUCCUUCAAGCCGGCGUCCUCUGCUCGCCAUGGCCGCUGAGCCCGAUCCAGCCGUGUGCUCGCCCGGUCAUACGCUCGCUCUGCUCGCCCGGGCACUCAUCUCCAUCCAUGGAUAUCGCCAUCUCAGCACCCUUGCUCUGCUCGAGGAAAUGCCAAGCCUUGAAAAACCAUCGUCUUGCUGCGACGCGUGCGUGCGCCACUCGCCCCACGCCGUCGUCUUUGUGUUUAGGCAGCCCCGUCGCGGCAUCGUCAAACCUUGCCCCUUGUCGUCAUGUUCUCCUUGCUGCAGCACCAUCGAUUUGUACUUGUGUCGAAUCGCAGUAGUGCAUAUGGAUGUCAAAGGAAGUGAAAGCUCCAUGUGAUGCUAGCCAAGUACUCGACGUAAAGCCUGAACCAGGGUCUCAUCAUUGUUCUUGUGAAGUUCAAGUCGAAUAUAUAGUUUUGGAGGGAGAUUUGGUGCUGAAGCCGAAGCCAGCAGCCCCCUUAUUCUUCGUCGUCAAUCCAAGCCGCUUCCCCGACGUGCCCGUUGAUCCCGACGAUCUAUCUUCCAGUUGAUCGCCACUUGCGUUGAGCUCCAAAGCCCCCUAUCGUGCUCGACCCUGGAGGCCUCCAACUUAUCGACAUCCCUUGCGUCGUCGAAAAAUCCCGAGAGUUUGGAUAAAGCAACAGAUCCCAUGUGGUGCUUGCCGGGUGCUCGGCAAAAGGUCUAAGCAAGAAUCAUUGUCGUCUGCGCGAAGUUAUGGUCAAUAUGGUAAUCAUACUCUGAUUUGCUAUUUUAGCAAAUUAAUUUGAUAGAUGGAUUAGAGGGAUAUAUAUAUCGUGGUGAUUAUUCUAUUUGUAGCUUAAACGCGUCGUGGGUAUAUUUUGAUGCAUGAUAAAGGCUGUAAUUAUGCUGUUUGCUUACCACCAUAAUUAUGAAGUAGUCGCGAGGUGUGGUGAAAUAUAGGUUUGAGGUAUGAAUAAUAUGAAGAAUGUGUUGGAAGACUUGUAUACGUAGCGUGAUUAGAUUAUAAUGCGAAAGCUAGGUUAAGUAUUUUAUCUAGCUAGCUAGUAAGUUCUGACGAUGUUGCCAUGCCGAUUUAGUUUGUUUAAAUAAAUAAAUGCUUUGCUAGUAGACAUUUUAAUUAGCUGGCAUGUUAUGCAAAGUCGUCUGGUCGGGUAGUUUGGAAAGUUGAUGUGCUUCUAUCCUUAUUCCCAAAAUUAGAUGUCUUAGACUAAUGAUUCUAAGUUUGUUAGUCCUCUGGUAUUGAACGUUAGCUAAGGAAAGUAGAGUGUGGGUAUAGUUUAUCGUCUUUCGUGAUGUUGUAACUAGAUCUAGUGAAACUGGAAGAACGCGAUUGUUGUGUGUUUAGUUUAUUGUUUUGUGAUGUAUGAGCUACCUUCGAAUAGGCUGGAAAAGCGUAAUUAUUAUAGUUAGUCUUACAGCGAUAGCUAGCGUUUACUUGUGAUUGGUCUAAUGUUUUGCUAGUCAAUAUUUAAUCCUUUACCAUGUAACAUUAUUCAGUAAUGUACAAGUUUUUUUGUUCAUACAUGUGCAUUAUGCAUAUCAUUUAGGUACAUUUAUUGAUUACGUGAUACGGAGGACCAAAGCUGAGUCGACCACAAGAUGUCGCUACGCGUAAGCUUCUCCACAAGAUGAUGCUAAUGGAUGAACCUGAAGAUGGAUAAUCUAAACAUGUGUCAAAACAAAGGCUGAUCGUCAAGUGGACGUCAUCUAACAAACACUAACAUAGUGUUAUUCCAGGCAAACCCCUGUGCAUUUGCCACCUCCUUGCUGUUUUAAAAUCUUUUAUCACCUUGUUUGAUGCAUUAGGUGAUAGGAGUUGUGUGCUAAACAAUUGAUGCAUUUUCUUCCUUGGAAAAUUGAAUACCCUUCCUUGGUACCCUUUUAUGAAAAGGAUUUUUAUGAUGCUUAGCCUUGCUUUAGAAAAAUAAAAUGUUUUGUUUUAAAAACAAAAGGUGAUGCUUCACAGUGGAUGGGAAUUUUUACAAAGAGAAACUUGUGAUGGUGGAUCCAUUAGGGCCUUGAUGGGUUCAACAUCUAAAAGGAUGUACCUCUGUCAGGUACCAAACUUUAGGAUUUAAAUAAUAAAGCUGAGACCGAGCGGGUGACUUGCACGAGAAGAGAGUGUCGGUGUAGUGUCUCCGUCUGAGUCGAUUAAGGACCGUACCGAUGUAGGCAUGAUGAUCGAGGACCUUUUAACUAGCCACAUGCCUCGUCAUGGGUAAGCUUUGCCUCAAGCAGACCAAUACCAGAAAGGCCAACACGCAAUGGGAGUGGAGAGAUGGCGAGAGUAGCGUGUACCCUCCGUGACAAGAGGUUGGACGGUGGUGUAUCUAUGCUCUCGGUUGGUGUGAACCCGGUCUGGUCUUGAGAAACCCGGUGGCGAGUUGACAUAUGCAAGGGUUAAGUACUACAUAUGUUGUGUGGUUGGAGAUCCCCAGAUGGGUAUUAAUCGAUUCGGAUCGCCGUUACUUCUCGAAUAUGAAGACUUGCUCACUGACUUACACGUAGCAAUCCAGUGAACUGAAGGGUUGAUAAAAACACGGCUUGUAUAGGCCAAGUGUUUGAACUAGGAUAGAAAGAACUCUAGAUGCAGGUUACUUUACUUAACCUGACAAGUAAAAAUGGAUUUUUAAGGAUCCAUUCAUAGUAAGCUUUUCUGCAAACAGAGUCUUUGAUUCUUGAUAAGCUUUACCUUGAUUCCCAAAAGCCAGCAUAUCCUUGAGAGUCUUUUUCCUUAGACGGGUAAGACUUGCGAAAGUACACUUCGUACUUAGGGUUUUCGAACCCAUGUUGUUGCAGGUACUAGAAUUGUGCUGCUGUGGAUGGUGUUAAGCGCCGGUGGGCACGACCUUCUUAUAAGUCUAAGUACUUUUUCUAUACUUCUUAUUGAGGAUUGUCAUUGAGCUAGCAUAUAUUUCAAAACUAUAAAUAAUUUAUAACAGUUCAAAGUUAUUUUUGAAUCACAUUUGUAAUCACUCCGAUCAUGUACAUUGUAAACUUGAUGUAACUUGUAGAAUUUGGUAAUAAUAUUUCCGCUGCAAAAAUGUUGGUGUGUGAUUUGUGUUUACUUAAUCUUGCGAUCCUGGUUGUAAGUGGUUUAUCCGGGGUCCUUGGACACUCAGACGGAUCCUGUUAAGUUAUCUGGUGCACAUGCAUAGCCGUCUGAGGUCUUUGAGACAAGCACAGGUGCAUGUGGGCCUAAUAACUUGGGAGGUUCUGCCACAAUAGCCUAGAAGGCAGAGUCCCUAGCUUGGAUGGUCGAGUAUUUGGCCUCGACCACCAAGUUCAACCUCAAUCAUAUUGAAUGGGAAAUGGGCAAUUAAGCCAUUUCUAUAAGUUUUGGUGAUUGAAUGACCAACAUGGCAUCUUGGACUAACCGGUUUGCUAAGUGUGUGGGCAUAAGUUCACUCAAGUGCAAAUUGAAGGAUUCAAGUCCAAAUGAGCUCAAUGAAGGCCAGGAAGUGCAACAUUUUGAAAUAAGAGUAAAAUAGUGAGGUUUGAACCUUUGAAUAUGUUGCAUACACCUAUUAAAAUGUUUUCUAGCAUAUUGGUUUGCUCUCUAACUCAGUUUGUAGUAAAAAGUGCUUUUGGACUUGUGUUUGAGUUGAAACAAGAAAUUGAAAAGGAAGACGAGCUAAAGGUAUGAACCUAUGUGUCGGUGUUUCGAACCUCGCUCUGACAAGUAAAAUCAUUAUGCACAUUUCGGGCUCCAGAUGGUGGGCACAUGAUUUAUACUGGUUCGGGCAGAACAUCCCUGCUUCUAGUCAUCGGUGGCUUGCGCUACUAGCACCAUUGAUGAUCAAAGCUCAUAGUAGGGGUUACAAGCAGGAGAGAAAGGGAGGAGAGGCUCCCAAGUCUCUUAUUCGUGGUGGAAGUGGUUACAAGGUGGAGUCCUAGCUAAGUCUUGGCUUGGCGAUGGGGCUCUGGCCUCCGGGUCCUCUUCCUAUUCGUUGGUCUUCUCGGCGUCGUCUCGUCUAGGGUCUAUCCUUGCAUCGUCCGCCUCGGAGAAAGGGACCUCUGAGUGCGCUCUCGUGUCCGAGGGCCGGCCUCCUCCCUUUAUAGGCUAAGGAGGGGGUCAGCUCGUGGUGGCUUUCCUUAGGAAGGAGCCAUCGGGUGAUAGUAAAACUAGUAUGGAUCGUACAUGGAUGAUAGUUGGAGUCGUUGGCUCUCCUAGGCUUCCCUCAUCUAGGAUCCCUAGGGAAGAUGAUCAAGUUGGCCCUUGCUGAGGUGAAGAAAGUUGAAGGAUAUACAUUACUAAGUGGGAUUUAAUGCAUGUGACUUGGAGAUAGCUGAUUGAACCAAUGGCAAAUGCAAGAAAGACUUUGAGGGACUAGAUCAAGGGAGAAGGUCAAGAGGACCAAGGUACCUGAGGCUAAGGUGAAGAAGAGGUUCUUGCAAGAAAUCAAGGUUGAUCAAGUUCAAAAGUGUUAUGGUGCAUUGAGGAUCACGACAUAAGGACAUGACUUGAAGCCAUUGAGGUAAUUCAUAUGGUUUAUGGAUCAAGUCAUAAGGCUUAAGAUCCUAGCUCGAGUGGAGUCAUGGUCAUAAGAUUGAGAAGUAUCAAAGUCAGAACCUAAAAGAGCCUAAAGAGAUGUGCAUAUUUGAUUUGGAGUUUGGAUCAAUCCUAUGUUUAGAAAGGUUCAUAUUAAAGGUGUUGGAACUCAUAUGGCUAAAGUGAUCAACUGAUGUUGACUUGAAGUUUUGGAGUCCAACACCAAGCUCAAACAGGGCAAAAAGAGAAACAUGAUGAAAAAGUUUAAAUCUAAAAAGUUUGAGCAUUUGAAUAUAUUGCAUACACCUUUUACAUAAUUAUUGGCACUUUGGUUUGCAAUCUAACUUGGUUUCUUAUGGAAAUGCCCUUUUGGUCCUUGUUCGAGGUGAAAGUGGAAAGCUAUGGAGAAGAUAAGAUAGAGGUGAGUUUCUAUGACUUAUUCCACUAUAUUAUACUCUAGUUAUGUUCAUCUAAGUCAUGGGAAAGUGCUCAAGAAAGUCCAAGUUCAAUGGAGGAAAAGAAACUAAAUUUUAUCAAUUUAAAAUGAGAAACCAUUGCUUGUGUUACUAAUGCACUUUCUUGUAUGAGAUAUUCAUGGUAAACUACAAGGAGAGAUGAUGCUCAUUUGACAAAGACACAAGCUUAAGGUUUCUCUUCACCUAAAGGAAGAAAUGCCUUAGAUUUGAAAUCUUCAAAUUAAGGUAAAAAGGCAAAGUUAUGGAACUAGUUGUUUUCAAUGUGGUAUUUUAAUCAGUACCCAAUCUUGAGUAGUUCCUUGCAUGUGUGGUUCCUAAAUUUGUAUGCUUCAUUAUGGCGCAUGUUGUUUUUAUAUGGUGAAGUAAUGCCAAUAAUUACGAUAAAUUCCUUCACAAGCAAAAUUGAUAAAGUGUCACACCCGGGUUUUAGUGGCACCAAGACCCGGGCGCAAACAUAAUCACCAGGUGUGCUAGGACCAAGUCUCACACAUAUGAUGAAUCAUGGUACAAAAACGAAUGUCACAUCUUUACUAUAUAAUAGGAGUUUCUGUACAAAAUAAAUAAAUAAUCACAUCGUAAGGAGACAACGAUCAACAACCCAAAGUUAACGGGGAGACGACGGCCUAGACCUCUCACAAACACAUCGCAGCAUCCUCCAAGCGCCUCAUCGUGUGGUACCUGUUCCUGACCUGUGGGGGUGUGAGACAGCAAGGGUGAGCUCACAUAUGUUCAUCGUUCAACAAGUUCUAGGGAAUAAUGUGCAUGAACUCGCCAAAGGUGGGAGCUCAUGUGAAGUGUAAGGCUUACCAAAGAGAAUAGUUAAAGCUGAGCAUUGCUUUUAAAGUUGGUCAAAAUUUUAUUAGCAAUUACUAGAUGUAAGUAAAUACCAAACCAUAAUAAUAAUAGAACAAAACUAAUAAUAAAUCCAAUUGCAAUGCAAAUGAAAAAAUGAAUUUAGUUCCAUAAUUUAAUCAUGCGAGAGUUCUGAGCUGCUCAUGACCGCGAGCACGACUAGUAUACCCGUUUUACACUCUGCAGAGGUUGUACCCUGUACCCACAAGUCGUGUAUCCCAUGUCGCCAGGGUUUGCAAGGCCCUUAGACAUUUCCAAGGUGAAUGGCUAGGGAUCCACUACGAGGCCUUUACAAAGUUUCACUAGCUUCAGAAAACCCGCUACAGUUUCUAGGAAGAGCAAUGCAGGAAUCCCCCAUCUGACCGCCAUCGCAGCAAAAUCAACCCCAGGAACCUCCCUACAUGCCUACUCCCCUACUGCCCUUGCCCCUAUCGGGUAAGGUAGUCCUCCACUAGCUUUCCUAGUUAGUCAGCCAAGGGCGUCUGUAACACCCGGUUUCUAAGGGACAAAGCCGGGUGCAUCUCAUACAUGCGCCAAAGAAGACAACACAUAUAAUAACAGAGUGUAUAGAGAUAAAUGUCACAAUAAUCAGAGUACUUAUUACAUAGCGGAAGACCUAAAAAAUAAAAGAUAAAUAUAGCAGGAUCUAAAAUCCAUCCUUGGCGCCAGAAAGUCAACUGGGAGACACCACCUAGAUCGAAUCAAACUCCUCGAUGCAUGGCUCCACUUGAACCACCUGUUCUUCUCCUGUGGGGGGUGUGAGACAGCAAGGGUGAGCUCACAUAUGUUCAUCGCUCAACAAGUUGUGGGGAAUAAUGUGGCAUGAACUCACCAAAGGUGGGAAUUCAUGUGAAGUGUAAGGCUGAUCAACAAAAUAAAGGUUGAAGCUGAGCAUUGCUUUUAUAAGUUGGUCAAAAUUUUAUUAGCAAUUACUAAGUAUAAGUAGAUACCAAACCAUAAUAAUAAUAGAACAAAAUUAAUAAAUAAUCCCAUGCAAAUGCAAAUGACAAUUUGAGUUUAAGUUCCAUAAAUUAAUCAUGUGAGGGUCCGAGCCGCUCAUGACCGUGAGCAUGGCUAGUAUACCAGUUUUACACUCUGCAGAGGUUGCACAUCUUUACCUAUAAGCUGUGUUACCCAUCUGCCAAGGGGUCAUGAAUCCCAUACACCUCUACCAAGGAAGUGAGGCAGGGUAACACUACGAGGCCUUUACAAAGUUCCACUAGCUUCAGAAAACCCGCUACAGUUUAUAGGAAGCUCCAGUGCAGGAAUCCCUCGCCUGACCGCCAUCGCAGCAAAAUCAACCCAAGGACCUUCCUACACUGACCACUCCCCUACUUCCCUUACCCCUUUCGGGUAAGGUAGUCAUCCACUAGCUUUCCUAGUUAAUCAGCAAAGGGCGUCCCAUUAAACCCUUGUGGUAGCACUGUUUUCCCGGGUGGUCGCUCCAUGUUGCAAUUAACAUAAUGAUCUUAUCAUGAAUAUAAAUAACAUAACAGAAUAAUUGGAACAUGGAUAUAAUAAAAUAUUAAUCCCAAAACCAUAUAGAGCAAUAGCAUAACUACCCAAGUGAUUCAGGGAUAAACAAGGUAAAAAGGAUAACCAAUCUAGGGUGACCUAUUGGGUCCCAUCAAAAUUAAACCUAUGCAUUGAAUAGUGAUAAUAAAGAAUAUUAUUGGGUAACAAAAGUGGAUCAAGGGCACAACUUGCCUGACACUUGAGAUUUUAGUUACCAGGGUGAUUCUUCAGAUCCUCGUGAUCGCACUACUAGUCGUAGCAAUACAAACAAACAUGGUAUAGAUAAAAUCAAUAUCACACCAAACAUGAGAACAAAUUAAAUAAUAAUGAUCUACGCGAAGCUACAAGAUCGUGGGAACGAGAACCACUAAAAUCGGAGUUACGAUUAAGGAGUUAUGAUCUAUAAAAGCUCUACAUAAUUUAAAUAUUAAACUUAUAUUAUAAAUUGGUUAGUAUAGAUCAUAUGAGAAAUUAUUCUAUAAAUAAUUAUCUCAACUUUAAUCUAAGUCAUUAUUUUAUUAAAGCUUAUCUAGUUAAAUUAUAACCAUAAAAUUAGAAUACUAUAUUAAUAUUAAAUACGUUAAUCUAAUAGACAUAGAUUAACCCAAUUAUAAAGUAUGGAAUAUCAUAUAAUAAAUGUUGAUAUUGUGUAGUAGAUAUUUAUAUGAAGCUAACGCAAUUGGAACGAGCCAAAUCGGAUUUAAAACCGAGGAGUUACGAAUUUCCUAAGGUUUAUGUAUUUUGCACAAGAUUAAAUAGGAUAUAAAUUUUAAUGUGACUUUCAUGUGAAAACAGUGGUACUAGAUGAUAAACCAUAAUAUUAAAAAAUUAUAGGAACUGGAAUGGAUUAAAAAGGAGUUAAAAUGUAUUUUCUAGGAAUUAAACAAAUUUCUGGAAUUAAUUUUGCAUUAAAAACUUUUUUUCUAAAUGAAUUCUCUGUUUUCCUAGAGGUCUGGACUGCGCGCAUGAUUAAACAGAAACCCAGGGUCUAUGGCAUAAAACAUCUAAGACUCAGGCAUACGGUCAAUGGACUGCGGGUUUAAUAAGAAGGAUUCUAGGGUCUCUUUUAAAAGACGGCCAGGGCUGAAGGGGUAUAAUUCAAUCCUGACCGUCCGAUCUAGCAUGAACGUCCCAGAUUAGAUCGUGAUUCCAGUGAACCGAUAUGCAACAGGGGACGUCGGAUCGUGGAUGAAGGUUCUGGAUUUAAAAUGUCUUGAUCAAACCAUACACGCCCAAUCGAGAUCCAAUGGUCAGAUUAGGACGCGUGAAGGGGUAUGCGCUGGUGUGAUCCCGACCGUUGAUGCCCGGACCAAUGGUCCAAAGCGCAUCGCUACACUUCUCCCCUAUCUCGACCACCAGAGCAGCCGCCCCGCCCAAGGAGCACGACGGAGGAUCGCCGGCGACACGCGAUUUGGCGCAACCGAGCCGGUGCCACAACACAACUAGGUGCUAAACGAACUAGGGCGUGCAACGAAUCGAAUGAGCUGGUCCUUACCCCAGAUUGGAGAGCCACGGAUGCAGUCCAUGGUGGAUUGCGGCACGAUGGCGGAGAAGGAAGCUCGACGCCCAAUUCUGGCAACCCAGGCCGAUGCCCCGAUCCGCGCGGUCCAUGGAUACACUCCUUGACACCCGGUGACCGUCCCUGGGCUAGUCGCAGAACCGCGACCGCCGCAAGGAUCAAGAUUUGAUGCCGGCGACUAUCCUCCCGAUGGCCGCCCCUCUCGAAUUUCUCACGGUGGGUGACGCUAAGGCGAUAGUGUGCAUAGACGGAUGGAAGAAAAGGAGAAGUGGACGGUGCACUAGACAUUAUAUGCCCAAGGUGAGUCUGUUGAGGCGUACGCUGGUGGCGAGAUUAACGGCGGGUCGUUAGGGAGGCCCUGACCAUGGCGGCGUGGGUGAGGUCCUACAGUUAUGUGCAGUUGCGAUGCGGCAGGCGGGAUCAGGUCAGGGUUGAUUGCGCCCGGUCAGCUGAAAUUGCACGCGCCAGCGGAGAUCAGGCGCGGCGAGAUCCAGACCCGCGGAGUGUGUGGCGGUGAAAUCGCGUUCUGUUUGAGGUAGGGGAACGAGCUGACGACUGGGCCCACAUGGAAGUGAAACGGGAGCGUGCAAUGAGGAUGGUAAGGAAAAGACUUUAUCCAAAAUGUUUAAGUCCUGAUUCAUCUCAAGAUUCGCUUUGACUGUUAAACCCUUGUUAGUGUUGAUCUUUUCUUCUCCAGUUUUGGUCUCAUUAAUUCGAGUUUAAUGUAUAUCAGCAGAGUUGGGCAUAUGGUUGAAGUGGUUAUGGGUGAGAUGGACUACAUGAUGUAGGUCAAAAUCUAGUUUGAUGUUAGGUGGGGACAGAUAAUUAAUCAAUUCAUCAUGACACCAUGGGUUGGGUUAGCUCUUAUCCUCAUGGUUGAGUUGGUCUAAUGUGCUAGGUUAGGUUAACACCGGGCUAGUAAUGUCUAAUCUCUUCUAUCAAUAUCACUAAUCUGUUCAAGCAUACCACAUUAGAUUAGGUCACACUAGAUUCCAUAAUCCUAUUUAAGAAUACCAUUUAAUUGAGCAUAUCCAGCUGACUUUAUCUUUACGAAAUCCCAGCAUAUUUUUUUAUACACCUGAAAUUCCUUUUAUGCCAUUAGCAGGUGUGGUAUAGAAACAAGGGUACAUCAUGUUUUAACUAAUAGGUGAGUGUUGACAUAGGAAUAAGUGUACUAUGGCAUAAUCGAGCUUCCUCUGGGGUCCGAACUAGGGACUAUCGGUCGUGGUGUUAGAUGCCAUUAUCCAAGUUGAGAUAACAAUUGCAGUAUAUGGGGUAGGUAGGUUAAAAAAAAUUACUUAGCUUUUGGGAUAAAUGGGUUGGGAAACCUGUAACACCCUAAAUUUGGGGUAUAAAAUUUCUUUGCUCAUAUCCACAAAUUCAGGUGUUAUUCCUCUCAUCUCAUCUCCCCCCAAUCUCUGUUUUUCUCUUUUCUAUAGAAGAAGAGUGGUUAUUUUAUUUAUAAAUGCAAUUAUAAUCUAGUGGGUUAAAAACCCUAAGGGAACAAUGGUUGUUGCAUCAUGUUAGAAAGAUUUGUUUUUUUGUUUGAUGAAUGGUUUGCUUAAUCUUUCAUUUAAUCAUUUGUUUGCGCAUAAUGUCAAACUGAAAUAAAUAGAAAAGAGAAAGAAAAGGAAAAGAAAAGGAAAAAACAGAAUUCAGCCCAACUCCCUCCCUGGCCCAGCUCGGCCGGCCCAGCCGCCCCUUCCCUCUCUCCCCUUUCCCCCGCUCGGCCCACCGCGCCUGCACUCCCUCGCGGGCCCGCGCGCCGCAGCCCAUCCCAGCUUUCCCUCGCGGCGGCCUAGCGCGCCAGCCCCUCUUCCCCCCCCCCCCCCGCGCGCAAGCAGCCAGCGUGCCAGCCCAGCUCCGCGCUCGGCCCACCCAGCGAGCCAGCCCCAGCCCACGCGCGCAAGCAGCCAGCAAGGCAGCCCAGCCGCGACCGCAGCCCAGGCCGCACGCCCAGCCGCGCGUAGCGCGCCCCUGCGCGCAAGCGCUCGCCCGCGUGGAGGCCGCCGCCUGCAUGCGCGCCCACGUCCGCGCACCGCGCGCAGCGGUUCCACGCCUGCCGCUGCCACUACCCAAUGGGGCCCACGCGCCAGGACGCAGGAUGCCACUGUUCGUCUUCUCAGAACCGCCCGUCGCGCAGUUUGUUUCGCCAGACGCACAGUUUUUCCUCCCGAGUGCCCAGUUCCCUCGCCAGCGACCUCGCCAGUGACCUCGUCGUGCUCACGACCAUCGACGCCCCUGCGCAGCGCCUCUUCGCGCCGAGCAGCACCGUGGUCGGGCUCCACUCGCCGCGCAACCGCCAUCGUCGACCUCCGUUCGCCGGCCUCGCUACACCCUGCCCUUAUCGCCGUCGCCGAGGUGAACUCGUCCUCCCUUUCCUCUCUCUACCGCUCGCUUCCUCGCCGCUCACUCGCCAUGGCCGGGGUUCUGCGGAGCCGACCCGGACGCCCAUGUCCCUCUCCAUCCCGUCGGUCCGCAAUCGCCUCGCCGGUCAGCCUCUGCGCGAUCUCCGGCCAGUGCGCAGCCCAGCUCCCUCGCGCGCGGCUGGACUCCCUGCCGUCGCGGCCCGCAACGCGCAGCAAGCCCGACGUCCCGACGUGCAGACCCCACGCGCCUUCGCCUCGUCCCUGCGCGCAGCGGCCGAGUAGCUGCGCACUCGGCGCGCUCAAACCCGUCCCCGUGCCGCGCAGCCCAAGCUCAGCGCGCGCUCGCAGCACGCCUAGUCGCGUUGACGUUUAGCGCCGUAGCAGCCGUUCACCGUCAAACCUCGCCUCUGCGUGUCGCAGCUGCGUUGCUGCGCGCUCGCCGCUGCCCAGCUCGCCCCGGCCGUUCGUCUACCAUCGCCGUGCCUCGCUACAGUUACCUAGCGCAUCGCGUACUCGUCAAGUCUCACGCGCGCAAUUUCGCACGUGAUCACGGGUAUCGCGCGCACCGUCGUCGUUGUUUGUAGAGUCCUCGCGCUGUUUCGCGCGUGUCGCGCGCGCAUUCUGCGCGCAAUAAUUAAUUACUUCGUUAUAAAUCGUCGCGUGUUGUUCGCAUGCGUUGUGCGUGCUGUUCACACGUGUCGUCGUGUGUUUUACGCACGCUAAUAAUUCAUCUCACCUAGAAUAGCUCGCGCUAAGUAAAUAUAUAUUUAAGCAACGGUUAUUCGAACAACACACUAAUCGGGACUAAGUAGUAAUUUUACUCGGCAUGUGAUUGUUGUCUGUUAAUACGAUUAAGCCGAAUUAAAUAUUAUAAUUCAUAUUCGCUUAGUAUACAUGUGAUAUCCCUCGACCGUAGUAUCAGUCGUCUCGGUUCCGUUCUCGCGUAGUCAUAAAUGCGAAUUCUAUGUCGCGUGCAUAUUUAUUUGAUCUAUACUGUUGUAUGGUGUACUGUUUUCUAUCAUUUCAAGAAUGUUGGAUGUAUGUUUGCACUCGCGUAGAUAUCAGGCCGUUCGUGGAGUCUGAGGGAAUUGCAGGAGAAGACCCUGAGCAGCAGCAGCUUGGUGAAGGCAAGUGUCCUCUGACCCAUUAUGUCCUAUUCACUUAUAAUUCACUUUCCCGCAGUAUUUAAUUGAAAUCUAAGGAUUGACUAGCUUUAUACUUUACCUUAUCCUUGAUGACCUUUUGGGUGAUUAUGGUUAGCAUUUUGCUAUUGCCUUAACUUAAUCAAUGAACAUGAUGUGACUAUUUAUGAUACGAUACUGUUAUCCUGAUUAUAUUGUUGAUCUUGUGAUACUCUAGGGGGCUCAGGCUGUUUCCUGAGUACCUCUUCGUAAGGACCUGUUCGUUGAGAGACCACCCGGGAUAACAGUGCAACCAUGAGGGUGGAAUGGGGUGCCCUUAGCUAAUUAAUUAGAGGAACUAGAAGUGUAGUUGCUUCGCCGUCGUGCCGUCAAUGGGGUCCAGGCACAGUGCUUGCUCUGCCGAGGCUGAGUGCCGAGGUUCUUUCGUUUUGUUUUUGUUAGUCACCCUCCUGCGGGGAGAGGUACUGUGUUUAUCAAACUGGAGAAACCUAACGGGCAGCUAUGACCUCUAGGGAAUCUUUGUAAAGGCUUCGUAGUGAAUCCCUGGCCAUUCACCUUGGGAGUGAAUAAGGGUCUUGCAAGCCUGGGCUAGAGAGGGAAUCACGGCUCAUGGGUAAAGUGUGCGACCUCUGCAGAGGGUAGUGAAACUGAUAUAUCAGUCGUGCUCACGGUUAAGAGCAGUCUUGGGAUCCUCUUUGAUUAGAGAUACAAAUGGUUUGAGAUACAAUGGUUCUAUUUAUGAUUUUGGUUCGAUGAUGAUAAUGAUGUUCCUCGAUGAGGAAAUGAUUCACGGGUUAGUUAUUGCUAAAACCUGGCUUCACUAAUAAUAAAUACCUGACCAACUAAAAGCAACUGCUUGAGUCUAACCCCACAUAAAGCUAGUCCACUUCAGCCAAACGGGGCAUUUGCUGAGUACGUUGAUGUGUACUCAUCCUUGCUUUACCACAAAACACCAGGUUGUCCACAUUGCAACCACUGCUCAGGAGAAGACGAAGUCGUGGAAGGCGACUUCCAGGAGUUCCAAGACUACGACGAGUUUUAGGUGUGGGUUGGCGGCAACCCCCAGUCAGCUGCUUGUGAAGGCCUUAUCUUUACUGCGUUUCGCUAGCACUUUGAUUUAACUGUUAAGUUGAUGACUAUGUGGAUGUCUAUGACUCUGUGAUGUAAUAAGUUAAUACUCUUUUAUGUUAUUAUUCGAGCACUGUGCGAUGAUGUUCAUUUAUGUAAUCGCUGUGUACGUGAAUUCUGAUCCUGGCACGUACAUAGUUCGCAUUCGGUUUGCCUUCUGAAACCGGGUGUGACAUAAGUGGUAUCAAAGCCGUGCUGACUGUAGGACCGCUGACCUAGAGUAGCACUGGUCGUACUAAGGACUAUUGACCUUCACCCUCACCUUGACCUCUAGGUCACUUCAAAAGUCGGUCACCUCGACCAACCCUAUGUUUUACUACAUAUAUAUGUAUAUUAUAUUAUACCUUGUUAAAAUUUUAUUUUGUUCUGUCUAUGGUUUACUCACUUGUCAUAUUAGUUCUGUUCUUACUCUCAUGCUUACGGUGUCUUUUGUAGAUGGCUCGACUUAGACACACUGCUCGUAAGUCGGUGAUUCCUUUCCUGCCGUCUCGCCUUGCGGAGCGUCCUCUGCGCCGCACCGUGUCCGGUCAGUCGAGUCACCUGGAGAGGCUGCACCACCGCCUGCGUGAGGAGCAGGAGCGCCAGCGUCAGCACAGAGAGCAGCAGGGCUCUUCCUCCCCACCUGAGCAGGAGGUGGAGUCCGUGAGGCACCGCUCCCCUGUUCCCCAGCUGGAGGCGCCCCCUGCACCACCGCGGGACGCCCCGGCUGUUGGAGGAGCUACUGGAGAAGGUCCUGGAGGAGACCCCGACGACGACGACUCAGACCACAGCACUGAGUCCUCUGAGCCGCAGGAGGCAGAAGGAUGGGUCGCCCGACCCAUCACCCGUGAUGCCGCUCGCGGUUGUCACUUCCACGACGCACUCGACACCUUGCUGCGCCAGGCUUUCGACUGGCACACCUGGUCGAUCGAGUACCGUUGUGUAGUCUACCAGCACAGUCGCGGGAGGUACCCGGACCGCUGGGAGGCUACCUGCCUAGUUCGCCGUUUGUAGGAUGACCUCCAGGGUGCGAAGGCCGUUUCGGAGCACUAUUCCAUCUCCGAGAGGGACACUGCAGAGGCGGCUAUGCAGGAUGCAGCACAGCGUGCACUCUCCCAGUACUGUUCCUUGUUCGGUGGGGUGGCCGACGGUCUUAACCUUAGGUACUACCCCCGCCGUCCUACUGGCAGCACCGAGAGUGUGGUUGUCUCACCUGUUGGUGAGGAUAACCCUAGGUUGAGCAGCACAGUCAACCUAGUCGCGGUGCUUAACACUGAGCUGGAUCACUCUUUGGAUGAGCUGAGCAGGGCUCGAACGGAGAUUGCUGAGUUGCGUGCUGAGCUAGCAGAGCGUCGCCACCAGGAGGGUGGUUCCCCCGCUCCUGUUGGGACUCAGCACCCUUACCGCUCGCCGCCACGUGGUCACCACACUUAUGGUUCCCCUGCCUGUAAGACCAGGAUAGAUCUAGAUCCUUAGAUCGUUAGCGUCGGAGUUUGUAAUAAUCCUUAAGUCAGAUGUCUCAGUCUUAGAUAGUCAGUUUAGUUUGCUUACCAGUUGCUUCCAUUUAGUUUAGUUUGCUUAUCAGUUGCUUACAUGCUUGUUAUGAUGAACUUAUGCUGGAUUUGAAUCUUUGUAAUGUUUGUAGCCAACAUGUGGGUUUCCCCUGCAGUUUGGCUUAGCUAGUAAUGUUAAUGAAGUCAGUUGUUUAGUUGGGAAACUAUUUACUUCUACUUUCCUUUUUAUCUGAGAAGCUGUGUUGAAUCAUAAUGAGGAUCAGUGAAGCUCUUUGUUCACUCAGUGUCAUGAAGAAUUAUGUAUACUCUUUUCUUAUGCUGAAGGAUUGUAAGAUCAAUGCUGAUGUGUGAAUGUCUUCCACAGAUGUCUGACAACAGGCGCCGAUGUAACAGGCGCGCUCAGCAAGAGCAGCGUGCCCAGCAGGAGGAACAUCAGAGGCAGCCUCCCCCGCCACCCCCGAUGACAGUGGAGCAGAUGUUCUUGAUGCAGACUCAGGCAGUGCAGGCUAUUGGGCAGACUCUGGCAGCCAUGCAGCAGGCUCAACAGCAACCCCAACCCCAGUUGCAAGUGCAGAUGCCCCAGAUGCCACGGGAUAAGCGUGGCGAGUUCAUGAGAGGGCACCCUCCUACCUUCGCCCAUUCUACUGACCCCAUGGAUGUAGAAGACUGGCUGCGUGCAAUGGAAAGGGAACUGCGCACCGCCCAAUGUGACGACAGGGAGAAGGUUCUGUAUGGUCCCCGCCAGCUAAGGGGAGCAGCCCAGUCUUGGUGGGAGUCCUACCUCGCUACCCAUGCUGACCCCGAAGCCAUCACCUGGAAAGAAUUCAGCGAGAGUUUCCGCAGGUACCAUGUUCCAGAGGGACUGAUGAUCGUGAAGAAAGAGGAGUUCUUGGCUCUGAGGCAGGGACCCCUGUCUGUUAGUGAAUACAGGGACAAGUUUCUGCAGCUAUCUCGUUAUGCACCUGAAGACGUCAACACUGAUGCUAAAAGACAGUACAGGUUCAUGAGGGGUUUGGUGGAUCCCCUGCAUUACCAGCUGAUGAAUCACACCUUCCCCACCUUCCAGCAUCUGAUCGAUAGGGCAAUCAUGACCGAGAGGAAGCGCAAGGAUAUGGAAGAUCGGAAGCGCAAGAUGAAUGGACCACAGUCCGGGAGCAUCAGCCGCCCCCGCUUCUCAGGAAGUUCAUCUCAGCAAGGCAAGCAUGGUCACCCACAGGGAUAUCAGCAUCAGAGUCAGCGGCCGUAUCAGCAGCAGUUUCAGAGGCAGUACCCACAGCAACAGCAGUAUCGUCAGAACAGCCAGCAGGGAGGUAACCAGUAUCAGAGGCAGAAAAAUCAGGCACCUCGCCUUCCUGCCCCAGCAGCAAAUCAGAACAACCAAGCAGCCCCAGCACAAGGAGGAGGCAGAGGAUGUUUCCACUGUGGAGAACAAGGCCACUAGGCGAUGCAGUGCCCAAAGAAGAUGGCGCAGCAGCAGGCCAACCCCAAUGCUCCAACAAGGCAAGGUGUACCUCAACAGGCACCAGGUAAUCGUGGCCAAGCGUACAACCGUGGGAAGGUGAACCACUUGGAGGCCGAAGCGAUCCAGGAUGCACCAGAUGUGGCAGUAGGUAUGUUCUCAGUCGAAUCUCAUCCCGCAAAAGUGCUAUUUGAUACUGGUGCAACUCAUUCAUUUGUCACUGCAACAUGGGUAGAAAUGCAUAACAUCUCAGUAGAGGCAAUGAUGCCGCCCAUGAGGAUUAAUUCGGUUGGUGGUAAAGUGCAAGCAGAUAGAAUAUGCUCAAAUAUAAGGGUGGAAAUAAGGGGGAUAGGGUUCCCCAGUGAUCUAAUAGUAAUAGACACCCCUGGGGUAGAUGUCAUCCUAGGGAUGAAUUGGUUAAUGAAGUAUGAAGCGAAUGUUAGCUGUGACAAGAGGACCGUAACAUUGAAGUCCCCAUCUGGAGAGGAGGUAGUGGCUGAGCUAAGGAUGCCUAAAUCAGCGGAGGGAGAUUGUCACCAGAUUUCAGUUGAUAGUAAGGAGGCCAACCCGCUUGAGGCUAUCAAGGUUGUGUCGGACUUUCCGGAGGUGUUUCCCGAGGAACUAACGGGCAUGCCACCCGAGAGAAAAGUCGAAUUUGCCAUAGAGCUUAUCCCUGGUACCGCCCCCAUUUCUAAAAGAGCCUAUCGAGUGUCUGGACCAGAAUUGGUGGAACUCAAGAAGCAAGUUGAUGAGCUGUUAGAAAAGGGUUACAUCAGACCAAGUACCUCGCCUUGGGCCGCUCCAGUAUUGUUUGUAGAGAAGAAAGAUGGUACCAAAAGGAUGUGCAUAGAUUACAGAGCCCUGAAUGAAGUCACUAUUAAGAACAAGUACCCCCUGCCAAGAAUAGAAGAUCUGUUUGACCAACUCAGAGGUGCCAGCGUAUUCUUGAAGAUAGAUCUGAGAUCAGGUUACCAUCAACUCAGAAUCCGACCCUCGGACAUACCGAAGACAACAUUCAUCACCAAGUAUGGGUUAUAUGAGUAUACAGUUAUGUCCUUUGGUUUGACAAAUGCACCAGCCUUCUUUAUGUAUCUGAUGAACAGUGUGUUCAUGGACUACCUAGACAAGUUUGUGGUAGUGUUCAUCGACGAUAUUCUCAUAUAUUCCAAAAGUGAGGAAGAACAUGUGGAGCAUUUGAAGAUGGUAUUGCAAAGGCUACGAGAGCAUCAGUUGUAUGCCAAGCUGAGUAAAUGCGAGUUCUGGAUUCAUGAAGUCUUGUUUCUGGGUCACAUCAUAAACCAAGAUGGGUUAGCGGUGGAUCCAAAGAAAGUAGCAGAUAUCCUGAACUGGAAAGCACCGAAGGAUGUUCGUGGGAUCAAGAGCUUCAUUGGAAUGGCCGGAUACUAUAGGCGUUUCAUUGAAGGCUUUUCAAAGAUUGCUAGACCAAUGACAACGUUACUAGCGAAGAAAGUUGAGUUUAAGUGGACCCAAAAGUGUCAAGAAGCAUUUGAAGAACUAAAGAAUAGAUUGACUACAGCACCUGUGUUAGUUCUGCCUGAUGUUCAUAAGCCAUUCUCGGUGUACUGCGAUGCUUCUUACACCGGAUUGGGAUGUGUGCUAAUGCAAGAAGGAAGAGUUGUGGCAUACUCAUCUCGACAACUGAAGAUCCAUGAAAAAAAUUAUCCCACACACGACCUGGAGUUGGCAGCAGUGGUUCAUGCUUUAAAGACAUGGAGACAUUACCUGUAUGGGCAGAAGUGCGACAUCUACACAGAUCAUAAAAGUUUGAAGUACAUAUUCACCCAGUCAGAGUUAAACAUGAGGCAGCGAAGAUGGUUGGAAUUGAUCAAAGACUACGAGUUGGAGAUACAUUACCAUCCAGGCAAGGCCAAUGUUGUUGCAGAUGCUCUGAGCAGGAAGAGUCAAGUCAAUAUGAUGGCUACGUACCUAAUGUCAUAUGAGUUAGCCAAAGAGUUCGACAGACUGAGUCUCGGUUUCCUGAACAGUACACAAGGAGUAACAGUGGAAUUAGAGCCCACCCUAGAGUGGGAGAUCAAAGAAGGGCAGAAAGAUGAUGAAAACAUCAACAAUAUCCGGCAGCUGAUCUUAGAAGGAAGAGGCAAAGACUUUCGAGAGGAUGAAGAGGGAGUAAUAUGGUUCAAGGACCGAUUGUGUGUUCCCGACAUCAAACCUAUUCGGGAGCUGAUCCUAAAGGAAGCUCAUGAGACAGCCUACUCCAUACACCCUGGAAGUGAAAAGAUGUAUCAGGAUUUAAAAAGGAGAUUUUGGUGGUAUGGCAUGAAAAGAGAAAUCGCAGAAUAUGUCGCCAUCUGUGAUAGCUGUCAAAGAACCAAAGCAGAGCAUCAAAGGCCCGCCGGACUGUUGUAGCCAUUACAGAUUCCUCAGUGGAAGUGGGAUGAGAUCGGGAUGGAUUUUAUAGUUGGCCUACCUCGUACCCGGGCCGGCUAUGAUUCCAUUUGGGUGGUUGUGGACCGCUUAACAAAGGUAGCCCAUUUUAUACCUAUGAAGACAACGUACACCGGAGCAGCGUUAGCUGAGUUAUACAUGUCUCGGAUAGUCUGCCUUCAUGGUGUGCCGAAGAAGAUAGUGUUAGAUCGAGGAACACAAUUUACCUCUCAUUUCUGGCAGCAGCUACAAGAAGCUUUGGGCACGCAUUUGAACUUCAGCUCGACUUAUCACCCGCAGACAGACGGUCAGACUGAAAGAACCAAUCAGAUCCUAGAAGAUAUGCUGAGAGCCUGUGCGUUGCAAGACAAGUCAGGAUGGGACAAAAGGUUACCUUACGCAGAAUUUUCCUACAACAAUAGUUACCAGGCCAGCCAGAAGAUGUCACCGUUUCAGGCGCUCUAUGGACGGAGUUGUAGGACUCCGCUGCAUUGAGACCAGCCUGGAGAGAGACAAGUGUUUGGCCCCGACAUUUUGCUUGAAGCCGAAGAGAAUAUCAAAAUGGUUCGGGAGAAUCUGAAGAUAGCACAAUCAAGGCAGCGAAGCUAUGCGGACAGAAGGAGAAGAGAACUGAGUUUUGAAGUGGGAGACUACGUCUAUCUGAAGGUGUCACCUAUCAGAGGAGUCAGAAGGUUCGGAGUCAAAGGCAAGCUAGCACCCCGGUACGUUGGACCAUAUCAGAUUCAAGCAAAGCGUGGAGAAGUGGCCUACCAGCUCAACCUACCAGAAAGUUUGUUGGCGGUGCACAAUGUGUUCCACGUGUCGCAAUUGAAGAAGUGUCUGCGAGUACCAGAAGAACAGUUGCCAGUGGAGGACUUGGAAGUCCAAGAGGAUCUGACCUACAUAGAGAAGCCAACGCAGAUUCUGGAGUUUGCAGACAGAGUCACCCGGAGGAACACCAUCAGAAUGUGCAAAGUCAGAUGGGGCCACCACUCUGAGGAAGAAGCAACCUGGGAACGAGAAGAUGAUCUGAAAGCCAAAUACCUCGAACUCUUUGCUGACAAACCUUGAAUCUCGGGGCGAGAUUCUUUUAAGGGGGAUAGGUUUGUAACACCCUGAAUUUGGGGUAUAAAAUUUCUUUGCUCAUAUCCACAAAUUCAGGUGUUAUUCCUCUCAUCUCAUCUCCCCCCAAUCUCUGUUUUUCUCUUUUCUAUAGAAGAAGAGUGGUUAUUUUAUUUAUAAAUGCAAUUAUAAUCUAGUGGGUUAAAAACCCUAAGGGAACAAUGGUUGUUGCAUCAUGUUAGAAAGAUUUGUUUUUUUUGUUUGAUGAAUGGUUUGCUUAAUCUUUCAUUUAAUCAUUUGUUUGCGCAUAAUGUCAAACUGAAAUAAAUAGAAAAGAGAAAGAAAAGGAAAAGAAAAGGAAAAAACAGAAUUCAGCCCAACUCCCUCCCUGGCCCAGCUCGGCCGGCCCAGCCGCCCCUUCCCUCUCUCCCCUUUCCCCCCGCUCGGCCCACCGCGCCUGCACUCCCUCGCGGGCCCGCGCGCCGCGGCCCAUCCCAGCUUUCCCCCGCGGCGGCCUAGCGCGCCAGCCCCUCUUCCCCCCGCGCGCGCAAGCAGCCAGCGCGCCAGCCCAGCUCCGCGCUCGGCCCACCCAGCGAGCCAGCCCCAGCCCACGCGCGCAAGCAGCCAGCAAGGCAGCCCAGCCGCGACCACAGCCCAGGCCGCACGCCCAGCCGCGCGUAGCGCGCCCCUGCGCGCAACCGCUCGCCCGCGUGGAGGCCGCCGCCGCCGCCUGCAUGCGCGCCCACGUCCGCGCACCGCGCGCAGCGGUUCCGCGCCUGCCGCUGCCACUACCCAAUGGGGCCCACGCGCCAGGACGCAGGAUGCCGCUGUUCGUCUUCUCAGAACCGCCCGUCGCGCAGUUUGUUUCGCCAGACGCACAGUUUUUCCUCCCGAGUGCCCAGUUCCCUCGCCAGCGACCUCGCCAGUGACCUCGUCGUGCUCACGGCCAUCGACGCCCCUGCGCAGCGCCUCUUCGCGCCGAGCAGCACCGUGGUCGGGCUCCACUCGCCGCGCAACCGCCAUCGUCGACCUCCGUUCGCUGGCCUCGCUACACCCUGCCCUUAUCGCCGUCGCCGAGGUGAGCUCGUCCUCCCUUUCCUCUCUCUACCGCUCGCUUCCUCGCCGCUCACUCGCCAUGGUCGGGGUUCUGCUGAGCCGACCCGGACGCCCAUGUCCCUCUCCAUCCCGUCGGUCCGCAAUCGCCUCGCUGGUCAGCCUCUGCGCGAUCUCCGGCCAGUGCCCAGCCCAGCUCCCUCGCGCGCGGCUGGACUCCCUACCGUCGCGGCCCGCAGCGCGCAGCAAGCCCGGCGUCCCGACGUGCAGACCCCGCGCGCCUUCGCCUCGUCCCUGCACGCAGCGACCGAGUAGCUACGCACUCGGCGCGCUCAAACCCGUCCCCAUGCCGCGCAGCCCAAGCUCAGCGCGCGCUCGCAGCACGCCCAGUCGCGUUGACGUUUAGCGCCGUAGCAGCCGUUCGCCGUCAAACCUCGCCUCUGCGCGUCGCAGCUGCGUUGCUGCGCGCUCGCUGCUGCCCAGCUCGCCCCGGUCGUUCGUCUACCAUCGCCGUGCCUCGCUACAGUUACCUAGCGCAUCGCGUACUCGUCAAGUCUCACGCGCGCAAUUUCGCACGUGAUCACGGGUAUCGCGCGCACCGUCGUCGUUGUUUGUAGAGUCCUCGCGCUGUUUCACGCGUGUCGCGCGCGCAUUCUGCGCGCAAUAAUUAAUUACUUCGUUAUAAAUCGUCGCGUGUUGUUCGCGCGCGUUGUGCGUGCUGUUCACACGUGUCGUCGUGCGUUUUACGCACGCUAAUAAUUCAUCUCACCUAGAAUAGCUCGCGCUAAGUAAAUAUAUAUUUAAGCAACGGUUAUUCGAACAACACACUAAUCGGGACUAAGUAGUAAUUUUACUCGGCAUGUGAUUGUUGUCCGUUAAUACGAUUAAGCCGAAUUAAAUAUUAUAAUUCAUAUUCGCUUAGUAUACAUGUGAUAUCCCUCGACCGUAGUAUCAGUCGUCUCGGUUCCGUUCUCGCGUAGUCAUAAAUGCGAAUUCUAUGUCGCGUGCAUAUUUAUUUGAUCUAUACUGUUGUAUGGUGUACUGUUUUCUAUCAUUUCAAGAAUGUUGGAUGUAUGUUUACACUCGCGUAGAUAUCGGGCCGUUCGUGGAGUCUGAGGGAAUUGCAGGAGAAGACCCUGAGCAGCAGCAGCUUGGUGAAGGCAAGUGUCCUCUGACCCAUUAUGUUCUAUUCACUUAUAAUUCACUUUCCCGCAGUAUUUAAUUGAAAUCUAAGGAUUGACUAGCUUUAUACUUUACCUUAUCCUUGAUGACCUUUUGGGUGAUUAUGGUUAGCAUUUUGCUAUUGCCUUAACUUAAUCAAUGAACAUGAUGUGACUAUUUAUGAUACGAUACUGUUAUCCUGAUUAUAUUGUUGAUCUUGUGAUACUCUAGGGGGCUCAGGCUGUUUCCUGAGUACCUCUUCGUAAGGACCUGUUCGUUGAGAGACCACCCGGGAUAACAGUGCAACCAUGAGGGUGGAAUGGGGUGCCCUUAGCUAAUUAAUUAGAGGAACUAGAAGUGUAGUUGCUUCGCCGUCGUGCCGUCAAUGGGGUCCAGGCACAGUGCUUGCUCUGCCGAGGCUGAGUGCCGAGGUUCUUUCGUUUUGUUUUUGUUAGUCACCCUCCUGCGGGGAGAGGUACUGUGUUUAUCAAACUGGAGAAACCUAACGGGCAGCUAUGACCUCUAGGGAAUCUUUGUAAAGGCUUCGUAGUGAAUCCCUGGCCAUUCACCUUGGGAGUGAAUAAGGGUCUUGCAAGCCCGGGCUAGAGAGGGAAUCACGACUCAUGGGUAAAGUGUGCGACCUCUGCAGAGGGUAGUGAAACUGAUAUAUCAGCCGUGCUCACGGUUAAGAGCAGCCUUGGGAUCCUCUUUGAUUAGAGAUACAAAUGGUUCGAGAUACAAUGGUUCUAUUUAUGAUUUUGGUUCGAUGAUGAUAAUGAUGUUCCUCGAUGAGGAAAUGAUUCACGGGUUAGUUAUUGCUAAAACCUGGCUUCACUAAUAAUAAAUACCUGACCAACUAAAAGCAACUACUUGAGCCUAACCCCACAUAAAGCUAGUCCACUUCAGCCAAACGGGGCAUUUGCUGAGUACGUUGAUGUGUACUCAUCCUUGCUUUACCACAAAACACCAGGUUGUCCACAUUGCAACCACUGCUCAGGAGAAGACGAAGUCGUGGAAGGAGACUUCCAGGAGUUCCAAGACUACGACGAGUUUUAGGUGUGGGUUGGCGGCAACCCCCAGUCAGCUGCCUGUGAAGGCCUUAUCUUUACUGCGUUUCGCUAGCACUUUGAUUUAACUGUUAAGUUGAUGACUAUGUGGAUGUCUAUGACUCUGUGAUGUAAUAAGUUAAUACUCUUUUAUGUUAUUAUUCGAGCACUGUGCGAUGAUGUUCAUUUAUGUAAUCGCUGUGUACGUGAAUUCUGAUCCUGGCACGUACAUAGUUCGCAUUCGGUUUGCCUUCUGAAACCGGGUGUGACAAAACCUAUAACAUAGGCUAGGUCGAGGUUUCACGGACGAGUUGGUCUAGGACACAAAUUUAGGGUUUGAACACAUUUUGUCGGCGUUUCGAACCCGGGGGGGUCCCUGGACCGACUAGUAAAUUUGUCGCUGCGUGCCCCUGCCCAGAUGGGUUGGUGCGAGAUGGAACACAAGGGGGAAUGAGACUUGUAUUAUCCUGCACCAGGGUGCUUGUAGUAGGGGAUACAAGCACGUCGCGGGAGAGAGAGAGGGAGCCUGUUCGUUAGCUCGUCCCUCCACGCGAACCCUCCUCCAGGAAGGCCUUGGACCUCCCUUUUAUAGAUGCAAGGAGAGGGUCCAGAUGUACAAUGGGGGGUGUAGCUAGGUGCUAACAUGUCCGACAGAGAGGUGCCUGAGCCCUGUGUACAUGCCAACGUGGCUGUCGGGGGAGAGCCUGAGCCUUGUAUGCGUGAUAACGUGGCCGUCGGGGGAGAGCCUGAGCCCUGUAUGCAUGAUAACGUGGCCGUCGGAGAAAUGCCUGAGCCCUGUAUGAAGCACAACUAGCGGUGCAGCUGGGACCCUGUUGACGUCUCCUUGAUGUCGUAAGGGGCUGAGAACCACCGACGUCAUGGCCGCACGCGGGGCAUCAUCAUUACCCGUUGCCGGGGUAAGCUAGAUAGGACGCCGGUCUUGUCCCUUGUAUCCCGAGCUAGCUAGGAGCAGGGUAAUGAUGUUUCCCCUGUGGCGCGGUCGGUCCGAGCCCAAGGUCGGGCGAGGCGGAGACUUCUCCUGAGGCCGAGGCCGGGGUCGGGGUCGGGCGAGGACGCGAUUCCUCCCGAGGUCGAGGCAGAGUCCAAGUCUUGGGGCGCGUGUGUCAGGAUAUGACGUCGUGGUUGGCACAACAGUCGGAGCGGUUGGCACAGCAGUCGGAGCGGGGCGAACGACGCUGUUUUCUGUCAAGUCAAUCAGUAAAGGGGGCGAAGUGACUGCGGUCACUUCGGCCCUACCGACUGAGGCGCGUGUGUCAGGAUACGGCGUCAGGCGAUCCUCGCAUUGAAUGCACCUGCGACGCUGUCGGUUGGUGAGGCGGUUUGGCCAAGGUUGCUUCACAGCGAAGCCUGCCCGAGCCGGGCUUCGGGAGAGCCGAGGGUGUGCUCACUGCCUGAGGAGGCCCUCGGGUGAGGCGUGAAGUCGUCCGGGACUACUGUUCCCGCCCGAGGCUGGGCUCGGGCGAGAUCGCGCCCUUUGGGUAGACGAAGCCUUGACUUGAACUGUGCCCAUCAGUCCUUAUGGUUUGUCCUGAUGGUGUCUACCAGCCGUUUUUAGGAGUGUUGGGGGUACCCCUAAUUACGAUACCUGACAGUAGCCCCCGAGCCUCAAAGGGAGUGUUGGUACUCGCUUGGAGGCUCUGCCGCAUUUUUGGUGAGGGGUCCGGCCUUUCUCGAUUAUACUUUGUUCCGGCGGGUGCGCGCGAGCGCACCCGCCGGGUGUAGCCCCCGAGGCCUCGGAGGAGUGGUUUGACUCCUCUGAGGUCUUAAAUGCUUUUCGUGAUGCCUCGGCCGGCCUGGUCGUUCCCUCAUGCGGCCUGGCCGUAGCCCGGGUGCAUGGUCAGGUUCCAAGUUUUCAAGGUGGUUUGUUGACGCUGUCAACAGUUUGGCCGCAGCCGGGUGCGAGAGCAGCCCCCGAGCCUCUGCACGGAGCGAGAGGAUGAUCAAGGACUGUCUCGACUUUUGUUAUACGCCCCUUUGUCGCCUUUCCACAAGGAGGAAGGGGGGAAGCGCCAUGUUGCCCUCGAAGGGCGCCGAACAUGGUGUUUCCGGUGAGUUGCUAACGGGUGAUCCGAGUGGACGCCCGUGCCCCGUUCGUUAGGGGUCGGCUAGUGGCCCAGAGGCGUGCUCCAAAAGUACCUGCAGGUGAUUCGCUGGACCCGGCCCCUUUUUUACAGGGUCCGAGGGCUCGAUGCCUCCCUCCGGUGGGAUUCCAUUACAAAUCGUUCCCGCUGGUCUCGGAAAUGUCCUAGGGUACCUUGGGAGCGUAGCCCGAGCCUCGGCCAUGUAACAGACGUACCCAGAGUCAUCCCUCACUCUGCAUGCUCUGGGGCGGCUGUCGAACCCUUCCGAGGGGCCAACCUUCGAACCCCUUAUCAGUAAUGGGUAUGGAGCCCGAGUGCUCUAAGGCGUCUGUCGAACCCUUCCGAGGGGCUAGCCUUCGAACCCCUGAUUAGUAAUGGGCGCAAAGCCCGAGUGCUCUGGGGCGGCUGUCGAAACCCUUUCGAGGGGCCAGCCUUCGAACCCCUGAUCAGUAGGGGGCUCGGGGCCCGCUUCCAUCGCCGAGAAGGAUCCUUUCCGAGACAUCCCCUUUCCCGGUCCCUGUGGCAAGAGAGAGAAAGAGGAAGCAGAAAAGGAUACACAUUUAAAUAAGGCGGCACACCUUUUUUGACGCGGUCAUCAUGGCGGAGGUGAAACGACGCCCACCUCUCUUGCCAGAGAUGUCGCUUGCCCUGCCGGGGAGUUAAUGCGAUGGGACGAGCGAUUCGCGGGGCGACCGUUGCGCGUGCGCGAGCCGUUCGAGGAACGGAACAGAGGCGCGUUGUCUUCACACCGUGGGAGAGGGCUUUCCUGCCGCUUCAGGAGGGGACGCGAGCCUGUAGGUGAUUUGACCGCUGCCUCCACUCAUCUACCGCUGCAAUUACUGUCGGCCCACUUUUGGCCAUGCCAACCGUCGUGCCUAUCCACGCGGCUGACUGACCUGUGAUUGUUGCACUUAAUGGGCACUGCUGGGUCACGCGCAGGGCUGCCUCGAGUCGCGGCGCCGGUUCCGCAGUCGAGAAGGCGCGGCGUUGGCGCAAGUGGCGGUGCGGUUUCUUGCACGUCGUAACCGGCGUGCCGGUUACAUGACGCGUGGGUCCGGGCCUCCAUGCUGGAUCGCCAGAUGUGAUGAAGCCGAAAGGGCACACAAUCGUGGUGCGGUUGGAUGCCUGUCGUGUAGCGGUCCACCCUUUUGACCGCUGGUUUCGGCGAGGAUGGGGGAGUGCUUGUAACCGCGGGAUGGUUACAUGCUUCGCGUGCGGCAGUUCGCCUCCUUCACGCUUCGGAUCAGCUCGCAUGACGUGUGGGACCCAGCCCCCAUGUCGUAGGGGGAGGAACCCUGGAGCACGUCGGUGGAGACUUCGCCCGUGACGCUUGGGGAUGCGAGUGAGGAGAGCCGCCUUUAAAAGGGGGGCGAUCCCCUGGGCAGUAGCCAUGCCUUCACACUCCGCUCAUGCAUUGCGCCCUUCCACCUUUCGAGCCCCCAUAUGGGGCGCACCGGCGUUGCCUUCCCCUUGCUUGUUGUUGGAGGAGCGCGACCUCGUGGGGGUUGGCGUCCUUCAGCCAUCGCUUGGCUUCAAGGAUUUUCAUCAUGCAGCCCGGCUGCAGUCCCUCACCAAUGGUCAUCCAGGACGAUGACCACCAGCUUCGUGGUGGGGAGAAGCAAGCCGGGCUGCGGCCUCUGCCCCGCCCUCAGCUUCAAGGAUGUUCAUCAUCCGUGCUGGGGAGGGGGGUGCGGCAAUUCAGGGCCUGCCUCCGCGUGGGCCGGCGACCCGCUUCUUCCUCCAGCAUUCGAGGGAGAAUGGCAUCCUCCAGCCCUACGGAGGUGACGUCCUCCAGCCAUGCGGGGGAAGGCGAACUGCUGCUGCCUGGCCAGGGUGUAGCUGUCCGUCCUCCACCCAGGCGACGGUCGCGCCGUGCGCAGGUGGCUGCCGUCACCGUCCCUGCGGAGGGGGCGGACUUCGACAACGCGGGUCCGGUCGGCGGCAAGCGUCGUCAGCUCCAGCGUGCCUGUCAUGCUGGCUCAGCUGGCUCUGGCACCGCCUCCGACGCUGCCUCCUGCCGCUCGGUCUGCGCGGAAGUCGGCGCUGGCCCGUCUGCAAGGACUUGAGUGGGGAUCUGCCGACGCAGGCUGGGGCGACCGCCAUUCGUCGGCGUGGCGCUGGCGUGCAGGUGGCCGCUGUCAUCGAUGCUGAAGUGGUGGCAGAAGUAGGAGGUUGUCUCCACUGACGAGACCGUCGGUGCCACCGGCGGUCGGACCUCUGGCUCUUUGGCUUCGACGGCUUGUCCUCGCCCCUCGUGUGGGGACGAGGGCGAGGACUUUCUCAUAGCAGCGGUUGCCCUGAGGUCAUCGCUGCUGCUGUUUAGCCGCCUGAGGCGGAGGUCGUUGUCGCUGCUGCUGGAGCGGUCGCCGGUGAUCCACCUGGAGUUUGUUAUCCCGCAGGCCCCCCAGUGUGGAGGUUGUUCAUACCUGCGGGAAUGGAACCGGAGUCCCGUUUGUAGGGGAUAUACUAGGUUUUUGCCUAAGCAAAAUGUAACUGCUUCAAAUACUUAGACGUUUGUCGUGGGUCGGCAGAACCGCCGAGGGUCCUGCCGACGUCUAAGUCUAUGUAGCAUAGUCACCCCAAGUAUAUGUGUUUGUUCUUUGUGGCUGUCGAGGCCUGAACAUUUGGGUAUUCGAGUAUAAAGCUGCGUCUCUUCCUCAUUUCAAGCACUAGGACUUGCCUGUCGGUGGCCGAACCACUUAACCGAGCGUGAGUUGCCUUGCGCGGAAGGUGACGAGUGAGGUAUCCAUAUCCCAGAGGCGUAGGAGUCCCUCGGCUCGGUCGGCCUUGCCGCUUAAAGCUUCUCUUGCUUGGUUUUAAAACCUUUGACCGCUCUGCGAUGAGCUGGAGCCGGAGGCAACGGUGUUGGUGUGGACAGAGGCGGUGUCGGCUCGAAAAGAGGCUUCGUCGACCCGGGAGCACGUGGCCUCCCAGGCUGAGGAGAUGCAGCAGCGGACGCUGGAGCUCGGCCAGGUCAUCCGCGAGCGGGAUCAACCUUGGAGUCAAGUUGCUGAGGCCGUGAGCCGGGCUGAGGUCCUCGGGGGACAGCUGGCUGAGGCUACGGAGCGGCUAGCCGGGGCGUCUGCUAGGGCCAGAACCCUUGCGGAGAGCCUGGCCGUGGGGGCUCGAGCGCGGUGCUGGCGUCCUCCUUUGAGGUGGGGAUCCUUCCGCCCGUGUCGCCGUCUGAGGCCGGGCCAGAUUCCGCCGAGGGUGGAAACGACAUCGAGGGUGCUGCUGCUCCCCCUGUCGAUGUCCGAACCUGCAGGAACAGUUUGUCUGAAGUAUGCGUAUGUUUUUCGCGGCCGCCGAGGCCUGAACACUUUAUCAUUGUGUUAUAAAGCUGCGUUUUCUUUCCUCUCGUUUCGAGUAUCAGGACUUGUUCGUCGGUAGCAGAAUCACUUAUCUGAGCGAGAGUUACUUUUCGCGAAAGGUGAUGAGUGAGGUAUCCAUAUCCCGGAGGCGUAGGAGUCCCUCGGCUCGGUCGGCCUUGCCGCUUACGUGCACUCUCAUUCGGUUGUAGGAUUCUAUUAUCGAUAUAGUCGAGAAGGCACGAAAGUCGUUUUCUACCCGAGCGUUAGGACUUGUUCGGUAGCAGGAUCGCUUAUCCGAGCGUGAGAUACUUUUCACGGAAGGUGAUGAGUGAGGUAUCCGUAUCCCAGAGGCGUAGGAGUUCCUCGGCUCGGUCGGCCUUGCCGUUUACAUGUACUCUCGUCGUUUUUAGGAUCCUGUUAUCGAUAUGGAAGUCGAAAGCACAAAAGUCGUUUUCGGUGGAAAACGUUUCUUGGUAGAAAACUUUUCCAAGGAAAAUUUUUGAUGCAGAGGGGGUUCCCCCUUCUAGCCCUUGAGGGAGGGUCGGGCUUUGCCGAGGCAAGGCUGACCCUUCCUUGACGGUUAGACUUUAUGUAAAGAAAACGAGGUACAUAACGACUUGAAACAUUUUAAGGGUAGAAGCGACGUAGCUGUUGGAUGUUCCAAGCGUUGCUGUAGACCUCGCCUUGAUUGUUGGCCAGCUUGUAUGUCCCUGGCUUCAAAAUCUCGGCGAUGAUGAACGGCCCUUCCCAGGGAGGAGUAAGCUUGUGGCGUCCUCGGGCGUCUUGUCACAGCCGAAGCACCAAGUCUCCCACUUGGAAGCCUCGGGGUCGAACCCUUCGGGCGUGGUAGCGUCGCAGAUACUGCUGAUACCGUGCCGAAUGUAGUAAGGCCAUGUCCCGAGUUUCUUCGAGCUGGUCCAGUGAGUCCUCUCGGCUGGUCUGGUUGCUUCGGUUGUCGUAUGCCUUUGUCCUUAGGGAACCGUAUUCUAAGUCUGUGGGGAGGACGGCCUCGGCCCCAUAGACGAGAAAGAACGGCGAGAAACCCGUGGCUCGGCUCGGCGUCGUCCUCAGACUCCAGACUACCGAGGGUAGCUCUUUCAUCCACCGUUUGCCGAACUUGUUGAGUUUGUUGUAAAUCCUCGGUUUAAGUCCCUGCAAAAUCAUACCGUUGGCACGCUCCACCUGCCCAUUCGUCAUGGGGUGAGCUACGGUGGCCCAGUCCACACGGAUGUGGUGGUCCUCGCAGAAGUCCAGGAAUUUCUUCCCGGUGAACUGCGUGCCAUUAUCGGUGAUGAUGGAGUUCGGGACCCCAAAGCGAUGGAUGAUGUUUGUGAAGAACGCCACCGCCUGCUCGGACUUGAAGCUGGUCAAGGGUCGGACCUCGAUCCACUUGGAGAAUUUGUCGAUGGCGACCAGCAGGUGCGAGAAGCCCCCGGGUGCCUUCUGCAAGGGACCGACGAGGUCCAGACCCCACACGGCGAACGACCAGGUGAUGGGUAUCGUCUGCAGGGCCUGAGCAGGCAGGUGCGUCUGCCUUGCGUAUAAUUGACACCCUUGGCAGGAGCGUACAAUCCUAGUGGCGUCGGCUACUACGGUCGGCCAGUAGAAACCUUGUCGGAAGGCGUUUCCCACGAGGGCUCGAGGUGCUGCGUGGUGACCACAAGCCCUCGAGUGUAUUUCUUGCAGCAGCUCUUGUCCUUGGGCGACGGAUAUGCAUCGUUGGAGAAUGCCCGAGGGGCUGCGGUGAUAGAGCUCCUUUUCAUCACCCAGUAAGACGAACGACUUGGCGCGCCGAGCCAGUCGCCGAGCUUCGGCCUUGCCGAGGGGUAGCUCUCCUUGGAGGAGAUAUUCCAGGUACGGGGUCUGCCAGUUCGGGUUUGGCGUGACCCCAUUCCGCUCUCCCUCGACGCACAGGCCUCACCCUCGGCGGCCGAGGAUACCGUCGUCCGCCCCGAGGCUAUUUUAGCCAGCUCGUUCGCAGUCUCGUUGUACCAUUGAGCGAUGUGGUUGAGCUCCAGCCCGUAGAACUUGUCUUCCAGGCGCCGAACUUCGUCGCAGUAUGCCUCCAUCCUUCGGUCGUGGCAGUGGGAGUUCUUCAUGACUUGGUCAAUGACAAGCUGCGAGUCGCCACGAGCGUCGAGGCACCGAACCCCUAGCUCGACGGCGAUGCGCAACCCGUUAACCAAAGCCUCGUACUCGGCCACGUUGUUUGACGCCGGGAAAUGGAGGCGUAUCACGUAGCGAAGAUGCUUUCCGAGGGGUGAAACGAAGAGCAAGCUAGCGCCUGCUCCUGUCUUCAUGAGUGACCCGUCGAAGUACAUGGUGUCGGUGUUUUGGGUCCGACCGCACACCCGGGGUUGCCCCUCAAGGUGUUUUUAGGAGUAGGACGGUGUCAACGACUGUAGCAAAAUGGUUCGUGCCGGUCGCACGAGGGACAAUGUGUGACACCCCAGGUGUCAGUUUCGUGUUAUGACGGGAGAUUAAUCCUAAUCUCGGAUGCUCAGUAAAAAUUUCUCUUUCUCACUCGCGUAUGUCUCUGAUUAUCCAGAUUAUUCAUUCACAUUUCGCCGAAUUCGGAAUUAUUCGAUCUCACAUAAGGCCAAUUUGGAGCCUGUUAAAAACUUUUAUUCUCGACGAAUGCAAACUCGGGAAUCAUUCUCGAUUUAUAAAUCUUGUCUAAAGCUCGUUUAAUCAAGCGCUCGACAGUUGCUAGUCGAGCUGUGUCCGAAUCCAAUUUCUCGAUGUUCGAUCGAUGUCCGACUAUUUUAUCCGAGUCCGUACUCUCAAACGGAAUACUCAGUCUGUCGUCCUCUAAUUAAUUUCUAUCCGAUUCGGCUUAAUAUCUCUGUAUCCAAUCCGAUUUCAAAAUCAACAUCGGCAACGAUUUUUAAAUAUCACGAUUCGCUUUCUCCGACUAAAAAUCCAAAGUCGAUCGAAUCUCAGGACGAUUUAUUUUCCAAUCACACGUAGGGAAUUAAUUUUCGAGCAAAUUCAAAACAGACUCUCGGCCGAGUUAAUCGCGCAACUUUCCGUUCGUCCGAACUCUUUUCGCUCUGUUUCUCAGUAGCGACGAAUUCCGCAGGAACAUUUUAGUCCGGAAAAUAUUUAGCGCGACCCAAUUUAGUGUUUUGGGCCAAAUCUAGCCCGGCCCAAUUAGGCCCAUUUGAAACCCUAACCCUAGCCCAUGUCUAUAAAUAGGAGCUCUCUCCCCUUGCCCUUGGGCUAUUUUGCAUUCCCACCCCUCAUUUUUUUCCAGCCGCCACCGCAGCCUCCCUGUCUUCUUCUCCAUCGCGCAGCAGGCAUCCCACGGCAGCAGCAGCAGGGAGCCGUGCUCCCCUCCAUGGCGAGCAGCAAGCUGGCGCCCCUGCUCCUUCUUCCUCGGCGCUGAAGCUCCUCCCUGGCGUCCAUGGCGCCGGCGUAUCUCCAGCCGCCCCCUGCUCCUUGUUCCACGCGCAGCAGCCACGCGCAGGAAGUAAGGCCAGCAGCCAUGGCGAUUUCCCCUGCGAGCUCCCCUCUCUCCCAUGGCUGACCCUCUGCUCCCUGCACUUGGCGUCCUUGCAGCAGGCGAGCUCAGCUCCACCUCCCUGCGCUCAGCUCAUCUCCCUUGCCCAGCGCCCUCCCUCCUCUCUGUUUUUCCUUGAGCUCACGUGCAGGGAACGACGCCCUUUCUCCUCCACUGCGCUCGACGCCUAGCCCCUUUUCUAUGGCUUGGACGCAGCAGGAGCGGCGCAGGAGCUUUUCCAUCCAUGGCUGUUUCCCCCUGCCGAGCCCUUCCUUUCUCUGUGCUUUGGAUGAGCCUCUGCUCCCUAUGCUGAUCUCCACCUUGCCAUGGCGUUGCUCGCCGGGGAUCCCCUGCAGGGCGCCGUCGUGGCCUCGCCGGGCUCCUGCUCGCCGGCGAGCCCAUGUGCUCAUGGCACUUCCCUGCCUUCUCUUUGUCCCAAACAUCCAGCAGCAGGGAUCGGAUCAACGCCGCAGCGCCCAGCCAUGGUGGCUGUAGGCCGAGUCCCUCUCCCAACCAGUGCCCUCCCUGUUUCCCUGGACGACGCUGUCCCUUCCCAUGCCGCUGCUCCACCACACACACUACCUGCUCGACGAUAUGCGUAGCCGACUGCGUGUUGUCUUGCUUGUGUUGUGCGCAGCCCUGCUCGCCUCUUUUCGGUGUUGUCAAACUAUCGGUGUGGAGCACUGUGUCGAGGACAACAUCGUCGACUUUUAUUCCGGUGCGCUGCUCAAUCCAUGCUGCCCCGCUGUGCCUUGUAGCGCUGUGGAUCCACGGCAUGGUCUCGACGUCGCUCUCCUUGCAGCCACACCCCUGCUGCUCCCACAUGCCGCACCACAUCAAAAAAAAAAAAUCCUGCAACCACGCCUCUCCUCGUGCUUGCUGUGCUGUCGCGCGCAGCGAGAACCAUAGCGCCACGACUCGUUCCUGCUCGGCGAGAGCAGCCGCGUCAUCAAUCCGUGCAGCCCCGACGCCUCCGCGUCUCGCUUCGUCGGGUCUGCACAGCCUCUUCGCGCCAUGCGGACAGCAGCAACAACUAAGUUAUUUUUGGUAAGUUGAUUUGUUGUUUUGGAUAAAGUUGAUAAAUAAAUAGAUGUAUGGUGACCGUGAUGAUUCUCGAGCAAUAAGUGAUGAUUUAAUAGUAUCAUUUAGUAUUCGGUAGUUGUAGAUUAUAUAAAGGGUGCUCGAAGACUGCAUUUGUCGAAUAUGGUUAACUAGAUGCUAUGCACAUAAUAAUUGGUAACGAUGAUUUUGUGUACAACGUUAGGGAGAUGAUCGCCUCUAUGGUUGAAACGUUUGGUGGUAGGUCGUAAUUGGUUGUGUUCGCAACGUGGAAUUAUGGUAGGCAUCAUCAGUGCCCAUGCUGUAUUAGAUUAAGCUUUGUUAUACGAUAAAACUAAAAACGUGAAUGUCAUAUAUAGUGUUUCAAUUGAGUUAGCCCGUAGAUUUAAUAUGUGUCGAUCGCAAUGAAUUAUCAGUAGGGCCUAAAUGGUGAGUUAUGUGUGAACUGUGUUAGAGCCCUUCCGAGAUAAAUAGAUUUAACCUAUGUUGUGUUGUCAUACAAAUAACCUAGAAAGGUGGUAUAUGUUAAUAAUUGGAAGGACAGUUGUUCAAAUUGGUCAGUUCGAUUAAGAAUGAUUUUUGCGUGUGAGGGGAGGUGGUGACAUACCAAGGUAGUCAUCAAUUCCUCUAUGUUUAUAAGUCGAGUCGAGUCGAUGCACAGUUUGUGUUCAUUAAAUUAUGUUUUGCAUAUAGUGUAAUGGAGUUAGUUGUUUUGGGAUAAUUAUUAAAAUGUUCUGUUCACAUGAUAAAUAUGUAUGAUUGUAAAAACAUUGAAGUGUAUGUUGUGUCUCAGUCUGCGAUCAUAAUAGGCAAGUCGAUGUGUAUGUCGUAUGGCGGGCUAUGCCAUCCCUUUGGUUAAUCGACUAGUUAGAUGGCGUUGGUUAAGCUCGUAGUUACGAUGAAUUACUUGUUGUGGUCUAAAUGCGUAUGGUUAUGGUCGCAUGUAAAAAUUAGUAGUGCUCAUGUGGCGUCUAAGUUAAAAUGCGGACUAAUGGGUGAAAGGCGCUUCGAUAUAAAUAUGUGCCGGAUUUGAUGAUUGUGGUGAAUGCGUUUGUUAAAUGAAUGUGGUAAUUUUAGUGCACUAAAUGAUUUGGAUAAAAUUUGUAAGUCUACUUGUUAGUGCUCAAUUGAUUGUUUUAACUCUAACAAAUGGUAAAGUGUUAGAAUGAUUCAAUUCUCUAGAUCAUGGCAAUUCUUGAAUUGUAUAGGAGCUGAAAUUUAUUAAUUUCUGUUUUGGACUGCGCGCGCUGUUUUAGUUGUGCUGUAUGUUUGAUGAACUAAAUUGUGUUUUCUGUAGAUAUGUGCUAUAGAAAAGUGGUAGAUAACCUUAUUAUCUUGCUGGUGUUAAAAUUUGACAGCCAUAGGUCUGACAGUUUAGGAGUUAUGCUUUUUACAAAUUCAGUAACUGAAUCUGUCCAAAUUCUGUACAGAUUUCAGAAACUGUAUUGUUUGUUCAAUUUAAUGUUGCAAUCUGUUCAUGGUCAUUAUAAGAAAGUUGUAGAUGCUUUUCUGAUCUUUCUUGUGUUAAAAUUUGAUAACCACAGGCCUGAUAGUUUAAGAGUUAUGAAUUUUACAAACUGCUUGCUGUGUUCUGUCCACUAUCAGGGCAGAUUUCGAAAACUGUAAUGUUUGAUUGGAUUAAAUCUGGAAUCACUUCUUUGUGAUUAUAAAAGUUAUGUAGUGCUUUUGCUGAGCUUUCCAGAAAGUCUUGGAUCACUAUUUUUGGUGAUCUGAAGAUUAAGUUAUGGAUGUUUAAAGUCUGAAGACUGAAUCUGUCCAAUUCUGGACAGCAAAGCCUUCUAGUGUAUUUUAUCCUUAGUUAAAUAUUGAAUCACCUUAAGAUGUUUAUAAAUGAUAUGUAGACAAUUUUAUUACCUUUCCAGAAAGUCUAGGAUCACAUUGUUUGGAUGUCUGAAUCUCCAGUUGUGAAUUUUUGAAGUUGCAAGUCUGAAUCUGUCCAAAUCUGGACAGCGCUGUUGUGUUAACAUCUUUUGACCUUGCUAAGUGUUUAAUCAUGUUGUGAUGACAAUACCAAAGUUGUAGAGAACUUUCUAAACUUUCCAGAAAGUAUUAGUUUGCUAUUUUUGGAUUAAUAUUUGAAAAGUUAUGAUUAAAACAAGUAGCUGCUGUGCUGCUGUCCUAAAAAUCUGCAUGUGCUCAAAUGAAUAUUUAGUUCACCAUUUUGGCUAAAAAUGCUUAGUUAGCACUUAACGAAUAUAGACUUGUGAUGGCUAAACUUAGGUUAACAUGUGCUUCAUGAUUAAUGUGCUUGCUUGCUGUAGUUGAUUGUGAUAGAGGAGUCCAUCGACAUUGAUGCGUCGGUCCUCUAUUAAACUUGUGUUUGUGAUGCUUUUGUGUGAUCAAUAGAACUAAUGCAAAGUCGUAGCAAUUAAAUAAAUGUGUGUACCUGUGAUAUCGUAUUUGUGUUGCGUAAAUAAAUAAGAUAUGGUCGUCUUGUUAAUGGUGUUAAUGAUGAACGCUGAUAACGUACGAAUAGCUAGCGCUUGUGUAUAGUCGUUGCGGUGUCUUACUACUUGGUGUUUAGUUCGCUACCGUGUAUUGUAUAUCUUGUGAUAACUUUUCAUUAUAUUCAUACAUAUGCAUCUUGCAUCUCAUUUAGGAUCGAGAGAUGGUGAUCGUGCACGUGAUAUGGUGCCAACCACAAGAUGCCGUUGGUGGACGACCCAAGGAAGGAUGGACUUAACCAGUGGAUGCUCGCCAAGCGAGUACCUCCCCAGCAAACACUGUCUAAGUGUUAAAUUAAAGGCAAGCCCCGGUUUUAUGCAUAACCGUUUAUAUAUGCUAUUUUACUACACUUAAUGUUUGUAGGCUUGUGCUGUGCACUUAAGUGUAGGAGUUGACUGAAACCCUAGUUGCAUGAACUCAGGAUUCCUUUUUGAAAUGGAUACUAGUAUGAUAGGUCGAGUAGCUGCUUUACUAAUUAGGGAUCUCGGUAGAAGUCGAGUGAUUUUUCUAGCACUCGCGCGAGGUCAGGACAUUGAUUGUACCCACUUUCAUAUCGUACUGAUGUUGGUUUGUGGGCAACAAUCCAUGGGGAUUUGUUGUCCACGGGAUAAAAAUUGGAAUAAGGAUUAAGGUGUGGUACCGUGAGUCAAGCGUUUGAACGUACUAAGCACAUGCCGAGAAAUAUGGUAAAUCGGUAAGCCUAGUACCUGAUUGAACCUGGCAGUGGACUUUACCCCUCACGCGACCUGAGACGAGGUCUCCCAUUCCGGUUAUGGUGGGUACAAGUGCGGUCACUGCACGACGGCCAGUCGGGGUCAGUGAGGCAUUGUACGCCAAGGCGGUGAGCCCUGAUCCGCUGACGGGGAAUCGAUGGGGACGGUUGAUAUGUGUGGGGACGGAGUGCCCCUACAUGUCGUGUGUUUAGGUUUACCUUGCAAGGAUAAAAACUCGAUUCGAAUCGUCUGCUUCUCGCAGCUAAUGAGACUGCUUGAUCCAUGCUGCUACAUUGAGUAAUAAGUGGAAAUGAGGUGACUGGCAAAAGAUGUUGAUUGAUAAAAUGUUUGAUACCAUGUAUGAAUAGCUAGGUACUCAUCUAGUUUAAAAGGAUCAUACUAAAACUUGAAAAGCUAAAACUUGAUUUUAGACUCAGCUAGUGCUUUUGGCAAACCAAACCCCUCAGCCAAACAGCUGCAUGUCUAGAGGUAGAGGAGUAGACUCCUCACACCGGGUAAGUCUAGCUGAGUAUUAGUAUACUCAGCCUUGCUUGUGGCACAAUUUUUGCAGGUACUCCUUGAUUGAUUGAUGGUGUGACUUGGCCUUCAUCCCUGCCACCGGGAUAGAUGGUCGAGUGGGUUAUUGCUUCCGCGGGAGAGGACCAGGAGGAGUACUGUGGCCAGGCUUCGCCAUGUUACUCGGUUUUCUCCGUUAGUUAUUUACGCUGCAUUAAAAUUUAUGGUUAUUAUUUCUGAAACUCCGAUAAUGUAAUCACUAAAGAUACUUAUUAAAUUUGUGGUAUUAUGUUUUAUUGUAUUUCUCUGUGCCUCACCUUCGUGUGAGAUAGUGGUAUUCGAUCCUGGAUAAGUGGCUUUAUCGGACUAGAUCCGAGGGACUGACGGAUUAUUCCUGUUUAAGUGUGUUGCUGCCCUUAAGGGUGCGACUUGGGCACUUAAGCUGGAAUAAUUCGGGCGGUUCCGCCACAGCUGGUAUCGGAGCGAAUACUAUCACAGAGAAGUCAAUAAGUCAUGAUUACCGACCUUUUCUAAAGUAAAACUUGCUAGAAACCAAUGUUGGAUAGAUCGUCAGGACGAUAAGGAUAGACUUAGGACGUGAAGCCUUAGGAAAUAGAUGGGUAGCUAGGUGGCUAUAUUUAUAUAGGCCAUAAAGGCUACUACUACUAUUAACUAGGAUGCUGUAGAAGCAUCCGAAAAAUUAGUUAGGUCUGAAAAGACGCCUAGAAUGAGCAUGCAUCAUGAUUGUUGCAUUAUUAUCCCUUGUGCACCAACGUGCUUCUCUCACCUUUAUUCCAAUAAUAAGAAAUUAUGAAUAAUGUGUUGUAUUGCUAUGAACUGCAAAAAAAAUGCCUUACCUCGUAUCAAAUUGGUAAGUCUUGUUAGGUCGUGCUACGUGUUUCUCUUGCCUUGCUAGCUAGGUGGUAUUGUAAUUGUUCACCUCUCUUUGCCAAUAAAAAUUGUUGCCUGUUUUGCCCAUAAAAGACCCCCCUUCUCCAAACAACCUUGAGUUUAGCAACUAAAACCUCUUAAAAAAAUCAUGAUGGUGUUGGUGUUUUCUAGCCCUUGUGUGUUGCGCUAUUGGUAAUGCACCUGCACAGCUUAUAGACCCCCAUAGCUUAACCACUAGCCAAACCGGAACUUCCUUGUGCACGCGGUUAUGUCAAAAAAAAACAUCGUUUGUUGUCUAGUUGCGCAAACCAUGACCAAGCCAUGUUUCUUUCCAUAAAUCCUUGCCCCUAAAACUUCAUAGCGUUUCUGUCGAUCAUCCUAGCUGAUCCUGUUUGCCUACCUCUCCUUUCGCCUGGAUCUGGUAAUCCUUCUUCUUGUGAAUCAUGUUUGCUUUAUCGUCCGAAUCUCGGGAUCCCCAAUUGAUUCUGCCCCGUUAGCUGGUUAUCUGCUAUAACCCGUUCUCAAGUAUCGAAUGUUGAUCUUGCCUAAAUCUCUCAUUCUAAUUAUUCUCAUACUCUUUCUCCAAGGAUCAUGACGUCAUUUUAUCAACUUAUCUCUAAUCAGUGUAUCCAUUUAGUCAAUGGAUUUCAUUGUUGUCCUUGGUUCUCUCAUGUCUCUAAAAGCUCAACAAUCUAUUUUGAUCUCAUGGUCGGUUCAUCCUCAUAUCAAAUCUCAUGCUAAUAUCUGAUCUGAUAAUCUCUAUGUUGAUCAUAAAAUAGUUCUCUGAGUUAAAUAAAAAAAUUCUCAUCUGAUGCUCUUUUGCCAACAAUCUUUGCUUCAACUUCAGUCACAUUUUCUGAGCCAUACUCUCAUGGGCUCCAUCUAUUUAUGCUAUGUGGAAUUCUCGUUGGUUACGUUUGGUAAUGGUGUCAUGACUAACGACUGAUGAUGCCGCGACGAAACCGAGAGCCUACUAUGGUGCACACAUGGUUGAGCUGCUCGGCACGCGCUGGUAUCAUGGUUAAUAGUCGUGGUCCAUUACGAGACUAUACUGCUAUCUUUCAUGGAUAUUCUCUCAAAAGUGAUCGCUGCAUUUUGUCUCGAUAUGUCGCGAUAUUCUAACCAAAUCUGUCUUCAGUAUCUUGUCAGAUACCCUCUCAUAAAUUUGCAUCUAUCUUCAGUCUGGGAGUUACAUGCUUCUCCACCCUUAAAUAUCCUCAUUCGAAUCUCGGGACGAGAUUCUUUUUAAGGGGGGAAGGCUGUGACACCCCAGGUGUCAGUUUCGUGUUAUGACGGGAGAUUAAUCCUAAUCUCGGAUGCUCAGUAAAAAUUUCUCUUUCUCACUCGCGUAUGUCUCUGAUUAUCCAGAUUAUUCAUUCACAUUUCGCCGAAUUCGGAAUUAUUCGAUCUCACAGAAGGCCAAUUUGGAGCCUGUUAAAAACUUUUAUUCUCGACGAAUGCAAACUCGGGAAUCAUUCUCGAUUUAUAAAUCUUGUCUAAAGCUCGUUUAAUCAAGCGCUCGACAGUUGCUAGUCGAGCUGUGUCCGAAUCCAAUUUCUCGAUGUUCGAUCGAUGUCCGACUAUUUUAUCCGAGUCCGUACUCUCAAACGGAAUACUCAGUCUGUCGUCCUCUAAUUAAUUUCUAUCCGAUUCGGCUUAAUAUCUCUGUAUCCAAUCCGAUUUCAAAAUCAACAUCGGCAACGAUUUUUAAAUAUCACGAUUCGCUUUCUCCGACUAAAAAUCCAAAGUCGAUCGAAUCUCAGGACGAUUUAUUUUCCAAUCACACGUAGGGAAUUAAUUUUCGAGCAAAUUCAAAACAGACUCUCGGCCGAGUUAAUCGCGCAACUUUCCGUUCGUCCGAACUCUUUUCGCUCUGUUUCUCAGUAGCGACGAAUUCCGCAGGAACAUUUUAGUCCGGAAAAUAUUUAGCGCGACCCAAUUUAGUGUUUUGGGCCAAAUCUAGCCCGGCCCAAUUAGGCCCAUUUGAAACCCUAACCCUAGCCCAUGUCUAUAAAUAGGAGCUCUCUCCCCUUGCCCUUGGGCUAUUUUGCAUUCCCACCCCUCAUUUUUUUCCAGCCGCCACCGCAGCCUCCCUGUCUUCUUCUCCAUCGCGCAGCAGGCAUCCCACGGCAGCAGCAGCAGGGAGCCGUGCUCCCCUCCAUGGCGAGCAGCAAGCUGGCGCCCCUGCUCCUUCUUCCUCGGCGCUGAAGCUCCUCCCUGGCGUCCAUGGCGCCGGCGUAUCUCCAGCCGCCCCCUGCUCCUUGUUCCACGCGCAGCAGCCACGCGCAGGAAGUAAGGCCAGCAGCCAUGGCGAUUUCCCCUGCGAGCUCCCCUCUCUCCCAUGGCUGACCCUCUGCUCCCUGCACUUGGCGUCCUUGCAGCAGGCGAGCUCAGCUCCACCUCCCUGCGCUCAGCUCAUCUCCCUUGCCCAGCGCCCUCCCUCCUCUCUGUUUUUCCUUGAGCUCACGUGCAGGGAACGACGCCCUUUCUCCUCCACUGUGCUCGACGCCUAGCCCCUUUUCUAUGGCUUGGACGCAGCAGGAGCGGCGCAGGAGCUUUUCCAUCCAUGGCUGUUUCCCCCUGCCGAGCCCUUCCUUUCUCUGUGCUUUGGAUGAGCCUCUGCUCCCUAUGCUGAUCUCCACCUUGCCAUGGCGUUGCUCGCCGGGGAUCCCCUGCAGGGCGCCGUCGUGGCCUCGCCGGGCUCCUGCUCGCCGGCGAGCCCAUGUGCUCAUGGCACUUCCCUGCCUUCUCUUUGUCCCAAACAUCCAGCAGCAGGGAUCGGAUCAACGCCGCAGCGCCCAGCCAUGGUGGCUGUAGGCCGAGUCCCUCUCCCAACCAGUGCCCUCCCUGUUUCCCUGGACGACGCUGUCCCUUCCCAUGCCGCUGCUCCACCACACACACUACCUGCUCGACGAUAUGCGUAGCCGACUGCGUGUUGUCUUGCUUGUGUUGUGCGCAGCCCUGCUCGCCUCUUUUCGGUGUUGUCAAACUAUCGGUGUGGAGCACUGUGUCGAGGACAACAUCGUCGACUUUUAUUCCGGUGCGCUGCUCAAUCCAUGCUGCCCCGCUGUGCCUUGUAGCGCUGUGGAUCCACGGCAUGGUCUCGACGUCGCUCUCCUUGCAGCCACACCCCUGCUGCUCCCACAUGCCGCACCACAUCAAAAAAAAAAUCCUGCAACCACGCCUCUCCUCGUGCUUGCUGUGCUGUCGCGCGCAGCGAGAACCAUAGCGCCACGACUCGUUCCUGCUCGGCGAGAGCAGCCGCGUCAUCAAUCCGUGCAGCCCCGACGCCUCCGCGUCUCGCUUCGUCGGGUCUGCACAGCCUCUUCGCGCCAUGCGGACAGCAGCAACAACUAAGUUAUUUUUGGUAAGUUGAUUUGUUGUUUUGGAUAAAGUUGAUAAAUAAAUAGAUGUAUGGUGACCGUGAUGAUUCUCGAGCAAUAAGUGAUGAUUUAAUAGUAUCAUUUAGUAUUCGGUAGUUGUAGAUUAUAUAAAGGGUGCUCGAAGACUGCAUUUGUCGAAUAUGGUUAACUAGAUGCUAUGCACAUAAUAAUUGGUAACGAUGAUUUUGUGUACAACGUUAGGGAGAUGAUCGCCUCUAUGGUUGAAACGUUUGGUGGUAGGUCGUAAUUGGUUGUGUUCGCAACGUGGAAUUAUGGUAGGCAUCAUUAGUGCCCAUGCUGUAUUAGAUUAAGCUUUGUUAUACGAUAAAACUAAAAACGUGAAUGUCAUAUAUAGUGUUUCAAUUGAGUUAGCCCGUAGAUUUAAUAUGUGUCGUUCGCAAUGAAUUAUCAGUAGGGCCUAAAUGGUGAGUUAUGUGUGAACUGUGUUAGAGCCCUUCCGAGAUAAAUAGAUUUAACCUAUGCUGUGUUGUCAUACAAAUAACCUAGAAAGGUGGUAUAUGUUAAUAAUUGGAAGGACAGUUGUUCAAAUUGGUCAGUUCGAUUAAGAAUGAUUUUUGCGUGUGAGGGGAGGUGGUGACAUACCAAGGUAGUCAUCAAUUCCUCUAUGUUUAUAAGUCGAGUCGAGUCGAUGCGCAAUUUGUGUUCAUUAAAUUAUGCUUUGCAUAUAGUGUAAUGGAGUUAGUUGUUUUGGGAUAAUUAUUAAAAUGUUCUGUUCACAUGAUAAAUAUGUAUGAUUGUAAAAACAUUGAAGUGUAUGUUGUGUCUCAGUCUGCGAUCAUAAUAGGCAAGUCGAUGUGUAUGUCGUAUGGCGGGCUAUGCCAUCCCUUUGGUUAAUCGACUAGUUAGAUGGCGUUGGUUAAGCUCGUAGUUACGAUGAAUUACUUGUUGUGGUCUAAAUGCGUAUGGUUAUGGUCGCAUGUAAAAAUUAGUAGUGCUCAUGUGGCGUCUAAGUUAAAAUGCGGACUAAUGGGUGAAAGGCGCUUCGAUAUAAAUAUGUGCCGGAUUUGAUGAUUGUGGUGAAUGCGUUUGUUAAAUGAAUGUGGUAAUUUUAGUGCACUAAAUGAUUUGGAUAAAAUUUGUAAGUCUACUUGUUAGUGCUCAAUUGAUUGUUUUAACUCUAACAAAUGGUAAAGUGUUAGAAUGAUUCAAUUCUCUAGAUCAUGGCAAUUCUUGAGUUGUAUAGGAGUUGAAAUUUAUUAAUUUCUGUUUUGGACUGCGCGCGCUGUUUUAGUUGUGCUGUAUGUUUGAUGAACUAAAUUGUGUUUUCUGUAGAUAUGUGCUAUAAAAAAGUGGUAGAUAACCUUAUUAUCUUGCUGGUGUUAAAAUUUGACAGCCAUAGGUUUGACAGUUUAGGAGUUAUGCUUUUUACAAAUUCAGUAACUGAAUCUGUCCAAAUUCUGUACAGAUUUCAGAAACUGUAUUGUUUGUUCAAUUUAAUGUUGCAAUCUGUUCAUGGUCAUUAUAAGAAAGUUGUAGAUGCUUUUCUGAUCUUUCUUGUGUUAAAAUUUGAUAACCACAGGCCUGAUAGUUUAAGAGUUAUGAAUUUUACAAACUGCUUGCUGUGUUCUGUCCACUAUCAGGGCAAAUUUCGAAAACUGUAAUGUUUCAUUGGAUUAAAUCUGGAAUCACUUCUUUGUGAUUAUAAAAGUUAUGUAGUGCUUUUGCUGAGCUUUCCAGAAAGUCUUGGAUCACUAUUUUUGGUGAUCUGAAGAUUAAGUUAUGGAUGUUUAAAGUCUGAAGACUGAAUCUGUCCAAUUCUGGACAGCAAAGCCUUCUAGUGUAUUUUAUCCUUAGUUAAAUAUUGAAUCACCUUAAGAUGUUUAUAAAUGAUAUGUAGACAAUUUUAUUACCUUUCCAGAAAGUCUAGGAUCACAUUGUUUGGAUGUCUGAAUCUCCAGUUGUGAAUUUUUGAAGUUGCAAGUCUGAAUCUGUCCAAAUCUGGACAGCGCUGUUGUGUUAACAUCUUUUGACCUUGCUAAGUGUUUAAUCAUGUUGUGAUGACAAUACCAAAGUUGUAGAGAACUUUCUAAACUUUCCAGAAAGUAUUAGUUUGCUAUUUUUGGAUUAAUAUUUGAAAAGUUAUGAUUAAAACAAGUAGCUGCUGUGCUGCUGUCCUAAAAAUCUGCAUGUGCUCAAAUGAAUAUUUAGUUCACCAUUUUGGCUAAAAAUGCUUAGUUAGCACUUAACGAAUAUAGACUUGUGAUGGCUAAACUUAGGUUAACAUGUGCUUCAUGAUUAAUGUGCUUGCUUGCUGUAGUUGAUUGUGAUAGAGGAGUCCAUCGACAUUGAUGCGUCGGUCCUCUAUUAAACUUGUGUUUGUGAUGCUUUUGUGUGAUCAAUAGAACUAAUGCAAAGUCGUAGCAAUUAAAUAAAUGUGUGUACCUGUGAUAUCGUAUUUGUGUUGCGUAAAUAAAUAAGAUAUGGUCGUCUUGUUAAUGGUGUUAAUGAUGAACGCUGAUAACGUACGAAUAGCUAGCGCUUGUGUAUAGUCGUUGCGGUGUCUUACUACUUGGUGUUUAGUUCGCUACCGUGUAUUGUAUAUCUUGUGAUAACUUUUCAUUAUAUUCAUACAUAUGCAUCUUGCAUCUCAUUUAGGAUCGAGAGAUGGUGAUCGUGCACGUGAUAUGGUGCCAACCACAGGAUGCCGUUGGUGGACGACCCAAGGAAGGAUGGACUUAACCAGUGGAUGCUCGCCAAGCGAGUACCUCCCCAGCAAACACUGUCUAAGUGUUAAAUUAAAGGCAAGCCCCGGUUUUAUGCAUAACCGUUUAUAUAUGCUAUUUUACUACACUUAAUGUUUGUAGGCUUGUGCUGUGCACUUAAGUGUAGGAGUUGACUGAAACCCUAGUUGCAUGAACUCAGGAUUCCUUUUUGAAAUGGAUACUAGUAUGAUAGGUCGAGUAGCUGCUUUACUAAUUAGGGAUCUCGGUAGAAGUCGAGUGAUUUUUCUAGCACUCGCGCGAGGUCAGGACAUUGAUUGUACCCACUUUCAUAUCGUACUGAUGUUGGUUUGUGGGCAACAAUCCAUGGGGAUUUGUUGUCCACGGGAUAAAAAUUGGAAUAAGGAUUAAGGUGUGGUACCGUGAGUCAAGCGUUUGAACGUACUAAGCACAUGCCGAGAAAUAUGGUAAAUCGGUAAGCCUAGUACCUGAUUGAACCUGGCAGUGGACUUUACCCCUCACGCGACCUGAGACGAGGUCUCCCAUUCCGGUUAUGGUGGGUACAAGUGCGGUCACUGCACGACGGCCAGUCGGGGUCAGUGAGGCAUUGUACGCCAAGGCGGUGAGCCCUGAUCCGCUGACGGGGAAUCGAUGGGGACGGUUGAUAUGUGUGGGGACGGAGUGCCCCUACAUGUCGUGUGUUUAGGUUUACCUUGCAAGGAUAAAAACUCGAUUCGAAUCGUCUGCUUCUCGCAGCUAAUGAGACUGCUUGAUCCAUGCUGCUACAUUGAGUAAUAAGUGGAAAUGAGGUGACUGGCAAAAGAUGUUGAUUGAUAAAAUGUUUGAUACCAUGUAUGAAUAGCUAGGUACUCAUCUAGUUUAAAAGGAUCAUACUAAAACUUGAAAAGCUAAAACUUGAUUUUAGACUCAGCUAGUGCUUUUGGCAAACCAAACCCCUCAGCCAAACAGCUGCAUGUCUAGAGGUAGAGGAGUAGACUCCUCACACCGGGUAAGUCUAGCUGAGUAUUAGUAUACUCAGCCUUGCUUGUGGCACAAUUUUUGCAGGUACUCCUUGAUUGAUUGAUGGUGUGACUUGGCCUUCAUCCCUGCCACCGGGAUAGAUGGUCGAGUGGGUUAUUGCUUCCGCGGGAGAGGACCAGGAGGAGUACUGUGGCCAGGCUUCGCCAUGUUACUCGGUUUUCUCCGUUAGUUAUUUCCGCUGCAUUAAAAUUUAUGGUUAUUAUUUCUGAAACUCCGAUAAUGUAAUCACUAAAGAUACUUAUUAAAUUUGUGGUAUUAUGUUUUAUUGUAUUUCUCUGUGCCUCACCUUCGUGUGAGAUAGUGGUAUUCGAUCCUGGAUAAGUGGCUUUAUCGGACUAGAUCCGAGGGACUGACGGAUUAUUCCUGUUUAAGUGUGUUGCUGCCCUUAAGGGUGCGACUUGGGCACUUAAGCUGGAAUAAUUCGGGCGGUUCCGCCACACAAUGGACAAGAUUUGCAGGUUCGGGCCGCUUAGAAGUGCGUAACACCCUACGUCCUGGUGAGUAUAUGAGCGUGGUUACAAGAGGGUUCUCUGGAUAGAGGGCGCAGAGAGUUUAUGUGGGUGGCUAAGUAGAACAGGGUCCAUCCUUCUGAAGGGGUGCCCCCUAGGCCUUAUAUACUCGGCCGUGGAGCAGUACAUGUGAUAUGAUAACAACAAGUAGCUAAAAGAUAGUGAACCUCUUGAGUUUAUCCCUACGUAACCCUCGACGACUUAUCCUCGCAUGGCUCUGUUGCAUGGGGGCUUUAGCGCGGGAAAGUCGGGUCUCUGUUGCGAUUCAUUCGUUCGACGUUGUGGGCCGUCUGGGUUUGCACUAAUCAGUCUCACGUCUUCUUUUCUUUGUUGGUUGUCUUUCCCUAGGCCCACGAAAGAAUGACCUUACGAAUUAUUGGGCCCUUGGGCCUUUCGUGAGGCCUUUUACUUCUUUAGUGGACCCAGGGGAUAUCUAUCCCCCACAAGCCCCCGAUCUUUGGGUUGAUUUAGAGGUAAUCAACUCAAAGAUCCAAGGUCCAAAAAAUGACUUCCUGCUGUCUUCUCUGGCUCUGAUCACUCGUUCGACCAAAGUUUGGUUUUGUGCUUGUGCCUUAGAGGUCGGCAUUUUGGAUUGUAAGACUCUGGACUUCAUUGGGUGCACCGGAGGUGCACCCAAUGGGUGUAGCCCCCGACCUUUGAGUAGAUUUUAGAAGAUAAUCUACUCGAAGGUCUUCUUCCAAAGGUUAUCUCCAUUCGCGCUCCUGCAUCUCGGUUGAGGAUUGGUCUUUUCAAUCUUGCUCUACGCCUUAGAGGUCGGCGCUAUAUCGGUUUAGAAUAAUACUCCAUGGGGUGCACCGGAGGUGCACCCAAUGGGUGUAGCCCCCGACCUUCAAAUGGAUUUUUUAAGGAUAAUCCAUUCGAAGGUCUUCCUUUCGCUUGUGGAAACUGGCAUGAAGCUAUUUUGCAUUAUGCUUUGGAGGUCAGCAUUAUGUCAUCAAUAUUUUGCUGCAAAGGUCAGCGUAUAUUUUGUCUUUAGCAGCCGAGUUUGCAAUCCAUCCAUAUCUUGCUAGGUAGUGCAAUUUAUUUGCUUCUGCGAUUGAUUGGACGUUUGACGGACGUUCUCUGUCUAGUCUUCACGUCGCUUCUGUCGGCCAUAUCUUGUACUUUGCUAGCUAUAUUUGGCUUUCCUCUGAUCCUUACUGAUAUCUCAUUUUUGUCUUGAGGUAUUCACUGCAUGCCCUGCACGGAUGUGACCGUUUUGAAAAAUAUACUGAUAAUUCCUGGGCGUCCCCCCCAAUGGGUGUGGGCAAGGGACGGCUUGGUACGCUGAGUGUUUUAGCCGGUUGCCUCUGAGUAGUAAUGCGAUGGGACGGCUAGUGUAAUCAUAUCCUUUGCGCUGUUGACUGGAGUCCCAAUAGGUGUAGUGUUGCAUGAAACGGCGUCCGCCGUCUGACGUGUCUUCAGAUGGGUGGAAGUGCUUAUUGAAUGCCUUGCGACUGUUCAGUGACCGCGGUUAGAAGUGAGCGGUUGCCUUUCCCUUCUAUAAAUAACACCUUUGCUUCUCUGGUUUUUUCACAUCUCUUCGCUGCUCUUUACCGCCUUCUUCUUCCUCCCUUCUGUCUGCUUCCACCAUGGGCAAGAACAACAAGCGCAAGCGUGAGCCGACUCCUCCAUCGGAGGAGUUUGGUGACUCGGAAUACUCAGAGGAGGAGUUCUCCUCUGAGUCCGAGGGGUCUCCGGCUCCCAUCCCCCUGUGUGAGUCGUCUGAUGACUCAGACGACUCCCAGGGGCUUGCGGCGGAGGUCUGGACGUACAUCCGGGCCGUCGAGCGCUCCGGGCUCGAGGGCUCGGAUGAGUCUGAGUUCUCCUCGGACGAGGAGGACUCGGACGGCGGCGAGGGCGAAGAUGACGACGACGACGACGGCGACGACGACAACGGAGGCGACGACGACGGUGAUGGCGGCAACGGCGGCGGAGGCAGCGGCGGCAAGGGCGGCACCAAGGGCAGCAGCAGUGUGGGCAGCACCGGAGGCGGCGGCGGCAAGGGCAGCGGCGGCAGGGCCAGUGGCUAAACGCCACUGGUCUUUAAAUAUUAGUAUAGUUAGAAUAAUGUAGUAGUAAUGUAGGGUAGUAUAGUGUAGUUUAGUAGUAGUAGUAAUGUAGAGUAGAAGUAGGGAAGCACCAACUCCUGAGGAGUUGGUUUGUAAACUUAUUAACUUCCCUUUAAUCAAGAACUGUCGUUGAUCCCCCCUUUUCGAUGACUUGUCGUUGCUUUUCCUGAAUGUUGAACUGAUUCUUUUGAUAUAGUAGAAACAACGCCGAGCGAUGUGAAGGUUGACAUCAGCGUUUUAGAAGUAACACCAAGCAAUCGAACACAAGACCAGCGUUUUAGAGGCAAUGCCGAAUGAUAGAAGGUCGGCAUCGGCAUUUUAGAAGUAAUGCCGAGCGACAGAAUACGGGGUCGGCGUUUUAGAAACAACGCCGAGUGAUUGAAGGUCGGCGUCGGCAUUUUUAGAAGUAAUGCCGAGCGAUUGAACACGUGGUCGGUGUGUUAGAGGACACGCCGAGUGAUUGGAGGUCGGCGUCGGCAUUUUAGAAGUAAUGCCGAGCGAUUGAACACGUGGUCGGCGUGUUAGAGGACACGCCGAGUGAUUGAAGGUCGGCGUCGGCAUUUUAGAAGUAAUGCCGAGCGAUUGAACACGUGGUCGGCGUGUUAGAGGACACGCCAAGUGAUUGAAGGUCGGCUUCGGCAUUUUAGAGGCAACGCCGAGCGAUUGAACACGUGGUCGGCGUUUUAGAGGCAACGCCGAGUGAUUGAAGGUCGGCGUCGGCAUUUUAGAAGUAAUGCCGAGCGAUUGAACACGUGGUCGGCGUUUUAGAGGCAACGCCGAGUGAUAGCCAGCUUCACAAGUUACUUUGAGGAAAAUAACCGAGUGAUGAGGUGGCACGUCGGCUUUCUUGGAAAUAACUGUCGGAUAUCCACGUGGCAUGCUGGGAUUUCGGAAAUGACCGCCGGGUGAUGACUGGGCACUUUUUGAAAGGGUAUCUGGCUCAAGAAUAUCCCUUAAGAGUCGCGCUUUUAGCCGCCUUUGCUUUCCGUGCCCUAGUUCUUGCAUUUCCGCAUCUGAAUCUUCUCUGCCACUCGCCUCCUACUCUGUUUCGCCAGUGAGAAGCAAGAUGGCGCCCAAGAGAAAAACUGCGAACUCGUCUGCUGCAGUGAUCCCCGCAAUCGACCCCAACAGCCAGUUACCCUUCGCAGGUAACCACAUGUCUGUAAUUUCUGAAGCUGAGCUUCUCCGCCUUGUCUCCAUCGGGGUUCUUCCUCCGCGGGAACUCUGUUCUUGGCGGGUUUGCCACGGGACUACUGUCCCAACCGAAGAUACCCACGAGUCAGUAGUUUACACUCCUUUCCUUCUUCGCGGCCUCGGCCUUCCCAUAUCUCCUUUUUUCCGUGGCCUCCUUGAUUUUUAUCACAUCAACCUGACUCAUUUGAACCCUAAUUCCAUUCUCCAAAUCUCUAUUUUCGUUCACCUUUGCGAAGCUUAUCUCGGCGUGCUGCCGCAUUUUGGUUUAUGGAAGUAUCUGUAUCACUGCCGUCCUGGGAUGGCCGGGGGGCAACAUCAGUUGGUCGGAGGUGCCAGUUUGGAGAUGCGCCGUGGGCGGAAGACCGAGUAUCUCGAGAUACCCCUCAAAGACAGCAUUAAAGGUUGGCGUCUGGAGUGGUUUAUAAUUGAUAAUUAUGGAAAUUCUCUCCCUUCCCGUUCAGGAAGACAGCCAGACGUUCGUACUCCGAGUUGGACUGAGUCUCCCACGGAUCAAGAAGUGGCCGAGGCAGGCGUGUUGCUUACUGAAGUCGGAUUACUGAAAGAGAGAGGUCUGACUGCCGAAGCUGUGGUCACAGAUUUUGUUUUCAAAAACAUUCAGCCGCUGAAAGACAGGGCCUAUCCGGCAUAUCUUUAUCGAGGGCUGGCCGACUCAACCCGAGUUACCAAUAGGAGAAUUCCUUCUGUUGAUUUGGUAAGCCGACUCGAGAUGAUCCUCAGGGGUAAAGUUUCAAACGUUGGUGCUCCAGUGGCAUACUCGGCUUGGAACCUACCUUCUCCCAAAGCUUUCACCCUUUUUGUGUCCAAUCCGCCCGUGACUGAUAGCAAUUUGGGUCUUAGAGUGCGACCCUCUGCUGAAGAGGUCCGUUCUUUAGUUGCUUCGCUCGGGGAGAUACCUGAUGAUGAACGGCAGAUUUAUUUUGAAGUGCCCCUGAACCCUAGUGAUGCAGACAUAAAUGACAUGCUCGAUCUGCUAGCUGAGGAUUCAUCUGAUGCUGCUCCUGAUGGUACAUUGGCAGUGGUGCCCCUUCCAGAGGUUGAUGCGACCUUGGAUGUCCCGAAACCUGUCAGUACUCGCCCGAGGCGCCCUAGCCGAACCAGUCAGCCCGAGCCUUCUGCUGAUGAGCAGAAGAAGAAGAGAAGACGCCUCCGGCGAGUAUCCAGCUUUGACGAGGAUGCCAGUACCUUAGCUCCUACUGCUGAAGAAAUGACUGCAACUGGCCUUGCUGACAUUGAUCCCAAUGGGUGUGCUCCGCCUGCUGCUGACCCCGCUGAGGAUGCUGUUCGUGCUGUUACUGUGGAAGAUGAGGAGGAAGAAAAUGACACUCCAUUAACUCGGAAAAACAGUCGGCAGCUCGUUGCUAGCGGUGGAAGUAGUGGAGUCCCUUCUCCUGCUUUGUCUGCCCUUAUUGGUCUGCAAGAGCUGUCUAUGGCCAAUUUUGAUCAAGCUCUAGAGGAUAUGGUCCCAGAAGAGUUGUUAUCAGAGCCUGUGGAUGUUGAUGCAACAGAAACUUGUGCUGCCGUGCCAGAUGCUGGGCUGAGGUCAUCUCGUGCCUCGUCAACCUUAGAGCAUGAUCUCGAGGGUCGGGAUGCUGACUUGGACCGUCCUGAUCCCAUGGAAGUAGCUGAAGGCCCGUCAACCUUAGAGGUGGUCACGGCAGAGAGCUUGGAUCCCUUGAAUAGUGCUGACACGUGCCCAGCCCCCGAGGAUGUCGCCGGGGAGGACUCAGCUCGGGUGAGGAGUGUAGGCCACUGCCCAGCCCCCGAGGGUGUUGCCGGGGAUGAUCCGGCUCAAGUGGGCAGUGCCAACUUUGACCCAGCCCCGAGGGUGUCCGAGCGAGGUCUCCUUCCUGCACUUCCAUGGAUGUUCAUGCAGGUUCACCUCCACACUCUGGCGGCAUGGUGGUGGCCCAAACUCCGGAUCAGGGGGUCGCUUUAGAGGGCAGCAUCCCCACUGGUCUGGCGUUAGGCUCUGUUGAAUGUACUGAGCUCGUUCCUGCUGGUCUGCUGCAAGCUGCUUCGGGUGGUGGUCUGGCACCUGGUCAUCAGCUGAUUUCUCCUGACUUGGGGAUCCCUUCGCUCUUUUCCAACCUCCAGGUGCUGUGCUGUGCUUUAGUUUGAUCUUUAUGUUGCAUGAAUUGUUGCCAUUAUGUUCAUCCGCUCUUCUCAUCAGGCUUUAUUGACUGGAAUGGUCGGCCAGCUGAAGUCGCAGGGUGCUUCCAUCCCGGAGGUGGCUUCAUCUCUUGAGCGUUGGAAUCCGGUGUUGCUUCGGGGUCGUGUAUCCGAGUUGGAGGCAACUAAUGCUGGUUAGUGUCUUUCCUUCUUUUUCUUUGUUCUUGCUCGUGGAUUGUUUUACCUUCUGACCUCAUUUCGUUUGAAUACCUCUUGAUAGGGAUGACUCGGCGGAUUACAGUUCUUGAAGAAAAACAUUCCCAAGAUCAAGCUGAGAUGGCUCGACGGUGCGCUGACUUCGAGGAGAAGUAUUCUCAGAGCCAGAUUGAAUUGAGUCAGGUCUCCGCGGCUUUGGAUCAUGCCAACGCUCUGAGUUCUUCUCUUCAUGCUCAGCUUGACUCUGAGAAGGUAGCUUACGAACCCGUGCUUCGCCUUAUCAUGCUCUUGGAUUCUGGAUGAGUUGAUUUUUGCUUGUAGGAAGAAAAACGCAUCUUUGCUGCUUCUCGCGACAACCUGGACAGAUUGUACCGAGAUUCCAGCAACUCGCUGACCAUCUUGGAGAGGAGCCACCGUUUUACGAUGGAGGAGCUGGACAAUCAGCGCCGUCAGCUGCAAGAAUCCUCGGACGAAGUGACCCGCCUUACACAGUUGCUAUCAGCAAAGGAUGCCACCAUCAAGGGACUCCGAGCUUCUAAGAAAUCCAUUGCUCAGGAGUUAGAAACUGCUCAGUAGGCUGUUAAAGUUGCCGAAGAAGCUGCUGUCACUUUCAAAGCUCAGCGUGAUAAAGCCCUGGACAAAGCUAUUCGGGCGGGACGAAUCUUGAUGAGAAGACCCGGCGUGGUUGUCCCUGAAGAUAUAAGAGCCGAUGUGAAUGCUGCCCCUGAUUCCUCGAAUCGCCCUUCUUCGUCAGUCGUUCCUGAGAAAGACAUUGGAAAAUAAAGAAACAGUUCGCGUGCUCUGAGCGCGCAGUUAGCAUGAUCAAGUACUUGUUAGAGGUUAUCGGCUUAUCAUUCGAAUGACAUCAUCACUUUCUUAUUGUAUCCGAAUUGCGAAUUUGUGGUAACGCUGCAUGAUGAUUAUGAAGUUUGUUUGUGGGAUAUGGAAAUCAUCCCCUGAACUGCAUAAGCGCGAGUAUGCUAUACCGGCUUAAGCCGUCAAUGACUUUAGCCGGUAACUCCGUUAGUAGGGUAUAGUGGCCACCCUAGGUUAAGUAAGCGUGAGCAUGUUGCACCGCCUUAAGUCGUUGCCGACUUAAGUUGAUUGCUCCGUUUGUAGGGCAUGGUGGUCACCCCGAGUUAAGUAAGCGUGAGCAUGUUGCACCGCCUUAAGUCGUUGCCGACUUAAGUCGAUUGCUCCGUUUGUAGGGCAUAGUGGUCACCCCGAGUUAAGUAAGCGUGAGCAUGUUGCACCGCCUUAAGUCGUUGCCGACUUAAGUCGAUUGCUCCGUUUGUAGGGCAUAGUGGUCACCCCGAGUUAAGUAAGCGUGAGCAUGUUGCACCGCCUUAAGUCGUUGCCGACUUAAGUCGAUUGCUCCGUUUGUAGGGCAUAGUGGUCACCCCGAGUUAAGUAAGCGUAAGCAUGUUGCACCGCCUUAAGUCGUUGCCGACUUAAGUCGAUUGCUCCGUUUGUAGGGCAUAGUGGUCACCCCGAGUUAAGUAAGCGUGAGCAUGUUGCACCGCCUUAAGUCGUUGCCGACUUAAGUCGAUUGCUCCGUUUGUAGGGCAUAGUGGUCACCCCGAGUUAAGUAAGCGUGAGCAUGUUGCACUGCCUUAAGUCGUUGCCGACUUAAGUCGAUUGCUCCGUUUGUAGGGCAUAGUGGUCACCCCGAGUUAAGUAAGAAUGCAAGUCAAUCGUAAACGAGCCAAGUAUCUUUGAAAUCUCUCUUUAUUGAUGACGUAUUUCCAUUAUACAGAAUACAUGGUCGCCCCGGCUGUUUUGAGAUACAGCUAGGGGUAAAAUUUUCGGAGGUGCUCUAUGUUCCAGGAGUUCCCCACUUCUGUGCCAUCCAUCUGAGUGAGGCGAUACGAUCCGGGCCGAGUGACCUCUGCUAUUAUGAAUGGCCCUUCCCAUAAGGGUGAUAACUUGUGCCGUCCUUCCCCCGUUAGAAUUCGGCGGAGGACGAGGUCUCCUAUCGAAAAGAAACGUUGCCGCACAGCUUUGUCGUGGUAGCGCCUUAGAGUCUGCUGGUAUCGUGCUGAUUGGAUUACUGCAUUCAGUCGUUCUUCUUCGAGUACAUCAAUAUCCUCCAGCCUGGUGGCUUCGGCUUCUGCUAUGCUUUCGAAGAUCAAUCUUGGCGCCCCAAACUUGAGAUCAGCAGGUAGCACUGCCUCCGACCCAUAGACCAUGAAGAAAGGAGUAUUUCCAUGCAGGGCCCGGCUAGGUUGGGUUCUCAAACUCCAAACAACAUAAGGCAAUUCUCUUAUCCAUUUUCCUGCGAAUUUUUCGUUUUUAUCAAAGACCCUUUUUCUAAGUGCCUCCAAUAUCAUUCCGUUGGCUCGCUCAACCUGCCCGUUGGCUCUCGGAUGGGCUACAAAUGCAUACUUGAUCUGAAUGCUUUUUUCCUCGCAGAAGUCAAAGAAUUCUGAACUGGUGAAGUUGGAUCCCAAGUCAGUGAUGAUACUGUUUGGUAUCCCAAAUCUGAAUAUUAUGCUUUGUAUGAAUUCCACGGCUUUAGCAGAGGUUAAAGAGGCAAUGGGCUGGAACUCUAUCCAUUUAGUGAAUUUGUCAAUUGCCACCAAUACAUGGGUGUAUCCUCCUUGAGCUUUCUUGAAAGGUCCAAUCAUAUCCAAUCCCCAGCAUGCGAAAGGCCAAGUUACUGGUAUGGUCUGUAGCUGCUGUGCUGGCAUGUGCUGUUGCUUUGACAGGUAUUGGCAAGCUUCGCAUCUCUGAACUAACUCGGCUGCAUCGUUCUUCGCCGUCGGCCAAUAGAAUCCUGACCUGAAAACCUUCCCGACUAAUGUUCUGGAUGCUGCGUGUACUCCACACUGCCCUGCAUGGACUUCCUCCAGAAGUUGCUGCCCGGUGGACGGGAGAACGCACUUCAUGAGGACGCCUGACGCGGCCCUCCUGUAUAAUACCUUCCCGAUGAGUGUAUAGUGAGCUGAUUGUCUGGCAAUGCGCUCUGCCGAGUUCUUGUCAUCUGGUUCUUCUUCAUUCUUUAUAUACUUAAUAAUCGGUUGCCUCUUGUCAUCAGAGUCUGACUCGGGUUGAUCUAUGAUGUUGCAUUCUUCUAUUUGAUCCGUCGAGACGCUCGGCUGGAGAAUUUCUUGCACGAAGACCCCGGGCGGGACCUGAGUCCGACCGGAUCCGAGCUUGGACAGUACAUCGGCCGCCGUGUUCCGAUCUCUUUCUAUAUGAUGAAACUCCAGACCUUCGAAUUUAUCUUCUAGCUUUCGGACGGCGGCGCAGUAUCUUCCCAUUGAAUCACUUGAACAAUCCCAUUCCUUGUUUAUCUGACUGAUGACUACCAGAGAAUCUCCAUACACCAUCAGUCUCUUGACACCCAGUGAUAUGGCGAUGUUUAAUCCGUGUAUCAAAGCUUCAUACUCGGCUGCAUUGUUAGAGGUCGGGAAUAGCAACUGGAGAGCAUACUUGAGGUGCUCGCCUCCAGGUGCAGUGAAGAGAAUCCCUGCUCCUGCUCCCUGCAGCUUCAGCGAGCCAUCAAAAUACAUUCGCCAUACUUCUGCCGUUUCUGGAUUGUCUGGAACUUGCUGUUCUGUCCACUCUGAUACGAAAUCGACCAGUGCUUGAGUUUUGAUGGCAGUGCGAGGUCGGAACUCGAUAUCAUGGGAUCCCAACUCGCAAGCCCACUUGGCUAUUCGGCCAAUGGCUUCCUUGUUGUGAAGAAUAUCCCCUAUUGGAAAACCAGUGACUACUAUGACUUUGUGGUCGUCAAAGUAGUGGCGCAGCUUGCGGGCAGUUAGAAGUACUGCAUAUAAUAGCUUCUGAACUUGAGGAUACUUUUUCUUCGAUGGACCUAGAACCUCACUGAUGAAGUAGACAGGAUGUUGUACCGGAUAGGCAUGCCCUUCUUCCACUCGCUCGACUACCAACGCAGUGCUUACCACGUGAGUCGUGCAAGAGAUAUAUAGUAGCAAAUCUUCAGCUGGUUGAAUCGGCGUAGCUCGCCGGGGCGGCUUUAGUACUGGUGGUGUUGUCAGGAAUUUCUUCAGUGCAUCUAGAGCUUCUUGUGCUUCUGACGUCCAUUGAAACUUAUCCACCUUCUUGAGCAGUUUGUAAAAUGGCAGACCUUUUUCUCCCAGCCUGGAUAUGAAUCUGCUCAGGGCUGCCAUACAUCCAGUGAGUCGCUGAACCUUCUUUUGCGACCGAGGGGCUUCCAUCUUCAUGAUAGCUUCAAUCUUAUCUGGAUUAGCUUCAAUUCCCCGGUGGCUGACAAUAAAUCCGAGUAACUUUCCUGCUGGUACCCCGAAGACACAUUUCUCAGGAUUGAGCUUCCAUCUAUAUCUUCUCAGGCUGUUGAAAACCAGCUGUAAGUCUUCGAUGAAGUUUUCCGGAUUCUCCGUUUUAAUCACCACGUCGUCUACGUAAGCCUCCACACGCUUGCCCCAGUGAUCGGCUAAGCAUGUUUGAAUGGCUCUCUGAUAAGUCGCUCCAGCGUUUUUGAGGCCGAACGGCAUGGAGGUAUAACAGAAAGCACCAAACGGGGUGAUGAACGCCGUUUUUUCCUCGUCUUCUUUUGCCAAACUAAUCUGAUGAUACCCGGAAUAGCAAUCUAAGAAAGACAGCACAGAACAUCCAGCGGUGGAAUCCACCACCUGAUCUAUCCUCGGGAGCCCGAAGGGAUCCUUCGGACAGUGUUUGUUGAGAUCAGUAUAGUCGACGCACAUGCGCCAAUCCACUUUAUUCUUUUUGAGUACAAGAACAGGGUUGGCUAACCACUCGGGGUGUAAUACUUCUCUAAUAAAUCCGGCCGCGACCAAGCGAGCUAACUCGGCACGAAUGGCCUCUCUCUUGUCGGGCGUGAAACGACGCAGCUUUUGCCGGAUCGGCCUCGCCUGAGGAUAGACUUUCAAUUUGUGCUCGGCCAACUCCCUCGGGACUCCCGGCAUAUCCGCAGGUUGCCAUGCGAAUACGUCUCGGUUAUCUUGCAGGAACUGGACGAGCGCGCUUUCCUAUUUGUCAUUCAAACUGGAGCUGAUGAUGGCCGCCUUGCGCUCAUCGGCAAACCCCAGGUUGAUCCGCUUGGUUUCUUCAGUCGGCCGCAUAGAGGUCGCGGCCUGAGCUUCGUUUGCCGGCACGGCGAGGUCUUCCUCAGGCUUAGAGUUCGCCGGUGUAGAAGGAACUGUUGACGGCUUGGUGGUGAGGGCUGCUUGGAUGGCCACUCGGAAACAUUCUGCGGCGCCUUGGAAGUCGGCGCGCACAGUUAUGAUUCCUUGCGGUCCUGGCAUCUUCAGUAUCAUGUAGGUAUAGUGCGGGAUGGCCAUGAAUUUGGCUAGCCCCGGCCUUCCGAUGAUGGCGUUGUAACCGCAGUCGAAGUUCGCCACCUCGAACCUCAGGAACUCGGUUCUGUAGUUAUCCGGAGUCCCGAAGGUGACCGGCAUGUAGAUGUGGCCCAGCGGGUAUUCCCCUUCCGUCGGCACGAUGCCGAAGAAAGGAGUGUCUGACUCGUGGAGCUCUUUGAGGUGAACUCCCAAGCCUUGGAGCGUACGGGGGAAGGUGACGUUGAUGCUGCUCCCCCCGUCCACUAGCACCUUCUUUACCCGGCUCUCUCGGAUCACCGGAUCGACGAGGAGCGGGUAUUUGCCUGGAUGGUCAAAGUUGAGCCAUUGAUCCUCCCGAGUGAAAGUGAUUGGGUGCUCCGACCACCGGUACGGGGCGGGUGGGCCGGUGGUCGCCACCAGUAUCUGGCGGUCGUUGAGCUUUUGUUGUCUUUUGUUCUCCUGCGACCCAUGUCCGCCGAAGAUGACGUUGACCUCCCUGUCAACGCGCGGGAAAGCUCCUCCUCCCCCCUCCUCCGGCUGAUGGGGCUGUCGUGGUUCACCUGGUCCUCCCCUCGGCGGAGGAGGCGGUAGGGGUUGGAAGGGUCGACCAUGUCCGACGGAGUGCUUGAAGUCCCGGCAGUUACGUAGAGUAUGGCGCAUGUCCUUGUGGUACGGGCACUGGGCGUCGAGGAUGUCGUCCAGUGUACGCUCGCCUCCACGGGGUCCUCCUCGGGCGCGAGAGGCGGGUGGUCCGGCGGCGUGUACUUCUUCACGAGGCCUCUUCUCCCAGCGUUUGUCGGGUGGCUGGUUCGCGUCGCGUCGUGGUGCUGUCGGUGUGGGUUUUGCUCCUCCGAUGAGGUCCUGGGCCCGCUCGUCGGCGGUGAUGUAGAGGUCGGCUUCCCGGAACAGCUCCUCGGAGGUAGUCGGUGCCUUUUGUAGUAUGGCUCGGACGAAAGCCGAGUCGUUAGAUCCUCUGUAGAAGUCCUCGAUCACGGCCGCCUCCGUGACCUCGGGGAUGCGGUUUCUCAUGGUCUGGAACCUUUUAAGGUAUGACCGGAGAGUCUCGUCUCCCUGGCGCUUGAUGGAUUUGAGGUCCCAUGGUUGCGCUGGUUUGUCGGAGAGAGACUGGAAGUUGGCGGUGAAGCGUCGACUGAAGUCUCCCCAGUCGUCGAUGCAGUGUCGGGGUAGAUGUCGUAGCCACUGCAGCGCAUCUUGCCCAAGGACGAUGGGCAGAUACGCGGUCAUAACGUCUUCGGAUGCUCCGGCAGCCCGAGCAGCGGUGGUGUAAACGGCUAACAACCCCCUGGAUCCUGCUUAGGUUCAUAUUUGUCGACAUUGGAUACCUUGAAGUUGGGAGGCCAUUGGAUGGCCCUAAGGCGCGGAGUAAGGGCGGAUACUCCGCACGUGUCCUCCUGUCGUCGGGGAUGUCGUCUGUCCCGGGGAGGGGAGUGGCGGUGGUGGUUCCUCGACCAUCCCCGGGGGGUUCCACCAGUUGAAGUUGUUGCCGACUCAGUUCGGGUGGCCUGGCUUUGAGUCGGGAAGCCAUGAUCUCGGUCAUACUCCUCCCGACGGUGAAUUUUGUUCUCAUGCCGCCGUUCGCGCGAAGCAUUGAUAGAGCUUCGCGCGUCUCGGCGACUGUUGAUGGCGUGUCGCAAAUCGUUCGGCGGGUGGGCGAGCGGUAGAAGAUGGUUUGCUGCCUGAGUGAACAGGCGUCGGUAUCCCUCGGCGUCGGGAGUCCGAGGAAGUCCGUCAGCUAUCCGAGCUAGAACGCCUCCGACUUCGCUUGGCGUGUUCAUAGCUCGGGCGAAGUCGGGGUUCAGGUUGCGCCCGAAGAGCGGAUUCUCGCGUCGUUGCCUUGCAUCUUGCUCGGCUUGCUCCUGAGUCCGCCGGCGAUCACGUCGUCGAGAGUUCCUUCGUUCCCUGAAGACGCGUUCUUCCGGAGUUUCUCCUAUCUCUGAGACCUCGUCUCGCGAGACAGGCUGCUCCGGAUCCCGCUCUCCGGCUGCGUGAUGUCGUCGAACGUUCCUGCGUCGGUUCCUUCGUCGGCGGGAUUCUCGCUGAGGCGGUUCUUCUCCAGGUGCGGUCGGUUCAUCGUCAGAGACGGCGGGCGACUCUGCUCUCCCGAUGAAGAGGACGUCGGGGUAGAACGGUACUGCUGUCGCGGCGACUUUCUUUCCGUUCUCCUUUGAGGCCGGAGGAACGGGAAGAACGACCUGCCUCUCCCUGGUCUCCUUCUUUCUCACGACCCGUGUCCAUUCUUUCGUCGGGGAAGUAGACAGCGGAGUCUUCCGGGUCAGCGAGCUUCUAGCUCCAGCCUCCCCGGAGACGAUCUUUUUCCGAAGAGCCGGAGGUAGCGUCUUUCCAGCAUUUUCGGAGUUUGUUGGAGGAGACUUCUGUUCCGGCAGAUCUGCGAGGCGGUGUAGAAUUCCCUCUUCGUCCGCUACGGAUGAGAUUGUCCCGAAGCAGAAUACAGAUCCGGGACGCACGGCGAUCUUGCUGUGGAAGGUGACGGCCAUUGAGCUAGCUUGGAUCGUCGACACACCCCCUACCUGGCGCGCCAGCUAUCGGUGUUUUGGGUCCGACCGCACACCCGGGGUUGCCCAUCAAGGUGUUUUUAGGAGUAGGACGGUGUCAACGACUGUAGCAAAAUGGUUCGUGCCGGUCGCACGAGGGACAAUGGACAAGAUUUGCAGGUUCGGGCCGCUUAGAAGUGCGUAACACCCUACGUCCUGGUGAGUAUAUGAGCGUGGUUACAAGAGGGUUCUCUGGAUAGAGGGCGCAGAGAGUUUAUGUGGGUGGCUAAGUAGAACAGGGUCCAUCCUCCUGAAGGGGUGCCCCCUAGGCCUUAUAUACUCGGCCGUGGAGCAGUACAUGUGAUAUGAUAACAACAAGUAGCUAAAAGAUAGUGAACCUCUUGAGUUUAUCCCUACGUAACCCUCGCCGACUUAUCCUCGCAUGGCUCUGUUGCAUGGGGGCUUCAGCGCGGGAAAGUCGGGUCUCUGUUGCGAUUCAUUCGUUCGACGUUGUGGGCCGUCUGGGUUUGCACUAAUCAGUCUCACGUCUUCUUUUCUUUGUUGGUUGUCUUUCCCUAGGCCCACGAAAGAAUGACCUUACAAAUUAUUGGGCCCUUGGGCCUUUCGUGAGGCCUUUUACUUCUUUAGUGGACCCAGGGGAUAUCUAUCCCCCACACAUGGUCCAAAGUUCGGCCUGGAUCGGAGCUGUUGGCAGUUGGGUGUCGGCCCAUUCAGCCAGGAAGUCAGCCAAGACUUGGGACUUUAUGGCCUUCUGAGGGGCGAAUGAGAGUGUUUCGCCCAUGAGUUCCACUGCCCACUUUGCUAUCCUACCCGAGGCCUCACGGCACUGGAUGAUCUCCCCCAGGGGGAAGGAUGACACCAUAGUCACCGGAUGAGACUCGAAGUAGUGUCGCAACAUUCACCGUGUCAGAAUUACUGCAUAUAGUAGCUUCUGAAUUUGUGGGUAGCAGAUCUUGGUCUCGGAUAGCACCUCGCUGAUGAAGUAGAUUGGCCUCUGGAUGAGCAGUGCAUGCCCUUCCUCUCGUCUCUCGACUACGAUCGUGGCACUGACCACCUGAGUGGUUGCGGCUACGUAGAUCAAGAGGGCUUCUCCCGCGGCGGGGGGCACCAAGAUGAGCGCAUUGGUAAGGAGUGCCUUAAGGUUUCUGAGGGCUUCCUCGGCCACAGGGGUCCAAGUGAAGCGCUCGGACUUCCUUAAAAGGCGGUACAAGGGCAAGCCUUUCUCGCCGAGGCGCGAGAUGAAGUGGCUCAGAGCCGCAAGGCAUCCCAUGACCCUUUGUACUCCAUUCAAAUCUUUGAUCGGUCCCAUGUUGGUGAUGGCCGCGAUUUUCUCCGGGUUGGCUUCGAUGCCUCGCUCGGAGACGACGAACCCCAGGAGCAUGCCUCGGGGGACUCUGAAGACACACUUCUCGGGAUUGAGUUUUACGCCUUUCGCUCUCAGACAUUUGAACAUCGUCUCAAGGUCAGAGAGGAGAUCGGAGGCUUUCUUCGUCUUGACAACGAUGUCAUCGACGUAAGCCUCAACCGUUUGGCCGAUGUGUUCUCCGAACACGUGGUUCAUGCACCUUUGGUAUGUUGCACCUGCAUUCCUCAAGCCAAAUGGCAUAGUAGUAUAACAAUACAUACCAAAAGGUGUGAUGAAAGAAGUCGCGAGCUGGUCGGACUCUUUCAUCUUGAUUUGGUGAUAACCUGAAUAGGCGUCGAGGAAUUACAGGGCUUCGCACCCAGCGGUGGAGUCCACAAUUUGGUCGAUGCGAGGCAGAGGGUAGGGAACCUUCGGACAUGCUUUGUUCAACCCGGUGUAGUCGAUGCACAUCCUCCACUUCCCACCAUUAUUUUUCACAAGCACAGGGUUAGCUAACCAUUCAGGAUGGAAUACCUCUUUGAUGAACCCUGCAGCAAUAGCUUGUGGACCUCCUCGCCUAUGGCCCUGCGCUUUUCUUCGUCGAAACGGCACAGAUGCUGCUUCACGGGUCGGGCUCCGGCUUGGAUGUCCAGUGAGUGCUCGGUGACAUCCCUCGGUAUGCCGGGCAUGUCCGAGGGACUCCACGCAAAAACUUCGGCGUUUGCGUGGAGAAAGUCGAUGAGCAUUGCUUCCUAUUUGGGGUUGAGCUCGGAGCCGAUCCUGACAUGCUUGCCAUCAUCGUUGCUGGGGUCGAGAGGAACGGAUUUAACCGCCUCAGCUGGCUCGAAGUUGCCGGCGUGUCGCUUCGCAUCUGGCCCCUCCUUGGAGAGGCACUCCGGGUCGGCGAUGAGGGCCUCGGACUCGGCGAGGGCCUCAGCGUACUCCACGCACUCCAUAUCGCAUUCGUACGCGUGUCGAUACGUGGAUCCGACGGUGAUGACCCCGUUGGGGCCCGACAUCUUGAGCUUGAGAUACGUGUAGUUGGGGACGACCAUGAACUUGGCGUAGCAUGGCCUUCCAGCACCGCGUGGUAGGUCCCUCGGAACCCGACCACCUCGAACGUGAGGGUUUCUCUUCGGAAGUUGGAAGGAGUCCCGAAGCAGAUGGGCAAAUCGACCUGUCCAAGGGGUAGGACACGCUUUCCGGGGACGAUCCCGUGAAAGGGCGCCGCGCUGGCCCGGAUCGUGGACAGAUCGAUUCCCAAGAGUCCUAGGGUCUCGGCGUAGAUGAUGUUGAGGCUGCUGCCUCCGUCCAUGAGGACCUUAGUGAGCUUAGCAUUGCCGAUGACAGGAUCGACAACCGCGGGUACCUUUCCUGGGCUCGGCACGCGGUUGGGGUGGUCGCCUUGGUCGAAGGUGUUGGGCUUGUCGAACUAGUCUAGGUAGACUGGCGCCGCCACCUUCACCGAGCAGACCUCUCGGCGCUCCUGCUUGCGGCGCCGAGCCUAGGCGUUCGCCACUUGCCCACCAUAGAUCAUGAAACAGCCGUGGAUCUCCGGGAACUCCUCUGCCUUGUCGCCCUCUUUCUUGUUGUUGUCUUGGCCAUUGCCAUCUUCCGGCGGGGGCCCAGCCUUAUGGAAGUAGCGCCGAAGCAUGACGCAUUCCUCAAGGGUGUGCUUGACGGGACCUUGGUGAUAGGGGCACGACUCCUUGAGCAUCUUGUCGAACAGGUUGGCCCCUCCGGGAGGCUUUCAAGGGUUCCUGUGCUCGGCAGCAGCGACAAGAUCAGCGUCAGCGGCGUCGCGCUUUGCUUGCAACUUCUUCUUGGCCUUCUUCUUCGUGCCCCGCUGGGCGGACGCCUCGGGGAUGUCUUCUAGCUGCCUCUCCUGAGGCUGCUUGUCCUUCCGGAAGAAUGCUUCGACCGCCUCCUAACCAGAGGCGAACUUGGUGGCGAUGUCCAUCAAUUCACUCGCCUUGGUGGGAGUCUUGCGCCCAGUUUGCUCACUAGAUCUCGGCAAAGUGGUGCCGGCGAGGAACGCCCCGAUAACAUCCGAGUCGGUGAUGUUGGGCAGCUCGGUGCGCUGCUUCGAAAACCGCCGGAUGUACUCUCGGAGGGACUCCCCUGGCUGCUGGCGGCAGCUUCGGAGAUCCCAGGAGUUCCUAGGGCGCACGUACGUGCCUUGGAAGUUUCCAGCGAAAGCCUUGACCAGGUCGUCCCAGUUGGAGAUCUGCGCGGGAGGCAGAUGCUCCAGCCAGGCCCGGGCGGCGUCGGAGAGGAACAGGGGGAGGUUGCGGAUGAUGAGGUUGUCGUCGUCCGUCCCUCCCAUCUGGCAGGCCAGCCGGUAGUCUGCAAGCCACAGCUCCGGCCUCAUCUCCCUCGAGUACUUGGUGAUAGUAGUGGGGGCUCAGAACCGGGCUGGAAAUGGUGCCCGUCGUAUGGCCUGGCUAAAAACUUGCGGACCUGGUGGCUUGGACGAUGGACUCCGUUCCUCCUCGCUGUCGUAGCAUCCUCCGCGCCUGGGGUGGUAGCCUCGGCGCACCUUCUCGUCGAGGCGGGCUCGACGGUCGCGACGGUGUUGCUCGUUGCCGAGGCGAUCCGGGGCCGCAGGCGUCCCGUCCCGCGUGCGCUCGGCGUGGGCCGAGGCCUCUCGUAUGCGUCGGGAGGACGUUGCGUGAUGCUCCGAGGGGCACCCUCGCCUUCGGGAAGCGGAGCUUUCGGCUUGUCGGACCACGACAUGCUCCAGGAGAUUCUUGAGUUUGCCCUGGAUACGCCGUCCCUCGGUGGUGGAUGGCUCCGGCAUCGUUCGGAGCAGCAUCGCUGCUGCAGCCAGGUUCUGGCCGGUCUCGCUGACGACCGGGGGCAGCGCUGCUCUGGCAUUGUCAACGAUACAGCGCUGGACGUCCUGGGUCCGACACACUUCUCCGACUAGUGCUUGGCCUGUCCACUCCUGCUCUAUGUUUUGCCGGAGCUGCACAAGUCGCCCUGCCUCCUCGUCGAGCUUGGCCUACAUCUCGCGGAUUUGCUCGAGCUGUAUGUCCUGACCCCCCGUAGGGACUGGGACCACAGCUAGCUCCCGCGGGAUGUCAACGCGAGACGCAGGCGCAGGGGGGUCAUUCUCCGGCAUACUGAGGUGGUUGCCUUCGUUGAGAUCCCCCAGAUCGACGUGGAAACAUUCGCGACUUGGGCCAUAACCCUCGUCGUCAAGGCUAUGGCUAUCAUCAGAGCAACCGGAGAGGUAGUAGUCACAUGCGGUCAUGAAGUCUCACAUGGCACUGGGAUCACGGAGCCUGGAGAAGUCCCAACCGGAGUUGGGACCAUUGUUUUCCUCGGAACCCGGGGGCCCGUAGGUUGAGACGGCCGCCAGUUGGUCCCAGGUUGACUACAUAUGGUACACCGGAGGGUUAGGAUAUGCCCUAACGAGAGCGCUCACCGAAGCGGAGUCGCUUGGUGGAUCAAAGCUGAAUCGAAAGGGCACGGGAUGGAAAACAGACGGUACCUCUUGGUCGAUGGACGGUGGUGAGGUCGCGUCGGGGACGGAGCGCACCGUCAUCUCAGGUACGAGGCUAACGCCCAGCAAGUCCUUCGCGAGGGUGCUGGCAUCGUCAGUCCGCUUGUCAUUGGCGCGUUGCGAGGAAGCGACACCCGUCGUUGUCUCAGGUGCGAGGACGACGCCCGGCGUGUCCCCCGCUGGGGUGCAGGUAUCGUCGACUCGCUCUGGAGCGACAAUCGACGAGGUGCUGCCUCUUGCCUGGCCACGGUUGCCCCGUCUCCUCCUCCUGCAGCGAGGAGGGUGGCGAGGCAAACCCGAAUGCUCCUCUUCCGCCACGGGGGGAAGACGCCGUCGAGUUCGCGGCCGCCGGGCGAGCCGACGACCGUCAUUGUUGUCGUGUCGCGAGGGGAGGAGUACCAUGUCGUAGCUGCCGUCGAGGGACAUGAACUCGAGACUCCCAAAGCGAAGCACCGUCCUGGGCUGAAGAGGUUGGUGAAGACUCCCCAUCUGGAACUCAACGGGAAAGAGUUCGUUAACACGCAGCAGGCCCCUACCUGGCGCGCCAACUGUCGGCGUUUCGGACCUAGGGGGUCCCUGGACCGACUAGUAAAUUUGUCGCUGCGUGCCCCUGCCCAGAUGGGUUGGUGCGAGAUGGAACACAAGGGGGGAAUGAGACUUGUAUUAUCCUGCACCAGGGUGCUUGUAGUAGGGGAUACAAGCGCGUCGCGAGGGAGAGAGAGAGGGAGCCUAUUCGUUAGCUCGUCCCUCCGCGCGAACCCUCCUCCAGGAAGGCCCUGGACCUCCCUUUUAUAGAUGCAAGGAGAGGGUCCAGAUGUACAAUGGGGGGUGUAGCUAGGUGCUAACGUGUCCGGCAGAGAGGUGCCUGAGCCCUGUGUACAUGCCAACGUGGCUGUCGGGGGAGAGCCUGAGCCCUGUAUGCGUGAUAAUGUGGCCGUUGGGGGAGAGCCUGAGCCCUGUAUGUGUGAUAACGUGGCCGUCGAAGAAAUGCCUGAGCCCUGUAUGAAGCAUAGCUGGCGGUGCGGCUGGGACCCUGCUGGUGUCUCCUUGCUGUCGUAAGGGGCUGAGAACCACCGACAUCAUGGUCGCACGCGGGGCACCAUCAUUACCCGUUGCCGGGGUAAGCUAUAUGGGACGUCGGUCUUGUCCCUUGUAGCCCGAGCUAGCUAGGAGCAGGGUAAUGAUGUUUCCCCUGUGGCGCGGUCGGUCCGAGCCCAAGUUCGGGCGAGGCGGAGACUUCUCCUGAGGCCGAGGCUGGGGUCGGGCGAGGACGCGAUUCCUCCCAAGGUCAAGGCAGAGUCCGAGUCUUGGGGUCGGGCGAGGCAGAGAUCUCCUCCCGAGGCCGGGGCCUGAGGUCGGGCGAGGCGGAGCUUCCUGUUGCGCCUGAGGCUGGUCUCGGCUGUUGUCAACCCCUCUCGCGUGGUUGGCACAGCAGUCGGAGCGGGGCGAACGACGCUGUUUUCCUGUCAAGUCUGUCAGUAAAGGGGGCGAAGUGACUGCGGUCACUUCGGCCCUGCCGACUGAGGCGCGUGUGUCAGGAUACGGAGUCAGGUGAUCCUCGCAUUGAAUGCGCCUGCGAAGCUGUCGGAUGGCGAGGCGGUUUGGCCAAGGUUGCUUCACAGCGAAGCCUGCCCGAGCCGGGCUUCGGGAGAGCCGAGGGUGUGCUCACUGCCUGAGGAGGCCCUCGGGCGAGGCGUGAAGUCAUCCGGGACUACUGUUCCCGCCCGAGGCUGGGUUCGGGCGAGAUCGCGCCAUUUGGGUAGACGAAGCCUUGACUUGAACCGUGCCCAUCAGUCCUUAUGGUUUGUCCUGAUGGUGUCUACCAGCCGUUUUUAGGAGUGUUGGGGGUACCCCUAAUUAUGGUACCCGACACAUUUAUAAGAGUAUGAUUCAAUCUUAUUUUCCAGUAUUAUCUAACAUGUUUGUCCAUUAGGAUAGAUCUGAUCAAAUUAGAUGGGAUUAGAAUUAAAUUGGUGUAAUCAGAUAAGAUCUACUUAAUUUAUUUUGGAAUAGAUCAUAUUUGUUACACUAUAAAGAGAUAAGCAAAGUGGUGGGGAUAAGUAUGCUUAUUUGAACAAUAUGAAUCUCUAAGAAUAGGAUAGAAUCUUUUGAGAUUAGUUAGAUCUUUUAGGAUAGGAUAGAAUCCUUUCAAGGAGAGAUGAGUCUAUUAAGGUAAGAGAGUAUCUUUUAAGAUAAGAGAAACUAUUAAGAUAAGAAAGAAUCUUUCAAGAUAAGAUUGAUCUAUUAAAUUAGAUACACUUUAAUGGAGAUUAAUCUAGUCUCAUGAAUUUUAUUUAUUAAAGAUUAUGCCUAUACGUAUAUGUAGAUUUAAUUGUGGGCGUUACUCCACAACUAAUCACACUCAAUCAAAGAUCCAAAUCAUGCAUGUAUCAUAAGAACAAACACUCAAGCGUAUAGAUACCCAUAAAAAUAGUUUUGUUUUUGUUCCUAAGAGUAGGUCUCCUAUUCCUAAAGGUCACUUUAGGCACGUGAUUUCAAAGUGUGAAAUCCACAUUUGUCUUUAGAAAGAAAAGGUAAGAACAAUCAGAGUAAAGCAGAAAUAGAUGAGAAAAGAUUAAGAUAAGUUUAGAAAAGAAUCAGAGUAAGGUAAGUAGGUAAGGGUUUGUCCAUUUCUAUCUAGGUUUUGUCCUACAGUCAACAUUUCCUCUGAUACCACUUCUGUAACACCCGGUUUCUAAGGGACAAAGCUGGGUGCAUCUCAUACAUGCGCCAAAGAAGACAACACAUAUAAUAAUAGAGUGUAUAGAGAUAAAUGUCACAAUAAUCAGAGUACUUAUUACAUAGCGGAAGACUUAAAAAAAUAAAAGAUAAAUAUAGCAAGAUCUAAAAUCCAUCCUUGGUGCCAGAAAGUCAACUAGGAGACGCAACCUAGAUCGAAUCGAACUCCUCGAUGCGUGGCUCCACUUGAACCACCUGUUCUUCUCCUGUGGGGGAGGGUGUGAGACAGCAAGGGUGAGCUCACACAUGUUCAUCGCUCAACAAGUUGUGGGGAAUAAUGUGGCAUGAACUCACCAAAGGUGGGAAUUCAUGUGAAGUGUAAGGCUGAUCAACAAAAUAAAGGUUGAAGCUGAGCAUUGCUUUUAUAAGUUGGUCAAAAUUUUAUUAGCAAUUACUAAGUAUAAGUAGAUACCAAACCAUAAUAAUAAUAGAACAAAAUUAAUAAAUAAUCCCAUGCAAAUGCAAAUGACAAUUUGAGUUUAAGUUCCAUAAAUUAAUCAUGUGAGGGUCCGAGCCGCUCAUGACUGUGAGCACGGCUAGUAUACCAGUUUUACACUCUGCAGAGGUUGCACAUCUUUACCCACAAGCCAUGUUACCCAUCUGCCAAGGGGUCAUGAAUCCCAUACACCUCUACCAAGGAAGUGAGGCAGGGUAACACUACGAGGCCUUUACAAAGUUCCACUAGCUUCAGAAAACCCGCUACAGUUUAUAGGAAGCUCCAGUGCAGGAAUCCCUCGCCUGACCGCCAUCGCAGCAAAAUCAACCCAAGUACCUUCCUACACUGACCACUCCCCUACUGCCCUUGCCCCUUUUGGGUAAGGUAGUCAUCCACUAGCUUUCCUAGUUAAUCAGCCAAGGGCGUCCCAUUAAACCCUUGUGGUAGCACUGUUUCCCCGGGUGGUCGCUCCAUGUUCCAAUUAACAUAAUGAUCUUAUCAUGAAUAUAAAUAACAUAACAGAAUAAUUGGAACAUGGAUAUAAUAAAAUAUUAAUCCCAAAAUCAUAUAGAGCAAUAGCAUAACGACCCAAGUGGUUCAGGGAUAAACAAGGUAAAAAGGAUAACCAAUCUAGGGUGACCUAUUGGGUCCCAUCAAAAGUAAACCUAUGCAUUGAAUAGUGAUAAUAAAGAAUAUUAUUGGGUAACUAAAGUGGAUCAAGGGCACAACUUACCUGGCACUUGAGAUUUCAGUUACUAGGGUGAUUCUUCAGAUCCUCGUGACUGCACUGCUAGUCGUAGCAAUACAAACAAACAUGGUAUAGAUAAAAUCAAUAUCACACCAAACAUGAGAACAAAUUAAAUAAUAAUGAUCUACGCGAAGCUACAAGAUCGUGGGAACGAGAACCACUAAAAUCGGAGUUACGAUUAAGGAGUUAUGAUCUAUAAAAGCUCUACGUAAUUUAAAUAUUAAACUUAUAUUAUAAAUUGGUUAGUAUAGUGUUGGGGACUUGUUCUCAAAUGCUAUGAAUUAAGAACAAGGCAACAUAGAAAAUAUUAAAUGUCAUAGUUCUUUGUCCUUCGAAGCAUUAUUUCCCUUGGGAUAUAAUGGAUUCCAGACGAAGGUUAUGAAGGUUAUACCUUCAUAAACACAACAAAUAAUGAGAAAGGGUAAAAAAUAUGUAAAAUAAUUUAAACACAUGAUUAUUAUUAUUAACUCAUUUCUAUUUCAUUAUUGUAGAAAUGAUAACAAGUUACAAAUGUACCUUCGGCUUGAAGGAAAGCAAAAAUACCAGCGUGAAGCAAAAACAAAUGCCCAAAGCGUGAUUACAGGAGAGCGCCUGAACAGUACAUGGGUACUAUUCACCUAUUUAUAGGCACAGUUCAUAGCUUGUAUAUAAUUACAUUUAUACCCUUUACACUGAACUACAAUAAUGACACAGAAUAUCAUGGGUCUUUAAGUCAUUUCAUCUUUAAGUCGGUUCACCCCUUCGUCUUGAGACAUGUCACUGUGCCGAAGCUUUAUAGUCGAUAGCUUCGGCGCUGCUUUGGAGAGGAUCUGCCGAAGGUGUUCAUUUCUUUAGGAUCUUCGGCUACGAAGCAUACCCCCAAUAGUAGCCCCUUCGCGGCGCUAGAUCGUUUUUUGUAACGAGCUUGAUCCGUGAAAAAUCUUCUAAGCUUCGGGAUGCCGAAGAUCCAAAAAACACCUUCCCUGAGCUCGUUGGCGAGAAACGAUUAAAAUAAUCGUCGGACGCGCGACCCAUCUUGCACCAAUUACACGCUCGCCAGCAAUUCACCUUCUCGAGCUAUGUGGCCCACCGUUCAGUGAGUGCGGGUGACUGUUUGUUCGGUGCUGGAGACCUUGCUGAUUCACCUUCCCACCUGCAGCACUAUAUAAACAGACGGGUAGAUGUGAAGUUACCACAUCAUUCAUUGCUAUUGUACUGUUUUGCUGCCAAAUUUUUAGUCAGAGCCGAAGCUUGAUCAUUGCGCUCAUACAAAAUCUGCUUUGGCGCAAGUGGAAGAGCUUCGGAAAAGACAAAAAAAAACCAAUUCAAAAAAUUUCAAGUAAGUCAUAAUCAAAUGGCCAGAGUUCGCUCUACUGCAAGAGUCGAUCGCGAGGGAGACGAAACCGAAGCUGUGGAAACUGUUCCUAUCUCGGAAGCAAUGAAGCGAUCUGGGUUGGUGGCACCAGAAGACGUCCCUGUUGCUGAAGCAGAGCAAGCAGAUAUUGAAGAGACCGAUUCUGAAGAUGAUUAAAACAUCGCAGUGCCGAGCAAGCCUAGCCACCUGGACUUCGGAAAGUCGACCAUCUCCAAAGCUGAUUUUCCUAAGAUGGUGAAGUCGGGCUACUUUAGCGAAGAUAAGAAAGAGCUGAUUCGCUUCUGUGGAGAAGAAACUACUCCGAAGCCACAGAAAGAUGAAAUAGUGAUUUUCAAGAGUUUCCUCAAAGUUGGUUUGAGAUUUCCUUUGAAUAGGAUGAUUGCCGAUGUGCUAAAGAAGUUUGGGAUCCACUUUCAUCAACUAACUCCUAACGCUAUUGUUAGGCUUAGUGUUUAUAUUUGGGCUCUCCGAAGCGAGGGGGUGGAACAGUUUGCCGAAGGUUUCUGCCGGGUGCACGAGCUACAUUACCAAACCAAGGUCAGAAAGGAUGGGUUACAUGAAAAUUUUGGUUGUUACAAUUUUGCCUAUCGGAAAACUACAAAAUUUCCUGUGAUUAGCUACCGAAGCAAGUGGCCGGCAGGCUGGAAAUCGGAAUGGUUCUACGUCAAAGUUGACGAUGACAAGGAGAAGCUGGUCCAGAGUCCGCUUGAACUGAUCUUCGGAGAAACCAGACCCCAAUGCAAUAUGACACCAGAAGGUCCAACCCAAACUGCGUUGGCUGAAUUCAGGAUUAUCGCAGAGCACAUUGGCACUAGAGAUUUAGUGCAAGAAUUUUUGGCUUUCAAAAUAUUUCCAACUAUGAAGGAAUGGGCUAUGCCGAAGCUUGAAAGAGAGAAGAAAGAGGGGGAGCUUGUCCGACUGCCCUACCACUAUAAGUUCAAGAAAUAUUUCAAAGCACCCUGUCAAGAAUGGCUCGAAACAAUCGAAGUAAUGAGCACUGAAAUUCUUGGGAAUUAUUCUAAAAAAGAGGAUCAAUUGAUGACAGCAGCCUUCGGCACCCGGCCGAAACGAAGGCUAAACAGAGUGCUUGAUGCUAUAGGCUUUGAAUAUCCUGAUUAUGAGCGACUUGACAAGGGUGCCGAAGGGCAGAAAAGGAAAAGAGUAGCCGACGCUUUGAUCAAAGACGGCGAAGAUCAAUCAAAAAAGAAGAAAGAAAAGUUUGAAUCGAAAGUGUUAACUUCGAAGAAAAGAAAGGACUCAAUCCCGGAACAAAAAUCAAUUGAUGAAGAAGAGAAGGCUUCUGCGACAUCUUCUUACGCUGAAAUAGAGGAAAUUCUAAAGGUAAUGACUGAAACUUUGCCUGUCAAACUAAGUCCAUUGGGGCUUCAUCUGACGAAGCUUUUUCAUAAUGAAAAGGAGCCCGCAAAGACAAAGGCAUCUAGGCCAAAAAGACAAAGGAUUGUUACCGUGACAGAAGUGAUUGAAACAACACCACCAAGAGCUCCAGCUCUGAAGAUGCCGUCAAUUGAAAUCAUGACAGCUACUGAAGCUGUACCUUCGGAGGCUGCCGCAGAAGAGGCCAGAGCCGAAGAUGCUAACUCCGAAGGUAUUAAUUUAGAGAGCAUAGCCGCUGAUAUAGAUAAAAUGCUGCUAAACAUGGCCGCUGAAGAAACUGCUGCAGCCACCGAAGAGACCACGGCUGCCAAACCCGAGAAAGAAGGAAUAACCGAAGAUACCUCGGAAGAUGAAACUUUUGACUUCCGAAACUUAGUUGGCCAGGAGCUGACUGAAGCUGAAAAAGAGGAAUUAAAAGAGUAUGCUAUAUCUUGUGGAUAUCGGCCGAGGUCGCUUCUCUUCGGUGGUAUUGAUGAUGAAGGGUUAGGCUGCAUACGAGACCAAACCGGUGCGAAAGUUGUCGGUACUUUAUCAAAGAGUAUCGGCUUCCCGAAGCUUGAAGCGGAUAUCAGCCGCUAUCGUCGACAACAUAUUGUCGGCAGUUUAUUCUAUUCUAAUUUCAAGGUAAACAUUUUGUGUCUAACUCUUAUUACUUGUGGUACGAAAAUAUUUUCUAACGAAGGCUAUUUGUCCACAGAGCAUACUUUUGAGCAAGGCAUUAAAAAUGCAACAAGACUUAGAGGAUAAAAGACAAGAAGUUAUAAUUGAAAAUUUAGAUAACAAAAUAAAGGAGCAAUCUGCUGCCAUUGAGAAGAAAGACCUCGAGCUACAAACACCCGAAGGUUUAUUAGUUGAUGCUGAAACAAAAAUAACAGAAUUAAAAGCGAAGCUUCUUUCCCAGUCAGAAAAUUUUGAACAAGAGAAACUGAAUCUUGAUGCAAAGCUUGAAGCCGAAGCUCAGAGAAACUUGGAACUGAAAGAAUCUUUGAAAAAUCGUCAAAAUAAACGUUUGGAGUUCUGCACUCGAUGCAUUCAUCAGUUAAAGCAAGUGUUCCAUUUUGUCGGAGCCAGUAGUGAAGAGUUUACUCCUUCGGCCGAAGACCUGUCUGGUGCCUUCGAGCAUAUUGAAGGUGAAAUUAAUGAUCUUGACGAAGUUAUAGCUGGGCAUAGCGACUUCUGUGCCCUGGCAGCUUCUCGGGGCACAUCCGUUGCUUUUUUGAAGUCUGACUAUGAACACGGCAAGAUUGUUAAUAGACCCAACUUCAGCCUGUCACCGGCAGACCUAGAUGAUGUUCCCAAUCUGGCUCGGAGUAUUGCAAAUAGAUUUAUAAAGUUAGUAUGGACAAAGGGUGGUCGGAGCAAAGCUAGUGACGAAGCUCGGAGCCACCUCAAGCUGGUAACAAAAUCAUACCUUAUGCUUACCUUUUCCUUUGAAUUUUUGAAUUUGGCUUAUAAUACUUUCGUACAGAUUGACCAGGCCGAAGCUGCAGCUGCAGAGUAGAAGAACGAAGCUCCAGAGAUAGUGUCGAAGCUUGAAUAAUCUUGUAAAAGUAGCUCAAAAAACUCGUGUAAUAACUUGUAUAAAAUAUGAUGUAAUCUGAAUUUUACUUUGUAAUAUAAUCUUACUUUUCUGUCCAUGUAUGAAAUGCUUUGGUGUGGACGAAAUUAAUACUUUUGAGCCAUAGGCGAAAAACACCUUCCCUUCUUUGCGUACACAGCGAAGCAUAAAAUUGCCUUCCUUUCGGGACCGAAGCAUGUUUGUAUGUUAUGCUGAUGAUGAUCCUAUGUAUGUCUAAGUGAAUGUUUAUGAAUGCAAAUGUCAUGAUGUAAUGUAUCGUGCAAAUGAAUGUUCAAAUACAUAUUCGAAACCAUAUUCCCUUGGGAAUGACUCAAAUUUUCUUUGCCGCUUAUUUUUCGGCUUCACCGUUUAUUUUUCGGUGUAUCAGCGCUGACUUUUCGUUGUAAGCCUCCCUUAGGAGCUUCUUCGCUUUUUACUUCGGCGGAAUUAGCGUUGACUUUUCGUUGUAAGCCUCCCUUAGGAGCUUCUUCGCCUUUUACUUCGGCGGAAUCAGCGUUGACUUUUCGCUGUAAGUUCUGCAUUUCCUUGGGAACGACUUUUGAGCUUCUCCUUGUUUCCUUUUCUUUUUUCUUUGCACUCGAUGGUGCUUCCUCAGCUUUUACAUUUACAUUUUGGGGGAUUUUGCUCUUAUAGAGCUGAAGUAAAAAAAAGAAAUUACAUGCUAUGGCCCCAUUAAAAACCUUUCUCCCCCUUUGGAAAGGAAAAAGGUGCCAUUAAAAAAGAAUAUAAAAAAUUACAUCAAGCUAGACAUAAUAUCGCCAAAGCUCAUCCGCAUUCCAUGAUCUAGGAAUGUCGUUGUUGUCCAUAUCCUUCAAUCUGUAGGAACCGGAUCUUGACGAAGAUACUACCAGAAAAGGUCCUUCCCACUUCAGCUGUAGCUUGCCUACUGUGUCUGGGUUGGCGACUCUUCGAAGUACUAAAUGUCCUGGCUUAAUAUUUUUAAGCCGAACCUUUCUGUCAUGCCAUUUUAUUGUUUCGGCUUGAUAUUUGUUGAUAUUUUCUACAGCUUGAAGCCUGAUCCCUUCUAUAGCAUCUUUUUCCACAGAGUAAUCAGCUUUAGCUUCGUCUUCUGCCAAAGCUACUAUUCUUAUUGAACCUGCUUUUGCUUCUUCCGGAAUUAUUGCUUCGUCACCAAACAACAAUUUGAAUGGUGUAAAACCUGUUGAUCUUGAUAUUGUUGUGUUGUGGCUCCACGCCACUUUGAUUAAUUCAUCUGGCCACUUUCCCCUGGGCUGAUUGAAGAUUAACUUCAUUAUUCCUGUCAUUAUGAUGCCAUUAGCCCUUUCAACGAGUCCAUUUGACUCCGGAUGCCGAACUGAUGCGAAAUGAAUCUUCGUGCCAAUUUGUUCACAAAACUCUCUGAAAGCUUCGGAAUCAAACUGCGUUCCAUUGUCCACAGUGAUGGCCUUCGACACUCCGAAGCGACAGACAAUAUUUUGCCAAAAAAACUUUUGAAUAGUAACCAAAGUUAUUGUGGCUAGAGGCUUUGCCUCAAUCCAUUUAGAAAAAUAUUCCACUGCCACCACAACAUAUCUUAAGUUCCCUUGUGCUGGUGGUAGCGGACCUAACAAAUCAAGACCCCACCUUUGCAAUGGCCAAGUGGGUUGUAUUAACUGAGUUAGAGACGAAGGUUGUUUUUGAUCUCUUGCACAUUUCUGACAACCUUCGCACUUUUGGACUAAUUCUGCUGCAUCCGAAGCUGCCUUUGGCCAAUAAAAUCCUUGACAAAAAACUUUUCCCAGCAAAGGCCUAGAUCCAAUGUGAGAUUCACACAGGCCUGCGUGUAUUUCCUUCAUCAAUUCUAUACCUUCGGCUCUGGAUAAACAUUUGAGUAGUGGAGAGCAGACCCCAUGCUUGUACAACUCCCCUUCUAUUAUGACAUAUGGUCGAGCUCUUGCCUCUAUUCUUUUGUUAUAAGCUUCAUCAUCUGAAAGAAAGUUACCCUGAAGGAAAGAGAUGAUCUUCAGUUCUCCAAUCUUCACUAUAAACAGGAGAUAUAUUGAGGACUGCUCUUUCAAGAAGUUCAACCGAAGGUGCUUUUAUUGUUUCAAAAAAUACUUCCGAAGGUAAAGGCAGCCCCUGUGCUGCUGACUUGGCUAGCAAAUCAGCAUGUUCAUUUUCUCCUCGAGGGAUAUUUCUGACAGAAAAUCCUUCAAAGGAAGCUUCGAUCCUUCGAACCGUGUCUAAUUAUUUCUCCAGCUUCGGGUCUCUUGCUUUGCAACUUUUGUGAAUAUGACCAGAAAUAACCUGGGAAUCAGUUUUAAGGAUGGCUCUUCUAAUUCCCAUUGCCUUUAACUUCUGAAGACCCAAAAGCAAAGCUUCGUACUCAGCAAUGUUAUUUGUGCAGCUGAAAUCAAGCCUUGCUGCAUAGCAAGUUUUGACUUUGGAGGGUGCGACCAAUACAGCGGCUGCUUCUGCCCCGUAGGUUCCCCAAGAACCGUCGCAGAAUAUUGUCCAGACUUCGACAUCUUUACUCGCUUCCUCUUCCUAAUUAUGAGCGACUUGACAAGGGUGCCGAAGGGCAGAAAAGGAAAAGAGUAGCCGGCGCUUUGAUCAAUGACGACGAAGAUCAAUAAAAAAAAAGAAAGAAAAGUUUGAAUUGAAAGUGUUAACUUCGAAGAAAAGAAAGGACUCAAUCCCAGAACAAAAAUCAAUUGAUGAAGAAGAGAAGGCUUCUGCGACAUCUUCUUUAUGCUGAAAUAGAGGAAAUUCUAAAGGUAAUGACUGAAACUUUGCCUGUCAAACUAAGUCCAUUGGGGCUUCAUCUGACAAAGCUUUUUCAUAAUGAAAAGGAGCCCGCAAAGACAAAGGCAUCUAGGCCAAAAAGACAAAGGAUUGUUACCGUGACAGAAGUGAUUGAAACAAAACCACCAAGAGCUCCAGCUCUGAAGAUGUCGGCAAUUGAAAUCAUGACAGCUACUGAAGCUGUACCUUCGGAGGCUGCCGCAGAAGAGGCCAAAGCCAAAGAUGCUAACUCCGAAGGUAUUAAUUUAGAGAGCAUAGCCGCUGAUAUAGAUAAAAUGCUGCUAAACAUGGCCGUUGAAGAAACUGCUGUAGCCACCGAAGAGACCACGACUGCCAAACCCGAGAAAGAAGGAAUAACCGAAGAUACCUCGGAAGAUGAAACUUUUGACUUCCGAAACUUAGUUGGCCAGGAGCUGACUAAAGCUGAAAAAGAGGAAUUAAAAGAGUAUGCUAUAUCUUGUGGAUAUCGGCCGGGGUCGCUUCUCUUUAGUGGUAUUGAUGAUGAAGGGUUAGGCUGCAUACGAGACCAAAUCGGUGCGAAAGUUGUCGGUACUUUAUCAAAGAGUAUCGGCUUCCCGAAGCUUGAAGCGGAUAUCAGCCGCUACCGUCGACAACAUAUUGUCGCCAAUGUUGGGGACUUGUUCUCAAAUGCUAUGAAUUAAGAACAAGGCAACAUAGAAAUUGUUAAAUGUCAUAGUUCUUCGUCCUUCGAAGCAUUAUUUCCCUUAGGAUAUAAUGGAUUCCGGACAAAGGUUAUGAAGGUUAUACCUUCAUAAACACAACAAAUAAUGAGAAAGGGUAAAAAAUAUGUAAAAUAAUUUAAACACAUGAUUAUUAUUAUUAACUCAUUUCUAUUUCAUUAUUGUAGAAAUGAUAACAAGUUACAAAUGUACCUUCGGCUUGAAGGAAAGCAAAAAUACCAGCGUGAAGCAAAAACAAAUGCCCAAAGCGUGAUUACAGGAGAGUGCCUCAACAGUACAGGGGUAUUGUUCACCUAUUUAUAGGCACAGUUCACAGCCUGUAUAUAAUUACAUUUAUACCCUUUACACUAAACUACAAUAAUGACACAGAAUAUCAUGGGUCUUUAAGUCAUUUCAUCUUUAAGUCGGUUCACCCCUUCGUCUUGAGACAUGUCACUGUGUCGAAGCUUUAUAGUCGAUAGCUUCGGCGCUGCUUUGGAGAGGAUCUGCCGAAGGUGUUCAUUUCUUUAGGAUCUUCGGCUACGAAGCAUACCCCCAACAGUAGCCCCUUCACGGCGCUAGAUCGUUUUUUGUAAUGAGCUUGAUACGUGAAAAAUCUUCUAAGCUUCGGGAUGCCGAAGAUCCAAAAAACACCUUCCCUGAGCUCGUUGGCGAGAAACGAUUAAAAUAAACGUCGGACGCGCGACCCAUCUUGCACCAAUUACACGCUCGCCAGCGAUUCACCUUCUCGAGCUAUGUGGCCCACCGUUCAGUGAGUGCGGGUGACUGUUUGUUCGGUGCUGGAGACCUUGCCGAUUCACCUUCCCACCUGCAGCACUAUAUAAACAGACGGGUAGAUGUGAAGUUACCACAUCAUUCAUUGCUAUUGUACUGUUUUGCUGCCAAAUUUUUAGUCAGAGCCGAAGCUUGAUCAUUGCGCUCAUACAAAAUCUGCUUCGGCGCAAGUGGAAGAGCUUCGGAAAAGACAAAAAAAAACCAAUUCAAAAAAUUUCAAGUAAGUCAUAAUCAAAUGGCCAGAGUUCGCUCUACUGCAAGAGUCGAUCGCGAGGGAGACGAAACCGAAGCUGUGGAAACUGUUCCUAUCUCGGAAGCAAUGAAGCGAUCUGGGUUGGUGGCACCGGAAGACGUCCCUGUUGCUGAAGCAGAGCAAGCAGAUAUUGAAGAGACUGAUUCUGAAGAUGAUUAAAACAUCGCAGUGCCGAGCAAGCCUAGCCACCUGGACUUCGGAAAGUCGACCAUCUCCAAAGCUGAUUUUCCUAAGAUGGUGAAGUCGGGCUACUUUAGCGAAGAUGAGAAAGAGCUGAUUCGCUUCGGUGGAGAAGAAACUACUCCGAAGUCACAGAAAGAUGAAAUAGUGAUUUUCAAGAGUUUCCUCAAAGUUGGUUUGAGAUUUCCUUUGAAUAGGAUGAUUGCCGAUGUGCUAAAGAAGUUUGGGAUCCACUUUCAUAAACUAACUCCUAACGCUAUUGUUAGGCUUAGUGUUUAUAUUUGGGCUCUCCGAAGCCAGGGGUGGAACCGUUUGCCGAAGGUUUCUGCCGGGUGCACGAGCUACAUUACCAAACCAAGGCCAGAAAGGAUGGGUUACAUGAAAAUUUUGGUUGUUACAAUUUUGCCUAUCGGAAAACUACAAAAUUUCCUGUGAUUAGCUACCGAAGCAAGUGGCCGGCAGGCUGGAAAUCGGAAUGGUUCUACGUCAAAGUUGACGAUGACAAGGAGAAGCUGGUCCAGAGUCCGCUUGAACUGAUCUUCGGAGAAACCAGACCCCAAUGCAAUAUGACACCAGAAGGUCCAACCCAAACUGCGUUGGCUGAAUUCAGGAUUAUCGCAGAGCACAUUGGCACUAGAGAUUUAGUGCAGGAAUUUCUGGCUUUCAAAAUAUUUCCAACUAUGAAGGAAUGGGCUAUGCCGAAGCUUGAAAGAGAGAAGAAAGAGGGGGAGCUUGUCCGACUGCCCUACCACUAUAAGUUCAAGAAAUAUUUCAAAGCACCCUGCCAAGAAUGGCUCGAAACAAUCGAAGUAAUGAGCACUGAAAUUCUUGGGAAUUAUUCUAAAAAAGAGGAUCAAUUGAUGACAGCAGCCUUCGGCACCCGGUCGAAAUGAAAGCUAAACAGAGUGCUUGAUGCUAUAGGCUUUGAAUAUCCUGAUUAUGAGCGACUUGACAAGGGUGCCGAAGGGCAGAAAAGGAAAAGAGUAGCUGGCGCUUUGAUCAAAGACGACGAAGAUCAAUCAAAAAAGAAGAAAGAAAAGUUUGAAUCGAAACUGUUAACUUCGAAGAAAAGAAAGGACUCAAUCCCGGAACAAAAAUCAAUUGAUGAAGAAGAGAAGGCUUCUGCGACAUCUUCUGAUGCUGAAAUAGAGGAAAUUCUAAAGGUAAUGACUGAAACUUUGCCUGUCAAACUAAGUCCAUUUGGGCUUCAUCUGACGAAGCUUUUUCAUAAUGAAAAGGAGCCCGCAAAGACAAAGGCAUCUAGGCCAAAAAGACAAAGGAUUGUUACCGUGACAGAAGUGAUUGAAACACCACCACCAAGAGCUCCAGCUCUGAAGAUGCCGGCAAUUGAAAUCAUGACAACUACUGAAGUUGUACCUUCAUUGUGUGGGUAAUCCUUGAGCUGAAGAUCCUCUUGAGAGAAGGUAAUUGGAAUGUGAGACCAUCUUGACUUGAUGAAGGGUCCUUGUACCCCUACAUGUUGUACUCUUCUCUGUGCCUCCUUCUUCUGUUUCUUGUUAGCCGGCUCUAAGCAUGAACCGCCUAUUAUCGGGAGAAUCAGCUUCGGAGCCAAAGCAAUUCCAGCUUGGUUCUUGAACGAAGCCAUUGUCUCAAGAAAGUGGAAGUGAGUUCACCGGAGGUGGGCACCAAUGUUGGGGACUUGUUCUCAAAUGCUAUGAAUUAAGAACAAGGCAACAUAGAAAUUGUUAAAUGUCAUAGUUCUUCGUCCUUCGAAGCAUUAUUUCCCUUGGGAUAUAAUGGAUUCCGGACAAAGGUUAUGAAGGUUAUACCUUCAUAAACACAACAAAUAAUGAGAAAGGGUAAAAAAUAUGUAAAAUAAUUUAAACACAUGAUUAUUAUUAUUAACUCAUUUCUAUUUCAUUAUUGUAGAAAUGAUAACAAGUUACAAAUGUACCUUCGGCUUGAAGGAAAGCAAAAAUACCAGCGUGAAGCAAAAACAAAUGCCCAAAGCGUGAUUACAGGAGAGCGCCUGAACAGUACAGGGGUACUGUUCACCUAUUUAUAGGCACAGUUCACAGCCUAUAUAUAAUUACAUUUAUACCCUUUACACCGAACUACAAUAAUGACACAGAAUAUCAUGGGUCUUUAAGUCAUUUCAUCUUUAAGUCGGUUCACCCCUUCGUCUUGAGACAUGUCACUGUGCCGAAGCUUUAUAGUCGAUAGCUUCGGCGCUGCUUUGGAGAGGAUCUGCCGAAGGUGUUCAUUUCUUUAGGAUCUUCGGCUACGAAGCAUACCCCCAACAUAUAGAUCAUAUGAGAAAUUAUUCUAUAAAUAAUUAUCUCAACUUUAAUCUAAGUCAUUAUUUUAUUAAAGCUUAUCUAGUUAAAUUAUAACCAUAAAAUUAGAAUACUAUAUUAAUAUUAAAUAAUUUAAUCUAAUAGACAUAGAUUAACCCAAUUAUAAUGUAUGGAAUAUCAUAUAAUAAAUGUUGCUAUUGUUUAGUAGAUAUUUAUAUGAAGCUAACGCAAUUGGAACGAGCUAAAUCGGAUUUAAAACGGAGGAGUUACGAAUUUCCUAAGGUUUAUGUAUUUUGCACAAGAUUAAAUAGGAUAUAAAUUUUAAUGUGACUUUCAUGUGAAAACAUGGUACUAGAUGAUAAACCGUAAUAUUACAAAAUUAUAGGAACUGGAAUGGAUUAAAAAGGAGUUAAAAUGUAUUUUCUAGGAAUUAAACAAAUUUAUGGAAUUAAUUUUGCAUUAAAAACCUUUUUCUAAAUGAAUUUCUCUGUUUUCCUAGAGGUCUGGACUGCGCGCAUGAUUAAACAGAAACCCAGGGUCUAUUGCAUAAAACGUCUAAUACUCAGGCAUACGGUCAAUGGACUGCGGGUUUAAUAAGAAGGAUUCCAGGGUCUCUUUUAAAAGACGGCCAGGGUUGAAGGGGUAUGGUUCAAUCCUGACCGUCCGAUCUAGCAUGAACGUCCCAGAUUAGAUCGCGAUUCCAGUGAACCGGUAUGCAACAAGGGACGUCAGAUCGCGGAUGAAGGUUCUGGAUUUAAAAUGUCUUGAUCAAACCGUACACGCCCGAUCGAGAUCCAAUGGUCAGAUUAGGACGCGUGAAGGGGUAUGCGCUGGUGUGAUCUCGACCGUCGAUGCCCGGACCAAUGGUCCAAAGCGCAUCGCUACACUUCUCCCCUAUCUCGACCACCAGAGCGGCCGCGCCGCCCAGGGAGCACGACGGAGGAUCGCUGGCGACACUCGAUUUGGCGCAACCGAGCCGGUGCCACAACACAACUAAGUGCUAAACGAACUAGGGCGUGCAACGAAUCGAAUGAGCUGGUCCUUACCCCAGAUUGGAGAGCCACGGAUGCAGUCCACGGCGGCUUGCGGCACGAUGGCGGAGAAGGAAGCUCGACGCCCAAUUCUGGCAACCCAGGCCGAUGACCCGAUCCGCGCGGUCCAUGGAUACGCUCCUUGACACCCGGUGACCGUCCCUGAGCUAGUCGCAGAACCGCGACCGCCGCAAGGAUCAAGAUUUGAUGCCGGCGGCAAUCCUCCCGAUGGCCGCCCCUCUCGGAUUUCUCACGGUGGGUGACGCUAAGGCGAUAGUGUGCAUAGACGGAUGGAAGAAAAGGAGAAGUGGACGACGCGCUAGACAUUAUAUGCCCAAGGUGAGUCUGUUGAGGCGUACGCUGGUGGCGAGAUUAACGGCGGGUCGUUAGGGAGGCCCUGACCAUGGUGGCGUGGGUGAGGUCCUACAGUUGUGUGCAGUUGCGAGGCGGCAGGCGGGAUCGGGUUAGGGUUGAUUGCGCCCGGUCAGCUGAAAUUGUGCGCGCCAGCGGAGAUCAGGCGCGGCGAGAUCCAGAACCGCGGAGUGUGUGGCGGUGAAAUCGCGUUCUAUUUGAGGUAGGGGAACGAGCUGACGACUGGGCCCACAUGAAAGUGAAACGGGAGCGUGCAAUGAGGAUGGCGAGCGGGUCCCACUGGACAGCCAGAGGACUUGCUGAACGCGCGAUAGGAAGCGAGACUUGCCAAAGGGGCCCGCAGUGUCGGUCUCGCGAUGAUGGCGUGCGCACGUUAGCGUGGCGCCCGGGCCCACACUUCAGCGACCCAAGUGGUGUGCAUGCUGAGAGGGCGACUGGCAUUCCAGGACCACCCGUCGGCACCGUGACCUGGAGUUGGGCUAUGCGGAGAGGGAAUUGCUAGGUAUGAAUUUCCGAAGUUUUAAGUGUUAGAUUAAAAGAAACUAAGUGCAUAAUUUAAUCUAAGUUUCAUAACAAAGUAAAUUUACUGGAUAAUAAACAAUAUUAAUAUGAGUCUAAUGCAACUUGAAUAAAUUAAUUCGGAGCUAAAAUGAAUUAAAUAUGAAUUAUACAAGUUUCUAGAUUUAUUUUUGUAUUAAAAAUAAAUUUCUACAUUUAAUUAACUAAUUUCUUUGAGCUUUGGACAGGGCGCCAAAAACAGAUAAGCAUGGGGUCUAUCUCAUAAAAAUUCCUAAGACUCAGUGUUUCAUCAGCGAGACUGCGGGUUAUUUUUGAAUAAGCCCAGGGGCUCUUCAUCAAAUUACCACGGUGUAAGUGCAAUCAACCCUGACUGAGGGUUUUGGUGAUUAAAUGACAAAACAAACAAAGUCUCUAACAAGUUUGCUCCUAGUAUGUAUUAAAGACAGGAGGCGCACAGAUUCCAUAUGUACACAAAAGGGAAAGCACAGCGGAUUAAAAAAUCUACAUCAUAUGGCGUGAUUCGAGUGCUUGUGAACAACGACAGUCUAAAUUUUACAAUUCUUGAAUAAUAGGAAUCACCGUUCAAUUAAGAGGGAUCCGCAAAAUUUGAGUAAGUUGUUGUGAUGAGCUCAGCCUAAAUCUCCUCAAAAUCCUCUAAGGCCCUGUUUGGCAUAGCUGCUGCUUGUUAAAAAAGCAGCUUAUCUGAUAAGCUGGUGAAAAGCAGCUUCUGCUUGUUGGCUACUUUUAGUGUAUUAUGAGAAGCAGCUGAACUGAUAAGCUGCUGCAGAAGCUAGCUGUUUGGCAGAACUUCUGCUUAAAUUUGUGAAGAAGCAGAAAAUAAGCUAUGCCAAACAGGGCCUAAGAAAACAUUUAUUUAGAUCAUGAAUGCUCUUGGAAAAACUACUUUUAUUCCCCACCCAGACUUCCCCAAGGUUCUGUUUAGUUUUCCAAAAACCAGCUUAGCCAGUUUGAAAACCAGCUCAGCCAGUUUUUGAAAACCAGCUCAGCCAGUUUGAAAACCAGCUCGCCGGUUUUUGUACUGUUCACUUUUUUCCAGUCAGUCUGUGAGUCUGCUGUGUCAGCCAAAAGCAGUGCAUAGCUUUUUGAAAAACCGGUUCAACCGUUUUUCGGACCGGCUCAACCGAUUUUGACUCCGGUCCACCUACCAGCUAAGCCAAUCACUGAACCGAGAAACACUCUAGCAGAAAUCGGCUCAACCGGUUUUUAGGACCCGCUCAACCGGUUUUUGGUAAGAAGAGUCCAACAACCACCAGCUUUUGGGGGCUCCUUUAUAUACCCCUUUCACUCUCUCGCUUCAUUCGCUUCUGCCCAUCCACGAAUUCUUGGAUGACUUACACUCAAACAAGAGCAUUAACUCCACCUCUCACACCCAAAAUCGCAUCUCCUUCAAUUGAUUGAAGGACCCUUGGUGUGAGGUAAAGUUUGUCUAACUCGUUGGUGAUUUCAUCUCUAUUCUCCCUUUCUCUUCAUCUGUUGAGCUCAUUGCAAACGUGAAUCUUGUGCGGAUUUGUUACUCAUGGUACCUUGUGUUCCUUGACAUAUGGAGGUUGCUUGGGAGUCUCCAAAUUUGUGGACGACCCCAAGAAGUUUGUAUCACCCGCUCGUUGAGCUAAGUUAAGAAAAGAUUGCCUUGACCUUGGUGGUCGGCUUGUGAAGGAUUAGGGUUCGAAAAGACCCGGCUCUUUGUGGGCUCCUCAACGAGGAGUAGGACACCUUUGUUGUGGUUGCCGAACCUUGGGUUAAAUCGUAUGUUCUUGGUGUGUUCUUGAGAAGUGUUUUAAAUUGUUGGUUAGUUUAGAUUUGGUUAUAUUGUGUUUGAAUCUUGUGGAACCGGUCCACAUCAAUUUGUCACACAUUCGAGUGGAUCUUCUCUAGGGCAAGUCAUAAGAAAGAAUCUCUCAUUACUUCAUGCUAUUUGUUUAACUAUUUAUCUAAUCUAAGUUGAGCAGGUUCAAACUUGUUUAGUUGUGAAUAAUACCACCUGAACCAGUUUGCACUAGUGCAACUUGAAAUUUGACAUUAUCUCAAAGUUUUUGUUGAGAAAUUUUAGGUGUAGCCUAUUCACCCCCCUCUAGGCUACUUUCAAUUGGUAUCAAAGCUUCGUGCCUUAUUUUACGCUUUACCGCGUGAGGUUGCGAUCAUGUCUACGCAAAGGGACCAUGUGGAUCCUCUUCUCGGGGAAAUCCCUACCACCUCCACUGGUGAGGAAAUGGACCCCAAGGUCCUCGACCUCGCCAUGAAUAUUGCGGAGAAAAUGUUCCUCAAAAUGAAAGAGGAAGAUGCAAAGAAAAAGGCCGAAGAAGAAGAAACAAGACGAAAGGCCGAAGAAUACAGAGGAAAAGGAAAAAUUGAAUACAAUGAUGACUUGGUAGAACUUUUGGUGUUAAGGGCGACGAGCUAGGUAAGUCUCAACACCGAAGGGUCAUCGACCAAAAGUAAAGGUACCAAAUUCAAUAAAGUACAAUUUGAUUAUUCUAGAAAUUUUAUUCCCAACUUCUCUUCGGCUCCACUUGGAAAGUUACCAACUCUCAGUGAGUUGAACUAUGACGAGUGGGCCGAUAAGAUGAAGUCGCAUUUAAUUAGUGUGCAUUCUAGUAUUUGGGAGAUUGUUAAUAUAGGUAUGCAUAAGCCUACCCAAGUAGAAGAGAUGACAUCAGAAAUGAUGCAUGAGGUGCAUCGCAAUGCUCAAGCUGUGAGCAUAAUGAAAGGAAGUAUUUGUCCGGAAGAGUACCGGAAAGUCCAAGGAAGGGAAGAUGCACGUGACAUUUGGAAUAUUUUGAAAAUGCCACAUGAAGGAGAUCCCAAAGCUAAAAUACACAGAAUUGAAGCUUUGGAAAGCGAACUUGCAAGAUAUGAUUGGUCUAAGGGCGAAUCUCUUUAAUCACUCUUUGACCGGUUAAUGGUACUGGUCAACAAAAUAAAAGUGCUAGGUAGUGAAGAUUGGAGUGACUCGAAGGUCACUAGGCUAUCCAUGAGAGCCUAUAAAGAAAAGGACAAGAGUUUAGCAAGAAUGAUAAUAGAUCAUGAUGAUUAUGAGGAGAUGACUCCUCAUCAACUAUUUGCCAAAAUUCAACAACAUGAGUCCGAAGAAGCCCUAAUCAAGAUAAGAGACUCACAUGCCUUGAUUUCAAAUGAGCAAGAUUCUUCCAAGAAAAGCAGAGACCACAAGUCAAAGAAAGUGGUUGAAACAUCAAGUGAUGAAGAGAGUUCAAGUGAUGAGGACACUGCUAUGUUCAUCAAAACCUUCAAGAAGUUUGUAAGGAAAAAUGACAAGUACCAGAGAAAAGGGAAGAAGAUGGCAUGCUAUGAAUGUGGCCAGACCGAUCAUUUCAUAGUGGACUGUCCAAACAAAAAGGAACAAGAUGCUAGGAAGGAUUACAAAAGGGACAAGUUGAAGAAGGGAGGCAAGAACAAGGGAUACUUCAAGAAGAAGAAGUAUGGCCAAGCUCCAUAGGUGAAUAAUGGAACUCCGACGAAGAGAGUUCAAGCUCGGAGGAAGAGGAAGAGGAAGAGGUGGCCAAUAUCGCCAUUCAAUCCACCUCGACCUCGCAACUCUUCACCAACCUCUCUAACGACUCCUACACUCCCACUUGCCUCAUGGGAAAAGGAGAUAAGGUAACCUUAUUUAAUGAUUAUUUUACUAAUGAUGAUGAUGAACAACUUGCUAUGAAAAAUAAAAUGAUUAAAGAAUUUGGCUUAAAUGGAUACAAUGUAAUCACUAAACUAAUGGAGAAGCUAGAUAAAAGAAAAGCAACCCUUGAUGCUCAAGAAGACUUGCUCAUCCUUGAAAAGGAGAGAAACCUAGAGCUUCAAGAAUUGCUAUCCAAUAAAGAUGAGAUGCUCGAAGUAUUGACUAAGGAAAUUUCUUUAGUCAAAAUAACUAUAGAGGAUAAAGAGAAAGAAAUGGCUAUUGCAAAAACCUCUAUAGUUAGUGUUGCAAAUGAAAAGGAUGCACUUGAAUCAAGCUUAUUAAGCUUAACAGUUCCAAAUCAAGAACUCCAAGUGCAACUUGAAAGUUGCAAGAACUUCAACACUUCAUCUUUAGUGGCAUAUUCUAAGGCUAGCUCCUGAAAAAGUAAUAUUUGCAAACAUUGUACAAAAUAUCAUGCUUCUUGUUGCUUGACUAACCAUGCAAGGAAGGACAACCCAAAGGUUAAAGUCAAGGAAAUAUUGAAGAAAUGCUCUAGCAAUGAUGGGUUAAAGAAAGUUGAAUCCAAGUACAAAUCCUUGAAGCCCAAUAAUGGGAAAAGGGGCUUGGGUACAACUCAUACAAGGUGAACCCUAGCAUAGAGCACAAGGGGUGGAGACACCCCAAGUUCAUAGAGGGAACUACCCUAUAUGACAAGUCAACUCAAGUGAAGGUAAACUUGAGUCACACAAAGGAUAAGAUAAAGGAUGUUGUCUCCACAAAUGGAGAAAAGUUUAGAGCUCCCAUUUCUCACUCUUACCUUUGUGAUUAUAUGUUGACCUAGAAUUCAGGAAAACUGGUUGUGAAAUAUGUGGGUGCCUACACGAAGAGAAAGGUUAUGAAAAGGAGUGUGUGGGUACCCAAGGCGAUAACUAACACUGCAGGACCCAAUUCAAUUUGGGUACCUAAAAGCAUAGCUUAAACUUGUUUUGCAGGUCUACUCCUCUGGUGGGUCAAGCUGGGUGCUUGACAGUGGAUGUACAAAUCACAUGACCGGGGAGAAAGACAUGUUUCACUCCUUGCAACUAACUCAAGAAGCACAAUAAAUUGUGUUUGGAGAUAGUGGCAAGAGUGAAGUGAUUGGUAUUGGUAACAUCCCUAUCUCUGACCACCAGUCACUCUCAAAUGUUUUGUUAGUUGAUUCAUUAAUCUAUAACUUGAUGUCCGUUUCACAGCUUUGUGGAAUGGGAUAUGAUUGCCUAUUUACUGAUGUGGAUGUGAAGAUCCUUAGAAGGGAGGAUUCCUCUGUUGCUUUUACGGGUCGCUUGAAGGGCAAAUUUUAUCUUGUUGCUUUCAUAACAAGUAAGGUGAUGCCUGAGACUUGUUUAGUGGCAAAAUAUGACAAGGGUUGGCUGUGGCAUCGACAGCUGGCUCAUGUUGGCAUGAGGAACUUGGCCAAACUUCAAAAGGAUAAUCACAUCAUUGGACUAACAAAUGUUGUGUUUGAGAAAGAUAGGAUUUGUGGCGCAUGUUAGGCAGGAAAACAACAUAGCAUUCCAAAUCAAUCAAAGAAUGUGGUCACAACUAAGAGGCCUUUGGAGCUUCUUCAUAUAGACCUAUUUGGUCUAGUGGCCUACAUAAGUAUUGGAGGCAGUAAGUAUGGAUUAGUCAUUGUUGAUGAUUUUUCUCGAUUCACCUGGGUUUUCUUUUUGAGUGAUAAAUGUGAAACCUAAGAAACAUUGAAGAAGUUUAUGAGAAGGUCUCAAAAUCAGUUUGAGUUAAAAAUCAAGAAAGUAAGAAGUGACAAUGGAACAAAGUUCAAGAGUACAGGUGUUGAAGAGUUCUUAGGCGAAGAAGGGAUCAAACAUGAGUUCUCGGUCCCUUACACUCCACAACAAAAUGGUGUGGUGGAAAGGAAGAAUCGAACACUAAUCGAAGCCGUCAGGACCAUGUUGGAUGAAUACAAGACACCAGACAACUUCUGGGCAGAGGCGGUCAACACCGCCUGUCAUGCAAUCAACCGUCUUUAUCUUCAUAAGAUUUAUAAGAAGACUGCCUACGAGCUUCUCACCAGUAACAAACCUAAAGUUGAUUACUUUAGAGUCUUUGGUUGCAAAUGCUUCAUUCUUAACAAGAAAGUCAGGAGCUCGAAGUUUGCUCCUAGAGUGGACGAGGGUUUCUUGCUUGGUUAUGCAUCAAAUGCGCACAGAUAUCGUGUCUUCAACAAUACCACCGGUCUUGUUGAAAUAGCGAUAGAUGUGAUGUUUGAUGAAUCUAAUGGCUCGCAAGGGCAUAUUUCUAGUGAUAUUGCAGGAAAUGAAAAAUCACCUUAUGAUGCCAUAAAGAAGCUUGCAAUAGGUGAAGUGAGGCCACAAGAGAAGAACGAUGCGAAGGAACAAUUUGGAUGACAAAUGAGGUCAUUGAUAUGGGCGCAAAGGUGAUGGGUGAUAAAUUUUCCACCCAAGCAAACACAUCAACCUCAAGUCAUCCAAUCCUUGAGGAAGUUCAUCAACCACAAGUGAUGCCAACAAUUGUGGAAGAUGAACCUGAAGUGGUUGUUAGUGAAGUUCCUCUUGAUCAAGAGGAUAAUGAUGGGCAAAUUCAAAGACAACCAUUAGUGCCCCAUCCUCAAGUUCACCAUACCAUCCAAAGAGAUCAUCUAGUGGAUAACAUUCUUGGCAGCAUCAAGAGAGGGAUAACAACUAGAUCCUGUUUAGCAAUUUUUUGUGAAUUUUACUCGUUUGUUUCCUCUCUUGAGCCACUUAAGGUUGAAGAAGCACUAGGUGAUCCGGAUUGGAUAAUUUCAAUGCAAGAGGAGCUAAAUAACUUUACUCGGAAUGAAGUCUGGUCCUUAGUGGAAAGACCUAAGAAAAAUGUGAUUGGAACCAAGUGGGUCUUCUGAAAUAAGCAAGAUGAACAUGGUGUCGUUACAAGGAACAAAGCACGACUGGUUUCUCAAGGUUUCACUCAAGUGGAGGGACUUGAUUUUGGGGAAACCUAUGCGCCAGUAGCAAGGUUAGAAUCAAUAAGAAUAUUAAUUGCCUAUGCUACUAAUCAUGAUUUCAAGUUGUAUCAAAUGGACGUCAAGAGCACAUUUCUAAAUGGGCCACUACAAGAGCUUGUCUAUGUGGAGCAGCCGCCGGGAUUUGAAGAUCCAAGGAAGCCAAACCAUGUUUUUCUGCUCCACAAAGCGCUCUACUGGCUUAAACAAGCCCCUAGAGCUUGGUAUGAAUGUCUUAAAGAUUUCUUAAUUAAAAUGUUUUUGAAAUAGGAAAAGCUGACUCUACUUUAUUUACUCGCAAAGUCGAUAAUGAAUUAUUUGUGUGCCAAAUAUAUGUCGAUGACAUUAUAUUUGGUAGUACUAAUGAGAAAUUUUGUGAGGAAUUUAGUAAGGUAAUGACGAACAGGUUCGAGAUGUCUAUGAUGGUUGAGCUCAAGUUCUUUUUGGGAUUUCAAGUCAAGCAGUUAAGGGAACGAACUUUCUUGUGUCAAACCAAAUAUACUCAAGAUAUGUUGAAAAAGUUUGGUAUGGCAAAGGCAAAACCCAUCAAGACCCCUAUGGCAUCAAAUGGGCAUCUCGGCCUCAAUGAAGAAGGUAAACCGGUAGAUCAAAAGCUCUAUAGAUCAAUGAUAGGUUCACUACUCUAUUUGUGUGCAUCUAGGCCCGAUAUAUUGUUAAGUGUGUGCAUGUGUGCUCGUUUUCAAGCAAAUCCAAAACCAUGUCAUCUUGUGGCCGUUAAGAGAAUCUUAAGAUACUUAGUCCACACCCAAAACCUAAAAUUGUGGUACCCUAAAGGCUCCUUUUUCGAUUUACUUGGCUAUUCUGACUUAGAUUAUGGCUGUUGCAAAGUAGAUCGAAAAAGCACUACUAACAUUUGCCAAUUCCUUGGGCGGUCCUUAGUGUCUUGGAGUUCCAAGAAACAAAAUUGUGUUGCACUUUCUACUGCAGUAGCUGAGUACAUAGCAGCUGGUGCAUGUUGUGCACAAUUGUUAUGGAUGAAGCAAACUCUAAGAGAUUUUGGUUGUGAGUUUAACAAAAUUCCACUCCUGUGUGACAAUGAGAGUGCCAUUAAACUUGCAAAUAAUCCUGUGCAACACUCUAGAACUAAACAUAUUGAUAUUAGACAUCUUUUUUGAGAGAUCAUGAAGCCAAAGGAGAUAUCGAAUUAUUCCAUGUUAGCACCGAAAAUCAACUAGCUGAUAUCUUCACUAAACCUCUCGAUGAGACUAGGUUUUGCUUUCUAAGGAGUGAACUAAAUAUCUUGGAUUCUCGAAACGUGUCUUAAUAAAUAGCACUUAAAUCAUUAUUGAUAUGCAUGAAUGUUUGUGACACAAAAUUACAUUUAAAAUCUUGUUGUUAUUGUUAAAAAAUGUUUAAAAUUGUCAAAACAUAAAUUUUGCUUGUGUACUGUUGGGUCCAUGCUUCGUCGCCGAAGGUCUUAUAGAGAGAAGCGAUCCUCGGAUGAAGCUGUUUGUAUAAGAAAGCCGAAGGUUCCUCUUCGUAAAGCUUCGGCAUUGCCAACCGACUUAAAGAUAGAAUGACCUUUUAGUCCAUAAAUGUCUGAGUCAAUGUUGUAAGUUUUUAUAAGGGGCAUACUUGUAAUUCCUCACAGGCUGCGUCCUGUGCCUAUAAAUAGUGAACAGUAUUCCGUUACUGUUCACGCAUUCUGAUUUUUGCAAUCGCAUCUCUCGGAAUACAACCUUUGUCAAGGCAUAGGUAUUAUUGUAUUUAAUGAUUCAAUGUAUUAAGUGAAUAUGAUAUAAUGUAUCUGUGAAACAUUUAUCCAUUUUAUACCUUUUAUUUUGUAUUAUUUUACAAUGUUUAUUGAAAGUUUAUUACGAAAGUUCAACUUCGUAAUAAGACUUUUAUCAACCUUCGUCCUAGACCCAUUAUCCUCAAAGGAAUAAUGCUUCACGGACGAAGGACAGUAUCAUUUAACAUUUUAUGUUGCCUUGUUCUUAAUCCAUAGCAUUUGAGAACAAGUCCCCAACAUGUACUUAGCCAAAUUUGGCUCUUGCUAAAACCUGGUUGAGAAAACUGGCUCAGCCAGCCACUCAACCGGUUUCGCUCUGGUGAAAACUGGUUGAGCCGGCCCUAAAACCGGCUGAACUGCUUUUCUGGGAAAUUGGAAGUCUGCACUGUCAGUCUGUCAGCAGUCUGCGCGUUAGCCUUUUUCCUGCUAACAUUUUUCUGGGCGUGCUGCAGCAAAACCGGUUGAGCCAAUUUUCAGACCGGCUGAACCGGUUUUGGGCAGUCUGCUCUGCCACCGCCACUCCCCUUUUUCCUCUCCUUUCCUCUUUACUCUUUCUCUCUCUCCUCAGUUCUUCUCAUAGUCGAUGCCUCUUCCUCUCGGGUUCUCUCUCUCCCUCCUCUCAAAUCCAUCCGAAAUACACUUAAAUCGCUCCAAAAUCUUGGGAGAAAAGUUGUGGAACUGUUUCCCUCAAGCUCCUCCACAUCUUCUCUACAUCCUUUCGGGAUUUGUUUGGAAGAAUUCUCAGAUCGAGGUAAUUUCAUCUUUUCCCCAUUUUGGACUCGAUCUAUGUACUUCAUGAAUUUCUUGGGAUUAUCUUCAAGGAGGAGUAAGGUUUAGGUGUUUGAUUCAUACUUAAUCAGUCCUCAUUGUCGUGAACAUAGUUUUGAAGAUGAAUCAGUGAAUAUUGAUCAUAGUAGUUGGACUGUUCACAUGAAUGGUUGAAAUACAUGCCCAAUAUUACACUUGAUUCUCCUCAAAUAUGUUCUUUAAUUCCUUGAACAUCAAUACCUAUCUCACCGUGUGUAUCUUGUUUGGUCUCAAGGAUGGUUCGACGCUGAAAUCCGUCCAUCAUCGAAUCCGACUCUGAUGAUAUCUCUCCUGAGAUUCAUGAGGAGGUGCCCUCACGGUCUAGAUCCAAGCGAGGUAGAGGAUCUGGAAAUGUUAUGAUGGGUGGUGAGGCCUUUGGGUCUCAAGGAAGUCGUGGGCAUACGACUAGAACCCCUUCUAGUCGCUCUCGUCGUGCAGCUAAUCCACAUGCAUGGGAGCCUUCUAGUGAUGAUGAAUGUGGAAAAUAUGAUAUCAUAGAUCUUCCUUUCGAUGAUGCUCCUAUUGUUCGUGGGUUGGUUCUUCAUAAGGCUCAAGCUAGGAGAUCCCCCAAUGAGGAAAUCACAGAUUUCAGUGCCAUAGGAGGCUCAACUCUUCUUCAUGAUAUGCGUUUUCGAAAUCUAGCCCUCCGAGUGAGAGACAUCUGGAUAGAAGGUAAUCGUUUUUGGAUUCUACUGCAUGUAGAUUUCUAUAAUACGAUUAUUCUUCCAAAGAAGCAUCAACCCAUUUUGCAUCAGCGCUAUAUCAACUGGAGUGGUUGUGAAGGCAUUGGCGAUAGAGAAAUGUCUUUAGCUCUGAGGGCCUGUGAAAAUAAGAAUAUGAAGAAUAUCAUGACCUUCCACUUUGAUUGGAAUGAUGAAAUAAUUGAUCAAUUCUACUUCACCUUAUGGAUAAAAAAUGCAGAUGAGGAAAGUCCUUAGAACUUCCCUUACAUGAAUUUCUAUAUUGAAGGAAGUUGGUUCAAGGUCAGCUAUAGGAGAUUUGCACAUAUUUUGGGAUUUUCUGAUAAUGACAUAGCUGGAGACAAGGUCAAGAUUCAUUAUUUUCGCCCUCCUACUAGAGCUGAGGCAAAAGAUCUUCAUCUUUCUGAAAAUGAUGAGUAUUGGAAGUCCACCAAUAUGCAUAAAUACUGCAGAUAUCUCAAUUCUCUCUUCAGAAUGACUCUCAUUCCAAAAGGAGGAAAUCAAAUGAAUAUUCUGGGUGAAAGCAAGGUACUUCUAUCUUUCAUGAAACCAACCAGCAGUGAGAGAUUGAAUGUUUUUGAUAUGAUCUGGUAGGAGAUCAUUCAAGCCUCGUGCUCUCCACUCAAAGGUUGUCUGCAUGCUCCUUACAUUAUGAAGAUGAUUGAGAUUGUCACUCAAAUCCGAUAUGAGAAGGGCACCAGACAUCUCUCUUACACUCCCUUUUGGAUUGAUCCCAAUAAUUCCGCUGGUAGGAUGAAGAAGGCUCCUGCCAGCUCUCGUGAGCAGACCUUAGCUGGUCCCUCCCAUCCUUCCUCUGCUCGUGGCUCUCCCACUCCACGUGGUCGUGGUCGUGGUUGAGGUUGUAGUCACAGUCUGGGGGCCAGGUUGGCUCAUGGGAUAGUAGCUUUUUUCUCUAUGUGCAGGGACAUAUCUGCUGAUGUGCAUGAGCUGGCAAGGCGGCAGCGGGAGACGGAUGACAAUCUCUGUCGUCAAUCAAUCUCUAUGGGACUUCCUUUUGCUCCCCGCUCGCCUGAUGUGCCUCUUCAUGCACCCCUCCUGAUAUCAAUGAAUGGCACCAACAGGCAUACGAUGUACCAUUCAUGUCUACUGAGGAUGAAGAUGUUGAGGAAGAGUUCUUUGAUGAUAGAGAUCAGUUUGUCCUGCCUCCCCACUAAGGUGAUCCGGACCCCUCAUCUUCUUAUCCUCCCCCAGGAUCCAUCAGGUAGCACUCCUCCUGCUAACCCCGGGGAGGAAAAGUUUACUGUGAAUCUGGCUUCUCGCUUCUUCGAUCCUUCUCCAUCUUGGUGAUAUGUGGUUGUGCCUUCUCCUAUUUUUUUGGUGCUCGCUGCCAAAAAGGGGGAGAAGGGUUGUUGGUUAGUUGUUGGGUUGGUAGCCCAAGGGGCUAAACUAUUCUAUUUAUGUAAUGAACAAUGUGAUGGUCUGUAAUAACUAUGGUACAUUUAGUUGUGCUUGUAAUGAUGGCCUAGGGCCAUGAACUAUGUUAUGCGAUGAUGAUCUUUAUUGUAAUAGCUAGAAUUUUUUUAUGAUCCUCUAUGCUAUAAGCUUUAUUCAUCGUGAUCUCCUAUGAUAUGUGUUGUGCCAUGCCAUGAUAAAAUUGUGUAAGUAUGUCAUUUGCAUCAUCAUCUCUUAUAUAACACUAUGUUUGUUGCACCCCUAGAAUAAUUGUGAGAUGUGUUGAUUAUUCACUCCCUCCAAAUGUGUUGCAUAAUUGACAUAUCAAGUCAAUAUGAAGAUUACAAAACAUAUGCACAUAUUUAGGGGGAGCCACACAUACACAAGUAUUCACAAUCGUGCUAGUCAUUUUUAUCUAUAUCUACUCUAGUUUGUUUUGGCAUCAAUCACCAAAAAGGGGGAGAUUGUAAGUGCAAUCAACCCUGACUGAGGGUUUUGGUGAUUAAAUGAUAAAAUAAACAGAGUCUCUAACAAGUUUGCUCCUAUUAUGUAUACAAUUAUCUUAAAGACAGGAGGAGCACAGAUUCCAUAUGUACACAAAAGGGAAAGCACAGCGGAUUAAAAAAUCUACAUCAUAUGGCGUGAUUCAAGUGCUUGUGAACAACGUCAGUCUAAAUUUUACAAUUCUUGAGUCAUAGGAAUCACCGUUCAAUUAAGAGGGAUCCGCAAAAUUUGAGUAAGUUGUUGUGAUGAGCUCAGUCUAAAUCUCCUCAAAAUCCUCUAAGAAAACAUUUAUUUUGAUCAUGAAUGCUCUUGCAAAAACUACUUUUAUUCCCCACCCAGACUUCCCCAAGGUUCUGUUUAGUUUUCCAAAAACCAGCUCAGCCAGUUUUUGAAAACCAGCUCAUCCUGUUUGAAAACCGGCUCAGCCGGUUUUUGUACUGUUCACUUUUUUCCUGCUAGUCUGCUGUGUCAACCAAAAGCACUGCGCAGCUUUUUGAAAAACCGGUUCAACCUGUUUUUGGACCUGCUCAGCCGGUUUUGAUUCCGGUCCACCUACCAGCUGAGCCAGUCACUGAACCGAGAAACACUCUGGCAGAAACCGUCUCCACCAGUUUUAGGACCGACUCAACCGGUUUUUGGUCAGAAGAGUCCAACGGCCACCAGCUUUUGGGGGCUCCUUUAUAUACCCCUUUCACUCUCUCUCUCUUCAUUCACUUCUGCCCAUCCACGAAUUCUUGGCUGACCUAAACUCAAACAAGAGCAUUCACUCCACCUGUCACACUCAAAAUCGCAUCUCCUUCAAUUGAUUGAAGGACCCUUGGUGUGAGGUAAAGUUUGUCUAACUCAAUGGUGAUUUCAUCUCUAUUCUCCCUUUCUCUUCAUCUCUUGAGCUCAUUGCAAACUUGAAUCUUGUGAGGAUUUGUUACUCUUGGAACCUUGUGUUCCUUGAUGGAUAGAGGUUGCUUGGGAGUCUCCAAAUUUGUGGAUGACCCCAAGAUGUUUGUAUCACCCGCUCAUUGAGCUAAGUUAAGAAGAGAUUGCCUUGACCUUGGUGGUCAGCUUGUGGAGGAUUAGGGUUGGAAAAGACCCGACUCUUUGUGGGCUCCUCAACGAGGAGUAGGACACCUUUGUGGUGGUUGCCGAACCUCGAGUUAAAUCAUGUGUUCUUGAGAAGUGUUUUUAAUUUGUUGGUCAGUUUAGAUUGGGUUAUAUUGUGUGUGAAUCUUGUGGAACUGAUCCACAUCGAUUUGUCACCCAUUCGAGUGGAUCUUCUCUAGGGCAAGUCAUAAGAAAGAAUCUCUCAUUACUUCGUGCUAUUUGUUUAACUAUUUAUCUAAUCUAAGUUGAGCAGGUUCAAACUUGUUUAGUUGUGAAUAAUACCACCUGAACCAGUUUGCACCAGUGCAACUUGAAAUUUGACAUUAUCUCGAAGUUUUUGUUGAGAAAUUUUAGGUGUAGCCUAUUCACCCCCCUCUAGGCUACUUUCACACGGCCGAUGGGGUAUCAAGCAUUCUGAACUGUCUGAUCAUCAAUCAGUGGUUACGAUUAGAUCUGAGUGUGCAAUGAAGAGGUAAGCGCUCACACCCGCUUGAUUUUGAAUCCAUGGUUGAGGUUUGCCCCAGCCAUUGACUAAUCUACACCGUUCCCAUUGGAUACGAUGGUCAUGAUUUCCUGGCACGAAGAGGUAAGUGGUGCCCAAUCCUGGUCACACAAAUUCAUAUCAACGUCUAGAUCCUCAUCCCCUACCCUAGGUCGGCACUAGGAGGCGGCGCAGGCCGCCCGCGACAGAGACCAUCGCCGGCGCCCCCCAUCUCAAGCUUCUGCCCUCACAGCUUUAACCUAACGCAUGCUACACGUACAGGAGACUAUGGCGAAUCUAGAAAAGUAUAUCUCACCAAAAUCGGAGGUAUGGGAUACCCUGCCCACGGAAAGUCACGGCUCCACGGCGGCAUCGGUUCGACAGCGAUAAAUUGUGUGGCUUGUGGUCCAAUUCCCAAGGUGGGAAGACCACGGGCAUCAUCAGGGUGCCACAGCGAUUCCCUAGACCAACCGCCAAUGUUGGAGCUCCACCCAAUUCAUGAGUCAACCACGGCGGACCAAAUGGCGAAGUUCUGUCUCCGGUGAAGAAUUCGUCCGCAUCCGGUCAGCACAACGCCUGCCACCGCCCGAAAUCCAAUCACGCCCAGGGUUACCCAUAGCUUUCCCCCGCACCGGCGAAGCACCUGCGUGUCGUUUGGUCUCGAAUGGUGGCAUACACGCCGGUCGACAGCAGCGACGACCUCCCUCAGACACACUAUUGCCAUGGAGACUAUGUGUCCCAUCACUGCACAUGAACCGAGGAGCGCAUCGAUGCCAGGGUUUUAUAAACCGUCUAAAGAAGUCCGCGACCGAUUCCAACAACUCUAGGCAACACGGUAAAUUCUGUUGAGAUUUCUAUGCGGAGGAAGAAUAGGGAUAGGUUUGACCACUAGGCCCCAAUCCAUAGAGGCCACGGUGAGUGCGUGGAUAAGUGAGGGAGGGGUCACUGACAGGGAGGCCCCCCAUGUCGGCACGGAUGCAAGGUAGACUGGCGCGCGCUGAGGGGAGUAAGUGGGCCGAGAAGGCUGUUUCGGCCCAGACGCAGGUAUGGUUGUUACUUUUCCUUUUUUAUAUUUCCUAUUUUCUUUCUAUUUGCAUUGUUUUAAGUUUUCCAAUUCACAUAAAAAUACAACUUCGAAUUUAUGUUCAAAUGCUACAAUCCAAAACAUUUGUAUGAAAUGCAAAGUACACUUUUCUAUAUAUUUAUAUUAAUUAUUUUAUUUCUUUGUUUAGUUAAAGGCUCAAAAUGUGCCAUGCAAACUUUCAUUUUAUUUUAGGAGAAUUAUUAAUUUUGAGUAUGUGAUCAAAUGAAUAUCUUUUAUUUCACUUAUUUAGGGGAAAAUAAUGUAUUCUCUUUUACCGAGACUCACAUAAUCAUGAAUAUAUUUUUAUUCAAGAGAAUUCUUUAAAUUCCAUGAGGAGAAUAACUUAUCCUACUCGAUUGAAGAUAUUUCUAUUUUAUCUUAUGUUUACUCAAUUUCUUAGUAUUACUUCCUAUAAAAGGCAUAGGAGGAAUACAUGAACCCCUAACUCAGUUUUAGGGUUUACAUAAAGAGUGCACAUGGUCAUGAUUUCACUUGCGAUUGGCAUCCAUAUGCAUAAGUUUUGAGGAAUUUUGAUUCAAGCUCGAUGAUGUUCUUAAAUUGAUAUUAUAAGAAUUAUCCUGCUAUGAUUUUCCUGAGUAGCAUGCCUUCUUUCAUUUGGAUAUCAUGUGAUUUAUCUUGAAUAGGCAUGUGCUUGAUUAAUUUUUCUAAGCAUAGAUCAUUUUUAUAAUUGGUAUCCUUAUGCCUUGACCGAGAUAUGUGUGUCAUAUCCCUCUAGUUCUCUUAACUGCUAGAGUGUGCAUAGAACAAGUCAUUCAAGUACUUGAUGCAUAAUUUUAGGGGGAGCACAUAUAUCUUAUCUCUUUUGAGACUAACAUUUCUUUUAGGGAUCUCAUAUAGUCUCAUGGUGGAAAGAAGGAAGUUGAGCAAGCUACAUGAUGCAAUCCAGACUUUGGUACCUCAUGGUUCUCUCAAUCGGUACUUCAAUGUGUAUAUCAUUGAUUGCUCUUGACUAAUUUAACUAGCUACUCAUGAAUUGUUUUGUUCUUCCAUGAUCUUAUUGCUAAAAAGGAUGCAUCCUGAUUUGAAAUAGAUGAAACCUCAUUUGAUUUGACUAUUUCAAUAUGCAUUCAUCUCUUGUUGAUGCACUUAUAAUAGGGAGAUCAAAACUAUCAUUUUGCAAUUUAGUGAUUCAUAGUGCUCUCAUUUGUUCAAUUGAUAUAUUCUUGGAUCACUAUAUUGUAAUGUGUUGAAUUAGUGAAUCACUAAGUGUUCAUGAGUAUUUCGUUCAAUUGGUAUUUAAAGGUGAUCACGAGUUAUAGGAUUUUCUCUCUAAUGCCAUUAAUGCUAUAACUUGUCUUAAGCCUAUUGUUUAAGUGACAAGAGUGAUCAAAAUGGAGGAUCAAGCACAUGAAGAGAGGAUCUCUUUGGAAAAAGUACUGCAACUGGUAUUGACAUAAAAGGUACAAAAAGGUCAAAUCACUCAUUGACAUUUAAAUUUGCACCUAGACCCCCUCAGUUGCAUUGCAUAUCUUGAGGAGUAAAGGGUGCAUGAUAGUGUUUUGCAUAUCCCUGCUUUAUGCCCUGUAUAACCCUUAUGACAUCACGCUUCUGUUAUUUAAUUGUGAGAUAUUGUUUUUGGUGUUUGAUGUCAAAGGGUGAGAAUUUUUUAUUAAAGCUUACCUUGCCUGAGAGAAAAGCCUUUCUUAAGGGUGAAGUGAUUUGUGUGUUAAAUAGCUUAAAGCUUGUCCUUGUGAUAAGGACAUGCUCCGUUUGUUCAAAGGAGAGGUUUCCUUGAGUUUCUUUAAUCUUAAGGGAAGAAUGCAAUAUAUGUUGAUAUUUUGAUGAUAUUGCUUAUCAUGAUACAUAGUGCUUUAGUGCAAAGCUUUGAUAAUGUGUGGAAUGCCUUACUAUUGUGCAAAGCUUUGCUAGUAUGUUGUAAUGUGUGCAUAUUCAUGUCAUGAGCAUCAUAGUUUGUUUCAUGACACUAUGCACCCUAGGGAUGCUAAGACACAGGACUACUUCACACUUUAGCCUAAGUAUGUGUAAAUCAACAUUUGAGACCAAAUUUGAGUUUUUUAUGGAAACACAUAUUUAGGGCAAGCAUUCUAUGCCAUAGGAUCGAAAAUUGUGCUUUAAAUCUAUUUAUUUGUAAGCUUUAAUUAUGUUGCCAUCGAUCAGCAAAAAGGGGAGAUUUUUUUGAGGAAAAAACUGUUGAGGAGGUCCCCACAAUAGAUUUUAAUGAUAAAAAGUGAGGGAGAAAAAUUUACUUACAUAAAUGACCCACCGAAUAACCAAACCUGAAGAUAUAAAUGGGGAUUGGAAACCAGGAUAGGAUCAAAGAGAAAUCAAAAGCAAAUUACAAACUAUUGAUCCAAGAGAGAACUAAAUUUCUAUCGGUAUAUUUGAAGUUGAGCCUCCUUCAUGAAAUCCCUUUUCCAGUUAUUGAUAGUGAAUUUAGAAUUCUCGAAAAUAUUUUUGUUUCUUGUUUUCCACAUCACCCAGAUAGCAAUAAAGCAAGUCUCUAGAAAGAAUUUGAGAGAGAAGGCGUUGCUGACAAGGAUAAUCCUCUAGUUAUUUGGGAUGGACAAAUCCUAGGGCACUCCAAUGACAUUCCAACAUGCACCCGCAAAAUCACAUCUAAAAAAGAGAUGAUCCACAUCUUCAAGAUAGACAUCACUGCACAUGACACAUUGAUAAAGCUGAUCUGGAAGCAAUUUUUUUCUGAGGAGGAUAGCCCUAGCGUUGAGUCUAUUAAUGAGCAUAAGCCACCCAAAGAAUUUUAUUCUCAUCAUACAUCCACACUUCCAUAAUUUUGCGAAGAUCUUAUGGACCCUAGAGGUGCCAAAUUUAUCCUUAUAAUAUUUUUUGACUAGAAGAAUUGCACCAUCAAAGACCAAAGCCCAAUUAUCUUCAAUGUUAUCAUUAAAUUCAUGACCAUCCAACCAGUCUUGCAUAUCCUCCAAUUCAGAAAGAGCUUCAGAAGACAAAAGAAGAUUAAAUAAAGAUGAUAGGUCUGGGGCCUCAAAUACUUCUUUAACCUAUAGCGAAGGGGUAGAAAUAAAGGAAGCCAUGUUGGGGUAUUUGAGACUGAGCACCUCCCUCGUCCAAUUAUCAUCCCAAAGUGAUGUAGAAAGACCAUUUCCAAUAAAACUUCUUGUUCUUGCCCUAUAAGAAGAAUUUAGUCUAAAAUAUUUUUCCACCAAGGUGAGCCUUUCUGAUUGCAUAAACGAGUGACCUUUUGAUCAUAAUAGGAGUCCCAAAUCUACAUAACCCAGGGCAUAUCAAACAUGAUCAUGGGCCACUCGAUCCGACUAACCCGACCCAACACUAAGCAUGGGUCGGGUACAGGCCGUAAUAAAUGGACCACGACCCGACCUUGACCCAACCCGUCCCGGCGCUUGAACAUGUCUAGGAGAUAUCAAUUCUGGAAUAGAAUUGCGAUAAUUGCUUAAUGAGGAGGCCUUCAUUAUGAAAUUUAAGCUUGACUACCCCCAAACCACCUAGUUUUUUAGGUCUCUGAAUUAAAUCCCACGCGACCAGGUUUCCAUAUUUUUUGUCGAAGUUGGAUCCCCUCCAAAGAUAUUGUCUUCUAGCUCGGUCGAUGUAAUUAAUGAUUGAGGAGGGAAGUUAACCAGUUCAAGUCUCCCCGAAUAAUAAAGAAAGGAUGAGCAACACAUCAAUCUCCUUUCAAUUAUUUCCAUCAAAUGGGAGAAAUCAUCAAUUUUGGGCUUUGAGGAUCCAAGAUGAAGCCCAAGAUACGUAAAUGGCAACGAUCCCACUUGACAUCUGAUGAUGAAUUCUUUUAAGGGGGUAGAAUGUAAUACCCUAAAAACCAAACUAUGUUAAUAAUCCAACUAUGGUGUGUCCUAUAGAUGAACGGAGACCAUAGAUUCAUAGAGCAUGUCGAGACGAUUCCGAUCGACUUCUAGUUUCGAUUAGGGAGUAAUUGCGAAAUUAGUGCUGCUGUCGUGAAAACUGAAAAAUAGAUUCUGGUAGAAAGUUUAACCGAUUUCUUUGAAUAAUCUCUGCAUAAUUUGAUCGAGUGGUAAACAUAAAAGUUGUAGAGGGUCUUCUAACCUUUCUAAGAGUAUUUAUUUACAUUUUUGGAUUGAGUAUUGAGGGAGAUAUUAACUUCUUAAGUUAGGUGUCUCAAUCUAUCAAAUUUGGUUUUUGGGAUAAUGUUUGAUUUUAGGUAUCAUUUUAAAAUUAGAUGAAUCAGGCUUCACUCCUAUGGAAAUGUUUUGUAAUAGUUUUGUUGAGCUUUCUACAGGCUACUUAAUCACCUAGUUUGGAUAAGCCAUUGGGGAGUUAUGGAUUUUCUAAAACAGCAAAGCUGUUGUCGUGGGAAGAUUAAGUCUGUCACAUUGAUUGAUGUUGAAAUUUGGUCUUGAUUUGAAUACAAAAGUUGUAACUUAUGUUUUGUAGAUGCUUAUAGAGUACUUAUCUACUAUUGUAGCUAUUGCGAAAUUAAAGAUAUAAUAAAUACAAGCAGAACUGUUGUUGUUUACUAAGUUUCCAUAGUGUUGUUUUGGUCAGGUUUUCAAGUGGAUCAUAGGAGUACUAUGUCAAUUACUUGUAAUGCGCUUUAUAAGAUGUUUGUACUCAGUCGUACACUAUGAAGUAGGUGGUAGUUCUCCAGAGCGCUCCUAGUGCUUUUGGCAUCUUCAAUGAAGGCAAGUGAAUUGUAGUGGUGGUUUGCUACCAUUUUUACUUGUUAUUUUCAUCACCUACACCUUAAUAUUUAGCAGUUUGCCGUGAAGUAAUACAUGAACUUGAUGUUGAUCAUUCUGUUAACUAAUGGAGAUGCGGCUUAAUUCUAUAUAUGAAAAUGUUAUUGUUCUAGCAUUAUUUAUGUGGUAAACCACAUUUAUUUGGAGGUAGAAAAGUAUCAUUGUUUUCAAACUUCAAAAAGCUUUGUAUGGUUUAAAAUAAGCCCAUGGUUCCUUGUAUGAGUGUUUGAAAACUUUCUUGCUUUCAAAGGGUAUUAUGAUGGACUCUGUCGAUAAAAUUCUUUUUCUUGUCAAGCAUGACAACUAUGCUUUGUCAUUUCAAAUUUACAUGGAUGAUAUCAUAUUUGGUGGUUCUUCUCAUGAUCUUGUUUUUAUGUUUUUAGAGUUUGAGAUGAGCAUGAUGGGAGAGGUUAACUUCUUCCUUGGGCUGCAAAUCAAGAAGACCCAAGACGGGACAUUUGUGCACCAAGAAAAAUACAUCAAGGAUGUCCUGAAGAAGUUUGACAUGGGUGAGGCAAAGCCUCUUUCAAUGAUGAUGUUCACCACAAUGGCUCUAGAUGCUGGUGAGGACAACAAGCUCAUGGACCAGGAGUAUAGGAGCAUGAUCGGCUCCCUCAUGUACUUGACUGCGACGAGGCCCGUCAUACACAUUGUCGUAUGUUUGUGAGAUCGAUUCCAGGCUUCUCCAUGCACUUACCAUAGGUAGGCUGCCAAACAGAUCAUGAGGUACCUAUGUUUCACUCUUGAGUUUGGCUUAUGGUAUUCCUCUUCAUCCGUUCUAUCUUUGUGUGGUUACUCUGAUGCUGAUUUUGUGGGAUGCCUCUUAGAUCGCAAGUCCACUUCUGAGACUUUUCAGUUUCUGGGUUCCUUCCAGUUUCUUGGUCUUCUCACAAAUAGCCUAGUGUUGCCCAGUCUACCAUGGAGGCUGAGUAUGUUGCUGCCGCUAGCUGUUGCUCAUAGUUGCUUUGGAUGAUACCUACUUUGAUGGAUUUUGGCUUCGAGUUUUCACAUGUGCCUCUGCUUUGUGGUAGCACAAGUGCCAUCAGUGUUGCAAAAAAUCAUGUGUUGCAUUCUAAGACCAAGCACAUCGAUGUCCGCUAUCAUUUUCUCAGAGAUCAUUAUAAGAAAGGGGACAUUGAGCUUCAACAUGUUGAUACCCAUAGACAGCUUGCAGAUAUCCUUACAAAGCCCCUUGACCAGUCCACUUUUGCACAUUUGUGAGAGGAGUUGGGUGCGUGUUUCCCCUUUUAGUUAAGGAUCUUCUCUACAUUUUCUUUGCAUCUUCUUUGUUAGUUUUGAUAUUUGUAACAUAUCUGCAUUACAUCAUGUUCAUUUUGAGCUUCACAUGUAUAUCUACUAGAAUGUGACUGUGCUCUUUGUAGUUUGUUCAUUGUCUACAUGAUGAUGAUAUGGCAAUCUUAGGCUCUUUUUGCUCAUAUUAACACAAUGUUGUUGAGCUAAGCCUAUUUUUAUAAUUGUGAGCAUGAUUAAUAGUUGCUUCAUACAAAAUUUGUUGAUUAAGAUUGACACCUAACAUGUGUAGGAUGUGUUGAAAUCCUUGUUUAUGUCACUAGUGUUGGGGGCCUACUUCUUCACUAAAGUUCCUCCAAGUAAAAACACCUUCGGCAGUAUGAUAUGCGAACUGACACAGCAUGAAGGCACAAGCCAAAGCUACAACCCAGAAAGCUUCGGCAUAAUGACGCGCUUUGAGACGAAGGGCGACACCGACUUAAAGAGGAAAAGAUCGUUCAGUCCCUAAUAGUUUGUGUCACAUUUGUAAUUUGUUGUCAAGGACAUAAAUGUAAUUUCAACCGGGCUACGUCCUGCGCCUAUAAAUAGGUGAACAAUAAACCUGUACUGUUCACGCUGACUUGCAUUCAUUCGCACGACACACCUGGGCUUUUAUCUUCUGUCAAGCCGAAGGUAUAAAUGUAACUCAAUAUUGUUCAUGUUUAUUCAUGAUAAUAUAAUAAAAUGCUUUGAUAAUGUCAUAUGAUUAUUCAUGUUAUUUUCCAUGUUUCAUAUGGUUAUAUUUUCAUUAUUAUAUGCUGAAAUGAUGAAGGUACGUCCUUCAUGACCUUCGUUUGAAGAUCAUUAUACCCUAAGGGAGAUAAUGCUUUGAAGGACGAAUGUCUUUAACUAUUAACAUUUUGUGUUGCCUUGUUCUUAACUCAUAGCAUUUGAGAACAAGUCACCAACAUUGGCGCCCACCGUCCGAUGAACUCACUUCCACUGUUGAGCUGAUGGCUUCGUUCAACAACCAAGUCGUGACACCUUCGGCUACGAAGCUGGUGCUCCCAAUCACGGGCGGUUCAAGUUCAGAGCCAGCUAACAAAAAGCAGAAGAAGGAAGCACAGCGAAGAGUACAACAUGUUGGGGGUGCAAGGACCCUUUGUCAGGUCCAAGUGGUCCCACAUCCCAAUCACCUUCUCCCAGGAGGAUCUUCAGCUAAAAGAUUAUCCUCACAAUGAUGCUAUGGUCAUAUCUUGUGUCAUCAAGGGAUUUCUGGUCCAUAAUGUUCUGGUUGACACAGGCAGUGCAGCGGACAUUAUAUUUGCAAAGGCUUUCAGGCAGAUGCAAGAACCAGAGGACAAGAUUCAUGAUGCUACACACCCCUUUGUGGCUUCGGAGGAUGACAGAUUGUGGCACUUGGCAAAAUCACAAUGUCGGUUACCUUCGGUUAUGUCCACAACACAAGAACUAAGCAAGUUGGUUUUGACAUUAUCGACAUGGAAUACCUGUACAAUGCAAUCAUUGGUCGAGGAACACUUAAUGCCUUCGAAGCAAUACUUCAUCCAGCAUACUUAUGCAUGAAGAUACCUUCGGAACAAGGGCCCAUUGCUGUUCACAGAAGUCAAGAAGCUGCUAGAAGGGCUGAAGGAAGUUGGACAGAUUCAAAGGCAAUACACAACAUAGAUGGAGUCGAAGCUUGUCAACAAUAUAAACAAAAAAGAGAGAAGGCUGCUUCGGCAGAUCAGCCGAAGCCUAUGCUUUUAUGUGAAGAUAUAGCAGAUCAAAGGGUACUGCUGGGGUCUUAGCUAUCUGAUGAGCAGGAAAAAACUUUAAUAAGAUUUUUGUUCAACAACAAAGAUGUCUUCGCUUGGACAGCUAAUGAUCUCUGUGGUGUCAACAGAGAUGUCAUUGAGCAUUCACUUAAUGUGGAUCCAUCUUUCAGGCCAAGGAAGCAAAGACUUCAAAAAAUGUCUGAUGAUAAAGCUAAAGGUGCUCGGAACGAAGUAAAGAGACUUCUCAGUGUUGGUGUUAUCAGAGAAGUAACAUAUCCAGAAUGGUUAGCCAACACUAUUAUGGUGAAGAAGGCUAAUGACAAAUGGAGAAUGUGUAUUGAUUUCAUAGAUCUCAACAAGGCAUGCCCAAAGGACGAGUUCCCAUUGCCAAGAAUAGACUCCCUUGUAGAUGCAACAGCUUCUUCGAAGCUCAUGAGUCUAUUGGACUGUUACUCAGGCUAUCAUCAAAUUUGGAUGAAGAAGAAAGAUGAGCCAAAGACCAGCUUCAUAACUCCUAGUGGCACUUAUUGCUACCUUCGGAUGCCUGAGGGGCUCAAGAAUGCUGGAGGAAGCUUCAGCAGAAUGACAGCCAAGGUCCUUCACUCUCAAAUAGGCAGGAAUGUGCUGACUUAUGUUGAUGAUAUCAUAGUAAAGAGCACGAAGCAAGAGAAUCACAUUGCUGACUUGCAAGAAACAUUUGCCAAUUUUAGGCAAGCUGGUUUGAAAUUAAAUCCAGAAAAGUGCGUUUUUGGAGUAAAGAAGGGCAAGUUCCUUGGCUGGCUGGUAUCAACGAAGGGAAUCGAAGCUAACCCCAAUAAGAUUGAAGCUAUCCUUGGGAUGGAGCUGCCAAAUACAAAAAAGGGGCCCAACGACUGGCAGGAAGACUGGCAUCAUUAAAAAAAUUCAUAUCCAGAUCAACAGAAAGAAAUAUGCCAUUCUUUGAAAUACUGAAGUCAGCCGAAGUUUUUCAAUGGGGUCCGGCUCAGCAAAAAGCUUUCGAAGAGUUAAAGCAACACUUGAUAGACUUGACAACUCUAACUCCACCUUCGACAGGGGCUCCAUUACUCUUAUAUGUAACAGCCUCUCACUCUACAGUCAGUGCAACACUUGUACAAGAAAAGCAAGAUGGCCAAGUUAAAAAACAAGCACCAGUAUAUUUUGUCUCCGAAUUUCUAAGUUUGUCAAAGAAAAAUUAUACAGAAUUGGAGAAGGUACUAUAUGCUGUGUUGAUGGCCUCCAGGAAGCUUCAUCACUAUUUUCAAGCAUAUCAUAUAAUUGUUCCUUCGUCACAACCUCUGAAGGACAUAAUGAGAAAUAGAGAAGCUACUAGGAGGAUCGGAAAAUGGGCUGCCGAGCUCAAUGAAUUCUUUAUUGAUUAUGUUCAUAGAUCCUCAAUUCAGUCUCAGGCCUUAGCAGACUUCAUUGCUGAUUGGACGCCAGGGGCUCAGGAAGAAGAAGCAACAAAAGACGCUGAAGCCUGGACAGUCUUCUGUGAUGGUUCUUGGGGAACCUUCGGUGCAGGAGCGGCUGCUGUUCUAGUAGCGCCUUCCAAAGUCAGAACAUGUUAUGCAGCAAGGCUGGAUUUUAGUUCUACAAAUAACAUUGCUGAAUACGAAGCUCUUCUCCUGGGGCUUCGGAAGCUAAAAGCAAUGGGAAUAAGAAGGGCGAUCCUCAAAACUGACUCCCAAGUCAUCUCUAGCCAUGUAGACAAAAGCAGCAAGGCAAGGGAUCCGAAACUUGAAAAAUAUUUGGACACAGUCCGAAGGUUGGAGGCUUCCUUCGAAGGUUUUUCUGUAAAAAAUAAUCCAAGAGGGGAAAAUGAGCAUGCAGAUUUGUUAGCCAAGUCAGCAGCACAGGGGCUCCCUCUACCUUCGAAAGUAUUUUUUGAAACAAUAAAAGCACCUUCGGUCGAACUUCUCGAAAGGGCAGUGCUUGCAACAUCACCUAUGCAUAGUGAAGAUUGGAGGACUGAAAUCAUAUCUUUCCUCCAGGGUAACUGCCUCUCGGAUGAUGAAGUUUAUAUUAAAAGAAUGGAAGCAAGGACAAGACCAUAUGUCAUAAUAGAAGGAGAAUUAUACAAACAUGGAGUCUGCUCCCCACUUCUCAAAUGUCUAUCCAGAACCGAAGGUAUAGAGCUAAUGAAAGAAAUACAUGAAGGUUGUGUGGAUCUCACAUUGGAUCUAGACCUCUGCUGGGAAAGGUUUUUAGACAAGGAUUUUAUUGGCCGAAGGCAGCUUCGGAUGCAGCAGAUCUGGUUCAAAAGUGUGAAAAUUGUCAAAAAUGUUCAAGAGACCAGAAACAACCUUCGUCGUUAACUCAGUUAAUACAACCAACCUGGCCAUUGCAAAGAUGGGGCCUAGAUUUGUUGGGUCCACUCCCACCAGCACAGGGUAACUUGAAGUAUGUUGUAGUAGCAGUACAAUAUUUUUCCAAGUGGAUUGAGGCGAAACCCUUAGCUACAAUAACUUCGGUCAUGGUCCAAAAAUUCUUCUGGCAAAAUAUUGUUUGUCGCUUCGGUGUGCCGAAGGCAAUAACCGUGGACAACGAUACACAAUUUGAUGCCAAAGCAUUCAAAAAUUUUUGUGACCAAAUUGGUACAAAGAUUCAUUUUGCAUUAGUCAGGCAUCCAGAAUCAAAUGGGCUGGUACAAAGAGCAAAUGACAUUAUAAUGACAGGAAUAAUGAAGCUAAUCUUCAACCAGCCCAGAGGAAAGUGGCCAGACGAACUGAUUAAAGUAGUGUGGAGCCACAAUACAACUGCAUCAAGAUCAACAGGAUUUACACCCUUCAAACUCUUGUUUGGUGACGAAGCAAUAACUCCAGAAGAGGCAAAGGCAGGGUCAAUAAGAACAACAGCUUUGACAGAAGACGAAGCUGAUUAUCAAGUAACAAAAGAUACUAUAGAAGGAACCAGACUUCAAGCUAUAGAGCACAUCAAUAAAUAUCAGGCCGAAACAAUAAAGUGGCAUGAUAGAAAAGUUCGAUUGAAAAACAUCAAGCCAGGACAUUUGGUGCUUCGGAGAGUGGCCAACCCAGACACGGUGGGCAAGUUGCAACUAAAGUGGGAAGGUCCUUUUGUGGUAGUAUCUUCGUCAAGACCCGGUUCUUACAGAUUGAAGGAUAUGGAUGGAAACGACAUACCCAGAUCUUGGAAUGCGGAUGAGCUUCGACGAUAUUAUGUGUAAUUUGAUGUAAUCUUUCUUUUUCAUUUUUUCUAUGGCACCCUUUUCCUUUCAGGAGGGGAGAAAGGUUUUUAAUGGGGCCAUAGCUUGUAAUUUUUCAUUCUUAUUUAUCCCCAUGAGGGCCAAAUCCCCCAAAAGAUGUAAUAUGUAAAUCUGAGCAUGCACCAUCGAGUGCAAAAAAGAAAAACAGGGAGAAGCUCAAAAGACGUCCCCAAGGGGAUGCAGAGCAUGACGAAGCUACAAAAAGUCGUUCCUAAGGGAGCGCAGCGUAAGUUUUCUGCUCAAAAGUCGUUCCUAAGGGAAUGCAGAGCCAAAAUUGACGAAGCUACAAGAAGUCGUUCCUAAGGGAGCACAGUGUAAGUUUUCUGUUCAAAUGUUGUUCCAAAGGGAAUGCAGAGCCAAAUACCGCCGAAAUAUAAGGCGAAGAAGUUCAAAAGUCGUUCCUAAGGGGAUGCAGAACUUAUACCACCGAAAUAGAAGGUGAAGAAGCUCAAAAGUCGUUCCUAAGGGGAUGCAGAGCUUAAGAGUCAAAAGACGUUCCUAAGGGGAUGCAGAGUCUGGGUGUGGUUUCGUGUGUGUAUUGAGACUUUCAUUUGCACAUUACAUUACAUCAUUCAUUGCAUUCAUAUACAUUCAUGUAGACAUUCAUAGGAUCAUCAUCAUCAUAACAUAAAACACAAAUAGAUACUUUAGCUUUGAUAACAAUGCUUCGAUGAGCAUGAAGAAGCAAGAUAUGCUUCGUUGUGUACGAAAAGAAGCGAAGGUGUUUUUCGCCUUCGACUCAAAAGAUAUAAGUUUCGUCCACAACAAAGCAAUGUACACAUGCAAGGAAAGGUAAAAAUAUAUUACAAGGUAUGGACAAAUAUACAGAGUAAUGUUCAAUUCUCGGUUACAAUGUAUUUUACAGAGAUAAUACAAAUGCCUCUAAAAGAUCUAUGCAGGCAAGUCUAAAGAUUAGCUUCAGUGGCCUUCAGAAUUUGCUUUGGAUUACUAAUCUUCGGCAUCAUCAUCCUACACACAACAAAAUUUUAUAAGGUAAAAGGUAAUCACAAGAAAAGGUAAGCAAUAGGUAUAACUUUCAUACCGGCUUAAGUAAGCUUUGGGCCUCAUCACCAGCCAAGUCCCGACCACCCUUCGCCCAAAUUUGUGUUAUAAAUCUACUUCCUAUGCUUCGGGCUUCGCCGGGAAUAUCAACCAAAUCUGUCGAAGAUAGGCUGAAGGUAGGUCUAUUCACUAUCUUCGCGUGCGUACAGCCAGCUUUCAAAAAUGCUACAGCCGUGCCGCGAGAAGCUAGCAGGGCGCAGAAGUCACCAUGCCCUGCUAUUACUUCAUCAAGUGCAUCAACUUCGCCUUCAAUAUGUUCAAAGGUGCCUGAUAUAUUUUCAGCCAAAGGAGUAAACUUUUCAGCACUGGCUCCAACUGAGUUGAAAACCUUUUUUAAUCACUGUACGCAGCGGCUGCCAAAAUUCAGACAUAUGUCACGAAGCUCCUUCAAAGAUUGCUUUAGCUUUGUAUUCUCGGUAGCUUCAGCUUCAUACUUCAUCUGCAAGUUUUUUCUCUCCUGUUCGAAGCUCUCAGAUUUUUGCACGAGUUCCCUGUUUAAUCUAAUAUUCUCGGCUUGCGCUUCUGCAAGGGAACCUUCCAUUGCUUGGAGUAGGAAAUAUUUCUUUUCAAGAGAAGCUUUGUAUUCUUUCAUUUUGCUCUCUAGACCCUCGAUUAUAAUUUCGUUCUUUUUAUCCUCGAGAUCCUGUUGCAUUUGCAGCGCUUUGCUCAGCAGCAUACUCUGUACAAAAUAGACCUUCGUCAACAAACUUCGUCGUAAGAAUAAAACAAAUAAUAAAAUUUUGCUUUAUUAUAAGAAUUUUACCUUAAAGUUGGAAUAAAACAAACUGCCAACUAUAUGUUGUCGUCGGUAGCUGCUAAUAUCGGCUUCAAGCUUCGGAAAACCGACACUCUUCGAUAGAGUGCCGAUUACCUUCGCCCCGGUACGGUCACUAACACAUCCCAAGGCCUCUUCAUCGAUUCCACCAAAAAGCAUGGCUCCUGGCUGGUAGCCACAGGAAAUGCCAUAUUCAUGUAGCUCCUUCUUCUCGGCCUCAGAUAGUUCUUGUCCGACCAGGUUUCGAAGAUCGAAACCUUUUUCUUCUAAAGCAGCUUCGGCAAUUCCUUUCCCUUUGUCAGGCACUGGGGCCAUGACCUGUUCUGCAUCCACAAAUGUUUCUUCUGUAGGCAUACCUAGUAUCAUUUUAUCAAUCCCAAAUAAGGUAGCCUCCAGGUUGGCAGCUUCGGUGGCAGCUACAGCUUCGGCCGAUGUGUUUGCUUCGGCAAUGGCGUCGGCACUUACAUUAGGCGCUAUUCUAGAUGCCGAGACCGGUGGUGGUGUCUUUUCAAUGGCUUGCAUUAUGCUACCAAUUCUUCGCUUCUUUAGCCCAUCUGCCUUCCUUGUGGCCGAAGGUCAUUCUUUCUUCUGAAAAAGCUUCUUCAGUUCCGGUCCCAGAGGGCUUAGCAGCUUGAUAGGUAGAGAUUCAGUCAUUACCUUUAAAAUUUCUGCCACUUCGACAGCUGGAGGUGUUGAGGGAGUCUCUUCUUCCUCUUCAGUCACCUUCGGCCCUGGGGAUUUAGCUUUUCUUUUCUUUAAAGCUGCCACCUUCGGCUCGAGACUAGAUUUUCUCUUCUUUCAGAUCUUCUCAUCUUAUUUUACCAUUCUGGCAGCUUGUCUGCUUAGAACGCUAACAACCCUUUUUCUUUUUGCCCCUUCGGCACCCUUGUUGAGCCGCUCAUAAUCAGGGUAUUCAAAUUUUAGAGCGUCCAUAACCCGAUUUAACCUUCGUUUCGGCCGGGUGCCGAAGGCUGCUGACAUUAAUUGAUCCUCUUUUUUAGUAUAGUUCCCCAAAAUUUCAUUGCACAUAGUUUCAAUCAUUUCCAGCCAUUCUUGGCAGGGCACCUUGAACUGUUUCUCAAACUUAAAACGAUAAGGUAAUCGAACGAGCUCAUAUUUCUUUUUUUUGUCCCUUUUAGCUUCAGCAUGUCCCAGUCACUUAACGUCGGAGAUGUCCUAUUGGCCAGGUAUUCUUGCACCAGGUCUCUAGUGCUGAUUUGUUCAGCCACCACCCUAAAUUCUACUGCAGCCAAUUGGCAUGGUGACCCUGGCUGCAUGGUGCACAUGGGCCGGGUCAUUCCGAAGUUUAGAGAUAGUGGACUCAUAACCAUCGUCAUCAGUUUCCCCCUUUUCUUUUCAUCGGCCUUGAUAUAGAACCAUUCACUCUUCCAACCGGUUGGCCACUUGGUGCGAUAGCUGAGAACUGGAGCCUUCAUAUCCUUGCGAUACGUGAAAUUAUAACAACCAAAAUUCUCAUGUAAACCAUCUGCCCUGGACUUCGUUUGGUAGUACAGCUCAUGCACUCGGCAGAAUGCUUCAGCAUCUGGGUCCAUCCCUUGGCUUCGGAGGGCCCAGAUGAAGAUGCUGAGCCUAACGAUAGCGUUAGGGGUCAACUGAUGAAGAUAAAUUUCAAAAUUUUUUAAAACUUCUCCUAUCAUCUCGUUCAGAGGAAACCGUAAUCAUGCUCUGAAAAAACUUUUGAAAACCACUAUUUCAUCAUCCUUUGGCGUUGGAGUGGUUUCUUCUACGGCAAAACGAACAAGAUUCCUUUCAGCUUCUCCAAAGUAGCCCAGUUUCAUCAUCAUGGGCACGUCGGCUUCAGACACAGUAGAUUUCUCAAAAUCUAGGUGGCUGGGUUUUGAUGGGAUCAAAAUGCUAUAAUCCUCCUCUUCUUCAUCAGCACUUUCUUAUUCAAUAUCAGCCUGUUCAGCUUCGGCAACAUAUGUAUCUUCAUCAAUGGUUCCCUCUGUCACAACUAAACUCGACUGUCUCAUGACUUUAGAAAUCAGAGCUGUCUCGGUGGCCUCGGUCUUCUCUCCUUCACGAGUAACCCUUGCAGUCGACCGUACUCUGGCCAUCUAAUGGAUCUUUUGCGGUUUUUACGAAGUUAAUGUCUUUUGCAGUUUUGACGAAGCUCUCUUUUUUGGCGAAGUUAAUUCAAAAUGACGGUCCGCUCGAGAGUGCAGCGGAAAAGCUUCGGCUAUGGUUAAAUUUUUUAACAGCACAACAGUGCAAUGGCAAUGAAUGAUGUGGUAAGUCCACACCUACCCGUCUGUUUAUAUAGUGCUGCAGGUGGGAAGGUGAAUCGCCAAGUCGCCCACACCCGCUGUAAUUUGUUAAGGACAUAAAUGUAAUUUCAACCGGGCUGCGUCCCGCACCUAUAAAUAGGUGAACAGUAACCCUAUACUGUUCACGCUGACUUGCAUUCAUUCGCACGACACACCUGGGCUUUUAUCUUCUAUCAAGCCGAAGGUAUAAAUGUAACUCAAUGUUGUUCAUGUUUAUUCAUGAUGAUAUAAUAAAAUGCUCUGAUAAUGUCAUAUGAUUAUUCAUGUUAUCUUCCAUGUUUCAUAUGCUUAUAUUUUCAUUAUUAUAUGAUGAAAUGAUGAAGGUACGUCCUUCAUGACCUUCGUCUGAAGAUCAUUAUACCCUAAGGGAGAUAAUGCUUCGAAGGACGAAGGUCUUUAACUAUUAACAUUUUGUGUUGCCUUGUUCUUAACUCAUUGCAUUUGAGAACAAAUCCCCAACAACUAGUAUGCUAGGUUGCUAUUUCUCAUGCUUUGAGCCAUUCACUGUCUUGAUACAUUACUUACGUGCUAAAACCCGAAUCGAGAUAAGUGACAAUCAAAAAGAUCGAGAUGGGUUUGCAUUUGUCACCACAUCAUUGCAUCAAGACUUCUUCCACUUGCACAUUUGGAAGAACUUGAGUAGGGUUGUCGAUGAUCAAUGUUGGCAUCUUUAGAUUCUUAUUACUCUUCUGUAUAGGCUACACCUGAUUGAAAAGUUAGACAUUUGACAGUGCUUACAACCUCUUGCACUCACGUUUUUCAGUGAAAUUUAUGAUCCACUACAAAAUCCGAUAAACUUCAAAAUUUUCAAUUGGUAAAACUUUCACAUAUAUUUUGGCAUGAUGAGUGACCAUUGUUUGGGAUAUUUCACCUUGUAUACCUUCGAUUAUCACUUGGUUGAUUUCCUACUUACAUAUGUCCCGUUUUGUUUUAGUGGCGAACUUCUCUUUUGACCUGCUUAAAACUAAAUCAAAUGCUGAAUCUUUACAUAUCCAGUGCAUAUGAUAAGUUUGAACAACUGUUAGCACGUGCAUUUAUUACUACAUGCAUCACACAUCGCCACUUACAGCAUUUUCACAAUCUGAUUGCUAUACUCCUGAAGCUCCUUCUGCAUUUUCCUUUCGAUCCUUGCAUUCUCUCAAGGGGAGUUGUUCUCUUUUUACCUUGUUCGAUGCUUGCUGUAUGCACUUGUCAACAAGGGGGAGAAUGUUUGGGAUAAUUUUGCUCUUCUAGGUCAUUUGGGUCUUCUGGGGCGAAUUCAAUAAGGGGGAGAGACUUGCAGAGUUUUGGGGAGAUUUGUGGAGAUGUGCAAAUUGGGAAGAUUUUUGGGAGUUCCUCUUAUGCUCAUUUUUGUUGAGGGUGACUGCCUCUCUAUGAGUUUUUUAGUGAGAGAUGUUUUUGUCAGGGGGAUCUUUUGAGCUUUUGAGAGCUUUUGCUACUUGUGUUGAGCCUUCAGCUCUUUCUCGAGGAACUAGCUUCAAUUUCAGUAUUUUUGCUGAUCUUUGUGCUUCGAUUUGGCUUUGUCUGCUGUCUAGUGGUGUUGAGCCCCUUUCCGCCUCUUCUUGAGGACAAGUCAUUUUCGCUUGGUCGUGUUGAAUCGUUGCCCAUUUCUAUAGGGACCAAGCUUUGCUCGCUCUAAAUGACAUGUUUUGGCUUUUGUCUGGCUCUUGGUCAUUUUAGUGAGUCUUACUUUUUCUUCCUUUCUCUGCUGAUUUGUCUUCAAAUGAUGGUGUGAUAAUGCACUCAUCAAGGGGGAGACUUCGAACACAAGGUUGAUUUGUCCCUUGUGGUUCGAGUUGAUGAUGAGUAAUUGUCAACAUGGGCAGUGCUUUGGUGUGUGUCUUGGACUAACUAGAGUACGAGAACUUGUGUUGUGCAACCAUGGUGUCGACUUAUGGUGUGCAGGUGUGCAGUACAGAGAUGGUGGUCGACGAUGAAAGUGAAGAUCAUGCAUGCUCAUGCUGAUGGACCGGGAGCGGUGAAGGACGAGCGUUGGGUGAUGAUUGACUGAUUGAGGGACUAGAGAAGUGGGUGACUGUAACACCCCAUCCACUUCCAGACUAGCGGUACUUACUUCUAGCAACCCUCUGUAACACCCCAGGUGUUACCAUGGCUAGAGCACACCUUGGCACUACAGACUAUGAUCACAUGUGGAAGAACUUAAGGAGUAAAGGUAUAAGGGCUUUGGAAACUAGGUUUUAACCAAGAGUUGUGAAUGACCAAAGGCAUUACUCUAUUUGUGUGCAACUAUCACCUUGGAUAAGAGGGGGGAAAGAACCCUAGACCUCUCUUAAACCCUAUCUCCCCAAAACCCUGGAUAAGAGGGGAAAGAGAGUGAGCAAAUGUACACAACAUGGGUAAUCUUUGACAAAACCAUAAGUAACCUUAUAACCAGCAAUUAGGGGAAGGUAAUAUUGCAAAAAGACCCCUGGAGAAACCCCCAAAUCAAAUCUCCAAGUGGAGAGAGAGCUAGAGCUCUCUAUUUCUCUCUAAGUUAAAAACUACACCUACACUAAAGAUCAGUCGUGUUCACCUCGAAGCUGGCACCAAAUCCACCUAUGUCCUAUACCAAAAAUGUGGCAUACCACCCAAGGCACCCACUGGAAAAAACUGAGCCCGCGACUUGGACGUUUGACAUGCCUUGGCAUGGUUUUUGUCGCGAAGUGGGCAGUGUGACACACCCGAUUUGGCGACCAGAGAUCUCCCUACCUAGGCCAUAUCUACCAUGGCAGCUCACGGAUGAGAGACAACCCUAGGUGCCAGGAAAAGACUCGCGCCGGAUUUUUGCCAAGAUUCGCACGUUUGCGACUUGGGUGAGCUGUGGAACACGGGCAGAAUGAAAGCUCCAUGUGUUCGAUGCGCUCUGUGUGCGCCAGAGCACGCCCGCGCGCGCCCCGCGUCGCGCCAACGGGAAGAGAAGGUCAGGGGGCUUUUUGAACUGUCAGCGACCUAGGGGAAUAGUGGCGCAAGGGUAGAACUGCGAAGAUUGAUUUAGCUUUAACCCAGGGACCUCGGUGUAAAAUGUUUUUCCAGGAAACUCUUAUUAAAUCUGUUUUUAAUUUGAACAGAAACUUUAAAAACUCAUAACUUCUGUUUAGUUCAUCCAAAUUUGGUCAAACCAAUUUUGCCAGACUCUAAUUAAUGUGACCUACUUAAGAAAAAUAUAAAACCCCCUAGGUACUAUAGAAAACUUUAAAGUUCUGAUUUAAUUAUAGUUUUAGCCAAAAGCUCAAUAAUAGAAAGAAAAAUAGUUGUGCUAUUUGACUAGGGUUAGAAAAGUUUGGAGAAGUUUAUAUCUACCUACUAACCUGUUUAAAAAUGUUAAACCUCUCUAUCCACUCCAUUAAGUUAGUUUUUACCCCUUUAUUCUAUAAUAUGCUUAAGGGUAAGAAAAAUAGAAGAGGUGAUUUAAAUAAUGAACCAGAGGGCACCCCUAUUUUUGUUAGGGUACUUAUUCAAUGUAGUUCACUGGAAAAAUCUAUCAUACCCUAGUUUAGUAUAAAAUAAGUGGGAUACCUUUUAUUUGAAUAAAACAAGGAAAACUUAGAAAAACCCUACAAAAAUAACCCCAAGGUGAAAACACCCCCACCCUUGGGAUAGUUAAUGUUUUGUUAUUAAGAACUUAGGAAAAAUAUGAAAUCUGUUGAUUGACAUUUUUCAAAUAACAAUGUAGUGGAAAGUGCCUUUUUGACAUUAAACUUUAGAAAAUCAUAACUAAAUAACCACCCCUUAGCCAUCUGUGGUUUUUGGCACAGAAGCCUAUUAUUACUGUUAGAUGCCAACAAAAAUAACCCUUAGGACAGACCUCACCUCUAAUUAAGAGUUGUAGUACAAAGUGGCCCAUUUACCCAACUUUUAUUCUUUUUGUCUUAAGCAUAGCCUUUAUAUGUUGAGCCUCAAAUUCUUAAAACAGGCUAGAAUAGCAAAUGGCAACCCACUGUAAUUUUUACAGAAUUUUUGGAAAAUAUUAAACCACUGUCGUAGUUUAAACCUACACUAGAAACCAUAAGUAGAAAUUAAAGAAAGGAAAAUGAAUAAUGGUAAUUAGUGUCAUCCUAAAACCCUUGUAAUUUGUCCACUAAAAUGUAUAAGGACAAUACAAAUCCACUAUGUUAUCCUCAAUGAAAACCUAAGCCUAAAAGGUAAUAAGCAUAACCCACUGGAAGCCCCGCAUGACUAAGAAACCCUAAGUUACUUCUUGACUUAGUUUCUUUUAGCAUAAUGUUAUUAAAUCCUGCAUAAUCAUGACAUACAUGUUCAUUGCAUUUCGAUAGACUGUAACCUUGCUGACGGAGAGUACGUCCUCGUGCCGGAGCAAGGAGCUGCUCAGGAGGUAGCCCCGGACCCAGCACCAGAGCCUGCACCAGAGGACCUGCCUGCCACUGCUUUGGAAGGCAAGCCCCAGUUUAUGCAUAACCUGUUAUUUAUGCUAUCUUACUUCACUUAAUGAUUGUAGUAUUGAUUGUGCACUUAGGUGUAGGAAUUGUUUGAAACCCUAGUUGCAUGAUCUCAAGAAUCCUUUUUGAGAUGAAUACUAGUAUGAUAGGUCGAGUAGUUGCUUUAUUUAAUUAGGAUCUCGGUAGAAGACGGGUGAUUUUCUAGCACUCGCACGAGAUCAGGAAUUGGUUGUACCCACUUUUAUAUCAUAUUGAUAUUGGGUUGGUAGACACGGAUCCAUGGGGAUGCGUGGUCUACGAGAUGAAAUUGGAAUAAGGAUUAACGUGUGGAUACCUGUUUCAAGCGUUUGAACGUACUAAACACAUACCGAGAAAUAUGGUAAAUCGGUAAGCCUAGUACCUGAGUGAACCUGCCUGCAGAUUGCCCUCCUCACGCGACCUGAGACGUGGUCUCCCAUUCCGGUUAUGGUGGGUACAAGUGCGGUCACUGCACGACGGCAGUCGGGGUCAGUGAGGCAUUGUACGCCAAGGCGGUGAGCCCCUUUCUGUUGCCAGGGAAUCGAUGGGGACGGUUGAUAUGUGUGGGGACGGAGUGCCCCUACAUGUCAUGUGUUUAGGUUUACCUUGCAAGGAUAAAAACUCGAUUCGAAUCGUCUGCUUCUCGCAGCUAAUGAGACUGCUUGAUCCAUUGUACUGCAUUGAGUAACAAGUGGAAAUAUGAUGAGUUGAUAUAAGAUGUUGAUUGCUAAUAAUGCUUGCUACUAUGUAUGAGUAGAUAGUACACUUUUAGCCUUAAGAGAGUCACACUUAAAUUGACAAAGUUAAAACUUGACUUAGAAACACAGCUAGUGCUUUUGGCAACCAAACCCCACAGCCAAACAGCUGCAUGUCUAGAGGUAGAGGAGUAGACUCCUCACACCGGGUAAGUCUAGCUGAGUAUUAGUAUACUCAGCCUUGCUUGUGGCAUAAUUUUACAGGUUCUCUGGAGGACAUGGUUGCUGGAGUGACUUGGCCGUCCAUCUUGCCACCGGGUUGGACUGUCGAGUGGGACCCCGCCUCGGCUGAGGAGGAGCAUGAGGAGUGAUGGGACAGGCUUCCCCAUCUCUCUGUUUAAUUACCGUUAGUUUUAUUCCGCUGCACUUCGAACAAUGACAACUACUUUUGCAAAACUUCUAUGAUGAUGUAAUAAUUUAAUACUCUUUCAUGCAUGGUUUUAUGCUUUAUUGUAUUUGCUCUGUGACUCACCAUCGAGUGAGAUUGUGGUACUUGAUCCUGUCAGUGGCCGUGUCGGACUAGAUCCGAGGGAUUGACGGGUUAUUCCCAUUUAAGUGUGGUCUAGCCUCUGAGGCGGGACUUAGGCACUUAAGUUGGAAUAAUUCGGGCAGUUCCGCCACAGCUGGUAUCGGAGCUUGUACCACCACAUAGGAAUCAAUAAAAUGUAAAUACCAUCAUUUUCCCAAAAUAAAAUUUGAUAGAAACAAUGUUGGAUUGAUAGUAGAACGAGCAGGAUAGACCUAGUACGUGAAGCCUUAGGGUAAUAGAAGGGUAGCUAGGUGGCUAAGUAAUUAGGCCCUAUAGGCCACUUUUGCAGGAUGGGAGUUCUCCCCUAUUCCUUUUAUCUUGUUGUGAGGUCGUUCAGGACGAGCAUGCAUGCAUUCUUAACUAAGCAAAUGGAUAACUUAGUAAGGACUUAAAAACAAGAUAAUAACCAACUAGGUCCCCAGUGCCUUCUUAUUUAACUAGAGAAAGGUUGAGUUUUAUUUUUCUUGUUCUUUUUAUAAUUCUUUUUCUUUUACUUACGCUUAACCGUACACAGAUGACUUCCCACGGAUCCUCAGAGGACGGAAAUGCACUGUCCCACACUGACGGGCUUGCACGAGAGGGCUUUCCCCGCAUUUUGUGGGAGGUACUUCAGGGGGCCGGAUACGCGACACCCCCUCGGUACGCGGUGCAGCAGUUCGAGAAGCACCGAGUACCCCGUUGUAGGGUGAGGAUGACCUUGGAGCCUCAUCCCCUGCAGCCAGGCUGGCGCUCAUUGGACUCCGAGUCUUUUGGAUACCGAGCUGAGGACACGAUCGAGGCGAUCGCUCUGCAUGGAUUGACCACUUUCUGCGGAUUCCAUCCUUUGGAGCUGGCUACCCACCCCAUUGGCUUGUUCCCCGCCGAAAGGGAGGACGACCCCAUGUGGAAGGAUCGGGUGGAGCAUGCCAAGGAUAUCUGGGCCAUCUACCCAGGACAGACUGCGCACUUGACCGUACGGUGCAUGAAUGCUCUGUACCGUCUGCAAGUGAUGCGCGGUGAGGCGAUGUCCCAUCUGAUGGCACUAUUGGAGGCAACAAAGAUUACCUUGGACAACAGGGAGGAGCUUGUGGUUGAUUUGUCCACUGAAAUGGUGGAGAAGGACUUGCAGGUGGAGCAGCUAUCCACUGAUAUCCAAGAGUUGGAGGAACUAGUGGGCACCAGGGAGAACACCAUCGAGGUUCUCGAGGAUCAACUCAUUAACACCCAGCAGCAGCUUGCCGAGGCUAAUGAGCACCUGGAUAUGCAUCAUCAGGAGAUCCAGGACAUGGAGGCCAACGAGGACGUCGACAUCGAGGGAGGAGAGGAGCCUGCCUCUAGUGUGGACACUGCUGGCUCAGGGAGACCACCUUCCCCCGAGUCGAGUGUUGCCUCGUUCGCUCACUAGGUGUUCAGGAUAGGGUUAGAAGUUGGAUGGUAGGACUCCUCGCAGCUAGCUUAGCUUUUGCACCCUUGGGGUACUAGGCUAGAUAGAGUUGAGUCUUUUUGGGACAAAUGAUGUAAUUGUGAUAAACUCUUUUGGAAGCAUGUUUGAUGGAUGCUGUUAUCAGUUUUAAAUUUGGAAGGAAAAAAGUUAUGCCUUUUUAAAUCCUUUGGUUGAAGUUGGAGUCUAUCAUUUUGCUUUUGACUCUUUUCGCCGCGAUUAAAUCUUGAACUUGGAAAUAUGGUGUUAAGUAUAUAUGUGGUUUUUCAGAUGGCUGGGAGGCAGCGUCGUGGCCAGAACGAGCGCGUUCCUCCACCGCCGCCACCGCCUCCCACUCUGCAGGAGCUCAUGGCUCAGCAGAAUGAGAUCUUGAGACAGCCGGCCCAGCGUCAGCCACCACCUCAGCAUUAUGGUGGUGGAGACCAUCAGUGUCACCCCACGGCAGCUACCUACCAGGAGUUUCUUAGUACCCAGCCUCCAUUGUUCACCAGGGCAGAGGACCCACUUGAUGCAGAUGUGUGGUUGCGAGUGGUGAAAUCCAAAUUCCCGCUACUCCAUGGAGCUUGUUCUGAAGUCACUAAAGUCAGGUUCGCCACCCAGCAGCUUCGUGGACCCGCAAGGACUUGGUGGGACCAUUUUCUUGCCAUGCAGCCAGAGGAUCGAGAGGUGGAAUGGAGGGAGUUCAAGGCAGCUUUCAGGGGACACCACAUACCAGCCGGGAUUAUGGACCGAAAGCUCAACGAGUUUCUGGCACUCACUCAGGGCAACAGGACAGUGUUGCAGUAUGCCCAGGCUUUUAAUGACUUGUGCCAAUAUGCUGGAUAUCACGUAGACACGGAUGAGAAGAAGAGAGACAGGUUCAGGAGGGGGCUCAGCACUAAGCUCCGUGAUCGUCUCAACACCGUCAGGGCCAACAGUUACAAUGAGUUGGUCAACAUGGCUAUCUCCCAGGAGGACUGCAUUACAGCUCGACAGGCAGAAAAGAAGAGGAAGACCCCUGUGGCAGGACCUUCAGCUCAGCCACAGCGCUUCAGGAUUGUGUCCGACACGCAGAGCAGGGGACCGCAGCAGCAGCCAGGGAGAUGGGUGAUCCGACCACAGCAGCAGCAGCAGCAGGCACCCAACCGUACCCAAUUUCCAGCUCAGAGGAACAACCAACAGCAGCAGCAGUACCGCCAGGCAAAUGACAACAGGUGUUUCACAUGUGGCAACACCGGACAUUAUGCCAAAAAUUGCCCCAGGAACCAGCAGAGGCAGGGGCAGAAUGUUAAUCAAAACCAAGGCAAGAGGCAGAAGGUGCAAGUGAGGCAGGGCAGGCUGAACUUCACCACCAUGGCUGAUAUUCCCGAGGGAGCACCCGUCAUGACUGGUAUCUUUACAGUUUUGAAUUAUCCUGCUAUUAUUCUAUUUGAUUCUGGUGCAUCGCAUAGUUUUAUCAGUGCCAAAUUUAGUGCCAAGUGCCAGUUGCCCUUUCACCACACCGAUGGGGGCAUUACAAUUUCAACACCAGGAGGCAGGGUUGCCACUUAUCAAAUCAACAGGCAAGUGCCUAUAAAAUUUGGUAGCCUUGUGAUUAGAACCACCCUUCUCAUCUUAGGAUUGGAUAGCGUGGAUAUUAUAUUGGGAGCUGACUAGUUGACCAGGCAUCAGGCAGUAUUGGAUAUUGCAGCCAGGGCCAUUGAAAUUCAUUCCCCUGCUUAUGGUGAGACUGUUUUAUAUUUACCUGGCCAGGGAUGCACCCGUUCUUGUGCCUUUGUUAUGAUAGAGUCCCCAGUGGAAAAGAUCCCAGUGGUCCGUGACUACCCGGAUGUUUUUCCGGAUGAAUUGUCAGGGAUGCCACCUGACCGAGAUAUUGAGUUCGCCAUCGAAUUGCAACCCGGGACUACUCCUAUCUCUAAGAGACCCUAUAGGAUGCCUCCCGUAGAAUUGGCAGAACUGAAAAAGCAAUUGCAAGAAUUGUUGGACAAGGGGUUUAUUCGCCCAAGUACUUCGCCUUGGGGAUGUCCCGCCUUGUUCGUAAAGAAAAAGGAUGAGAGUUUGAGGAUGUGUGUUGACUACCGCCCUCUCAAUGCGGUGACUAUCAAGAACAAAUACCCACUGCCCUGUAUUGAUGUUCUGUUUGAUCAGUUGGUAGGAGCCAAGGUAUUCUCCAAGAUAGACCUUCGCUCAGGUUACCAUCAGAUCAAGAUCCGUGCCAGCGAUAUUCCCAAGACCGCUUUCUCUACCAGAUAUGGGCUGUAUGAGUUUUUGGUGAUGUCUUUUGGGCUGACCAAUGCCCCGGCUUAUUUCAUGUACUUGAUGAACUCAGUAUUUAUGCCAGAGUUAGACAAGUUCGUGGUCGUUUUCAUUGAUGAUAUUCUGGUUUAUUCCAAGAAUGAAGCCGAGCACACCAAACAUUUGCAUACUGUACUUCAGAGACUGCGUGACCAUCAGUUGUAUGCUAAGUUGUCUAAAUGCGAAUUCUGGCUGAAGGAGAUCAAAUUCUUGGGUCACACAAUUUCUCAGGAUGGGAUAUCAGUUGAUCCUGAGAAGGUACAAGAGGUGAUUGAUUGGAAACCCCCGUCUACAGUGAAGCAAAUUCGGAGUUUUCUGGGAUUGGUAGGGUAUUAUCGACGAUUUAUUCCGGAUUUCUCCAGGAUUGCCAAACCAAUGACGGAACUGUUGAAGAAAGGAGUCAAGUAUGAUUGGAGCCAAAGGUGUGAAGAUGCCUUUCAUACUUUGAGGCAGCAUUUGACAACAACCCCAGUGCUGGCUCAACCUGACAACACCAAGCCAUUUGAAGUUUAUUGUGAUGCUUCUGGUACAGGAUUGGGGUGUGUCUUGAUGCAAGAGAACAGAGUCAUUGCUUAUGCUUCCCGAGCACUCAGGCCCCAUGAGCAGAACUACCCUACACAUGACCUGGAGCUGGCAGCUGUGGUUCAUGCUCUUAAGAUAUGGAGACACUACUUGAUGGGAGCUCACUGUAACAUCUACACUGAUCACAAGAGUCUCAAAUACAUCUUCACUCAGGCAUAUCUGAACAUGAGGCAAAGGAGAUGGUUGGAGUUAAUCAAGGACUAUGAUUUGGAAGUGCAUUACCAUCCUGGCAAAGCCAAUGUUGUGGCAGAUGCCUUGAGCAGAAAGGCCCAGUGCAAUUGUAUGAGCAUGGAUGCAAGAGUUACCACCCUGUGCGAUGAGUUGGGCAAGCUGAACCUGGAAGUUGUUUCUUCGGGUGACUUAAGUUAUAUCUCAGUGGAACCCACAUUGCAAGAGCAAAUAGUGAGGGCACAGAUUGAGGAUAAGGGUGUUCAAAUGAUUAAGGAAAUGAUCAAGCAAAAGGCAGAGAAAUACAAGUGCUUCCGUCAGGACAGCAAGGGAAUUUUAUGGUUUGGAGACCGAUUGGUUGUUCCCAGGGACCCUAAGCUCAGAAAGAAGAUACUGGAUGAAGCUCACCUUUCCAAAUUCUCCAUGCACCCUGGUAGCAACAAGAUGUACCAUGAUCUCAGAACUUUAUAUUGGUGGACCAGAAUGAAGAGGGAAAUUGCCAAGUACAUAUCCGAGUGUGACACUUGCCAGAGGAUAAAGGCUAGUCACUUGAAGGCAGCAGGCCCCUUGCAACCCCUUCCCAUACCAUCUUGGAAAUGGGAGGACAUUUGCAUGGAUUUUAUUGUAGGAUUGCCCAAUACCUCCAGGCACCAUGAUUCUGUUUGGGUUAUUGUGGAAAGGUUGACCAAGACCGCUCAUUUCUUGCCAGUGCACACCACCCACAAGACGGAGAAGUAUGCAGAAAUUUAUGUUGAUCAAAUAGUGCGAUUGCAUGGUAUUCCAAAGACCAUUAUAUCUGACAGAGGAGCACUAUUCGUGGCACGCUUUUGGGAGAAGCUGCAAGAAUCACUUGGGACCCAAGUAAUCCGAAGCUCAGCAUACCAUCCCCAAACAGAUGGUCAGACAGAAAGGGUGAAUCAGAUUCUGGAAGACAUGUUGCGAGCAUGUGCACUACACUACGGGAAGGAUUGGGACAAGUGUCUUUCUUUGGCAGAGUUUUCUUACAAUAACAGCUAUCAGUCCAGUCUGAAGAUGGCACCUUUUGAAGCCUUAUAUGGGAGAAGGUGUAGGACCCCACUGAAUUGGUCUCAAGCAGGAGAGAGGGAAAUUUUUGGGCCAGACUUGGUACUUGAGGCAGAGGCAAAGGUCAGGGUUAUUACCAAGAACUUAGAAGCUGCUCAGGCCAGGCAAAAGAGCUAUCAUGACAAGAGGCAGAAGCCUCUACAGUUUGAGGUGGGAGAUCAUGUUUAUCUUAAGGUGUCACCCACCAAGGGUGUCCAGAGAUUCGGGAUCAAGGGCAAGUUAGCUCCUCGCUACAUUGGACCCUAUGAGAUCAAAGCAAGUUGUGGACCUGUAGCCUAUCAAUUGGAAUUGCCACCUCACAUGUCAGCAGUUCACAAUGUGUUCCAUGUAUCUGAGCUGCGAAAAUGUGUUCGCCUACCCACUGAAGUGCUGCCAGAACCAGAUUUUGAGGUAGAACCAGACUUGUCCUACCAAGAGUACCCUGUCAAGGUAUUAGAUCAGAAGGAGAGAUCAACUCGAGCAAAAUCAGUCAGAAUGUACAAGGUUCAGUGGAGUCACCAUUCAGCAGAAGAAGCUACAUGGGAGACUGAGGAUUUUCUGCGCUCUCGUUUCCCUGACUUUCUACCCAAAGGAGUCGGUACGUAACCCCAAAACCCCACCCCCACCUGCCCUUUGAAUUCAAUUAUAAGAAAAACUUAGAUAACAAGGAUAGUCUAAGUUGUGGAUUUAACUUAAGAAGGGCUUCCUUCUGAAGUUGCAAAGAGAAUGACAUUCGAAGAGCAGUUAACAAGAGAAACUUGAGUAUAAAGAAAGAAUAGCACCAACACACCUUCAAGCACCCUCCAAGGGACUCUACCUAAAAUCUCGGGACGAGAUUCCUUUAAGGGGGGAGGGCUGUAACACCCCAGGUGUUACCAUGGCUAGAGCACACCUUGGCACUACAGACUAUGAUCACAUGUGGAAGAACUUAAGGAGUAAAGGUAUAAGGGCUUUGGAAACUAGGUUUUAACCAAGAGUUGUGAAUGACCAAAGGCAUUACUCUAUUUGUGUGCAACUAUCACCUUGGAUAAGAGGGGGGAAAGAACCCUAGACCUCUCUUAAACCCUAUCUCCCCAAAACCCUGGAUAAGAGGGGAAAGAGAGUGAGCAAAUGUACACAACAUGGGUAAUCUUUGACAAAACCAUAAGUAACCUUAUAACCAGCAAUUAGGGGAAGGUAAUAUUGCAAAAAGACCCCUGGAGAAACCCCCAAAUCAAAUCUCCAAGUGGAGAGAGAGCUAGAGCUCUCUAUUUCUCUCUAAGUUAAAAACUACACCUACACUAAAGAUCAGUCGUGUUCACCUCGAAGCUGGCACCAAAUCCACCUAUGUCCUAUACCAAAAAUGUGGCAUACCACCCAAGGCACCCACUGGAAAAAACUGAGCCCGAGACUUGGACGUUUGACAUGCCUUGGCAUGGUUUUUGUCGCGAAGUGGGCAGUGUGACACACCCGAUUUGGCGACCAGAGAUCUCCCUACCUAGGCCAUAUCUACCAUGGCAGCUCACGGAUGAGAGACAACCCUAGGUGCCAGGAAAAGACUCGCGCCGGAUUUUUGCCAAGAUUCGCACGUUUGCGACUUGGGUGAGCUGUGGAACACGGGCAGAAUGAAAGCUCCAUGUGUUCGAUGCGCUCUGUGUGCGCCAGAGCACGCCCGCGCGCGCCCCGCGUCGCGCCAACGGCCAGCCGGCGCCCUGUCCCGCGCCCGCGCCUAUAAAGCCCACCUAGGUGUCGGCUGCACUCUUCCGCGCAUGCUCAAACCUCACCGGAGCUCAGUUCACCGCCGUUUGCCCGUGCGCGGCGUGUCCGCGGCCGCCCGAGCCACUGCCGCCGUAGACCGGCCAGUCCAGCUUUCCCCAGCCCCAUCCAACCCUCGGAGACUAGUGUGCACACAUCAGUAAAGCUCCCCGAGCGAGGAAUCGAAGCCUGCUUCGCCGGAGAGGCCAGUCCACGGUCGCCGGAGUUGUCAACCCCGCCGGAGUACGUGGACCGGGUAAUCCGCUCAACCAUUUUCCGAUUCCUCGUGCACACGGUCUCUACGUUACCCCGUGAAGCUCAUAGUGCCCUUGGAUUGAACCAGAUCGCCGUGGUUUGGCCGGUACACUCGCCGCCGACGAGAACACCCGGCUGCGCGCGUGGACCGAGCGAUUCCGGCCAUCCCCGCUGCCGAGCCGCACCUCGCUGUGACCGCCAGAGCCUCCCCGAGCCAACCCUGCCCUUCGCCGGACCUAUCUCGCCGCCGGUAAGCCGUGCCACCCUUUUCUUUCCCGCGGGUACUGUUUACAUUGGGGGAAGGACUGCGGGUGAGAGGAAGAGAAGGUCAGGGGGCUUUUUGAACUGUCAGCGACCUAGGGGAAUAGUGGCGCAAGGGUAGAACUGCGAAGAUUGAUUUAGCUUUAACCCAGGGACCUCGGUGUAAACUGUUUUUCCAGGAAACUCUUAUUAAAUCUGUUUUUAAUUUGAACAGAAACUUUAAAAACUCAUAACUUCUGUUUAGUUCAUCCAAAUUUGGUCAAACCAAUUUUGCCAGACUCUAAUUAAUGUGACCUACUUAAGAAAAAUAUAAAACCUCCUAGGUACUAUAGAAUACUUUAAAGUUCUGAUUUAAUUAUAGUUUUAGCCAAAAGCUCAAUAAUAGAAAGAAAAAUAGUUGUGCUAUUUGACUAGGGUUAGAAAAAUUUGGAGAAGUUUAUAUCUACCUACUAACCUGUUUAAAAAUGUUAAACCUCUCUGUCCACUCCAUUAAGUUAGUUUUUACCCCUUUAUUCUAUAAUAUGCUUAAGGGUAAGAAAAAUAGAAAAGGUGAUUUAAAUAAUGAACCAGAGGGCACCCCUAUUUUUGUUAGGGUACUUAUUCAAUGUAGUUCACUGGAAAAAUCUAUCAUACCCUGGUUUAGUAUAAAAUAAGUGGGAUACCUUUUAUUUGAAUAAAACAAGGAAAACUUAGAAAAAACCUACAAAAAUAACCCCAAGGUGAAAACACCCCCACCCUUGGGAUAGUUAAUGUUUUGUUAUUAAGAACUUAGGAAAAAUAUGAAAUCUGCUGAUUGACAUUUUUCAAAUAAUAAUGUAGUGGAAAGUGCCUUUUUGACAUUAAACUUUAGAAAAUCAUAACUAAAUAACCACCCCUUAGCCUUCUGUGGUUUUUGGCACAGAAGCCUAUUAUUACUGUUAGAUGCCAACAAAAAUAACCCUUAGGACAGACCCCACCUCUAAUUAAGAGUUGUAGUACAUAGUGGCCCAUUUACCCAACUUUUAUUCUUUUUGUCUUAAGCAUAGCCUUUAUAUGUUGAGCCUCAAAUUCUUAAAACAGGCUAGAAUAGCAAAUGGCAACCCACUGUAAUUUUUACAGAAUUUUUGGAAAAUAUUAAACCACUGUCGUAGUUCAAACCUACACUAGAAACCAUAAGUAGAAAUUAAAGAAAGGAAAAUGAAUAAUGGUAAUUAGUGUCAUCCUAAAACCCUUGUAAUUUGUCCACUGAAAUGUAUAAGGACAAUACAAAUCCACUAUGUUAUCCUCAAUGAAAACCUAAGCCUAAAAAGUAAUAAGCAUAACCCACUGGAAGCCCCGCAUGACUAAGAAACCCUAAGUUACUUCUUGACUUAGUUUCUUUUAGCAUAAUGUUAUUAAAUCCUGCAUAAUCAUGACAUACAUGUUCAUUGCAUUUCGAUAGACUGUAACCUUGCUGACUGAGAGUACGUCCUCGUGCCGGAGCAAGGAGCUGCUCAGGAGGUAGCCCCGGACCCAGCACCAGAGCCUGCACCAGAGGACCUGCCUGCCACUGCUUUGGAAGGGAAGCCCCGGUUUAUGCAUAACCUGUUAUUUAUGCUAUCUUACUUCACUUAAUGAUUGUAGGAUUGAUUGUGCACUUAGGUGUAGGAAUUGUUUGAAACCCUAGUUGCAUGAUCUCAGGAAUCCUUUUUGAGAUGAAUACUAGUAUGAUAGGUCGAGUAGUUGCUUUAUUUAAUUAGGAUCUCGGUAGAAGACGGGUGAUUUUCUAGCACUCGCGCGAGAUCAGGAAUUGGUUGUACCCACUUUUAUAUCAUAUUGAUAUUGGGUUGGUGGACACGGAUCCAUGGGGAUGCGUGGUCUACGAGAUGAAAUUGGAAUAAGGAUUAACGUGCGGAUACCUGUGUCAAGCGUUUGAACGUACUAAACACAUACCGAGAAAUAUGGUAAAUCGGUAAGCCUAGUACCUGAGUGAACCUGCCCGCAGAUUGCCCUCCUCACGCGACCUGAGAUGUGGUCUCCCAUUCCGGUUAUGGUGGGUACAAGUGCGGUCACUGCACGACGACAGUCGAGGUCAGUGAGGCAUUGUACGCCAAGGCGGUGAGCCCCUUUCUGUUGCCAGGGAAUCGAUGGGGACGGUUGAUAUGUGUGGGGACGGAGUGCCCCUACAUGUCGUGUGUUUAGGUUUACCUUGCAAGGAUAAAAACACGAUUCGAAUCGUCUGCUUCUCGCAGCUAAUGAGACUGCUUGAUCCAUUGUACUGCAUUGAGUAACAAGUGGAAAUAUGAUGAGUUGGUAUAAGAUGUUGAUUGCUAAUAAUUCUUGCUACUAUGUAUGAGUAGAUAGUACACUUUUAGCCUUAAGAGAGUCACACUUAAAUUGACAAAGUUAAAACUUGACUUAGAAACUCAGCUAGUGCUUUUGGCAAUCAAACCCCACAGCCAAACAGCUGCAUGUCUAGAGGUAGAGGAGUAGACUCCUCACACAGGGUAAGUCUAGCUGAGUAUUAGUAUACUCAGCCUUGCUUGUGGCAUAAUUUUACAGGUUCUCUGGAGGACAUGGUUGCUGGAGUGACUUGGCCGUCCAUCUUGCCACCGGGUUGGACUGUCGAGUGGGACCCUGCCUCGGCUGAGGAGGAGCAUGAGGAGUGAUGGGACAGGCUUCCCCAUCUCUCUGUUUAAUUACCGUUAGUUUUAUUCCACUGCACUUCGAACAAUGACAACUACUUUUGCAAAACUUCUAUGAUGAUGUAAUAAUUUAAUACUCUUUCAUGCAUGGUUUUAUGCUUUAUUGUAUUUGCUCUGUGACUCACCAUCGAGUGAGAUUGUGGUACUUGAUCCUGUCAGUGGCCGUGUCGGACUAGAUCCGAGGGAUUGAUGGGUUAUUCCCAUUUAAGUGUGGUCUAGCCUCUGAGGUGGGACUUAGGCACUUAAGUUGGAAUAAUUCGGGCAGUUCUGCCACACCCUCUAGGAUCAUAGACCAUACCCAUAGACCAACACGAGUUUUUUGUGCGUACUUUGUCCUCACUCGUGCGCACCCGGGAAAAAUUUUCGGUCAGUCAUCCAUCCAAAGAUUGCUCUGGUCCAAGCUCGCUUAACCUAAAGGUUCUUUUGAGAAAGACUUUCGAAAAAGAAGAUGCACGUUGUUGGUAUGAGUACUCUAUUAAUUCUAUUAAGCCUUAGGCCAGAAUAUCAUCAUCCACAAGGGCCAGGAUAUCACAAUCCACCCCAUAGAAGAUCGACGUCCUUGUCAAUCAAACCCAAGCCAGGAACCUCCUCUCUUGGCCAUGUCUAUGUGUCCAAUGUUUUCAUAUUCCAUGCCAUGUGACCACUCUGGGAUCACAUGCUCUAUGCACCAUAUGCCCGAACCUCUAGCCCCCACACGCCUAUGAAACCACAAGGGUUGGCUCUGAUACCAUUUUUAACACCUCAUCCACUUUUGGACCGGUGGUACUUACUCCUGGCAACCCUCUAGGAUUAUAGACCAUCCCCACAGACCAACACGAGUUUUUUAUGUGCACUUUGUCCUCACUUAUGCACACCCGAGAAAAAUUACCGGUCGGUCACCCAUCCCAAGAGUGCUCUGGGCCAAGCACGCUUAACCCAGAGGUUCUUUCGAGACAGGCCUCCGAAAAAGAAGAUGCACCUUGUUGGUAUGAGUACUCUAUUAAUUCUAUUAAGCCUUGGGCCAGGAUAUCACCAUCCACUAAGGCCAGGAUAUCAUAGUGACUAGCUAUGGUGAAUGACACUUCAUACAUGCACCGAUGCGAGGAUGUGGAGGAGUGGAUCAAGUCAUCGGCGCGGUCGUGGACCGGUGGGACACGAGUCUAGGAUGUGGGGGACACGUAUGUAGUAUGCUACUUCGGAGGUUUUGGUGGUUGAGCCUCAAAACCACCCUGUGCCCUAGAGGGCUAGUUUCACCGAGUUUGGGUCUCAAAACUUGGUGGUGUGAGGCGACAUGUGGUGUCAUCGCGAAGGGUGCAUUGAGACAAAGCAACUUUGUGUGCAGCGUGUGGCUGUCAGAUGCAUAUCCUAGGGGUUGGUCCAUUUUCCCCGGUUAAGUGGACAAGCUCUAUGUAUCUAGGGGUAGUUUAGACUAGUGAAAUAACCCCAUAUAAAUAGGUGGGAGGGCUGUUAUGUGCAACCAUUUCUUUGGGCACUAUCUCGUUAGACUCAUGUUUAGAAAACCCUAGUUUUCAUUUCCUAGGUUGCACUAGUUCUUAGCUGUAACACUAUAAAAAUCAUUAAAUAAAAAUAAUCCAUUUAAUUAUUAAUGGUAUUUAUGGUAAUAAAUUUUCUUUUAAGUGUUUGCUAUUUAUUUGCAUUUGGAAUGAUUUUUGAUUUGCUCAUAAUUGAUUUUUAAUAUUUAAUAGCAUUUCUACUUAAAUGGAAAUCCAAAUAAGUAAUAUAAUAAUUAUUAGUCCAAAAAUAAAUAUUUUAUUUAUAAAUAGUUUUUUGUGAUUAUUAUGAAAUUUAGGGUUAUUUAAAAAUAUAAUUCGAAUUUACAAAAGGAAAUAGAAAAGAAAAAGAAAAAGAAAAAAACUAAAACCUAACCUAACUAACCCCUUGACCCAUUAGGCCCAUCAGGAACCGACCGCUCCUAACCCUAGCCGGCUGGCCCCUGGCCUUCUCCCCCUGCAACCGCCGCCACCCACCCGGCCUCUCUCCCACCCGGCCGCCCUACUCCCGUUCUCUCUCCUUCCUCGCUUCUCUCUCCCCGCGCCCACGGAGCCCAGCGUCCACGCUCAAGCGUGCCCCGAGCCGCGACACCGACCGCCAGGCGCCCUUCCCCGCGUGACCCGACCGGCCGAGCCGCCAGGAGGACCGCCUAGGACCCGGCCGCGCUCCGCGCCCUGCAACCCCCGACGCCGAGCAGUGCCCGCGCCUGGAGCCGCCAAAAGACGCGCGCCCCUGCGCCCAUCAACGCCCGACGCCCCGGCCGACCGAGCUGCGCAGCCGACCUGCCACACCCGCGCCAAGCCCGUCCGUUCGAGUUAAUGGAGCGUCAACCCGAUCGUUUCUCUGAGUUAUUGGCGCCGUUUCUCCUCCCCAUUACUCUCUCCCUCCAUCAAUGGUGCCUUGAAGCCAUGGCCGCCGUUUCUCUUCUCUCCCCAGCGCCCUCGCCUAUAAAAUGGACGCCGAGCCCUCUCCUUCUCCCUGCCCGAGCUCACUCUCUCUUCUCGUGCUUCCCUCGCUCUCGCAGUGUAGUUCGCCGGAGUUCGCCGUCAUGACUCGCUGGAGUUCGUACUCACCGUUCGCGUUCCCCAUCCGGAGCUCCGCCCGAAUGCUCACCAACGAUUGGCCAUUCCCUGCCCGUCGAACCCCGUUCGUCGACGUUCAUCCCUGCGCAUGAACGAAAACCCAAGGUUGAAGACAACCCCAACCCGUUAAUUUAUUGUCUACAUCAUGUGUUGAAUUAAUUUAUGAAUUUGUGAAUUAUCGUUGUAAUAUUAUGCGACUUGGCGAUUUGUGUAUGAUUUUAGAGAUUCCGAUGUAUACGUGUAACCAAAAUCGAAUCCCGCGUCAAUAUUUUAAAAUACGUAUGAUUUUAUAGUUCUAAAAAUGAACACGGUCACUAUUCACUAACAUAGUAAUUUUCAUACUAGAAAUGUUUAUAAUUAAUUUUGUUUUAGUGUGUGGAGCGAUAAUCAGUUAGUAUUGAUAUAAGUAUAAUUUUAGUGAUAUAAGAAAUUGAAAUAGGAAUUUAAACCACGUAUUUCCGGUCGAAUGAAAUAUAUAUUUCACUAUUCAUAAUAAAUGAAUUCAUAAGUAUGGCACUUAAGUACUUAGAAUUAGUAAGACAUUUAUUUAUGUCAUAAUAACCAUGAUUAUGUUAUUAAAAGUCUCAUUUAGUAAUUUACAUUAAUUCUUAGUAUAUUAAUGUCAGAAGAAUUAUAAAUAAACAAUUUUUAGUAUACGCAUAAAUUCUAUUUAAGAAGAAAAAUUGAAAGAAUAGAAUUUUAUUAUGUUAAAAUGACUUAAUUAGACGUCCAUGCUUUCCUAAUAAAGAAAAUGAUAGUUCUGUUGUUAAACAUAGGUUUCUUACUAAAGAAUUAGAUAAUUUGUUCCUAGUUUAAAAUGACCUUUUAAUAGAUAUCAUGUUUUUGAUUUAAUAAGGUUCGUUAUAGAUGUUUAAGUAUAGCUGUAUUAAAUAGAAACUUAAAAGAAUAUGUAGACCAUAUGUUUCUUAAUAAAAUUAAAAUGAUAAUCAUUUAUUAUCCCUUCACAUAAAACUCAUUUAGUCUCAUAUUUAAGUAUCCAUAAUCAUAUGCUUUACAAUAGUAAUAUGUCAUAUAACUUUUCUAACAAUGAUAUAAUGGCUUAAUUAAGUGCUCACAUCGUCAUAACUAAAAUGAUAGUUAAUAAUAUACCAAUAAUAUAGUAUUCAUUUUAAUUAUCUAGAUCAUUUGUUCCUACAAUAGAAUUAAAGAUAAUUAAUAGAUUAAUUAUCCUUUAUCAUAAUUUAUUAAUCAAACCUAUAGUCAAUUUGUUCUUAACUAGGUUUAUGGCAUGAUUAAUGAUUUCAUAGAAUUUAGUGCACAUUAUAUACGAAUCACUUAGCUUUUCCUAAAGGAUAAAAUAAAGUAAUAAGAGUUUAAGUUCUUUUAUAACUUAAAAUGUUACUUUAUAUAUAUUGACUUCAAAUAUAAUAAUAUAGGCUGUGUGCUUUUUAAUGAAAUUAAAUGAUGGUUAUGUGUUCAUUAUCUUUUGCAUGGCCCAUAACCUAACUCAUCUUAAAUAGGUUAUUAAUAAUAUAAUUAUGAUCUUUUCACAUAAAAAGUUGUUUAUGAGCUUUUUAUAAAAGUAAUGUUUAAUAAUGUGUUUUAUGACUCAUUAACGUUAGAUAUAUAACAUAUAUCUUCUCUAAAAGGUUAAAAAGUUUAAUAUUGUUAUAACAUGUUUUAUCAUCUUAUAAACCCUUUAUUUUAGACGUAUCACAUAUGAUGUUUUAUAAAAGAUUAAAUUGGUGAACCAAAUAUUUGCAUAUUUUAAUUAAGAUUUUUUAAGCUCAUGUCUUGUUUUAUAAAGUAUAGAUCACACAUUUUUGAAAAGAAUACAUUCUUAUUAUAACCAUUACUUAUGACGUUUUUGAAAAGCGAACGCUCUUUUUGUUAGGCUUUCUUUUAGCUUUACGUAUGGUGAAUGUUGUAUGUUAUUAAGUGGUGUUUGUUCUUCUUGUUUGUUUGUGUGAUAUUCAGUGGUUGAUCUAGUAGUUAAGAAUCAAGAUCUAUUCCUAUCCGUGGAAGAACCUCAAGUUUUCAAUAACCAAGGCAAGUGGACUUCUCUCUCUGCAUAUUCUGUUUGAUCCCAAACAAUACAUUUAAUAAAGUUUAUUCUUGGAUAUAUAUAUGCAUAAUUUGAUGGGUUACCUAUUUAGAUACCCCUAACCUUUUCAACCUUAUUCCUUGAUCAUACCUGGGUAUUGCUACAACUUUAAAUUUAUACAAUCACUCCUGUUUAUGAUAUUAAUGUUCCAAAUGGUAAGAUUACUUUAUUGUUGUUAACCCGAUGGUUAAACAAGAUUAUUGCAUAUUAAUUGGAACAUGGAGUGACCACCCGGGAAAACAGUGCUACCAUGAGAACUAUCAUGGCUCUGGUCUUGGCUAAAUAACUAGGGAAGUCUUAUGUUGGGUGCUGGUCGUGGUUGACCGGAACGGGGGCAUCUGACAAGUUCUUAUAGUUUCGGCUCAGGCAGAUUGGAUACGGUCAUAGUUCCCAAAGCUUUACCCUGCAGUCUGGACUAUAAGUUGGUCACGUUAGGUGUGCUUUAUGCAGUUGACCGUUUCCAUCAUUUGCGUAAUGAGGACUCUAGGGAGAAGCCUCGUAGUGAGACCCUGGCCAUUCACCUCGGAAGUGAAUACGGGUCUAGCUAACCCGGGCUAGAAGGGAAUCGCGACUCAUGGGUAAAGAUAUGCCACCUCUACAGAGUGUAAAACUGAUAUAUCAGCUGUGCUUACGGUUAUGAGCAGUCUGGACUCCUCACAUAAUAAUUGAACUUGAAGAUGGAAAUAAAUCGAGAUCCGAUGAUCUGGCAAUGGUUUGCUUAAGUGGUUUCACUUAAGUGUUUUUGAUAUACUCUUAUACCUCUGUUAAAUGGGAAUGCUUGGGAUUCACACUUAUUAGUAAGACAGGCGUUGUUAAUAAAAUGUUGACCAACUAAAAUGCUUACUGCUCAACCUUAGCCUCACCUUGUUAAACUUGCAUUAGUUUUUCCCCCACUUGCUGAGCCCCGACCAUAAGUGAGCUCACCCUUGCUUAAUUUUGAUCAGAAGUUUGCAGAUGAAGAUAUGAUGCUGAACUCCGUUGAUGCUAGUCUAGUGAUACCCCCGGUCAUCUUCCUGUGGAUAGAUGUCCUUGUUUCGCUGUACUUUGAUGAAUAAAGGUUAAGACAUUAUGUCUGUUCGAAGUGUAAUAUGUUAAUAUAAUCAUUAUUUACGCUUUUAUGCAUUGUUCUUUUGAUAUAUUACACUUGUGACGUCAACAUAUGUGUGGAAAUAGAUCCUGGCACACAUAUGCUAUGCACCCGGCUCUGCCCCUUAGAAACGGGUGUGACAGAAGUGGUAUCAAAGCCAAUGUGACCGUAGGUCGCUAGGUUAGUUAGAAAUGGAAAGCCCAGUCAGUCUUUCAAAGUCUGAUAUAUUUUCCUCCAUAAAAACUUACUUUAUAUCAAAACUCGUCUCUUUUAUUUUCAACCCUUCUUGUUUGAUUCUUCGUCUAUCAGAAGGUUCUAAUGAGAAGCAUUGCAAGAUGAACAAGCUAGGAUUGCGGAACUUGAAGAAGUUUGCCAGAAGAAACCCUUUCGAAGCUAUCGAUGAUGCCCUAUUCUCUGUCUUAUCCCCACUCCGCAAGAAGUUUUGUUAUGGAUCCCCUGAUCUAUUAUUAGACUUCUUGGUUAGGUUGAUAGGAUUGUUCUUUAGUAUUAAGAUUUUCGACUAGAUUGGUAAUGGCGAUAUUAUAUUAUAUUAUAGUGGUUUUCUAAUCCCUAAUAUUGCUAUAUAACCUUGACUUCUUAUACUUUUGUUUUCUUGCCAUUAUAUUGCCACCCUUGCGCAAUAUCUACCUUGAUAUACUGAGUUCUUUGUCUCCUUACUCCUACUUGAUAAUGCCUCUCUAUUUUGUCUUCUUGAUAACACUUUCUCCCUAACCCACUUCAUAUCCUUGGUUGUAUCAUUUAUCCUCACGAUUAAUGGUUUAUGGUUAUGUUAUUUCACUCUUGGCCACCAACAAAUAUGUCUUGUCUAACUCCUCGCUAUUUCUUACCUGACUCCUUGACUUUAUAAUAUCUUUCCUAUUUCAACCCUUGUCUCACUUUUUGUUUUGGUUGAAUGAGUAGAAUUGGAUUGUGUUGUGCUGGUAUGUUUGAGUUCAUUGUCCUUUGUGUUCAUGUUUGAUUUGCUUCUUUGAAAUGAUUGUUGGUGUAUUGUGUGACUUUUGUUCACAAUGACAUCAUUUAGCUAGGUAAAACCUUAGAUAGAUGGUUUUUCUCUGCUCUCUAUAAUCUAUCUUUCCUCAACCCUUUCGUCCCUUCCAUUCUUUCAUACCCAUAUAGAUGUCAGACCUUGGAAUGUCAACUACAACUGAUGUCACUAAAUGCAAAGAAUGUGGUGUGUUGACAAGUCAAAACAACAUUGUAAGUAAAAUAGCUGAUGAACAGACAUUCAAGACACAAAAGGAUGCACAACCAAACCAAUAGACAAGUGACCUUGGAACAUGUUGUUGUUGUGAGUACUAUGGAAUUCCUUGUCGCCAGAUUAGUACAAACAAAAGUGAAACUACAAAACAGAAGAACCAGAUUUUAUUUUCUGGCAUAAAAAACAGAUGUCUCCCCAAGAACAACUAAUAGAAGAUUCUCUCAUACCUAAUGCACUGUCAGUUGAUGAGUUGCAUAGUAUUUCAAAAAGGAAACAUCACAAGGAUGCCCAGCCCCAAGAAGAAACACAGGAGUGUUACAUUGACGGAUGGACUAUUACUUGCACACAGUUUCAGCCUCGUCGUCGCAUCAGGUCCAAGAAACAAAAGGGAAACAUGAAAAAGUCAAGAAAUAACUUCAAGAAAAGCUUGCUAUCAAUGUGGACGUGAAGAUCAUUACUUCCGUAACUGUCCUGAGAAGAGUUCACUAUAGAUCACCUCUGAGAUAAAGCUAUCUCAGUCUUCAGACAUGGAAUAUGAACAAAAAUGCAUAGAAACUUCUACCAACAAUGUAAAUACAACUCCACCAUAUAACUCAUCAAGUCAUGCUUGCUUUGGCUGUGGAGGUACCGGCCAUCUUGUUAAUAGUUGUCUUAAGAAAGAUGUGAAGAUCAAUAAGGUCCAAAAGAAAAGACAACACCCUCAAACUCAUGCAUCAACAAAGAAUAAACAACGGAAAAGGUCCAUAGGAAGGAUAAGUUAUGCAGUGACAGGAACCAUUCCGUAUAAUAUUGCAGUAAUUUUUGGAACACUAGUCAUUCACACAACUAUCGCCACCGUGUUGUAUGAUCCUCGUACAACACAUUCUUUUAUCAGUGCCCAGUUUGCAACAAAGUAUGGUAUCUUUAAGUGUCCCUUGAGAUCAAGGAAGACCAUCAGUGCACCCGAAGGAAAAAUGUUAGUAAACUACAUAUGUCCAAAUGUAAGUGUUAAAAUCAAUGGAAUAGAUUUUCCAGCUGAUCUUAUAGUGAUAGAAUCAAUGGGAAAGGAUGUGAUUCUUGGAAAGAAUUGGUUACAAAGAACUAAGGCAGUAAUCCAACAUACUGAGAGAACCAUGUGUUUGGAAACCCCAUCUGGAGAAAGAAUAGUAGUUGAAGACAAUCGACCCCCAGCUUUGAUUGGUGCAUCUGACAAGGAAGAAUAAUAUACCACUUAGCUAGAAGAAGGAGUAUGUCUCACGAAGAAAAAAAAAUUCAAGGUGUUGCCCCUUUCAAGAUUUGUAAUAGUGCUAAGUGAUAUAUGAAUAAAUUUGAAGAAUCUCUCGCACCUAUCGUGUUUGCCUCUUUAUAAGAGAAUAAAGUAUGGUGUCAUCUGCUAUAUGCAAACAAUGUGAUGCUCUACUCUAGUUGCCCUAAGUCCCGCUCAAGUCUUUCUCUCUAAUUGUGCUCAAAGGAAUACUGUUGGAUUAGAAAGAUGAUUUGGAUAUCAUGCUCUGAAAUAUAUAAGGUUCAAAAGGAUCUAUGUUAAGGAUAAUAACACUUGUACACUCUUGUAGUAUGAUGAAGCUAGAUAGAAAUCUGAGACCAUCCUUAUUCCUUAACUAAUCUUAUAUUGGAAAUCAAAAUGUUGAUCUUUAUCUUAAUGUCGUACAAGCCUCUUAUGCAGUCUGUCUCACUAACUCUUUUACCCUCUGACUAGAUGAUGAAUGUAACACCCCUGGUGUUACUGUAACUAAAACUUGAGCAUGGCAUCAUAAGCAUUGGCAUUGCAUAUGUUUGACACACCUAGAGUGCAUUCACUAGGCAAAAAUUUCAAACAAGUUGUAUUGUUUUAAUGUUUUUGCAAAUAGAACCCUAGUUAAAGGACUUAACCCUAAAUAGUGGUUAAAGGGGUAAAACUUAACCCAAGUUGAGAAAACCUAAAAGCCUUAAGGGUAAAAGUCAUAAAAUGACCCCAAAGAUAAAUUUGAAUCACCUUUAUACCCCAGGAAUACCAGAAACCCUAAUUGGAACCCUGGAAAACCCUAAAACCAAACCCUAGGGGCUUAUGUGCAAAAGUGAGGAACCUUUGGACUAAAGUGUAAAAACUACUAUGUUUAAACCUAUAAAGUCAUUUGGUUCACGAAUAUGUGUACUUGAAAGCCAAACCCUAAGUUUUGGACUUAAAUGCAAAAUGGACCUCAUUUGAGUUCUAUUCUAAGUCUGAAAAUCAGAGAAUUGGCUCAACUUUGGAGCUUUGCAUCUUUCAAAUUAUAGGGUUUUUGCCCUAGGUCACCACAACAAGUUUGUAGACCAAUUAAUGGAGAACAACUUUGCUUAAGGUUGUAAGCUCACUUGUUGAGAAAAAUUUAGAGAUAUUUAAGCCUGAAGUUGAACUGUCAGGCCAAUAUAGACUGAACUUCUGUUGGACAGUGACUUUGAUCCAAGAUUAAGAGCCAUUUAGACUAAGAUCCAGUGGGAAUCUACCUAGGAUUGCUCUAACAAAGUUGUAGGGCUACUAUACAUGAGCAACUUUGAUGCAGACAUCUCCUGCUGUUGUUAUACAACAAUUGGAGAACAAUCUACUCAAAGUCGCUCUGUCAGAACUGUUUCAGAAAAACUGAAACUGAACUCCAAAUAAAAGUGGUCACAGUGAGAUGGGGCCGAUUUAAGCACGCCAUAACUUUAAAUCCGUUCGAAUUUGAUCCAAGAAACCUAUAGUAAGGUUGGAGACUGAUAAUUAGUGAACAAAUUUUAUUAAGAAGGAUCGCUGUGUUCCUAAUAAGAAUCUAGAGAUAAUUGGGUUGGAACAUGGCCGGUUCAGGCGACUGAAGCAGAUGCGCCAUGGUACAGUGACCUAAUGUGGAUCAGACCGCCAGCAAAAAUCUCACCGCCGACGACCGCUUCGCCGGAUUUCGUGCCGCAGGCGUGGGGAGUUCGCUCACCAUGAAAAGAUCUAGUCACGGAUGUGUAAGAACUAUUGUGGCCUCACUGUUCCCUGCCCUUCGCACCGGCGACGUGGCCGUAUGGCCGUCAUCGGAGUCGCCGUGCUUCACCGCGGUUGUGCCACGCUCCAAGCUUCUCACCACGUCGUCCUAGCCACACCAGCUCACCAAUAGCCGCCGUAGCUCCUCAACCGGUGAUCACCGGAGGAAGCGCCACGGUGAAAGCCAUAUCUUCCACGCGCCAGUACCAUUGUUCUCUCCGACCGCCAGCACAUCCCGGUAAAAUUGGGCGCCACCGCCGUUAGAGGCUAUAAAUUGCCACCACCAUCCGCUCCUUUAGGUAGUUACGCAACCAGUGAAGCAACUCGUGCUUCGAAUCACCCCCUAGAGCUCGCAAAUUUCUCGUUUCCCCCAAAUUGGUUUUCCGCCGCCGCGAUGAACACCUCCCCGUGGCCAGCCCAACUCAGGUUAGUUCCAGUGUCUCUGUCACUUGUUCUAGCAUCCCUAGGCCCUCAUCGUGCUCGUCGACCCGCUCAAUUGAACUGGGUUGCCUUAGAUCACCAUGAACGCUUGUGGUCGUCCGCCUUACCCGCGGUCACCAUGGUCAGGGCGUUUCUGUGCGCCGUUCCUGGAAUUAACUUAGGGGAAGUGUUCGGUGGAGGUUCCAUGGUGUUCCUAUCGCCCGGGAGCUCCAGCCAUGGCGGCGGCCGGCCGGAAUUGGCUCGUCGGGGUGCGGCGAGGGCUGAUCCUCGUUGUGGACCUUGAUCUGCGAAGAAAUAGAAGUUUAAGGACCUUUCCGUAAGUUGUCAGUGACCCUGGGUAACAGUAAAGAGACCAGUACCCAGUUAGUGAAAACCCCAAGGGCUUUUACACAAAACUGCCAGCACGUGGGCACGGGCGCGCUUCUGCGCGGGGUUGGGCCGCCUAAGUCAGUUUGAGCCCAAUACUGUUACACCUUUUCCUUUUUCUUUUUCAGUGGAUCUUUAAAAAUAGAUAGAAAAUUACAGAAAAAUCCAAAAAAUAUGAGACCAAUUUUCCUAGGCUUCUUAUUUUCCAUAGUAUUUAAUAAAAAUAAGUUUGUGAUUUUUAGGGGAAAUAAGAAAUUUUGAGGCAUUUAAAAUAGCUUAAACUAACAGUUCUGGAUUUUAGAAAUUAAAUGAUAAUCCCAAAAUUGCCCAAACUUUUUAUGUAAGCUUUUCAUAAUAUUUAGAAGCCUUGGGUAGAGUUUGAAUUGAUUUGGACCUUGUUUGAUCACUAAACCCCAAAACACCCCCCCUGCCCUAUGAACUCCUUUACCGACUCCGGAAACCCUAAGUUCCCGGAACUCCGUGAAGGAAAGUCGUAUUCAAGACAUAAAUAAUAAAUUUAUGCUAUCUUUGCAUCCUCAUGAGCAUCCCAUGGCAUCCAUUCUUAUACCUAUGUAUGGUUAUAUUUAGAAAACGAAGAAGAGAGUGAAGUGACUCAAGAGAAGACACCACCACCUUUGGAAUCUCGGGCAAGGACUUGGCUCUACUUCGACAUCUGCGAGUCAGCCUGACUCACCUGUAAACGAAGGCAAGCCCCGGUGCAUGCAACCUCUUUCCUUGUGUUUUUAAAUACUUUUCGCACACUUAAGUCUAGUGAAAUGUGCAUUAGGUUCAUAGGAAUUGCUUGAAACCCUUUGAUGCAUUGCUUUCCUUGAUAUUCAUACCUUUAUAGAUACUUCUGUGAAGUAUCAAAAUAUGAUUUACAAAAAUGCUUAGCCUUGCUUAGAUCUUGUGGAUAGAGGUUGUCCUUAAUUUAACUCGAGAAAGGAUGGCUUCUACCUGCAAGAAUAUUUUCAUUUGGAGCAAUAGUGGGAUCUUACUGCAAAGUUCCCUGUGAUGCUCUUUCAUCCUAAGGAACAGACACAAUCCUCAGGAUGGCAAUACUUAAAUUGAGACUUGGGUUAGGAACAGGUGAUGUUCUACCCAAGUUGGUUAAGGAUUAACGCGUAUGUAGGCGUGCUGACCGAGGACCCUUUAACUGGUCACAUGCCUCGUCAUGGGUAAGCCUUGCCUCGGGCAGACUAAGGCCGGAAUAAGAUAACACGAAAUGGGCGUGGAGCGGUGGCGAGAGUAGCGUGUACCCUCCGUGGCAAGAGGCUGGACGGUGGUGUAUCUGUGCUCUCGGUUUGUGUGAACCUGAUCCGGUCUUAAGAACCCCGGUGGCGGGUUGACAUAUGCAAGGGUUAAGUGCUACAUAUGUCGUGUGAUUGGAGAUCCUCAGCUGAGUAUAAUCGAUUCGGAUCGCCGUACCUUCGCGGUUAUGAAGACUUGGUCACUUCCCUGCAACCUAAAGUCAGGACGUGAACACUAUGGAUAAAAAUGAUGUUGUCUUGAUGUGAUGUGAAAUUAGACUAGAUGCAAAUAGAGUCUAUUAAUACUUAAUAUGGCGUUAAAAGAUUGAAAGUAAGGACUCACUUUAGUAAGCUACUUCUGCAAAAGUAUAAGUUGAUUUUUGCUAAAACCUCUCCUUGACUCCUAUUUAUCCAGCAUACCCUUGAGAGUCUUUUCCUUAGUCGGGUAAGACUUGCUGAGUAUUCCAUACUCAGGGUUUAUCCCUUUGUUGUUUUUAGGUGAGGAAGCGACAAAUUUUUGUUGCUUUUGCUCCAAGGUGGUACCAAAUGAGGAAAAACAAGACUGAAGUGCGGGAGGACUCGGUCCUCCACUUAGGAUCUUUUGCUUUUAGCUUAUCGGGAGGAGUUUGUGCCUCCCUUGGUUUGUAUAAUAUUACUACUCCGCACUCACUUUUAGUCUGGUCUGUAAUAAAAUAACUCAAGCUUGCUUUUGAAAUAAAUGUAAGUUUAUGUAACUGCUUCUGCAUUUCUUUAUCUCCGAUGUUCUGUAAUGUCUGCAAGACGGGUGAAACAUUCCUGGUAAGGUAAGGAAAGAUACCGAACUUGUCAAGUAGUUCAGGGGCACCUACAGGGUUGUCUGAAGUCCGUUGGACAAGGACAACUGUAGGUGGGCCUAAUUACUUGGGAGGUUCCGUCACAGCUGGUAUCGGAGCGUAGCCCUUCUUUGCAGAUAUUAUGAGGCAUCUUCAAAAGGAUUUUCAAAAGUCUUACCUAAAAAUUCUUUUCCCUUCUUACCUAAGUAUUCUGAAGAGUCUAUCUUAAAGACCAGAUAGGAAGAGUGCAAUGUAUAGAAGGUUGAAUCGACUAAGGUUGAUUCUGUAUUUACACAUGCAUCAUGCUAAGCACUAUAUUAAUAAAGUUUCCCCCUUAGAGAAAUGUUGUCGCGCAUCAGAAAGACCGCGCGCAAAUCUACUAGACCCAUUGGCGUACCCUGCCAUUAACUUGCCCCAAGACAUGAAGAAAGUAGCUGUGGUAGCAACGAUCCUAUCGAGGAUCUGGAAGCACAAGUCGAACUGCUUCAGUCAGAACUCCGUCACAGGAAUGAUCUAUGAGUCGCGGAUGCAGCCAUCCGCUACUUGCAAGACCAACUCGCGAAACGAGAUUUAGCACUCGAUUGGAUGGUUAACUCUCGUUUACUCGCCUGGGCUAAGGAAGCAAAAGCUCGAGCCCGCGUGGAGGAGCUUAGCUUAGCCAUGGAUAACUUGCAGAUCUAUUAUAAUACACUACAUGAAGAAGUUCAUGUGUUGUAUUCACAACUACAUCCGAACGUCCCUGCGAAUUCUGUCGGGAUGGAAGUCGGACCUUCUCAUGUAGCGGGAGAAGCACUUGAUGGUGGACUGGACCUUUUCAGGCCCCCUCCCUCUAUGAAGUUGGUUGACGAAUGGUCUUCCUCGCCCGACAGUAAAGCUACCAAAAGUGAAAAGAAGUGGCUUAUCAGGUGCCCUUAACAUUGGCCAGACAGGACUUUCCUACUAAUAUGGGUGUUCUGAAAAGCCAAGACAUGGAUGUCAUCUUGGGCAUGAACUGGUUAGCCCAGCAUAAAGCAGUUCUCAACACUGAUAUGAGAACCAUCAGGUUGAGUUAUGACCAAUAGAGAGUUGAUGACUUGGUUGCCUAAACCCAAGAUUAGGCUAUAUUCGUAUCAAAAGGGCAUACCACUUUCAUGUGUGGUCUUAUUAGUGACUACUCACACAAGUUCCCUUUACAUCCUUUGUGUAAAGGUGAAGCCCUGGAGCUUUUUAGUGUAAGAAAACAACUGAUUAGCUCUCAAAAUGGAGAUUGGAUUUUCUCUGCUGCUGAAAUGCAAGAGUUUGCUCAUUCGCUCUCCUAUUUUCCAUGUAUUUCCGAACCCAGUCCGUUCAUCUCACAUGAAGAAACGGAUGAACAACAUGACCAAAUGGAUUUUUACCCAAAUGCAUGACCUUUUGUUUGCAAAUGUGAACUCUCAACCCUUGGCUUACUAAUGGUACUGAGAGGAUUUGCUUAAUGUCAAAAGUAGUUCAACAAGUUGGUUUUGACUAACUUGUAACUGCCCGUUGAACGAAUGCUGAGUUUAGUGAUCGUUUUAUCGAGUUGUCUAAACUCACUUUGGUUCAACCCACCCUAAAGAGAGUACUUACCAAAAUGAGAUUAAGUCAGCCAGUAGCCACCUAAUCAUCGCUCUAGUCGUGCCUCGAUCAUCUCACGCGUGUUUUUCCUGCAUGUGUGAUCAUGCCGAUCCAUGACUAGUGCUGGAUAAAAUGGACUGGUUGCAAAGUCCGCAUUUUUAGAUCCCUCCGCUGGUGAUUCUCUCGAAUCUAUAUCACCUUUUGGGGACUUAGAUUUUCUGCUUAGCCACGGGUCAAUUGUGGUGUUAUUCGACAUCCACACCCGUCUCGUGUGCUAUGAACUUACUGUAACCACUUGUUGGUAAACCUCUUCUUGUGUGUUUUACCCAAGAUGGUGCAUCUGAUUCUAUUUGGGUAAAGUUGCAUAAUUGCCACCCAACAGACUCAGAUAGUACAGUGUCAUCAGAAGAAGCAAAUUGCACACCUGGAACCUUAUGUGUUCUUCUGGUGGGCAAAGACGCAAAUUGAAGUUGCACACUAUGUGGCUAGACGUGACACUUGUAAACGUGUCAAGGCCAUACACAUGAAAACUGCUGGUCCAUUACAAUCUUUGCCAAUCCCAACAUGGAAAUGGGAAGACAUCAGUAUGGACUUUAUCGUGGGAUUACCCAGGACUACAAAGGGGUAUGACUCUAUCUGGGUUAUUGUUGAUCGCUUACGAAAAUUUCUCAUUUUCUGCCAGUCAAGAUCGAUCACCCGGUUACUGUCUAUGCCCAAUUGUACAUUGCUCACAUUCUUAGUCUGCAUGGUAUUCUGAAGACCAUAGUGUCGGAUCGUGGAUCGCAAUUCGUAUCCAAAUUUUGGGAAGAACUUCAUAAAUCCCUGGGUACCAAAUUGCUCCACAGUUCGGCCUAUCAUCCUCAAACCAGUGGACAGACUGAGAGAGUUAAUCAGAUACUCGAGGAUAUGCUGCGGGCAUGUGUUCUGGACUUCUCGCAAAAAUGGGAUGAAUGUUUGCCCCUAGCGGAGUUUUCAUACAAUAACAGUUAUCAAGAAAGUAUCAAGAUGGCACCUUUUGAAGCUUUAUAUGGGCGACGGUGUCGAACUCCGCUAAAUUGGUCUGAACCUGGAGAAAGAUACUUCUUUAGACCUGAUAUGGUGAAAGAGGUCGAAGAAAAGGUUCAGAGAAUUAUUCAUAAUAUGAAGAAAGCUCAGACUCGACAAAAAAGUUAUGCAGACCGACGACGACAACCCUUAUGCUUUCUGGUAGACGAUUAUGUCUACUUAAAAGUUUCACCAAUGAAGGGUGUAUCGCGUUUCGGGGUUAAAGGGAAGCUUGCACCCAGGUACAUUGGUCCAUUCCUGGUGAUUGAGCAAUGUGGACCAGUGGCGUACCGACUUCAAUUACCCGAAACAUUGUCUGCUGUGCAUAAUGUGUUCCACGUGUCACAAUUGAAGAAGUGUCUUCAGGUUCCUGAUCGAACCAUUGAAGUAACUGAUGUUGUCCUGGAACCAGAUUUAACAUACUCGGAACAUCCUAUUCGAGUUCUGGAUCAAAAGGACAGGAUCACCCGAAGAAAGACCCUCAAGUUCUACAAGAUACAGUGGAACCAGCAUUCUGAAGAUGAAGCUACUUGGGAAACUCAAGACUUCUUGAAUAAGAAUUUCCCAGGCUUUUUAGCCUCUUGUAAAUUGUAAAGCCUAUAUAACUGUGUAAUAGAGAAGUGACCCCCACAUCACCCCUGCCUUGUACCAAAAUUUAGGAAAUAAAAAUGUGAUAUGUUUCCUUUACCAUUACCUACCCUAGGAUUUUUAAUCUCGGGACGAGAUUCUUUUAUGGGGGGAAGGAUGUAACACCCCUGGUGUUACUGUAACUAAAACUUGAGCAUGGCAUCAUAAGCAUUGGCAUUGCAUAUGUUUGACACACCUAGAGUGCAUUCACUAGGCAAAAAUUUCAAACAAGUUGUAUUGUUUUAAUGUUUUUGCAAAUAGAACCCUGGUUAAAGGACUUAACCCUAAAUAGUGGUUAAAGGGGUAAAACUUAACCCAAGUUGAGAAAACCUAAAAGCCUUAAGGGUAAAAGUCAUAAAAUGACCCCAAAGAUAAAUUUGAAUCACCUUUAUACCCCUGGAAUACCAGAAACCCUAAUUGGAACCCUGGAAAACCCUAAAACCAAACCCUAGGGGCUUAUGUGCAAAAGUGAGGAACCUUUGGACUAAAGUGUAAAAACUACUAUGUUUAAACCUAUAAAGUCAUUUGGUUCACGAAUAUGUGGACUUGAAAGCCAAACCCUAAGUUUUGGACUUAAAUGCAAAAUGGACCUCAUUUGAGUUCUAUUCUAAGUCUGAAAAUCAGAGAAUUGGCUCAACUUUGGAGCUUUGCAUCUUUCAAAUUAUAGGGUUUUUGCCCUAGGUCACCACAACAAGUUUGUAGACCAAUUAAUGGAGAACAACUUUGCUUAAGGUUGUAAGCUCACUUGUUGAGAAAAAUUUAGAGAUAUUUAAGCCUGAAGUUGAACUGUCAGGCCAAUAUAGACUGAACUUCUGUUGGACAGUGACUUUGAUCCAAGAUUAAGAGCCAUUUAGACUAAGAUCCAGUGGGAAUCUACCUAGGAUUGCUCUAACAAAGUUGUAGGGCUACUAUACAUGAGCAACUUUGAUGCAGACAUCUCCUGCUGUUGUUAUACAAAAAUUGGAGAACAAUCUACUCAAAGUCGCUCUGUCAAAACUGUUUCAGAAAAACUGAAACUGAACUCCAAAUAAAAGUGGUCACAGUGAGAUGGGGCCGAUUUAAGCACGCCAUAACUUUAAAUCCGUUCGAAUUUGAUCCAAGAAUCCUAUAGUAAGGUUGGAGACUGAUAAUUAGUGAACAAAUUUUAUUAAGAAGGACCGCUCUGUUCCUAAUAAGAAUCUAGAGAUAAUUGGGUUGGAACAUGGCCGGUUCAGGCGACUGAAGCAGAUGCGCCAUGGUACAGUGACCUAAUGUGGAUCAGACCGCCAGCAAAAAUCUCACCGCCGACGACCGCUUCGCCGGAUUUCGUGCCGCAGGCGUGGGGAGUUCGCUCACCAUGAAAAGAUCUAGUCACGGAUGUGUAAGAACUAUUGUGGCCUCACUGUUCCCUGCCCUUCGCACCGGCGACGUGGCCGUAUGGCCGUCAUCGGAGUCGCCGUGCUUCACCGCGGUUGUGCCACGCUCCAAGCUUCUCACCACGUCGUCCCUAGCCGCACCAGCUCACCAAUAGCCGCCGUAGCUCCUCAACCGGUGAUCACCGGAGGAAGCGCCACGGUGAAAGCCAUAUCUUCCACGCGCCAGUACCAUUGUUCUCUCCGACCGCCAGCACAUCCCGGUAAAAUUGGGCGCCACCGCCGUUAGAGGCUAUAAAUUGCCGCCACCAUCCGCUCCUUUAGGUAGUUACGCAACCAGUGAAGCAACUCGUGCUUCGAAUCACCCCCUAGAGCUCGCAAAUUUCUCGUUUCCCCCAAAUGUUUUUCCGCCGCCGCGAUGAACACCUCCCCGUGGCCAGCCCAACUCAGGUUAGUUCCAGUGUCUCUGUCACUUGUUCUAGCAUCCCUAGGCCCUCAUCGUGCUCGUCGACCCGCUCAAUUGAACUGGGUUGCCUUAGAUCACCAUGAACGCUUGUGGUCGUCCGCCUUACCCGCGGUCACCAUGGUCAGGGCGUUUCUGUGCGCCGUUCCUGGAAUUAACUUAGGGGAAGUGUUCGGUGGAGGUUCCAUGGUGUUCCUGUCGCCCGGGAGCUCCAGCCAUGGCGGCGGCCGGCCGGAAUUGGCUCGUCAGGGUGCGGCGAGGGCUGAUCCUCGUCGUGGACCUUGAUCUGCGAAGAAAUAGAAGUUUAAGGACCUUUCCGUAAGUUGUCAGUGACCCUGGGUAACAGUAAAGAGACCGGUUCCCAGUUAGUGAAAACCCCAAGGGCUUUUACACAAAUCUGCCAGCACGUGGGCACGGGCGCGCUUCUGCGCGGGGUUGGGCCGCCUAAGUCAGUUUGAGCCCAAUACUGUUACACCUUUUCCUUUUUCUUUUUCAGUGGAUCUUUAAAAAUAGAUAGAAAAUUACAGAAAAAUCCUAAAAAUAUGAGACCAAUUUUCCUAGGCUUCUUAUUUUCCAUAGUAUUUAAUAAAAAUAAGUUUGUGAUUUUUAGGGGAAAUAAGAAAUUUUGAGGCAUUUAAAAUAGCUUAAACUAACAGUUCUGGAUUUUAGAAAUUAAAUGAUAAUCCCAAAAUUGCCCAAACUUUUUAUGUAAGCUUUUCAUAAUAUUUAGAAGCUUUGGGUAGAGUUUGAAUUGAUUUGGACCUUGUUUGAUCACUAAACCCCAAAACACCCCCCUGCCCUAUGAACUCCUUUACCGACUCCGGAAACCCUAAGUUCCCGGAACUCCGUGAAGGAAAGUUGUAUUCAAGACAUAAAUAAUAAGUUUAUGCUAUCUUUGCAUCCUCAUGAGCAUCCCAUGGCAUCCAUUCUUAUACCUAUGUAUGGUUAUAUUUAGAAAACGAAGAAGAGAGUGAAGUGACUCAAGAGAAGACACCACCAGCUUUGGAAUCUCGGGCAAGGACUUGGCUCUACUUCGACAUCUGCGAGUCCGAGCCUGACUCACCUGUAAACGAAGGCAAGCCCCGGUGCAUGCAACCUCUUUCCUUGUGUUUUUAAAUACUUUUCGCACACUUAAGUCUAGUGAAAUGUGCAUUAGGUUCAUAGGAAUUGCUUGAAACCCUUUGAUGCAUUGCUUUCCUUGAUAUUCAUACCUUUAUAGAUACUUAUGUGAAGUAUCAAAAUAUGAUUUACAAAAAUGCUUAGCCUUGCUUAGAUCUUGUGGAUAGAGGUUGUCCUUAAUUUAACUCGAGAAAGGAUGGCUUCUACCUGCAAGAAUAUUUUCAUUUGGAGCAAUAGUGGGAUCUGAUUGCAAAGUUCCCUGUGAUGCUCUUUCAUCCUAAGGAACAGACACAAUCCUUAGGAUGGCAAUACUUAAAUUGAGACUUGGGUUAGGAACAGGUGAUGUUCUACCCAAGUUGGUUAAGGAUUAACGCGUAUGUAGGCGUGCUGACCGAGGACCCUUUAACUGGUCACAUGCCUCGUCAUGGGUAAGCCUUGCCUCGGGCAGACUAAGGCCGGAAUAAGAUAACACGAAAUGGGCGUGGAGCGGUGGCGAGAGUAGCGCGUACCCUCCGUGGCAAGAGGCUGGACGGUGGUGUAUCUGUGCUCUCGGUUUGCGUGAACCUGAUCCGGUCUUAAGAACCCCGGUGGCGGGUUGACAUAUGCAAGGGUUAAGUGCUACAUAUGUCGUGUGAUUGGAGAUCCUCAGCUGAGUAUAAUCGAUUCGGAUCGCCGUACCUUCGCGGUUAUGAAGACUUGGUCACUUCCCUGCAACCUAAAGUCAGGACGUGAACACUAUGGAUAAAAAUGAUGUUGUCUUGAUGUGAUGUGAAAUUAGACUAGAUGCAAAUAGAGUCUAUUAAUACUUAAUAUGACGUUAAAAGAUUGAAAGUAAGGACUCACUUUAGUAAGCUACUUCUGCAAAAGUAUAAGUUGAUUUUUGCUAAAACCUCUCCUUGACUCCUAUUUAUCCAGCAUACCCUUGAGAGUCUUUUCCUUAGUCGGGUAAGACUUGCUGAGUAUUCCAUACUCAGGGUUUAUCCCUUUGUUGUUUUUAGGUGAGGAAGCGACAAAUUUUUGUUGCUUUUGCUCCAAGGUGGUACCAAAUGAGGAAAAACAAGACUGAAGUGCGGGAGGACUCGGUCCUCCACUUAGGAUCUUUUGCUUUUAGCUUAUCGGGAGGAGUUUGUGCCUCCCUUGGUUUGUAUAAUAUUACUACUCUGCACUCACUUUUAGUCUGGUCUGUAAUAAAAUAACUCAAGCUUGCUUUUGAAAUAAAUGUAAGUUUAUGUAACUGCUUCCGCAUUUCUUUAUCUCCGGUGUUCUGUAAUGUCUGCAAGACGGGUGAAACGUUCCUGGUAAGGUAAGGAAAGACACCGAACUUGUCAAGUAGUUCAGGGGCACCUACAGGGUUGUCUGAAGUCCGUUGGACAAGGACAACUGUAGGUGGGCCUAAUUACUUGGGAGGUUCCGUCAUAAUGAACCCCAAUGGAAAUGAAGUAAAUGAUGCCAACGACAAUAUUCCUACCUUAACAACUAUGAACGAGAAAAAUGAGUCACAGAGAUAUUCGAUGAAUGGAAUGAAGAACAACAAAACGAAUAGAAAAAUGUUUGGAUACAUGAUUAGUCCACCUCAACCACAAGCAAAAGCCACGAAACACAUGGAUAUCCAAAUAGAAGCAUCAAGUCAGGCUCAGCUAUAUGAGAUACAAACACCCAAUCAACCCUCACCCCCUGUUGGUCAAGCAAAGUUGACUCGCAAAGAACUCAAAGCAAGAGGUGCUUGCUACUACUGCAAAAACGAAGGACAUCUUAUUCGCGAAUGUCCCAAGAAGCGUCUAGACCGACUAGAGAAGAAAGCUGCCAAGCAUGACCUAAGCAAUAGUUCAGAAGACCCACCAUUUUAUAAGUAUGAUGAUGAAGGACGCCUGAUUAGUAUUCAUUGUGGAGCAAAGAAGUAUGGAAGUUCCUUGAUAUUAGAAGAGUUCAAGGUGAACUAAGAACCUACAAAUAACCAUGCAUCUCCUUUGCUUUCGUGCUAGCCUUCCUUAAUCUCGAGGACGAGAUUCUUUUUAAGAGGGGUAGAUUUGUAACACUAUAAAAAUCAUUAAAUAAAAAUAAUCCAUUUAGUUAUUAAUGGUAUUUAUGGUAAUAAAUUUUCUUUUAAGUGUUUGCUAUUUAUUUGCAUUUGGAAUGAUUUUUGAUUUGCUCAUAAUUGAUUUUUAAUAUUUAAUAGCAUUUCUACUUAAAUGGAAAUCCAAAUAAGUAAUAUAAUAAUUAUUAGUCCAAAAAUAAAUAUUUUAUUUAUAAAUAGUUUUGUUGUGAUUAUUAUGAAAUUUAGGGUUAUUUAAAAAUAUAAUUCGAAUUUACAAAAGGAAAUAGAAAAAAAGAAAAAGAAAAAAAACUAAAACCUAACCUAACUAACCCCUUGGCCCAUUAGGCCCAUCAGGAACCGACCGCCCCUAACCCUAGCCGGCCGCCCCCUGGCCUUCUCCCCGUGCAGCCGCCGCCACCCACCCGGCCACCCUCCUCCCGUUCUCUCUCUUCCUCGCUUCUCUCUCCCCGCGCCCACGGAGCCCAGCGCCCGCGCUCUGGCAUGCCCCGAGCUGCGACACCGACCGCCAGGCGCCCUUCCCCGCGUGACCUGACCGACCGAGCCGCCAGGAGGACCGCCCAGGACCCGGCCACGCUCCACGCUCUGCAACCCCCGACGCCGAGUAGUGCCCGUGCCUGGAGCCGCCAGAAGCCGCACGCCCCUGCGCCCAUCGACGCCCGACGCCCCAGCCGACCGAGUUGCGCAGCCGACCCGCCACACCCGCGCCGAGCCCGUCCGUUCGAGAUAUUGGAGCGUCAACCCGACCGUUUCUCUGAGUUAUUAGUGUCGUUUCUCCUCCCCAUUACUCUCUCCCUCCAUCAAUGGUGCCUUGAAGCCAUGGCCGCCAUUUCUCUUCUCUCCCCAGCGCCCUCGCCUAUAAAAUGGACGCCGAGCCCUCUCCUUCUCCCAGCCCGAGCUCGCUCUCUCUUCUCGCGCCUCCCUCGCUCUCGCAGUGUAGUUUGCCGGAGUUCACCGUCGUGACUCGCCGGAGUUCGUACUCACCGUUCGUGUUCCCUAGCCGGAGCUCCGCCCGAAUGCUCACCAACGAUCGCGCCGUUCCCUACCCGUCGAACCCCGUUCGUCGACUUUCAUCCCUGCGCAUGUACGAAAACCCAAGGUUGAAGACAACCCCAACCCAUUAAUUUAUUGUCUACAUCAUGUGUUGAAAAUAUAUAUUUCACUAUUCAUAAUAAAUGAAUUCAUAAGUAUGGCACUUAAGUACUUAGAAUUAGUAAGACAUUUAUUUAUGUCAUAAUAAGCAUGAUUAUAUUAUUAAAAGUCUCAUUUAGUAAUUUACAUUAAUUCUUAGUAUAUUAAUGUCAGAAGAAUUAUAAAUAAACAAUUUUUAGUAUACUCAUAAAUUCUAUUUAAGGAGAAAAAUCAAAAGAAUAGAAUUUUAUUAUGUUAAAAUGACUUAAUUAGACGCCCAUGCUUUCCUAAUAAAGAAAAUGAUAGUUAUGUUGUUAAACAUAGGUUUCUUACUAAAGAAUUAGAUAAUUUGUUUCUAGUUUAAAAUGACCUUUUAAUAGAUAUCAUGUUUUUUGAUUUAAUAAGGUUCGUUAUAGAUGUUUAAGUAUAGUUGUAUUAAAUAGAAACUUAAAAGAAUAUGUAGACCAUAUGUUUCUUAAUAAAAUUACAAUGAUAAUCAUUUAUUAUCCCUUCACAUAAAACUCAUUUAGUCUCAUAUUUAAGUAUCCAUAAUUAUAUGCUUUACAAUAGUAAUAUGUCAUAUAACUUUUCUAACAAUGAUAUAAUAGCUUAGUUAAGUGCUCACAUCGUCAUAACUAAAAUGAUAGUUAAUAAUAUACCAAUAAUAUAGUAUUCAUUUUAAUUAUCUAGAUCAUUUGUUCCUACAAUAGAAUUAAAGAUGAUUAAUAGAUUAAUUAUCCUUUAUCAUAAUUUAUUAAUCAAACCUAUAGUCAAUUUGUUCUUAACUAGGUUUAUGGCAUGAUUAAUGAUUUCAUAGAAUUUAGUGCAUAUUAUAUACGAAUCACUUAGCUUUUCCUAAAGGAUAAAAUAAAGUAAUAAGAGUUUAAGUUCUUUUAUAACUUAAAAUGUUACUUUAUAUAUAUUGACUUCAAAUAUAAUAAUAUAGGUUGUGUGCUUUUUAAUGAAAUUAAAUGAUGGUUAUGCGUUCAUUAUCUUUUGCACGAAAAUCCAUUUAAGGCCCAUAACCUAACUCGUCUUAAAUAGGUUAUUAAUAAUAUAAUUAUGAUCUUGUCACAUAAAAAGUUGUUUAUGAGCUUGUUAUAAAAGUAAUGUUUAAUAAUGUGUUUUAUGACUCAUUAACGUUAGAUAUAUAACAUAUAUCUUCUCUAAAAGGUUAAAAAGGUUUAAUAUUGUUAUAACAUGUUUUAUCAUCUUAUAAACCCUUUAUCUUAGACGUAUCACAUAUGAUGUUUUAUAAAAGAUUAAAUUGGUGAACCUAAUAUUUGCAUAUUUUAAUUAAGAUAUUUUUAAGCUCAUGUCUUGUUUUAUAAAGUAUAGAUCACACAUUUUUGAAAAGAAUACCUUCUUAUUAUAACCAUUACUUACGAUGUUUUUGAAAAGCGAACGCUCUUUUCGUUAGGCUUUCUUUUAGCUUUACGUAUGGUGAAUGUUGUAUGUUAUUGAGUGGUGUUUGUUCUUCUUGUUUGUUUGUGUGAUAUUCAGUGGUUGAUCUAGUAGUUAAGAAUCAAGAUCUAUUCCUAUCCGUGGAAGAACCUCAAGUUUUCAAUAAGCAAGGCAAGUGGACUUCUCCCUCUGCAUAUUCUGUUUGAUCCCAAACAGUACAUUUAAUAAAGUUUAUUCUUGGAUAUAUAUAUAUAUAUAUGCAUAAUUUGAUGGGUUACCUAUUUAGAUACCCCUAACCUUUUCAAACUUAUUCCUUGAUCAGACCUGGGUAUUAUACAUUACUUUUGUAGCUAUCCUAUUGCUACAACUUUAAAUUUAUGCAGUCACUCCUGUUUAUGAUAUUAAUGUUCCAAAUGGUAAGAUUACUUUAUUGUUGUUAACCCGAUGGUUAAACAAGAUUAUUGCAUAUUAAUUGGAACAUGGAGUGACCAUCCGGGAAAACAGUGCUACCAUGAGAACUAUCAUGGCUCUGGUCUUGGCUAAAUAACUAGGGAAGUCUUAUGUUGGGUGCUGGUCGUGGUCGACCGGAACGGGGGCAUAUGGCAAGCUCUUAUAGUUCCGGCUCAGGCAGAUUGGAUACGGGCAUAGUUCCCAAAGAUUUACCCUGCAGUCUGGACUAUAAGUUGGUCACGUUAGGUGUGAUUUAUGCAGUUGACCAUUUCCAUCAUUUGCGUAAUGAGGACUCUAGGGAGAAGCCUCGUAGUGAGACCCUGGCCAUUCAUCUCGGAAGUGAAUACGGGUCUAGCUAACCCGGGCUAGAAGGGAAUCGCGACUCAUGGGUAAAGAUGUGCCACCUCUGCAGAGUGUAAAACUGAUAUAUCAGCCGUGCUCACGGUUAUGAGCAGCCUGGACUCCUCACAUGAUAAUUGAACUUGAAGAUGGAAAUAAAUCAAGAUCCGAUGAUCUGACAAUGGUUUGCUUAAGUGGUUUCACUUAAGUGUUUUUGAUAUACUCUUAUACCUCUGUUAAAUGGGAAUGCUUGGGAUUCACACUUAUUAGUAAGACAGGUGUUGUUAAUAAAAUGUUGACCAACUAAAAUGCUUACUGCUCAACCUUAGCCUCACCUUGUUAAACUUGCAUUAGUUUUUCCCCCACUUGCUGAGCCUCGACCAUAAGUGAGCUCACCCUUGCUUAAUUUUGAUUAGAAGUUUGCAGAUGAAGAUAUGAUGCUGAACUCUGUGGAUGCUAGUCUAGUGAUACCCCCGGUCAUCUUCCUGUGGAUGGAUGUCCUUGUUUCGCUGUACUUUGAUGAAUAAAGGUUAAGACAUUAUGUUUGUUCGAAGUGUAAUAUGUUAAUAUAAUCGUUAUUUACGCUUUUAUGCAUUGUUCUUUUGAUAUAUUACACUUGUGACGUCAACAUAUGUGUGGAAAUAGAUACUGGCACACAUAUAAUAUGCACCCGACUCUGCCCCUUAGAAACGGGUGUGACAUUAGCCCUGAGAUCUAUAGGUGUUUUGUAAACUACACAUCUGUGUGCUUGUGAUUUUGCGAGGAAGGGUGGCCGUUACCAUCCAUGUCUAGCGUUUGUUCAGAUCAUGUCUUAUUGAUCUCACUAUGAUUUUGAUUUGGUAUCUCCUCUCUCAAUCCUUCUCUUUAAUUAUGUGAGAAGUGUUGAUUUCUUGAGUUGGGGAUUGUUUCGGGGAUUACCUUAGGGUAAAGAUUACUCUCUAGAUCACUACAAACACCGGGUUUGAGCAGUUUGUGGUCGUCAUCCGAGAUCACCAGGUUGUUAUUCCAUCCUCUUCAACUCUAAAUGAGGAAAUUCAUCAAAGUCAACAAAAUAAUGAAGUUGAUGAUACUCAUGAUAAUGGUAAUUCAAGUCAUUCCUACCUCAAGCUUCAUCAAGUGAUUCUCUCAUUGUAUCAAGGAUUCAUCAUUCUAUUGCAAAAUAUCACCUGAUUGAUCAAAUUGUGGCUGACAUAAGUAAGGUUGUUCAAACUCGCUCUAGCAUUGCUUCAUUUUGUGAACAUUUCUCUUUUGUGUCAUGUAUUGAACGUAAUCGUGUAGAUAAGAACUACUUAAUGUUGAUUGGUUGAAUGCAAUGCAUGAGGAAUUAAAUAACUUCACCCACAAUGAAGUUUGGGAGCUUGUUGAAAGACCUAAGAACCACAAUGUUAUUGGUACUAAAUGGGUGUUUCACAACAAGCAUAAUGAAGAUAGAUUGGUAGUAAGGAAAGGCAAGAUUAGUGGCAAUCUGAAUUCUUCUUGCUUAUGCUUGUGCUCACAAUAUCAAACUCUACCAAAUGGAUGUAAAGAGUGCUUUCCUGAAUAGUAAGAUUAGUGAACUAGUGUAAGUGGAGCAACCUCUCAGUUUUGAGGACCCCAAGAAGCCUAACCGCGUGUAUAAGCUUUCUAAAGCUUUCUAUAGGCUUAAGCAAGCUUCAAGCGCUUGGUAUGAAAUGCUUAGGGAUUUCUUGCUUUCGAAAGACUUCAAAAUUGGGAAGGUUAACACUACAUUGUUCACUAAAAGAAUUCAUAAAGAUUUAUUUGUUUGUCAAAUUUAUGUUGGUGAUAUCAUUUUUUGGAUCUACUAAUGAGUUGUUUUGCGAGGAAUUUGGAAAAAUGAUGUCAAAAGAGUUUGAAAUGUCAAUGAUAGGGGAAUUGAGUUACUUUCUUGGCCUUCAUAUCAAACAAAUGAAAGACGGGAUUUUUGUGAGCCAAUCUAAGUAUUUGAAGGACAUGCUAAAAAAUUUGGGCUAGAAGAUGCAAAACCAAUCAAGACUCCUAUGGCUACAAAUGGUCAUCUUGACUUAUAUGAGGGAGAUACAAUUGUUGAUCAAAAGCUUUUUCGUUCAAUUAUUGGUAGUUUUCUUUGCAUUACCGCAUCUAGGCCCGAUGUUUGCAUGUGUGCUCAGUUUCAAGCUUCACCUAGAGAAGCUCAUUUGAAAGUCGCAAAAAGAAUUCUAAGAUAUUUGAAACAUACCCCCAAUAUUGGCCUAUGGUAUCCUAAAGGUGCUCAGUUUGAAUUGAUUGGAUAUUCUACUUCUGACUAUGCGAAAUGCAUAGUUGAUAGGAAGAGCACCUCCGGUUGUUGUUAAUUUCUUGAGAGGUCUCUAGUCUCAUGGCCUUCUAAGAAGCAAAAUUAUGUCGCUCUAUCUACCACGGAGGUGGAAUAUAUAUCGGUCGGUAAUUGUUGUGCUCAAUUAUUAUGGAUGAAGAAAAUUCUAUUGAAUUAUGGGAUCUCUUUUCAAGAAUGUGCCUCUCAUGUGUGAUAAUGAGAGUGUGCUUAAAUUGGCUACAAUUCCGAUUCAACACUCAAGAACGAAGCAUAUUGAUAUAAGGCAUCAUUUCUUGAGAGAUCAUGCUGGCAAAGCAGAUAUUUCAAUAUGUUCUAUUAGCAGGGACGAUCAAUUAGCGAACGUAUUUACAAAACCUUUGGAUGAAUCAAGGUUUUGCAAGUUGAGAAGUGAAAUGAAUUUGAUUUAUCUCUCAAAUGUGGCUUUAAGUUGAGGGCACAUGUAUAGUCAUGCAUUUUAGCCCUAGUGCAUCUCUCUAAGUCAUGUAUUGCCUAUUUUUCUUGAAUUUUUUUAUCUUUGCAUGAUCUAAGUGGUUCGAUGUGAAAAUGCUAUUUAUUCUAGUACAUUAUGUGUUUAUGCAUACAAGCUAACCCUUGGAAUAGUCAAAUGUCUGCAUUUGAGCAAAGAAUCACAUUUGAAUUUUGAUUGAGAAAAUGGACAAAAAGUGUAAAUCUAUGUAUCAGGCCACAGACAGUCCGAACCCUGACACGGACAGUCUGGAUUAAUAGGACAAAGACAAUCCGGGUUGUUAGUGGACUGUCUAUGGACAUUAGUUCAUGGACCGCCCGUAGGCACCCCACAGACCGUCCAUGACUCGCAGUAUAGCCAACCAGAGGCAACAAAACAGUCACUUUCAACCCUAAGCCUCUCUCUCAUAACAAAGCACCAAAAUUCACUUUUGUCGUUUAUGCGUUGACGGAAGUUUGGAUCCUUGUGCGGACUGUCCGGGAGCAAGUUUGGCACUUAGAGAACCAUGUCUUCCUUUCGGUAUUUCAAGUUUCACUGAAUUUUAUUCAAAAUUCACAAGUUUGGGGAUUUCUAGUUUUUUGUCUGUGAUAUGAUUUUGGGGAGUGUAUUCAUCAAAUCAAUUUGGGGAAUUGUAUGUGUUAUUCAUCAUGAACUUGAUGCUAAAGUUUGAAACAUUUCUAUUAGACAAACUGAUCAAAUCGAUGAAUGGAAGAUUUGGGGCAAUUUGGAAUUCAAAACCCGUCUCUGCAGAGUUGCGGACCGUCCGCUAGGGUGGUGCGGACCGUCUAGCUAUAGUUGCGUGGACUGUGCGGCCCCCUAGUGCGGACUGUCCGACCACUAUCAGUUCAACACAUCUUCACAUCUUUUGUUUGUGUCUUGAUUCAUUGUGAUGAUUGUUGGAUAUUCUUUAUGAUUCGUAGUGGUCUGGGUAAACACAAGAAGUAGUUGACAGGGGGCUUUAGAAGUAGUUCCUCCAAGCGUCACAGAGCUAAUGAUGCAUAUUAUGAUCCAGCAGCUGACACUGAGUCCUAUUCAUCUGUUGGAGGAAAUGUCUCCCUUGAGCCUGAAGAUGAUCAACAUCUACACCUAGACAUGGAAAUUGAUGUGACUGGGUGGACCUAUCCUUGGCGAAGGUCCUCCAUGGAAGAGUUUCCUUCCAGAAGGACUGUGAAUCAGUACAUUCUUCCCAGUGACAUCAACAUUAAGUUUUUACACACUCAAUUGCAAUUUGAUGUGUUCUAGGGACACUUGAUGGAUACUAAGUUUCAUAAACAUCAAGUGAUUAACUGGACCUAUAUACAAAAUGUCUCUGUGAUGGAGGGGUUGAUUUCAAAGUUUUAGGCUUGUGGGUUCAAUCACUUCAUGGGAAAGAAGACAGAUUACAAUGAGAUGGCGGUCAGACAGUUCUUAGCCACAUCUGAGAUCGACACAGAGGAAAUGUCCAUCAUCUGGAUGACAGGGCAUAGAAGGUACUCCACUACCUUUGCUGAGUUUGUUGAAGCAAAUAUCCUAAAUUACAAUAUGAUCUCGGUAGGACUUGACAUGUACACUAAGGAUAUCUUUGAAGACUAUGUGCAGUACUAUAAGCCUGUAAUGCUUGGAAUUCCUAGAAGGAUUGGAGAGAUCCAGGGAUAAGGCAUCAUCCUGCAGUUAUUAACAAGAUUGCCAAGGUCACAAUCGUUCCUAAGAGUGUGGACAAAGGGAAGAUAAGGGACAAGUUCUGGAACAUAAUCCACCGUGUCUUGAAAGGUGAGGUAAUGAAUGUGGUUCUCUUCAUGAUGAGACAGUUGAAUGACUUAAAAUGGAUAAGAACCAGAAUCUGGCUUAUGCUCCCUAUAUCAUGGCCCUCAUUCAAUCCAAGAAAACAUUUGAAGGGAGAUGUGAUGUAGCUCACACCCCUUUCAAGCAUUUCAAGAAUGAGAUUGGUUUUUUAGAGGCCACUAAUUCCUUUCCUUGACAAUGAGGAUGCGACAGACGAUGAUCAACAAGAUGACCCUAUUCUAGAUGCAGCACAAUAGAUGCCUCCUCCACCUCCACCUCAGCAACUUGAGCAGUACUGAUAGCAUGGUCCAGGGUAUUUUAAUCCUUACUUCCAUCAAAUGUAGCUGUAACACCCCUGGUGUUACGUUAACUAAAACUCUAAAAUGUCAUCAUAAGCAUUUGCAUUAACUGCUUGAUACACCUAGAAUGCAUUCACUAGGUCAAAAAAAUCAAUGAAUAUGGUGUUGUGUAUUAGAGUAUAGAGCUCAGGUUAAGAACUUUGCUUGAGACAUGGGAAGAGAAGUCGUCUCUAAGCAAGUAACAAAUUGACUUGGAGUCUUAAGUGCUAAAGGUAGGUCUUAGAGCCCAAAGUGGCCUUGUUUUGGAAUUAUGGUCAAGUGGAAGAAGCACUUAAGGAACUGGAAUAAUCCAAACCUUAACUUGAGUUUUGCUUGGAAGAGAUGGUUAAGUAAAGCAAAUUCGAAACUAAGGACACUUUGGACAUGAGCUUCAUAUACUAGAGUUGGAUUUGAGAUUAAGGGGAGUCACUUGGCUUUUAGGAGUAUGGAUUGAGUUGAUAAAUCACUAGAUGAGAAGGAGUCACAUUUGAAACCCUCAACUAGCCCAAAAGUGGAGUUUUAAAUCUAGAGAGAAUUUGCUAGUGGUCCAUAUAUCAAAGUUGUAUAUUUUGAAAAGUUGAACAACUUUCAUGUAUGGAGAAUUCCAAGUUUUAGAGGAAAAGUUGGAGUAAAAAGCUUAAUUCAGUUUUGAAUCAGACUUGAAGUUUGCUGAAAAUAAUAUCAACUAGCUGUGUUUGGGCCUUCAUAACUUUCGAUUUAUAAACAGUUUGAAGAUGGUCAUUAUAACAAAGUUAUAGGGCCACAUGAGGAGUACAAGUUUUGUUAAGUAAUCUAGCCCUAAAGCUAUUUGGAACUUGGAGAAAAACUAGUCCAAAGUAGAGCUGUCAGAAAUUGUUGAUUUCAGACAUUGAAAUUCUGAGUCUUAAUUUCAGCAAUUGAUGCAAACUUUGGGCUAGUGUGGUUUGGAAUACAAGAGGCUUUGGUUAAUGGUCACUAUAUAAAACUUGUAGAGGAACUAUAGGAGUAUAAACUUUAUUGAGAAACAUGCCCUAGAAUCAUUUGGAACCAGGAGAAAAAGGUGACUAAAGAGGGGCUGUCAGAAUUCUGAAUUUUUCAGAUUGGGAAUAGUAUCUGAAUCUGAAAUUAAUAUUUUUAGUGCAGUUUUGGGGUUGUGUACUGCCUGUUCGAUGCAGUUUUGGACCAUGGUUUAUGUAGAGGAAGUGAAGACCAUAUAGUGGUGAAUAACAUUCUUUUAAGGUGAUGGACAUGAUCCUAUACGAAGAUUUGAGUAACAGCUGCUCAAAUUUGGACUGUCAGGUUGCUGAAACUGAAUUGUAUUCAGUUCACUGUAAACUGAAAUUCAGCACAAGGGUGUCUAGUUUGGAGCUCUAUAGUGCAAGGAGAUUUGGGUUUGCAGUUCCAUAGCAAAAUGGAAGACCAUAUCAAGAAGAACAAGUUUCAUACACAGAGUUGGUCUUGCUAGUGUGUAGAAUUUAGAAAGAAGAGUGUUGCAAAACUCCCUGUCAGAAUGGUAGGGUGUUGUUUCAGUUAAGCUGAAAAUGGGGUUUCAGCAGUUUUUCUCUACUUUGGUGCUUCAUAAAUAUGGUUAUGAAUGUUUUCAGCCUAGGGGUGCUAUACCAAGUUGGUAGGGCUAUAGUUAGACAGUAUCUUUGAUUAAUGGAGGUGGGUCUGUUGUUAAGGGGAAUUGUGAGAUCCAAGGGCUUAAACAGUGAGAAGUGGAAUGGAGUAGUAGUGCUGUUUCAGUUAACUUCAGAGUUUGGUUUCAGAAACUGAACAAGAUCCUCUCUCUGCUGUACUCUAGCCAUGUGCUCGAGUUGGGAUACAUCCCUGAAGAUCUGGGGCUCUCCAUACUGUAAAUAUCUAGGGUUUGGACUGUUGUGGGGGGCUGUGAGCAGUAGAGUCCUUAUCCAUUUUGUUCACUGUCUCUAGUAUGGGACAGGGGGAGAUAUUUGUGUAUGUUGAAGAGCUGGCCUAGUGUUGGGUAUUUGUUUGACACGUAUGUAAUCUUGUGCAGUGCUGGCGCCCAGGGAGUACUCCACUAUGUUGUGAACAAGUUAAGGGUACUUGCUCACAUAUUGAGUGCCUUAGGGCUUGGCUUUAGUGGAAUUUUCUCCCUGCCCCAAGCUCUGGUCAAGGUUCACAGUGAGUGUGUUGUAGUUUUUGUGCCCACUCUGGUUCUAACCCUCUCCCCAACCUCAUCUGUUGGCCUGCCCUGAACCCUUGCACGCCAGCACCCUGUCUGGUGACCACAACAGCAGUUCUCACCCUCGUCGUGGCCCGGAUUCCUCGGAGGUUGUCUCGGUCGUGUGGUGCUCGUUCCCUACUCCUCAAAGGUCAGUGAAGCAUUGGUAUUGCUGCUGUGUAAAAAAAUUGGAUAAAACGUCACAAAACUUUCACUGACAGGUAUAUGGUUUCAGUCAGCUGAAACAGAAUUUUAUGUGUUCUCCACCUAUUUUUGGAGCACUAUAACUCUUGAUCCAUGAAUCUUUGACCUAAGGCUGCUGCAGCAAACUUGUACAGAUAUGUUUGGUAAACAAAUUUUAUUAGUCAAGGUUGGCCUAUUAUUGUUUGGAAUUGUGAGGAGUAAUGGAGUUAAAGGUGGGGGUUCAGUUUGGUGUAGAGUUCAGUUUCAGAAUCUAAAAUGUAAUUCAGUUUGCUGAAUUUUUAGAAACCGUGAAUUCCUCUCAGUUUUGGACCAUUCUAAGUCUCAAUUCUUGAAGUUUUGGUGGAUGAUCAUUGCAUUAAACUUGAAGAUCUAAUAUUGGGGAGCAAUUUUUUUUGAGAAGGAUCUCCCUAUCCUUGCUUUGAAUUGGGAGAAAAGGUUAUUCCAAGUUGCUCUGUUAGGUAGAGGGUGCUGAAUUUAGUUCAGUUAGCUGAAUUGUGUAGUUUGGUGGAUUUCCAACUUUGGAGCUCUCUAACCUGAAGUCUGUUGAGUUUUAGCUAGUAUCCGUUAAAGUAAAGUUGGAGAGUGAUCAUAGAAGAGAAGCUCCUAGUAAGAAAGUGUAUCAAGCCAGCAUAGGGAAAUGAGAGAAAAUCUGAUUGGAAGUUCUAGGUUUAGGCUUGGUAUAGUGAUUUGAGCACAGUUUAAAAUUCAGAUUGGGAGCGGAACGAUCCUCCCGCCUCUGUUGUGUUCCAAUGUGUCAAUCCAAGCUGAGGCUGAGGUUUGAUAUUGGAAAAGCAGGUAGUUGAAGAGGAUUAUAAGCCGAUCCUUAACUGGGCGAAUGGAGACUGGACCGGUUUCAGAUUGGGCAGAGGGGGCCGGCAUGCUCAGGCUACAAGUCAGCCGAAGCCUGUUUGCUACUUCAAGUUUGGUUGCACUGGUUAAAAAAAACCACCACCUAUCCCAACCCAGCUGUCCCUGAGCCAUCAAAAUGCGGCCACGUAUCUGCUUGUGUUGUGCAGUUUCUGCUGUUGCCAUGUACAAGAGCUGCCACACAGCUGCUGGCAUCGUAUGCCAAAACCUUUCUCUGUCGUGAUAUGCACCAACGCAGCAAAGUGCUCCUUCCUUUUUCCAUUGCUGUGCUCCCUGCUCCAAGUGAGAACUUUCGGUGUUCUAGCGCUCUAGCCCCUGGCGUCACCAGCCUUGACCUCACGCUCUGCCCAGCAGCCCACCUCGCCGCUUGCCUCUUCGUCCGUUGGUCGCGGUCCACAGAAAAGAAUCCCCAUCGCCAGGAGCCCUGCUUGUAUCUCCACUUAAGGCUAGCGUCCAUCUUUGGGUGAGGUAGGAAGGGUCUUUAGGCUAGAAAUACUUCCAUACGUUUAUUGUUCUACCGAACUUCUAGGAUUGUAAUUUGAUGCGGUUUUUAGUCAAGAAAUUCGGGUGGCCAGCGCCCUCGUUCUGCGUUUGUGUAGAGUAUUGAAGUUCAGUAAGUAGCUUCCUGGUAGUUAUAUAUUUUUUUGAAAACUUAGUGCAGGAGCUCUGCUAUUUCAUUUAAGGAGAGAAGGGAAACAAGAGUCUUAAAAAGUUGCUAUUACAUAUAACGAAAAACACUCAAACACAAUCCAAAAAAGAGAAGACAUUAUACUACACAUGGAUGCCCAACUGCAGCUCGUCUCAACGCCAUUUCUUGUUUGGCCAGAUGAAAGACCACUUGUGUCGAUGCUUGCUUGCCCUAAAAAAUACGCCGAUUCCGCUCCUUCCAAAUAUUCCAGGUGAAGUACAUAAGCAAACCCGAAACAGUGAGUUGAUCUUCUUUCGAUUUGUUUUGGAGCACAACAGCCCACCACGAAUCGAAGCUCUGAAUAUCUGAGCUGGGCGGCAUGAUCAGAUUAUUGGUCCACGACCUGACUAACUCCCACACUUCCAAAGCAAAAGGGCACUUGAGACAAAGGUGAAUCGCAGUCUCCGGCUCUUGAUCGCAAAGGACACAUAGAGGAUUGCAUGGCCAAUUUCUUUGACUUAGUUUAUCUGCUGUGAGGAUCUUUGCUUGAAUGAGCAGCCACACAAAGAACUUAUGUUUCCCUUCGGCGUGCGCCUUCCAGAUAGAUUUUGCUUUGAAAGCACUGUAAGAGCCCUUGAAUUGUGCAAGAUAAGCUGAUUUGGAAGAGUACACUCCAUUCUCGGUCCAUAUCCACCGAAUGCAAUCUUCCUGGUCAUUGAGCUGCACCCCUCAAUAUGGUUCCACAAUUGUAUGAAUUCAGCCAUCUGUUGAACAUUUUCCAUUCUCCAGAGACCUCUCGUCCAAUUGAGGUUAACCAAUUGUUCAGCCACCGAUCUAUUUUUGCGCCAUGCCAGGGGGUACAAGCUAGGUGCAAUGUCAAUCGGAGCUUUGCCUGAGAGCCAAGCAUCAAGCCAAAAAUUUGUCUUCAGUCCGUUGCCAACCGUUACAGAUGUUGAUGCCCGGAACAAAGCUGCAUCUAUUUUAUCACAGGGUAUCUGAGAACCAGCCCACGGCCUAUUAGAAUCAGUCCAGUUGAGCCAAAGCCACCUGAGGCGCAAAGCACGGCUGAAACGCUCUAGAUCCAAGAUGCCAAGGCCACCCAAGGAUUUCGGUCUGGCAGAAUUGGUCCAAUUCACUAGACAGUGCCCACCAUUAGCAUUUUCAGCACCUCUCCAAAGGAAAGACCUCCUAAUUUUAUCGAUCUUCUUAAUGGCCCACUUCUUCAAAGGGAAAACUGUCAAAAAAUGCACCGGGACAGCCGUGAGCACUGAAUUUACCAGAGUCAGUCUUCCAGCUUUAUCAAGCAGCUUCCCUUUCCAUGCCGAUAAUUUACCAGCCAAUUUGUCAAGCAGCGGCUGGAAAUCCACUCGACGCAAUGGUCGGCAAGUUAAAGGCAGCCCAAGGUACUUGCACGGAAAAGCUUUGAUGGCACACGGGAAAGGCUGCAUGAUAUGCUCUAGCUGCAGCGAGUCGCAGCGGAUAGGAUAGACAGCACAUUUACUCAGAUUGACAGAUAAACCUGAGGCUUCACUAAAAGCUGCUAGGAUCUGAUUAGUGACUUGAACUUCUUCUCUGAUCGGGUUGAUGAAUAUGGCGGCAUCAUCAGCAUAGAGGCUGACUCUCAAUCUAGCAGAGCGGUGAAGAAUAGGGCUGAGCAGACCCUCCCGAGAAGCAAUGUCAAACAGCCUCUGAACAGGGUCGAUGGCAAGAAUGAACAGCAAGGGAGACAAGGGGUCCCCCUGCCUCAAGCCCCUUCCAUGGUUGAAGAAAUUCCCUCUGACUCCAUUAAUCAUUACUGCAGAGCUAGCUGAUCUGAGCAGGAUGGACACCCAAGCUUUCCAUCUAUUUCCAAACCCCAAAUGAUGCAGGACCUCAAGAAGGUAGUCCCAUCUCACACUGUCAAAGGCCUUAGCAAUAUCCAAUUUCAGGAACAAAGUAGGGAUUUUUGCUCUAUUCAGCUCUUUAAUUAAAUUUUGCGUGAACAGGAAAUUAUCAUGUAUGCUCCGCUUCCGGAUGAAAGCACUAUGGCUUCUGGAUACUAGAUGAUCAAGACAGGGUGCCAGGCGGUUAGCCAACACUUUGGAAAUUAUCUUUGCUAUGCUGUGUGUGAGGCUGAUGGGUCUGAAGUCAGAAAUAAGUGCUGCCUCGUUGUUCUUCGGGAUCAGACAAAUAUGUGCAGAGUUAAGUUUGUUGAAGUGUUGGUCAUGCAUAUGAUAGAAAUAAUUCACAGCCAGCAAUAAAUCCUCUUUGACAAUUGCCCAAGCAGACCGAAAAAACACUCCAAUAAAGUCGUCUGGUCCAGGCGCCUUCUCAGCAUGAAGAUCAUUUAUCGCUGCUAGAACUUCCUCUUCAUCAAAAGGAGCCUCCAAGUGGGAAAGGUCAGCAGCCUGUAGCCCAAGAAAUUCCCAGUUCAAAGAGUUCGCCCGCACAGGAGAAAUGCCCAAUAAAUUGCUAUAAUGAUUGAAAGCGAGCUGCGCUUUAUCUUCCUGAGAGUAAACAUUCCCUGUCUCAGUUACAAAAUGCUGAAUGAAAUUCCUCCUGCGCCUGCCAUUUAUUCUGAGAAAGAAUAGCCUAGAAUUUGUGUGGGCUGCUUUGAUCAUUGUCAACCUGGACGCUUGUCGCGCCCUGAGUUUUUCUACCGCUGCGAGUCCCAAAAAUCUGUUUUGAGUUGCUUAUGUAACGUAAGCUCAAGGUUGCUUAGGGGUAUGUAAUCUUGGACCACAUCAAAAAUCCAAAUCAGUUGCUUAGCCGCAAGCAUCAGUAAUUUAUUAUUCCCAAUAAGAGCCUUGGACCACUUCCUGAGCGCUUUAGCAGUCCUCUACAGCUUUGUGUGCAAUCUUAAGAAAGGAUUAAAAAUUGUGAGCUGCCUGUUCCACGCAUUUUCCACCACAUUGCUGUAGCCACUAAGCUUUGGCCAAAAAGAUUCAAAACGGAAUCCCUUGUAUGGGCGCCUCAAGGUGUCACCAGAUAAAAACAGUGGACAGUGAUCAGAUACUAAGGAGGAUAGAGCCUGAACGGAGCAGCUAGGGAGCAUGAGGUCCCAGUCAUUAGAGCAGAAAGCUCUGUCGAUUCUAGUGUGAGUCCUAGAAUUAGUCCAAGUAAACCUCCUCCCUCUUAGGGGCAGCUCCUUCAGUUCUAGAUCAUUCAACACAGAUCUAAAGGCCCCCAUUAACCUCUUAUUUAAAUUGUUGUUGCUCUUAUCCUCGGCACUGAUGAUUAAAUUGAAGUCUCCAAUAAUUAACCACUUCUCUGCGGAGAUGCUACCCAGCUGCCUAAGCUCAUGCAAAAACUCUAACUUAUGAGCGUCGAGCUGCGGCCCAUAAACAACAAUAAUCCACCACUCGCUAGGUACACAGUUGGACUGAAUCAAGGCAGAAAUAAUGUUGCUUGUACAGGCUGUCGAGAGGAUCCGGAAGUAACUGGCAUGCACAGCUAGCAGAAUGCCGCCCCUCGUGCCAUCUGCGGGGAGAAAAGCAAAAUUCUGAAAGAAAUCAGGUCCAAGCGUCUCGGACACCACGACGUUGUCAACCUGCUGCAGUUUGGUCUCUUGUAAACAGGCAAUAGUGCACCUCGUAUCCCUGGCCAUAUCUAAAACCACCUUCCUCCUGGCACUGUUAUUUAAACCCCAGACGUUCCAGUUAAGGAUUGAGCAGUUUUGUGGAUCCAUGAGAACCAGAACAAACACAACACAACAAAUGGAAAACCAGGGACCACCACAAACAGCUGAACAAAGCUGUCCACCUUGCCCAAGCAAGGCACACCAAAAGUAAAGAUAUCACAAAAGCAAGUACUGAGGGGGGCACAUAGGGAAAGAUUAUUACACAGGUACACAACCGAUCAGAUUAGACCGUCCCCAGGACGGCUAACGGCGCAAGCGGGUCAGAGUCAAUUGAAUCUUCCUCUCCCAAGCUGAAAAGUGAUUGAUAGCCAGCAGCAGCUUCUACAUUCAGCUCAUCCACAAACUGUGCUCUGAACCUCGCAUGAUCUUGUUCAUUUGGUUCAGCAUGAUCAGGAAUAGUGCCACUGCGCUUCAUCAGCAAAGCAGUGGCCUGCUCCUCCAUUGUGAGGUUGGAUUUAGGCUUGCUGGCGAUUCUGGCACUGGAACGUGUUGCCAUCUUUUUCAUAGUCGAGGCACGCUUAGUUUUGUUGACAGGGGGCAGAGGGGUGGGCAGGACCGCCGAUGGUACGGGGGAGAGUAAAGAGGCAAGCACAUCCCUGUCCCCUUGAACUGCCACCGCACCAGCAACAUCAACAGCAAUAACACCAGCAUCAUUAGAAGGCCCGGACUCAGAAUGUGGGGGAGCAUUGUCAACCACAGCUGUAACCAUGGAAACAUGGGCAGGGGCCAGUGCAGCACCCCGCACCUCGUCCAACAUGGGGUCGCAAGAUGAAUCCCAGAUUACCGGAGUGCUUGAAAAAGAGAGCAGGAUAGGGUCGUGUUGGAGGACCAAGCUUGACUUGUUAUCAGUAUGUUCUGCAGCCCUGCGAAGAUUGCACGAUUGAAGCACCUUCAUCAUAGCAGCGAUGAUAGCACGUCUGAGCAGAUCAUGCUCAACACAGACUUCGCAAUGAUCUGCACGACUGAGCAGAUCAUGCUCAUAAACCGUCAUAGCAGCGGUGCACAGGACGCAGGCCUUCACGCCCUUCGUGCGGAAACCGGCCGCUCCUGACGCAAGCUUGGGGUCCUCCAAUGGGGUGGUGGUGAGGGGAGGCGCAAGCUGGGGAGAUGCAGGCCGGCAGUGCGGCGAAAUGCGUGGAGGAGAGCAAGGCGGAGAUGUGCAGGGAGGUGGGGGCGACGGCGAAUCUGAGCGAGGCGAGGCGGAGGAGGAGCGCGGCGGCAGGUGGCUAGGUUGCGGCGACAAGGGAAAAUCGGAUUGAAAUGGAGGACGGGCACAGUAGCGAGCUUUGUGGCCAGAUUGGCCGCACAGGAGGCAGCGCGGCGGGUCACGACAACCAGAGAUGCGAUGGUCACGGGCGAAGCAGUUGAAGCAUCUCCUGACAGCCUUCGACUUGAGCAGGGCGUUGAAGUCUACAAAGCGGGGACCCAGGCGGUCCCGGACCGGCGUGGCCCGCCGUGCAGCAGGAGGCUCCAGCGGACCAAGCCGAGAAUGCACGGGAAGACGCUUCUUCCUCCACCAGUAACACGGUCUGACCUCGUGCCAGGUAGCGCCGCCGCCCCGGGGCGGAGGCCGCAGGGGCUGUUGGCCGCCAUUACUGCCGGAAGGAGCACCAGCAGCCACAUCCUUGAAGGAGAGACCCCGGUUGUCAACCAGCACCGAACGGAGACGCGGGGCAGCCGGCUCCUUGUCCUUCACGUGCGCAGGUAGACGAGCAGCCAGUGCUUCAUCCACGGAUUUGGGGGUAACCCGAGCCGCGUUAGAUCUGCUAGCAGGGGCGGAGGACGGUUCACCUGGGCUUGAGGAGUAGUGGAGGUCGAGCGCUUCAAGGUCAUUUGGGGUGGUGGGGGAGCGGGAGGGUGAAGGCUGGUGGCGCUCGGGGCGACCUCCUGUCGCCGGCGAGCGGGGCGGGGAAAGGGAAAAAGCGAGCUUUGCGUUGCCCAUUAUCAGCCAGCUCCUGGUAGUUAUAGCUUGUUAUUGUAAUUUUGUAAUGCUUCGUAAUACCUUCCUUGCUAGUAGCAUAUACACAGGCAUUCAUAAUCAUGGCAUUUCAUGUAGAGUACCAAGAAGAAGUGAUUUGUGAAGGAGCCCGUUCCAGUUCUGCUGAUCAAGUGAAGGAGCCAUCUAACUGUGUAUUGGAUAGAGGGAUCUAGAGCCUCUUCACUGCAACAAAGGCAAGCCCCGGUGCAUUUACCCCUUCCUUGUAUUUUUAAAAAGACUUUUAUACACAUAAGUCUAGUGAAAUGUGCAUUAAGUUUAUAGGAAUUGCUUGGAAACUAUUUGAUGCAUUGACUACCUUGAUAUCCAUUCCUGUUAUAGGUACUUCUUUGGAAGUAUCAAAUAUUAUUUACAAAAAUGCUUAGCCCUGGUUAGAUCUUGUGGAUAGAGGUUGUCCUUUGCAAUAAUGCCUAGCUCAAGGGUUAUCCUGAGGAAGGAUGGCUUCUACCUGAAAGAAUAUUUUCAAUGGGAGCAAUGGUGGGAUCUUACUGCAAAGUUCCCUAUAAUGCUCUUUUCAUCCUAAGGAACACAAAACAAUCCUAAGGAUGGAAGUACUUAAAUCGAGACUUGGGCUAGGAACAGGUGAUGCUUCACCCAGGUUAAUUAAGGAUUGGAUGCGUAUGUAGGCCUGUAUGAUCAAGGACUAUCUUAACUGGCCACAUGCCCUAGAUAUGGGACAGGGUAAGCUUGAACCCGGCUAUUCCAUACGUGAAAAGACAACCACGCACUAGGCGUGGGAGAUGGUGGGAGUAGCGUGUACCCUCCUGGCUAGAGGCUGGACGGAGGAGUACUGUGCUCUCGGGUAGCGAGGACCGGUUCACGUUGUGGAGGAUCUGUGGGAACGGUUGACAUAUGCAAGGGUUAAGUGCUACAUAUGUCGUGUGAUUAGAGAUCCUCAGCUGAGUAAAUCGAUUUGGAUCGCCAUUAUAUCCCCGGAGAGUGGAGACUUAGUCACUGACCUGCAACCUAAGUCAGGAUGAAAACAUUAUGAGUAAAAAUGAUGUUGUAUUGAUGAGAUGGUAAGAUUAGACUAGGUGCAACCAAAGUCUAUUAAUAUUUAAUCUGGUGUUAAAAUAUUGAAAGUAAGGACUCACUUUAGUAAGCUAUUUCUGCAAAAGUAUCUAAGUUGAUUCUUGCUAAAGCCUUUUCCUUGAUUCCUAAAUCCAGCAUAUCCUUGAGAGUCUUUUUCCUUAGUCGGGUAAGACUUGCGAAAGUACACUCCGUACUCAGGGUUUUCGAACCCAUGUUGUUGUAGGUGAUGAGUACUCUAUGUGUUCGUGAGGCUAGAGGGCGUUUCCAGUUCUGCAGGAGGAUUAGUUAGGCUUAUGUAUAAGCUUUGGAGGGUUCCUACCUUCCUGCUAAUGUAAUAAGUUAUGCACUUUGAGUAUAUCAGGACUUGUAAUAAAUGUAACUCUUCCAAUGUAAUAACCUUCAGUUUUAGAAAUGAAAAGAAUAUUUUUGUAAAAGUCUUCCGCUCUUAUCUUCGAACUGUGUGUAUCGAAUGUGAUUACUGUAAUAUGCAUGUAUGGUGGGAGAUCCUUGGGAUGAUGAGUUCAAGUUGUUGAACUCGUGAUAGCCUUGUUAAGUUACAUGGUACACGUGCGUAGCCAUCUGAGGCCAUCAAGGCAAGGAUUGGUGCAUGUGGGCCCGAUAACUUGGGAGGGCUGCCACAGCAGCAAUGCCUUCAGCAUCACAUGGAUGGCCAGUUUCAAGGGAUGAUGACUCACAUUGAUGGGAGGUUUGAUUAUCCGCAGACCCACAUGGAUGGUCAGUACACUUCUCUGACCAACAUGUUCGAUGUCAUGGAUACACAGUUUGAUAGCCUGCACCAUGAGGUUGGUGGGCUUUGUGAUCACGUUCAUGAGAGUGUUCAUGAACCCCUUAUGACCAGGAUGAACAACAUGCCACAAAGUUUUUAGGACAAUAUGGGAGCUCUAUCUAGUCAGUUUGAGACUCCAUCCACCAAUGUCAACUUUCAUGCACUUGAUCAGAGGCAACAAUAGCUCUAGAAUGACUUCAGUCAAUUCUCAUCCAUAUUCGACAGUUUCUGCUCCCAUUACUACAACAUGUAUCCUCGACCCCACCUAGUGGACAGUGAGGCCCUCCUUUUUGGUAAUUGAUGCAAAAGGGGGAGAGAUUCAAGGGGAGAUUCAGGGAGAGAUGGAGAUGGGACAAGGGGGAGCUGGCUCAUGUGGACAUUUGUUGCAUUUGCAUGUUUAUGACUAAUUUCUGUGUUGAACUAUGUCCUAUGCUACUAUUUAAACUAUGUCCUAUGUCCUAUGAACAAUUUAUGUUUUGAACCAUGCAUUUUGAUUUCUAUAUAUCUAUUGGUUCGAAAUAUUAUGUGUAAGGUUGAUCGAGGGGUGAUAAAACGUGCAACACUUAUUCCAUAUAUGCUUUUACUCUUGUAUGCCUUGAUAACCAUGAUUGUAAAAAAAUCUCCGCCAAAACUCCGAUAUUAUAUGUGUGUACAAUCUUCAAAUGGAUAUAUCAUGCACACAUGUAGGGGGAGCUACUCCUACACCUUGAGUUUUGAAUUGACUUAUCUAUCUAUCAAAAGGGACUUCAAACCAAGAUAAGUCACUUGAAACUCACCCCUCAAAUCCUUCUUAUACCUAGUGUAUGAGAAAGAUUGAAAAUUUGAGACAACCUAUGGAAUAAUUGUGUAGUGUUGUCAUCAAUUACCAAAAAGGGAGAAAUUGUGAAGCAUCUAGGCGCCUAAGUGAUGUUUUGGUAAUUAAUGACAACCAUUUGUGUACUAACGAAUUCUUGGAGAAAUAAGAAUGCAGGUUGGACCUUAGUGAAAGUCUUAGAGACUUAAAACAUUGGUCAUGGAAUGAAAAAAAAGGCAAAGGUACAAUAUAGGUUUUUUACUUUUGUCGGACACAAGGUGUUUAAAGAAGGAAAUUGACCAGAUUAGUAGGCUAGACAACCAUACAAUUUAGAGGGGUCAAUAACAAUUCUCUGUGUGAAACUUAGUGCCUCAUAGAGCAUUUAGAUGUUGCAUAUGCAUGAGGACUAACAUCGAUUCCGAUUUCGACAGUUAGAACCUUUUCAAAAGCAUGUUUGGAAAGUGGGCUAAUUGUCUGUGUCGCGGACCGUUUGGGCCAGGUGGCGAACCAUCUAUGAUCUACUUAGAAAGGUCCGAAGUAUGGUUACUUCGGUGUGGUCCGAAUACAUUGUAUUGCGGACCAUCCGGGCCUUGGGGCUGGACCGUCCACAGUCCUAACUAGGGAAGUAACCGAAUUGCACAUGUCCUUGUGUAGUUGUGUGGACCAUCCGGCCCGGGUCAGCGGACCAUCCGCAAGUGCCAAAAUGAAUUUGGGCGGGGACUAUGUGUUUUUGGUGGUUUGUACUACGGACUAUCCGAGGUUUCAGCUCAGGCAGUACCGACUUUCAGUGGCAGACCAUCCAACCUUGGUGGGUGGACAGUCCGCCCAUAAUAAAGGCUUGGUCAGUGCUUGGGUGCUUGCUAUUGUAGGUCUCGAACCAUCCCACCGGGGUCAGCGGACCAUUCGGGUCUGCCUUUUCUGACAAGCUCUGACAUGUUUUAAAUCUAAAAGUAGUCAUUACCUUGUAUGCUGAACCAUCUCGUGUUGGUCUAUGGGGACAAUAUAUGAUCCUAGAGAGUUGUCAGGAGUAAGUACCAGUGGUCUAGGACUGGACGGGGUGUUACAAGUGGUAUCAGAGCCGACCCUCGUGGUUUCACGGGCGUGUGUGGGCUAGGGGUUCAGGUAUAUGGCACAUGGCGCAUGUGGGCCCGGAGUGGUCACAUGGCAUGGCAUAUGAUGACACUAGACACACAAACGUGACUAAGAGGGGAGGUUCCUGGCUUGGGGUUGACCGACAAGGACGUCGGUCUUCUAAGGGGGUGGAUUGUGAUAUCCUGGCCCUAAUGGAUGGUUAUAUCCUGGCCGAAGGCUUAAUAGAAUUAAUAAAGUACUCAUAUCAACAAGGUGCAUCUUCUUUUUUGGAAGCCUAUCUCAAAAGAACCUCCAAGUUAAGCGGGCUUGGCUUGGAGCAAUUUGGGAUGCGUGACUGUCGGGGACCAUAAUUAGGGGUACCCUCAAGACGCCUAAUUCUCAGCUGGUAACCCCCAUCAACAUAAAGCUGCAGAGGCCUGAUGGGUACGAUUAAGUCAGGGAUCAGUCCAUAUGAGCGACUCGAUCACGCCUCGCCCGAGCCUAGCCUCGGACAAGGGCAGCCGACCCCGAGGGAUUUCCGUCUCGCCCGAGGCCCCCCUCCAACGGCGGACACAUCUCCGGCUCGCCCGAGGCCUUGCCUUCGCUAAGAAGCAACCCUGACUAAAUCGCCGCGCCGACCGACCGAGUCGCAGGAGCAUUUAACGCAAAGGUGGCCUGACACCUUUAUCCUGACGCGCGCCCCCCGGCAGAGCCGAAGUGACCGCCGUCACUUCGCCGCUCCACUAACCGGUCUGACAGAAGGACAGCGCCGCCUGCGCCACUCCGACUGCAGUGCCACUUGACAGAGUGAGACUGACAGGCAGUCAGGCCCUGCCAAAGGAACCAUAGGAAGCUCCGCUCCGCCCGACCCAGGGCUCGGACUCGGGCUAAGCCCCGGAAGACGGCGAACUCCGCUCCGCCCGACCCAGGGCUCGAACUCGGGCUAAGCCCCGGAAGACGGCGAACUCCGCUCCGCCCGACCCAGGGCUCGGACUCGGGCUAAGCCCCGGAAGACGGCGAACUCCGCUCCGCCCGACCCAGGGCUCGGACUCGGGCUAAGCCCCGGAAGACGGCGAACUCCGCUCCGCCCGACCCAGGGCUCGGACUCGGGCUAAGCCCCGGAAGACGGCGAACUCCGCUCCGCCCGACCCAGGGCUCCCACUCGGGCUAAGUCCCGGAAGACGGCGAACUUCGCUCCGCCCGACCCAGGGCUCGGACUCGGGCUAAGUCCCGGAAGACGGCGAACUCCGCUCCGCCCGACCCCAGGGCUCGGACUCGGGCUAAGUCCCGGAAGACGGUGAACUUCGCUCCGCCCGACCCAGGGCUCGGACUCGGGCUCAGCCCCAGAAGACGACGAACUCCGCUUCACCCGACCCCAGGGCUCGGACUCCGCCCUGGCCUCUGCCGAACGACCUCCGCCUCGCCCGACCCAGGGGCUCGGACUCGGCCUCGGCCACGGAAGACAGACUCGACCCCGGCUUCGGAGGAGCCUCCACGACGCCCAACCUAGAGCGCAGACCAGCCACGUCAGCAGGAAGCGUCAUCAUCACUCUACCCCGAGCCGACUCGGGCCGCAGAGAACAAGACCGAUGUCCCAUCUGGCUAGCUCUGCCAGAUAGGCAAUGAUGGCGCCCCGCAAGCUCUGUGACGACGGCGGCUCUCAGCUCUCUUACGGAAGCAGGAGUACGUCAGCAAGGACUCAACCGCUCCGAAAGCUGUCCCUCCGCCAGGCUCCGCCGCUCCUCCGACAGCCACGACACCACUCCAGCUGGGUGCCAAGAUCUCUCCGGCUGCCACAUUGGCAUGUACUUAGGGCGCUGUAAUACUCAAAAUUGUGUACAAGAAAUACAUAGAGGAAUUCCUCAUUUUAUGCGCCUUAUUUGCAUCAUAAAAAGAGCACCCGUAUAAUUGUGUGUGAUUAAUUAAAACCAAUGAUUCUAAAAUAAACUAAAAGUGCAUCAUGUUGGAGUUUUACAUGUUUGUGCAUUAAAUAAAAAUAAUAGGGAUGAUAAGAUAAUAAAUACUAGAGGUUAAAUCAAACCCUAAAUUAAAAUUUGGGUUUUGAAAAGGAGAAGAUAAAUGAUAUAAAAAUAUAAAUGAUAUACUAUUAUUUCCAAAAAUUUGUAUUUUCAUUUCACAAUAUGAUGGGAGGAUAAAAAUAAUUUCUGCACAAUGUUCCAAUUCAAAAUCCAAAUUCAAACUAAACCUUAGAAAUGAAGAGAAUAGAAAGAAAAGGUAAAAGAAAAAGAAUAAAAAAGCCUCAUGGGCCGCGGAGCAUCAAUCUGGCCCAUCUCCACUUUUCUUCUGCUCGCCGCCAUGCGGGCCCACGUCGCCAGCCUCACUCCUCAUCGCACGCGCGCACAGCCCAUGCUUCCGCCACCCGCGUGCACUACCUGACUCGUGGGUCCGCGUCGCAGCUUUUCCCUCUCGCUCUGCGUCACUGCCAUGUGGGCCAUAUUGGUCGGCUUCUUCAACCGUGAGCUCAGGCUCCUAAUCCUCGUAACAACUCGUCCGCCGCACCUAUUCCCUCCGCGAUCUUCGCCAGUUGGGUAAUGAGAUCCUCCGGUGAACUCGCAUGGUGGUUGGGAGUCGGACACCUUCCCAUGCAUAUAAAUGCGGACCCGCUGCAACUCUCCCCUACUCCAUUGAAUCUCGAGCGCCGCCGCCGGGGGAAUCCGAGUCUCCAACUCGCCGUCGACAUACCGCACAGCUCAGAGCUCGGGCUUUGCCCUUGAAACGUCGCUGCGCCAGGAGGAAGGUGUUGCCCCGCAUCUGAGUUACUCCACGGGCGGGGCAGUCCGGGAAUUCCUCGCCGGUGCUCGCGCCCGAUCUCUCUCCGCACCCCCAUCGUGGCCUGCUUCCGCCAUAGUUCCGCGCGCUCGGUAAGCCACAUUACUGUGUUCACCAUUGUGCUCUCACUGUUUAGGUAGUCUCGGUCGGGGGAAUUAGUCGCCAGCGGGCCAUUUUGGCCGUCGCCGGCAAGCUCGCCGCCGCGGAGGCCCUGUGCGCCGGCGCGUUCCGCCUGGUCGCCGCUCUGCUGGUUGGGGACGAUCUUGUGGCCGUCUGAUCGGCCGUGUGUGGCUGAGAUCGGCUUACGGUGACCUGCCCAGCCGGAAACGUAAUGGGCCGUCCGAUCGGGAUCGGAUGGAUCCAGGAGAGAAAACAUAGUUUUAAAUCCUGGCCGUGAAUCUCUGGAUCGACGGUCAAUAACGCGUACCUCUUCGUCGUUAUAACGGAUUCGUCAGAUCGGAAUCUGAGGGCUCAUAAUCACCCAGAUAGCUUCAGCCGAGCUCACUUCUAAAAGAGACCCCGGAAAAUUUGCUAUUGAACCCGCCGUCCUCGGAUUCUGUUCACGGAGUCUUGGAAUAUUUGCGCCUUAGCCCCCUGCGCUUUGCAGUAAUUGAGGCCCAGUCCAGAGUAUUAUAAAACAGAGAAAAUAGUUUAUAAAUGGAUUUUUAAUAGAUAAAUAAAUGCUAGAACUUGUUUAAAUCAUAGAAAAUCCAUUUUUAGUCCAAAUUAAUCCAUUCCACUUUCUAAAAUUUUGUAAUUUUAUUCUCUACCACCUAGAGCCUCUGUUUUGUCAUGAAAACAAUUAGAAAUUUAAUCUCUCACUUAAUCCAUUUUAAACACAUAAAACCUUUGAAAAUUCAUAACUUAAAAUCUAUAACUCCAAAAUUAAUGAUUCCUGAUCCUAUGAUCUUAUUUUAAUAUGUAUAUUAUUAAUGUGUAUUUUGUUCUUAUGUUUGGUGUAAUGUUAAUUUUGCCUAUACCAUGUUUGUUUGAAUUGCUACGACUAGCAGUGAGGUCACGAGUCACCUGAAGAUCAUCCUGGUACCUGGAAUCUCAAGUCCCAGGCAAGUUGUGCCCUUGAUCACUUCUUUUUACCUACUCAUGUUCUGAUUAAUCAUAAUGAUCUGCAUAGGUUAAUUUUGAUGGGACCCAAUAGGUUACCCUAGUUUGUCUAUCUUUAUACCUUGUUUACCACUAAACUUUUUGGGUAGUACUUGCUAGUGCUUUAUGUGGUUUUGGGUAUGAAGAUACAUUAUUCAUGAUCACACUUUUAUUAUCUGUUUAUUAUCACUGUUCAUGAUAAGAUCAUUAUGUUAAUUGGAACGUGGAGAACCACCCGGGAAAGCAGUGCUACCACAAGGGUUUAAUGGGACGCCCUUGGCCGAUUAAUUAGGAAAGCUAGUGGAAGACUACCUUACCUGAAAGGGGCAAGGGCAGUAGGGGAGUGGUCAGUGUAGGGAGGCCCUCGGGAGGAUUUUGCUGUGAUGGCGGUCCUGCAAGGGAUUCCUGGGGAGGCCCUCGGGAGGAUUUCGCUGUGAUGGCGGUCCUGCAAGGGAUUCCUGGGGAGGCCCUCGGGAGGAUUUUGCUGUGAUGGCGGUCCUACAAGGGAUUCCUGCAUUGGAGCUUCCUAUAAACUGUAGCGGGUUUUCUGAAGCUAGUGGAACUUUGUAAAGGCCUCGUAGUGUUACCCUGCCUCGCCUCCUCGGUAGAGGUGUAUGGGAAGUCGCGAUCCCUUGGCAGAUGGGUAACAUGACUUGUGGGUAAAGAUGCGCAACCUCUGCAGAGUGUAAAACUGGUAUACUAGCCGUGCUCACGGUCAUGAGCAGCUCGGACACUCACAUGAUUAAUUUAUGGAACUAAAUUCAAUUUGUCAUAUGCAUUGCAUCGCAGGUGAGGUUGUUACUUUUGUUAUACUACUUAAUUGGGUUUGGUAUUUACUUAUACUUAGUAAUUGCUAAUAAAAUUUUGACCAACUUUAAAAGCAAUGCUCAGCUCUAACCAUUCUCUUUGGUAAGCCUUACACUUCACAUGAACUCCCACCUUUGGCGAGUUCAUUCACAUUAUUCCCCACAACUUGUUGAGCGAUGAACGUAUGUGAGCUCACUCUUGCUGUCUCACACCCCCCACAGGUCAAGAGCAGGUACCACAGGAUGAGGCGCGUGGAGGAUGCUGUGAUGAGUUCGUGAGUGGUCUAGGCCGUCGUCUCCCAGUCAACUUUGGGUUGCUGGAUCGUUUCCUCAUAUGAUGUAAUUAUUUAAUUAUUUUGUAUAGAACUCCUGUUAUAUAGUAAAGAUGUGACAUUCGAUCCUGUGCCACUAUGCAUCAUAUGUGUGAGACUUGGUCCCAGCACACCUGGUGUUUAUGUUCGCGCCCGGGCUUUGGACCCCUAAAACCCGGGUGUGACAGAAGUGGUAUCAGAAGAAUGUUGACUGUAGGACGAAACCUAGAUAGAACUGGACAACCAUUACUACUUACCUUUGCUACUCUGAUUCUUUUCUAAACUUUUCUUAAUCUUUCUCAUCUAUUUCCGCUUACUCUGAUUAUUCUUACCUUUUCCUUCUAAAGACAAACUUGGAUUUCACACUUUGAAAUCCUAUGUCUAAAGUGACUUUAGGAAUAGGAGACCUACUCUUAGGAACAAAAACAAAACUAUUUUUUUCUAUAUGCUUGAAUGCUUGUUCUUAUGAUACAUGUAUGAUUUGGAUCUUUGAUUGAGUGUGAUGGGUUGUGGAGUAAUGUCCACAAUUACAUUUACAUAUAUAUAUAAUGCUUAUAAAAAUAACUAGAUAAACUAGAUUAUUCCCCAAAAAAAAAUAAUAAAAUAUCUAGUAUUCCGUAUCUAUCUCAUCUUACCAGAUUCUAUCUUACCUUUGGACAUUCACCUCAUACAACUAGUUACCCUAGUCUUGACAUAAAAUAUCUGGUCAAGCCCUACCAAAGAAUCUUCAGUACAUAACCAACUAUUAGCUUAUUCAUUCUGCCGACCAAAUGAUUCCCUUGCAAAACUAUCUUACGAUAUGCUUCUAACUUAGAUGGUCAAUACCAGGAGGGGUGGUGGAAUUGAUUUACCUCCUAAUCGACACACUCGGCAGAUAUAUAGACAACCCCAGCCACAGCCAGCAGAGAUGAAUCCUCCUAAUCCUCCACCAGGCGGAGUUGACCCACUGAUUGCAGCUCAAAUGAGGAUGAUGCAGCAAAUGGCUGACACUAUGGCAGAUAUGCGCGCCCAAAUGCAGCAAGAACGCCAGGAAAUGCGCCAGGAAAGAGAGGAUGCACGUCGGGAGAUGCACCAAGAGCGGGAAGAGAUACGCCAGGAGAGAAGGGUGCAACAACAGCAGCUGCAACAACAACUUCAACAACAGCAGCAACAGCAACAGGUGCCAUUGCCUCCACCUCCACCACCAGUUCCACCCCGAGAUAAGCAUCGGGAAUUCAUGAGCCACAAACCACCAACCUUCUCCAACUCCACGGAUCCACUACAAGCUGAUGACUGGCUAAAGUCUAUAGAGAAGAUGCUCAACAUAGCUCAGUGCUCGGACCGAGAGAAAGUACUCUACGCAUCAGGUCGUCUCGCUGGUCCUGCUGCAGAUUGGUGGGAUGCGUACUGCGCUGCUCAUGCUGCUGUCGAUACAAUUGCCUGGGCAGAAUUCUCCACACAAUUCAGGAAUUACCAUAUUCCUGCCGGGCUCAUGAAGAUUAAGAGAAAGGAGUUUCUCUCCCUCAAGCAAGGAAGUAUGUCUGUGAGUGAAUAUAGGGACAAAUUCAUCCAGUUAUCUCGAUAUGCUCCUAGAGAUGUUGAGGAUGAUGAGCAAAAGCAGGAGCUUUUUCUGGACGGUUUGAUUGGACCCUUGCAAUAUCAACUGGUAUCGCACACAUUCCCAUCCUUCCAAAGGCUACUUGACAAAGCUAUUGCUGUAGAAAACAAGAGGAGUAUAUUUGGAGAGAAAAGAAAGGCUGCUCACCAAGGGCAGGCUGGAAGUAGUUCCCGUCCUCGCUAUACUACCACUCCAAGUACACCAGCUAGUGGCAGUUCUGGACAACAAACUCAACAGGCACCAACUGCUCCUCCAAAAGCAAGCACCCCCGCAGGACCUGUUGCUCCCAACACAUCCACCAACAGGGCAUGCUUCAAAUGUGGACAACCGGGACACUACGCCAACUACUGUCCCAACAGGGCUGCCUACACUACACCAGCUCCAAUGAAACAAGGUCAGGCCUCGGCAGGAAAGAGUCAGCCCCUAUCUAUCAACCGAGGACAAGCCUAUCAUGCAGAAGUAGAAGCUGAACCAGGUGAACUGGAAAUUCAAGAAGAAGAGCCAGUGGAAGAGGAAAUAGUCGGUGAAGAGGUCAAUGAACAACAAGAAUAGAGAUAAACAUAAACAUAGAUAUAUAUUUUACUAUUUGUAAGGCCUAAAUAUUAGUUUAGCUAGUAGCAGUAUUUUACGCUUUUAGUAAUAAUAAUAAGGUCUGUUGACCCUAUGUGUUGCUAAUGAGUUAUGCAUCAUGCUCAGAUUUCCUUGUUUGUGCAUAUGUUCCCACAACAAUAUGAGUAUAUAUAUCCUUUCUCUUACAAAUCUCGAGGACGAGAUUAUUUUUAAGGGGGGUAGGAUUUGUAAUACUCAAAAUUGUGUACAAGAAAUACAUAGAGGAAUUCCUCAUUUUAUGCGCCUUAUUUGCAUCAUAAAAAGAGCACCCGUAUAAUUGUGUGUGAUUAAUUAAAACCAAUGAUUCUAAAAUAAACUAAAAGUGCAUCAUGUUGGAGUUUUACAUGUUUGUGCAUUAAAUAAAAAUAAUAGGGAUGAUAAGAUAAUAAAUACUAGAGGUUAAAUCAAACCCUAAAUUAAAAUUUGGGUUUUGAAAAGGAGAAGAUAAAUGAUAUAAAAAUAUAAAUGAUAUACUAUUAUUUCCAAAAAUUUGUAUUUUCAUUUCACAAUAUGAUGGGAGGAUAAAAAUAAUUUCUGCACAAUGUUCCAAUUCAAAAUCCAAAUUCAAACUAAACCUUAGAAAUGAAGAGAAUAGAAAGAAAAGGUAAAAGAAAAAGAAUAAAAAAAGCCUCAUGGGCCGCGGAGCAUCAAUCUGGCCCAUCUCCACUUUUCUUCUGCUCGCCGCCAUGCGGGCCCACGUCGCCAGCCUCACUCCUCAUCGCACGCGCGCACAGCCCAUGCUUCCGCCACCCGCGUGCACUACCUGACUCAUGGGUCCGCGUCGCAGCUUUUCCCUCUCGCUCUGCGUCACUGCCAUGUGGGCCAUAUUGGUCGGCUUCUUCAACCGUGAGCUCAGGCUCCUAAUCCUCGUAACAACUCGUCCGCCGCACCUAUUCCCUCCGCGAUCUUCGCCAGUCGGGUAAUGAGAUCCUCCGGUGAACUCGCAUGGUGGUUGGGAGUCGGACACCUUCCCAUGCAUAUAAAUGCGGACCCGCUGCAACUCUCCCCUACUCCAUUGAAUCUCGAGCGCCGCCGCCGGGGGAAUCCGAGUCUCCAACUCGCCGUCGACAUACCGCACAGCUCAGAGCUCGGGCUUUGCCCUUGAAACGUCGCUGCGCCAGGAGGAAGGUGUUGCCCCGCAUCUGAGUUACUCCACGGGCGGGGCAGUCCGGGAAUUCCUCGCCGGUGCUCGCGCCCGAUCUCUCUCCGCACCCCCAUCGUGGCCUGCUUCCGCCAUAGUUCCGCGCGCUCGGUAAGCCACAUUACUGUGUUCACCAUUGUGCUCUCACUGUUUAGGUAGUCUCGGUCGGGGGAAUUAGUCGCCAGCGGGCCAUUUUGGCCGUCGCCGGCAAGCUCGCCGCCGCGGAGGCCCUGUGCGCCGGUGCGUUCCGCCUGGUCGCCGCUCUGCUGGUUGGGGACGAUCUUGUGGCCGUCUGAUCGGCCGUGUGUGGCUGAGAUCGGCUUACGGUGACCUGCCCAGCCGGAAACGUAAUGGGCCGUCCGAUCGGGAUCGGAUGGAUCCAGGAGAGAAAACAUAGUUUUAAAUCCUGGCCGUGAAUCUCUGGAUCGACGGUCAAUAACGCGUACCUCUUCGUCGUUAUAACGGAUUCGUCAGAUCGGAAUCUGAGGGCUCAUAAUCACCCAGAUAGCUUCAGCCGAGCUCACUUCUAAAAGAGACCCCGGAAAAUUUGCUAUUGAACCCGCCGUCCUCGGAUUCUGUUCACGGAGUCUUGGAAUAUUUGCGCCUUAGCCCCCUGCGCUUUGCAGUAAUUGAGGCCCAGUCCAGAGUAUUAUAAAACAGAGAAAAUAGUUUAUAAAUGGAUUUUUAAUAGAUAAAUAAAUGCUAGAACUUGUUUAAAUCAUAGAAAAUCCAUUUUUAGUCCAAAUUAAUCCAUUCCACUUUCUAAAAUUUUGUAAUUUUAUUCUCUACCACCUAGAGCCUCUGUUUUGUCAUGAAAACAAUUAGAAAUUUAAUCUCUCACUUAAUCCAUUUUAAACACAUAAAACCUUUGAAAAUUCAUAACUUAAAAUCUAUAACUCCAAAAUUAAUGAUUCCUGAUCCUAUGAUCUUAUUUUAAUAUGUAUAUUAUUAAUGUGUAUUUUGUUCUUAUGUUUGGUGUAAUGUUAAUUUUGCCUAUACCAUGUUUGUUUGAAUUGCUACGACUAGCAGUGAGGUCACGAGUCACCUGAAGAUCAUCCUGGUACCUGGAAUCUCAAGUCCCAGGCAAGUUGUGCCCUUGAUCACUUCUUUUUACCUACUCAUGUUCUGAUUAAUCAUAAUGAUCUGCAUAGGUUAAUUUUGAUGGGACCCAAUAGGUUACCCUAGUUUGUCUAUCUUUAUACCUUGUUUACCACUAAACUUUUUGGGUAGUACUUGCUAGUGCUUUAUGUGGUUUUGGGUAUGAAGAUACAUUAUUCAUGAUCACACUUUUAUUAUCUGUUUAUUAUCACUGUUCAUGAUAAGAUCAUUAUGUUAAUUGGAACGUGGAGAACCACCCGGGAAAACAAUGCUACCACAAGGGUUUAAUGGGACGCCCUUGGCCGAUUAAUUAGGAAAGCUAGUGGAAGACUACCUUACCUGAAAGGGGCAAGGGCAGUAGGGGAGUGGUCAGUGUAGGGAGGCCCUCGGGAGGAUUUUGCUGUGAUGGCGGUCCUGCAAGGGAUUCCUGGGGAGGCCCUCGGGAGGAUUUCGCUGUGAUGGCGGUCCUGCAAGGGAUUCCUGGGGAGGCCCUCGGGAGGAUUUUGCUGUGACUAGGUCAGUGCCCGUGCGUUGCAACGGAGACAUAUAAUAUCUCAAUAACUUAUAUAUGCACAUAUGUGUUAUAUAGUUAUGAGAUAGAGGAUGACAUAUAUGCGAGCUGUCCGGGAUGAUAUAGAAGAGAAACUUAGACCUGUGACGCACGGACACUCACCUAGUGUAUUAUAUAAGAUAGGUCAGUACCCGUGCAUUGCAUCUGGAACAUAUAAUAUCUCGAUAACUUAUAUAUACAUAUGUGUUAUACGAUUAUGAGAUGGAUGACAACAUUCGCGAGCCGUCCGUAAUGAUAUCAAAGAGAAACCCAGGCCUACAACGCACAUGCACUCACCUAAUAGUGUAUUAUAUAAAAUAUAAAAACCUAAAUGUCAAACAAUAUUAUUUGCUAAUCCAUCUUACCUAUAUAGUGCUUUGCAUCUUUCAUUGAUGAGCGAUGUAGCUCAUAUGUUCAUAUCCAGCUAUUAUACCAAUGCACCAUAGUUGUCAGCUGAAGGGUGGUCCUUAGAGCCACUAUCAUAUGUUGACCUAGCAUUUCUACCAUACACUGGUGGUGGUGGUGGUCUGGUGGAUUGGAGGAUUUAUUUGGUUCUGCUUUCUUGAUCUCCACCGACAAACAAAGCAAAUGACCUAAGCCUGGUCAAAGUCCCUUCCAUUAAUUACUAUUAAUUUAAUCAGUCAUGGACCAAUAGAAAAUUGGUUUGGAUUUGUGAGUGCGGUGAGAGGAAAAUAACUUAUGCAUAAUUCGUUAGCAAGUAGAUUUAGAAGUGUAGAAAAAUGAGAAGACACUUUGAAUGAAUUGUACAAUAGGAAUAUAACAUGCAUAUAAUCGAAUGGCAUCAAUGAAUGAGACAAUUCAAUGUGAGGCAUAUAACUUAAGAAAAAAACACUAUUCAACUGGUGCAAUUCAAAGGUUCUUUGAUCAAUAGUUGACCUUCUCAAUGUUUGUGACAGUAGAUUCUUAAAGAAUGUCAGCAUAUCCACUGGAUAACAAUUGACAUGCCCGCUCAUGUGUACUGUAAAGCUUGUCUCUCACAUCACCGAGUAUAAUGCGAUAUGACUUAAUCGAAGGAACCUUGUUCGAGAACUCUGUUACAGAUGAAACAAUGGUUAAUAGGAAUAGCCAAGUUUAGCAAUCUACCAUCUAAAAAUUCUGAAACAAAAAAACCUAAAUGUCAAAUAAUAUUAUUUGAUAAUCCAUCUUACCUAUAAAGUGCUUUGCAUCUUUCUUUGACGAAGUCCGCGCGGCAGAUCGUCGACCGCCUUGUCGUCUGCGCGGCCGCCGCGACCACGACCACGACCACGGCAACGCUGGGGCAGCAUUGUGCGUGGGCGACGCGCUGCGCAAGGCCACCAAGGUGCUCGAGGACCGGCGGGACCGCAACCCGGUGGCCACCGUCAUGCUGCUCUCCGACACCCAGCAGCAGCAACAGCAGUCGGCAGCGCCGGAAAACUCGUCAAGGAAGCAGUUUGGGCGGCCAGCGGUGGCCCCAGCAACGCGCUUCACCCAUGUGGAGAUCCCCAUCGGCCCCGGCGACCCGCCUCCUCUUGUGUCCGAGUGCGAGGAGGAGCCUCCCGUGGAGCACGCGUUCGCCAAGUGCCUUGGCGGGCUGGUGAGCGUGGUGAUGCAAGAGGUGCAUCUGGAGCUGGCGUUCCCGACGGGGGAGAUCACGGCGGUGUACUCGUGCAGGCCUGGGCAGCAAGCCGUGGCAGUCUUCGGUGGUGCGGGGGUGAGCAUGCGGCUGGGCGAGAUGUACGCAGAGGAGGAGCGCGAACUGCUGGUGGAGGUGCGGGCGCCGCUGGGCAGCCACCCGCACUCGUUGACGGUGCGGUGCAUGUACCGCAACCCGGCGUCGCAGGAGACGGUGCGCGGCGCGGUGCAGCCUCUGCUGCUGCCCGCGCUCCAUGGCGAGCGGGCGCCGUCAUCGUCGUCUCGGCAAUUGUUGACAUCACUACAACAGUAAGAUUUCUUAAUAUAAAUAUCACACUUUGCAAGUUGUGAACAACAAACCUUUCACAAAAUAUAAAAUUCGCUAAGGUAAUAGGAAGAUAAGUCUGAAUUAAAACUUCAAUAAUAACAUCUGAUAGAUGGCAUCUAGAGAAGGUCUCAGCGUCUAUGUCAGCGGGGCAGUUGCAUGGGCAGUGCAGCGAGCCGCGGAGCAGCGAGUACGUGUGUUUGUGUCAAGGUAAUUCAAGCGAAGUGUAUUCAGCUACUACUCUAGCAAAGUAACGCAAAUGACCAAAGGCAUAUAAGAGGAGCAUGUUUAGACUACAUAUUUUCAUAAGCAAACAACCAUAGCUGUUGCUAGGUAGGCAUUUAGAACAGAAAAUCUAGGAGCAACGCAACCUACAAAUCUGUAUCGUAGAGAAGAAUUCGGUAAAAAGGUUGGAAACCAGAAAAACCAUUUUAAUUAGGACCAAAACAACCUGAUAAUGUGUAUUCAAGACAUGGGAUCAGCAAUCAUAGACUGUCAUGAAUUGUGACCCCCAACAGAAAAACAAUUGUUGACAUCACUACAACAGUAAGAUUUCUUAAUACUAAAUAAAUAUCACACUUUCACAAAAUAUAAAAUUCGCUAAGGUAAUAGGAGGAUAAGUCUGAAUUAAAACUUCAAUAAUAGCAUCUGAUAAAUGGCAUCUAGAGAAGGUGUGAACCUUGUACUGAUGAUCAGUUGUGUCUUCUGUCAAAGUAAAAGCAUAUCUAAGAACAUCAGAAGCAUCAGACCAUGAUUGCACUCGAUCUUUUGUUUCAGGAUGAGAUAAAAUGUAUCCCAUAUUUUCUGGAAUAAUCCUACAAAUUCAAAGGGAAAACAUCAGGUGGGAAAUCGUCAGGUAUCAACCAUAACGUCCUGUAUAUUAGGAUCAGCAUAUACAGAGAUCCUAAGAAAUGACCAUUGCAUGAGGUAGCCCUACUCAGUUUAGCAAGUAACAACCAAUCUGAUCUAAAGGGCAGAACAAGCAAAUGCUACCAAUACGUGCAUCGAUCCAUUCACAGAACGAAGUGAGCUUCAAGCAUGCCAAGUACAUAAUUUCGAAUAGAUGGCGUUAUUGUAUCCAAAAAGCAGAUGCCACCAAGAAAGACAUGGAAGGCACAUAACUGGCUAUAGGUUCAGUAGUGACAUGAGCAACAACUGAUGGUCUUGAGAUUGUGGGACUUUUGCAUCGGGUAGAUGUAUUUCAGUAUUUGAUUUAACUUGUGAUAUAAGUUUAUCUAAUGACUUACUGCACUUAUUUUUCCUUCAGAUGAACGAGAGCUUGUUCACAUGUGAACUUUCAAAACAAACCUUAUCAUCCGUCAAGGAUACAGUUGAAAUGGCUGUCAAAAAAUGGGGAGAGAAAUCAUUAACUGAACUGGAAGCAGAAAAGCGGUUGUCCUACUCAUGUGAGAAGGUAAGCCUAUUUUAGGAACCAUGAGAGGUCAAAUUCUAUAUGUUGCUAUUCAGUGUAGCGUAGUGUUCACAUGAUCAAUUUUGUUCAGGUCAUUACAGCAGGUGGUAGGAACAGAGCGCCAUGAAUCACACAUAAUUGACAAUCAUAGAAGGCGACAUGAAACGGGCCUUCGAUAGAAAGAUUUGAGUCUGACAGACGUGAGGGUUACAAGCCUCAUUAGUUUGAAGCUGUUACUGCAACUGACCAGGGCAAUGCAGCCAAAAGGGACGUCCAACAUGCAUCACACAAGUUGCAGCCAAAUCUAAUUCAGCUAGGGAAACCAGAAAUGCAUGGACUAAUUUUAAUGGAUCAGUGAGUAACAAGGGCAUUUCUAGUUCAGGGUCAAGUCGUGUGGUUACAACCAAUUGCAUUAGCUGUUUUUAUGUGAAUUGCAUUGUAAAGUUAUUAAUACAGUACUACUGGCAUUAAGACACUUUAUGAAAAUCCACACAAUUUUGCAGGCUGACAGUUAUUGCAAGGUGCUAUAAUUUUUCUGCUCUAAUAUUAAUGCAAUUCUGUAAAAUAAUGUGAAAUCCAGUUAAAAAAAUCACUGAGCAUGCAGUUUUGGUAAAUCAAAAUUGAAUCCAGAUGUUACUAAAAUAGGGAACCCACUGAUCAUGCAGUUUUGGUAAAUCAAAUUGACUCCCCUGCAAUGCUAACCCAUCAGUGACUCAAUUAGAAAAUUUGAGUAACUAAAUUCAGAGCAUCUCUGAAAAUUAAUGCAAAAGAAAGGUAGAAGGUCAAGUAAAUAUAGCCUUCCUAAAUCUGCCAGAUCAGUGAGAAAUAAUUAAUGCAAAAUCAUAUUAAGGGUUUCAAGGGAAUCGCUGGUGCAUAGACACGAAGAUGAGUUAUCGCAUACUUUUGGUCGUCAUCAACAAAACAAUUUCUGUGUACACAAGUGGAAAGCACUGGCAUCGUAGUACUCAUCGUAUUCAAGGAACAAAUUUUUUCAUAGAACAAGGCAUUUGACAGAUCUAGCCAUUUCAUAUUCACUGAUCAAGGAACAACCAUUUCGCAGAUCAUUCCAUUGCACAGAUCUACGCAUUUCAUAUUCAAAGUCAAGGAAAGGGGAAGCAGUGUUGAACCUUUCGUAUAGACGAGGCCGACCACACUGCGGACCGAGGAGACCACCACGCGCUGGCUCUGACCUCGAUGAAGGCCUGCUCCAAGAUUGUGUUAACCGCCACUGCCGUUGCCUACAGGGCCUCUUUCGAGCGUUGAAUCCUCACCGGCCCCGCCUAGACUCUGAGCGCUUCGCCCGUUUCCUUACCUAAAAUGUCGGCAACCAUCUGUUAGGCAGUUUUACUUAACUAAAAUGGAAGGAUGCUGUAGAGCAUGUAUCACAAGAACCAAAGUCAAAACAACUCUAAAAACCAAUGCAAGAUCCUCAAAAUAUCUAGAUGGCAUUUGAAAUUUGAUGAACAUGUGAAAUACCUCUUUCCUCAUGGGAUCUUCGUUCUCUAACAGGAACAACUCAAUGUGCAAGGUGAGGACAUGUACGCUGCAAAACAGCAAAGUUAAAUAUGUUAUUCAACAUCAUUACAUGAAUGAAUGCCCAUCCUUCAAAUACAUACUAUCUAUGUGUCUGUGCUGCUUCUGGGCUAGGUUCACCUGGAUAAGUGAAACAUAGAGGUUGUCCACAACCAAGUCUUUCACUAAAAAAUAACAGAAAUGCAAGGCAAACCAAACAGUAGAAAAUCUUGUGCACAUUUAAAAAGAAAGAGAAAUAAGCUAUACAUCAGUGUUACUCUCAACAUUCUUCAGUAAGUCCAAAAUGAACCUAGCUGUUUAACAGACCAGUGGCCCUAACCAUUGGAAUGUCGAGACUAUGGUUGUGUGGUGCGACCAACAACACCACAGUAUCUCCGGAAGACAAUUGACUGCCUGUGAGCAAUAAUAUCCUCAAGGUAUCGCUUAGCCUUGGCCAUAGACAACUUGUGAAGCACAAAAGUUGUCUUCCUUAUGUUCUGCAGUGAACGUAUCAGUUUAGAAAAGAUAAUGGAAAGAUAAGCCAAUCUCAGAUAUGCCAUUCGAUAUCAACUAAUCACUGAACUGCACCACAAUAUGCCUACGUUGAAUGUGGGAUAGCCCAAAAAGGGUUUCAAGCUUACAGAAUGCAAAAACCUUCAAUUGCAGGUUCAUAGGCUAGCCUUAUGUGCCUAAGUUCUAAUUACAAUUACAGAAAAAUAACCUAGAAUAUUAUGCAUAGUAUAUUUUUCUAACGACCACUAUAAGGUAUACCACAUUGGUGAUUGGUGGAUGAGAAGUUGAACGAACACAAAUAUGAGAACUUAUUGAUAUUUGCGCUAAACCAACUGAUAUGUUCCAAUAUUGCAAGUGCGGACAAGUUAUUAAUUAUUGUAGUCAUUUCACAAAGUAAUGUUCAUGUACGGUGUUUGUGAAUGCACAAAAGGAAGCAUCUGGCAUCUGUUUAGCGAUGUAACAAGUGUAUAGAAUCAUUAAGGAAGUGAAAAGCAUCACCUGACCAUCAGGACCAGUCUGUGUCCAUCAUAUCUGGGUUUGGCCUAUACUUCAGGAGGUCUUCCUCAUCCGAAUGCCCAUCCUUCCCAUUCGCCUCUGCAUUUCCUGAUUUCUCUCGAGCAGUGGCAUUGUCAGCCGCAUUGGUGAGCUUCUGGAUUUGGUAAUCUACCUUCUUGUCACUCAGACGAAUCUACAAGAGCGCAGCAGCAGAGCCAUAGGUAGAAACCACAUGCAGUUUAGCUUCAUUCUCCAGUACCAAAAGUAUCAUCAACUCACAUAUUGUAAAGUUGAUAACAAAGCGCGCAAGUUGCCCUGUUUUCCAGUAGACCACCUCUUAAUUUCGAAGUCUAAAGUGUCUCCAAUUCUCUGUAAUUCACAAUGUCCAAACAAACAAGUGGGUUGUUAGCAUCCAAGCAAGUGUAGUUAAAGGACCAAGGCAUGCUGUAAUCACGGACUGAAAAUGUGGUGAGAUAUGAAAGCUGAAAACAAUUUUAGAUAAUAACAAAUGUUGGUGAGAUAUGCUAUAAUCAAAGGUGAGUUGUUACUUGGUCUAUUUCAUCUCUGAAAUGAACACCAGAGUGUAGACUACUUGGUCUAUUUCAUCUCUGAAAUGAACACCAGAGUGUAGACUGUUUUGAUUGUUGACAUGGACUAAAGCAAGCAUAAUCAAGUUGAUAUGGAUAUGAAAAGCAUAUGUACUUACAUCUCUCUCAGCCUGCUCCUUGUGAGCUUUUGCAUAUAUCGUUCAUUCUUCUCAGCCCGAGAUUUUCAUCCGAGACCAUCACGAAUCAAAAAGUGCCCUCCUUGCAGCAAUGGGAAACUUGAAGGACGUUUUUAGUUGUAUAAAGCCACGAUGGCAUUCCUCAUGAUGGUUGUAUUAAUCUUCUUGCAGCAAUGGGAAACGAAAAAGCAAAUAGCCAUUGGGAAGCAGAGCUGCCUCCUAAAUAUGAUAGGGUUGGGAUAGAGAAUUUCAUCCGUGCAAAGUAUGAUUUUCCCAGAUCUUUCAGUACCUUGAAUAUGUCAUUCUUAUCCUCCUACUCUUCAAACACUAAUAUCUACACGUAAUAUAUUAUGCCUGAAAUGUAGAUAUGAGGACAAGAGAUGGGUACCAAGGAAUGGAACAUUGCGACUUUCCUCCGGUGUUCGAGAUGAGAAGAGCCAAGAGUCUCCAGCUAGUGCUAAUUGGAGUGGACAUCAUAGAUCUUCAUUUGAGCAAAACCAUGCUUCACCAGCUCUUCCGAGCAAAGUUGCACCUGUAGCUUCAAGGAUACCCUCUCAGGUAAUCCUUUGCUACCAAAGCUUUCCUAAACAACAGUCAAUUUGUCAAUGUGAAACUGGCAGAUGUGUAUUCAGACAGGACUCUUUUGAAUAUUUAGCUCUUGUUCUUAAGUCAGGCUAAGUAAUCCACAUUGCAGAAAUCUUAAUUCCAAUUAUUUUAACACAACAAUGUAAUCCUUUCUAAUCUGGCAUGAUUGCAUGGGAAGCAGGCAUCACCUCAGCCCCCAAAGGUAGAACCACCAGUUCCUAAGGUGGUUUCACCUCCUCAGCCACAAAAAUCUCCUGCCAAAGUUGAGGCAACACCCCCUAAAGUUGAGAAGCCAUCAGUUGCGCCGCCUCCUAAAGUUGAUUAUGCUACUGAUCUCUUUAACAUGUUAUCAAUGGAUGGAACAAUAGAGAAAGAGCCAGAGUCAUCUCCAAACGACGAUAAUGCCUGGGAUGGCUUCCAGUGUAAGUUCUUGUGACUAUUCGACUGAUGAACUGUUCUAUUUAUGUGUUCAUUUUAUUGUGCCUUUCUUACUUUGUUGGAUCUUAGUAUGAUAUUUAUGGAUUUCCAUGUCACUUUUUUGUACUGUUGCUCAUGGAAUAUCAAAACUGUUCAGCUGCACAACCAGUACCUAGCUCCGAGGAAAAAGAUUCUGCCAAACCAGCAGAAAGCAAGACCCAGUCUACAUCUGGAAUAGAAGACUUAUUUAAAGAUUCGCCAGCUGUGUCGUUAUCCUCAGCUCCAGUUGUUUCCCAAGAAAAUGCAAAGAAUGAUAUCAUGAGUUUGUUUGAGAAGGUGAGCACCAGCACUCCUUUGAAAAAAAAAUCGUGAAAAAUGGUUCUAUAUAAAAGAAAGGGCACAUCUAUGGUCUAUCUAAGAAAUAGCUAUGUUUUGCAGUCCGAUAUGGCAUCACCAUUUGCUGUCCAACAGCAGCAGCUGGCGUUUAUGUCUCAGCAGCAAGCUCUUCUAAUGGCUGCUCUUAAAGCUGGAAAUUCACCACAAAUAGUUCCAGGGAAUGCCAAUCAACUAAACACUAACGUUUCUAAUCCCCCUCUUGGAACCUUGCCUUUCCAAAACUGGACAAAUCUUGGCUAUCAAAAUCCUGGGUUGACUCUAGCAGCAGCACAGAAUGGUGCCACAAUGAGGAGCAUUUCAGUUUCCUGAGCACUCGAUGCCUAAUUAUGACAGUGGAAAGGCUGCUAACAGUAUGAUCAAACAGAGAGCGAGGGAAUGAAGGAUCUAACUCUUUAAAAUGUCGAGUAUUAGAAGAGGGAAAGUAAGUAAUCAGAGUGGUUGAUGCAAAAUGUUCUGAGCUGUCUAAAUUUGAGUCUGAGUAUCAUGAGGUAUGCAAUUCCCUUUUACAUAGUUUAUUUAUAAAGGUUCUCCAUUUAUCAUAAAAUUUUAGCAACAAACUACUAAAAGUAAAUCCCAAUUAAAUUGAACCCUCCAGUGAUUAGUGUAGUCAAGCAUAACUAAGUUACCUUUUCAAGCCACCGACAAUGGAUUUGAAGAAGAAACUUAAGCUCGACAAAUUUUGAAUUAGAUAUUCCCUUCGUAACUGCAAAAUUUUUAGACCUUUUUAAACUUCACAGCUAGAAUAAUGUCUGUCUUAAGACGCUCUACAAUAGCAGAUUCAGCACAACCCUUUCUAGAUAACUUCUGGUGUAAGGAUUUUAUGUCAACCACAUUAGUAAAAAUAUAAGUGCACAUCAAAUAUAUAUAAGCAGAAAUUGUUACUGAUAUUUCAAGAAAUUCAUCAAGAUUAGUUGCAAUUGUUUCCUAGUAAAUAUUGGUAACUGGUCUUGUCAAACAGCCACCCUUCCCCUUCCAAUUCUACAGUUACAUCUUCUGUGUAUAAUCUAUGGCCGAUAGUUCAGUCACUGUCAUACCUAACAAGCAGGAGGAUUUCAUAUGACAAGGCCAGGAAAAAAGACUAUUAAUUAAGAUUUAAAAUAUAAAUAUGUAUUCAUAUAAGGAUUUCAAAUGAACUAUGUACUUUUUGGUUAUCUUAUUCCCAUUAUAUAAUAUUGUUUACAGGCUCACGUCUUGGUGAAAUGGAACGUGAUUGUUUAAUUGCAUAUGGUGCUAGAAUGCUAAUAUUUGAACGCCUAGUGUUUUCAAAUGAUUCUUAUAAAGUCCAGGUGAUACCAGAAGUAGUUCGUGGUUUGUGUUUUUUCAGGUUUGCAGUAUAUGUGCUACCAGUAGUAGUUUGUGACGUGUGAAUAUUUUUCAGGUUUGCAGAACAUGUGGCUUGUUAGGCUACUACAACCAUAAACUGUUCAAUGUGCAAAAAAUGGGAAAAUAUAGCCUAGAUGAGGCUGCCAUAUGCUUGCAAGCUUUUGUUAAAGGUACUGCAAAAGAGCAAAAUGUGUUGUUGCUUCAAUCAUAGAACCUGAAAAUUUGUCCUUCUCCUCGGCUUGAUUCCUCAGCCUCCGAAGGCUUUAUGUAUUUGGCUUCAUCCGAAGCUCGUAUACGACGGUCGUCCAAAGCAUUCUUCCCUGAACACCUGCACGUUCUAUCCAAAGGCAACCUUCGGCAUUAACCUUGCAGUGUACAGAUAACAAAAUAGAACGGUUAAUGAGCGUUUUGAGGACCUUCGGGAGAAGGAGACCCCCAACAUAUACAUACAAGAAGGAUCCAGAUACAACUUCAGUACUUGACUCCAUAGUACGAAUAACUCCUUUAUCAUGGUAGUUGUUUGCUGAGAACUUGUUAAAAGAGAAUGGCUUAAGCUUCCAAGCAAUUCUUAAAAGGGUAUGAUCUUGAGAUGAGUUCUCUUCCUGUAAAUAGAAAUGAGAAAUCAUUCAAAACUAUGUCUUGUGCUGCUCCACAAGAUAUUCAUAAAUGUAGCCAUCAAACAAAGAACAUAGUUUUGGCUCAAAUACAAAAUAGCUAGAAUUUUAAGUAGCCAAGAAAGUGACAUGCAAAGAACAAGCGACCCUACCCUUAGCCGUGAAACAAAGAAUGCAACUAAGCCAUUGAUGCCACUACAAGGCCUAUCGAGAAGUUGAUGUGUCUUCAAACUGACCAGAGAAACCAUUUUAAUGAAAACCACUGCACCUAGGCAUUUAUCUUACCUGUCAAGUUCACCGAGCAAGUAAGCUCAUGGGCCAGACAACCAUGAAGUGGAAGAACCACAGGUACCUCCCAUUGUACAUCGACAUACUGGACAUCGGCUGGUAAAGCGUAGCCUUGCCCCUGGGAAAAUUAGUAUAUCCAUUAUGCACUCAAUGUUUGCUCAUGUUAUUCUCAAAAAAAUUCAAACAUCACCGGAUCAACUAUAUACCUUCACGGUUGCAGAUAGCACAGGGCAUGCUAUUCCAGGUUCAUACAUUUGGAAAGUGCCUCUUAGUCGUCACAAGAACACAUUGCUGUCAACAAGGAGGAAUAACCCUAGAAUGGUGAGUUUGGAUAGGUGAGAAAUCCUUAAAAUAAUAGAGCUCUAAAUAUAAACACUUACCAAUAAGAGGGGCUUGAAGUUCAUUCAGUAUGUGAUGGAACAGAUCAGAGUUUGUCGAAGUGUCUAGUGCCAUAUUGUUAAGAUUAACCUCCACCAACACCAAAUCAAGGUCUGCUUCUUUAGCAGCCCCACAUUUAAUCAAAUCCAGGGCCGCUUUUACUGUUUGGAAGGAAAAACUACGCAACAAUAAAGGUAAUAAGAUUAAAAUAUUUGGAAAAUUAAUAUGUGUAUUUAGCAUUGUUCUACACUUAAUGGACCCUGCAAUUGACAUCACUACACAUAUAAAUAUAGUCAUAAUAUUAAGGAAAGCUUGGUGAUGCUUAUAUAGAAAAAUAAAUAAAUCCCAUUACGAAGUCUUGGUGAUGCUCACAGCUUGGUGAUGCUCACUUUAUAUUUAUUCAUCCAGCUGACUUCUAGAAGUUCCAAAGAAGUCAUUACAAAACACAUAGUUUAAGGACCAGAAGCCUGAGAUUGCUCACCAUCUUAAUUAGUUGUUGCCUUCGCUUCCUGAUUGAUGAUUCCCUGCUAUCAAGGUAUAGUAACCAUAUUGUGCGACUAUAAAUUGCACCCAGCAGAACUGAUUCUCCAAGAGCCUGAAGAAACAAGUGGAUCAUCAAUUAACCCUACCCCAUCAUUGUUAUUUCUACAGGUGUGUCAACACUUAUCCCAAAAUAUCAGAUGUGUUGUGCACUAAGCAUUACUAUAAAGUGGACAGUACUUCGCUAAUGAAAAUCUUCCCUUUCCUGGUUCUCUUCUCCCUCUCUGAUUUACCUUUUUCAAACAUAACGCUGGAUAUGGAUUUAUCAGAUUAACUGGCAAGUAAUAAACAUUAUUAAGGUAAAAUGAUGUCAUAUGUUUUCAUUCAUAGUAGCAAAAUAGUAUAGUAGAAUCCUUUUAAAACCACCAAGGUCAUACAUAAGGAAAAAAACUACACCAAAAAUACAGAUAGAUUACCAAUUCAUGACUGCAUAUUCUUUUUUAACGGCCAGGAAAGCCCAUGAAAAUACAUGAGUUUCAGUCUUUCAUUAGACAAAAAAAAUAGGGCAAACAAAAGAUCAGGAAACUUCUACAUUGUAGGGGAAAACACUGAACAAUAAGCUCAUACCUGACUGAGCAUGUGCAUUACAUCUAGACAAUUAUCCAAAUCUGGACCCUAUUCCUCUUUAUAGUUCCCAGCCUCUGGAGAAAACAAGACAGGCACGCGCGCGCACAAAUAAGGUCAACGAGAGUCGUCGAUGUAAGGGGUGCUGCUUGAAGGGGUUACAGGGCUACCAAGAACGUGGUGGGAGUAAGGAGCAGUUGGGGCUGACGCUAAAUUGAACAGGUCAUGAGGUACAGGAAACUUGCGCUCGCCGAGAGUGUUCCAGAGCUUGAUGGUCUUUUCACGGGACGCGGAGACGAUCUGGCGGUUGUCGACUGAGAAGACGACGGAGAGAACGUUCUUCUCGUGGUCGACGAAGUGACGGGUGGUGAGGACGGUGGAGAGGUCCCAGAGGAGGAGAGGGACUCCUACGCGUCGGCCAUGGUUGUCGUGGGGGAUUGGGGCUGCAAGGGUUGCGGUGGCGGCGGCGUGAAACGAUCGAUGAGGGGGAGGAGGAGAGGGCAUGGAGGCAGAGGUGGUGGUGGUGGGCGGUGGGGAUGCGGCUGUUGCCGCGGCAGCGGGAGAGGAGGUGCCGCAUCGUCACGUUCGGCAGCGCGGCGAUGUGGAGAGAGAGGCAGAUUGAGGCGGCGUCGGUUGCAGCUACGAGGGAGGCGGGGAGGGGUGGGUGGGCAGGUGAUGCUCGACGAAUGGACGGUGCAGCGGGGGCGGGAGUGGUGCUCGACGAACGGACGGUCUAGAUUGGUGGAAGGCAGAACCAAAGAGAGGCAGCCUACCCCUUGGGUUCUUAAUAGUAGUAAAGAUGGCGGUCCUGCAAGGGAUUCCUGCAUUGGAGCUUCCUAUAAACUGUAGCGGGUUUUCUGAAGCUAGUGGAACUUUGUAAAGGCCUCGUAGUGUUACCCUGCCUCGCCUCCUCGGUAGAGGUGUAUGGGAAGUCGCGAUCCCUUGGCAGAUGGGUAACAUGACUUGUGGGUAAAGAUGCGCAACCUCUGCAGAGUGUAAAACUGGUAUACUAGCCGUGCUCACGGUCAUGAGCAGCUCGGACACUCACAUGAUUAAUUUAUGGAACUAAAUUCAAUUUGUCAUAUGCAUUGCAUCGCAGGUGAGGUUGUUACUUUUGUUAUACUACUUAAUUGGGUUUGGUAUUUACUUAUACUUAGUAAUUGCUAAUAAAAUUUUGACCAACUUUAAAAGCAAUGCUCAGCUCUAACCAUUCUCUUUGGUAAGCCUUACACUUCACAUGAACUCCCACCUUUGGCGAGUUCAUUCACAUUAUUCCCCACAACUUGUUGAGCGAUGAACGUAUGUGAGCUCACUCUUGCUGUCUCACACCCCCCACAGGUCAAGAGCAGGUACCACAGGAUGAGGCGCGUGGAGGAUGCUGUGAUGAGUUCGUGAGUGGUCUAGGCCGUCGUCUCCCAGUCAACUUUGGGUUGCUGGAUCGUUUCCUCAUAUGAUGUAAUUAUUUAAUUAUUUUGUAUAGAACUCCUGUUAUAUAGUAAAGAUGUGACAUUCGAUCCUGUGCCACUAUGCAUCAUAUGUGUGAGACUUGGUCCCAGCACACCUGGUGUUUAUGUUCGCGCCCGGGCUUUGGACCCCUAAAACGCGGGUGUGACAGGCGCUAGCUCUCCCCUGCUAGACACGUAGCACUCUGCUACACCCCCAUUGUACACCUGGAUCCUCUCCUUACGCCUAUAAAAGGAAGGACCAGGGCCUUCAUAGAGAAGGUUGGCCACGCGGGGAUGAGGACGAGACAGGCGCUCUCUUGGGGCCACUCGCUUCCCUCACCCGCGUGGACGCUUGUAACCCCCUACUGCAAGCGCACCCGACCUGGGCGCGGGACGAACACGAAGGCCGCGGGAUUUCCACCUCUCUCACGCCCGUCUUCGGCCACCUCGCUUUCCCCCCUUCGCGCUCGCCCAUGCGCUCGACCCAUCUGGGCUAGGGCACGCGGCACAUUCACUCGUCGGCUUAGGGACCCCCCGGUCUCGAAACGCCGACAGUUGGCGCGCCAGGUAGGGGCCUGCUGCGUGUUGACGAACAGCUUCCCGUCAAGCUCCAGAUGGCAGUCUCCAGCAACCUCUCCGGCCCGGGACGGUGCUCCGUUUUGGGAGUCUUCAGUUCAUGUCCUUCGACGGCAGCUACGACAUGAUACUCCUUCCACCGCCGCGCGACAACGACAAUGGCGGCCGACAACCCGUCCGCCGGCGGCGGAAUCGACGACAUCUUCCCCGCGUGGUGGAAGAACAACAUUCGAGCUCGCCCCAUCCUCUCCCCCGCCAACGGAGGAGGAGGCGGGGCAACCAAGGCCAAGCGGGAGGCCGCGCUUCGUCGGCUGUCGAGCGAAUCGACGUCCCCAGCGCCCCAACGGGGGGCGCGUCGGGCGUCGACCUCGCGUUUGAGACGAAGGCGAGCGUCGUCCCCCCGCGACACGCCAAUCCCGAGCAAGUGGACGACACCAGCGCGCUCGCGGAGAGCUUGCAGGACGUCGCCCUCGUACCUGAGACGACGGUGCAAUCAGUCCCCGACGUGACUAUGUCGCUGCUCGUCGACCAAAAGGUACCGACCGAUUCCCAUCCUACGUCAUUUCGACUCAGCCUCAACCCGCCUAGCGACCUCGCUUUGGCAGGCGCUCUCGUUGAGGCGAGUGCAACCCCUCUGGGGUUUCGUAUGCGGUCGCCUUGGGACCGAUUGACGGACAUCUCAACCUACGGGCCCUCUGGGUCCGAGGAAGAUGACGAUCCCAGCAUCUGUUGGGAUUUCUCUGGAUUUGGCAACCCCAGUGCCAUGCGGGACUUUAUGACCGCAUGUGACUACUGCCUCUCUGAAUGUUCCGACGGUAGCCGCAGCCUCGACGACGAGGACUGCGGCCCAAGCCGCGAAUGUUUCCACGUCGAGCUAGGGGAUCCCUCCGAAGGCAACCAUCUCGGCAUGCCGGAGGACGGUGAUCUCCCUAGGUCGGCGCCUCACGCUGACAUCCCGCGGGAGCUAGCUGUGGUCCCCGUUCCGGCGGGGGGUCACGACCCACAGCUCGAGCAAGUCCGCGGGGCGCAGGCCAGGCUCGACGAGGGAGCAGGAGCACUUGAGCCGAUCCGCCAGGACGUCGGGCAGGUAUGGGCGGGCCAACCCCCGGCCGGAGAAAUACGUCACCUGCCCCAGGGUUUCCAGCACCGCGUCGCCAACGACGUUAGGGUCAGGCCGCCACCCGCAUCCAGUGGGGUCGGCCAGAACCUGGCAGCCGCAGCGAUGCUCCUCCGCGCGAUGCCGGAGCCAUCAACCACCGAGGGUCGGCAAAUCCAGGGAGAGCUCAAGAAUCUCCUGGAAGGCGCUGCGGUCCGACGGGCCGAGAGCUCUGCCUCCCGAAGGCAGGGAUACCCCUCGGAACCUCAUGCCGCGACUUCCCGAUUCAUGCGGGAAGCCUCGGUCUACACCGGGCGCACGCGCAACACCGCGCCUGCGGCCCCGGGCCACCUCGGCAACGAGCACCAUCGUCGCGACCGUCGGGCCCACCUCAACGAAAGGGUGCGCCGAGGCUACCACCCCAGGCGUAGGGGACGCUACGACAGCGGGGAGGAUCGGAGUCCCUCGCCCGAAUCACCCGGUCCGCAGGCCUUCAGUCGGGCCAUCCGACGGGCGCCGUUCCCGACCUAGUUCUGACCCCCGACUACUAUCACAAAGUACUCGGGGGAAACGAGACCGGAACUGUGGCUCGCGGACUACCGCCUGGCCUGCCAACUGGGUGGAACGGACGACGACAACCUCAUCAUCCGCAACCUCCCCCUGUUCCUCUCUGACACUGCUCGCGCCUGGUUGGAGCACCUGCCUCCGGGGCAGAUCUCUAACUGGGAUGACUUGGUCCAAGCCUUCGCCGACAAUUUCCAGGGCAUGUACGUGCGCCCCGGGAAUUCCUGGGACCUCCGAAGCUGCCGGCAGCAGCCGGGAGAGUCUCUCCGGGACUACAUCCGGCGAUUCUCGAAGCAGCGCACCGAGCUGCCCAACAUCACCGACUCGGAUGUCAUCGGCGCGUUCCUUGCUGGCACCACCUGCCGCGACCUGGUGAGUAAGUUGGGUCGCAAGACCCCCACCAGGGCGAGCGAGCUGAUGGACAUCGCCACCAAGUUCGCCUCUGGCCAGGAGGCGGUCGAGGCUAUCUUCCGAAAGGACAAGCAGCCCUAGGGCCGCCCAUCGGAAGAUGCUCCCGAGGCGUCAACUCCGCGCGGCGCCAAGAAGAAAGGCAACAAGAAGUCGCAAGCGAAACGCGCCGCCGCCGACGCGGACCUUGUCGCCGCCGCCGAGUACAAGAACCCUCGGAAGCCCCUCGGAGGUGCUAACCUCUUCGACAAGAUGCUCAAGGAGCCGUGCCCCUAUCAUCAGGGGCCCGUCAAGCACACCCUCGAGGAGUGCGUCAUGCUUCGGCGCCACUUCCACAGGGCCGGGCCACCCGCAGAGGGUGGCAGGGCCAGCGACGACGACAAGAAGGAAGAUCACCAAGCAGGAGAGUUCCCCGAGGUCCGCGACUGCUUCAUGAUCUACGGUGGGCAUGUGGCGAAUGCCUCGGCUCGGCAUCGCAAGCAAGAGCGCCGGGAGGUUUGCUCGGUGAAGGUGGCGGCGCCAGUCUACCUAGACUGGUCCGACAAGCCCAUCACCUUCGACCAAGCUGACCACCCCGACCACGUGCCGAGCCCGGGGAAAUACCCGCUCGUCGUCGACCCCAUAGUCGGCGACGUCAGGCUCACCAAGGUCCUGAUGGACGGGGGCAGCUGCCUCAACAUCAUCUACGCCGAGACCCUCAGGCUCCUGCGCGUCGAUCUGUCCUCCAUCCGAGCAGGCGCUGCGCCCUUCCACGGGAUCAUUCCCGGGAAGCGCGUCCAGCCCCUCGGACGACUCGACCUUCCCGUCUGCUUCGGAACGCCCUCCAACUUCCGAAGGGAGACUUUGACGUUCGAGGUGGUCGGGUUCCGAGGAACCUACCACGCGGUACUGGGGAGGCCAUGCUACGCGAAGUUCAUGGCCGUCCCUAACUACACCUACCUGAAGCUCAAGAUGCCGGGCCCCAACGGGGUCAUCACCGUCGGCCCCACGUACAAACACGCGUUCGAAUGCGACGUGGAGUGCGUGGAGUACGCCGAGGCCCUCGCCGAGUCCGAGGCCCUCAUCGCCGACCUGGAAAGCCUCUCUAAAGAGGUGCCAGACGUGAAGCGUCAUGCCGGCAACUUCGAGCCAGCGGAGACGGUUAAGGCCGUCCCCCUCGACCCCAGUGGCGACACCUCCAAGCAGAUCCGGAUCGGUUCCGGGCUCGACCCCAAAUAGGAAGCAGUGCUCGUCGACUUUCUCCGCGCAAACGCCGACGUCUUUGUGUGGAGUCCCUCGGACAUGCCCGGCAUACCGAGGGAUGUCGCCGAGCACUCGCUGGAUAUUCGGGCCGGAGCCCGACCCGUCAGGCAGCCUCUGCGCCGAUUCGACGAGGAGAAGCGCAGAGUGAUAGGCGAGGAGAUCCACAAGCUAAUGGCAGCAGGGUUCAUCAAAGAGGUAUUCCAUCCUGAAUGGCUUGCCAACCCUGUGCUUGUGAGAAAGAAAGGGGGGAAAUGGCGGAUGUGUGUAGACUACACUGGUCUCAACAAAGCAUGUCCGAAGGUUCCCUACCCUCUGCCUCGCAUCGAUCAAAUCGUGGAUUCCACUGCUGGGUGCGAAACCCUGUCCUUCCUCGAUGCCUACUCAGGGUAUCACCAAAUCAGGAUGAAAGAGUCCGACCAGCUCGCGACUUCUUUCAUCACGCCCUUCGGCAUGUACUGCUAUGUCACCAUGCCGUUCGGUUUGAGGAAUGCGGGCGCGACGUACCAGCGGUGCAUGAACCAUGUGUUCGGCGAACACAUCGGUCGCACAGUCGGGGCCUACGUCGAUGACAUCGUAGUCAAGACAAGGAAGGCUUCCGACCUCCUCUCCGACCUUGAAGUGACAUUCCGAUGUCUCAAAGUGAAAGGCGUCAAGCUCAAUCCCGAGAAGUGUGUCUUCGGGGUGCCCCGGGGCAUGCUCUUGGGGUUCAUCGUCUCCGAGCGGGGCAUCGAAGCCAACCCGGAGAAGAUCGCAGCUAUCACCAGCAUGGGGCCCAUCAAGGACUUAAAAGGCGUACAGAGGGUCAUGGGAUGUCUCGCGGCCCUGAGCCGCUUCAUCUCACGCCUCGGCGAAAGAGGUCUGCCUCUGUACAGCCUCUUGAGGAAAGCCGAGUGUUUCGCUUGGACCCCUGAGGCCGAGGAAGCUCUCGGGAACCUGAAGGCGCUCCUCACAAAGGCGCCUAUCUUGGUGCCCCCAUCUGAUGGAGAAGCCCUCUUGGUCUACGUCGCCGCGACCACUCAGGUGGUUAGCGCCGCGAUUGUGGUCGAGAGGCAAGAAGAGGGGCAUGCAUUGCCCGUUCAGAGGCCAGUCUACUUCGUCAGCGAGGAUCUCUCCGAGACCAAGAUUCGCUACCCAAAAGUCCAGAAGCUGCUGUAUGCAGUGAUCCUGACGAGGCGGAAGUUGCGACACUACUUCGAGUCUCAUCCGGUAACUGUGGUGUCAUCCUUCCCCCUGGGGGAGAUCAUCCAGUGCCGAGAGGCCUCGGGCAGGAUUGCAAAGUGGGCGGUGGAAAUCAUGGGCGAGACAAUCUCGUUCGCCCCUCGGAAGGCCAUCAAGUCCCAGGUAUUGGCGGACUUCGUAGCCGAAUGGGUCGACACCCAGAUGCCGACGGCUCCGAUCCAACCGGAGCUCUGGACCAUGUUUUUCGACGGGUCGCUGAUGAAGACGGGAGCCGGCGCGGGCCUGCUCUUCAUCUCGCCCCUCGGGAAACACCUACGCUACAUGCUACGCCUCCAUUUCCCGGCGUCCAACAAUGUGGCUGAGUACGAGGCUCUGGUCAACGGGUUGCGGAUCGCCAUCGAGCUAGGGGUCAGACGCCUCGACGCCCGCGGUGACUCGUAGCUCGUCAUCGACCAAGUCAUGAAGAACUCCCACUGCCGUGACCCGAAGAUGGAGGCCUACUGCGAUGAGGUUCGGCGCCUGGAAGACAAGUUCUACGGGCUCAAGCUUAACCACAUCGCUCGGCGCUACAACGAGACUGCGGACGAGCUGGCAAAAAUAGCCUCGGGGCGAACGACGGUUCCCCCGGACGUCUUCUCCCGGGAUCUGCAUCAACCCUCCGUCAAGAUCGACGACACGCCCGAGCCCGAGGCACCCUCGGUCCAGCCCGAGGUACCCUCGGCUCAGCUCGAGGCACCCUCAGCUCGGUCCGAGGCGCCCUCGGUUCAGCCCGAGGUACCCUCGGCCCCCGAGGGCGAGGCACUGCACGUCGAGGAGGAGCAGAGCGGGGCCACGCCUGAUCGAAAUUGGCAGACCCCGUACCUGCAAUAUCUCCGCCAAGGAGAGCUACCCCUCGACCGAGCCGAGGCUCGGCGGGUAGCACGAGGCGCCAAGUCGUUCGUACUGCUGGGCGAUGAGAAGGAGCUCUACCACCGCAACCCCUCGGGCAUCCUCCAGCGAUGCAUCUCCAUCGCCGAAGGUCAGGAACUCCUGCAAGAGAUACACUCGGGGGCUUGCGGCCAUCACGCAGCGCCUCGAGCCCUAGUCGGGAAUGCUUUCCGGCAAGGCUUCUACUGGCCAACGGCGGUGGCUGACGCCACUAGAAUUGUCCGCACCUGCGAAGGGUGCCAAUUCUAUGCGAAGCAGACCCACCUGCCCGCUCAGGCUCUGCAGACGAUACCCAUCACCUGGCCCUUUGCUGUGUGGGGUCUGGACCUCGUCGGUCCCUUGCAGAAGGUGCCCGGGGGCUACACGCACCUGCUGGUCGCCAUCGACAAAUUCUCCAAGUGGAUCAAGGUCCGACCUCUAAACAGCAUCAGGUCCGAGCAGGCGGUGGCGUUCUUCACCAACAUCAUCCAUCGCUUCGGGGUCCCAAACUCCAUCAUCACCGACAACGGCACCCAGUUCACCGGCAGAAAAUUCUUGGACUUCUGCGAGGAUCACCACAUCCGGGUGGACUGGGCCGCCGUGGCUCAUCCCAUGUCGAAUGGGCAAGUAGAGCGUGCCAACGGCAUGAUUCUACAAGGGCUCAAGCCUCGGAUUUACAACGACCUCAACAAGUUCGGCAAGCGAUGGAUGAAGGAACUCCCCUCGGUGGUCUGGAGCCUGAGAACAACGCCGAGCCGAGCCACGGGUUUCACGCCGUUCUUCCUGGUCUAUGGGGCUGAGGCCGUCUUGCCCACUGACCUGGAAUACGGCUCCCCGAGGACGAGGGCCUACAGCGAUCAAAGCAACCAAGCUAGCCGAGAAGACUCGCUGGACCAGCUGGAAGAGGCUCGUGACAAGGCCUUACUACACUCGGCGCGGUACCAGCAGUCCCUGCGACGCUACCACGCCUGAGGGGUCCGGCCCCGAGACCUCCAGGUGGGCGACCUGGUGCUUCGGCUGCGGCAAGACGCCCGAGGGAGGCACAAGCUCACGCCCCCCUGGGAGGGGCCAUUCGUCAUCGCCAAAGUUCUGAAGCCCGGAACGUACAAGCUGGCCAACAGUCAAGGCGAGGUCUACGGCAACGCUUGGAACAUCCAACAGCUACGUCGCUUCUACCCUUAAGAUGUUUUCAAGUUGUUCAUAUACCUCGCACCCACGCAAAGUUUAGUCAUCAAGGAAGGGUCGGCCUCGCCUCGGCAAAGCCCGACCCUCCCUCGGGGGCUAAAAGGGGGGAAACCCCCUCUGCGUUAAAAUUUUCCUCGAAAAAAGAUCUCUUCUGCCAGAAUGUCUUUCGUGCUUUCUGACUACUUCGAAAAGUGGAUCCUGAAAACGACGGAGUACACGUAAGCAGCCAAGGCUGACCGAGCCGAGGGACUCCUACGCCUCCGGGAUACGGAUACCUCACUCAUCACCUUCUACGAUAAGUAACUCGCAUUCGGAUAAAGUGAUUCCGCGGAUCGAACAAGUCUUUACGUUCGGAAGCUCUUCUGCCGAAGCGAUCCUUCGAGCCUUCUCGACUGAGUCGGUGACAGGGCCUCAUGGACGGGUGAAAGUACGCGUAAGCGGCAAGGCCGACCGAGCCAAGGGACUCCCACGCCUCCGGGAUACGGAUACCUCACUCAUCACCUUCCGCGAGAAGCAACUCUCGCUCGCACAAACAUCCCUGUUAUCGACAAAAAAGUCUAGAUACUCGAAAUAAGAGGAAAAGAGACGCAGCUUUACAACGCGGCGAGGGUGUGUGUUCUGGCCUCGGCGGCCGCAGAAGGCACACGCUACAAGACAAUCUGAUCCUGCAGGCUCGGGUCUUCAUGCUGGAAGGGGGCUGUAGCACCCUCGGCAUCGACGACACCUUCAGCAAGGUCCGACCUAGCCUCGGACGGUGACGCGGUCCAGGAACUUCUCCGGGAAUCCGGCCCAAGCAGGCGGCUCGGCCGGUUACCCUUGGGGCCUCGGCCAACCAUAUUCCAAGGGCGCCAGCCCGAUCUGAGGCCUCGGCUGAUCAACUCCGGCGUCGGUCCCGCUGACGGACAACCCGGCUAGGCUCCGGCCAACCAGGUUUUCAUUUUCGAGCCAACUCUGCCUCUGUUCGUGCUGAUAUCGCUACCCCUGGCCUCGGCUCAUCGAAGAGCGGCCAAGGGGUCUAUUUAACUAAGCUAGAGGAGCCUCAGACAACAAGGCCGAUCGAGCCGAGGGACUCCUACGCCUCCGGGAUACGGAUACCUCACUCGUCACCUUGACACGGGGCGACUCAUGCUUGGUGAAGCGGUUCAGAUAAUCAACAGGCGAGUCUUAGUGCUCGAAAAUGAGGAAAAAACACGGCUCCGUGCCAAAAUUACAUACAUGUUCAGGCCUCGACAGCCACAAUGAACAAAAAACCCUGGCAUUCAAAGUGCCAUUACAAACGGAACUCCGGUUCCCCCUUCGCAGGUACGAACAACCCCACUCCAUGGGGGAAGGCCUGCGGAGCAACAGAAGACCGACGAACGGCGCGCCGUCACCUGCUCCAGCAGCGGCGACGACGACGACUUCUGCUCCGAGGGGGCGAACAGCGGCAGCACUGACCUCAGGGCGGGCGCUGCUGCUAGGAGGCCCCCGCCCAUGCCCAAACUUGUGAGGCAAGGACGGGCAGAAGGCCGUAGAGUUGGAGGUCGGUCCGUGGGCGGCCCUGGCUAUCUCGUCGGCGGAGGAACCUCUUCCAGCUGCCGUGGCAGACGCCGGCACCGCGAGCGGCUCCGAAGCCACUCGCGUCCGAAAGCCGGGCACGCUGCAGCUGCCAGCGCCACGGACGACGACCGCCCUUCCCUCCGAUCACUGAGUGAAGGAGCGGGCCGCCGCCCACGCGGGGCCGACCCCAACUCGGCACUCCCUCCUCCCCAGCCCUGGUGAUGAAAAUCCUUGAGGCUGAGGGAGGGGUAGAGGCCGCAGCCCGGCUCGCUUUCCCCCACCAUCAAGCCGGAAGUCACCAUCUUGGGUGACCGCCGGUGGAGGGGUGCAGCUGGGCUGCAUGAUGAAAAUCCUUGAAGCCGAACGAUGGCUGAAGGGUACCAACUCCCACGGAGUUGUGUUCCUCCAACGAUGAGGCGAAAAGACGGCGGGUACCCCCCAUCCCGGGGCUUGGAAGGUGGAAAGACGCGAUGCAUAAGGGAGGGAGAAGACAUGGUCGCCUUCCGAAAGGGGUCGCCCUCCUUUUAAAGGCAACUCUCCCUACGUGCGCCUCCAAACGUCUCGGACUGAGUCUUCUCCAACACGCUCCAAGGCCCUCCCCUGCGGCAUGGGGGCUAGGUCCCGCAUGUCAUGCAAACCGACUCGGGGCAGAAGAAGCCAAACCGCCGCGCGUGGCGCACACAACCGCCCAGCGGUUACAAGCGACCCCCCACUUUUGCCCAGACCGACGGGCGGAAGGGGCGGGCAGCCAUGCAGGCGGCAUGCAACCGCGCCAGGUGGACGCGCUUCUCUGACUCCCAACACGCUGGCAUGGAGGCCCAGGCCCACGCGUCACGCAACCGGCGCGCCGGAUGCUGCAUGCAAGAAACUGCACCGCCACUUGCGCCACCACCGCGCCUCUUCGGUUGCGGAACCAAUGCCGCGACUCGAGGCGACCCAGCGCACGACCCAGCAGCGCCAGCAUGGCGCGACGGUCAAUGCAGCCGAAAGUGGGCCGGCAGUAAUGACGGUGGCAGGCAGGCGGGAGCAGCGGUCACGUCGUCGGCCAGGCUCACGUACCAUCCGGGGGCAGCAAGAGAACCCCCUCUCACGGCGUGAAGACAGGGCGCCCGUGAUCCGUUCCUCGAACGGCUCGCGCACGCGCAAUGGCCGCCCCACCAACCACUCGCCCCGUCGCAUUAACUCCGCGGCGGGACAGGCGGCGCUUCUGGCGGGAGAAGCGGGCGACGCUUCGCCUUCGCCGUAAUAACCGCGCCAAAAAAGGUACGCCACGUCGUUCGAUUUCGUAUCCUUUUCCUUUUUUCCUCUUUCUCUAUCUCUUGCGACAGGGACCGGGAAAGGGGGAUACCCCGAAAAGGAUCCUUCCCUGUGAAGGAACCGGGCUCCGAGCCCUCCUACUGAUCAGAGGUUCGAAGGCUGGCCCCCCGAGGGGUUCAACAGUCGCCUCAGAUCGCGUGGGCCCUACACCCACUACUGGUCAGAGGUUCGAAGGCCGAAGCAUUACGCAAGGCAUUAAGACCUCGAAGGAGUGAAACCACUCCUCCGAGGCCUCGGGGGCUACACCCGGCGGGUGCGCUCGCGCGCACCCACCGGAACAAAAUGCAACCGAGAAAGGCUGGUCCCCUUGCAAAAAAGUGCGAUGAAAGCCUCCAAGCGAGUGCUAACACUCCCUUCGAGGCUCGGGGGCUACUGUCGGGGACCAUAAUUAGGGGUACCCUCAAGACACCUAAUUCUCAGCUGGUAACCCCCAUCAGCAUAAAGCUGCAGAGGCCUGAUGGGUACGAUUAAGUCAGGGAUCAGUCCAUACGAGCGACUCGAUCACGCCUCUCCCGAGCCUAGCCUCAGACAAGGGCAGCCGACCCCGAGGGAUUUCCGUCUCGCCCGAGGCCCCCCUCCAACGGCGGACACAUCUCCGGCUCGCCCGAGGCCUUGCCUUCGCUAAGAAGCAACCCUGACUAAAUCGCCGCGCCGACCGACCGAGUCGCAGGAGCAUUUAACGCAAAGGUGGCCUGACACCUUUAUCCUGACGCGCGCCCCCCGGCAGAGCCGAAGUGACCGCCGUCACUUCGCCGCUCCACUGACCGGUCUGACAGAAGGACAGCGCCGCCUGUGCCACUCCGACUGCAGUGCCACUUGACAGAGUGAGACUGACAGGGAGUCAGGCCCUGCCAAAGGCACCAUAGGAAGCUCCACUCCGCCCGACCCAGGGCUCGGACUCGGGCUAAGCCCCGGAAGACAGCGAGCUCCGCUCCGCCCGACCCAGGGCUCGGACUCGGGCUAAGCCCCGGAAGACGGCGAGCUCCGCUCCGCCCGACCCAGGGCUCGGACUCGGGCUAAGCCCCGGAAGACGGCGAACUCCGCUCCGCCCGACCCAGGGCUCGGACUCGGGCUAAGCCCCGAAAGACGGCGAACUCCGCUCCGCCCGACCCAGGGCUCGAACUCGGGCUAAGCCCCGGAAGACGGCGAACUCCGCUCCGCCCGACCCAGGGCUCCGACUCGGGCUAAGUCCCGGAAGACGGCGAACUCCGCUCCGCCCGACCCCAGGGCUCGGACUCGGGCUAAGUCCCGGAAGACGGCGAACUUCGCUCCGCCCGACCCAGGGCUCGGACUCGGGCUCAGCCCCAGAAGAUGACGAACUCCGCUUCACCCGACCCCAGGGCUCGGACUCCGCCCUGGCCUCUGCCGAACGACCUCCGCCUCGCCCGACCCAGGGGCUCGGACUCGGCCUCGGCCACGGAAGACAGACUCGACCCCGGCUUCGGAGGAGCCUCCACGAUGCCCAACCUAGAGCGCAGGCCAGCCACGUCAGCAGGAAGCGCCAUCAUCACUCUACCCCGAGCCGACUCGGGCCGCAGAGAACAAGACUGAUGUCCCAUCUGGCUAGCUCUGCCAGAUAGGCAAUGAUGGCGCCCCACAAGCUCUGUGACGACGGCGGCUCUCAGCUCUCUUACGGAAGCAGGAGGACGUCAGCAAGGACUCAACCGCUCCGACAGCUGUCCCUCCGCCAGGCUCCGCCGCUCCUCCGACAGCCACGACACCACACCAGCUGGGUGUCAAGAUCUCUCCGGCUGCCACAUUGGCAUGUACUUAGGGCGCUAGCUCUCCCCCGCUAGACACGUAGCACUCUGCUACACCCCCAUUGUACACCUGGAUCCUCUCCUUACGCCUAUAAAAGGAAGGACCAGGGCCUUCUUAGAGAAGGUUGGCCGCGCGGGGACGAGGACGAGGCAGGCGCUCUCUUGGGGCCACUCGCUUCCCUCACCCGCGUGGACGCUUGUAACCCCCUACUACAAGCGCACCCGACCUGGGCGCGGGACGAACACGAAGGCCGCGGGAUUUCCACCUCUCUCACGCCCGUCUCCGGCCACCUCGCUUUCCCCCCUUCGCGCUCGCCCACGCGCUCGACCCAUCUGGGCUGGGGCACGCGACACAUUCACUCGUCGGCUUAGGGACCCCCCGGUCUCGAAACGCCAACAGUGGCCAACCAAGAAGUUUUCUCGGGUGCGCAUGAGUGAGGACAAAGUGCGUACAAAAGACUCAUGUUGGUCUGUGGGGACAAUAUAUUAUCCUAGAGAGUUGCCAGGAGUAAGUACUGCCGGUCUAGGACUGGAUGGGGUUUUACAAGAGGGCGUGGACCAUCCCCAUGUGCGCAGAAAGUGCAUAUAGCGGCUAGUAUUGGUUGGAGGGCUAUAAAUAGAAGUGGUGCUCAUGUGUAACAACUCUCUUGGCCAUUCCUAGCACACAUUGAUGACAUUUGUGAUCCUCCAACUCACUCACUCACACACAUUGCUUGACAUUGCAUCUUAGUUGGUGAUUGAGUGUUCCUAGUGCAUUUGCAUCAUUUGGUGAUCUUGAGGCACUAGGUGGCACACCGAGCAAGCGUCGUUGGCUUAUUACUCUUGGAGGUUGCCGCCUGCUAGACAGCUUGGUGGUGUCUCCAUCGAGUUCUCUGUGAAGAUUGUGGAGAAGCCGCAGUGGUGAUUGUAAGGGGUUCGCGCCUACCUCACCAGAGCGACAAAGGCGACUCUAGUUGAAUAGAGGUAUUGAGUGUUUCCUUGUCUGCUUAGCUCGAGAUCAAGACUAUAGCACCCUGAAUUUAGGGGUAUAAAAUUUCUUUGCUCAUAUCCACAAAUUUAUGUGUUACUCCUCUUUUCCCUUUCCUCUCAAACCCCUUUUUCUCUUUUCUCUAGAAUAAGGAAUAUUGCUUCAUUGGAAAUGUAAUUAUAUUCUAGAAGGCAAAACCUCAAAGGAGAAUGGAAUGUUACAUCAUGUUGAACCCUAAGUCUUGUCUUUGUUUGAUGCAUAUGCUUGAGAUGGUUGUAUUUGAAUUUGUGGCUCAAUUGCAUUUGAAUUCAAAAGAGAAAAGAAAAGGAAAAGGGAACUAAAAUCCAGGAUAAAAGGAAAAAGGAAAAGGGAACUAAAAUUCAGGAUAAAAGGAAAAAGGAAAAAGGAAAUAAGCCCGCGACCCCUCCCCCUACGGCCUCUCAGCCUAGUCGGCCCAUCUUAGCUGCGCCCACGCCUGCCCCUUCUUUCUUUGCCUAACGAGCCUACCCUGUCGGCGCCGCUACGUCGACCGCGCUCUCUCUCUCACUCUCUCUCUCUCUUUCUCUCUCUCUGCGCCGUGGGCCCUGUGGGGGACAGAUAUCCCCCGGGUCCACUAGAAGGCUAGAAGACCUCGCGAAAGGCUUUGGGCCCAUUGUUUCGCAAGGCCAUCCCUUCGUGGGCUUGGGGAGGAAUGUCUGGCAGAGUGGAUCGACGCAAGAUUGGAUCAACCCGAGCCUAGGCGGCCCGUUGAAUUUAAGCAUUAUCCACAAUAGUGAUCCGAUUCUCCUGCGCUACGCCCUCAGGCGUCGGAACUAAAUGAUGAUAAGUCGGCAGAAUUAUAGGAAGAUAAGCUCAGUCGGUUCACUAUUACUUAGGCGCACGUUGUUAACAAAUCUGCAUGUAACGCCCCACAGUCGAGUAUAUAAGGCCUAGGGGGCACCCCCUCAGACGACAACUCACUCAUUAGCCGUCUACUCAGCUCUCUAGCAUCUUCCAUACUAGAGAACUCCCCUAUAACCCACCACAUAAAAGAUCCACACCAGGAAGUAGGGUGUUACGCCUCUCUAAGAGGCCCGAACCUGUAUAAAAUUGUCCACUGUCUCUCGUGCAUCUAGCACGAACCAUCGAGCUACAGUCGGUAACACCGUCCUACUCCAAAAAGCACCUCGAGGGGCAACCCCGGGUGUGCGGUCGGACCCAAAACACCGACAGCUGGCACGCCAGGUAGGGGGUGUGUCACUGAUCCAAGCUAGCUCAAUGGCCAUCACUUUCCAGCACAAGAUCGAUCUCCGCCCUGGAUCCAUGUUCUGCUUCGGAACCAUCUCAUCCGUGGCAGAUGAAGAAGGAACUCUACAUCGCAUAGCGGAUCUGUCGGAAAGAAAACCUUCCUCGAUAAUAUCCGGGAAAGCCGGAGCGAAGCAGGAAAUAGCGCAACCUCCAGCGCUCUGAGCGAAGACUACCACCUGCAAGCUAGGAGCGGAAAAUUCAUUCACCCGAAGAACCCCGUUGUCCACCUCAUCCACAGAAGAGUGGACACGAAUUACGAGGAAAAAAGAAACAAGGUCCCAUCAAGCUGCCCUUCUGGUGCCUCAGCCCUCAAAGGAGAACAGAAAGAAGCUUGUCGUCACGAAAACUCCGUUCUACCCCGACGUCCUCUUUAUUGGGGGAGUGUGGAAUCGUCCCCCAUCUCCGACGACGAACCAACUGUGCCUAGGGAAGAACCUCCUCGGCGGGAAGCUCGUCAACGAAGGAACCGACGCCAUAACGCCCAGCGACAUCAUGAAACUGGAGAAUGAGAUCCGACGCAGCCUGUGUCGCGAGAUGAGAUCUCAGAGGUGGGAGAAACUCCAGAUGAAUGAGUCUUCAGGGAGAGAAGGAAUUCCCGCCGACGUGAUCGUUGGCAAGCUCAAGAGCAAGCCGAGUAGGAGGCGAGACAGCAUCGAGAGAAUCCUCUCUUCGGACGAAAUCUGAACCCCGACUUCGCCCGAGCCAUGAACACACCGAGCGAGGUCGGUGGAGUGUUGGCUCGGAUAGCUGAUGGCCUCCCCUAGACUCCAGACACCGAGGGCUAUCGGCGGCUGCUUACUCGGGCAGUCAACCACCUUCUGCCUCUUGCUCAUCCUCCGAGCGACCUACGACACGCCAUCAAUAGUCGACGGGACGCGUGGAGCUCUAUCAAUGCUUCGCGCGAAUGACGACAUGAGAAUGAGAUUCGGCGUCGAGAAGAGUAUGAUCGGGAUCAUGGCAUCCCUGCAUGAAGUCAGGCCACCAGGGUUGAGUCGGCAACAGCUUCAACUGGCGGCAUGACCCGAGGACGGUCGAGGCAGCACAUCGACAACUCCCCUCCCCAGGACCGACACCACAAUUGUCGACAAGAUGAUAUGUGUGGAGUAUCGACGCUUACUCCAUGUCUCAGGGCCAUUCAGUGGCCCCCUAACUUCAAGGUCUCCAACAUCGACAAGUACGAGCCCAAGCAGGACCCAGGACGCUGGUUGGCUGUCUACACCACUGCUGCCCGGGCUGCUGGGGCGACUGAAGAUGUGAUGACUGUAUAUUUGCCCAUCGUCCUUGGGCAAGAUGCGCUGCAAUGACUACGACACCUGCCCCGACACUGCAUCGACGAUUGGAGCGACUUUAGUCGGUGUUUUAUCGCCAACUUCCAAUCCCUCUCCGACAAGCCGGCGCAGCCAUGGGACCUCAAAUCCAUCAGGCACUGAGGGGAUGAGACUCUCCGGUCAUACCUCAAAAGGUUUUAGACCAUGAUAAAUCGUAUCCCCGAGGUUGUGGAAGCAGCAGUGAUCGAGGACUUCUACCGGGGAUCUAAUGACUCGGUCUUCGUCCGAGCCAUACUGCAAAAGGCGCCACUACCUCCAAGCAACUAUUCAGGGAAGCGGACCUCCACAUCACUGCCAACGAACGAGCUCAGGACCUCAUCGGAGGAGCAAAGCCUGCACCGCCAGCACCACGACGUGACACAAACCAACAACCCGACAAGCGUUGGGAGAAGAGGCCUCGCGAAGAAGUCCACGCCGCCGGACCACCCGCCUCUCUCGCUCGAGGAGCACCCCGUGGAGGAGAACGUACAUUGGACGACAUCCUCGACAUCCAAUGUCCGUACCAUAAGGACAUGCGCCACACCCUCUGGAACUGCAGAGACUUUAAGCACUCUGUCGGGAACGGCCGACCCUUCCAGCCUCUGCCACCUCCCCCACCACGAGGAGGACCCGGAGAACCUCGACAACCUCAACAGCAGGAAGGGGGAGGAGGCAGAGCAUUCCCGCGCGUCGAUGGAGAAGUCAACGUCAUCUUCGGCGGACAUGGGUCACAAGAAAGCAAGAGGCAGCAAAAGCUCAACGACCGCCAAAUACUGGUGGUGGCCACCGGUCCUCCCGCCCGUAUCGAUGGUCCGAACACCCGAUCACCUUCACUCGGGCGGAUCAGUGGCUCAACUUCAAUCACCUAGGCAAAUACCCGCUCCUCGUUGAUCCGGUGAUCCGAGAGAGCAGGGUAAAGAAGGUGUUAGUGGACAGGGGAAGCAGCAUCAACGUCACCUUCCCUCGGACACUCCAAGGCUUGGGAGUCGCACUCAAAGAGCUCCACGAGUCAGACACUCCUUUCUUUGACAUUGUGCCGACUGAAGGAGAAUACCCACUCAGACACAUCUACAUGUCGGUCACCUUCGGAACUCUGGAAAACUAUAGAACCGAGUUCCUAAGGUUCGAGGUAGCAAGCUUCGACUACGGAUACAACACUAUCAUCGGCAGGCCGGGAUUGGCGAAAUUCAUGGCCAUUCCGCACUAUACAUACAUGAUAUUGAAGAUGUCGAGACCACAAGGGAUCAUCACCGUGCGUGCUGACUUCCAAGGCGUCGCAGAAUGCUUCCGAGUGGCCAUUCAGGCGGCCCUCACCACCAAACCAUCAACGACUUCUUCCGCGUAGGCGAACUCAAAGCCUGAGGAGGACCUCGCAGUACCUGCAAACGAAGCUCAAGUCGUGACCUCUAUGCGGCCGACUGAGGAAACGAAAAGAAUCAACCUCGGGUUCGCUGAUGAACGCAAAACCGCCAUCAUCAGCUCCAGCUUGGAUGACAAAUAGGAAGGUGCGCUCGUCCAGUUUCUGCAAGAUAACCGAGACGUAUUCGCAUGGCAACCUGCGGAUAUGCUGGGAGUCCCGAGAGAACUGGCCGAGCACAAACUAAAGGUCUAUCCCCAGGCGAGGCCGAUCGGACAAAAGUUGCGUCGUUUCACGCCCGAGAAGAGAGAAGCCAUCCGUGCCGAGCUAGCUCGCUUAGUCGUAGCAGGGUUCAUUAGAGAAGUACUACAUCCUGAGUGGUUAGCAAAUCUUGUUCUUGUACUCAAAAAGAAUAAAGUGGAUUGGCGCAUGUGCGUCGACUAUACAGAUCUCAACAAACACUGUCCGAAGGAUCCCUUCGGACUUCCUAGAAUAGAUCAGGUGGUAGAUUCAACCGCCGGAUGUUCUAUACUGUCAUUCUUGGAUUGCUACUCAGGAUACCAUCAAAUCAGCUUGGCAAAAGAAGACGAGCAAAAAACAACAUUCAUUACCCCAUUUGGAGCUUUCUGCUAUACCUCCAUGCCGUUCGGCCUCAAGAACGCUGGAGCGACUUACCAGAGAGCCAUUCAAACAUGCUUAGCCGAUCACUGGGGCAAGCGGGUAGAAGCCUAUGUUGAUAAUGUGGUGAUCAAGAUAGAAAGCUCAGAAAAUUUCAUUGAAGAUUUGCAACUGGUCUUCAACAGUCUGAGGCAAUAUCGGUGGAAGCUCAAUCCAGAAAAAUGUGUCUUUGGAGUGCCAGCAGGGAAGUUGCUCAGAUUCAUUAUCAGCCACCGAGGGAUUGAAGCUAACCCGGAAAAGAUCGCGGCUAUCAUGAGGAUGGAAGCACCACGGUCACAGAAGAAAGUGCAAAGACUUACUGGAUGCAUGGUAGCUUUAAGCAGGUUCAUAUCAAGGUUAGGAGAAAAAGGCCUACCAUUCUACAAAUUGCUCAAGAAGGUGGACAAGUUCCAGUGGAUCUCAGAAGCUCAGGAAGCUCUUGAUGCACUAAAGAAGUUCCUGACCACACCGCCAGUGCUGAAGUCGCCACGCCGAGCCACACCAAACCAGCCGACAGAAGAUCUGCUGUUGUACAUCUCUUGCACGACUCACGUGGUGAGCACCGCGUUGGUAGUCGAGCGAGAAGAGGAAGGACACGCGUAUCCAGCACAACAUCCGCUCUACUUCAUCAGCGAAGUUCUGGGGCCAUCUAAGAAGAAGUAUCCUCAAGUUCAAAAACUGUUGUAUGCAGUACUUCUAACUGCACGUAAGCUCCGUCACUACUUCGACGACCACAAAGUGAUAGUAGUCACUGGGUUUCCAAUAGGGGAUAUUCUCCGCAACAAAGAAGCCAUUGGAAGAAUAGCCAAGUGGGCCUGCGAGCUGGGAGCUCACGACAACGAGUUUCGGCCUCGUACUGCAAUAAAGACUCAAGCACUAGUUGACUUCAUAUCAGAAUGGACCAAGCAACAAGUACCAGACAACCCGGAGACUGUAGAAGUAUGGCGGAUGUAUUUCGAUGGCUCGCUAAAGCUGCAUGGGGCAGGUGUAGGGAUCCUCUUCAUUACACCUGGAGGUGAGCAACUCAAAUAUGCUCUUCAGUUGUUAUUCUCAACAUCCAAUAAUGCAGCAGAAUAUGAAGCUUUGGUCCACGGAUUGAACAUUGUCAUAUCAUUAGGCAUUAAGAGGUUGAUGGUAUACGGAGAUUCACUGGUGGUCAUAAGUUAGAUAAAUAAAUAAUGGGAUUGCUCGAAUGACUCCAUGGGAAAGUACUGCACAGCCGUCCGAAAACUGGAAGACAAAUUUGAAGGGCUGGAAUUUCAUCAUGUGGAAAGAGAUCGCAACGUGGCGGCAGACGCGUUGUCGAAACUAGGAUCCAGUCGGACCCAAGUUCCACCUGGAGUUUUCGUCCAAGAGGUGCCACGCCCAAGCAUUUCCUCAAAUCAAGCAGAAGAGUGCAAUGUUUUGAGCCAGCCAGAGUCAGACUCUAAUGACUGGAGGGAGCCCAUCAUUAGAUAUAUAAAGAAUGAAGAGGAACCGGAUGACAAAGCUACAACAGAGCGCAUUGCAAGGCAGUCAGCCCACUACACCCUCAUUGGGGAUGCACUGUACAGAAGGGGCACAACAGGAGUCCUCAUGAAGUGCAUUCUUUCGGCUACUAGGAACCAACUGUUAGAUGAGAUCGACGUCGGACAGUGCGGGAUACACGCAACAUCUAGGACUCUGGUUGGGAAGGUCUUCAGGUCUGGUAUCUACUGGCCAACAGCAAAGAGUGAUGCAGCCGAGUUAGUCCAGAGGUGUGAAGCUUGCCAAUUCUUAUCAAAGCAGCAACAUUUACCAGCACAGCAACUGCAGACCAUACCCGUGACAUGGCCAUUUGCGUGCUGGGGAUUGGACAUGAUUGGACCCUUCAAGAAAGCUCAGGGAGGAUACACUCACGUGUUGGUCGCCAUUGACAAAUUCACCAAAUGGAUAGAAUACAAACCCAUGGCUUCUCUGACUUCAGCCAAGCCAGUGGAGUUCAUACAAGAUAUAAUAUUCAGGUUUGGGAUACCGAAUAGCAUCAUAACCGACCUGGGAUCCAAUUUCACUAGCUCUGAAUUCUUUGAUUUCUGCGAACAACGAAGCAUCCAGAUUAAAUAUGCAUCAGCAGCACAUCCAAGGGCUAACGGUCAGGUAGAAAGGGCUAAUGGAAUGAUACUAGAAGCACUAAGGAAGAAAGUCUUUGACAAGAAUGAAAAGUUUGCGGGAAAAUGGAUCAGAGAGUUGUCGUAUGUGGUUUGGAGCUUAAGAACUCAACCCAGUCAAGCUCUGCAUGGAAAUUGUUGCGGGCCUUCGUCCUUCGAAGAUCGUCAAAAAACGUAAUUUAACAAUGUCUUCCAAGCAUGGUUUAUAGACAGGUACCUUCGGAUUUAGGAUUAAAAGCAUAUACGAUGAGAAGGGCAUGAUCGUGACGAAGGUUGCCGUUGCUCCGAAGCUAUGCGCAAGGGAGCUUCGGCUCAAUCACGGGAAAAGGAACCGACUUAAAGGGGAAAAGGCUAUUCAGUCCUCAUAGAUUUUUCUAUAAGUCAAUAGUAAAUGUAAAGGGCAUGACUGUAAUUUCUCACAGGCUAUGUCCUGUGCCUAUAAAUAGAUGAACAGUACCCUCGUACUGUUCACGCUGACUGGUACUCGCUCGUGCGUCAUACUUGUAAUUUACCUUUUGUCAAGUCGAAGGUACAUUUGUAAUCCAGUAUUGUUUUUAUUUUUCCAUAGUAAUAAAAUGAGAAUGAAUUGACAAUGCUAUACGAUUAUUCGUGUUGUCCCUUAUAUUUCAUAUGUUUCUCCUUUUAUUAACAUAUACUGCGAUCAUGAAGGUAUGUCCUUCAUGACCUUCGUCUGAAGAUCAUUAUAUCCAAAGGGAAAUAAUGCCCUAAAGGACGAAGGGCAUUUACAUUUAACAUUCUGUGUUGCCUUGUUCUUAAUUCAUAGCACUUGAGAACAAGUCCCCAACAUUGGCGCCCACCACCGGUGAAACCUUUUCGACCACCUUCGGCAAGCACUGACCUUCGUCAUGCCGCCGAAGAAAGCUUCAGCACCAGGGACCGCUACACUGCAGCCGUUGGAUCCAAACCAAGAAACUCUUUCUCUUCGAGAGGCUCGAAGCCAGAAGAGGAAAGCCACCAGUCCAACACUCCAGGAGGAGGAGUUGGACCAAGAGAUCAGGGAUAUGGAGAUUAUCCAUCAGCAAGUACAAAGGAAGAAGGAGAAGAUGGCGUGAUUGGCUGAUCUUCAAAGGAAGAUCGACGAAGCCACUGAAGAAGUGUGUCAUCUUGCUCAAGAUGAACAAGAUCGAAGGCCCCAACACAGGGAGCUUCGUCAAGAAGGCCUAUUCAAUGAGGAUGCAUGGUAUGAUGAUUUUAAUCAUGAUGCCUUUACUUUUGAUGAUGCUUCUCCCUUGGCAGUAGAACUGCAGGCUAUCCCAUGGCCCCCAUCAUACAAGCCACCUCAGCUCCCCAUGUAUGAUGGACACUCAGAUCCAAAGCAGUUUCUAAUGAGCUACGAAGCAACUAUAUCUUUGUAUGGGGCAACACUGCAGUCAUGGCGAAGUCCUUCGUCAUGGCAGUCCGGAAUGUAGCCCAAACAUGGUAUUCCUCUCUUCGGCCAGGGACCAUCAUGUCGUGGCAGAAGCUUAAGGACAUGUUGGUUACCAGCUUCCAAGGCUUUCAAACGAAGCCGGUCACAACUCAUGCUCUGUUCCAAUGUACGCAAGACCACAAAGAAUACCUUCAGGCAUACGUACGAAGGUUCUUGCGACUAAGGGCACAAGCGCCUACAUUACCCAAUGAGAUUGUCAUUGAGGCCAUGAUUAAGGGCCUUCGGCCAGGACCUAUGGCUCAGUACUUCGCUAGGAAGCCCCCGCAAACUCUGGAGAAGCUGCUUCAGAAGAUGGAUGAGUACAUCCGAGCUGACAAUGACUUUCGCCAAAGAAGGGAGGAAGCUUACAGAUUCUCCGAAAUGACCAGGGGCUUCGGAGGAAGAAUCCAUCCGAGGCAUGUCAGGUCAAUCCAUAACUCCACUCAAAGUGAUGACAAAGGAAGUCAUUCUCAGAGGUCACAAUAUGCCUCACAAUCUUUGGGGCAACAACAAAGCUCCUUUAGGCCACCAGCUCCAAGGGGCAGAGGUGCCAGGGGCUUCGGAGGAAGGUUUGGGGAUCAGCCUAGAAAGAUCUACUGCUUAUUUUGUGGUGAGGACAAGGGCCAUACUACAAGAAUGUGCCAUGUCACCAUUCAGAAACAAAAGGAAAUAGCAGAAGCCAAAGCCCGGCAGAACCAGCCGAAGCAGGUCUUACACACUGCUUCAUGUCACUCUCCUUACAUACCAGAGUAUGUGAACAAUCAUCCUGCAGCUUCUGUCGCUUCGGCUAGCCAUUCACAGGCUUCCUGGCCACAACUCCCGCCUCCGCCACCACUACAACCGACCUAUUCCCGAAGCCAACAGCCAGAAGGGCGCCAACACUCUCAACAGCAAUGGGAAUUCAGAGAGGAAUCCAGAGCUCGCACAGUCAACAGUACUGUGCCAGAAUCAAAACACAUCUACUGAGAGAUAUCCUACCUCUGAAACAUUUUUACGUUCAUUGUCAUUUUGUUUUCAAUAAGAAACAAUCAAUGUAAACCCACUUUUAAUUUCUUGUAAUAGCUUUGUUCUUGUCAGAAUGAAAUAUAUCUUCUUCCUAGACUUACAAAGCUCAAAAAUUGCUGAAGCUCAAAAGACGUUCCUAAGGGAAUGCAGAGCUAAAAACCGUAGUGCAAGUUUCACCGAAGAUACAAAAAGUCGUUCCUAAGGAGCGCAACGUAAGUUUGCCGAAGCUACAAAAAGUCGUUCCUAAAGGAGCGCAAUGUAAGUUUUCUGCUCAAAAGUCGUUCCAAAGGGAAUGCAGAGCCAAAUACCACCAAAAUAUAAGGCGAAGCGCGAAAAGUCAACGUGAAAAAUACCACCGAAAUAGAAGGCGAAGAAGUUCAAAAGACGUUCCUAAGGGGAUGCAGAACUUACACCAAAAAAUAAGCGGUGAAGCCGAAAAAUAAACGGCAAAGAGAUUUUGAUCGUUCCUAAGGGGACACAGAGAUUGUGUGUUUUAGCGAGGGUGUGUGUCUUUGGCAUUAGCAUCAUUCUUUGCAUCAUAUCAUCGCAUCAUAUCACAAAGCAUCACAUCAUACAUCAUAUCACACCAAUGACACGAAUUGGAAACGAAGCCGAUCUUCGGAGAAUGCUUCACCAAAAUGAAAAGGUGCUAAGGCACAGAGUAAGCUGAGAAUUACAGCUUCAUCAGCUUAGAUAUGGAAGAAGAGAUCUACUGUUUACGAAGCAUUGAUAUUUUUACGAAGCUUGGAUAUUCUUUACGAAGUAUGGAUAUUGUCACGAAGCAUAAAUAUUCUUCUUUACGAAGCAUGAAAAGAAGGGAAGGUGUUUUUUCACCGAAGGCUAAAAAACGGUAUGUAUAUAAAAGUUUCAUGCAUCGCAAAGAAGUGAAUUGCAAAAUAGUGUACAUAUCAGAUUCAAAACUAUACACAUCAAAUAUUAUAGACUUAGUCCAACAAAUGUUACAUUAAUCACCUAAGAACGUUUUUACAAUAACUACUACUCUUCCUUCAGAACCUUCUCCGCAACUUCGUUAAGCAAUUUGUUGACGACUUCGUCAACAAUAUAUUCGGAUAUGUUGAUAAUUUCUAUUGCUUUCUUCAUCUCCGGGUCGACCAGAGGGUCGAACGGCUCCGAUGGAGGAGGUAAUUCAGCUGCGAUAGAAAAAAUCAAUCAGUUCGAAGCCACUAAAACAAACGACGAAGCUAAAAGCCAUUAAAUGAUACCUAUUCGUCUCUCGAGUUUUGCAGCUUUCUCAGCCUUUUUUGCUGCUUCUCAAGCGUCAUGAAUAUCUUUUUCGCUCUUCUUCAUUAUUUCGUGGGCCAUUUCUCGGCCACCAUUCUCCCAGAUGUCAGUGAAAAAUUUUCCGCCCAGAAAGCUUGCUUCGGCCGAGGGAUCCUUUGUGUCAUCCACGGAGGGCAACUUCGGCCUGGGCCAAGGUUUUAACAUGAUUACAACCCGCCUUCUCCAAGAUGGCUUUGUUUCAGCUUCGGUUUGCGCUUUUGAAGCCUCGGCAACUUUCCUUGAAGGAGUAGAGCUCAAAGUCUUUACUGUUUCUAACACAUCUAGUACAUUUGCCAUCCUUCUCCUCUUGGGAGUUGCGACAGAACCUUUUUGUGCCUUCGGCACUGUUACUACUGAUGAAGGGCUUAAAAUUUCUAGCGCUUUUGUUUCUUCAAUAUUUGGCUUUUCAGCUUUAUCUUUAUCAGCCUUCAACUCAGCCAGCUCGACUGAGGGUACCUUCGGCAUUAUAACCGGCUCUUCAGUCUUCUGUGUGGGAGGAACAGGUUCUCUUGGUUCAGCAGCUGAAGAAGCCUCCCCACCAAACUCAGGCACCACAGCUGGUUCAAUAUAACGUGGUCGGUGGGUAAGUACCUUCAUCUUUUUGGUUGUAGCCUUUGGCACAGGUUCGGCCGAGGCGACCACAGCAGUAGCUUUCCUCUUCUUCCCUUGCCCCCGCAGCGGAUAGUGGUAGUCGGGAUAGACGAAGCCAAUAGCGUCAAAAACUCUGUUCAAUCUCUUCUUUCCUCGACUCCCGAAGGCUGUGGACAAUGCAUUAUCUUCUGCCUUAGAAUAUGGUCCAAGCAGUUCAUCACUUGUCACUUCGAUGCAUUUUAACUAGUCAUCGUUUGGCUCGUCGAACUUAUCCCCAUAUCUGAAAGUAUACUUCAGCCGGACCAGCUCACCUUCGCUAGAUUCAGCGACAGUUUCCUUCAGCAUUUCCCAGUUCUCUACAAGCGGCCAUACUCUGAAGGAUAUAUGCUCUUGGAUUAAAUCUCUUGUACCAAUGAAAAAACAGACAGUACUAAAUUCCUUCUGGCAUGCUUCGGCGGCUUCGUCAAUUUCAACCUUCGGCCUUCGGAGGCCGAAGCGGGACCAAAUGGGGCGCAUAAUAACUUCCUUAAUAUCUUCUCUUGCCUUCAAGUCAUUCUUUACAUAAAACCAUUGUUGGAACUUGCUCUCCUAGGCAAGAUGAUCCAACGGGGGAGUGAAAGGAAUGCAGACAAGGUUUAAUUCGAGAUGGCAAUUGCUCUCCUAAUCCAGCCUCUCAAGGGCACAGUACGGGGGUAUUUAUAGGUGCCCAACGUCCUGAUGUAAGGACGUUUGUGCCCUCAGGCAACUGGAUUAUCCCUAGAAUAUUCCCCUAAUGGAGGGCUACAGACUGUCAUUACAUAAAAGUCAUUACAAAUCGGGCCCGUAACAUGCUUCUCCCACUCGGGGCCUGUUACGAUGGGUCACCAUCCCACGUGGGCCUCCAGGCUGGACGAGGACGUGGGAUGGCGGGACUUCAUCGCGGGCCUUCAUCUUGAGGAUAGAAGGACGAAGGGUGGCCUGCGUCGGUCAUCUAGCUUCCGUUGGUGCGUCGAGGUGAUGAGGGCCUCGUGCGAAGGGUAGCAUCUUUGCCUUCGCCCCAACAUUUUCCCUCCGAGGGACUAGUUCGACUAAGUCAUCUGGUGCCAAAGACGUCGCUAGAUGGUGGAGACGCUGCCCUCGCUAGAAGUGGUUCCGCGGGGGUUUUUGAUGUGACCGUUGACAGCCGUAGUACUGUUGGACUGCGUGUUUCCCGAAGCGUCACGUCCUGUGUAUAAAAAGGGGCAGGGUGGCGCGCGUCAGGUUCUCUUACCUUUUUGUGCGCCGCGAAACCCUAGCCUCCUUUUGAAACCGUUCGCCCGCUUGCCUACCCUCCUUGCUCCUGUUUGUCGGAGAUCUGGCCCGUGUCAAGCAGACAGCGCGCCACCACCGACGGUACGUAGCCAUGCCGUCUUCUUCCUCGUCUGCAGCAAACACACCGUCGGCCGAUUCAUCGUCCGAGGAUACCCUGAGCAAUGUGGAGGCGGCGGAGCUACAUCCGGGCGAUACAGUGGAGUUCAGCGUGUCGAGGAUUUCCUCGGUCCACGUGCAGGAUAUGCAGCAACUGGGGUAUUUUGGCAGCGGAGUUGGGCGUGUCUCGGGGGUGGAGGAAGUUCCCGAGCCUGAGGGCGAGUUAAUCGUGUUUGAGGCAUUUUUCACCACUGGCCUUCGCCUACCUGCUCAUCGCUUUGUGGCGGAGGUCCUGCAGAAAUUCGAGGUCUAGGUCCACUAGUUGACACCUAACGCCAUGGUGGCCCAGGCGAAGUAUGUCUGGGCGGCGACUUCGUAUGGCAGUCAGCCUUUUGUGGAGGUCUUCGCCAAACAUUACUGUCUGCAUUGGCAAAAAAGAAAAAUUGGACACAAGAUUGCAUAGUUUGGAUCGUGCACGUUUACACCGAGGACCGGAAAGACUUCGAUGGAAGUCAUGGAGUUAGUUCCCUGUGCCCGCAAUAAGUGGGGCAACUGGUGGGAUUUCUGGUUUUAUGUUUUCGAGAGCGAAGUCGAAAACCACCCGGGGCUCCCCGUGGCCGUGAUGUGCUCCCAUUAUUAUGUGGCGUAUCCGCAAUUUGAGGUGGCGGAGGAUGAUGAAAAUGAAGGAGCCCUUCGGUGCGCUGCCCGCAUGAGUAGUGAAAGUCGCCUAGAGGGGGGGUGAAUAGGGCGAAUCUGAAAUUUACAAACUUAAUCACAACUACAAGCCGGGUUAGCGUUAGAAAUAUAAUCAAGUCCGAGAGAGAGGGCGCAAAACAAAUCGUGAGCAAAUAAAGAGUAAGACACGAUGAUUUGUUUUACCGAGGUUCGGUUCUUGCGAACCUACUCCCCGUUGAGGAGGUCACGAAGACCGGGUCUCUUUCAACCCUUUCCCUCUCUCAAACGGUCACCUAGACCGAGUGAGCUUCUCUUCUCAAUCAAUUGGAACACAAAGUUCCCGCAAGGACCACCACACGAUUGGUGUCUCUUGCCUCAAUUACAAGUGAGUUUGAUCUAAAGAAAGAAUGAGAAAGAAAGCAAUCCAAGCGCAAGAGCUCAAAAGAACACAACAAAUCUCUCUCACUAAUCACUAAAGCCUUGUGUGGAUUGGGAGAGGAUUUGAUCACUUUGGUGUGUCUUGUAUUGAAUGCUUAGCUCUUGUAAGUAGUUGGAAGGUGGAAAACUUGGAUGACUUGAAUGUGGAGGUGGUUGGGGGUAUUUAUAGCCCCAACCACCAAACUUGACCGUUGGUGGAGGCUGCUGUCGACGGGCGCACCGGACAGUCCGGUGCGCCACCGGACAGUGUCCGGUGCGCCAGCCACGUCACCCGGCCGUUAGGGUUCGACCGUUGGAGCUCUGACUGGUGGGGUCGCCUGGCUGUCCGGUGGUGCACCGGACAGGUACUGUAGACUGUCCGGUGCGCCGUCUCGCGCGUGCCUGACUUCUGCGCUCUGGCGCGCAUUAAAUGCCUCUGCAGGUGACCGUUGGUGCUGAAGUAGCCGUUGCUCCGCUGGCACACCGGACAGUCCGGUGAAUCAUAGCGGAGUGCCCUUGGAAAUUCCCGAAGGUGAAGAGUUCGGCCUUGAGUGCCUUGGUGCACCGGACACUGUCCGGUGGCACAACGGACAGUCCGGUGCGCCAGACCAGGGCACACUUCGGUUAUCCCUUGCUCUCUUUGUUGAACCCUUUUCUCGGUCUUUUUAUUGGCUUAUUGUGAACCUUUGGCACCUGUAUAACUUAUAGACUAGAGCAAACUAGUUAGUCCAAUUAUUUGUGUUGGGCAAUUCAACCACCAAAAUCAAUUAGGAAAAUAGGUGUAAGCCUAAUUCCCUUUCAAUCUCCCCCUUUUUGGUGAUUGAUGCCAACACGAACCAAAGCAAGUAUAGAAGUGCAUAAUUGAACUAGUUUGCAUAAUUGUAAGUGCAAAGGUUUCUUAGAAUUGAGCCAAUAUAAAUUCUCAUAAGAUAUGCAUGGAUUGUUUCUUUAAUUUUUGAUAUUUUGGACCACGCUUGCACCACAUGUUUUGUUUUGCAAAUCCUUUUUGUAAAUUCUUUUCAAAGUUCUUUGCAAAUAGUCAAAGGUAAAUGAAUAAGAUUUUGAGAAGCAUUUUCAAGAUUUGAAAUUUUUCUUUGUUUCAAAUGCUUUUCCUUUGACUAAACAAAACUCCCCCUUAAUGAAAUCCUCCUCUUAGUGUUCAAGAGGGUUUUGAUGUUAAUUUUGAAGAGGGUAUACCAAUUUUGAAAUUACAACACAAAUAAGAUACCAAUUUUGAAAAUCCUUCUUUAAAAUCAAAUUGAAAGUCUAAAAUUAAUUUUGAAUUUGGUGGUGGUGCGGUCCUUUUGCUUUGGGCUAAUAUUUUCUCCCCCUUUGGCAUGAAUCGCCAAAAACGGAUACUUUAAGUGAGAUAUAAGCCCUUUAAAACUACUUUCUCCCCUUUGGCAAACAAAGUAUGAGUGAAGAUUAUACCAAAGUUGGAGAGUUGCUCGGAGCGACGGCGAAGGAUGAGUUAUGGAGUGGAGUGGAAGCCUUUUGUCUUUGUCGAAGACUCCAAUUCCCUUUCAAUACACCUAUGACUUGGUUUGAAAUCCUCUUGAAAACACAUUAGUCAUAGCAUAUAUAAAAGAGACAUGAUCAAAGGUGUAUUAAUGAGCUAUGUGUGCAAGACAUCAAAAGAAAUUCCUAGAAUCAAGAAUAUUUAGCUCAUGCCUAAGUUUGUUAAAAGUUUGUUCAUCAAGUGGCUUGGUAAAGAUAUCGGCUAAUUGAUCUUUAGUGUUAAUAUAUGCAAUCUCGAUAUCUCCCUUUUGUUGGUGAUCCCUUAAGAAAUGAUACCGAAUGGCUAUGUGUUUAGUGCGGCUAUGCUCAACGGGAUUAUCCGCCAUGCGAAUAGCACUCUCAUUAUCACAUAGAAGAGGAACUUUGGUUAAUUUGUAACCGUAGUCCCUGAGGGUUUGCCUCAUCCAAAGUAAUUGCGCGCAACAAUGGCCUGCGGCAAUGUACUCGGCUUCGGUGGUAGAAAGAGCUACGAAAUUUUGCUUCUUUGAAGCUCAAGGCACCAAGGAUCUUCCCAAGAACUGGCAAGUCCCCGAUGUGCUCUUUCUAUUAAUUUUACACCCUGCCCAAUCGGCAUCCGAAUAACCAAUUAAAUCAAAAGUGGAUCCCCUAGGAUACCAAAGCCCAAACUUAGGAGUAUAAACUAAAUAUCUCAAGAUUCGUUUUACGGUCGUAAGGUGGGCUUCCUUAGGGUCGGCUUGGAAUCUUGCACGCAUGCAUACAGAAAGCAUAAUAUCCGGUCGAGAUGCACAUAAAUAGAGUAAAGAGCCUAUCAUCGACCGGUAUUCCUUUUGAUCUACGGAUUUACCUCCCGUGUCAAGGUCGAGAUGCCCAUUGGUUCCCAUGGGUGUCUUGAUGGGCUUGGCAUCCUUCAUCCCAAACUUGUUUAGAAUGUCUUGAAUAUACUUUGUUUGGCUGAUGAAGGUGCCCUCUUGGAGUUGCUUCACUUGAAAUCCCAAGAAGUACUUCAACUCCCCCAUCAUCGACAUCUCGAAUUUCUGUGUCAUGAUCCCACUAAACUCUUCACAUGUAGCUUCAUUAGUAGAUCCAAAUAUAAUAUCAUCAACAUAAAUUUGGCAUACAAACAAAUCAUUUUCAAGUGUUUUGGUAAAGAGUGUAGGAUCCGCCUUUCUGACUUCGAAUCCAUUAGUGAUAAGGAAAUCUCUAAAGCAUUCAUACCAUGCUCUUGGGGCUUGCUUGAGCCCAUAAAGCGCCUUAGAGAGUUUAUAAACAUGGUUAGGGUACUCACUAUCUUCAAAGCCGGGAGGUUGCUCAACAUAGACCUCUUCCUUGAUUGGUCCAUUGAGGAAGGCACUUUUCACGUCCAUUUGAUAAAGCUUGAAGCCAUGGUAAGUAGCAUAGGCUAAUAAUAUACGAAUUGACUCAAGCCUAGCUACGGGUGCAUAGGUUUCACCGAAAUCCAAACCUUCGACUUGUGAAUAUCCCUUGGCCACAAGUCGGGCUUUGUUCCUUGUCACCACACCAUGCUCGUCUUGCUUGUUGCGGAACACCCACUUGGUUCCUACAACAUUUUGAUUAGGACGUGGAACCAAAUGCCAUACCUCAUUCCUAGUGAAAUUGUUGAGCUCCUCUUGCAUUGCCACCACCCAAUCCGAAUCUUGUAGUGCUUCCUCUACCCUGUGUGGCUCAAUAGAGGAAACAAAAGAGUAAUGUUCACAGAAAUGUGCAACACGAGAUCUAGUAGUUACCCCCUUAUGAAUGUCGCCGAGGAUGGUGUCGACGGUGUGAUCUCGUUGGAUUGCCUGGUGGACUCUUGGGUGUGACGGCCUUGGUUCUUCAUCCUCCUUGUCUUGAUCAUUUGUAUCUCCCCCUUGAUCAUUUCCUUCAUCUUGAGGUGGCUCAUCUUCUUGAUCUUCUCCUUCAUCAAUUUGAGCCUUAUCCUCAUUUUGAGUUGGUGGAGAUGCUUGCGUGGAGGAGGAUGGUUGAUCUUGUGUAUUUGGAGGCUCUACGGAUUCCUUAGGACACACAUCCCCAAUGGACAUGUUUCUUAGCACGAUGCAUGGAGCCUCUUCAUCACCUAUCUCAUCAAGAUCAACUUGCUCUACUUGAGAGUCGUUAGUCUCAUCAAACACAACGUCACAAGAAACUUCAACUAGUCCUGAGGACUUGUUAAAGGCUCUAUAUGCCCUUGUGUUUGAAUCAUAUCCUAGUAAAAAGCCUUCUACAGUCUUAGGAGCAAAUUUAGAUUUUCUACCUCUUUUAACAAGAAUAAAGCAUUUGCUACCAAAGACUCUAAAAUAUGAAAUAUUAGGCCUUUUACCGGUUAGGAGUUCGUAUGAUGUCUUCUUGAGGAUUCGGUGUAGAUACAACCGGUUGAUGGCGUAGCAGGCGGUGUUGACCGCCUCGGCCCAAAACCGAUCCGAGGUCUUGUAUUCAUCAAGCAUGGUUCUUGCCAUGUCCAAUAGAGUUCUAUUCUUCCUCUCCACUACACCAUUUUGUUGUGGCGUGUAGGGAGAAGAGAACUCAUGCUUGAUGCCCUCCUCCUCAAGAAAGCCUUCGAUUUGAGAGUUCUUGAACUCCGUCUCGUUGUCGCUUCUAAUUUUCUUGAUCCUUAAGCCGAACUCAUUUUGAGCCCGUCUCAAGAAUCCCUUUAAUGUCUCUUGGGUAUGAGAUUUUUCCUGCAAAAAGAACACCCAAGUGAAGCGAGAAUAAUCAUCCAUAAUAACUAGACAGUACUUACUCCCGCUGAUGCUUAUGUAAGCAAUCGGGCCGAAUAGGUCCAUGUGUAGGAGCUCGAGUGGCCUAUCAUUCGUCAUGAUGUUUUUGUGUGGAUGAUGAGCACCAACUUGCUUCCCUGCCUGACAUGCGCUACAAAUCCUGUCUUUCUCAAAAUGAACAUUUGUUAGUCCCAAAAUGUGUUCUCCCUUUAGAAGUUUGUGAAGAUUCUUCAUUCCAACAUGUGCUAGUCGGCGAUUCCAUAGCCAGCCCAUGUUAGUCUUAGCAAUUAAGCAAGUGUCGAGUUCAGCUCUAUCAAAAUCUACUAAGUAUAGCUGACCCUCUAACACUCCCUUAAAUGCUAUUGAAUCAUCACUCCUUCUAAAGACAGUAACACCUACAUCUGUGAAAAGACAGUUGUAGCCCAUUUUGCAUAAUUGAGAAACUGAAAGCAAGUUGUAGUCUAAAGAAUCUACAAGAAAAACAUUGGAAAUGGAAUAGUCAGGUGAUAUAGCAAUUUUACCCAAACCUUUAACCAAACCUUGGUUUCCAUCCUCGAAUGUGAUAGCUCGUUGGGGAUCUUGGUUUUUCUCGUAGGAGGAGAACAUUUUCUUCUCCCCUGUCAUAUGGUUUGUGCACCCACUGUCGAUGAUCCAACUUGAGCCCCCGGAUGCAUAAACCUACCAAACAAGUUUAGUUCUUGACUUUAGGUACCCAAAUGGUUUUGGGUCCUUUGGCAUUAGACACAAGAACUUUGGGUAUCCAAACACAAGUCUUUGACCCCUUGUGCUUGCCCCCAACAUACUUGGCAACUACCUUGCCGGAUUUGUUAGUUAACACAUAAGAUGCAUCAAAAGUUUUAAAUGAAAUGCUAUGUUCAUUUGAUGCACUAGGGGUUUUCUUCUUAGGCAGCUACACGGGUUGGUUGCCUAGAACUAGAUGUCUCACCCUUAUACAUAAAAGCAUGGUUAGGGCCAGAGUGAGACUUCCUAGAAUGAAUUCUCCUAAUUUUGCUCUCGGGAUAACCGGCAGGGUAUAAAAUGUAACCCUCGUUAUCCUGAGGCAUGGGAGCCUUGCCCUUAACAAAGUUGGACAAUUUCUUAGGAGGGGCAUUAAGUUUGACAUUGCCUCCCUGUUGGAAGCCAAUGCCAUCCUUAAUGCUAGGGCGUCUCCCAUUAUAAAGCAUACUACGAGCAAACUUAAAUUUUUCAUUUUCUAGUUCAUGCUCGGCAAUUUUAGCAUCUAAUUUAGCUAUAUGAUCAUUUUGUUGUUUAAUCAUGGAAAGAUGAUCAUGUAUAACAUUAACAUCAACAUCUCUACAUCUAGUGCAAAUAGUGACAUGCUCAGUGCUAGAUGUAGAGGGUUUGCAAGAAUUAAGUUCAACAAUCUUAGCACAUAAUAUAUCAUUUUUAUCUCUAAGAUCGGAAAUUGUAACAUUGCAAACAUCUAAUUCUUUAGCAUUAGCAAGCAAAUUUUCAUUUUCAUUUCUAAGGCUAGCAAGAGAAAUGUUCAAUUCUUCAAUCUUAGCAAGCAAAUCAACAUUAUCAUUUCUAAGAUUUGAAAUUGAAACAUCACAAACAUUUGAAUCAACCUUAGCUAAUAAAUUACCAUUCUCAUUUCUAAGGUUGUUAAUAGUCUCAUGGAAAGUGCUUAGCUCACUAGAUAGUUUUUCACAUUUUUCUACUUCUAGAGCAUAAGCAUUUUUAACCUUAACAUGCUUCUUAUUUUCUUUAAUAAGGAAAUCCUCUUGGGUGUCUAAGAGAUCAUCCUUCUCAUGAAUAGCACUAAUCAAUUCAUUUAAUUUUUCUUUUUGUUGCAUGUUUAGGUUGGCAAAAAGAAUGCGCAAGUUAUCCUCCUCAUUACUAGCAUUAUCCUCAUCACUAGAGGUUUCAUAUUUAGUGGAGGAUCUUGAUUUUACCUUCUUCCUUUUGUCGUCCUUUGCCAUGAGGCACUUUGUGGCCGACAUUGGGGAAGAGAAGACCCUUGGUGACGGCGAUGUUUGCGGCGUCCUCGUCGGAGGAGGAGUCGGUGGAGCUCUCGUCGGAGUCCCACUCCUGCCAAACAUGGGCAUCGCCGCCCUUCUUCUUGUAGUACUUCUUCUUCUCCUUUCUUCUCCCCUUCUUGUCGUCGCCCCUGUCACUGUCACUAGAAAUAGGACAUUUUGCAAUAAAAUGACCGGGCUUACCACAUUUGUAGCAUACUUUCUUGGAGCGGGGCUUGUAAUCCUUCCCCCUCAUUUUCUUGAGGAUUUGACGGAAGCUCUUGAUGAUGAGCGCCAUCUCCUCGUUGUCGAGCUUGGAGGCGUCGAUGGGUGUUCGACUUGAAGUAGAUUCCUCCUUCUUUUCUUCUGUCGCCUUGAAUGCGAACGGUUGUGCUUCGGACGUGGAGGGGCCGUCAAGCUCGUUGAUCUUCUUUGAGCCUUUGAUCAUCAAUUCAAAGCUCACAAAAUUCCCGAUUACUUCCUCGGGAGUCAUUAGUGUAUAUCUAGGAUUGCCACGAAUUAAUUGAACUUGAGUAGGGUUAAGAAAAACAAGUGAUCUAUGAAUAACCUUAACCAUUUCGUGGUCAUCCCAUUUCUUACUCCCGAGGUUGCGCACUUGGUUCACCAAGGUUUUGAGCCGGUUGUACAUGUCUUGUGGCUCCUCCCCUUGGCGAAGUCGGAAGCGACCAAGCUCCCCCUCGAUCGUUUCCCGCUUGGUGAUUUUGGUCACCUCGUCUCCUUCGUGCGCGGUCUUUAGCGUGUCCCAAAUCUCCUUGGCACCUUUCAACCCUUGCACUUUAUUAUACUCCUCUUGACUUAGAGAGGCGAGGAGUAUAGUUGAGGCUUGGGAGUUGAAGUGUUGGAUUUGGGCCACUUCGUCCUCAUCAUAAUCUUCAUCCCCUACAGAUGGUACCUGUACACCAAACUCAACAACAUCCCAUAUACUUUUGUGGAGUGAGGUUAGAUGAAAUCGCAUCAAAUCACUCCACCUAGCAUAAUCUUCACCAUCCAAACGUUGGUGGUUUGCCUAAUGGGACGGAAAGUAAAGGCGUAUGUUUAGGAAUGCGAGGAUAGCGUAGGGGGAUCUUACUAAACUUCUUGCGCUCAUGGCGCUUAGAAGUGACGGACGGUGCGCCGGAGCCGGAGGUGGAUGGCGAUGAGGUGUUGGUCUCGUAGUAGACCACCUUCCUCAUCUUCUUCUUCUUGUCUCCGCUCUGACGCGACUUGUGUGAAGGGGAUUCCUUUUUCCUUCCCCUUCCCUUUGUUGUAGGACUCUCCUGAUGGAGCCUUCCCGUGGCUUGUACCGGGCUUCCGCCGGUCACCAUCUCCUUCUUGGCGUGAUCUCCCGACAUCACUUCGAGCGGUUAGGCUCUAAUGAAGCACCGGGCUCUGAUACCAAUUGAAAGUCGCCUAGAGGGGGGUGAAUAGGGCGAAUCUGAAAUUUACAAACUUAAUCACAACUACAAGCCGGGUUAGCGUUAGAAAUAUAAUCAAGUCCGAGAGAGAGGUGCAAAACAAAUCGUGAGCAAAUAAAGAGUAAGACACGAUGAUUUGUUUUACCGAGGUUCGGUUCUUGCGAACCUACUCCCUGUUGAGGAGGUCACGAAGACCGGGUCUCUUUCAACCCUUUCCCUCUCUCAAACGGUCACCUAGACCGAGUGAGCUUCUCUUCUCAAUCAAUUGGAACACAAAGUUCCCACAAGGACCACCACACGAUUGGUGUCUCUUGCCUUAAUUACAAGUGAGUUUGAUCUCAAGAAAGAAUGAGAAAGAAAGCAAUCCAAGCGCAAGAGCUCAAAAGAACACAACAAAUCUCUCUCACUAAUCACUAAAGCCUUGUGUGGAUUGGGAGAGGAUUUGAUCACUUUGGUGUGUCUUGUAUUGAAUGCUUAGCUCUUGUAAGUAGUUGGAAGGUGGAAAACUUGGAUGACUUGAAUGUGGAGGUGGUUGGGGUAUUUAUAGCCCCAACCACCAAACUUGACCGUUGGUGGAGACUGCUGUCGACGGGCGCACCGGACAGUACGGUGUGCCACUGGACAGUGUCCGGUGCGCCAGCCACGUCACCCAGCCGUUAGGGUUCGACCGUUGGAGCUCUGACUGGUGGGGUCGCCUGGCUGUCCGAUGGUGCACCGGACAGGUACUGUAGACUGUCCGGUGCGUCGUCUCGCGCGUGCCUGACUUCUGCGCUCUGGCGCGCAUUAAAUGCCUCUGCAGGUGACCGUUGGCGCUGAAGUAGCCGUUGCUCCGCUGGCACACCGGAUAGUCCGGUGAAUUAUAGCGGAGUGCCCUUGGAAAUUCCUGAAGGUGAAGAGUUCGGCCUUGAGUGCCUUGGUGCACCGGACACUGUCCGGAGGCACACCGGACAGUCCGUUGCGCCAGACCAGGGCACACUUCGGUUAUCCCUUGCUCUCUUUGUUGAACCCUUUUCUCGGUCUUUUUAUUGGCUUAUUGUGAACCUUUGGCACCUGUAUAACUUAUAGACUAGAGCAAACUAGUUAGUCCAAUUAUUUGUGUUGGGCAAUUCAACCACCAAAAUCAAUUAGGAAAAUAGGUGUAAGCCUAAUUCCCUUUCAAGUAGCGGGUGUGAUUUAGUUGAGGAAUUCAUCGGCUAUGGGGUGUGGCCCUUGGCACAUGGCUGAGCGUUGGGCGAAGUAUGCCCUCGCGAGAUGCCCUCCCUAGGUAGGCAGCGAGUGCGAAGUCCAGCCUUCGCGUUGGAUCUGCGCGACCGGGAUCCAGCCGCAUUCGUUCGUGAAGUGGAGGAUGGUGCGGCGAGGAUUGUGGGGCGCUACGUGCCGAGGACAGAGGGUCUGCGGAGCUAGGAUAUCCGGGGGUCCAAUGUUAGAUUGAAUCGGGUCUUCGAAUUGAACCGCUUGCCAUACGGUGGAUAUCCCGGGGAUGACACUGUCGACCGCCGUGGGAAGAAACCGGUGGACGUGGCCGAGGAAGGGCCUUCGCAGAUGGCUGGCCCGGCCACUAAAAAGAGAAAAAUAGGUACUGUAGUGGGGGACUGGGGGUCUCUAGUAGUUUUGUUGUGGAGUUGAUGGGGACAUGUGCGGCCCCCAGGGGAAGGAUGUCUUCGCCCGAGCUCUGGGAGUCUUCGGCGCGAAUGCUAGAGGUUACUGGGGGUCGAUGGCCAAAGAAUGUUCUGAUCCCUUGGGUGGAGGGCGAAGGCAUGUCUACAUCUCGUAUGGCUUGUGGCUUGAGGAUUUUCCCUUACGGACGAAAUGUUGCUUCUAUUGUGUCGGCAGUGAUGGAGAAGGAUCGCCAAGACGCUGCACAGAAGCGCCAGUCGGUCGUGAGGAUCGGGGAUCCUUUUAGCGAGGUGAAUAGGGCGCGGGGGAGCGCGAAGUCUGCCGCCGCCGGUAGUAGCAAGUCAGCGCCGGCUGCAAAACCGGCCGCCGCUGUGCCCAAGAAGUCUUCGGCGGGCGCGAAGGCUGGUGCUUCUGGCGCGGGCAAACCACCCUUGGGUGAGCCCGCCAAGGGGCGAAAGGUGCCCUCCACGGCGCGUGCUGAUGAGGCGGGGGCGCGUGUCGCCGACUUCGACACGGUCAUCAAUGUGUCGGAUUAUCUUGGUGAGUUUUUUUAGGUCUUUAACCGAUCUCAUGGUGCAGGUCGGAAGUGGGGCAACUGGCUGUUGUCCCGCCUCCGGUGACGGACACUUCGCCAACGACGGUGGUUGGGACGAAGGGUGCCACGCAGGACCCGUGGGCCACCUUUUGCGUGAGCGUCGAGAUUCUGUCGGCCGCUGCCGCUAAGGACGUGGCGGGCUCUAUAUCCGAGCAAUUGAGGCAAGCGUCACAGCAACUGUUGCAGCAGCUGAAGCAUGUAAGUUGUGUCGUACUUUGAUGGUUGUUGUUUUUAUGAGGGUGUGGGUCUCAUGAGUUUUUGUGGUAGGCGGCCGACUUCGCCGACCACGUCGCAUCAGGUGCCUUGACUGCGGAGUUUGCUGUCGAGGUCGAGAAUCUCCGGGGCUCCGGGCGUAGCAUGCGGAUGCUGUGCGGGAGAAGUCGGCUACGGAAAGCAAAAGCCGCAGACUAAUGGAGAGGGUAACCAUUAUGGAGGUUGAGAAGGCGGAUCUCCGGCGUCAGUUGGUGGAGGAGAGAAGGGAGGCGAAUAAGGCCAUCGCUGAUGCGCAGGCUGCGCAAGCCGAGGCCAAGUUGGCGUGGGCGGAGGGCAGUGUUGCCUGCCAACGCGCCGAGGAGCUGGAGGCAAGGCUAAACGCCCUGUGCAAUCGCGUGGACAAGGCCGAGGCCUUGACACGCGCGGAGGUCGAGCGAACGCAUGCACAGUUCGUGGACGCGUACCGGGAACUGGGUGCGUGGACCGCUGCCUUCGAAUUGCCCGGCCAGGAAACGGGUCUUCGCUUCCUCGAAUGGUUGCAGAAGGAGCUUGGGGUGCUCCCGACCAUUGUGACUGGUCUCAUGUCCUUUGCCUCCCUUGUCACCUGCGAGGGGGCCAUCAAUGCUUUUUCCCGCGAGGGGUGCAGGCAUUACAAGGUCUUCAACCAGUCGGACAAAAAUUUUGAACGUGAAAUCUUCAAGGUCGAGGACCCUGUGCUGAAACAGUCGACGGGGGCGCUCUUCGACAGGAUGUGGGGACCGCACGGCCGAGAGACAGUCCGGGAGCGGUCCGACCGGGAAAUAGAUCAGGUAAAGGCCCAUUUGCAUGAUUAUAUGUGUGAGUAUGUGUGGUUUUUUCUAAAUGUGUGCUGCUGCUGCAGAUGGCACAUGCCGAAGAUGUCGAAGACCUUGCUGAUCUAGACGGCGCGCUACCCGAGGCCACGGAGAUGAACCCGGCAGCGCCAUCUGAUGCCGGCGAGGGCCCCUCGUCGACCCCCGCGCCGACUGCAGCCGACGAAGACCACGCACCAUCCCCUAUGCCGAUGUGUGAAGACGCCUCGAAGACGGUGGUCAAACCAGCCGCCGAAGACCCCGCGGCGGCGACCGAGCCUUCGCAGGUGUAGGAAUUGGGGUUGCGGAUUGCAUGUGAACUUUUGUCUGUGUGAUACUGAACCUCGGUUGCUGCGCAGGUUCCGACGUUUGGGCUUGCGCAAGCAACCACUACUGACAAUAGUGAUUUUGCGACGGAGACUGCAGUCAUGAUGCCUGCCGAUGAUAGUGUGCCUGGCUCUAUGUCUGAAUGUUUUGAGUCCGACGGUGAGUCUGGGAGUUCGUUUCCUUGGACGGAGGAGUCCUCGGAUGAAGGCUUAGAUUAUUUUGUUGCAUUGGAUAUGGCUACGGUAGAGGCUUCGCCGCGUGUGGAGGGUGCUGAGGAUUUUCCUGGUAUGAGUACUGGGUACAGGCGGCGAAGGGCGGUGGCGAAACGGAGAGUGAGUGAAUUGUCGCGAAGUGGUAGGUGUCAUCGAAGUGAGACGGAGGGUGGUCGUCUUCGCGUGGACGGAGCUAGUAAACGAGAAUUGUUAUCCUCGCCGAUUGGGGCGAGUGUGGGUGAAGGGGAGCUGCGAAAUCUUUUUGAGAGUGAGGAAUUGAGGAUAAUGUUGUUCAACUACAGGGAGAUGAGUAUCAUCCUGAAGGUUGAGCCAAUGUAAUAUAUGAUGCCCUCGCUGUGUGUAUGUAAUCGUGCUUUGUAUGAUAAGGCUGCGCGCCUUCGUUGAUCCGGCCGCGUCCGUAGGCGACUUCUGCACGGCGAGUUUGUUGGAAAAGGCUUCGAUUUUGCGCACUUAUUGUGCUAUUCCGGCUCCACCCUUAGGUGACUUUUGCACGGAGAGUCUUUUGGAAAAGACUUCGAUUUUGCGCACUUAUUGUGCUAUUCCGGCUACACCCUUAGGCGACUUUUGUACGGAGAGUCUUUUGGAAAAGACUUUGAUUUUGCGCACUUAUUGUGCUAUUCCGGCUGCACCCUUAGGCGACUUUUGCACAGAGUCUUUUAGAAAAGACUUCGAUUUUGCGCACUUAUUAUGCUAUUCCGGCUGCACCCUUAGGCGACUUUUGCACGGAGAGUCUUUUGGAAAAGACUUCGAUUAUCGCACUUGUUGUGCUAGUCCGGUUGCACCUUAGGCGACUUUUGCGCGGAGUGUCGCACGCGAGGGUAGUCGGCGUUGUCUCUCGCGGUGACUUCGGUUUAGUCGAAUGCCGAAGACCGUUGAUGCGGUCUUUUUUGAUAUAUUGCGUCUUAGUUCUUGCGGGAGAUUUUUGCAGGUAUAUUACAUGGCUCCGCCUCAUUAAAAACCUCACCCCCGGGAGGAAAAGAGUGUGGGCCGGAAUGAUAUUGUUUGGUAAAUUACAAGGGCGUGUUGGCCCUGAGGAUUCAAACAAAAAAUUUGUGGAGAUUAUCGAUAUUCCAGGAAUGCUCUAGUUCCUCGCCAGAUGGCGUAGUUGUGACACCCCAGGUGUCUAUUUCACGUUAUGUCAGAAGAUUUAUCUUAAUCUCGGAUGCUCAGUAAAAAUUUCCAUGCUCGCUCGCGUAUGUCUCUGGAUAUCCAGACUAUUCAUUCUCAUUUCAUUGAAUUCGGAGUUAUUCAGUCUCACACAAGGCCAAAUUUGGAGUCUGUUAAAAAAACUUUUGUCUCUCGGAACAAAUGCAAAUUUGGUAAUCAAUCUCGAUUUAUAAAUCUCGUCUAAAGCUCAUUUAUUCGGACUCUCGAUAGUUGUUAUGUUAUCCAAUCGGUGUCCGAAUCCGCCCUCUCGAUUGUCGGUCUACGUCCAAAUACUUAAUCCGAAUCCGCAUUGUCCUACAGAAUCUCUGUGUCAACCUCUAAUUAAUUUUUAUGAAAAUCAGCUUGCUAUCUUUAUGUCAUCAUUCAUCUCUAUCUAGCAAGUGUAUUCUAAAGAUUUCUUAAAGUUUGAACCAAAUAUUCGUGUGAAGUUAUAAAUCCUACGCUUGCUUGAGACUGCUCGAUUAAGUAAAAGAAAAUUUAUAAAUUCAACCAAGUUUUGGAAACUUUCCCAAAACACUCUAUAUCAACUCUACAACAAAAGUUAUUAAGGGUUCAUGUAGAGAAAAUGCCAAGAAAAUGUCAAGAAAAUAGCCCCAUUGCCUUAAAAUAUAAUUGAGAGCUUUAUAAUGAUACUACCUCGACCAAAGUGAAACUUUUAUUUAUAUUCAAGAUAUGAGGUUUGACCUUUAAUAGAAGUUGUAGAACCUGUGUAAUACAACAAAUUUUAUAUUUAAACCAAGCCUUGAUUCAAUCUCUAAGUAUCCCAAACAGUGCCAUCAAGACAGAAUAAAAAUCUGAUUUCGUGAUCCAAAUUCUUCUAAGUCUGAAAUCAGCGUCGUUCGGGUCGACGCCUCACGUUCCCAAAUUUUUGUUGAACAACUCAAGUUUUUCCAAAUAUAAAAGUUGUUAAUAACUAAUAGGGGCACAACAUAUUAAAAGAUGGCAUUCAUCCGAUUCCGUUUGACAUGCUUUGACAUUCAGUUUUCACAAGUUUCCACUGAUUUCUAACCGACUGACAAACCAAUUUUCGUGGGUCUAUAACUCUCUAAUCAGUGCCCGAAUCACCUCAAGUCCUGUACAUGAUUUGUAGAGUAUAUAUCAAGGAACAAAUCUUCUGCAGUGAUCCGGGUCCGAAUCCAAACAGAAAACGACAAAAGCGGUCAUCCAAUGCAUGCUCGACAGUGUGCUGCAGGGAGGCAGUGUGAACAGCAAGUCGUCAGUCUGUGACAGUGGCCACCGCCCCUAUCCUCCAAUGGUGGUGAUGCCCGCGGCUUUAUAGGCACACCAUGCUCUUCUCAGCACUCCCACGACCGCACUCGCCCCCUCUCAGCCCUCCUCUCCUCCCCUACUAACCGAUCCCUCCUGAACCACCAUUGUUGUGCUCGCAGCUCCGUGGUCGCGCCUGCUCGAGCUGUUUCUGGCCGGGCUGGGGCCGACACCGAGCAUGGCGGAUGCUGGGGAUGCCGUGGUCCGCGUCCCCUCGCUUUCCCUUGCCGCCGGCGAGCCUCUGGCCGGCUAUUUUGCUCUCCCCGUGGAGAUACCUGGAGGUAGAAGACGGAUGGACCGCGGGCACAAAUUUGACCAAGUACAGGGGGCUAACUGCGCAUCCCGUGACCCACUUCAAUAGUACCAAAAGGACCUGUUUGCUGGAAUAAAGUCGUGGCCUGUUCCAGGGACUGAAGCGCAAAGGUGAUUUUUCCCUUUUUCCGUUUCUAUUCCAGAUUUUGUGCUACAACUUUGAAAAUUCAUAGAAAAUCGUAGAAAAAUCGUAAAAUGUUAAAUGAGAACUUUUUGAAAUCCUUGUGAAAUUCUCUAUGUCGUGGAUACAUAAGUUGGAAUGUUUUAGUAGAAACUUUUGGCUGUAGAAAUUCAUUUUUGAAAAGAGGUUUAGAAAACAAAUGAACUUGCUUCUCUCCACAGUUUUAAUUUUAAAAAUCCACAAAUGAUGAAACUUGUUUUGAUAGUUAGAUGUUGUCAUACUCUAGCUAAGAAAAAUAUAAAACACAUAUGGUGUUCACUGUUUUAUUGGUGUGUUAAUUAAAACAUGUUAAAUAGAGAAAAGAAGAUUAAUUUGCUUGUUAUUUUUUGAUUUGUAGCUCUGGUGCUCCAAAUAGGUUGCAAUUUUUACAGUAGACUCUUGGUGUAAUGUUUGGUGACUCGUAAACAUUUCAUGAAUUGUUGUGCACGUAUGAUUAAGUUAGUGAUUUAACUUGUUUAAUGCACCUUAAGUAGUUUUAAAUGAUUUAAAAACAAUGUAUAGAUGCAAAAAUGUAAAAUAAUGUUCCACUGUCCUUGCAUGAUAUUAUAGUAACCUAAUAAAACUUAAUAUGGUCAUGAAUCCACAGAAAAUAAUUAGUUUUAGAUUUAACUUGCUCUCACAUGCUUUAUUGCAUUAACAAUUUGUUAUUUUUGUAUUAAAUAAAAUAUAAAACCUGGACAUGUGAAAUUUAUACAUUGGUCAUUAUUUGUUAUUACCUAUGCCUCAUAAAAAUUCCAUCUCCAAAUUAGAUAGUUUCAUAUGGUACUAAAAUGACACACAUUUUAUAAUUAUAAGAACAAUUAGUGAAAAAAUAGAAGUAAACAAGGGCAUGCAUGUUUCUUGAAAUGCUUAAGUUCCUUGAUAUAAAUUGAAACUUGAUAACUAAGUCACAAUGACUUAAACUUAAGAAUUUGUGGCACUAUCCCUCCAUGAUUUUGUUUGGUGCUUGAGUUAAGUGCUAUUAUGACCGCAAGCUGAAUUUCCUGCGUGUUCAGUUUUAGUUGUGCGAUUAAUAUAGUUAGGUAAAGUAUAUUUUCUGUAGAUAUGUGCUAUAUAAAAGUUGUAGUUCACUUAUGUAUCUAGAUUGUCCUAAAAAUGCAUGAGCUAAGAAUUGAUUGUUUAGAAGCUAUACUUUCAUAGACUCACUCAUCUAUAAAAACUCUAGGCUACAUGAGAUAGGGAGGCAACUAGGGAUGUCAACCCCUUGGCCCCGGCAGUCUCCCACAGACGGCACUCAUCCCCCACAUGGAUUAGGAAAUUAGCAACAUUAGGGGAAAGACCAUCAAAGAUGCAUCUGUUCCGGUGAUUCCACAAAAUCCAAGCGCCCAACAUAAUGAGGGAGUUUAGGCCAUCUCUGAAGGACCCCUGAAUAGCUUCAUUUGCUUGAUGCCACCACUCCAUAAAAUUAAUAUCCGUUGGUUGGGGGGCCAAACCCUGCAGCCCGAAUUGCCUUAGAAGGAGGAACCAACAUUCUCUUGAGAAAACACAAUUCACAAGCAGAUGGUCAAUUAUCUCCCUCUCCUGCUCACAUAAAGGACAUUUUUUCGGAUGAUCCAGCCCCCGCUUCUCAAGUCUAUCUGCUGUCCAACAUUUCUUUUGAGCCACCAGCCACAAGAAGAAUCGACAUUUGGGCGGAGCCCAAGUUUUCCAAAUCCGCUCAAAAGGUUCAAACUCCACAGAUCCAAUGAAGAGCCCCUCAUAAGCGGCUUUAGUCGAAUAUUUGCCAUUAGCAGCCAACCGAAAAAUAUGUUUGUCCUCCUUAUGGGGGUCCAGAUCAACAUGUGCCACCAAAUCCCAAAUACGCAGGAAGUCUGCAAGUGCACCAACAGAUAAACUCCCAGGAAUAUCAUUAAUCCAGCCAUUAUCCUCAAUCGCCUCCUGAACUGUCCUUUUGUUAAUCAGCUUCAUAGGAAUGGUCUCAAUAAGUCGAGGAGCGAUAUCCCCAAUCCGCUGCCCAUCCAACCAUCGAUCACUCCAGAAAAGGGUAGAAGCUCCAUUUCCAAUCUCAGAAUACAAGGCUACUUGUAGAAACUCUCAAAUUUUUUUUGGGGUAUGCAAAGGCAGGGAUGCCCAGGGCCGACCUGGCUCAGUUUUUUGCAGCCAAGCCCAACGCAUUUUAAGGGCCCAACUCAGUUCAGUGAUGCUGAAAAUACCCAGCCCACCAAGCUCUCGAGGUCUGCACACACUGCCCCAGGCCACUGCACAAUGGCCACCCAUGGCCACCCAUGGCACACACUGCCCCAGGCCACUGCUAGUUUCGUUCAGGCCGCCGUAAGGCGUCAGUUGUACCCCGGUCUAUUUUAGACCUUGUUUAUUUCUUCUUUUAAUAUAAUGAUACGUAGCUCUCCUGCGUGUUCGAGAAAAAAAAGCUAUACUUUUCACAAGUUCAGUAACUGAAUCUGUCCAAAUUCUGAACAGAUUUCAGAGAUUGCAAUGGUUGCUUAAUUUAAUGUUGAAAUCAGUUAUUUGUGGUCACAAUAAAGUUGUAGAUAACUCUAUUAACUUUCUUGUGUUAAAAUUUGACAGCCAUAAGUCUGAUCGUUUAGAAGUUAUGCUUCUCGCAAGUUUAGUAACUGAAUCUGUCCAAUUCCUGUACAAAUUUCAGAGGUCAUAUUUUUUGCUUAAGUUCAGUUUAGAAUCAGUCCUUGUCAAUUAUAAGAAAGUUGUAGAUAAUGUUCUUAUCUUACUUGUGUUAAAUUUUUAUGACAAUAAACCUGAUAGUUUGAGAGUUAUGAAUUGUAUAAGAAGAUUAUUGUAUUCUGUCCACUAUCAGAACAGAUUUAGAAAACUGAAUUGUUUUAUUCAGUUCAGCAUAGAAUCAAUUCUUGAUGAUUAUAAAAGUAUGUAGUGCUUUUGCUAAGCUUUUCAAAAAGUCUUGGAUCACUCUUUUUGAUGAUCUGAAGAUUAAGUUAUGGAUGUUUAAAGUCUGAAGACUGAAUCUGUCCAAUCCUGGACAGCAAAGCCUUCUAGUGUCUUUUGUCCUUAGUUAAAUAUUGAAUCACCUUGACAUGUUUAUAAAUGAUAUGUAGACAAUUUUAUUACCUUUCCAGAAAGUCCAGGAUCAAUUUGUUUGGAUGUCUGAACCUGUAGUUGUGAAUUUUUGAAGGCAUAAGUCUGAAUCUGCCUAAAUCUGAAUAAAGCUCUCGUUUAUCAUUAUUUAACCUUAUUGUCUAAUCAUGCUAAGGUAAAAAUAUCAAAGUUGUAGAACACUUUUUAAACUUUCCAGAAAAUCCUAGUUUGAUAAUUUUGAACUAAUAUUUGAAGAGUUAUGAUUAAAACAAAAACUAAUGUGUUGUUGUCCUAAAUGUGUUAGAAGUGAUUGAUUGAUCUACUCUAUUGUGUUUGACUUGAGUGAUUGCUUGCUUGUUUUGGUUUUAAGUGAACAUGAGUAAUAAUAAUAAGUGACUAGUAUAAUUGGGGUUAUAUAUAAGUAAGUAGUACACAUCUCACUAAGUUAGUGAACUAAAUUGAUUAAGGUCUAAUAAGUAGCUUAGCUUAAUCAACAGUUAGCAAGUGCAGCUAUAUAUUAGGUAAACAAAAUGAAUAAUGUCUUGUCUUUGGCUUUCUGCUAAUACUACUAAGUAACCAACAUCAUUAAAGUAGUAUAAUAUGUAAUUGUGAUUAAACUAUCUCCUCAUGUGUGUUCUCUGGGAUGUAUGCUUGUAGUAGAAUGAUGUGGAUGAUUGUAAAACCCGAUUAAGUAAAUAUUCCCUAUUGAAGUAAGUUUGUCUGCAUGACGUUUAGGAGUCACAGUGAAUGUACGUGUUCCUAAGUAGUUUCAUAAUAUAAUAACUAAGAAAGGAUAAAGGUGAACGUAGUAAAUGCGUGUACUUGUGAUGUCGUAGUCGUGUUGCGUAAAUAAAUAAAAUGUUGUCGUCUUUUUAUUGGUGUUAAUGUUGAACGCCGAUAACGUGUGGAUAUCUAAUGCUAACGUGUGAUGGUUUAUGGUGUCUUCUAAAUUAAUGUUAGUUCGCUACUGUGUCUUUGUAUAUCUUGUGAUAUUCUUCAUCAUAUUCAUACAUAUGCAUCUUGCAUCUCAUUUAGGACCGAGAGAUGAUGAUCGUGUGAGAUAAAGGACGUGGAGUGGAGCUGACUCCAAGAUGGUGUUAGCAGACACCUUGAAUAUGGACAGACAGAACAAAGGCCAGGAUAGGAGAUGCUCGCCAAGCGAUUACCUCCCCCAGCAAACACUAUCUAAGUGUUGAAUUGAGGGCAAGCCCCGGUUUUAUGCAUAAUCGUUAUAUAUGCUAUUUUACUACACUUAAUGUUUGUAGGCUUGUACCGUGCACUUAAGUGUAGGAGUUGCCUGAAAGCCUAGUUGCAUGAACUCAGGAUUCCUUUUGAGAUGAAUACUAGUAUGCUAGGUCGAGUAGCUGCUAUGCUAAAUCAGGAUCUCGGUAGAAGUCGAGUGAUUUUUCUAGCACUCGCGCGAGGUCAGGAAUUGGUUGUAUCCAUUUUGAUAACAGAAUGAUGAUGGUCUGCGGACACAGAUCCAUGGGGAUGCGUUGUCUAUGAGACAAAAUUGGAAUAAGGAUUAACGUGUGGAUACCUGUGUCAAGCGUUUGAAUGUACUAAACACAUGUCGGGAAAAAUGGUAACCAGUAAACCUAGUACCUGAGUGAAGCCGGGCGCGGACUUUAUCCCUCACGCGACCUGAGACUGGGUCUCCCAUUCUAGAUAUGGUGGGUACAAGUGCAGCCACUCCACGACGGCAGUCGGGGUCAGUGGAGCAUUGUAUGCCAAGGCGGUGAGGCCUGGCCGCGAACGGGGAAUCGAUGGGGACGGUUGACAUGUGUGGGGUCGGAGUACCCUGACAUGUCGUGUGUUUAGGUUUACCUUGCAAGGUUAAAACUCGAUUCGAAUCGUCUGCUUCUCGCAGCUAAUGAGACUGCUUGAUCCAUUGUACUGCAUUGAGUAAAAAGUGGAAAUGAGACACUGGCAAAAGAUGUUGAUUGAUAUAAUGUUUGAUACCAUGUAUGAAUAGAUAGGUUCUCAUCUAGUCUAAAAUUAUUAUUCUAGAACUUGAAAAGCUAAAACUUGAUUUUAGACUCAGCUAGUGCUUUUGGCAAACCAAACCCCUCAGCCAAACAGCUGCAUGUCUAGAGGUAGAGGAGUAGACUCCUCACACAGGGUAAGUGUAACGCCCUGAAUUUGGGGGUAGAAUUUUUUCUUCUUUUCUCUCACCAAAUUCGGGCGUUACUCUCUUUUCUCUUUCCCCGUUUGCUCCUUCUUCCCAAUUUCAAACCAGUAUAGCGGCAGGUGUCCAUGUCAUGUAUAAGCCAAAACCUAAGUGUCAUGGGUGUUGCAUCAUGCCGAAGCGCAUUUCUUUGUCUGAUGAUGAGUGUUCGUCUCGUUCCGUUCCAGAUUUCGGUUCGCGAUUUAAUUCCAUUUAGUGGUUCGCGCUCGUCGUGGGUUUUCGAUCCGCGAAGUGGCCCGGCCCAGCCCAACCUAGUCCAGCCCAGCCCAACCGGCCCGGCCCGCCCCGGCCUGCGCGCCCCUAGCGCCCAAACCCCCCAUGCGCCCCCCCUCCCCUCUCUCUCUCUCUCAUUUGGAUCUCCCGCGCAACAACCUCUCCUCUCCCUCUUCCACCUCUCUCUCCUCGUGGUGCCCUAGGAUUUGGAGACGGCGAUCACCGGAUUUUGGACCCCGAGGUGAGCUCCCCUCCCCUUCUCCUCUCUCUCUCCCUCUCCCUCCUCUUCUUCCCCCCGCGCGCGCCCUCCCUCUCCCACUGCCCGCGCGCGACCCCGUCCUCGCCCCUACCCGGCGCGGCGGCGCCCGUCCCUGCCCCUGCCCGGUGCGGCGGCGCCCGACCCCGUCCCCGCCCCCGGCCCCGGCGGCGCUCGGCCCCGCCCGGCUGCCCUCCCCGGUGGCGCUCGCCCGCCCGCCCCCUCCCGCGGCGGCGCUUGGCGCCCGUCCCCGGCCUCCCCUCGUGCGGCCCCUCCCCCUCCCUCCCCGGCGGCGCUCGCCUGCCCGGCCUCCCUCGCGGCGGCGCUCGGCCCCGCGCGGCGCUCCCCGCCCAUCCCGGCCCCGCGGCGGCGCCCGCCCGUCCCGGCCCCGUGGCGGCGCCCGUCCGCCCCCGCUCCUCCCCUGCUCGCGGCCCCGGCGCGGCCUCCGGCCCCCGGCGUGUCCCCGACGCGGCCCCGGCCGGCUCGGCCGCCCCUAGCCGGUUCAACCGCCCCCCUGGCCGGUUCAACCGCCCCGGCCCAGGCUCGGCCGCCCGUUCCCCCGUCCCGGCCUCGCCCGACCGUAUCUUCGCUCGCCCGCGCUCGCGGUGAUUAUUCGUUAAUUAGCGUGUUGCGUCGCGCGCUUCGCCGCGCGACGGAUUUGUCUAAAUUCAGAUUCUAUCUUGUGUUGCGUCGUGCGCUUCGUCGCGCGACGAUCCAUUUUUGUUUCAGGUUGUUUAAGGUGUAACGCCGCGUGUGUAUUCACGCGACGUUCCACUUUGGACUCAGUUUAGUCAACGUAUGCCGUCGUGCGCUUCGUCGCGCGACGCUUAACGUCUCCUCGUAACUAAGGCGAAGUGUCUCGUUGCGUGCUCGGUCGCACGACGAGUCGUUAACUUCUUAAUUUGUUUUAGAGAGCUUUGUCGCGCGUCUCGCCGCGCGACCAUCUUUUUAUUUAUCUCCACCUGCUUAUAAUAAUUAGACAUGAAACAUGACUUUACUUUACGCUAAACAUAGUGUCUACAUCAAAUUUCCUUCCAUUAAGCGAGUGGUUAAUUUAUAAUCAUGUAACGUGAUCGUUUCUCGACUGUCUUUUCCUCUUUCUCUCUUAACCGUACUCGCGAGCCCGCGUGGAACGUCUGUUUACUUAUUGCAUUCUAUUGUAUGGUGUACUGUUCUUUUGUAUUAAAUGUGUGGAUGUAUGUAUGUUUGUGCUCGCAUAGAGAACGAUCCGGUUGAAGAGCCCGAGGAACUCGCAGGAGAAGCCCCUGAGUAGCAGUCGGUUGGUGGAGGCAAGUGUCCCUUGACCUAUCUCUGUCCUAUUCAUUAUUUAAUUCACCUCCCGCUUUACACAUUUAUGCCUAAGGAUUGACUAGCUUUUGUUAUCCAUGUCCUUGUCUACCUAUUUGGGUUGGAUUAUUAUUGUUUAGCUUUAUGCUAUUGCUUAACUCUAAUCAAUGAACAUGAUGAGAAUAUCUAUGAUACGCUGUUUUCCCUUCUCUUAUUAUGAUGUUAUACUUGUGGUCAUCAAGGGGGCUCGAGCGGUUUCUCGAGUGCCUCUCCGUAAGGACCUAUUCUAUGGAUGACCGCCCGGGAAAACAGUGCAACCAUGAGGGUGGAAUGGGAUGCCCUUAGCUGAAUAAUUAGAGGAUCCGGGGUGUAGUUCACUUAGCCGUCGUGCCGUCAAUGGGGCUCGGUGUAUGCGGCUCGCUCUGCCAUGUUUGGGUUCGCCCCUUGGGGAGGAGUGUGGUGCAUUUAGGAAACCUAACGGGUGGCUACAGCCCCGGGGAAUCUCUGUAAAGGCUACGUAGUGAUGCCCUGCUGGGUCACCUUGGUAGUGAUCAAUGGAGAGUCAUGAUCUCCGGGCAGAAUGGGAAUCACGGCUUGUGGGUAAAGUGCACAACCUCUACAGAGUGUUUGAAAACUGAUAUAUCAGCCGUGCUCGCGGUUAUGAGCGGCCAAGGGAGCUCCAGUGAUUAGUGGUACUUGAUCAGAGAUACUUUGGUUUACAGGUGGUUAUGAGAUUGAUGGUUUUGGUUAUGACUAUGGUGCUGGUAAGUGGUACUCUUUCCGUUUGGAAAGGAGUACGUUUGGGUUAAUAACUUGGGUUAAUGCUAAAACUUGGCUUUUCUACUAGUAAGUAAUAAUCUGACCAACUAAAAGCAACUGCUUGACUUAUCCCCACAUACAGCUAGUCCACUAUAGCCAAACAGGAUACUUGCUGAGUAUGUUGAUGUGUACUCACCCUUGCUCUACACACCAAACCCCCCCAUCCCCAGGUUGUCAGCAUUGCAACCACUGCUCAGGCGAAGAUGAAGCUGUGGAAGGAGACUUCCAGGAAUUCCAAGACUACGACGAGUUCUAGGUGUGGGUUAGCGGCAACCCCCAGUCGGCUGCCUGUGAAGGCCGCGUUUAUCUGCGUUUCUUUUCCGCAAUUUGAUUUAUUGUAAGGACUAUAUGGACGUCUCAGACGUAUGAGGUAAUCGACUAUUUCCCUUCUUAUUACUAUUUUGAGCACUGUGUGAUGAUGUCCAUGUUAUGUAACUGCUGUGUACGUGAAUAACUGAUCCUGGCACGUACAUGGUUCGCAUUCGGUUUGCCUUCUAAAACCGGGUGUGGCAUAAGUGGUAUCAAAGCCGUGCUGACUGUAGGACCGCUAACCUAGAGUAGAAUGGUCGUUCUAAGGACUAUAGACCUCUGUCCCUGCCUUGACUUUGAUAUCCCUUCAAAAGUUGGUCAUACCGACCAAACCUAUGUUCUACUAUAUAUUAUACCUUGCUGAAAAUCAUGUUUUAUUCUAAUCCUUCAUUCACUUAUGAUUCAUUAUUUGCUGGUCAUAUUGAUUCUGUUCUCACCCUUUUGCUUGCGAUGUCUUUUGUAGAUGGCUCGACUUAGACACACUGCACGAAAGUCAGUCAUCCCCUUCUUACCCUCCCGCCUUGCUGAGCGUCCGCUUCGCCGUCCCGUGGCCGGACAGUCCAGCCACUUGGAGAGACUGCACCACCGCCUGCGUGAGGAGCAGGAACAUCGACGACAGGAGCAGCAGGGCUCUUCUUUCUCGCUCCACCAGGAGAUAGAGUCCGUGAGGAGCUGCUCCCCUGUGCUUCCUCUGGAGGCGCCCCCUGCACCACCACUGGGCGCCCCAGCUUCUGGAGUAGCUGCUGGAGGAGACCCAGACGACGGAGGUGGCGACGACAGCUCGAGCCACGACACCGACUUCUCUGCUAACCCUGAGCUGGAAGGAUGGGUUGCUCGACCCAUCACUCGCGACGCUGCUCGCGGGUGUCACUUCCACGAUGCGCUCGACACCCUGCUACGUCGGGCAUUUAACCGGCAUACUUGGUCCGUCGAGUAUCGCUGUGUGGUCUACCAGCAUAGUCGCGGGGUCUACCCGGACCGCUGGGAGGCAACCUGCUUGGUGCGCUGCCCGGAGAACAGUCUCCAGGGUGUGGAGGCCUGCUCAGAGCACUAUUCUAUUUCUGAGCGGGACUCAGCUGAGGCAGCCAUGCAAGAUGCUGCACGGCGUGCGCUUUCGCACUACUGCUCGGUUUUCGGUGGGGCAGCUGACGGUCUUGACCUGAAGUAUUACCCCCGCCGUCCAUCUGGCAGCACAGGAGGCGUGAUUGUCUCACCUGUCGGUGAGGGCAAUCCUAGGUUGAGCAGCACAGUCAACCUAGCCGCCGUGCUAAACACGGAGCUGGACCAUGCAUUAGACGAGCUGAGUAGGGCUCGUGCUGAGAUCGCCCUGCUGCGGGCUGAGCGCGCGGAACGUCGUCACCUGGACGGUGGUUCCCCCGCUCCUGUCGGGACUCAGCACCCGUACCGCUCACCUCAGCGUGGACACCGGUCUUAUGGCAAUCCCGCCUGCAAGACCAAGAUAACUCUAGAACCAUAGCUCGUUAGAGUUGGAUCUUGUAAUUAAUACGAAAUAUAUACGUAGAAGCUACAGUCUUAGCGUUAGUCUCGCUCUUAGUUAGUCUCAGUUAGACAGGGUAGUUUGCUAUAUCCUGUGCAUUUAUGUUUGUCAUGAUGAACUAUGUUUGGUUUGGAUCUUUGUAAUGACUGUCACCAGAGUGUGGGUAUCCCCUGCAUUUUGGUUUAUCUAUUAUGUUAAUGGAGUUAGUUAUAUAGUUGGGAAGCCUUUUUAUUCCACUUUCCUCUUUACCUGAGAAGCUGUGUGGUCUGUGUUGGAGAUCAGUGAAGAUGCUCAUCUGUUCAGUGCUGUUGAAGAAUUCCAUUCUCUUUUCUUAUGCUACAAGACUUGCCAGAUCAGUUCUGAUGUGUGGUUGCAUUCUGCAGAUGUCAGAGAACAGGCGCAGAGGAGGAAGGCGUGCUCAGCAGGAGCGAGCCGCUCAACAGGAUGAGGUGCCCCAGCAGCAGCACCUGCCGCCCCCACCCCCGAUGUCCAUCGAGCAGAUGUUUCUGAUGCAGACUAAGGCAGUUCAAGCCAACGGUCAGACUUUGGCCGCCAUUCAGCAGCAGCAGCAACAACAACAGCAGACCCCACCUCAGCCUCAGAUGCCUCAGAUGCCUAGAGAUAAGCGUGCUGAAUUCAUGAGAGGUCAUCCACCAACGUUUGCUCAUUCUUCUGACCCCAUGGAUGCUGAAGACUGGCUGCGCACUGUGGAGCGGGAGUUGCAUACCGCUCAGUGCGAUGAUAGGGAGAAGGUUCUGUAUGGUCCCCGUCUGUUGAGAGGAGCAGCCCAGUCAUGGUGGGAGUCUUACCUUGCCACCCAUGCCCACCCUGACGCCAUCACUUGGGAAGAGUUCAGAGGUAGUUUUCGUCAGUACCAUGUCCCUGCAGGUCUGAUGACAGUGAAGAAGGAGGAGUUCCUGGCCCUCAAGCAAGGGCCAUUGUCUGUCAGUGAGUACCGAGACAGGUUUCUGCAAUUGUCUCACUAUGCUCCUGAAGAUGUCAACACUGACGCGAAGCGACAGUACCGUUUCCUGAGAGGCUUGGUUGACCCUCUACAGUACCAACUGAUGAAUCACACCUUCCCGACAUUCCAGCACCUGAUUGACAGAGCAAUCAUGACAGAGAGGAAGCGUAAGGAGAUGGAAGAUCGUAAGCGCAAGAUCAGUGGACCCCAGCCUGGAAGCAACAAUCGUCCUCGUUUCUCAGGCAAUCAACCUCAGCAGUUCAGGCAGAACCAGCGUCCACCUCAGCAGCAUCAGCAGUUCCAAAGGCAGUAUUCUCAGCAUCAGUACCAGAACCGUCAGAGCAAUCAGUCAGGAGGUCAGUUUCAAAGGCAGAAUCAGCAGGCACCUCGCCUUCCUGCCCCAACAGCCCAGCAGAACAGUUAGGCAGCACCAGCUCAGGUUGGAAACAGAGCAUGUUUCCACUGUGGAGAGCAAGGCCAUUGGGUGAUGCAAUGUCCGAAGAAGGCAGCCCAGCAGCAGUCAGGCCCCAAUGCCCCAGCAAAGCAGAAUGUGCCUCAGUCUAGAGCAGGCAAUCGCUCUCAGCCGCGCUAUAAUCAUGGAAGGCUGAACCACUUGGAGGCUGAAGCAGUUCAGGAGACCCCCGGCAUGAUAGUAGGUAUGUUCCCAGUCGACUCCCAUAUUGCAGAAGUGUUAUUUGAUACUGGAGCAAUGCAUUCUUUCAUUACUGCAUCAUGGGUAGAAGCACAUAAUCUUCCAAUUACUACCAUGUCAACCCCCAUUCAAAUUGACUCAGCCGGUGGUAGAAUUCGAGCCGAUAGCAUUUGUUUGAAUAUAAGUGUGGAAAUAAGGGGGAUAGCGUUUCCCGCCAAUCUCAUAGUAAUGGGUACUCAGGGAAUAGAUGUCAUCCUAGGGAUGAAUUGGCUAGAUAAGUACCAGGCAGUUAUCAGUUGUGAUAAAAGGACCAUCAAGUUGGUGUCCCCACUAGGAGAGGAAGUGGUGACCGAGUUAGUCCCGCCUGAGCCAAAGAAAGGAAGUUGUUAUCAGAUAGCUGUUGAUAGCAGUGAAGCAGACCCAAUUGAGAGUAUCAAGGUUGUGUCCGAGUUCCCAGAUGUGUUUCCGAAGGACUUACCGGGUAUGCCACCAGAGCGGAAAGUUGAGUUUGCCAUAGAGCUUCUUCCUGGAACCGCCCCUAUCUUUAAGAGAGCUUACAGAAUAUCCGGACCAGAGUUGGUUGAACUUAAGGAGCAGAUUGAUGAGCUGUCAGAGAAAGGUUACAUUCGGCCAAGUACCUUGCCUUGGGCCGCCCCUGUCCUAUUUGUGGAGAAGAAAGAUGGCACCAAAAGGAUGUGUAUUGAUUACCGAGCUUUGAAUGAAGUCACGAUCAAGAACAAGUAUCCUUUGCCCAGAAUAGAAGAUCUGUUCGACCAGUUGAGAGGAGCCAGUGUGUUCUCCAAGAUUGAUCUGAGGUCAGGUUAUCAUCAGCUCAGGAUCCGACCUUCGGACAUUCCGAAGACGGCAUUCAUUUCCAAGUAUGGGUUGUAUGAGUUCACAGUGAUGUCUUUUGGUUUGACCAAUGCGCCAACGUUCUUCAUGAACUUGAUGAACAGUGUAUUCAUAGAUUACCUUGAUAAGUUUGUGGUGGUAUUCAUUGAUGACAUUCUGGUUUAUUCUCAAAGCGAAGAAGAGCAUGCAGAUCAUUUGAGGAUGGUAUUGCAGAGAUUGCGAGAGCACCAGUUGUAUGCAAAGUUGAGCAAGUGUGAGUUCUGGAUCAGUGAAGUCCUGUUCUUGGGUCACAUAAUCAACAAGGAAGGAUUGGCUGUGGAUCCGAAGAAAGUGGCAGACAUUUUGAACUGGAAAGCGCCAACAGAUGCUAGAGGAAUCAAGAGCUUCAUUGGAAUGGCCGGGUAUUAUCGGCGAUUCAUUGAAGGGUUUUCGAAGAUUGCGAAACCAAUGACAGUGUUGCUAGGCAACAAAGUUGAGUUCAAGUGGACCCAGAAAUGCCAAGAGGCCUUUGAAGCGCUGAAAGAGAAGUUGACUACUGCGCCUGUCCUAGUCUUGCCUGAUGUGCACAAGCCCUUCUCGGUGUAUUGCGAUGCUUGUUACACAGGUUUGGGAUGCGUGUUGAUGCAAGAGGGAAGAGUUGUGGCUUACUCGUCCCGACAGCUAAAGGUUCAUGAGAAGAAUUACCCAAUCCAUGAUCUAGAGUUGGCAGCAGUGGUUCACGCACUGAAGUCAUGGAGGCACUAUCUGUAUGGACAGAAAUGCGAUGUUUACACAGACCACAAGAGUCUGAAGUACAUAUUCACUCAGUCAGAGUUGAACAUGAGGCAACAAAGAUGGUUAGAGUUGAUCAAAGAUUAUGAGUUGGAGAUUCAUUACCAUCCAGGCAAAGCAAACGUAGUGGCAGAUGCUUUGAGCAGAAAGAGUCAAGUCAAUCUGAUGGCCGCUCGUCCGAUGCCUUAUGAGUUGGCCAAAGAGUUUGACAGGUUGAGUCUCGGAUUUCUGAACAAUUCUCGAGGAGUCACAGUUGAGUUGGAACCUACCUUGGAGCGCGAAAUCAAAGAAGCGCAGAAGAAUGAUGAGAAAAUCAGUGAGAUCCGGCGACUGAUUCGAGAUGGCAGAGGCAAAGAUUUUCGAGAGGAUGCAGAAGGCGUGAUAUGGUUCAAAGACCGCUUGUGUGUUCCCAAUGUCCAGUCCAUUCGGGAGUUGAUUCUCAAGGAAGCUCAUGAGACAGCCUAUUCGAUUCACCCUGGCAGUGAGAAGAUGUAUCAGGAUCUGAAGAAGAAAUUCUGGUGGUACGGAAUGAAGAGGGAAAUUGCAGAGCAUGUGGCUAUGUGCGAUAGUUGCCGAAGAAUUAAGGCAGAGCACCAGAGACCUGCUGGAUUGUUGCAACCAUUGCAGAUCCCUCAGUGGAAAUGGGAUGAAAUUGGUAUGGAUUUCAUAGUCGGAUUGCCUCGCACUCGAGCCGGCUACGAUUCCAUUUGGGUAGUGGUGGACCGCUUGACCAAGUCAGCCCACUUCAUACCUGUCAAGACCAACUACAGCAGUGCAGUAUUGGCAGAGUUGUAUAUGUCUCGGAUCGUUUGUCUUCAUGGUGUGCCAAAGAAGAUAGUGUCAGACAGAGGAACGCAGUUCACCUCUCAUUUCUGGCAGCAGUUGCAUGAAGCUUUGGGCACGCAUCUGAACUUCAGUUCAGCUUAUCAUCCGCACACAGAUGGCCAGACCGAAAGGACCAAUCAAAUUCUUGAAGACAUGUUGAGAGCCUGUGCGUUGCAAGAUCAGUCCGGAUGGGACAAGAGAUUGCCUUAUGCGGAGUUUUCCUAUAACAACAGUUACCAGGCCAGUUUGAAGAUGUCACCAUUUCAGGCGCUCUAUGGAAGGAGUUGUAGAACUCCGUUGCAAUGGGAUCAGCCUGGAGAAAAGCAAGUGUUUGGGCCAGACAUUUUGCUUGAAGCCGAAGAGAACAUCAAGAUGGUCCGAGAGAAUCUGAAGAUAGCGCAAUCAAGACAGCGAAGCUAUGCAGACACAAGAAGAAGAGAGCUGAGUUUCGAAGUCGGAGACUUUGUUUACCUGAAAGUGUCACCGAUCAGAGGAGUCAGAAGGUUCGGAGUGAAAGGCAAACUAGCACCCCGCUACAUUGGUCCGUAUCAGAUUCUUGCAAGACGUGGAGAAGUGGCCUAUCAGCUCAGUUUGCCCGAGAAUUUGUCUGCUGUGCAUGAUGUCUUUCAUGUGUCUCAGUUGAAGAAGUGCUUGCGUGUGCCAGAAGAACAGUUGCCAGUGGAAGGUCUUGAAGUCCAGGAGGACUUGACUUACGUUGAGAAGCCAGUGCAAAUCCUUGAGGUUGCAGACAGAGUCACCCGAAGGAAGACCAUCAGAAUGUGCAAAGUCAAAUGGAAUCAUCACUCUGAGGAAGAAGCAACCUGGGAGCGUGAAGAUGAUCUGAUGGCUAAAUACCCUCAGCUCUUUGCUAGCCAACCCUGAAUCUCGAGGGCGAGAUUCUUUUAAGGGGGAUAGGUUUGUAACGCCCUGAAUUUGGGGGUAGAAUUUUUUCUUCUUUUCUCUCACCAAAUUCGGGCGUUACUCUCUUUUCUCUUUCCCCGUUUGCUCCUUCUUCCCAAUUUCAAACUAGUAUAGCGGCAGGUGUCCGUGUCAUGUAUAAGCCAAAACCUAAGUGUCAUGGGUGUUGCAUCAUGCCGAAGCGCAUUUCUUUGUCUGAUGAUGAGUGUUCGUCUCGUUCCGUUCCGGAUUUCGGUUCACGAUUUAAUUCCAUUUAGUGGUCCGCGCUCGUCGUGGGUUUUCGAUCCGCGAAGUGGCCCGGCCCAGCCCAACCUAGUCCAGCCCAGCCCAACCCGCCCGGCCCGCCCCGGCCUGCGCGCCCCUGGCGCCCAAACCCCCCAUGCGCCCCCCUCCCCUCUCUCUCUCUCAUUUGGAUCUCCCGCGCAACAACCUCUCCUCUCCCUCUUCCACCUCUCUCUCCCUGUGGUGCCCUAGGAUUUGGAGACGGCGAUCACCGGAUUUUGGACCCCGAGGUGAGCUCCCCUCCCCUUCUCCUCCCUCUCUCCCUCUCCCUCCUCUUCUUCCCCCGCGCGCGCCCUCCCUCUCCCCCUGCCCGCGCACGACCCCGUCCCCGCCCCUGCCCGGCGCGGCGGCGCCCGUCCCCGCCCCUGCCCGGUGCGGCGGCGCCCGACCCCGUCCCCGCCCCCGGCCCCGGCGGCGCUCGGCCCCGCCCGGCUGCCCUCCCCGGUGGCGCUCGCCCGCCCGCCCCCUCCCGCGGCGGCGCUCGGCGCCCGUCCCCGGCCUCUCCUCGCGCGGCCCCUCCCCCUCCCUCCCCGGCGGCGCUCGCCCGCCCGGCCUCCCUCGCGGCGGCGCUCGGCCCCGCGCAGCGCUCCCCGCCCGUCCCGGCCCCGCGGCGGCGCCUGCCCGUCCCGGCCCCGUGGCGGCGCCCGUCCGCCCCCGCUCCUCCCCUGCUCGCGCCCGGCGCGGCCUCGGCGCGGCCUCCGGCCCCCGGCGUGUCCCCGGCGUGGCCCCGGCCAGCUCGGCCGCCCCUGGCCGGUUCAACCGCCCCGGCCCAGGCUCGGCCGCCCGUUCCCCCGUCCCGGCCUCGCCCGACCGUAUCUUCGCUCGCCCACGCUCGCGGUGAUUAUUCGUUAAUUAGCGUGUUGCGUCGCGCGCUUCGCCGCGCGACGGAUUUGUCUAAAUUCAGAUUCUAUCUUGUGUUGCGUCGUGCGCUUCGUCACGCGACGAUCCAUUUUUGUUUCAGGUUGUUUAAGGUGUAACGCCGCGUGUGUAUUCACGCGAUGUUCCACUUUGGACUUAGUUUAGUCGACGUAUGCCGUCGUGCGCUUCGUCGCGCGAUGCUUAACGUCUCCUCGUAACUAAGGCGAAGUGUCUCGUUGCGUGCUCGGUCGCACGACGAGUCGUUAACUUCUUAAUUUGUUUUAGAGAGCUUUGUCGCGCGUCUCGCCGCGCGACCAUCUUUUUAUUUAUCUCCACCUGCUUAUAAUAAUUAGACAUGAAACAUGACUUUACUUUACGCUAAACAUAGUGUCUACAUCAAAUUUCCUUCCAUUAAGCGAGUGGUUAAUUUAUAAUCAUGUAACGUGAUCGUUUCUCGACUGUCUUUUCCUCUUUCUCUCUUAACCGUACUCGCGAGCCCGCGUGGAACGUCUGUUUACUUAUUGCAUUCUAUUGUAUGGUGUACUGUUCUUUUGUAUUAAAUGUGUGGAUGUAUGUAUGUUUGCGCUCGCAUAGAGAACGAUCCGGUUGAAGAGCCCGAGGAACUCGCAGGAGAAGCCCCUGAGCAGCAGUCGUUUGGUGGAGGCAAGUGUCCCUUGACCUAUCUCUGUCCUAUUCAUUAUUUAAUUCACCUCCCGCUUUACACAUUUAGCUUUAUGCUAUUGCUUAACUCUAAUCAAUGAACAUGAUGAGAAUAUCUAUGAUACGCUGUUUUCCCUUCUCUUAUUAUGAUGUUAUACUUGUGGUCAUCAAGGGGGCUCGAGCGGUUUCUCGAGUGCCUCUCCGUAAGGACCUGUUCUAUGGAUGACCGCCCGGGAAAACAGUGCAACCAUGAGGGUGGAAUGGGAUGCCCUUAGCUGAAUAAUUAGAGGAUCUGGGGUGUAGUUCACUUAGCCGUCGUGCCGUCAAUGGGGCUCGGUGUAUGCGGCUCGCUCUGCCAAGUUUGGGUUCGCCCCUUGGGGAGGAGUGCGGUGCAUUUAGGAAACCUAACGGGUGGCUACAGCCCCGGGGAAUCUCUGUAAAGGCUACGUAGUGAUGCCCUGCUGGGUCACCUUGGUAGUGAUCAAUGGAGAGUCAUGAUCUCCGGGCAGAAUGGGAAUCACGGCUUGUGGGUAAAGUGCACAACCUCUGCAGAGUGUUUGAAAACUGAUAUAUCAGCCGUGCUCGCGGUUAUGAGCGGCCAAGGGAGCUCCAGUGAUUAGUGGUACUUGAUCAGAGAUACUUUGGUUUACAGGUGGUUAUGAGAUUGAUGGUUUUGGUUAUGACUAUGGUGCUGGUAAGUGGUACUCUUUCCGUUUGGAAAGGAGUACGUUUGGGUUAAUAACUUGGGUUAAUGCUAAAACUUGGCUUUUCUACUAGUAAGUAAUAAUUUGACCAACUAAAAGCAACUGCUUGACUUAUCCCCACAUACAGCUAGUCCACUACAGCCAAACAGGAUACUUGCUGAGUAUGUUGAUGUGUACUCACCCUUGCUCUACACACCAAACCCCCCAUCCCCAGGUUGUCAGCAUUGCAACCACUGCUCAGGCGAAGAUGAAGCUGUGGAAGGAGACUUCCAGGAAUUCCAAGACUACGACGAGUUCUAGGUGUGGGUUAGCGGCAACCCCCAGUCGGCUGCCUGUGAAGGCCGCGUUUAUCUGCGCUUCUUUUCCGCACUUUGAUUUAUUGUAAGGACUAUAUGGACGUCUCAGACGUAUGAGGUAAUCGACUAUUUCCCUUCUUAUUACUAUUUUGAGCACUGUGUGAUGAUGUCCAUGUUAUGUAACUGCUGUGUACGUGAAUAACUGAUCCUGGCACGUACAUGGUUCGCAUUCGGUUUGCCUUCUAAAACCGGGUGUGGCAGUAACUCAGCCUUGCUUGUGGCAUAAUUUUUGCAGGUACCUCCUUGAUUUGGUUGAUGGUAUGACUUGGCCUUCAUCGCUGCCACCGAGAUAGAUGGUCGAGUGGGUUACUACUUCCACAGAAGAGGACCAGGAGGAGUAGUGUGGCCAGGCUUCGCCAUGUUACUCGGUUUUCUCCGUUAGUUAUUUCUGCUGCAUUAAAAACUAUUGUUGCUAUUUCUGAAACUCCGAUAAUGUAAUUACUUCUGAUACUUAUUAAAUUUGUGGUAUUAUGCUUUAUUGUAUUUCUCUGUGCCUCACCUUCGAGUGAGCUAGUGGUAUUCGAUCCAGGAUAAGUGGCUUUAUCGGACUAGAUCUGAGGGACUGACGGGUUAUUCUGAUUUAAGUGUGUUGCUGCCUUUAAGGGUGCGACUUGGGCACUUAAGCUGGAAUAAUUCGGUCGGUUCCGCCACAGCUGGUAUCGGAGUGAAUACCAUUACAGAGAAGUCAAUAAGUCAUGAUUACCAACCUUUUCUAAAGUAAAAUUUGCUUAGAAACCAAUGUUGGAUAGAUCGUCAGGACGAUAAAGAUAGACCUAGGACGUGAAGCCUUAGGAAAUAGAUGGGUAGCUAGGUGGCUAUUUAUAUAGGCCAUAAAGGCUACUAAUACUAUUAAUAGGGAUGUUGUAGAAGCACCCGGAAAAAAAUUAGUUAGGUCUAAGAAGACGACUAGAAUGAGCAUGCAUCAUGAUUGUCGCAUUAUAAAUGUCUCUUGUGCAUCAACAUGCUUCUCUCACCUUUAUUCCAAUAAUAAUAACUUGUGAAUAAUGUGAUGUACUGCUAUGUUAGGAACUAUAAGAAAUGCCUUACCUCAUGUCAGAUUGGUAAGCCUUGUUAGGUCGUGUUAUGUGUUUCUCUUGUCUUGCUAUCUAGGUGGUAUUGUAAUUGUUCAACCCUUUUUGCUAAUAAAAAAAAUGUGUUGCCUGUUUUGCCAAAAAAAAGGACCCCCUCCAAACAACCUCAAGUUUAGCCAGUAAAAUCUCCAAAAAAAUUUAUCACAUGCUUGUGUUAGUGUUUUUCGAACCCUUGCGUGUUUACGCUUGAAGUUACACCUGCACAACUUAUAGACCCCAUGGUUUGACCCCCUAAAUCGACUAAAGCUUCCUUGUGCACUUGUUGUGUAAAAAAAAUUUGUUUGGUGUCUAGUCGCAUAAACCCUAUCAAGGCCAUGUUCCUCUCCAUAGAUCCUAUCCCGAAUCUUCAUAACCUUUCUGGUGCUCAUCCUAAUCGAUCUCAUGCGACUACCUCUCUUUUCGCCUGGAUCUAGUAAUCUUUUCCUUUGUGAAUUAUGUUGUGGCUUAUCAUCCGAAUCUCUGGAUCCUUCAUUGGUUCUGCCCCGUAUCUGGUUAUCUGUUAUAACCCGUUCUCAAGUAUCAGAUGUUGAUCUUGCCUAAAUCUCUCGUUUCUGGUCAUUCUCAUACCCCCUUCUCUGAGGAUCAUGAUGCUGCUUUAUCGAUUUUAUCUCUAAACAGUGUAUCCAUUUGGUUCAAUGAAUUAUGUUGAUUGACUUUAGUUCUCUCAUGUCUUAGCAAGUUGUCAAUCUUGAUCCCUUGGUUGGUUCCUUCUCAUAUCAAAUCUCGUACUAAUCUCCAUGUUGAUCAUAAAAUAGUUCUCUGAGUUGAAGAAAAUUCUCAUGUGAUGCUCUUUUGCCAACAAUCUCUGCUUCAACUCCGAUCACAUUCUUAUUUCUGAGCCAUACUCUUAUGGGCUCCAUCUAUCUAUGUUAUGUGGAUUUCUUAUUGGUUACGUUUGGUAAUGGUAUUAUGACUAACGACUGAUGGUGCCAUGACGAAACCGAGACCCUACUAUGGUGCACACAUGGUUGGGCUGCUCGGCACGCGCUGGUAUCGCAGUUAAUAGUAGUGAUCCAUUUCGAGACUAUACUGAUGUGCUAUCUUUUGUGAACACUCUCUCAGAGUGAUCACUACAUUUUGUCUCAACAUAUCGUGAUAUUCUAUCCGAAUCUAUCUUCAGUAUCUUUUCAGAUACCAUCUCAUGAAUUUGCAUCUAUCAUCGGUCUGGGAGUUACAUGCUUCUCCACCCUUGAAGAUCCUCAUUCGAAUCUCGGGACGAGAUUCCUUUAAGGGGGGAAGGCUGUGACACCCCAGGUGUCUAUUUCGCGUUAUGUCGGAAGAUUUAUCUUAAUCUCGGAUGCUCAGUAAAAAUUCCUAUGCUCGCUCGCGUAUGUCUCUGGAUAUCCAGACUAUUCAUUCUCAUUUCAUUGAAUUCGGAGUUAUUCAGUCUCACAGAAGGCCAAAUUUGGAGUCUGUUAAAAAAACUUUUGUCUCUCGGAACAAAUGCAAAUUCGGUAAUCAAUCUCGAUUUAUAAAUCUCGUCUAAAGCUCAUUUAUUCGGACAAUCGAUAGUUGUUAUGUUAUCCAAUCGGUGUCCAAAUCUGCCCUCUCGAUUGUCGGUCUACGUCCAAAUACUUAAUCUGAAUCCGCAUUGUCCUACAGAAUCUCUGUGUCAACCUCUAAUUAAUUUUUAUGAAAAUCAGCUUGUUAUCUUUAUGUCAUCAUUCAUCUCUAUCUAGCAAGUGUAUUCUAAAGAUUUCUUAAAGUUUGAACCAAAUAUUCGUGUGAAGUUAUAAAUCCUACGCUUGCUUGAGACUGCUCGAUUAAGUAAAAGAAAAUUUAUAAAUUCAACCAAGUUAUGGAAACUUUCCAAAAACACUCUAUAUCAACUCUACAACAAAAGUUAUUAAGGGUUCAUGCAGAGAAAAUGCCAAGAAAAUGUCAAGAAAAUAGUCCCAUUGCCUUAAAAUAUAAUUGAGAGCUUUAUAAUGAUACUACCUUGACCAAAGUGAAACUUUUAUUUAUAUUCAAGAUAUGAGGUUUGACCUUUAAUAAAAGUUGUAGAACCUGUGUAAUACAACAAACUUUAUAUUUAAACCAAGCCUUGAUUCAAUCUCUAAGUAUCCCAAACAGUGCCAUCAAGACAGAAUAAAAAUCUGAUUUCGUGAUUCAAAUUCUUCUAAGUCUGAAAUCAGCGUCGUUCGGGUCGACGUCUCGCGUUCCCAAAUUUUUGUUGAACAACUCAAGUUUUUCCAAAUAUAAAAGUUGUUAAUAACUAAUAGGGGCACAACAUAUUAAAAGAUGGCAUUCAUCCGAUUCCGUUUGACAUGCUUUGACAUUCAGUUUUCACAAGUUUCCACUGAUUUCUAACCGACUGACAAACCAAUUUUCGUGGGUCUAUAACUCUCUAACCAGUGCCCAAAUAACCUCAAGUCUUGUACACGAUUUGUAGAGUAUACAUCAAGAAACAAAUCUUCUGCAGUGAUCUGGGUCCGAAUCCAAACAGAAAACGACAAAAGCGGUCAUCCAAUGCGUGCUCGACAGUGUGCUGCAGGGAGGCAGCGUGAACAGCAAGUCGUCAGUCUGUGACAGUUGCCACCGCCCUUAUCCUCCAAUGGUGGUGAUGCCCGCGGCUUUAUAGGCACACCAUGCUCUUCUCAGCACUCCCACGACCGCACUCGCCCCCUCUCAGCCCUCCUCUCCUCCCCUACCAACCGGUCCCUCCCGAACCACCAUUGUUGUGCUCGCAGCUCCAUGGUCGCGCCUGCUCGAGCUGUUUCUGGCCGGGCUGAGGCCGACACCGAGCAUGGCGGAUGCUGGGGAUGCUGUGGUCCGCGUCCCCUCGCUUUCCUUUGCCACCGGCGAGCCUCUGGCCGGCUAUUUUGCUCUCCCCGUGGAGAUACCUGGAGGUAGAAUAAGGAUGGACCGCGGGCACAAAUUUGACCAAGUGCAGGGGGCUAACUGCGCAUCCCGUGACCCACUUCAAUAGUACCAAAAGGACCCGUUUGCUGGAAUAAAGUCGUGGCCUGUUCCAGGGACUGAAGCGCAAAGGUGAUUUUUCCCUUUUUCCGUUUCUAUUCCAGAUUUUGUGCUGCAACUUUGAAAAUUCAUAGAAAACCGUAGAAAAAUCGUAAAAUGUUAAAUGAGAACUUUUUGGAAUCCUUGUGAAAUUCUCUAUGUCGUGGAUACAUAAGUUGGAAUGUUUUAGUAGAAACUUUUGGCUGUAGAAAUUCAUUUUUGAAAAGAGGUUUAGAAAACAAAUGAACUUGCUUCUCUCCACAGUUUUAAUUUUAAGAAUCCAAAAAUGAUGAAACUUAUUUUGAUAGUUAGAUAAUGUCAUACUCUAGCGAAGAAAAAUAUAAAACACAUAUGGUGUUCACUGUUUUAUUGGUGUGUUAAUUAAAACAUGUUAAAUAGAGAAAAGAAGAUUAAUUUGCUUGUUAUUUUUUGAUCAGUAGCUCGGGUGCUCCAAAUAGGUUGAAAUGUUUACAGUAGACUCUUGGUGUGAUGUUUGGUGACUGGUAAAAAUUUCAUGAAUUGUUGUGCACGUAUGAUUAAGUUAGUGAUUUAACUUGUUUAAUGCACCUUAAGUAGUUUUAAAUGAUUUAAAAAUAAUGUAUAGAUGCAAAAAUGUAAAAUGAUGUUCCACUGUCCUUGCAUGAUAUUAUAGUAGCCUAAUAAAACUUAAUAUGGUCAUGAAUCCACAGAAAAUAAUUAUUUUUAGAUUUAACUUGCUCUCACAUGCUUUAUUGCAUUAACAAUUUGUUAUUUUUGUAUUAAAUAAAAUAUAAAACAUGGACAUGUGAAAUUUAUACAUUUGUCAUGAUUUGUUAUUACCUAUGCCUCAUAAAAAUUCUAGCUCCAAAUUAGAUAGUUUCAUAUGGUACUAAAAUGACACACAUUUUAUAAUUAUAAGAAUAAUUAGUGAAAAAUUAGAAGUAAACAAGGGCAUGCAUGUUUCUUGAAAUGCUUAAGUGCCUUGAUAUAAAUUGAAACUUGAUAACUAAAUCACAAUGACUUAAACUUGAGAAUUUGUGGCACUAUCCCUCCAUGAUUUUGUUUGGUGCUUGAGUUAAGUGCUAUUAUGACCGCAAGCUGAAUUUCCUGCGUGUUCAGUUUUAGUUGUGCGAUUAAUAUAGUUAAGUAAAGUUUAUUUUCUGUAGAUAUGUGCUUUAUAAAAGUUGUAGUUCACUUAUGUAUCUAGAUUGUCCUAAAAAUGCAUGAGCUAAGAAUUGAUUGUUUAGAAGCUAUACUUUUCACAAGUUCAGUAACUGAAUCUGUCCAAAUUCUGAACAGAUUCCAGAGAUUGUAAUGGUUGCUUAAUUUAAUGUUGAAAUCAGUUAUUUAUGGUCACAAUAAAGUUGUAGAUAACUCUAUUAACUUUCUUGUGUUAAAAUUUGACAGUCAUAAGUCUGAUCGUUUAGAAGUUAUGCUUUUCGCAAGUUUAGUAACUGAAUCUGUCCAAUUCUUGUACAGAUUUCAGAGGUCAUAUGUUUUCCUUAAGUUCAGUUUAGAAUCAGUCCUUGUCAAUUAUAAUAAAGUUGUAGAUAAUGUUCUUAUCUUACUUGUGUUAAAUUUUUAUGACAAUAAACCUGAUAGUUUGAGAGUUAUUAAUUGUAUAAGAAGAUUGUUGUAUUCUGUCCACUGUCAGAACAGAUUUAGAAAACUGAAUUGUUUUAUUCAGUUCAGCAUAGAAUCAAUUCUUGGUGAUUAUAAAAGUAUGUAUUGCUUUUGCUAAGCUUUUCAAAAAGUCUUGGAUCACUCUUUUUGAUGAUCUGAAGAUUAAGUUAUGGAUGUUUAAAGUCUGAAGACUGAAUCUGUCCAAUCCUGGACAGGAAAGCCUUCUAGUGUCUUUUGUCCUUAGUUAAAUAUUGAAUCACCUUGAGAUGUUUAUAAAUGAUAUGAAGACAAUUUUAUUACCUUUUCAGAAAGUCCAGGAUCAAUUUGUUUGGAUGUCUGAACCUGUAGUUGUGAAUUUUUGAAGGCAUAAGUCUGAAUCUGCCUAAAUCUGAAUAAAGUUGUUGUUUAUCAUUAUUUAACCUUAUUAAGUGUCUAAUCAUGCUGAGGUAAAAAUAUCAAAGUUGUAGAACACUUUUUAAACUUUCCAGAAAAUCCUAGUUUGAUAAUUUUGAACUAAUAUUUGAAGAGUUAUGAUUAAAACAAAAACUAAUGUGCUGUUGUCCUAAAUGUGUUAGAAGUGAUUGAUUGCUCUACUCUAUUGUGUUUGACUUGAGUGAUUGCUUGCUUGUUUUGGUUUAAGUGAACAUGAGUAAUAAUAAUAAGUGACUAGUAUAAUUGGGGUUAUAUAUAAGUAAGUAGUACACAUCUCACUAAGUUAGUGAACUAAAUUGAUUAAGGUCUAAUAAGUAGCUUAGCUUAAUCAACAGUUAGCAAGUGCAGCUAUAUAUUAGGUAAACAAAAUGAAUAAUGUCUUGUCUUUGGCUUUCUUUUAAUACUACUAAGUAACCAACAUCAUUAAAGUAGUAUAAUAUGUAAUUGUGAUUAAACUAUCUCCUCAUGUGUGUUCUCUGGGAUGUAUGCUUGUAGUAGAAUGAUGUGGAUGAUUAUAAAACCCGAUUAAGUAAAUAUUCCCUAUUGAAGUAAGUUUGUCUGCUUGACGUUUAGGAGUCACAAUGAAUGUACGCGUGCCUAAGUAGUUUCAUAAUAUAAUAACUAAGAAAGGAUAAAGGUGAACGUAGUAAAUGCGUGUACUUGUGAUGUCGUAGUCGUGUUGCGUAAAUAAAUAAAAGGUUGUCGUCUUUUUAUUGGUGUUAAUGUUGAACGCCGAUAACGUGUGGAUAUCUAAUGCUAACGUGUGAUGGUUUACGGUGUCUUCUAAAUUAAUGUUAGUUCGCUAUUGUGUCUUUGUAUAUCUUGUGGUAUUCUUCAUCAUAUUCAUACAUAUGCAUCUUGCAUCUCAUUUAGGACCGAGAGAUGAUGAUCGUCUGAGAUAAAGGACAUGGAGUGGAGCUGACUCCAAGAUGGUGUUGGCAGACACCUUGAAUAUGGACAGACAGAACAAAGGCCAGGAUAGGAGAUGCUCACCAAGCGAGUACCUCCCCCAGCAAACACUAUCUAAGUGUUGAAUUGAAGGCAAGCCCCGGUUUUAUGCAUAACCGUUAUAUAUGCUAUUUUACUACACUUAAUGUUUGUAGGCUUGUACCGUGCACUUAAGUGUAGGAGUUGCCUGAAACCCUAGUUGCAUGAACUCAGGAUUCCUUUUGAGAUGAAUACUAGUAUGCUAGGUCGAGUAGCUGUUAUGCUAAAUCUGGAUCUCGGUAGAAGUCAAGUGAUUUUUCUAGCACUCGCGCGAGGUCAGGAAUUGGUUGUAUCCAUUUUGAUAACAGAAUGAUGAUGGUCUGUGGACACGGAUCCAUAGGGAUGCGUUGUCUAUGAGACAAAAUUGGAAUAAGGAUUAACGUGCGGAUACUUGUGUCAAGCGUUUGAAUGUACUAAACACAUGUCGGGAAAAAUGGUAACCGGUAAACCUAGUACCUGAGUGAAGCCGGGCGCGGACUUUAUCCCUCACGCGACCUGAGACUGGGUCUCCCAUUCUAGAUAUGGUGGGUACAAGUGCGGCCACUACACGACGGUAGUCGAGGUCAGUGGAGCAUUGUAUGCCAAGGCGGUGAGGCCUGGCCGCGAACGGGGAAUCGAUGGGGACGGUUGACAUGUGUGGGGUCGGAGUACCCUCACAUGUCGUGUGUUUAGGUUUACCAUGCAAGGUUAAAACUCGAUUCGAAUCGUCUGCUUCUCGCAGCUAAUGAGACUGCUUGAUCCAUUGUACUGCAUUGAGUAAAAAGUGGAAAUGAGACACUGGCAAAAGAUGUUGAUUGAUAUAAUGUUUGAUACCAUGUAUGAAUAGAUAGGUUCUCAUCUAGUCUAAAAUUAUUAUUCUAGAACUUGAAAAGCUAAAACUUGAUUUUAGACUCAGCUAGUGCUUUUGGCAAACCAAACCCCUCAGCCAAACAGCUGCAUGUCUAGAGGUAGAGGAGUAGACUCCUCACACCGGGUAAGUCUAGCUGAGUAUUAGUAUACUCAGCCUUGCUUGUGGCAUAAUUUUUGUAGGUACCUCCUUGAUUUGGUUGAUGGUGUGACUUGGCCUUCAUCCCUGCCACCGGGAUAGAUGGUCGAGUGGGUUACUGCUUCCGCAGGAGAGGACCAGGAGGAGUAGUGUGGCCAGGCUUCGCCAUGUUACUCGGUUUUCUCCGUUAGUUAUUUCCGCUGCAUUAAAAACUAUUGUUGCUAUUUCUGAAACUCUGAUAAUGUAAUUACUUAUGAUGCUUAUUAAAUUUGUGGUAUUAUGCUUUAUUGUAUUUCUUUGUGCCUCACCUUCGAGUGAGCUAGUGGUAUUCGAUCCUGGAUAAGUGGCUGCCUUUAAUAGUGUGACUUGGGCACUUAAGCUGGAAUAAUUCGUGUGGUUCUGCCACAGUAGUUAGCCUGUACGCGCUGGGGGACGCCUUCGUCUUGACGAUGAAUGGACCCUCCCACUUUGGCUCCAGCUUGCCCCGUGACUCUGUCCGGGUUGUGCGGACGAGUACGAGGUCCCCUUCGUCGAAUUCUCUUGGGACGAAAGCGUGGUCGCGCCAGGCCUUCGUUUGAGCUUGGUAUUUGUUGAGGGCCUGCAGGGCAAAGACACAGUCUCCGUUGAUGAGGUCUUUGGAGGUUGGUUCGUCGACGUCGGGGAUGGCUGAAGCGCUUGUCUGUGGUGACCCAUGCUUUAUUUCCUGCGGGGUCAUGGCCUCCGAUCCAUAUAGUAGGCGAAAGGGAGUGAAUUCGGUCGCCCGGCACUCGGUCAUGUUCAGCGCCCAAACUGCUUCAGGUAGCAGGUCGGCCCAUUUACCCUUCUUGUCAUCGAGAAGCAUUUUCUUGAUGGCGGUGAAGAUCUUGCCAUUGGCGCGCUCGACGACGCCGUUAGAUUGUGGGUGAUAUACUGAGGCGAAGGCAAGCUUGGUGCCAAUGAAGAAGCAGAAGUCCCUGAAGUCCUGGCUGUCAAACUGUUUGCCAUUGUCGACUGUUAGCUCGGACGGGACUCCGAAUCGGCAAACAAUGUUUUGCCAGAAGAAUUUCUGGGCAGUCUUUGACGUUAUUGUGGAUACUGCUCUUGCCUCAAUCCACUUGGUAAAAUACUGGACGACGACGAAGGUGAACUUGAGGUUCCCUUGGGCCAUGGGCAGUGGCCCGACAAUGUCUAGCCCCCACCGUUGAAGUGGCCAUGUGUGGGCGAUCAGCUUUGUGAAUUACGAAGGGUUGCCCGAAUGGAGGGAAAACUUCUGGCUGGCCUCACAUGACCUCGUGACUCUAUUCGCGGUGCAGAUUAUGGCGGGCCAGUAGAAACCUUGACGGAUCACAGGCAGCGAGGGCCCUAGGCCCUGAGUGGGAGCCACAAGUUCCGCUGUGGACUUCGCACAGGAUCUGGAGGCCUUCGGUUUCUGUGACACAUUUGAGCAUGGGUUGACUGAUCCCUUUCUUGUAUAGCUGGCCCUCAAUAAGUGUAAAAUCUCGGCUUCGGUGUUUUAGGCGCUUGGCCUCGUUGACAUCACCUGGAUGGUAAUAUCCUUGCAAGAACAAGGUUAUUGGGGCCCUCCAGUCUUCGGUCAUGAUAAGGUUGAUGAUGCGAUGGCCCUCGGCGUUGUUGGUUAUUUGCAGACCCUCAGGAUUGCGGACGGCUGGUGUGCCGAUGACGUGGUAGAACACGUUGGAGGGCAGGGCUUCGCCUCUGGCUGCUGCCUUGGCUAAUGCGUCGGCCUCUUUGUUCCUUGCGCGGUCCACAUGAUGCAGGGUGAAACCCUUGAAUUGUUUUUCAAGACUGCGAACGGCCGAUAGAUACUGCAUAAGUGCAGGGUCUUUUGCUGAAUAAUUUUUUUCGACCUAGCCAGCAACGACUUUGGAGUCUGUCUUGAUUAUGCAGGUGGUUACGCCGAGUGCUUUCAGCUUGCAAAGGCCCAGGAUAACGGCUUCAUACUCUGCUAUGUUGUUUGUGCACCUAUCGGAUUCUAGAGCGAAGCUAAGGCGUGCUGUGUAUCUGUGCUUGACGCCGGUGGGUGAUGUGAUAAUUGCAGCCACGCCUGCCCCCACAUGGCACCAUGCGCCAUCACAGUGGAUGGUCCACACCUUCUCUGAAGGCUCUUCUUGCUGCCGUGCCGGCCCUGUCCAAUCGACGAUGAAGUCUGCGAGGACUUGCGACUUGAUUGCUGUCCUGGGCUCGAAGGUGAUAUGGUAUUCGGAGAGUUCGGCUGCCCAUUUGGCGAUACGGACGGACGCCUCCGGAUUUCUGAAUAAUUUGCCGAGUCCCUUGUUCGAGGUGACCUGCACCUUGAACGCUUCGAAGUAGUGGUGCAACUUGCGCAAUUCCAUGACGACUACGUAGGCAAUUUUUUCCAACUCCAUCAUGUUGCAUUUGGAAGUCGGGAGGACUUCGGAGACGUAAUAAACUGGACACUGCCGAGUUGUGCCCUCUCUGUCCUGCUCUUGGACCAACGCUGCGCUGACUGCGUGUGGCGAAGCUGCGACGUAGAGCAACAGAGGUAGCGAGGGGUCGGGGCUUGUAAGGGUUGCCAACUCUAACAGGUGCUGCUUGAGUGAUGCGAAGGUUGUUGCUUGCUCUGGUCCCCAUGCGAAGUCUCUUGCGCAGCGUAGCGUCUUGAGGAAAGGUAGGCUUCGCUCUACGGAUUUGGAAAUGAAUCUGUUGAGGGCGGCCAAUCUGCUUGUCAGACGCUGGACGUCUCUGGCUGACUGCGGAGGCGUCAUGUUGAUGAUAGCCUGGAUCUUUGUCGGGUUGGCCUCGAUUCCGCGGUGCGACACCAGGUAGCCUAGUAUUUUCCCCUGGCGAACUCCGAAGACACACUUCUCAGGGUUGAGGCGAAGUCGUGCGUCCCGCAUGUUCAUGAAUGUUUCUGCGAGGUCGGUCAGGUGAUCCUCUUUGUUUUUGCUGGCGACAACGAUGUCGUACACAUACGUGAAAAUGUUUCGGCCUACUUGGCUCUCGAGCACCGUCUUGGUGAGGCGAGAGAAGGUUGACCCAGCGUUCUUUAGUCCCUCCGGCAUUCUGAUGAAGCAAUACGUGUCGAAGGGCGUGAUGAAACUGGUACUGGCCUUGUCUUCCUCCUUCAUGUAUAUUUGGUGGUAGCCGGAGAAACAGUCGAGGAGCGACAUGACUUCGCAUCCGGCUGCACUAUCGACUAUCUUGUCGAUCUGUGGAAGCGGGAAAUUAUCCUUGGGGCAGGCUUUAUUGAGGCUUGUGAAGUCGAUGCACAUCCGCCAUUUGCCACUUUUCAUUUGCACCAUGACUACGUUAGCGAGCCACGUAGGGUAGGCGACUAGUUCGAUGAAAUUAGCCUCAAGCAGGUGGUGUACUUUGGCUUUGGCCGCUUCUGUUUUUUCAUCAGACAUUUUGCGCAGCCUCUGCUUCUUUGGUCGCACCGAAGGGUCAAUGCCCAGACUGUGCUCGAUGAUAGUGCGACUGACUCCGACCAGGUCGAGGGCAGACCAGGCGAAGACGUCCUUAUUUCUAGAAAGAUAGGAGAUGAGUCUCUCCUCGUCUUGCGAAGUCAGGUCUUCGCUUAUGAGGAUGGUUUGCUUGGGCGUGGCUGGGUCAAGGGGGACCGUCUUCGUUUCGUCGUUGCUCUGCAGCUGUGCCUUUUCAAGCUCGUUGACGGUUGGACGGGUGGCCUCGGGAACUUCACGCUGCGUUGUAAGGCAGUGUACAUUCUGUUGCCCUAGAAUGAAGUCUCUUUCAAUGUUGGACGCAGUCUGCUGGUUGCCAUAGUCUGAGAUCACGCCUUGCGGACCCGGGAUUUUCAUGCAAAGGUAAAGUCCGUGAAUGGCCGCUUCAAACUUAUUGAUGGAGCCCCGACCCAUUAUGGCGUUGUACGGGUAUACCAUGUCGACAAUGUCAAAGGUGACCUGCUCACUUCGUGCAUUGGGUGCUACGCCGAAGGACAAGGGUAGCUCUAUCUUGCCCACAGGGAAGGUGCCCUUGCCGCCGAAGCCAUACAGGGGAUUGUCCGACGGCUUAAGUAAGCUAUGGCUGAUGCCCAUGCGGUCGAAGGCAUGGAGGAACAUGAUGUCCGCCUGGCUGCCGUUGUCAACCAAGACUUUGUGCAGGUCCCAGCCUGCCACACUGCAGUUGAUUACCAUGGCGUCAAUGUGGGGUGCGCUGCGCAGGUCAACAUCUCAGGCGUCGAAGGUCAGCGGCACAUGGGACCACUUCGUUUGCACGACUAGACCGGUGAUGGCGACGUGGUUGAUGCUUCGGUAGUGGUCCCUCUUCUGUCGCUUCUUGUCGAAGUCGACGCUGGACCCCCUAGUGAUCGUGUGAAUAACUCCGCAAUACGGCUGAUCGGCGAAGUCUUCCUGUUUUGGUGCUUGGGGGUGAUUUGGGUGGUGGAUGUUUGGCUGAUGCGGGUGCGGAGGCGGGAGUGGGGGUGGUACGACUUGUACCUCCUGGUGGUGCUGGUAUGCAUGGUUAGGUGGGUGCUGAGCGGGGCCGUGGUUGUAUGGUUGUGGGAGGUGGUGUUGAUAUGUAUGCGCGAUAACUCUUUGGUUGUCGGCGGGUUGUGCCCGAGACAUCCUGUCCCUGGUAGCCUUCGUUUCCGGGCAGUCCCUCGUUGGGUGCGCGCAGUCUUCGCCGUGAAACAGGCAGUAAAAUCUGCGCGGCUGCUGCGCUCGUCCUCGGCCCCGACCACGAGUGCCAUUGCCGCGGCCCUGGGAAGAUAUUCUUGACGGCGGGGGGCCUCGCCGGCGGGGUGCUGGUUGGCAAUGUUAUGCACCUGCUGCUGACUGCGGCUGUCCCGACCGGAGUCUGACUGCGAAGGUCUUGUCCAUGUUCGGCUGGACUGCGGAGGGUCCUUGGGUUUCCUCUGGGACUCGACCUUGCGCUGGUGGAGCUCUUUGGAUCUGGCAUACUUUUCAAACAGCUGAUAGAGCUCUUGGAGGUUCUUGGGUGGGUCCCUGAUGCAGUGACUGUAAAGGACGCCAGCCCGAAGGCCACUGAUGGCGUAGCGAAUGGCAAUCUGGUCGUCGACCGAAGGCAGUUGUGACUUGAGAGUCAAGAACUUGCGAUAGUACUCUUGAAGGGUUUCUUUCUCUUGCUGCUUGCAGAGCGACAGUUUGGCCAAGGCGUCAGUGUCUGGGCGGUACCCUUGGAAGUUAAGCAGAAACUUGUCCCGGAGACUUCUCCAAGAGUCGAUGGACAGCGGGGGCAACCUGGUGUACCAGGUCAAGGCCGGACCCUCGAGGGCAAUGAUGAAGGACUUGGCCAUCGUGACGUCGUCCCCUCCGGAUGAUGCGACAGUGACUUGAUAGCUCAUGAUGUACUAUGAUGGGUCUGUGCUACCGUUGUACUUGGGGUAUGCCCCUACCCUGAAGUUAGUAGGCCAUGGUGACACUUGUAGUUGCGGCGCCAGGGGGCUCCGCUCGUCAAGGUAGUUGAUGCCUUGGAAUGCUGCGGCGUGCGGGACGAAGGGUCUGUGCUGAGGAAUGAAUAGGUCUCCGACUGGCGCGCGCUGUUGGAGGGGUGGGCCAUGUUGUAGAUCAUGUUGGCCUUCGCGCUGCAUGAGUGCAAUCUCUUGCUCGAGCUCUUGAGCCCUCUGCUCCUCAUCUCGUAUCAUCUGGCGUAUCUUGGCCUGCGCAGAGACACGUUGGCGCUUGGCCUCGAGGAUUUCUUUCUGUUUCUGGAGGUUGCGGUUCUUGAUGCGCAGGGCCCGCAGCUGUAGCUGUUCCUCGGCUGGGAUGCCGAUGAUUUUGCCGUCCUCUGUGGCGUCCUCGCCCUCUAUUGGAGCGAAGCCUGGGGGUGGUUCUUGUGGCUGUCCCCUGGAGCUGCAGGUGCGAAGGGUGCCUUCGGGAGUUGGUUGAUCGUUGCGCUGCCUCUUGCUGAGUGCGUCGUCUUCGCAGACUUCCUGGUGGGUGGUGUCUGCAAAGGCCUUGCCCUUCUUCUCGGCUAGCAGUGCUGCCUUCGCUGCUUCGUCAAUGGAUGGGGCUGCCUUCGAGCUAGCUCUCUUGGGUGCCAUCGCGGGUGGUUUGAUCGUAGCACGAACGGUGGGCGCCAAAUGUUGGAACUUGCUCUCCUGGGCAAGAUGAUCCAACGGGGGGAGUGAAAGGAAUGCAGACAAGGUUUAAUUCAAGAUGGCAAUUGCUCUCCUAAUCCAGCCUCUCAAGGGCACAGUACGGGGGUAUUUAUAGGUGCCCGGGUGCCCAACGUCCUGAUGUAAGGACGUUUAUGCUCUCAGGCAACUGGAUUAUCCCUAGAAUAUUCCCCUAAUGGAGGGUUACAAACUGUCAUUACAGAAAAGUCAUUACAAAUUGGGCCCGUAACACGCUUCUCCCACUCGGGGCCUGUUACGAUGGGCCACCAUCCCACGUGGGCCUCCAGGCUGGACGAGGACGUGGGAUGGCGGAACUUCGUCGCGGGCCUUCGUCUUGAGGAGAGAAGGACGAAGGGUGGCCUGCGCCGGUCAUCUAGCUUCCGUUGGUGCGUCGAGGUGACGAGGGCCUCGUGCGAAGGGUAGCGUCUUUGCCUUCGCCCCAACAACCAUUCCUCCAUCCAGGCUCCGGGCCACCUUUUCUGGAAUGUUGGCACCGGAUAGCUUGCGUUGGGGCGGGCGGUAAAUCCAUAGUAGCUAAAGUUGUUAUGAUAUUGUUCCUUGACCAUGGCCUUCGUCUCAUACACAAGUUCAUGCAUGCUGCAAAAGCAUUUCGCACUUGGCUCUAGCCCCUGGCUCCUCACAGCCCAAACAAAGAUCCCCAUUCUAAUAAUAGCUUCGGGGGUUAUCUGAUGAAGGUAAAUCUGAUAAAUUUUCAGCACUUCGACCACAAACCUGCUCAAUGGAAACCGAAGCCCAGCUUUGAAGAAACUUCGGUAAAUCACAACUUCGUCUUCCUCAGGGGCAGGGACAGUGUUGUCUCCACCAACUCUCACAAUAGACAUAUCUUGAAAGUACCUUCCUCUCAUAUUGUCAAGAUGACUCUGCUUAAUUAUCGAUUUCCCAAAAAUUGUAUGACUUGGCCUCCACAGCCAAUCCUCAGAAUCUUCUCCUCCGCUUUCAGCAUCAUAAUCAUCACUUUCACCGGUAUCUUCAGACAGGCCUUCUAGGAUCUCCUUAGUAAUCUUCUCUGUAUUUGAUUUUGACAUUGACUCGAUAAACCCAGCUAUGUAAGGAUUUGCAGCCUUCUUCUCUUCAAAGAGCUUCUCCUCUUCAGUCAGCUUCGUCUCAACAAACCUUCUUGUCUUGAGACAUUUUUCUUCAAAAAUGACAAAAAUGUGUCUUUCAAACCGAAGCUUAAGAAGCUUGAGAAACUAGCAAGCGUUAGUGAGCAAGAGCUAUAAAAUUGAGAAAGCAAAGCAAAUGGCACAAGCAGCAUACCAAAUGUGGUUGGUGCGAGUUCUUAUUUAUACGGUUCGCACGCCCCAAAUUGGAGGGUCAUGUCUGUCAUUGACUGUUGCUAUUCUAGCAAAGGGAAGGUGUUUUUUCGGACCUUCGGCUUAAGGCCUUCGUCCAUGUCGCAGUCUAAAUUCGUUAUCUUAAACAAAUUAAUACUACGAGGGGCUACUGUUGGGGGCCUUCGUCCUCCGAAGGUCCUCAAAAAACGUAUUUUAACAAUGUCUUCCAAGCAUGGUUUAUAGACAGGUACCUUCGGAUUCAGGAUUAAAAGCAUAUACGAUGAGAAGGGCAUGAUCGUGACGAAGGUUGUCGUUGCUCUAAAGCUAUGCGCAAGGGAGCUUCGGCUCAAUCGCGGGAAAAGGAACCGACUUAAAGGGGAAAAGGCUAUUCAGUCCUCAUAGAUUUUUCUAUAAGUCAAUAGUAAAUGUAAAGGGCAUGACUGUAAUUUCUCACAGGCUAUGUCCUGUGCCUAUAAAUAGAUGAACAGUACCCUCAUAUUGUUCACGCUGACUGGUACUCGCUCGUGCGUCAUACUUGUACUUUACCUUUUGUCAAGUCGAAGGUACAUUUGUAAUUGAGUAUUGUUUUUAUUUUUCCAUAGUAAUAAAAUGAGAAUGAAUUGACAAUGCUAUACGAUUAUUCGUGUUAUCCCUUAUAUUUCAUAUGUUUCUCCUUUUAUUAACAUAUACUGUGAUCAUGAAGGUAUGUCCUUCAUGACCUUCGUCUAAAGAUCAUUAUAUCCAAAGAAAAAUAAUUCUCUAAAGGACGAAGGGCAUUUACAUUUAACAUUUUGUGUUGCCUUGUUCUUAAUCCAUAGCACUUGAGAACAAGUCCCCAACAGAAAUACUCCUUUCUUCAUGGUCUUUGGUUCGGAGGCAGUGCUACCUGCUGAUCUCAGGUUUGGGGCACCAAGGUUGGUCUUCGAAAGCAUAGCUGAAGCAGAGGCUACCAGAUUAGAGGACAUUGACGUAUUGGAGGAAGAGCGAUUGAAUACAGUAAUUUAGUCAGCUAGAUACCAGCAAACCCUGAGGCGCUAUCAUGAUAAGGCCAUACGUCAUUGAUCCUUUGUAGUGGGAGACUUGGUCUUUCGCCGAAUUCUAACGGGGGAAGGACGACACAAAUUGUCACCACUAUGGGAAGGGCCAUUUGUAGUAGUAGAGGUCACUUGGCCAGGAUCAUAUAGGCUUACUCAAAUGCAUGGCACGGAAAUAGGGAAUUCAUGGAAUAUAGAACAUCUCAGGAAGUUUUACCCUUAGCAAGAUUUCAAAAGCUAUAGAGGGAGCAUUGUAUUCUGUAAUUGGUAAAUACCUCAUCAAUAAAAUAUUUCGUUCUCAAGGGCACUCGAACUAUUUAUUAUCAAUUAGCAUGCUUACUCGACUUAAGGUGACCACUAUACCCUACUAACGGAGCAAUCGGCUUAAGUCGGCAAUGACUUAAGACGGUGCAACAUGCUCACGCUUACUCGACUUAGGGUGACCACUAUACCCUACUAACGAAGCAAUCGGCUUAAGUUAGCAGUGACUUAAGACGGUACAACAUGCUUACGCUUACUCGACUUAGGGUGACCACUAUACCCUACUAACGGAGCAAUCGGCUUAAGUCGGCAGUGACUUAAGACGGUGCAACAUGCUCACGCUUACUCGACUUAGGGUGACCACUAUACCCUACUAACGGAGCAAUCGUCUUAAGUCGGCAAUGACUUAAGACGGUGCAACAUGCUCACGCUUACUCGACUUAGUGUAACGUGCUCACGUUUACUCAUCUUAGGGCGAUAUCUAUGCCUUACUAACCGAUCAAUUAGCAUAAAUUAGAAAAAGAUUCCAAAACCAGCACACUGCACUUACUUCUACGAUCAUUCAUAACAACUGUUGAAUUCUAACAAUAGAAAGAAAACGUUAUGGUUUUUCAGCUGAGUAUCUUCUAAACACAGCGAAACAUCUCUACUUGGUAAUGUCUUUCGCAGGAGCUAUCGAGGAGGAAGGACGACUCGAAGCAUCAGGCGGAGCCUUAACGUCCGCCACAAUGUCAUCAGGAACAACUACACCAGGCCUUCUCAUCAAGAUUCAUCCCGCGUGAAUGGCUUUAUCCAUAGCCUUGUCUCGUUGGGUCUUCAAAAUAGCGCAGUUGUCCUCUACAACCUUGGCAGCCAGUCGAGCGGCCUCUAGCUCCUAGGCGACUGAUCUCUUGGAGGCACGUAGAUCCUAAUGACAGAGUCCUUGCUUGACACCAGCUGCCUGAGCCGCAGGAUCUCAUCCUAGGAUACUUGCAGUUCAUGGUGAUGAUGAUCCAGAUCUGCCAUGGUGAAGCAGUGGCUCCUCUCCAAGAUCGUUAGAGAAUUACUAGCAUCACGAUAUAACCCAUCCAGAUUGUCGCAAGAAGCUGCAGGUGCUCGUUUCUCCUCCUGCGGACAAGAAUCAACCCUCAAAUAUCCAGAAAUCAGUAAAAGCACAGCAGAUCCAAUUAAGUAAGCUUACCUUGUUAACCGCCCUUUCAGAGUGAAGCUGAGCAUUAAGAGAGGAAUUCAAGGAAUUCGCGUCGUCUAAAGAAGCAGAAACCCGGACCAGGUCGAUCUGACCUUGGGAAUAUCUCUCCUCAAGCUCAGAAUACUGUCGGGUUGAGUCGGUUUGAUGUUGAAGAUAUCUCUCCUCAAGCUCAGAAUACCGUCGAGUUGAGUCAGUUUGAUACUGAAGAUGUUUCUCCUUGAGCUCAGAGUAUCUCCGGGCCAUAUCUGACAAAAAGCAAUCGAAGAAAGAUACAUAGUCAAAAAACAAAUUAAUCAAUCAGCUAAUAAAAAAGCAAAGGUACCAACCAGCAUUUGACGCUUUCAAAUCAGCUGUCGCUAAAGCAGCAAUGGAUUCCACUGCGUCAGAGACAGAACUCCUUCUAGAACAGCAGCGCCAUGUGAUCUCAGUUGAGCAGACAUCCCAUCAACCAAAGCCUAUUAUAAAAGACAAGUGAGUACAAAGAAAGUAAUUUACCAGGAGGAAUGACAGAAUGAAAAAAAGCUAAUUUACCUGAAGAUUAGAAAAGAAUGAAGGCAAUCCCAAGUCAUGAGAGGUUGUGUUAUAACUCGACGAAGGAAGAUCAACUGGGACAAUCUAAAAGCAUCAUCGAGGGUUGAUUCAGCUCCUCCAGCAGAUAUCAGAAUUUUGUCAUCCGGUGCGCCGACCUCUAAGGUGACUCCCUCACUUGAAGCUAAAGAAGUAUGCAUCACUAUCAUUCCAUCAGAAUGUGGUGGAGAUGACCCGAUGUGGACAUCCAUGGAGGUAUGGGAAGUAGAUCUCGCUAGGGCACCCUCGAGGCUGGGUUGCAGCUCGCACUGCCCAUCGGAGCCGGAUCGCUACUGGCAACACCCUCGGGGGCUGGACUAUAGCUUGUGUUACCCACCUGAGUCGGAUCAUCACCGGCAACACCCUCAGGGGCUGGGUAACUGCCAACACCACCCUUGAGGACUGGGUUUUCUGCAACAGCCACCUCUAAGGCUGAAGGAUCCUCAAUCACCUCCAUGGGAGUCGGGCAAUCUUGACCAACCUCUUGACACUGAAGACCGCCCUCCAAGGUCGACGACGCACGAGAUGCUGCUCGGGAUACCUCCAAUCCCACAUCUAGAAUGUCAAAACAAACAUCCAUCAUAUCACCAUCAGUCGACUCUGACAGCAUAUCCUCAUGAAUGACAUCCUCAAGGGUCUGAUCAAAAUCUGUUAUAGAUAAAUCUUGAAGGCUAACAAGAGCAGACAUGGCUGGAGAAGGAAUAUCACUAUCUCCUUUACUACCUUUGUAGAGUCGGCUAUUCUUGCGAAUUAAUGGAAACUCUUCUUCUUCAUUGUCCUCAUCAAAAAUGCGGACAAAAGAUGGUGCAGAAUCACACCCAUUGGGCUCAGCUGCAAUAGGAUUACACCAAUUGGGUUCAAAUUCAGCAGGGUUGCACCCAUUAGGGUCAGUCAGUGCAGGUACACCACCAGUGGGAUCAACUCCAGUAAAGACCUCUGCCGGUACUUCUUCAGCAACAGGAGCAGAAGGGCCAGCACCCUGGUCCAAGCAUGACAAUCGUCGAAGCCGUCUCCUUUUCUUCAUCUUUUCUUCAGCAGGCGCAGCCGGACGACUGACCUAGCGACGAUGCUUUGGGCGAGUACCCUCAGGCUUUUGGGCGUCUGUUGCUUUGUCAAGCUCUGGUAUAGCGGCAACAGCCAUUGUUUUAGUAGGGCCCGAGUCAGAUGAUUCUCCAGCCAACAUGUCAAGCAUUGCAUUCAUUUCUGCAUCAUCUGGACUCAUUAGCAUCUCAAAAUGAACUUGCCUCUCAUCAUUUGGAAGAUCACAAAGAUAAGCAACUAAGACCUCAAUAUCUUCGGGAGAGGGUCGCACUCUAAGACCCAGGACACUAUCACCAGCAGGAGGAUUAGACACAAAAUUGAAAAAGGACUUAGGAGGUGGCAGAUUCCAAGCAGAGUAGGCAACAGGAGCACCAACAUUUGAUACUUUGCCUCUCAAGAUCAUGUCUAGCCAGCUCACCAAAUCCUUAGCAGGAAUUCUCCUAUUGGUAACCCGAGUGGAGUCAGUAACACCACUGUACAAGUAAGCCGGGUAUGCUCUGUCCUUUAGGGGUUGGAUGUUCUUAAAAACAAAAUCAGCAACCACAACUUCGGUGGUCAGACCUCUUUCCUUCAGCAGAUAGACUUCAGCAAGCAGAACCUUAGCCUCUGUUACUUCCAGGGCAGUGGGAGACUCAAUCCAACUUGGAGUGCACACAUCUGGCUAUCUUCCCGACUGGGGGGGAGGGACUUGCCGUGGUUUUCCACAAUAAACCAUUCAAGACGCCACCCCUUAAUGUUGUCCUUAAGCGGAAUAUCAAGAUAUUCCAUUUUCCUUUCGUGCCGCAUUUCCAGACUCGCACCACCCACGAGUUGGUGCUGACCCCCAACCAUCCCAGGUCGAUAAUGGUACAGAUACUUCCAUAAACCAAAUUGGGGAAGAACUUCGAGGUAGGCCUUGCACAGGUGAACAAAGAUAGAGAUUUGCAUAAUGGAAUUGGGAUUCAGAUGAGUUAGGUUCAGAUUGUAAAAUUCAAGGAGGCCACGGAAGAAGGGAGAAAUGGGAAGAGCAAGGCUGCAGACAAGAAAUGGAACAUAAACAACGGACUCAUGGGUAUCCUUUGUUGGGACAGUAACCCCACAGCAAAUCCGUCAAGGACAAAGCUCUUUCGAAGGAAGAAUUCCUACAUCAACAUGAAGGAGAUCCGAUUCCGUGACAACAGACAUGUGGUUACCUGUGAAAGGCAACUGGCUAUUGGGGUCGAUGGGAGGAAUGACCACUGCAGCAGAAUUUUGGUUCUUCUGCUUGGGCACCAUCGCAAUCUCGUUAGCGGAUUGAAGGGAAGCAAAAUCAGAGGGAAGCAGAGUAAUAUUUGGAGGCAGAAAGGUGAAGUUAGGGCUCAGAAUGCAGAGGCGUGCGGCGACGUGAUAUAAAUGGGGUUUCCCCGGGUCAGACACCGUUUCUAAAAAGUGCCAAGUCAUCACUCGAAAAAAGCAAGACGUCCUCGCAUAACUCGGCAGCUACCUCUAAAUCGCCGAUGUGGCUCAGCAUAACUCGGCAGCUACCUCUAAAGCGCCGACGUGGCUCAGAAUAACUCGGCAGCUACCUCUAAAGCGCCGAUAUGGCCCAGCAUAACUCGGCGGCUAUUUCUAAAGCACUGAUGUGGCCUAGCCUAACUCGGUUGUUACCUCUAAAGCGCCGAUGUGGCCCAAUAUAACUCGGCCGUUACUUCUAAAACGCCCACAUGGUCUAGAGCAGCUCGACAGUUAUCUCUAAAAAAUGUCGGCAAUGCAUAACUCAGCUGUUUUCUCCAUGUAAACGCCAGCAGAACCAAAUGCGACUCAGCAAUUACCAGUCAUUACUCGGGUGUUACCUCUAAGAACAACGGCAAUGCUGGGAAUGAAUACAAGCUAUCGAUUGACUAUAAAAGAGCGAUGGAAAAACAAAGAUGAGAUACUCAGAACAAGUCGAAAUUUUCUUCAAUAUAUUGAUAAGGGAAGUCCUUCCACAAACUCAAAGACCAACUCAUUAUGAGUCGACCUUUCUUCCUUUUUAUGCUACAUUACACUACUUACACUACUCUAUACUACUAACUACUACUACAUUAUUUCACUAUUACUAAUACUACUUCUACUACUACUUAUCUAUACUAAUAUUUAAGCCAGCGGCGCUUUGCCGCUGGCCCUGCCGCUGCCGCCGUCAUCCUUGUCGCUGCCGCCGUCGCCCUUGUCGUUGCCGCCGCCGCCCUUGUCUCCACCGUCGCCCUCGUCAUCGUCGUCGCCACCGCUCCCCUCCUUGGACGAGUCGGAGGAGUCCUCCUCGUCCGAGGAGAUCUCCGACUCAUCCGAGCCCUCGAGCCCGGAGCGCUCGACGGCCUGGAUGUACGUCCACACCUCGGUCGCGAUCCCCUAGGAAUCGUCCGAGUCAUCGGACGACACCGGGGGAGAGGCGUAGGCUGGCCACCCCUCAGACUCAGAGGAGAACUCCUCCUCCGAGUACUCGGAGUCACCGAAGUCCUCGAAGGGGGGACUCGGCUCACGCUUCCGCUUGUCGCCGGAGUGAUGCGAUGAACUUCUGCCUUUCUUGCUCUUGCCCAUGGUGGAGUAGAAGAGAAGAGAAAAGAGGAGAAUAAGCAACAAAUGGCCGAGAGAUGUGUGAAGACACCAGUGAAGCAAGCGCUCUAUUUAUAGGGGCGGGAGGCAACCGCUCAUCUCCUACCACGGUCACUGAACAGUCACAAAUAUUCAAUAUGCAAUUCAAAUCGUCUGGAAACAAGUCAGACGACAGACGCCGUUUCACGUAACACGACACCCAUUGGGACUGAAGUCAACUGCUUGGACGAUAUGAUUACACCCCGCGGUCACAUCAAGUUACUACUCAGGGGCAGUUUGCUAAACGCUCAGCGCACCAAGUCGUCCCUUGGCUACACCCAUUGGGGGACGUCUAGGAAUUUUCAAUAGAUUUUCCCAAGCAGUCGCAUCCAUACAGUAUACGCAAUGAAUGUAUCAAGACAGAAGGAAGAUAUCGAUAGAGAUCGGAGGAAAGCCAAAAAUAGCUGCUGAAGUACAAGUCUAAUCAACAAAAGCAUUGAAGCACGAAGCGAAAUGAAGACCAGCCAAAGAGCCAUCUACCGGACGUCCAAUUUGUCGCCGAUCAAAUAAAUUUCAAACCUAACAGGACAUGAGUAGACCGCAUUACUGAUCUCAAAGGCAAAACCAUAUGCUGAUCUCUAAAGCAUAAAGCUGAUGAUAUAAUACUGAAUUCUAAGGCAUUCGACGAAGAUAAAAUGAUGAUUUCUAAAAGCAUGAGAUGAAGACCUUUGAGUAGAUUAUUUUCAGUAAUCCACUCAAAGCUCGGGGGCUACACCCAUUUGGUGCACCUUCGGUGCACCCAAUGAAUCAUUAAUCCUAGAGGACAGAAUGCUGAUCUCUAAAGCAUGAACUGAUGAUGAAAUGCUAAUUUCUAAAGCAUAAGACAAAGAUGAACCAACGACUUCUAAAAGGCAGGAAAUGAAGACCUUUGAGUGGAUUAUCUUCAGUAAUCCACUCAAAGCUCGGGGGCUACACCCAUUGGGUGCACCUUCAGUGCACCCAAUGAAUCUUUAACCUCCAAAAAUGAAGUGAUGAUCUCUAAAGCAUAAGCUGACCGAUCAAAGCUUAGAAGCAACGACCUGACAAGCGUAUUGUCAAAGCAUCCACAUUUUAAAAAUCAAAACUACAAGCUGGACCUAGAAUCUUUGGGUCGAUUAUUUAAAAAUCAACUCAAAGAUUGGGGGCUUGUGGGGGACAGAUAUCCCCCGGUCCACUAGAAGGCUAGAAGACCUCGUGAAAGGCUUUGGGCCCAUUGUUUCGCAAGGCCAUCCCUUCGUGGACUUGGGGAGGAAUGUCUGGCAGAGUGGAUCGACACAAGAUUGGAUCAACUCGAGCCCAGGCGGCCCGAUGAAUUUAAGCAUUAUCCACAGUAGUGAUCCGAUUCUCCCGCGCUGCGCCCUCAAGCGUCGGAACUAAAUGAUGAUAAGUCGGCAGAAUUAUAGGAAGAUAAGCUCAGUCGGUUCACUAUUACUUAGGCACACGUUGUUAUCAUAUCCGCAUGUAACACCCCAUGGUCGAGUAUAUAAGGCCUAGGGGGCACCCCCUCAGACGACAACUCACUCAUUAGCCGUCUACUCAGCUCUCUAGCAUCUUCCAUACUAGAGAACUCCCCUGUAACCCACCACAUAAAAGAUCCACACCAGGAAGUAGGGUGUUACGCCUGUCUAAGCGGCUCGAACCUGUAUAAAAUUGUCCACUGUCUCUCGUGCACCUAGCACGAACCAUCGAGCUAUAGUCGGUAACACUGUCCUACUCCAAAAAGCACCUCGAGGGGCAACCCCGGGUGCACAGUCGGAUCCAAAACACCGACAGGCCCCGCACUGUCAACACAUGUUGUUCACGCGCCCACGCCAGCCUGAUGACACCCCUGUAACACCAUAAAAGCCAUCAACUAAAAAUAAUAAAUUUGGUUAUUAUGUUAAAUAUGGUAAUAAUUUUUUAAGUGUUUAAUUAUUUAUUUGCACUUUGAAUCAUUUUCUUUGUAUGCGCAUCGGAUGUUUUAUAGCAAUGCUUCUUAAAAGAAAUCCUUGUAAUUAAUAUGAUAAUUAAAUAAUUAUUAGUAUAAAAAUAAAUAUUGUAUUUAUAAAUAAUUUUGGUGAAUUUCUGAGAAUUUUUGAGUUAUCUAAAAAUGUAUUUCGAAAUCAAAAAAGAGAAAAAAAACAAAAACCCACCUAACCUAACCGGCCCACCAGGGCCCAUCUAAACUUUCCUACACGCGCGCGCGCCUGGAGCCAGCAGCCGCCUCCGCCAGCCUAUCUCCCUCCCCUAUCUCUCUUCUCUCUCUCCUCCCUGCUCUCUCUGCACGCCGUCGCGGCCCCACGACUCCCGACCCUGCCCUGCACCAGCCCGCGAUGCGCCCCGCGACUCCGCCAAGCGAGCCCCUACGCCACCCCGGACGCGACCCCGACCGAAGCCGCGCCCGACCCGAUGUUCCGACCGCGCGUCCGAAGCCCCGCGCGUCCGUUCGUUCCUCGCCGUUAAUGGAGCGUCAACUCCUCCGUUUCUUCCUCCUCCCAUUAUUUCUCUCUUUGGUAACCACCGACGCAUUGACGGCAUUUGAAGACCGACGACACCCUCAUGAACUCCCUGGCCAACUCUCCCUCUCCCCUCCCUCUCUCUGUAAAAGGGCAGCCGAGCUCUCUCUCCAGUCUCCCCUACCCGAGCUCGCCCUUCUCUCUAGCUCUCCUCGCUCUCCAUCGCUAGUGCACUGCUCGUCGCCGGAGGUUGCCGUUUGUCGCCGGAGUUCGCCGGAGUUCACUGGAGCUCGUCGUUCAUCGUCGGAGCCACGCACCCGCCAUCCGAAGACCGAACCCUGCUCUUCUCCAUCCGGGCGAAACCCCGUCGAACCGUCCCCGUCACACGCACGAACCCAAGGUUGAAGACGACCCAAAUUAAUUUGUGUAUUUUAUAAAAUACAUUUGAUUUGAUUCAUGAAUUGUAUAUAUAUGUUGUUGCAAUAUGAACAUGUGUGAUCCGCAAUUCAUGUGUAUGUGCGUUAUGGAAUUUUUGGUAAAGAUAUGCGAUUAUUAGUGCACCGUGAUAAUUCAUGUUAGUCGAUGCGAUGAUUUUUGGAUUAGAGAAAUAUGACGAGAAUUUAGUAGUCACACAUUGGUGAUAAAAACACUAGAUAGGAAAUUUUGUAGUUAAAAUUUGGUCACACUGAACUUUAGAAACUAUUUGGCUAAUUAUAGUCAUAGAUUCAUUUUAAUGGAUUUAGAAAAUAGCAUAGAAUUCAUGUCAUAUAAGCAAUAUAGGAUUUUAAAUGAUUUAGCUCCGAUUAUUUUAUUAUUAUUUUCUUUUAGAAAGAAAGGAGAAAAUAUCACCGGUAGUAUGGAAAAUAGAUUUUUACUAGCCAAAUAAACAUGUUCGCAAGUAUAGCGCUUAAAUUCUUAGAGUUAGUAAAAUACCUGUUUAGGUCAAAUAAACCUCGCUUAUGUUAUAAAAAGUCCAAUUAGUAAUUUAUAUGGAUUUUUAGAAUAUUAAUAUUAAUAGAUUCAUUUUUAGCCAUACUCAACAAUUCAAGUUAAGGAUAAAAAGAAUAAAAACUACUAGUCUAUUUAUUAGUAUUAAAGACAAUAACUACCAUUUAUUUUCAUUAAGGAUGUUAAUACGUAUUAAUACUAGUUAAAACUAUAUUUAUAGCACCCACCCAUAAAUUCACCAUUUAGGACUCACAAUAAUAACUAUAAUUGAAUUAAUAAGUAUUUACGUGUUUAGGACGUAUUUAAGGUGUGAUAAGUGUGAUAUGUUAAUGUGUAUGUAAUGGUGUAUGUUUAUGUAAUGGUGCGUGUUUAUUUAUUGGUGUAUAUUUUAUUUUUGUAUGUGUGAUGUGCGACUCUAUUAGAAGCCGACUGUGUGGUAGAGGAUUCGAAUACGUUCGAAGACGAACCACAUGACACUUUUGAGCAAGGCAAGUGGAUUCUCCCUCUGCAUAUUCUUUUUGUACCCAAUCAUUGCAUAAAAUAAUGUUUACUUUUUAAUAUACUGCAUAAUUUGAUGGGUUUUACCUAAUUAAGGAUUUCCUAGAUUUACCAACUAUAUUCCUUGUUUACCCUGGGAAAAUUAUUAAGCUUUGCAAACUUGUGCUACCGCUCCACUUAAUAACUUUUAUGUCACUCAUUAAUCGAUAUUAAUGUUCCGAUAAUGAAAUUGGCAAUUAUGACAUUAACCCGAUGGUUAAAACAACAUUAUUUUAUAUUAAUUGGAACAUGGAGUGACCACCCAGGAUAACAGUGCAACCACGAGUGCUAUCAUGGCUCUAGCUUUGGUAAUUAGCUUUAUAUGGUUAGUGUCUGGCAACCUUACCUGAAAUAUGGGCAAGAGGGGGAGCGGUAGGUGUUGGCAGCCCACGUUAACAUGGGGACGUAUUCUUUGCUAAGGUACCUCGCCCAGGGGCCACCACCAUCGUAUUUAGAAACCUUAGCGGGUUGCUUCGUAUUAAGUGUAUUUUGUGAAAGCCUCAUAAUGGAUCCCUAGACAUUCACCUCGGCAAUGUUUAAGGGUCCGAUCAACCCGGGCUAGAUGGGAUACAUGGCUUGUGGGUAAAGUUGUACCACCUCUGCAGAGUGUAAAACUGAUAUAUCAGCCGUGCUCCCGGUUAUGAGCGGCCUGGACUCCUCACAUGAUAAUUGAACUUGAAGAUGGAAAUAAACUGAGAUCCGAUGAUCUGCCAAUUGUUCGCUUAAGUGGUUUCACUUAAGUGUUUUUGUUAUACUCAUAUUCCUUUGUUUAAUUGGGAUACUUGGGAUUCACACUUAUUAGUAAGACAGGUGUUGUUACUAAAAUGUUGACCAACUAAAAUGCUUACUGCUCAACCUUAGCCUCACCUUGUUAUACCUGCAUUAAUUUUUCCCCCACUUGCUGAGCCCCAACCAUAAGUGAGCUCACCCUUGCUAAUAUUUUGAUCAGAGGGUGAUGCUGGAGACUUUGAUGGAGAUUUUGACGACGAUGAAUUCUAAGUCUAACGAUACACCGGUCAUCUUCCUGUGGGAGAUUGCCCCUGUUAUUUAAAUUCCACUUUACUUUGAUGUGAUACCUGUUAAAGAUACAAUGAUUCAGAUGAUGUAAUAAAGUAUUCUACUCUCUUUACGCCUUUAUUGCAUUGUCUUUUGAUAUAUUACACUUGUGACGUCAACAUAUGUGUGGAAAUGGAUCUUGGCACACAUAUGGUAUGCGCUCGGUUCUACCCCCUGGAACCGGAUGUGACAGAAGUGGUAUCAAAGCUAUGAUGACCCUAGGUCGUUAGACUAGUUAGAAAUGGAAAGCCUAGUUAUUCAAAACUUGCUAAUUUCAUUCUUAUAACUUAUUUUAUCAGCCUUACAUCUUUAAAAUUUCAACUGAGUUGACUCUUCUCUUGUAGAUGGUUCGUACUCUCCAAACUACCCGCAUCAACACCAACUACGUCCCUCUGCCCCGGCAAAUCCCUGUCUACCCAGUGGUAGUCGAGGAAGUUCCGAUGGAUCUCCCUCACAUUCGAGUGGAGAAUGGAGUCAUCCUGAAGGACAGCUUGGAGGAACAGCUACCGACGCCCACCCUGUUAGCAGAGUCCCUGGCCUUCGCAGCUAGGUCAUCGACAUCGGCCCCGCCUGCACCAGCCUUCCAAGCACCUGCACCCGGAGGCGACGACCCCGACGACUCUGGGAACAAUGAUGACAAGGAUGAAGACGACGACGAAGGAGGAGACGAACACGUCAACCAGGAAGCCGACUACGCAUAGCAGGACUACUUCAUGGGGUUUGGUCCCGUUGUCGAACAUUACACAUCGAUGUUCCAGACGGGGCACUUCCCCAACCUGCUGCAAGAAGUGCUGCACGCGCUAGGAACUUACGUCCGCCCCCUGUAAGAAACAAGGCGAGUGAGCGAGCCUCCCCGGGCUUGCUACUACAUCACUCGCAUCCACGUCAGGGUGAUGGAUGCAGGGGACAGGGGAUUCAGGACUCUGUCUGCUCACAAGUCCCUGACACCAGUGUCCACCUACGCUGCCUCGGUCAGCGAUGCUGCCAGACGGACCCUGUGGUCGCUCAGCCACACCUACCGGCAGCAGCUGUAGAACACGAGGUUCAGGCAUCUUCCUUAGCGUCUGAGUGGAGGAAGCCAGACCAACAUCGUCCCAGGUGAAGCUGGUGAGGAUCGCCUCAACACCCUAGCUGGUGUAGUGGCCGGUCUCAACACCGACCUGGACAGUGCCACCCUGGAUCUCUCUAGGGUGCACUUGGAGCUGGAGAAUGCCCAUGCCAGGAUUGCAGCCCUGGAAGCCCAACUUCAUGGACUGGAUCCGCCCGAAGCUCACGUCCCCGCCAUGGCGUUGUCUCCUCCCCGCAAGAGGCUGCACUAUGGGGAGCCCGGAACCGUCACUAGGCUGCUUUAGGUGUUUUGAGUUAAGAUGUAAUAAGUUAGUCUUCGCGUUAGACGUUGAACACUCUUUUAAUUUAUCUUACUAAUAAAUAACAACCAUGUGAUGGUGUUGAUUGACAUGUUUGUGUUGGAUUUUUGUUUGAGUGCCAUGGUCUUAUGGAAUGAUGGCCAUAAGAUCAUAUAAAAUAAUAAUAAUAAACUUAGGAUGUUCCCCUCUAGAAUCUUUUCUACUCUUCACUUUUCUAAGGAUUUCACUUCCUAACCAAUCAGAUGGUGAACGCACGUCAAGGACCCAACAACAACCAGAACCAGCGUGGUCAACAGAUAUGUAACACCCUGAAUUUGGGGGUAUAAAAUUUCUUUGCUCAUAUCCACAAAUUCAGGUGUUACUUCCUUUUCUCAUCCUUCCUAAUUCUUUUCUCUCUCAUUUCUAUAGGAGCUAAGUGCUUAUUUUACUUGUAACCAUAGUUUAUUAUGUUAAACCCUAGUGGAGUAUGAAUUGUUGCAUCAUGUUGAACCCUAGAUUUCACUUUUGUUUGGUGCAUAAUUCUCAAAAGGUCUAAUUUGAAUUUGGGGCUCAUUUGAAUUUGAAUCAAAUAGAAUAAAUAAAAGAAAAGGGAAAACAAUUCAGAAUAAAAGGAAAAGGCAAAGCAGCCCACUUACCCGCCCUCCUCGGCCUUUCGGCCCAGUCGGCCCACCCCGCGCGCGCCUCCCCCCCCCUUCUCUCUCUGCGCAGCGGGCCCGGCCUGUCGGCGCGUCCGCCUUCCGCGCACCCGCCUCCCUCUCUCACUGCUCGUCCGGCCCUACCCGUCGGCGCCCGCUUUCCCCGCGCGCGCCCGCUCCCUCGCUCUCUCUCUGCCCGUGGGCCCAACCCGUCAGCCCCGCUUCUCUCGCGCCCGCACCCGCUUUCUUCUCUCUCUCUGCGUCGCGGGCCCGGGCUGUCAGCCCCGUCGUCCCCGCGUAACCGCCGCCGAGCUGCUCGCGCCCACCUCCCCCGCGCCCACGUCGCGCGUGGAACUCGCCCACCUCGCCCUCGGCCACUUGUGCCCCGAGCCCACUCGCCCUCACCCUCUCCCCCCAUUUGCGCCCAGUAGACCCUCUCUUCCCCCCCUCGCUGCGCGCACGCAGAGCACCGCCGCCAUAACCCCGCCGUCCCGAGCUCGGUUCUUCGUCGCCGUUGGAGCUCCGCCGCGCCCUUAGCCCCGGUGAGCUCCGCCCCGACGGCCGCAACUCGGAACGCGCCCCAAUUCCCUCUCCCCCUCCCUAUUUCUCUCUGCCCGCGCUCACCCGUCGUCCGCCGUGCAGCCGCCACCGUCGACCCGGGUCCCCGUCGCGUCUCCGUCGCCGCCGAGGAGUCCCCGGAGCCCGCCUUGAGGUAACGGACCUCUCCCGCCCCUAUCGCCCUUUGUUUUGCUCUCUGUUGCGUUUGAUUGCUCGCCGGAGUAGAGUAGCCCCGCCGCCGAGCCGCCCCGCCGUGAAUCACCCCCUCUGGUGCCUCUGCCCUGACCCGGACCCCACCAAUGGAGUCCCCGUGCCCUCCCUAGCCUCCCCGACCACUCGAAUUGCCCCAGAGCCCCGCCAAUCGCCCGCGCCCCUCGUCUCCGGCGAGCCCUCCGCCGCGGGGACGAGCGCCGCCGCCCAGCUAGCCGUAGGGAAGACCCAGGCCGCCCAUCCGAUCUCCGCCGUUCAGCCCAAAUCGGGCGGCCCUGAUUCAACUCGCCCGGACCUAAUCCUGGCCGUCCGCCAGCGAUCCAGCGGCCCAGGCCCACUGCCCCCUCACCCCGUCUCUCUGCCCGUUAGGCCCCACUUGUCAGCUCGCCCGUGCGCCCGCGCUGUCCGCCCGGCCCCGCCCGUCAGUCCGCCCGCGCGCUCUGCCUGCCCGGUCCCGCUUGCCAGUCGCCCGCGCCCGCGCUGUCCGCCCGGCCCCGCCUGUCAGUCGCUCCCGCCGCCGCGCGCCCGCCCGCAGGAUCUAAUCCUGGCCGUAGAUCUGAGAUCCAACGGCUGUAGGCGCCCGAUACCCCUUCGCCUGCGCAUGUUCUUAAAGAGCCCCCCUGUUUUUUGGAAAUUGCGCCCGCCGUCCCUGGUUUCUCGCAGUUAAGUCCCUGGCCCUUUUAUUUAAUUCAAAAUAAGUCCUUAGGGUAUAAUUUUAACCCCUAAACUUGUAAAAUUCAUAACUUUGUCAUAUGAACUCCAAAUUAGGUGCUUCAAAUUGCAAAAUGUUCAUAAUAUUAUUAUCUAUCUGUUUAUGCAAUGUUUCCCUGCUGUUUCCAUGUAUUAAUUAAUAACUAAUCACUAGGAUAGGAUUAAGACUAUUGAAACCAUAUUUAAGAUAAUUAGAAAUGAGUAGACUUUAAUAAUAGUUGGAUUACUUAAGUUUAUGGACUUAAACACUUAAGUUUAGGAACUUAGACCAGAUAAUUACUUAAUCCCACCACUAACUUAGACCUGAUUAGUGGAUAGUGAAUCACUUUGUGUAGUCCUCUACCCCAGACCUAGGGAACACUAGAGUGCCUAUCCCUUUUCUGUUAUGAACUUGUGACCCCUCUCUGCUGCAUAUGUUUGGUAUAUUGUUUUCUGUUUGUUAUUUUCCCAAGUGCAUAGUGUGAAUGAUUGCUUUGCGUAGACAACGAGCAGUCUGUGUUUCCCGAGGCAGUUGCAGAGGAAGCCCCUGAUCAGCAGUUUGGUGAAGGCAAGUGUCCUCUGUCCCACUAUGUCCUAUUCAUUUAUAACUUACUACCCCGCAUUACUCACUUGAAACCUAAGGAUUGACUAGCUUUACAUUUUACUUUAUCCUUGAUGACCUUAUGGGCUAUUAUGGUUAGCACUCUGCUAUUGCUUUAACAUAAUCAAUGAACAUGAUGUGGCUAUUUACGAUACUGUUAUCCUGUUGAUGUUGAUGAUCUUGUGAUACUCUAGGGGGCUCAGGCUGUUUCCUGAGUACCUCUCCGUAAGGACUGGUUCGUUGAGAGACCACCCGGGAUAACAGUGCAACCAUGAGGGUGAAAUGGGAUGCCCUUAGCUGAUUAAUUGGAUGAACUAGAGGUGUAGUUGCUUAGCCGUCGUGCCGUCAAUGGGGUCCAGGCACAGUGCUUGCUCUGCCGAGGCUGAGUGCCGAGGUUCUUUCGUUUUGCUCUUUGUUAGUCACUCUCCUGCGGGGAGGAGUACUGUGUUUAUCAAACUGGAGAAACCUAACGGGCAGCUAUGAUCUCUAGGGAAUCUUUGUAAAGGCUUCGUAGUGAUACCCUGCUGGACCACCUAGGUAGUGGUCAAUGGGGAUUAGCUCUCCCCGGGUAGAAAGGGAAUCACGGCUCAUGGGUAAAGUGUGCAACCUCUGCAGAGGGUAGUGAAACUGAUAUAUCAGCCGUGCUCACGGUUAAGAGCAGCCUUGGGAUCCUCUUUGAUUAGAGAUACAGAUGGUUCGAGAUACAAUGAUUAUGAUAUGGUUUUGGUUCGACUAUGAUGAUGUUCCUCGACGAGGAAAUGGUUUACGGGUUGGUUAAUGCUAAAAUCUGGCUUCUACUAAUGAUAAGUACCUGACCAACUAAAAGCAACUGCUUGAGCCUAACUCCACAUAAAGCUAGUCCACCUCAGCCAAACGGGACAUUUGCUGAGUACGUUGAUGUGUACUCAUCCUUGCUUUACCACAAAACACCAGGUUGCCCGCAUUGUAACCACUGCUCAGGAGAAGGCGAAGCCGUGGAAGGAGACUUCCAGGAGUUUCAAGACUACGAUGAGUUCUAGGAGUGGGUUGGCGGCAACCCCCAGUCAGCUGCCUGUGAAGGCCUUAUCUUUACUGCGUUUCGCUAGUACUUUGAUUUACUUGUUAAGACAAUGACUAUGUGGAUGUCUAUGACUCUAUGAUGUAAUAAGUACUCUUUUAAUUAUUAUUCGAGCAUUGUGUGAUGAUGUUCAUUUAUGUAAUCGCUGUGUACGUGAGUUCUGAUCCUGGCACGUACAUAGUUCGCAUUCGGUUUGCCUUCCAAAACCGGGUGUGACAUAAGUGGUAUCAAAGCCGUGCUGACUGUAGGACCGCUGACCUAGAGUAGCACUGGUCGUACUAAGGACUAUUGACCUUCCCUCUCACCUUGACCUCUGUUGUUACUUCAAAAGUCGGUCACCUCGACCAACCCUAUGUUUUACUAUCUAUCUAUACUAUACCUUGUUAAAAUUUUUAUCUUAUUCUAUCUUUGGUUUAUUCACUUGUCAUAUUAGUUCUGCUCUUACUCUUGUGCUUACGGUGUCUUUUGUAGAUGGCUCGUCUUAGACACACUGCACGUAAGUCGGUGAUUCCUUUCCUGCCGUCUCGACUUGCGGAGCGUCCUCUGCACCGCACCGUGUCCGGACAGUCGAGUCACCUGGAGAGGCUGCACCACCGCCUGCGUGAGGAGCAGGAACACCGACGUCAGCACGGAGAGCAGCAGGGCUCUUCCUCCUCACCCCAGCAGGAGGUGGAGACCGUGAGGCCCCGUUCCUCUGUUGCCCAGCUGGAGGCGCCCCUUGUUCCGCCGCGGGACGUCCCGGCUGUUGGAGGAGCUGUUGGAGGAGACCCCGACGACGACGACUCAGACCACAGUACGGAGUCCUCUGAGCCGCAGGAGGCGGAAGGAUGGGUCGCCCGACCCAUCACCCGUGACGCCGCUCGCGGUUGUCACUUCCACGACGCACUCGACACCUUGCUGCGCCAGGCUUUCGACCGGCACACCUGGUCGAUCGAGUAUCGUUGCGUAGUCUACCAGCACAGUCGCGGGAGGUACCCGGACCGCUGGGAGGCUACCUGCCUAGUUCGCCGUCCGGAGGAUGACCUCCGGGGUGCGGAGGCCGUUUCGGAGCACUAUUCCAUCUCCGAGAGGGACACUGCAGAGGCGGCUAUGCAGGAUGCAGCACGACGUGCACUCUCUCAGUACUGUUCUUUGUUCGGUGGCGUGGCCGACGGUCUUAACCUUCGGUACUACCCCCGCCGCCCUACUGGCAGCACAGAGAGUGUGGUUGUUUCACCUGUUGGUGAGGCUAACCCUAGGUUGAGCAGCACAGUCAACCUAGUCGCAGUGCUUAACACGGAGCUGGAUCACUCUCUGGACGAGCUAAGCAGGGCUCAAACGGAGAUUGCGGAGUUGCGUGCUGAGCUGGCAGAGCGCCAUCACCAGGAGGGUGGUUCUCCCGCUCCUGUUGGGACUCAGCACCCAUACCGCUCACCGCCACGUGGUCACCACACUUAUGGUUCCCCUGUCUGUAAGACCAGGAUAGAAUUGGAUCCUUAGAUCGUUAGCGUCGAAGUUUGUAAUAAUUCUUAAGACAGGUGUCUCAGUCUUAGGUAGUCAGUUUAGUUUGCUUAUCAGUUGCUUCCAUUUAGUUUAGUUUGCUUAUCAGUUGUUUUCAUGCUUGUUAUGAUGAACUUGUACUGGAUUUGAAUCUUUGUAAUGACUGUAGCCAACAUGUGGGUUUCCCUGCAGUUUGGCUUAGCUAGUAAUAUUAAUGAAGUCAGUUGUUUAGUUGGGAAGCCAUUUACUCUUACUUUCCUUUCUUAUCUGAGAAGCUGUGUUGAAUCAUAAUGAGGAUCAGUGAAGCUCUUUUGUUCACUCAGUGUCAUGAAGAAUUCUGUAUUCUCUUUUCUUAUGCUGAAAGAUUGUGAGAUCAAUGCUGAUGUGUGAAUGUCUUCCACAGAUGUCUGACAACAGGCGCCGAUGCAACAGGCGUGCUCAGCUGGAGCAGCAUGACCAGCAGGAGGAAAAUCAGAGGCAGCCUCCCCCACCACCCCCGAUGUCAGUGGAGCAGAUGUUCUUGAUGCAGACCCAGGCAGUGCAAGCCAUCGGGCAGACUCUGGCAGCCAUGCAGCUGGCUCAACAGCAGCCCCAACCCCAAUUGCAAGUGCAGAUGCCCCAGAUGCCACGGGAUAAGCGUGGUGAGUUCAUGAGAGGGCACCCUCCUACCUUCGCCCAUUCUGCUGAUCCCAUGGAUGCAGAAGACUGGUUGCGCGCAGUGGAGAGGGAACUGCGCACCGCCCAAUGCGACGACAGGGAGAAGGUUCUGUAUGGUCCCCGCCAGCUGAGGGGAGCAGCCCAGUCCUGGUGGGAGUCCUACCUCGCCACACAUGCUGACCCCGAAGCCAUCACUUGGGAGGAAUUCAGCGAGAGUUUCCGUCGGUACCAUGUGCCAGAGGGACUGAUGAUCGUGAAGAAGGAGGAGUUUCUGGCUCUGAAGCAGGGACCCAUGUCUGUUAGUGAGUACAGAGACAAGUUUCUGCAGCUAUCUCGUUAUGCACCCGAGGAUGUCAACACUGAUGCCAAGAGGCAGUACAGGUUCAUGAGAGGUUUGGUGGAUCCCCUGCAUUACCAGCUGAUGAAUCACACCUUCCCCACCUUCCAGCACCUGAUCGAUAGAGCAGUCAUGACUGAGAAGAAGCGUAAGGAUAUGGAAGAUCGGAAGCGCAAGAUGAGUGGACCCCAGUCCGGAGGCACCAGCCGUCCACGUUUCUCAGGCAGUUCAUCUCAGCAAGGCAGACCUGGUCACCCACAGGGAUAUCAGAAUCAGAAUCAGCGUCCGCAUCAGCAGCAGUUUCAGAGACAGUACCCGCAGCAGCAGCAGCAGUAUCGUCAGCACAACCAGCAGGGAGGUAAUCAGUAUCAGAAGCAGAACAACCAGGCACCUCGCCUUCCUGCCCUAGCAGCGAAUCAGAGCAACCAAGCAGCCCCAGCACAAGGAGGAGGCAGAGGAUGUUUCCACUGUGGAGACCAAGGCCACUGGGCGAUGCAGUGCCCAAAGAAGACGGCUCAGCAGCAGACCAACCCCAAUGCUCCAGCAAGGCAAGGUGUACUGCAGCCGGCAGCAGGCAAUCGUAACCAAGCGUACAACCGUGGAAAGGUGAACCACUUGGAGGCCGAAGCAAUCCAGGAUGCACCAGAUGUGGCAGUAGGUAUGUUCUCAGUCGAAUCUCAUCCCGCAAAAGUGCUAUUUGAUACUGGUGCAACUCAUUCAUUUGUCACUGCGACAUGGGUAGAACUGCAUAACAUCUCAGUAGAGGCAAUGAUGCCACCCAUGAGGAUUAAUUCGGUUGGUGGCAAGGUGCAAACAGAUAAAAUAUGUUCAAACGUAAUGGUGGAAAUAAGGGGGAUAGGUUUCCCCAGUGACUUAAUAGUAAUAGGCACCCCUGGGAUAGAUGUCAUUCUAGGGAUGAACUGGUUAAUGAAGUAUGAAGCAAAUGUUAGUUGUGACAAGAGGACCAUAACAUUGAAGUCCCCGUCAGGAGAGGAGGUAGUGGCCGAGCUAAGGAUGCCUAAGUCAGAAGAGGGAGUCUGUCAUCAGAUUUCAGUUGAUAGUAAGGAGCCCAACCCGCUCGAGACUAUCAAGGUUGUGUCGGACUUUCCGGAUGUGUUUCCCGAGGAGCUAACGGGCAUGCCACCCGAGAGAAAAGUCGAAUUUGCCAUAGAGCUUAUCCCUGGUACCGCCCCCAUUUCAAAAAGAGCCUAUCGAGUGUCUGGACCAGAAUUGGUGGAACUCAAGAAGCAGAUAGAUGAGAUGUUAGAGAAGGGUUACAUCAGGCCAAGCACCUCGCCUUGGGCCGCUCCAGUGUUGUUUGUAGAGAAGAAAGAUGGUACCAAAAGGAUGUGCAUAGACUACAGAGCCUUGAAUGAAGUCACUGUCAAGAACAAGUACCCCCUGCCAAGGAUAGAAGAUUUGUUCGACCAGCUCAGAGGUGCCAGCGUAUUCUCGAAGAUAGAUCUGAGAUCUGGUUAUCAUCAACUCAGAAUCCGACCCUCGGAUAUACCGAAGACAGCAUUCAUCACCAAGUAUGGGUUAUAUGAGUUCACGGUUAUGUCCUUUGGUUUGACAAAUGCGCCAGCCUUCUUUAUGUACCUGAUGAACAGUGUGUUCAUGGAUUAUCUAGACAAGUUUGUGGUAGUGUUCAUCGAUGAUAUUCUCAUAUACUCUCAAAGUGAGGAAGAUCAUGUAGAGCAUUUGAAAAUGGUAUUGCAAAGACUUCGAGAGCAUCAGUUGUAUGCCAAGCUGGGCAAAUGCGAGUUCUGGAUUCAUGAAGUCUUAUUUCUGGGUCACAUCAUAAAUCAAGAUGGGUUAGCAGUGGAUCCAAAGAAAGUAGCAGAUAUCCUGAACUGGAAAGCACCGAAGGAUGUUCGUGGGAUCAAGAGCUUCAUUGGGAUGGCCGGAUAUUACAGGCGUUUCAUCGAAGGCUUCUCAAAGAUUGCUAGACCAAUGACAGCGUUACUGGCGAAGAAAGUUGAGUUUAAGUGGACCCAAAAGUGUCAGGAAGCAUUUGAAGAACUGAAGAGUAGAUUGACUACAGCUCCUGUGUUAGUCCUGCCUGAUGUCCACAAGUCAUUCUCAGUAUAUUGCGAUGCUUCGUACACCGGAUUGGGAUGUGUGCUGAUGCAAGAAGGGAGAGUUGUAGCAUACUCAUCUCGACAGCUGAAGAUCCAUGAGAAGAAUUACCCCACACAUGACCUGGAAUUGGCAGCAGUGGUUCAUGCUUUGAAGACCUAGAGACAUUACCUGUAUGGGCAGAAGUGCGACAUCUACACAGAUCAUAAAAGUCUGAAAUACAUAUUCACCCAGUCAGAGUUAAACAUGAGGCAGCGAAGAUGGUUGGAAUUGAUCAAAGACUAUGAGUUGGAGAUACAUUACCAUCCAGGCAAAGCCAAUGUUGUUGCAGAUGCUCUGAGCAGGAAGAGUCAAGUUAAUAUGUUGGCCUCGUACCCGAUGCCGUAUGAGUUAGCCAAAGAGUUCGACAGACUGAGCCUUGGUUUCCUGAACAGUACGCAAGGAGUGACAGUGGAAUUAGAGCCCACCCUAGAGCGGGAGAUCAAAGAAGGGCAGAAGGAUGAUGAAAACAUCAACAAGAUCCGGCAGCUGAUCCUAGAAGGAAGAGGCAAAGACUUUCGAGAGGAUGAAGAAGGAGUAAUCUGGUUCAAGGACCGAUUGUGUGUUCCCGACCUCAAACCUAUUCGGGAACUGAUCCUCAAGGAAGCUCAUGAGACAGCCUACUCCAUACACCCAGGGAGUGAGAAGAUGUACCAGGACUUAAAAAGGAGGUUUUGGUGGUAUGGUAUGAAAAGGGAGACCGCAGAAUAUGUCGCCAUCUGUGAUAGCUGUCAGAGAACCAAAGCAGAGCAUCAGAGGCCUGCCGGAUUGUUGCAGCCAUUGCGGAUUCCUCAGUGGAAGUGGGAUGAGAUCGGGAUGGAUUUCAUAGUUGGCCUACCUCGUACCUGGGCCGGCUACGAUUCUAUCUGGGUGGUUGUGGACCGCUUAACAAAGGUGGCCCACUUCAUACCUGUGAAGACGACAUACACCGGAGCAACGUUAGCUGAGUUAUACAUGUCACGAAUAGUUUGCCUUCAUGGUGUGCCGAAGAAGAUAGUGUCAGAUCGAGGAACGCAGUUCACGUCUCAUUUUUGGCAGCAGCUACAAGAAGCUUUGGGCACACAUCUGAACUUCAGCUCAGCUUAUCACCCGCAGACGGACGGUCAGACUGAAAGAACUAACCAGAUCUUAGAAGAUAUGUUGAGAGCCUGUGCGUUGCAAGACAAGUCAGGAUGGGACAAAAGGUUACCUUAUGCAGAAUUCUCCUACAACAAUAGUUACCAGGCCAGCUUGAAGAUGUCACCGUUUCAGGCACUCUAUGGACGGAGUUGUAGGACUCCGCUGCACUGGGACCAGCCUGGAGAGAGACAGGUGUUUGGCCCCGACAUCUUGCUUGAAGCCGAAGAGAAUAUCAGAAUGGUUCGGGAGAACCUGAAGACAGCCCAGUCAAGGCAGCAAAGCUAUGCGGACAGAAGGAGAAGAGAACUGAGUUUUGAAGUGGGAGACUACGUCUAUCUGAAGGUGUCACCUAUCAGGGGAGUCAGAAGGUUCGGAGUCAAAGGCAAGCUAGCACCCCGGUACGUCGGACCAUAUCAGAUUCAAGCCAAGCGUGGAGAAGUGGCUUACCAGCUCGACCUACCAGAGAGUUUGUCAGCAGUGCACAACGUGUUCCACGUGUCGCAAUUGAAGAAAUGUCUGCGAGUACCAGAAGAGCAGUUGCCAGUGGAGGGUUUGGAAGUUCAGGAAGAUCUAACCUACAUAGAGAAGCCAACGCAGAUUUUGGAGUUUGCAGACAGGGUCACCCGGAGAAAUACCAUCAGAAUGUGCAAAGUCAGAUGGGGUCACCACUCGGAGGAAGAAGCAACCUGGGAACGAGAAGAUGAUCUGAAGGCCAAAUACCCUGAACUCUUUGCUGACCAACCUUGAAUCUCGGGGCGAGAUUCUUUUAAGGGGGAUAGGUUUGUAACACCCUGAAUUUGGGGGUAUAAAAUUUCUUUGCUCAUAUCCACAAAUUCAGGUGUUACUUCCUUUUCUCAUCCUUCCUAAUUCUUUUCUCUCUCAUUUCUAUAGGAGCUAAGUGCUUAUUUUACUUGUAACCAUAGUUUAUUAUGUUAAACCCUAGUGGAGUAUGAAUUGUUGCAUCAUGUUGAACCCUAGAUUUCACUUUUGUUUGGUGCAUAAUUCUCAAAAGGUCUAAUUUGAAUUUGGGGCUCAUUUGAAUUUGAAUCAAAUAGAAUAAAUAAAAGAAAAGGGAAAAACAAUUCAGAAUAAAAGGAAAAGGCAAAGCAGCCCACUUACCCGCCCUCCUCGGCCUUUCGGCCCAGUCGGCCCACCCCGCGCGCGCCUCCCCCCCCCCCUUCUCUCUCUGCGCAGCGGGCCCGGCCUGUCGGCGCGUCCGCCUUCCGCGCACCCGCCUCCCUCUCUCACUGCUCGUCCGGCCCUACCCGUCGGCGCCCGCUUUCCCCGCGCGCGCCCGCUCCCUCGCUCUCUCUCUGCCCGUGGGCCCAACCCGUCAGCCCCGCUUCUCUCGCGCCCGCACCCGCUUUCUUCUCUCUCUCUGCGUCGCGGGCCCGGGCUGUCAGCCCCGUCGUCCCCGCGUAACCGCCGCCGAGCUGCUCGCGCCCACCUCCCCCGCGCCCACGUCGCGCGUGGAACUCGCCCACCUCGCCCUCGGCCACUUGUGCCCCGAGCCCACUCGCCCUCACCCUCUCCCCCCAUUUGCGCCCAGUAGACCCUCUCUUCCCCCCCUCGCUGCGCGCACGCAGAGCACCGCCGCCAUAACCCCGCCGUCCCGAGCUCGGUUCUUCGUCGCCGUUGGAGCUCCGCCGCGCCCUUAGCCCCGGUGAGCUCCGCCCCGACGGCCGCAACUCGGAACGCGCCCCAAUUCCCUCUCCCCCUCCCUAUUUCUCUCUGCCCGCGCUCACCCGUCGUCCGCCGUGCAGCCGCCACCGUCGACCCGGGUCCCCGUCGCGUCUCCGUCGCCGCCGAGGAGUCCCCGGAGCCCGCCUUGAGGUAACGGACCUCUCCCGCCCCUAUCGCCCUUUGUUUUGCUCUCUGUUGCGUUUGAUUGCUCGCCGGAGUAGAGUAGCCCCGCCGCCGAGCCGCCCCGCCGUGAAUCGCCCCUCCGGUGCCUCUGCCCUGACCCGGACCCCACCAAUGGAGUCCCCGUGCCCUCCCUAGCCUCCCCGACCACUCGGAUUGCCCCAGAGCCCCGCCAAUCGCCCGCGCCCCUCGUCUCCGGCGAGCCCUCCGCCGCGGGGACGAGCGCCGCCGCCCAGCUAGCCGUAGGGAAGACCCAGGCCGCCCAUCCGAUCUCCGCCGUUCAGCCCAGAUCGGGCGGCCCUGAUUCAACUCGCCCGGACCUAAUCCUGGCCGUCCGCCAGCGAUCCAGCGGCCCAGGCCCACUGCCCCCUCACCCCGUCUCUCUGCCCGCUAGGCCCCACUUGUCAGCUCGCCCGCGCGCCCGCGCUGUCCGCCCGGCCCCGCCCGUCAGUCCGCCCGCGCGCUCUGCCUGCCCGGUCCCGCUUGCCAGUCGCCCGCGCCCGCGCUGUCCGCCCGGCCCCGCCUGUCAGUCGCUCCCGCCGCCGCGCGCCCGCCCGCAGGAUCUAAUCCUGGCCGUAGAUCUGAGAUCCAACGGCUGUAGGCGCCCGAUACCCCUUCGCCCGCGCAUGUUCUUAAAGAGCCCCCCUGUUUUCUGGAAAUUGCGCCCGCCGUCCCUGGUUUCUCGCAGUUAAGUCCCUGGCCCUUUUAUUUAAUUCAAAAUAAGUCCUUAGGGUAUAAUUUUAACCCCUAAACUUGUAAAAUUCAUAACUUUGUCAUAUGAACUCCAAAUUAGGUGCUUCAAAUUGCAAAAUGUUCAUAAUAUUAUUAUCUAUCUGUUUAUGCAAUGUUUCCCUGCUGUUUCCAUGUAUUAAUUAAUAACUAAUCACUAGGAUAGGAUUAAGACUAUUGAAACCAUAUUUAAGAUAAUUAGAAAUGAGUAGACUUUAAUAAUAGUUGGAUUACUUAAGUUUAUGGACUUAAACACUUAAGUUUAGGAACUUAGACCAGAUAAUUACUUAAUCCCACCACUAACUUAGACCUGAUUAGUGGAUAGUGAAUCACUUUGUGUAGUCCUCUACCCCAGACCUAGGGAACACUAGAGUGUCUAUCCCUUUUCUGUUAUGAACUUGUGACCCCUCUCUGCUGCAUAUGUUUGGUAUAUUGUUUUCUGUUUGUUAUUUUCCCAAGUGCAUAGUGUGAAUGAUUGCUUUGCGUAGACAACGAGCAGUCUGUGUUUCCCGAGGCAGUUGCAGAGGAAGCCCCUGAUCAGCAGUUUGGUGAAGGCAAGUGUCCUCUGUCCCACUAUGUCCUAUUCAUUUAUAACUUACUACCCCGCAUUACUCACUUGAAACCUAAGGAUUGACUAGCUUUACAUUUUACUUUAUCCUUGAUGACCUUAUGGGCUAUUAUGGUUAGCACUCUGCUAUUGCUUUAACAUAAUCAAUGAACAUGAUGUGGCUAUUUACGAUACUGUUAUCCUGUUGAUGUUGAUGAUCUUGUGAUACUCUAGGGGGCUCAGGCUGUUUCCUGAGUACCUCUCCGUAAGGACUGGUUCGUUGAGAGACCACCCGGGAUAACAGUGCAACCAUGAGGGUGAAAUGGGAUGCCUUAGCUGUUAAUUGGAUGAACUAGAGGUGUAGUUGCUUAGCCGUCGUGCCAUCAAUGGGUCCAGGCACAGUGCUUGCUCUGCCGAGGCUGAGUGCCGAGGUUCUUUCGUUUUGCUCUUUGUUAGUCACUCUCCUGCGGGGAGGAGUACUGUGUUUAUCAAACUGGAGAAACCUAACGGGCAGCUAUGAUCUCUAGGGAAUCUUUGUAAGGCUUCGUAGUGAUACCCUGCUGGACCACCUAGGUAGUGGUCAAUGGGGAUUAGCUCUCCCCGGGUAGAAGGGAAUCACGGCUCAUGGGUAAAGUGUGCAACCUCUGCAGAGGGUAGUGAAACUGAUAUAUCAGCCGUGCUCACGGUUAAGAGCAGCCUUGGGAUCCUCUUUGAUUAGAGAUACAGAUGGUUCGAGAUACAAUGAUUAUGAUAUGGUUUUGGUUCGACUAUGAUGAUGUUCCUCGACGAGGAAAUGGUUUACGGGUUGGUUAAUGCUAAAAUCUGGCUUCUACUAAUGAUAAGUACCUGACCAACUAAAAGCAACUGCUUGAGCCUAACUCCACAUAAAGCUAGUCCACCUCAGCCAAACGGGACAUUUGCUGAGUACGUUGAUGUGUACUCAUCCUUGCUUUACCACAAAACACCAGGUUGUCCGCAUUGNNNNNNNNNNNNNNNNNNNNNNNNNNNNNNNNNNNNNNNNNNNNNNNNNNNNNNNNNNNNNNNNNNNNNNNNNNNNNNNNNNNNNNNNNNNNNNNNNNNNNNNNNNNNNNNNNNNNNNNNNNNNNNNNNNNNNNNNNNNNNNNNNNNNNNNNNNNNNNNNNNNNNNNNNNNNNNNNNNNNNNNNNNNNNNNNNNNNNNNNNNNNNNNNNNNNNNNNNNNNNNNNNNNNNNNNNNNNNNNNNNNNNNNNNNNNNNNNNNNNNNNNNNNNNNNNNNNNNNNNNNNNNNNNNNNNNNNNNNNNNNNNNNNNNNNNNNNNNNNNNNNNNNNNNNNNNNNNNNNNNNNNNNNNNNNNNNNNNNNNNNNNNNNNNNNNNNNNNNNNNNNNNNNNNNNNNNNNNNNNNNNNNNNNNNNNNNNNNNNNNNNNNNNNNNNNNNNNNNNNNNNNNNNNNNNNNNNNNNNNNNNNNNNNNNNNNNNNNNNNNNNNNNNNNNNNNNNNNNNNNNNNNNNNNNNNNNNNNNNNNNNNNNNNNNNNNNNNNNNNNNNNNNNNNNNNNNNNNNNNNNNNNNNNNNNNNNNNNNNNNNNNNNNNNNNNNNNNNNNNNNNNNNNNNNNNNNNNNNNNNNNNNNNNNNNNNNNNNNNNNNNNNNNNNNNNNNNNNNNNNNNNNNNNNNNNNNNNNNNNNNNNNNNNNNNNNNNNNNNNNNNNNNNNNNNNNNNNNNNNNNNNNNNNNNNNNNNNNNNNNNNNNNNNNNNNNNNNNNNNNNNNNNNNNNNNNNNNNNNNNNNNNNNNNNNNNNNNNNNNNNNNNNNNNNNNNNNNNNNNNNNNNNNNNNNNNNNNNNNNNNNNNNNNNNNNNNNNNNNNNNNNNNNNNNNNNNNNNNNNNNNNNNNNNNNNNNNNNNNNNNNNNNNNNNNNNNNNNNNNNNNNNNNNNNNNNNNNNNNNNNNNNNNNNNNNNNNNNNNNNNNNNNNNNNNNNNNNNNNNNNNNNNNNNNNNNNNNNNNNNNNNNNNNNNNNNNNNNNNNNNNNNNNNNNNNNNNNNNNNNNNNNNNNNNNNNNNNNNNNNNNNNNNNNNNNNNNNNNNNNNNNNNNNNNNNNNNNNNNNNNNNNNNNNNNNNNNNNNNNNNNNNNNNNNNNNNNNNNNNNNNNNNNNNNNNNNNNNNNNNNNNNNNNNNNNNNNNNNNNNNNNNNNNNNNNNNNNNNNNNNNNNNNNNNNNNNNNNNNNNNNNNNNNNNNNNNNNNNNNNNNNNNNNNNNNNNNNNNNNNNNNNNNNNNNNNNNNNNNNNNNNNNNNNNNNNNNNNNNNNNNNNNNNNNNNNNNNNNNNNNNNNNNNNNNNNNNNNNNNNNNNNNNNNNNNNNNNNNNNNNNNNNNNNNNNNNNNNNNNNNNNNNNNNNNNNNNNNNNNNNNNNNNNNNNNNNNNNNNNNNNNNNNNNNNNNNNNNNNNNNNNNNNNNNNNNNNNNNNNNNNNNNNNNNNNNNNNNNNNNNNNNNNNNNNNNNNNNNNNNNNNNNNNNNNNNNNNNNNNNNNNNNNNNNNNNNNNNNNNNNNNNNNNNNNNNNNNNNNNNNNNNNNNNNNNNNNNNNNNNNNNNNNNNNNNNNNNNNNNNNNNNNNNNNNNNNNNNNNNNNNNNNNNNNNNNNNNNNNNNNNNNNNNNNNNNNNNNNNNNNNNNNNNNNNNNNNNNNNNNNNNNNNNNNNNNNNNNNNNNNNNNNNNNNNNNNNNNNNNNNNNNNNNNNNNNNNNNNNNNNNNNNNNNNNNNNNNNNNNNNNNNNNNNNNNNNNNNNNNNNNNNNNNNNNNNNNNNNNNNNNNNNNNNNNNNNNNNNNNNNNNNNNNNNNNNNNNNNNNNNNNNNNNNNNNNNNNNNNNNNNNNNNNNNNNNNNNNNNNNNNNNNNNNNNNNNNNNNNNNNNNNNNNNNNNNNNNNNNNNNNNNNNNNNNNNNNNNNNNNNNNNNNNNNNNNNNNNNNNNNNNNNNNNNNNNNNNNNNNNNNNNNNNNNNNNNNNNNNNNNNNNNNNNNNNNNNNNNNNNNNNNNNNNNNNNNNNNNNNNNNNNNNNNNNNNNNNNNNNNNNNNNNNNNNNNNNNNNNNNNNNNNNNNNNNNNNNNNNNNNNNNNNNNNNNNNNNNNNNNNNNNNNNNNNNNNNNNNNNNNNNNNNNNNNNNNNNNNNNNNNNNNNNNNNNNNNNNNNNNNNNNNNNNNNNNNNNNNNNNNNNNNNNNNNNNNNNNNNNNNNNNNNNNNNNNNNNNNNNNNNNNNNNNNNNNNNNNNNNNNNNNNNNNNNNNNNNNNNNNNNNNNNNNNNNNNNNNNNNNNNNNNNNNNNNNNNNNNNNNNNNNNNNNNNNNNNNNNNNNNNNNNNNNNNNNNNNNNNNNNNNNNNNNNNNNNNNNNNNNNNNNNNNNNNNNNNNNNNNNNNNNNNNNNNNNNNNNNNNNNNNNNNNNNNNNNNNNNNNNNNNNNNNNNNNNNNNNNNNNNNNNNNNNNNNNNNNNNNNNNNNNNNNNNNNNNNNNNNNNNNNNNNNNNNNNNNNNNNNNNNNNNNNNNNNNNNNNNNNNNNNNNNNNNNNNNNNNNNNNNNNNNNNNNNNNNNNNNNNNNNNNNNNNNNNNNNNNNNNNNNNNNNNNNNNNNNNNNNNNNNNNNNNNNNNNNNNNNNNNNNNNNNNNNNNNNNNNNNNNNNNNNNNNNNNNNNNNNNNNNNNNNNNNNNNNNNNNNNNNNNNNNNNNNNNNNNNNNNNNNNNNNNNNNNNNNNNNNNNNNNNNNNNNNNNNNNNNNNNNNNNNNNNNNNNNNNNNNNNNNNNNNNNNNNNNNNNNNNNNNNNNNNNNNNNNNNNNNNNNNNNNNNNNNNNNNNNNNNNNNNNNNNNNNNNNNNNNNNNNNNNNNNNNNNNNNNNNNNNNNNNNNNNNNNNNNNNNNNNNNNNNNNNNNNNNNNNNNNNNNNNNNNNNNNNNNNNNNNNNNNNNNNNNNNNNNNNNNNNNNNNNNNNNNNNNNNNNNNNNNNNNNNNNNNNNNNNNNNNNNNNNNNNNNNNNNNNNNNNNNNNNNNNNNNNNNNNNNNNNNNNNNNNNNNNNNNNNNNNNNNNNNNNNNNNNNNNNNNNNNNNNNNNNNNNNNNNNNNNNNNNNNNNNNNNNNNNNNNNNNNNNNNNNNNNNNNNNNNNNNNNNNNNNNNNNNNNNNNNNNNNNNNNNNNNNNNNNNNNNNNNNNNNNNNNNNNNNNNNNNNNNNNNNNNNNNNNNNNNNNNNNNNNNNNNNNNNNNNNNNNNNNNNNNNNNNNNNNNNNNNNNNNNNNNNNNNNNNNNNNNNNNNNNNNNNNNNNNNNNNNNNNNNNNNNNNNNNNNNNNNNNNNNNNNNNNNNNNNNNNNNNNNNNNNNNNNNNNNNNNNNNNNNNNNNNNNNNNNNNNNNNNNNNNNNNNNNNNNNNNNNNNNNNNNNNNNNNNNNNNNNNNNNNNNNNNNNNNNNNNNNNNNNNNNNNNNNNNNNNNNNNNNNNNNNNNNNNNNNNNNNNNNNNNNNNNNNNNNNNNNNNNNNNNNNNNNNNNNNNNNNNNNNNNNNNNNNNNNNNNNNNNNNNNNNNNNNNNNNNNNNNNNNNNNNNNNNNNNNNNNNNNNNNNNNNNNNNNNNNNNNNNNNNNNNNNNNNNNNNNNNNNNNNNNNNNNNNNNNNNNNNNNNNNNNNNNNNNNNNNNNNNNNNNNNNNNNNNNNNNNNNNNNNNNNNNNNNNNNNNNNNNNNNNNNNNNNNNNNNNNNNNNNNNNNNNNNNNNNNNNNNNNNNNNNNNNNNNNNNNNNNNNNNNNNNNNNNNNNNNNNNNNNNNNNNNNNNNNNNNNNNNNNNNNNNNNNNNNNNNNNNNNNNNNNNNNNNNNNNNNNNNNNNNNNNNNNNNNNNNNNNNNNNNNNNNNNNNNNNNNNNNNNNNNNNNNNNNNNNNNNNNNNNNNNNNNNNNNNNNNNNNNNNNNNNNNNNNNNNNNNNNNNNNNNNNNNNNNNNNNNNNNNNNNNNNNNNNNNNNNNNNNNNNNNNNNNNNNNNNNNNNNNNNNNNNNNNNNNNNNNNNNNNNNNNNNNNNNNNNNNNNNNNNNNNNNNNNNNNNNNNNNNNNNNNNNNNNNNNNNNNNNNNNNNNNNNNNNNNNNNNNNNNNNNNNNNNNNNNNNNNNNNNNNNNNNNNNNNNNNNNNNNNNNNNNNNNNNNNNNNNNNNNNNNNNNNNNNNNNNNNNNNNNNNNNNNNNNNNNNNNNNNNNNNNNNNNNNNNNNNNNNNNNNNNNNNNNNNNNNNNNNNNNNNNNNNNNNNNNNNNNNNNNNNNNNNNNNNNNNNNNNNNNNNNNNNNNNNNNNNNNNNNNNNNNNNNNNNNNNNNNNNNNNNNNNNNNNNNNNNNNNNNNNNNNNNNNNNNNNNNNNNNNNNNNNNNNNNNNNNNNNNNNNNNNNNNNNNNNNNNNNNNNNNNNNNNNNNNNNNNNNNNNNNNNNNNNNNNNNNNNNNNNNNNNNNNNNNNNNNNNNNNNNNNNNNNNNNNNNNNNNNNNNNNNNNNNNNNNNNNNNNNNNNNNNNNNNNNNNNNNNNNNNNNNNNNNNNNNNNNNNNNNNNNNNNNNNNNNNNNNNNNNNNNNNNNNNNNNNNNNNNNNNNNNNNNNNNNNNNNNNNNNNNNNNNNNNNNNNNNNNNNNNNNNNNNNNNNNNNNNNNNNNNNNNNNNNNNNNNNNNNNNNNNNNNNNNNNNNNNNNNNNNNNNNNNNNNNNNNNNNNNNNNNNNNNNNNNNNNNNNNNNNNNNNNNNNNNNNNNNNNNNNNNNNNNNNNNNNNNNNNNNNNNNNNNNNNNNNNNNNNNNNNNNNNNNNNNNNNNNNNNNNNNNNNNNNNNNNNNNNNNNNNNNNNNNNNNNNNNNNNNNNNNNNNNNNNNNNNNNNNNNNNNNNNNNNNNNNNNNNNNNNNNNNNNNNNNNNNNNNNNNNNNNNNNNNNNNNNNNNNNNNNNNNNNNNNNNNNNNNNNNNNNNNNNNNNNNNNNNNNNNNNNNNNNNNNNNNNNNNNNNNNNNNNNNNNNNNNNNNNNNNNNNNNNNNNNNNNNNNNNNNNNNNNNNNNNNNNNNNNNNNNNNNNNNNNNNNNNNNNNNNNNNNNNNNNNNNNNNNNNNNNNNNNNNNNNNNNNNNNNNNNNNNNNNNNNNNNNNNNNNNNNNNNNNNNNNNNNNNNNNNNNNNNNNNNNNNNNNNNNNNNNNNNNNNNNNNNNNNNNNNNNNNNNNNNNNNNNNNNNNNNNNNNNNNAUUAAUAUUAAUCUGGCGUUAAAACAUUGAAAGUAAGGAUUCACUUUAGUAAGCUAUUUCUGCAAAAAUAUCUAAGUUAAUUCUUGCUAAAGCCUUUUCCUUGAUUCCCAUUAAACCAGCAUACCCUUGAGAGUCUUUUCUUUUGUCGGGUAAGUCUUGCUGAGUAAUUCCAUACCCAGGGUUUUAUUCCCUGUUGUUUUUCAGGAUAUAACUUUGUGCUGCUGUGAUGGUGUUAAGUGACGGUGGGCUCAGCCUUCUUAUAUAAGUAUACCCCGUCUUUAUCUUCUUAUUGAGGAUGGUCACUUGAGCUAGCAUAUAUUUCAAACUUAUACUUUUGUAAUCACUCCGAUAAAAUAUUACAAAAAUUUUGUAACUUGUAAAAUUUGGUAAUAAGAUUUCCGCUGCAAAAAUAUUGAUGUGUGUGAUUUGUGUUACUUAAUCCCGUGGUUCUGAUUGUAAGUGGUUUAUCCGAGGUCCUUGGGGCACUCGGACGGAUCCUGUUAAGUUAUUUGGUGCACAUGCCUAGCCGUCUGAGGUCUUUGAGACAAGGACAGGUGCAUGUGGGCCCAAUAGCUUGGGAGGUUCUGCCACAGCUGGUAUCGGAGCUGGAUUAAGUAUAUACGGUCACAUACGUAUUUUAAAAACAAAAGUUUUAGUUUUGAAAAACCUAUUUUCAACUAAACACAUUGUUUGGCUUUGAAAAACGGUUUUGAAAAACUAUAAUGCUAGCGACAUCCUCUGUUAAGCCCUAAAUUAAGGACUAUCAUGUGGCUUAUUGAAAACCACUAACCCACAACCGGGUGGGUAUUGCAUACAUGUGUAUUGUUAUUUUUGAGGCCAUUCAGUCUUGAAUGGAUCGACGCUCAAGGUAAGGUGAGAUGUGAGAGCAUGACCGAUAACCGUCGGUCUAGGGAAGAGUGUAAAAGCGCUUGAUUAUAUACAUGUUCUACAUAUGUAUAUAUGAAGGCUGCGAUGUGGAGUAUUUACUUUUCUGGGAUUCAGUACCCCAUGGAUGUGUAUGGGUAUACAGACAUGGGAAUACUGAGAAGUGUAAUGUACUUGUAACGACGCACCUACGCACAGGUAAGAAGGUAAGUUACCAUAAUGAGUUGCCCUAUGGUUAAAGUGUGGCAAUAGCGCCUAUGUGUGGCUCAGUGCUUAAUGAUGAGCUGGCCUCCAUAUAGAAAUAUAUGGAGUAUAAACUGUGAUAAACAGUCAUGUGUGAACUGCAUCAUUGGGAAUUGGGCUGUGAUGGAAUUUUCUGCAGGUACACUAACCUCGAAAACGUAUGUGUAGUUGACGACUAGCAAAAUACCGUGAGAGUCGUUAGUAUGCCACCGAUAUAGAACGCUAUUGCCACAUUAGUUUGGCACAAAUUCGUGAGAACGUGUAGGGCGAGCAUGCAUAUUGAUUGUUGCAUUGUGUUUGUCACCUAUACACCCAAAAUGCUUCUCUCGUCUCUAUUCCAGUAGCCGAUGAUUGUAGGUAAAGUGGUGUAAUGCUGAAUUAUGAACUUCGAUGAAAUAGGUGUCCUCAAUUCUUAGGUAAUCUAUUUAGGAAUUAUAUGUGUUUGCUCUUGGGCUUGAUGUGCCGAUAGAAGGUUGGUGACUUGUUUGCCUGAACCCAAAAUCAAGCCAUGUUCUUAUUUGGUGAACUAGAACCCCAAAUUCGAAUUUACCAUUAUUCCUUCAUGACCAAACUCAUGUAAAUAAAUGCGUAGAUAAUUUCCUUGUUGGACCUAAAGUGUACCCGAACUUGAAACAAGAAUCUCGAGUCAUGUCUCCAUCCUAAACCAUAUCCUUAUUCAGUUGGUGCAAGCUGAUGUACCUUAUCCAGUUCGCUUGUUCUUAAGGAUCGCAUGUUGCUUUAUCAACCUAACCCAGAAAAGACCUGUCCGAGUAUUUUCUUGAAUUUGGUGCCUUUGAUUUUCUCAUGUCCAUUGAAGGCAUACCGAUUUCAUCUUGUGAUUGUUUUUCCCUCCGUAUCUAAUCAGAUACUAAUCCUUGACCUUGUAAUCUCUACAAUGGGCAUAGAAAUAUGCUCGGGGCUGAAUUAACAGUCUCCCAUUAUACUCCUUUCAUCAAGUCUAGGUUAUGGCCAUACCUUGUUCACUUCAUCGGGUCAUGAUCUAUUUGGUUCUCUACUUGUAACCAUUCUUACAGGUGGAGUAUCUCUUUGUAUAUUGUCACCCUUACUCAAUUCAUUUGUGUCGCGUGAGAUUUCUUAUUGGUUAUGUCUCGUAAUGGUGUUAUGACUAAAACUGGUGGUGCCGUGAUGAAACCGAGGGCCUUCUAUGUGUGUGCACACACGGUUAUGCUGCUCGGCACGCGCUGGUAUCAUGGUUAUAGUUGUAAUCCAUUAUGAGACAAUGUCAAUGCGUUAUCUUGGCACAAUCUGUUUUUGCUACGUAAGAUUCGUUAUUGGUGCCAGUUCGGUAGUGGUGUCAUGAUUAAGGACUUAUGGUGCCACAGCGAAACUGAGAGCCUCCUGUGAAUGCGCACACAGGAUUUUGCUGCUUGGCGCAUGCUGGUAUCAAGGUCUCUGGUCAUGAUCCAUUGUGGAACUACACUAAUAUAUUAUCUUCCGUAGAUCUCUUCCUUGAAACGAUUUUGGUGUUGUUUAUCGAAGUGACCAAGCAACAUCUAUCAUCUAUGUUGGAUCAAAAGGGCAUACCACUUUCAUGUGUGGUUUCUUUUCCUUGACUUUGAUAGUGACUUCACACAUACACAUUCCCUUUGCAUCCUUUUUGUAAAGGUGAAGCCUUGGAGCUUUUUAGUGUCGAGAGGCAACUGAUUAGCUCUCAAAAUGGAGAUUGGUUUCCCCUGCUGCUGAAAUGCAGGAGUUUGUUCAUUCGUUCUCUUAUUCAAUCCAUGUAUUCCCGAACCAAGUCAGUUCAUCUCGCAUGAAGAAACGGAAGAAUAACCCGACCAAAUGGAUUUCUACCCAACUACACGCUCAAGUGUUAAUAUGAGUGAACUCUCGACCGAUGGUACUGAGAGGACAUGCCCAAUGUCAAAAGUGGUUCAACAAGUUGGUUUUGACUAACUUGUAACUGCCCAGUGAACGAAGGCUGAGUUUAGAGAUCGUUUUGUCGAGUUAUCUAAACUCACUUUGGUUCAACCCAUCCCAAGAAAGUUCUUACAAAGAUCAAGUUAAAAUCGACUGAUAACUCCUAGUCAUCGCCCUAGUCAUGCCUCGAUCGCCUCACGUGUGCUUUUCCAGCAUGGGUGAUCAGGUCGAGCCAUGCCUAGUGCUCGAUAAAAUGGGUUGGUUGCGAAGGUAGCAUCUACAGAUCCCUCCGCUGGUGAUUCACUCGAAUCUAUACCCUCAUUCGUGGACUAGAAUUCUCGGGUUAGCCGUUAGCCACAUGUUAACCGCGACAGUAUUCAACAUCCCCACUUGCCUCGUGUGCUACGAGCUUACCGUGACCACUUGUUGGUAAACCUCCUUCGAUGUGUUUUACCCAAGAGGUUGCAUCUGAUUCUGUUUGGGUAAAGUCGCAUAUCCACCGCUCGCUCAACAGACUCAGAUAACACAGUGUCAUCAGAAAAAGCAAACUGCACACAUGGAACCUUAUGUGUUCUCAUGGCAGACAUCGUCUCUAUUGGUGGACAUCUCUAAAUUGGCUUAAGUCGAUACCUAUUAUGUCCACUAGGGAAACCUUAUCCUGAGACACUCGCCCUUGUUUGGAAAUGUCUCCCGAUUAUCGCUGAUAUGAACAUGGGGUAUAUGCAUCUCUACUCUUAAAAGUUUUUCGCUCCGAAUCUCGGGACGAGAUUCUUUUAAGGUGGGAGGGCUGUAACACCCGAGGUGUUUAUAUUCCGCUCGACAACGAGUACGGAUUAAGCACGUAAUAUCAGUGAAUAAAACAUAUGCUAAAUUUUAAAUCAUCUUCGUCUAGCACGAUUUUAAUAUUCGCAUCUGUUUCGUCUGUCGCGAGUUCGGCAUCAUUUGUAUCUAUCCGAGCUCUUCCGAAAUUUUCGUGUUGUUCGGAACAUAGUCGUUCCGAAAAUCUGUGCGUCCGAUGAUUAUUUAAAUUCAUCGCUCGUGCGAAUACGAAUUCGGAAGCUCGACCCACUCGGAUGAUUUUAUCCCGGGCAAAUUAAUUUGAAUUCGUCGACUAAGGUUUUUGGCGCAAAUAAUUAUGUCUCCACUCGUCAACCGAGAAAAUCGUGUCUGAGAAUUUAUAAUUGAGAUUCGAUUCUCCACAUAAAUUAUCUGUUGACGUGGAAUCGAGUGUCGACUGCGGAUGAAAUAAUUUGAUUUCAAAUCAAAUUGAACAUCGUUUGAAAUACGGUUGUUCACACCGUUCGGAUUUGUUCCGACGACGUCUCGCCCCGAUCCAAAACUUUGGAUAUAAAUAACAGGUACAAAUUCGUUCGAGUCCAAAGUAUUCGCCAAAUCAAAAUCAUGUCACGAUUACUGUCUACCCCGUAUACGUCGCUAAGAAAAUUUGGGAUCUAAAAUAUCUGUGAUUUUUCGGUUAAAGAAAUUAAAAAUCUAAAAAAAUGGAAAAUAUCCCAGAAUUUUUUUCCCAACCGUGCUUAUCUGUUCCCUGUGCGCGUCGUCAUCUUGUUCUAGCCGCCGCUCAUCCUGAAGAAAAAAAACGCACGAUUCUCCCUUAUCCUUUCUCCUCGCGCGACGGCCUGCAGCGGCCUUAUCUCCAGCAGCUAGCGCUCAGCUCCUGCUCGAUCUUCUUCCAUGGCGCGCGCCUGCUACUGGCGCUCGGCCUCCUGCCCACCCCCUGCGUUUUUCCCCUGCUGAAGCUUUUCCAUGGCAUCCUGUUUUCUGUGCGCGUUUCUCGGCGCCCGGCUCCCUGCUCGAGCUCCCCACCCAUGGCCGCCCUCAACCCCAUGGUCGAGCUCGCCCAGCUCCCUGCUCCGGUGACUAGCGCUCAGCGUCUGGAUCCCUGGAUGCUUGCCCUGCUCGCCGCCAUUCCGCUAGAUCCUGCGUGCUCCAGCCAUGGCGCCCUCCCUUGCUUCUCUCUCCCUCUGCCAUUCUCCAGCUCGCCCAGCCCCUGCUCCUGCUCGCCAUGGCUGCCGCGCCCUCCCAGCCGCAGAGUUACCGCGCGCGUGAGCUUCUCUUUUGGCCAUCGCUGUUCCCUGGUGCAGUCGCCUAUGCCGCGCGCUCUCUCUCCAGCGCCCACCCCCAGCUCGGCCCUCCACCUCCCUCUCGUCUGGAUACCGGUGCUGCUCGCCCUGAGCUCCUGCCUUGGCCGUCGCAGCUUCAAAUCCGUGGACGUCGCCCAUGGAAGCUCGCCGAACUGUGUCCAAACUUUUCCUGCGUCGGUCGUGGUCUUCAAGCACCGACGCGCGUGUCCCUGCUCCCAGAUCCAAGGCCGGUCGUCGUGUAUGCUCGCCUCGGUUGUGUGGCCAUGCUCCUGUCCCAGUCACCGCCGAUGAAGGUCCGUCCUGUAGCAGCACCCUAGUGGUCGUCGACUUGGAGCUCUGCAAUGACUCCAUGCCCGAGCUCGCCCUCAACUCUACAGCACCGCCGAGCUCGGUCCGGUCCUUUGCUGCAGCUCGUCCCCAUGGCCGCCGCAGUCCUGCCGAGAUCCCUGUCGUUCGCGCGCUGCUCCUCCCUCACCAUGCCGCGCGGAUCCCUCUCCUUCCAACCCUGCUCGGAUUGUGUCGCGCUUGCUGUCGCGUUCGGCCUGCUCCGGAUCCGAAGUUGGUCGCCUCGGUGUGAAAUCGUCGUCGCGUCCAGGUUUUGACAUGUCUCCCUACUCGUCGUCGAACUUGGGUUCCCUGCUCAGCCUUUAGCGCUAGCGCGUCGCCGUGAGGUUACCGUCUCGCCGUGAUUCCCUGGUGGUCCGUGUCUCUGCAUGUUCAAAUCGUCAACCUCGUGCACCACCUGCUCUCUAAAUGGGAAACCAACAGUCUUCUCCCUGCUCCUCUGCCCGCAGCCGCGUUCCUCUACCGGCCAUCAGUUGCCGCUGAACCACUGUCGGAUUAAUUUUCAGCUUCCCUCGCGCGGCUCUCUGGAGAUAAGCUCUUCAUCGACUGUCGCUCCCAAUCUUCAGUUCGCCGACUGACUGUCGUGUUCCUUAUUUUCCCUCGUCGGUCGACCUCGUCGCGACUUUGUUCGUCCAUCGUGCUGGUCGCUAUCCCAUACUGUACCUAUUAGCUCGGAUCCUGCCCAGCUCGUUGUCGCGUCGUUUGCCGUCGAGUCGUCAAACACGUCAUCCCCUGCUCGACCCCCACCUCACCAGCUCGCUCCAAACACGAUCUCGUCGUCGUUCCGCGCGUCAGCAAGAAAUCCCAAGAAUCGGGUGAAAACGAAGCUAGCAGCGCGAUAUUCCCUAAGCGCUCGACAAAUUGCCUGUAUCGGAAAAUCGCUACCGAUCCCGCGGAUUCGUGUCAGUUGUGGAAACGGUAAGCUGAUAAAUUAUUCAGAAUAGCUCGAUCGAUGAAUAAAUAAAUGUGCUAGUGCGAUGCUUAUUAAGGUGCUCGAUAAAUUGCGUAAGUCACGAAACUCUCGUCGACUUCGCAGUUCUUGCGAUUAUCGAGCCAGGUUCAGUUAUAGUGAGUUAUCUCGCUAUUCCGGUCAAUUAGUUGAAUUAGUAUACCGAGUAGAAUAUUAGUAGGCCUGUGAGGUGAUGAAAUAUUUUUAUCACUUAUAAAGAUGUAGUAUAAUUUAUAAAGCAAGGGAUUAGUUCAGAAUUUAAUUAAUUAACUGAUAAGUUGUGAUUAGGCUAAUUGUAUUUCUUGUGUAUAGUUUGUUGUUCGUGAUGUUUGCGAUAGGUUCGAGAAGCGUAAUUAUUGCGCUUAAUUGUACGUCGAUAAUUAGUAUCUCCGUAUGAAAUUGUUCAACGCCUCACCGCUAGGUGUUAAUUCGCUAUCGCGUAGUACUAUUUAGGUUUGUUAUAUUUCCGUCGAUAUGCAUUCAUGUGCAUAAUGCAUUCCAUUCAGGUACGUUAAUUAAUCGCGUGUUGCGGAAGACGAGCCAAGUCGACUCCAAGCGCGGGCUAUUCCGCAGGAUGAUGCUGAUGGACAAACCUGAAGAUGGUCGUCAAGUGGACGCCGUCUAACAAACACUAACCCAGUGUUUAUUCCAGGCAAGCCCUGGUGCAUGCAACCCCUUCCUUGUGUUUUUAAAUAAUUUUUGCGCACUUUAAGUCUAGUGAAAUGUGCAUUAGGUUUAUAUGAGUUGCUUGGAACCUUUGAUGCAUUGCCUUCCUUGAUAUCCAUACCUUUAUAGAUACUUCUGGUGAAGUAUCAAAAUAUGAUUUACAAAAAUGCUUAGCCCUGCUCAGAUCUUGUGGAUAGAGGUUGUCUUUUGCAUUAAGGCCUAGCUCAAGGGUUAUCCUGGGGAAAGAUGGCUUCUACCUGCAAGAAUAUUUUUGUUGAGAGCGUGGUGGGAUCUUACUGCAAAGUUCCCUUUGAUGCUCUUUUCUUCCUAAGGAAUACAAACAAUCCUAAGGGUGGAAGUACUUAAAUCGGGACUUGGGCUAGGAACAGGUGAUGUUCUACCCAGGUUGAUUAAGGAUUGGAUGCGUAUGUAGGCCUGCUAGAUCAAGGACUAUCUUAACUAGCCACAUACCCUGGAAAUGGGACAGGGUAAGCUUUGCCUCGGGCAGACUAAUACCAGAAUAAGAUAACACGCAAUGGGAGUGGAGAGAUGACGAGAGUAGCGUGUACCCUUCGUGGCAAGAGGCUGGACGGUGGUGUAUCUGUGCUCUCGGUUGGCGUGAACCUGAUCUGGUCUUAAGAACCCCAGUGGCGAGUUGACAUAUGCAAGGGUUAAGUGCUACAUAUGUCGUGUGGUUAGAAAUCCUCAGCUAAGUAAAUCGAUUCGGAUCACCGUUAUAUCCCCGAAGAGUGGAGACUUGAUCACUGACCUGCAACCUAAGUCAGGAUGUGGACAUUAUGAAUAAAAAUGAUGUUGUAUUGAUGAGAUGGUGAAAUUAGACUAGAUGCAAUCAGAGUCUAUUAAUAUUUAAUCUGGCGUUAAAACAUUGAAAGUAAGGAUUCACUUUAGUAAGCUAUUUCUGCAAAAAUAUCUAAGUUGAUUCUUGCUAAAGCCUUUUCCUUGAUUCCCAUUAAACCAGCAUACCCUUGAGAGUCUUUUCUUUUGUCGGGUAAGUCUUGCUGAGUAAUUCCAUACUCAGGGUUUUAUUCCCUGUUGUUUUUCAGGAUAUAACUUUGUGCUGCUGUGAUGGUGUUAAGUGCCGGUGGGCUCGGCCUUCUUAUAGAAGUAUACCCUGUCUUUAUCUUCUUAUUGAGGAUGGUCACUUGAGCUAGCAUAUAUUUCAAACUUAUACUUUUGUAAUCACUCCGAUAAAAUAUUAUAAAAUUUUUGUAACUUGUAAAAUUUGGUAAUAAGAUUUCCGCUGCAAAAAUAUUGAUGUGUGUGAUUUGUGUUACUUAAUCCCGCGGUUCUGGUUGUAAGUGGUUUAUCCGAUGUCCUUGGGGCACUCGGACGGAUCCUGUUAAGUUAUUUGGUGCACAUGCCUAGCCGUCUGAGGUCUUUGAGACAAGGACAUGUGCAUGUGGGCCCAAUAGCUUGGGAGGUUCUGCCACAAUUGGCCUUAAAAGUAAAAGAAGGGAAUUAUCUGACCAUAAAAGGAAGUUCCAAGGUCAGUCCAGCAGGAACACCCACCCGAACAACACUCAAGGUUCGCAGUUCCGCUCUGGAAAUUAGAGUGGAAACAAUUAUCAGAUGCAACGCUCUGGACAUCAAGGCCAGAGAAAUAAUCAAAGCUAGAACCAGCAAAGGAGCAACUCUCAGACCAACCAAAGGUCUGGUGGGAGUUCACAGAAUCGUCAAGGUGGCACCGUGAACACGUAGGCCAGAAGCAACAACGCACCAGUCCAACCCAAUGGUUGUUUCAAGUGCGGUGAACUUGGCCACUAUGCUAACAACUGCCCAAAGUGCAACCAACAGACAUCACAGAAAAGCAAUAAUUAGAGGAAUGACCAGAACACCCCCGCUCGUAGAUCUGCACAGAACAAGACUUCGCAGAACCAGCGUAGAGGAAGGGUCAAUCAUGUCACCGCAGAAUCAGUGCCUGAGGAUGCUGACGUGGUGUAUGGUAUGUUCCUUGUUAACUCCAUACCUGCAUCAGUUUUUUUGACUCUGGAGCAUCCCAUUCAUUUAUAACUGAGUCAUUUGUGGAAAAACAUAACAUACCAAAGUACCCCCUUAAGAAGAUGUUACACAUUAGUUCACCGGGAGGUGACAUGAAGGCCACACACUCAUGCCCCCAUGUUAAUCUUAAGAUUCAAGGAAUAGAUUUUUCAGUCGACCCAGUGGUCCUAGGAUCCAACGGUUUUGAUGUGAUUCUUGGAUGCAACUGGUUGAAAAGUUGUGAUGGAGUGAUUCAGUGUGCCAACAGAACAAUUACGUUGACAAGUCCUCAAGGUGAAAGAAUCCAAGUUAGCAUAGACAAGUCAACAGAUGAAAAAGGAAAGACAGUGAUAAAUCACUUGGAAGAAAAACCCCUGGAAAAUAUCAAGGUAGUGUUUGAGUACCCAGACGUAUUUCUGGAGGAAUUACCAGGUAUGCCACCUGACCGUGAUAUAGAGUUUUCAAUUGAAUUAUUACCCAGAACCGCACCUAUUUCAAAAAGACCUUAUAGAAUGGAUGUCAAGGAUUUAGUAGAACUGAAGAAACAAAUAGAAGAAUUACUAGAAAAAGGUUUCAUUCGCCCAAGUUCAUCCCCUUGGGGAGAACCAGUUCUAUUUGUGAACAAGAAGGAUGGUUCGAGGAGAAUGUGUGUUGAUUAUAGAAGUUUGAAUGAAGUAACCAUCAAGAAUAAGUACCCAUUACCUCAGAUUGAAGAUUUAUUUGAUCAGAUGAAGGGAGCUAAGAUAUUCUUGAAGAUAGAUCUGAGAUCAGGAUAUCACCAGUUAGAAAUUCGAGCAGAAGAUGUACCGAAGACAACCUUCACGACAAGAUAUGGAUUAUAUGAGUUUUUGGUCAUGUCGUUUGGACUGACUAAUGCACCAGCAUACUUUAUGAACUUGAUGAAUAAAGUAUUCAUGGAAUAUUUGGAUCAGUUUGUGGUCGUAUUCAUUGACGACAUACUGAUAUAUUCUCCGAAUGAAGAAACACAUGAAGAUCAUUUAAGGCUAGUCCUACAAAAGCUUCGUGACAACCAAUUAUAUGCAAAAUUCUCGAAGUGUGAUUUUUGGUUGAAGGAAGUUGCUUUCUUAGGGCAUAUCGUUACCGAUGGUGGAAUUAAAGUGGACCCAGGAAAGAUAAGUGAGAUACUGGAUUGGAAGCAACCAAAGGAUGCGUCCAAGAUCAGAAGUUUUCUUGGAUUGGCAGGAUACUAUAGAAGAUUUAUUGAAGGUUUUUCCAAGUUAGUGAAACCACUUACCUCUCUACUGGAGAAAGGUAAAGAGUUCAAGUGGGAUGAAGCUUGUCAGAAUUGUUUUGAAGAACUCAAGAAAAGGUUAACCACUGCACCAAUUUUGGUAAUGCCAGACAUCCACAAGGGAUUUGAUGUGUAUUGCGAUGCAUCACACCUUGGACUUGGAUGUGUGCUAAUGUAAGAAGGAAAAGUGAUAGCUUAUGCCUCAAGGCAGUUGAGGAAGCAUGAGAAGAAUUAUCCUACGCAUGAUUUGGAACUAGCUGUCGUAGUGCAUGCUUUGAAGAUUUGGAGACACUAUAUGAUUGGAAACAAGUGCAAAAUCUUCAAGGAUCACAAAAGCUUGAAAUACAUAUUCACUCAGAAGGAACUCAAUCUAAGACAGAGAAGAUGGCUUGAGUUGAUUAAGGCAUAUGAUUUGGAAAUACAAUAUCACCCCGGAAAGGCAAAUGUAGUAGCUGAUGCUUUGAGUCGUAAGGGUCAAGUGAACAACAUCACUACUCAUUUGAUGUCACAAGAAUUGUGCUGGGAAAUGGAACAACUCAACCUUGGUAUGCUUAAUAAUGUAGAAGCAACGGUUAUGGAAGUUGAAUCUACUUUGGAAGAAGCGAUUCGUAAAGGACAAGAGUCUGAUGAGAAAAUCAAAGAAAUCAAGACACAAAUUAGUUUGGGUAAAGCCCCAGAUUUCACGGAAGAUGAACAAGGCACAGUAUGGUUUAAGAAGAGAAUAUGUGUACCAGAAAUUGAACACCUGCGCCAACUUAUUUUGAGAGAAGCUCAUGAUUCAGCUUAUUCUAUUCACCCUAGAAGUACAAAGGUGUACCAGGAUCUUAAGGAAAAGUAUUGGUGGUACAGAUUGAAAAGAGAUGUUGCUACUCAUGUUGCAUUAUGUGACGUGUGUCAGCGAGUUAAAGCCGAACACCAAAGACCAGCAGGAUUACUACAACCUCUCAAGGUACCUGAAUGGAAAUGGGAAGAAAUCGGUAUGGAUUUCAUAGUUGGACUACCCCAUACUCGAGAUGGCUAUGAUUCAAUAUGGGUCAUAGUGGACAAGUUGACUAAAGUGGCACACUUUAUACCUGUGAAGACAACUCACUCGGGAGCCUAGUUAGCAGAAUUAUACAUGUCAAGGAUUGUUUGUGUGCAUGGAGUACCGAAGAAGAUCGUAUUAGAUCGAGGAACCCAGUUUACCUCACGUUUUUGGAAAAGACUACAUGAGUCCAUGGAUACCAAGCUAAACUUUAGUUCAGCUUAUCAUCCGCAAACGGAUGGGCAAACGGAAAGAACAAACCAAGUGUUGGAAGAUAUGCUAAGAGCUUGCGCUCUAAAGCAUGGUAGAAGCUGGGAUAAGAGUUUGCCUUAUGUAGAAUUUUCGUAUAACAACAGUUAUCAGGCAAGUUUAAAGAUGGCACCAUUUGAAGCACUAUAUGGACGAAAGUGUAGAACAUCGCUUUAUUGGAAUCAGACUGGAGAAAGUCAAGUAUUUGGUCCAGAAAUUAUCCAAGAGGCGGAAAAGCAAGUGCAGAUUAUUAGAGAAAAUUUGAAGAUAGCACAGUCAAGACAAAAGCUAUGCUGAUAAUAGAAGAAGAGAGUUGAUGUUCGAAGUAUGAGACUUUGUCUACCUUAAAGUUUCACCGAUGAGAGGAAUGAAAAGGUUUAAGGUUAAAGGAAAAUUAUCUCCUCGCUAUAUCGGCCCAUUCAAGAUUUUGGAAAGAAAAGGUGAAGUAGCCUACCAGUUAGAGCUACCCGAUAGUUUAUCGGAUGUGCAUAACGUAUUUCACGUAUCACAACUCAAGAAGUGUUUAAGAGUACCGGAGGAACAGUUACCCAUGGAAGAACUGAAUGUCAAUGAGGAUUUGACUUAUUCGGAAUACCCUGUCAGAAUUCUAGAAACAUCUCGCAGAAUUACACGGAGUAGAGUCAUUAACAUGUGCAAAGUUCAGUGGAGUCAUCAUUCGGAAGAUGAAGCCACUUGGGAAAGAGAAGAUGAACUCAGAGCAGAAUUCCCCCAGUUAUUCCUAGAAGUUUCUUAAUCUAGAGGACGAGAUUCUUUUAAGAGGGGUAGGUUUGUAACACCAUAAAAGCCAUCAACUAAAAAUAAUAAAUUUGGUUAUUAUGUUAAAUAUGGUAAUAAUUUUUUAAGUGUUUAAUUAUUUAUUUGCACUUUGAAUCAUUUUCUUUGUAUGCGCAUCAGAUGUUUUAUAGCAAUGCUUCUUAAAAGAAAUCCUUGUAAUUAAUAUGAUAAUUAAAUAAUUAUUAGUCUAAAAAUAAAUAUUGUAUUUAUAAAUAAUUUUGGUGAAUUUCUGAUAAAUUUUUGAGCUAUCUAAAAAUGUAUUUCGAAAUCAAAAAAAAACCCACCUAACCUAACUGGCCCACCAGGGCCUAUCUAAACUUUCCUACACGCGUGCGCGCCUGGAGCCAGCAGCCGCCGCUGCCAGCCUAUCUCCCUCCCCUAUCUCUCUUCUCUCUCUCCUCCCUACUCUCUCUGCACGCCGUCGUGGCCCCGCGACGCCCGACCCUGCCCUGCACCAGCCCGCGACGCGCCCCAUGACUCCGCCGAGCGAGCCCCUGCGCCACCCCGGACGUGACCUCGACCGAAGCUGCGCCCGACCCGAUGUUCCGACCGCGAACCGACGUCGCGCCCGCCACGUCCGAAGCCCCACGCGUCCGUUCGUUCCUCGCCAUUAAAGGAGCGUCAACUCCUCUGUUUCUUCCUCCUCCCAUUAUUUCUCUCUUUGGUAACCGACGCAUUGAUGGCAUUUGAAGACCGACGACGCCAUCAUGAACUCCCUGGCCGACUCUCCCUCUCCCCUCCCUCUCUCUAUAAAAGGGCAGCCGAGCUCUCUCUCCAGUCUCCCCUACCCGAGCUUGCCCUUCUCUCUAGCUCUCCUCGCUCUCCAUCGCUAGUGCACUGCUCGUCGCUAGAGGUUGCCGUUCGUCGUUGGAGUUCGCCGCAGUUCACCGGAGCUCGCCGUUCAUCGCCGGAGCCACGCACCCGCCAUCCGAAGACUAAACCCUGCUCUUCUCCAUCCGGCCGAAACCCCGUCGAACCAUCCCCGUCACACGCACGAACCCAAGGUUGAAGACGACCAAAAUUAAUUUGUGUAUUUUAUAAAAUACUUUUGAUUCGAUUCAUGAAUUGUAUAUAUAUGUUGUUGUAAUAUGAACAUGUGUGAUCCGCAAUUCAUGUGUAUGUGCGUUAUGGAAUUUUUGGUAGAGAUAUGUGAUUAUUAGUGCACCGUGAUAAUUCAUGUUAGUUGAUGCGAUGAUUUUUGGAUUAGAGAAAUAUGACGAGAAUUUAGUAGUCGCACGUUGGUGAUAAAAACACUAGAUAGGAAAUUUUGUAGUUAAAAUUUGGUCACACUGAACUUUAGAAACUAUUUGGAGAAUUGUAGUCAUAGGUUCAUUUUAAUGGAUUUGGAAAAUAGCAUAGAAUUCAUGUCAUAUAAGCAAUAUAGGAUUUUAAAUGAUUCAGCUCCGAUUAUUUUAUUAGUAUUUUCUUUUAGAAAGAAAGGAGAAAAUAUCACCAGUAGUAUGGAAAAUAGAUUUUUACUAGCCAAAUAAACAUGUUCGCAAGUAUAGCGCUUAAAUUCUUAGAGUUAGUAAAAUACCUGUUUAGGUCAAAUAAACCCCGCUUAUGUUAUAAAAAGUCCAAUUAGUAAUUUAUAUGGAUUUUUAGAAUAUUAAUAUUAAUAUAUUCAUUUUUAGCCAUACUCAACAAUUCAAGUUAAGGAUAAAAAGAAUAAAAACUACUAGUCUAUUUAUUAGUAUUAAAGACAAUAACUACCAUUUAUUUUCAUUAAGGAUGUUAAUACGUAUUAAUACUAGUUAAAACUGUAUUUAUAGCACUCACCCCUAAAUUCACCAUUUAGGACUCACAAUAAUAACUAUAAUUGAAUUAAUAAGUAUUUACGUGUUUAGUACGUAUUUAAGGUGUGAUAAGUGCGAUAUGUUAAUGUGUAUGUAAUGGUGUAUGUUUAUGUAAUGGUGUGUGUUUAUUUAUUGGUGUAUGUUUUAUUUUUGUAUGUGCGAUGUGCGACUCUAUUAGAAGCCGACUGUGUGGUAGAGGAUUCGAAUACGUUCGAAGAUGAACCACAGGACACUUUUGAGCAAGGCAAGUGGAUUCUCCCUCUGUAUAUUCUUUUUGUACCCAAUCAUUUCAUAAAAUAAUGUUUACUUUUUAAUAUACUGCAUAAUUUGAUGGGUUUUACCUAAUUAAGGAUUUCCUAGAUUUACCAACUAUAUUCCUUGUUUACCCUGGGAAAAUUAUUAAGCUUUGUAAACUUGUGCUACCGCUCCACUUAAUAACUUUUAUGUCACUCAUUAAUUGAUAUUAAUGUUCCGAUAAUGAAAUUGGCAAUUAUGACAUUAACCCGAUGGUUAAAACAACAUUAUUUCAUAUUAAUUGGAACAUUGGAGUGACCACCUAGGAUAACAGUGCAACCACGAGUGCUAUCAUGGCUCUGGCUUUGGUAAUUAGCUUUAUAUGCUUAGUGCCUGGCAACCUUACCUGGAAUAUGGGCAAGAGGGGGAGCGGUAGGUGUUGGCAGCCCACAUUAACAUGGGAACGUAUUCUUGGCUAAGGUACCUCACCCAGGGGGGCCACCACCAUCGUCUUUAGAAACCUUAGCGGGUUGCUUCGUAUUAAGUGUAUUUUGUGAAAGCCUCAUAAUGGAUCUCUAGCCAUUCACCUCGGCAGUGUUUAAGGGUCCGAUCAACCCAGGCUAGAUGGGAUACAUGGCUUGUGGGUAAAGUUGUACCACCUCUGCAGAGUGUAAAACUGAUAUAUCAGCCGUGCUCCCGGUUAUGAGCGACCUGGACUCCUCACAUGAUAAUUGAACUUGAAGAUGGAAAUAAACUGAGAUCCAAUGAUCUGCCAAUUGUUCGCUUAAGUGGUUUCACUUAAGUGUUUUUGUUAUACUCAUAUUCCUUUGUUUAAUUGGGAUACUUGGGAUUCACACUUAUUAGUAAGACAGGUGUUGUUACUAAAAUAUUGACCAACUAAAAUGCUUACUGCUCAACCUUAGCCUCACCUUGUUAUACCUGCAUUAAUUUUUCCCCCACUUGCUAAGCCCCGACCAUAAGUGAGCUCACCCUUGCUAAUAUUUUGAUCAGAGGGUGAUGCUGGAGACUUUGAUGGAGAUUUUGACGACGAUGAAUUCUAAGUCUAACGAUACGCCGGUCAUCUUCCUAUGGGAGAUUGCCCCUGUUAUUUAAAUUCCGCUUUACUUUGAUGUGAUACUUGUUAAAGAUACAAUGAUUCAGAUGAUGUAAUAAAGUAUUCUACUCUCUUUACGCCUUUAUUGCAUUGUCUUUUGAUAUAUUACACUUGUGACAUCAACAUAUGUGCGGAAAUGGAUCUUGGCACACAUAUGGUAUGCGCUCGGUUCUACCCCCUGGAACCGGGUGUGACAACCCCGACCCCACCUGUCAACCCCGUCCCCUCCAACCAUCCGCCCGCGUGCUCUGCACGCACGCCGAGGACCCCACGCUCAUGUCAAGUGUCAGGAACGCAACUGUCACACCCCUAACCACUUGAACCCCUCCAGAGCCCCACUCAGUCUCCCCUCCCUCAUUUGCAUGCCCAUAGAGCCAAGGCCCCAUCCCCGCGUUGCUCGCAUGCCAGGGAAGAACCGCUGCCGUUCACCGUCGUCCCGAGCCUCUUCCUCCAUCGACGUUGGGGCCCCACCAUGCCUAUUGCCAUGGUAAGCCUCACCCCAAUGCCCGCAACUCAUGACAUGCCCCAAUUUUCCCCCUCUCCUUCUGAUUUGCUCUGUACACGCUCACCCGUCGUCCUCCGCGUAGUCCCGGUGCCGUCGUUGUCGACCUGAGCCACCGAUGUGUUGUUGCCACUGCCGAGAGGUCCCUAAGGUUUGCCGUGAGGUAAGGAACCUCCCCCGCCCCUCCAGUUCCCUCCCUCGCUCUCUGCAGCGUGUAAUUGCACAUCGGAGUUCCCAGCGACGUCGCUAAGCCGCCUCACUGUGGACCACCACACUUUGGUGCCCCUACAUCGGUUUAGCUCCCACCAUUGGGUUCCUUGCACCUUCCCUAAUCUUCCCAGGCCAUCCCAGUCGCCUUAAGACCCCUAGAGCACUCGCGCCCCGCGUCUCCGGCGAGCUCCUCACCGCGGACACGGGCGACACCACCUAUGGUGGCUGAAGGAAAGGGCCGAAGCCAGCUGCCCAAUCCCCACCAUUCAUCUCAAAUUUAACAAUCAUAUUUUAAUUAACCUGAGCCUAAUCAUAACUGUCCACCUGAGAUCUGAUGGCCCAGCCACCGUGCCCGCACCCGCGUCCGUGCCCCUGGGCCCUGCUCGUUAGCCGUCUGAGCCCUGCGCCAUGCUUUCGGUCGAGGCGAGAAUCCGACAACCAUCUGAGCCCCGCGCCACGCCCUCAGCCGAGGCAAGAAUCCAUCAGUCGUCCGAGCCCUGGGCCUCACCCUUGGCCGAGGCAAGAAUCUGUCAGUCGUCUGAGCCCUGCGCCGCGCCCUCGGUCGAGACGAGAAUCCCCAUCGUCUAAACCCCAUCUCAAUUUCUUCUCUAUGCCCGGCGUGGCCAUGGCGCCCACCCUCGGCGGGUUCGUGCUCGCUCUCAGCAUGGCCAGCCCUUGCACCCUAGCACUACCGAGUCACCAAGCUUGAUCCCACCGACGCCCCUGUAGCCCCAUUAUCUCCUCUUCGAAAUGACUCACUGGGCCGACGUCGAAGCCCCUCAAGCGCCCGUGCCUCCGAUCCCCUCCAUGCGGCCACCGGAGUCGUCCCGUCCUAGCAUGCCAAGCUUUGGCUGCACCCCCUGCUUGUCUACCCCCUCAGGCGUUGCUCCGGUCGUGGCCGUCAGUGACGCCUCAGUCGCUCGACAGCCUCCACUAAUUCUCAUACCCUUAAUCGUGCUACAUGCGCCGCGUGCAUGCCCUAUCACACAACCAUCAUUGCCUCGCCACCUCAUCAUGCAGCCACCACCGCUAAUCUGUGAUAAUCUAUAAAUGCAAUAUCCCUCGUGUCAUAAAAUCUGUUGCAAUCCAUUCCAGUCGUGAUACUUGUUUGACCUUAACCUUUGAGCUAUUCUUCCUUGCAUGGUUAGUCAAGCAACAAGUAGCAUGAUAUUUUAAACAAUAUUUACAUGUGCUAGUGUUGGAGGAGCUACCAUUAGAAUCUACCACUAAGGGUGAAGUGGUGUAGUUCUUGCACUUGUCAAUUUGCACUUGAAGUUCUUGGUUUUGAACCUUCAAACUUGAUAUGCUUGACACAAGUGCUUCUUUGGCAUUUGCAAGACCAACUAUAGAUGUUUUCGCACAAGAAAUCUCUUGUGUCUCUUGUGUUCUUGCUCAUUGUGUUUGUUCGUGUUCUUCAUUCUCUCACCAUUCUAUGGAAAAUUGUCCAUAUCUUUUUGGUGUGUGGAUUUUGAGAAGUGCCCUUCUCAUAUCUACUACUUUGAACCAUGUGGAUCAUUUAGGACAUCCCAUUUACAAAGUUAACUAGGUGAAUUUCGAGAUCAAUUCAAUUUUAUAUCUCAUUCUUUAGUUGAGCUCGUGCAGACCGGUUGAACCAGUUUUACCCAGUUUGUUUCUAGUUUUUGUUGGAAAAAAUUUCUGCUUGCCUAUUCACCCCCUCUAGGAAACUUUCAAUUGAUAUCAGAACAUAGCAUGAAAAAUAAAAUGAUUAGUGAAUUUGGUUUAAAUGGGUAUAAUGUCAUCACUAAGCUUAUGGAGAAGCUAGAGAAAAGAAAAUCAACUCUUGAUGCUCAAGAAGACUUGCUCAUCCUUGAAAAGGAGAGAGAAACUUAGAGCUUCAAGGGUUGAUAUCUAGUAAGGAUGAAAUGUUGGAUGCUUUAACUAAGGAAAUGUCUCUAGUCAAAGUAACUAUAGAGGAUAAAGAAAAUGAACUCUCUUGUGUUCUUGAUCAUUGUGUUUGUUCGUGUUCUUCGUUCUUUCUCUUUGUGUAGGCACCUAUACACACUUGGCAACCAUCUUACCGUGGUUCCAAGUCAAUAUGUAAUCACACAGAUAAGAGCUAGAGUUAAGAAUAGGAGCCUUUUCUCCUUUUGUUAUAUGAUUUUUUCGUAUUGCUCUUCAAGAAACCCAUGUUGAUCAUGUUAUGAGCUUGGAUAGGUUGUAGCAAAGUGCCAUUCGUCCAUGGUUGUUUCUUAGGGACUUAUUCUUGGCGUCAAAUUUUGUUGAUACAUCAUCGUUGGUGAACGUCUUCUUGAUAAUGUACCUAGCUUGACCUUGAGUGCACCUAGCUUAUCAAGGUUAGUCACACAAGCAUUCAUAUCAUAUCUUAACCAAUGAAGACAAGUUAUGCAUGGAAUUUACAACUCAGUGAUCCAAUCCAGUGUGAAGCAUUUGGAUACCAAUAGUAAUAUGGUCAAGCCAAUUCACGAUUCCUCAUAUCUUGUUCAUUUUGCCUUGACCAAUCCUCUUAAUCACUUCAAUCUCUAUUUUGAUCAUAUUUAUGCAUAGUGAUUUCUCAAGUCUUGUCCAUAUAUUCAAAACAAUAUAGAGACCAUAUUAUAUCCAUUUUCAUUGUUUCAUUGAUUAUUUAACCUUGUGUUGAACCUUUGUUCACUGAUCAUUAUGCACUAUUCAUGUAUGUUCAUCAUACUUAAUUUCCUGUUCAACACUUAGCAAACUUGUUAAACCUUUAAAUGUGUUGCUAUCCAAAUCACCAAAACCCACAAAACGGGAUGAAUGCACUUUCAAAGAUGUCGUUGUAGGAGUCGAGCAGAGCCUUCGUCAGGUCAUGUGGUGCGGUCACGGUAGAGCAGUGUGGCCCAAGGGCACCCAUGCUAGACCACGUGAUCAUGUGGUCGUCGUGCUAGAACGUCAUAUGGAAUGCGUCAAAGUUCCACAUGAUUGCUCCCAAGGAGGGGUGCCACUGAACACCUAGGAUGACAUUGAAGCUAGUGAUAGAGAGGACAAAGUAGUAAAUGUCAAAGUUCUCAGUGUCGAUGGAGAUGUGUUGCCGGAGGGCUACGCCUUUGUUGGCGAUACAGUCGUUGUUCGUGACCUUGACAGAGAGAUCCUUGUGUGGCGUAACAUGCAAGCCUAGCUAAAAGGCCACCUCCUGCAGUACGAACAUGUGUGUGGAGACUGAGUCAACAAGCGCCAUGAGUGGGGUGUCAUUGAUUCGGAUCUUUAGCUACAUGGUAGCGCCGACGUCGAUGCUCGUUAGGGCAUGCGACGAGAUACCCAAUGCCUUGGCUACUUCAUCCAUCUCCUGGUCAUCGUCCAGUUCCAUCAGAAAUACCCCCAUGCCUGCACACUUAUGGUUAGGUGUGUAUUCCUCUAGGCAGUGGUAGCACUCCCCAUUCGCCUGCUUCACCGCCAGCGCGUUAGUGGCCAGCCGUCAGAACCGAGGUCUGGUGGGGGUUGUCAGUCCUAGGACCCUAGGUUUGGGCUAGCCAGCUGUAACGCCCUGAAUUUGGGGGUAGAAUUUUUUUUCUUCUUUUUACUCACCAAAUUCAGGCGUUACUCUCUUUCCUUUCCCUGUUUCGCUCCUUCUUACCAAUUUCAAAGCAAUAUAGUGACGGGUGUCCGUGUCAUGUAUAAACAAAAACCUAAGUGUCAUGGGUGUUGCAUCAUGCCGAAUCACAUUUCUUUGUCUGAUGUCGCAUGUUCGUCUCGCCCCGUUUCGGACUUUGGUUCGCGAUCGGAUUUCGUUUAGUGGUCGUGCGUGUCGUGGGUUUUGAUCCGCGAUGUGACACAGCCUGGCCCAGCCUGGCCCAGCCCGGCCCGGUCUAGCCCGCGCGCCCCUGGUGCCCCCUGCCCUCCCCAUGCGCGUGCCCCCUCCCCCUAAUCCCUUUGUUUCAUUUGAUUUUCUCCCGUGCAGUAACCUCCCUCUCCCUCUUCCACCUCUCUCUCCCCCGUGGUGCCCUAGGGUUUGGAGACAAGAUCGCCGGAGUUUGGAUCCCCGAGGUGAGUUUUCCCCUCCCCUUCCCUUCUCUCUCUCUCCAUCCCCUCCCUUUCUUCUUCCCCUGGACGCGUGCCCUUCCCCUUGGUCGCACCCCUCCCCUGCUCGCGCGCCGCGCCCUGCUCGCGGGCCCACCCCCGCCGCGAGCCCCUGCCCCGCGCGCGCUCUCCCCUACUCCCCGGUGAGCCCGCCCCGUUGCGGCCCCUCCCCGGCGGCCCUCCCCGUCGCGGCCCCUGCCCCAGCGAGCCCUCGUCCCGCGGUGAGCCCCUCCCCGGCGGCUUUCCUCGUCGCGCCCUCCCCGGCAGUGCGCCCCGGCGGCCGCGCCUGGCCCCAUGUCCCGUGCCCCGGCCCCCGCCCGCCAGUGGCCGCGCCCGUGCCGCGCCCUAGCCGUGCGCCCUCGGCCGCGUGCCCCGGCCAUGCCCCCGACUGCACCCUCGCGUGCCCCUGGCCGAGCCCGUGCCCCGGCACCUCGCGCCACGCGCGCCUGCACGGUUCGCGUGCCCUCGUCACGCGCAGCGUGCUCUCGCGUGUGCGACCGUAGUCGCGCUGCGUUUAACCCUCAUUUUAAUCCAUGUUAAUUUUGUUUAGUCGAUGUGCUGCAUCGCGCGCUUCGCCACGCGACGGUUCAUUCUAAUUUCAUCCUUAUUAAUGUGCUGCGACGAUUCCUUAAAUUUAUAUUUAUUAAUGUGUCGCGUCGCACGCUUCGUCGCGCGACGAUUUGUUUUAAAUGCAGUUCCGUUGACGUAAGCCGUCGUGCGUUUCGUCGCGCAACGCUUAACGUUUAUCUAUAAUUAAUGCAAGAAUCUCAUGGCACGCUCUGUCGCGCGGCGAGUCGUUUACUUCUUAAUUCAAUCUAAAUGCGGUGUCGUACGUCUCGCCGUGCGAUCACUCCCUUUCAUUCAUCUUUAUCUAUUUAUAAUGAUUAAAUGUGGAACAUGACCUUACUUUAUGCUAAACGCAGUGUCCAAAUUAAUGCCCUUCUGUUAAACAAGUAGUCUAGUUUAUAAUUAUGCAACGCGAUCACUUCUCGACCGUAGACUCGACUGUCAUUUCAUCUUUCUCUCUUAACCGUAAUUGCGAGCCCCACGUGGAACGUCUGUUUAUUUAUUGCAUUCUAUUGUAUGGUCCAAAUUAAUGCUCGGUGUAUGCGGCUCGCUCUGCCAAGUUUGGUUCGCCCCUUGGGGAGGAGUGCGGUACAUUUAGGAAACCUAACAGGAUGCUACAGCCCCGGGGAGUCUUUGUAAAGGCUACGUAGUGAUACCCUGCUGGGUCACCUUGGUAGUGAUCAAUGGAGAGUCAUGAUCUCCGGGCAGAAAGGGAAUCACGGCUUGUGGGUAAAGUUCGCAACCUCUGCAGAGUGUAUGAAAAACUGAUAUAUCAGUCGUGCUCAUGGUUAUGAGUGGCCAAGGGAGCUCCAGUGAUUAGUGAUACUUGGUCACAGAUGUUUGGAUUACAGGUGGCAAUGAGAAUGAUGGUUUCGGUAUUGACUCUGGUGAUGGUAAGUGGUAUUCUUUCUGUUUGGAAAGGGUACUUUGGGUUAAUAACGUGGGUUAAUUCUAAAACUUGGCUUUCUCUACUAGUAAUAAUAAUCUGACCAACUAAAAGCAACUGCUUGACUUACCCCCAUAUAAAGCUAGUCCACUAUAGCCAAACAGGACACUUGUUGAGUAUGUUGAUGUGUACUCACCCUUGCUCUACACACCAACCCCCCAGGUUGUCCACAUUGCAACCACUGCUCAGGAGAAGAUGAAGCCGUGGAAGGAGACUUGUAGGAGUUCCAAGAUUACGACGAGUUCUAGGCGUGGGUUAGCGGAAACCCCCAGUCGGCUGCCUGUGAAGGCCGCGUAUAUCUACGUUUCUUUUCCGCACUUUGAUUAUUGUAAAGACUAUGUGGAUGUCUCAGACAUAUGAUGUAAUCGACUAUUAUUCCCCUUUUAUGUUAUUAUUUGAGCAUUGUGUGAUGAUGUCCAGUUAUGUAACUGCUGUGUACGUGAAUUGCUGAUCCUGGCACGUACAUGGUUUGCAUUCGGUUUGCCUUCUAAAAUCGGGUGUGACAUAGGUGGUAUCAAAGUCAUGCUGACUGUAGGACCGCUAACCUAGAGUAGAAUGGUCACUCUAAGGAUUAUAGACCCCUAUUCCUACCUUGACUUUGGUAUCCCUUCAAAAGUUGGUCAUAUCGACCAAACCUAUGUUCUACUAUAUAUUAUACCUUGCUGAAAAUUGUGUUUUAUUCUAAUCCUUCAUUUAUUUAUGGUUUACUUGCUGGUCAUAUUAGUUCUGUUCUCACUCUUAUGCUUAUGGUGUCUUUUGUAGAUGGCUCGUCUUAGACACACUGCACGGAAGUCUGUCAUCCCCUUCUUACCCUCUCGUCUCGCGGAGCGUCCGCUUCACCGUCCAGUGACCGGUCAGUCCAGCCACUUGGAGAGGCUGCACCACCGCUUGCAUGAGGAGCAGGAGCGUCAACGAUAGGAGCAGGAGCAGCAGGGCUCUUCUUUCUCGCUCCAGCAGGAGAUAUAGUCUGUGAGGAGCUGCUCCCCUGUGCUUUCGCUGGAGGCGCCCCCUGCACCACCACUGAGCGUCCCAGCCCCUGGAGUAGGUGCUGGAGGAGACCUAGAUGACGGAGGUGGCGACAGCAGCUCGAGCUUCAACACCGACCUUUCCACCGACCAGGAGCUGGAAGGAUGGGUUGCUCGACCCAUCACUCGGGACGCUGCUCGCGGGUGUCACUUCCACGACGCGCUCGACACCCUGCUAAGCUAGGCACUCGAACGGCAUACUUGGUCCAUCGAGUAUCAUUGUGUGAUCUUCCAGCACAGUCGCAGGGUCUACCCGGACUGCUGGGAGGCGACCUGCUUGGUGCGCAGUCCGGAGAACAGUCUCUAGGGUGCGGAGGUCUGCUCAGAGCACUAUUCCAUCUCUUAGCAGGACUCAGCUGAGGCGGCCAUGCAAGAUGCCACACGGCGUGCGCUUUCGCACUACUGUUCAGUGCUCGGUGGGGUAGCUGAUGGUCUCAACCUGAAGUAUUACCCCCGCCGUCCAUCUGACAGCACAGGAGGCGUGAUUGUCUCACCUGUUGGCGAGGACAAUCCUAGGUUGAGCAGCACAGUCAACCUAGCCGCCGUGCUAAACACGGAGCUGGACCAUGCACUAGACGAGCUGAGUAGGGCUCGUGCUGAGAUCGCCCAACUGCGGGCUGAGCGCGCAAAGCGUCGUCACCUGGAUGAUGGCUCCCCCGCUCCCAUCGGGACUCAGCAAUCGUACCGCUCACCUCGGCGUGGACACCAGUCCUAUGGCAACCCCGACUGCAAGACCAGGAUAAAUUUAGAACCAUAGAUCAUCAGCGUCGAAUCUUGUAAUUAAUACAAAAAUAUAUACAUAGAAGCUAUAGUCUUGCUUUUAGUUAGUCUUGGUUAGACAGGGUAGUUUGCUUAUCAUGUGCAUUUAUGUUUGUCAUGAUGAACUAUGUUGGAUUUGGAUCUUUGUAAUGACUGUCACCGGAGUGUGGGUAUCCCCUGCAUUUUGGUUUAUCUAUUAUAUGUUAGUGAAGUUAGCUGUCUAGUUGGGAAGUCUUUUUAUUCCACUUUCCUCUUUAUCUGAGAAGCUGUGUUGGUCUGUGUUGGAGAUCAGUGAAGAUGCUCAGCUGUUCAGUGUUGUGGAAGAAUUAUAUACUCUUUUCUUAUGCUGCAAGUUUUGCAAGAUCAGUUCUGAUGUGUGGUUGCAUUCUGCAGAUGUCAGAAAACAGGCGCAGAGGAGGAAGGCGUGCUCAGCAGGGGCAUGCAGCCCCGCAGGUUGAGGCGCCCUAGCAACAACAGCUGCCACCCCCGCCCCCGAUGUCCAUCGAGCAGAUGUUCAUGAUGCAGACUCAGGCAGUUCAAGCCAUCGGUCAGACUCUGACCGCCAUUCAGCAGCAGCAGCAGCCACCACCUCAGCCUCAGAUGCCCAGGGACAAGCGUGCUGAAUUCAUGAGAGGUCAUCCCCUAGUGUUCGCUCAUUCUUCUGACCCCGUGGAUGCUGAAGACUGGCUGCGUACUGUGGAGCGCGAAUUGCAUGCCGCUCAGUGUGAUGACAGGGAGAAAGUUCUGUAUGGUCCCCGUCUAUUGAGAGGAGCAGCCCAGUCCUGGUGGGAGUCUUAUCUUGCCACCCAUGCCAACCCCGACACCAUCACCUGGGAGGAAUUCAGAGGCAAUUUUCGACAGUACCAUGUCCCAGCAGGUCUGAUGACAGUGAAGAAGGAGGAGUUCCUGGCACUCAAGCAAGGACCUAUGUCUAUCAGUGAGUACCGAGACAAGUUUCUGCAGCCGUCUCGCUAUGCUCCUGAAGAUGUCAACACCGACACCAAGAGACAGUAUCGUUUCCUGAGAGGCUUAGUCGACCCUCUUCAGUAUCAGCUGAUGAAUCAUACCUUCCCGACAUUCCAGCACCUGAUUGAUAGAGCAAUCAUGACAGAGAGGAAGCGUAAAGAGAUGGAGGAUCGCAAGCGCAAGAUCAGUGGACCUCAGCCUGGAAGCAGCAAUCGCCCUCGUUUCUGAGGCAAUCCACCUCAGCAGUUCAGGCAGAACCUGCGCCCACCUCAGCAGCAGCAGUUUCAAAGGCAGUAUCCUUAGCACCAGCAUCAGAAUCGCUAGAGCAAUCAGUCAGGAGGAGGUCAGUUUCAGAGGCAGAAUUAGCAGGCACCUCGUCUUCCUGCCCCAGCAACCCAGCAGAACAGUCAAGCAGCACCAGUUCAGGGUGGAAGCAGAGCAUGUUUCCACUGUGGAGAGCAAGGCCACUGGGUGAUGCAAUGUCCAAAGAAGGCAGCCCAGCAGCAGUCAGACCCAAUGCCUCAGCAAAACAGAAUGUGCCUCAGCCUGGAGCAGGCAACCGCUCCCAGCCACGCUAUAACCUUGGGAGACUGAACCACUUGGAGGCUGAAGCAGUUCAGGAAAACCCCGGCAUGACAGUAGGUAUGUUUCCAGUCGACUCCCAUAUUGCAGAAGUGUUAUUUGAUACUGGAGCAACGCAUUCAUUCAUUACUGCAUCAUGGGUAGAAGCACAUAAUCUUCCAAUAACUACCAUGUCAACCCCUAUUCAAAUUGACUCAGUCGGUGGUAGAAUUCGAACCGAUAGCAUUUGCUUGAAUGUAGGUGUGGAAAUAAGGGGAUAGCGUUUCCCGCUAACCUCAUAGUAAUGGGUACUCAGGGAAUAGAUGUCAUCCUAGGGAUGAAUUGGCUAGAUAAGUAUCAGGCAGUUAUCAGUUGUGAUAAGAGGACAAUCAAGUUGGUGUCCCCACGAGGAGAGGAAGUGGUGACCGAGUUAGUCUCGCCUGAGCCAAAGAAAGGAAGUUGUUAUCAGAUGGCUGUCGAUAGCGGUGAAGCAGACCCACUUGAGAUUAUCAAGGUUGUGUCCGAGUUUCUAGAUGUGUUUCCAAAGGACUUACCAGGUAUGCCACCAGAGCGGAAAGUUGAGUUUGCCAUAGAGCUUCUUCCUGGAACCGCCCCCAUCUUUAAGAGAGCUUACAGGGUAUCUGGACCUGAGUUAGUUGACCUUAAGAAGCAGAUUGAUGAGCUAUCAGAGAAAGGUUACAUCUGGUCAAGCACCUCGCCUUGGGCCGCCCCUGUCCUAUUCGUAGAGAAGAAAAUGACACUAGAAGGAUGUGUAUCGACUAUCGAGCUCUGAAUGAGGUCACGAUCAAGAACAAGUACCCCUUGCUCAGAAUAGAAGAUUUGUUCGACCAGUUGAGAGGAGCCAGCGUGUUCUCAAAGAUAGAUCUGAGGUCAGGUUAUCACCAGCUCAGGAUCCGACCUUCAGACAUUCCGAAGACGGCAUUCAUUACCAAGUAUGGGUUGUAUGAGUUCACUGUGAUGUCUUUUGGUUUGACAAAUGCACCAGCUUUAUUUAUGAAUCUGAUGAACAGUGUAUUCAUGGAUUAUCUUGACAAGUUUGUGGUGGUAUUUAUUGAUGAUAUUCUGAUAUAUUCUCAAAGUGAGGAGGAGCAUGCAGAUCAUUUGAAGAUGGUAUUGCAGAGACUGCGAGAGCACUAGCUGUAUGCAAAGUUGAGCAAGUGUGAGUUCUGGAUUGAUGAAGUCCUGUUCUUGGGUCACAUAAUCAACAAAGAAGGAUUGGUUGUGGAUCCGAAGAAAGUGGCAGACAUUCUGAACUGGAAAGCGCCAACAGAUGCUCGAGGAAUCAAAAGCUUCAUUGGAAUGGCUGGAUAUUAUCGGUGAUUCAUUGAAGGGUUUUUGAAGAUUGCGAAACCAAUGACAGCUUUGCUAGGCAACAAAGUUGAGUUCAAGUGGACCCAGAAAUAUCAAGAGGCCUUUGAAGCGCUGAAAGAGAAGUUGACUACAACGCCUGUCUUAGUCUUGCCUGAUGUGCACAAGCCCUUCUCGGUGUAUUGCGAUGCUUGUUACACUAGUUUGGGAUGCGUGUUGAUGCAAGAGGGAAGAGUUGUGGCUUACUCGUCCCAACAGCUGAAGGUCCAUGAGAAGAAUUACCCAAUCCAUGACCUAGAGUUGGCAGCAAUGGUUCACGCACUGAAGACAUGGAGGCAGUAUUUGUAUGGGCAGAAAUGUGAUGUUUACACAGACCACAAGAGUCUGAAGUACAUAUUCACUCAGUCAGAGCUGAAUAUGAGGCAACGAAGAUGGUUAGAGCUAAUCAAAGACUAUGAAUUGGAGAUUCAUUACCAUCUAGGCAAAGCGAAUGUAGUGGCAGAUGCUUUGAGCAGGAAAAGUCAGGUCAACAUGAUGGUCGCUCAUCUGAUGCCUUAUGAGUUGGUCAAAGAGUUCGACAGGUUGAGUCUCGUUUUUUUGAACAACACGCGAGGAGUCACAAUUGAGUUGGAACCUACCCUAGAGCGGGAAAUCAAGGAAGCGCUAAAGAAUGAUGAGAAGAUCAGUGAGAUCCGGUAACUAAUUCUAGACAGCAGAGGCAAAGAUUUUCGAGAAGAUGCAGAAGGUGUGAUAUGGUUCAAAGACCGCUUGUGUGUUCCCAGUGUCCAGUCUAUUCGGGAGUUGAUCCUCAAGGAAGCUCUUGAGACAGCUUACUCGAUACAACCCGGAAGUGAGAAGAUGUAUCAAGAUCUAAAGAAGAAAUUCUGGUGGUAUGGAAUGAAGAGAGAAAUCGCAGAGCAUGUGGCUAUGUGUGAUAGUUGUCGACGAAUCAAGGCAGAGCAUCAGAGGCCAGCUGGAUUGUUGCAACCAUUGCAAAUUCCUCAGUGGAAAUGGGAUGAAAUUGGUAUGGACUUCAUAGUCAGAUUGCCUCACACUCGACCCGGCUACGAUUCCAUUUGGGUAGUAGUGGACCGCUUAACCAAGUCAACCCACUUCAUACCAGUCAAGACCAACUACAGCAGUGCCGUAUUGGCAGAGUUGUACAUGUCUCGGAUCGUUUGUCUUCAUGGUGUGCCAAAGAAGAUAGUGUCAGACAGAGGAACACAGUUCACCUCUCAUUUCUAGUAGCAGUUGCAUGAAGCCUUGGGUACACAUUUGAAUUUCAGUUCAACUUAUCAUCCGCAGACAGAUGGUCAGACCGAAAGAACCAAUCAAAUCCUCGAAGACAUGUUGAGAGCCUGUGCAUUGCAAGAUCAGUCCAAAUGGGACAAGAGGUUGCCUUAUGCAGAGUUCUCCUAUAACAACAGUUACCAGGCCAGCUUGAAGAUGUCACCAUUUCAGGCGCUUUAUGGAAGGAGUUGUAGAACUCCGUUGCAAUGGGAUCAGCCUGGAGAAAAGCAAGUGUUUGGGCCAGACAUUUUGCUCGAAGCUGAAGAGAACAUCAAGAUGGUUCGAGAGAAUCUAAAGAUAGCGCAAUCAAGGCAGCGAAGCUAUGCAGACACCAGAAGAAGAGAGCUGAGUUUCGAAGUCGGAGAUUUUGUCUAUCUGAAAGUGUCACCGAUCAGAGGAGUCAGAAGAUUCAGAGUCAAAGGCAAGCUAGCACCCCGCUACAUUGGUCCGUAUCAGAUUCUCGCAAGGCGUGGAGAAGUGGCCUAUCAACUCAGUUUGCCAGAAGACUUAUCUGUAGUGCAUGAUGUCUUUCAUGUGUCUCAGUUGAAGAAGUGUCUGCGUGUGCCAGAAGAUCAGUUGCCAGUGGAAGGUCUGGAGGUCUAGGAGGACUUGACCUACAUAGAGAAGCCAGCGCAGAUUCUUGAGACUGCAGAUAGAGUCACCCGAAGGAAGACCAUCAGAAUGUGCAAAGUCAGAUGGAGUCACCACUCUAGGGAAGAAGCAACCUAGGAGCGUGAAGAUGAUCUGAUGGCCAAGUACCCUGAACUCUUUGCUGGCCAAUCUCGAGGGCGAGAUUCUUUUAAGGGGGAUAGGUUUCUAACGCCCUGAAUUUGGGGGUAGAAUUUUUUUUCUUCUUUUUACUCACCAAUUUCAGGCGUUACUCUCUUUCCUUUCCCUAUUUUGCUCCUUCUUCCCAAUUUCAAAGCAAUAUAGUGACGGGUGUCCGUGUCAUGUAUAAACAAAAACCUAAGUGUCAUGGGUGUUGCAUCAUGCCGAAUCACAUUUCUUUAUCUGAUGUCGCGUGUUCGUCUCGCCCCAUUACCGACUUCGGUUCGCGAUCGGAUUUCGUUUAGUGGUCGUGCGUGUCGUGGGUUUUGAUCCGCGAUGUGACACAGCCUGGCCCAGCCCGGCCCAGUCCGGCCCGGUCCGACCCGCGCGCCCCUGGUGCCCCCUGCCCUCCCCAUGCGCGUGCCCCCUCCCCCUAAUCCCUUUGUUUCAUUUGAUUUUCUCCCGCGCAGUAACCUCCCUCUCCCUCUUCCACCUCUCUCUCUCUCUCCCCGUGGUGCCCUAGGGUUUGGACACGAGAUCGCCGGAGUUUGGAUCCCUGAGGUGAGUUUUCCCCUCCCCUUCCCUUCUCUCUCUCUCCCUCCCCCUCCCUUUCUUCUUCCCCUAGACGCGCGCCCUUCCCCUUGGCCAUGCCCCUCCCCUGCUCGCGCGCCGCGAGCCCCUGCCCCACGCGCGCCCUCCCCUGCUCCCCGGUGAGCCCGUCGCGGCCCCUCCCCGGCGGCCCUCCCCGUCGCGGCCCCUGCCCCGGCGAGCCCUCGCCCCGCGGCGAGCCCCUUCCCGACAGCUUUCCCCACCGCGGCCCCGCCCUGUCGCGCCCUCCCCUCCCCCGGCGAGCCCCUCCUCGGCCGUGCUCCUGGCCCUGCAUCCCGCGCCCCGGCCCCUGGGCGCCGGUGGCCGCGCCCCGCGCCGCACCCUGGUCGCGCGUCCUGCCGCGCCCUGGCCACGCGCCCUCGGCCGCAUGCCUCGACCGUGCCCCUGGUUGCACCCUCGCGUGCCCCUGCCCGAGCCCAUGCCUCGGCACCUCGCACUACACGCGCCUACACGGUUCGCGUGCCCUCGGCAUGCGCAGCGUGCUCUCGAGUGUGCGACCGUAGUCGCGCUGCGUUUAACCCUCGUUUUAAUUCAUGUUAAUUUUGUUUAGUCGAUGUGCUGCGUCGCGCUUCACCGCACGACGGUUCAUUCUAAUUUCAUCCUUAUUAAUGUGCUGUGACGUGCGCUUCGUCGCGCGACGAUUCCUUAAAUUUAUAAUUAUUAAUGUGUUGCGUCGCGCGCUUCGUCGCGCGACGAUUCGUUUUAAAUGCAGUUCCGUUGACGUAAGCAGUCGUGCGUUUCGUCGCGCAACGCUUAACGUUUAUCUAUAAUUAAAGCAAGAAUCUCGUGGCGCGCUCUGUCACGCGGCGAGUCGUUUACUUCUUAAUUCAAUCUAAAUGCGGUGUUGUACGUCUCGCCGUGCGAUCACUCCCUUUCAUUCAUCUUUAUCUAUUUAUAAUGAUUAAAUGUGGAACAUGACCUUACUUUAUGAUAAAUGCAGUGUCCAAAUUAAUGCCCUUCUGUUAAACGAGUAGUCUAAUUUAUAAUUAUGCAACGCGAUCGCUUCUCGACCGUAGACUCGACUGUCAUUUCCUCUUUCUCUCUUAACCGUAAUUGCGAGCCCCGCGUGGAACGUCUGUUUAUUUAUUACAUUCUAAUGUAUGGUGUACUAUUCUUUUGUAUUAAAUGUGUGGAAUGUAUGUUUGAACUCGUAUAGAGAAUGAUCUGGUUGAAGAGCCCGAGGAACUCACAGAAGAAGCCCCUGAGCAGCAGCUGGUUGGUGGAGGCAAGUGUCCCUUGACCUAUCUUUGUCCUAUACAUUCUAUAAUUCACUUCCCGCAUUUACACCUUUAUACCUAAGGAUUGACUAGCUUUUGUUAUCCAUGUCCUUGCUUACCUAUUUGGGUUGGAUUAUUAUUGUUUAGCUUUAUGCUAUUGCUCAACUCUAAUCAAUGAACAUGAUGAGAUUUAUCAAUGAUACAAUGUUUUCCUUCCUUAUGAUGUUAUGCUUGUGGCAUUUAAGGGGGCUCGAGCGGUUUCUCGAGUGCCUCUCCAUAAGGACCUGUUCGUUGGAUGACCGCCCAGGAAAACAGUGCAACCAUGAGGGUGGAGUGGGACGCCCUUAGCUGAAUAAUUAGAGGAACCAGGGUGUAGUUCGCUUAGCCGUCGUGCCGUCAAUGGGGCUCGGAGUAUGCGGCUCGCUCUGCCAAGUUUGGUUCGCCCCUUCGGGAGGAGUGCGGUACAUUUAGGAAACCUAACGGGCGGCUACAGCUCCGGAGAGUCUUUGUAAAGGCUACGUAGUGAUACCCUGAUGGGUCACCUUGGUAGUGAUCAAUGGAGAGUCAUGAUCUCCGGGCAAAAAGGGAAUCACGGCUUGUGGGUAAAGUGCGCAACCUCUGCAGAGUGUAUGAAAAACUGAUAUAUCAGCCGUGCUCACGGUUAUGAGCGGCCAAGGGAGCUCCAGUGAUUAGUGAUACUUGAUCAGAGAUGUUCGGAUUACAGGUGGCAAUGAGAAUGAUGGUUUUGGUAUUGACUCUGGUGAUGGUAAGUGGUAUUCUUUCCGUUUGGAAAGGGUACUUUGGGUUAAUAACGUGGGUUAAUUCUAAAACUUGGCUUUCUCUACUAGUAAUAAUAAUCUGACCAACUAAAAGCAACUGCUUGACUUACCCCCACAUAAAGCUAGUCCACUACAGCCAAACAGGACACUUGCUGAAUAUGUUGAUGUGUACUCACCCUUGCUCUACACACCAACCCCCCCUGGGUUGUCCGCAUUGCAACCACUGCUCAGGAGAAGAUAAAGUCAUGGAAGGAGACUUGCAGGAGUUCCAAGAUUACGACGAGUUCUAGGCGUGGGUUAGCGGCAACCCCCAGUUGGCUGCCUGUGAAGGCCGCGUAUAUCUACGUUUCUUUUUUGCACUUUGAUUAUUGUAAAGACUAUGUGGAUGUCUCAGACAUAUGAUGUAAUCGACUAUUAUUCCCCUUUUAUGUUAUUAUUUGAGCACUGUGUGAUGAUGUCCAGUUAUGUAACUGCUGUGUACGUGAAUUGCUGAUCUUGACACGUACAUGGUUCGCAUUCGGUUUGCCUUCUAAAACCGGGUGUGACACCAGCAAUGCGGCUGGACAUGCCUUGGUCGCUCGUGGUCACCUCCAAGCAUCUCUCAUACGCCCGCACCAAGCUCAUGGAUGUCUACAGCUUGGUGGGGGCACUAGAGCUCGAUGUCGGUCUUCAAUGGCUCACCUAGCCUCGCGGUGAAAAGAUUCACUUACUGCCCCAUGUCAGGUCUGCACAAUGAUAGAAGAAAGUGGAGAACUAUUGUUAGUACACCUCCACCAUACCUGUGCAGUACAAGGCCUUCAUCUCUGUCAGGCUGUUGGUGCAUAUGGGCAGCCCAAAAUACAUGUGGAAGAAUUCGACGAAGCACGCCCAGGACAUGAUGUCGUGGUCGCUUUUUAGGGCAUAGUACCACUCGUAAGCCACCCCAUAUAAGUGUUCACUUACAAGAGUCAAGCCAAGGAGAAGGCUAAACCCAUUUCUGUAUAUGAUCCGCCAGGUCAUUUUGCACAAAGGAGAGGAGUCAUUCUUUAGAGUGGAGGCACCUUACCAAAAGCGGAUUCCAAUUCAUAUUAUUAUUCUUAUAGCGUGGCGAGCCAUACCUUUUCCUCGACCACGGUGUGCAUACCAUGGAAGUACGUCUCGCAUUUAUUCAGCCACGAGAGGGGAUCCGACUCACUGUCAUAGCUAGGAAAGUAGAGUUUGUAUCAACAAGGGCCGCUAUCGUGGCGAUUGUCACGGUUGUAGAAGCCAUCACCACCGCGACGGCGCCUUUGGUGUUAUUGGGCUGCGCCGUCCAGCCCGACAAGUGCUCGGUUUCUGGCUAGUUAUCGACCUCCAUGCGCACUAGGCACACAUUAUGGGUGUCUAGUACACCAAAUUGAUGGUGGUGAUUUGCGCCAACGCCUUCACCUGCUAGUCCAAAAUCUAGCGCAGAAUCUCUGUAAUGGAGGGCUGCUUAGGAUCGUCGUCGAGGCCGAACAUGGUUGUUGAUGAGAUGGCGCUAGUUCCACAUUUGAUAUGGCCUAUUGGCCCGAGCUUUCUGCUAUCACGCAAGGGAGAGUUGAUAAGCAGAUGAGACUAGGGGAAGAGAGCGUAGGGCAUAGGGAACUGGUCGGAAACAAUUGUCGUCACUAGUGUCCUGCGAAGCCACUGGCAAUUCCUAAUCAGGUCAACUUCUUUGAUGAUUUCAUUAUACAAACCACUAGUGCUUGUGUAGAUGUUAAUCAUCUUAUCCCACUAACAUGGUCAGAUCAUGUUUGAAUGCAUUAGAGCUAAUAGUUAGCUACUAAAAUUAGCUAAAGAUAUCCAAACAGUCUAGCUAAUAAUUCAACUAUUAGUUGCUUAUAGAAAAUUAGUUAAUUCUGGUAACAAUUUUUUAGCCAACUAACUAUUAGCUCUAGUGCAUUCAAACAUCCCCUAAGUCAACCGACUGCGGAUAAUUAUCCCAUUUAUUUCUAUCCAAACUAACAACUUUAUAUGCUAACAAUCUUAUCUGCAGCAACUAACCUAGAACCUGAUCUGCUAACAACUUUAUCUACAAUAACUAAGGAGGUGUUUGAAUGCCUUAGAGCUAAUAGUUAGUUGGCUAAAAAAUUAUUAGUGAAAUUAAUUAGCUAAUUAACAACUAGCCAGUUAACUAUUAGAUAAUUUGCUAAAAAAUAGUUAAUAGCUGAAUUAUUAGCUAAAUUGAUUGAAUGUCUUCAAGUAACUUUAGCAGCUAAUUAAUGAAUUCAAACAUCUCCUAAUUUGGGUGCAACAACUAAUCUGAACGCCUUCUCUAGAUAAUGAUGAAACUGACCUAUUUAUAGAGGAAAGACACACGAUGAAUACAAUACAACUGACGGUUUAUGAAUUCUUAGACUUUCCUUUCCUCAUUUCAUUCAUUUAUACCCGUUCAAAGUCUUUUAUUUUUUAUUUUGAUUUACAGCAGAAGUGGCAGUUUAAUUAUAAAUAUAGAAAGGUUGUUGCGCUACUUUGGAGUUGCGAUUUGCUACUUCUUAAGAGUACGUAGCCCGCUAUGGCUAGUUCUAUAAGAAUAGAUAUUAAUUGUGUACAAACUGGGGCCCUUCGGAAUACGUAAAAAAGUUCUUGAAUCAUGUGCUUUUUCUACAAAGCUAAACAUAUUUAGGUAGGGAUAAAAACGGUCGGAAACGAUCAGUAAACGCUAAAACCAUUAUCGUUUUCAUAUUUUUUUUUAUCGGAAACAAAAUCGAAAACGGUAACUCCAGAAACAGAAACGAUAUUGGUAUUUCGGAAACAUCGGAAACGAAAGUUUGAUACGGAAAAUACACCAAUAACGGUCGAAAUCUAAAAUACGGUCGAUAAAUAUAUCAAACUUCACAAUACAACAAAGUUGACAAAAGAUCACAAAGACCACAAGUUCACAAUUCAUGAUAUAACAAGUUCACAAUAUAACAAGUUUAUAAGGAUCACAAAUUUAUAAUAUAAAAAGUUUACAAAGAUCACAAGUUCACAAUAUAACAAGUUCACAGUACAACAAGUUCAUAAAGAUCACAAGUUCAUUAGAUCAAAGUUUACAAUUCACAAUAACCACUCGAUCUAGCUGACAUGACAUGCUUACUUAUGAAAUAUUUUUUCUCACAUAAAGAGUUUUUUCACAGCCUCACAGGAAAAUCCUAAAACCUAGUGUGGAAAAGACGGACUGUCGGCUCUCUAUUAUUAUAUAUUACUAAUACAUAACAUGUGCAUAGAAAAAAGGGUGGAUUCAUUCGAGAGACCAAAUCGUUAAUCCCAACUGCCUUCCAACACCAUCUAUCCCAAAAAAAUCUUAAGGAAUCCAAAAAAUACAAAAAUAAGUAAUCCUUAUCUAGAUACGUACAAGCGAUGCGAAAAAUCACAUGCUGGAAAAUUCCGAAAAAUCUAAGACACAAUUCUGAAAAAUUUUGAGACACAAAUCCGGUAAUUUUCGACAAAAACCGGUAACCGAAGUAAACGAUCGGUAAAACACCACGCCGAUUCCGAUAGAAAAUUACGAAAACCGAUUCCGUUUAUGAAAAAUACUGUUACCGGUGAAUCCGAUCGAAAAAUUUCGAAAUCGAUUUUCGAAAUACCGAAAAAUUCUGAAAUUGUUUUCAUCCCUAUAUUUAGGGCUGUUGGGGAAUAGCUCCCCGUAACCGUAACUAUGACAAAAAAAAUUUCCCACGGUUCUCACGAACGCUUAACAGAAUGCAUUAGAACUCAUAUAAAAGUUCCAUACAGGGAUAAAUCCCAACGAAGAUCCCCGUCCCAGUUUAAAUUAUAAAUAAGACAUACAUUCCUUGUUAUUAAUACAAAACAUUUUUACUAUACAUAUUGUUAGAUAUAAGAAACAUCAAAAUAAAUAUAUUUGUACAAUAAGUGAUCGUGACAAGGUAAUUAUUUAUUUUUAUCAUUAACUAGUAUACGAAAAUAUCGUACAUGCAGGUUUAACGCGUCCCGCGAGGAACAAUGAUAGGAAAUGCUUUUCUGUCCCCAUUUCUGUUUAUCCGUCGGAGAAAGAAUUUUCUCUGCUUACAUCCCCAUGGAGGAAGAAACUUUCCAAUCCCCUAAGAGCUUGUUCAGUUACACAAUCUAGAAGCGGAUUGGAUGGCCCCUCCAAUCCCAUUCUAGAUUAGCGUCACCGAACAAACCCUAACCAAAGAAUUCCCUCGGGGAAUCAAUGAUCGUGGCCCAUUGCCAUCCCUAAAUAUAUUCAUGUAAAAAUUCAACAUAAUUCCAAUGUUUUUUGGGUUUGAAAGGGUCCCUAAGCCUAAACAUAGUUAAGCAAAUCUGAGAGGGGUGUUUGAAUGUCCUAGAACUAAUAGUUAGUUGGCUAAAAAUUGUUAGUGAAAUUAGCUAGCUAACAAAUAACUAUCUAACUAUUAACUAAUUUAACAAAAAUAGCUAAUAGCUGAACCAUUAGUUAGGGUGUUUAGACGUCUCAACUAAUUUUAGUCAUUAAUUAUUAGUUUUAGUGCAUUUAAAUACCCCCAUAAGUUCUAAGUGUCCUCGAAGAUAAAAAAGACAUCCGCUUUGAGCUAAAGCGGCCUCCAAGAUGCCUUGGACGAUUAGGUCAGAUCCCGGCAGAAUGAGGAACCCUGGAAAACCCAAUUCCACAUCAACUAUUUAUCAUCCGAAGAAGCUUUAAUCUGUAGAUCAGUCUGCUACAUUUUUUUUCAACCAAAAAUAUAUAGACCAUGGAGAGUCCAUAAAUUAUACUCCCUCUAACACAAAAACAAAACAACUAUUGCUUUGCAAGAAGUUAAAUAGGUUUAAGUUUAGCCAAAUAUAUUUAAAAAAUACUAAUACUCCUUCCGUUCCAAUUUAUAAUUUGUUUGAUUUUUUUAACCCAAAUUUGACCGGCUUGUCUUAUUCAAAACAUUUCACAAAAUUUUUGAAUAAGACAAGCCAGUCAAAGUUGACAAAAAAGUCAAACGAGUUAUAAUUUAUAACAAAGAGUAUUUUAUAAUAUUAAAUAAGUAUCAAUAAAAAAUAUGACAUGUAGAAGAUAAGACAGUCACCGUUAAUUGUAUUAAGAUCUCACACAGGUUUAAAAACCCUCCAACUCCUGCCACGCCCAUACACAGCAGCCCAUAGGUCAGUGCUCUACCCAUCCCAUAGGUCAGUGCUCUACCCAUACAUAACAUCACCUUAGCCUGUAUGUCACCAGGACCAAAAUUUAGACUUGCUUUAAUGUAGGACAAACAAAAGAGUUUCGUUAACCCUAGUCUAAAAUUCGAAUUCAAGACUUAAGGAGUGUUACUCGAACCACCUAACUCACUCGGAGAUGCUUCGCAAUAAGUAUCAAUCAUGAAAAAUACUUUUACAUGAUAAACUUAUUUAGAAUCAUAAUAUUGUUAUUUAUAAACUUAAUCGAACUUAAGAAUGUUUGACCGAUGAGCAAGAUCCCAACACAGUAUGUACAUGCCAGAUGAGCAGGGUGAUGUACACAGAACUAGGUUUUUCCUUAGGCAUAUUAUAUGGUUCACCACGAUGGUUAACAGAGCCGUCUUCCAAACAGGGCGGCAGCACGCUAAUAAACUGAAUACGGGCGCCCACUGAGAUGUCGUCUUCAGUUAAAGCGAGUAUGGGUGCCCGCUAUUC